GGGUUGCAGAGAGGUCGAGUGGGUACUCGGCCACGUGGUGGCGCUUGAAAUCGUAAGCGCCGGUGCCGUAUACUUUCGUCAUUUCUUAAGUUACUGAGACGAGCGCGAAAUUUAGGUUUUUUUGUUUUCAAUUCAAAGGUGACAUUAGGGAUUUUCAGAGUAUACAGAGAGAGAGAGAGAGAGAGAGAGAGAGAGAGAUAAACCCUGGUGGAUUAGUGGCGGUGAGAUUUCAUAAAGGUAGAGAUGGGUAAUCGGGUUUUACUAUUGGGUAGUUCUUAUUAUGGGCCAUUUUGGGGUCUAGGGUUCGAAUAUAAUACUUGGGCUGGGCUUGUGCAUGCUUUCUUUUUUGUUUAUAGUAUUUGUUUGUUUUAUAGCUGUAAAAUUCAUACCGCCGUAGAACAACCGGAGGCUUGAUUAUUUGGAUUAAAGAAAAACUUGAAAAACAAAAAAAAUAGCUGAUCUCAUAAAAAAAACCUUGGGUUAAAUUACUGAUUUGUUCGACUACUUGUACAGUCAGAUCUUGUAAAAAACUUUUUACUAAAAGGAACUUUUUUAAAUCAUAGACAAUUAGUAAUUAAAAAUAUAUAUAAGAUUCUAGAUUUUCAUCAGACAAUUAAACAAUACAAUUUAUUUUAGGUAAAAUAUAUUUAGGAUGCUAAUGUCUUUCUUGAUGCAACUAAUCCCCGUACUUAAUCUCUAAGACUAUUUAGGAUUUUUAAUAACAAAAAUACUAGAUGGCAACUCUAUUUUUAUUUUUCACUGAAAAAUAAAAAUUCUUUGUUUGUUAUAUUUGACAGAUAAAUACACAUUUCUAAAAAUAAACGAUCGCUGCGAUGCCAUGGCGUACGACAAUCGAUUUAAUUACAAGAACAAUUAACCAAUAAAAAUAGUGCAAACGGGACAAAAAAAAAUCCUAGGAAAACUUUCCCUUUUUCCAGGGAUAAUAAAAACUGAAAAAAAAGUAUAAAAAAAAUGUUUUUUUAUAUAUAAAAAUGGAAAUUGUUAGUGAGAUGAGCUUGAAAACUCAAUUUCCAAAGAUAACUAUCCUUAUCUAACGGAAAUUCAAAAAACCAGACCUUAAAAUAAAUUUAGAUUUAAUUUUUGUAGAGUGGUAUUAAGUAUUAAUAUUAUUUUGAAUUAUUAAACUUUUUUUGUAGUGCAUUAAAAAAAAAUUAUUGGAAUCUUGGAAGGUUUAUUAAAGAAAUUUUUUUAAGAAGCUAUAAAAUUUUAUGAAGAAUUGAUAUUUGAUAACAACAGUAUGAUCAAGUUUCAAGAAGUUAAACAAAUAAGUGAUUUACUUUAAAUAUUAUUUCAAUAUAUGGCUACUACUUUUAUUAAUUUAUAUAAGAGAAUGAUUUUGACUCUGCGAAGAGAAAAGUCGCCUUGUCUCAUACAGGAUUGUUUGUAGUGACUUUAAGCUACUUAUAGAGACAGCCGUAAGAAAAUAUAAGGAAUACAAGAGAUAAAAUAUAAAAAUCGCCAAUCAUCAUGAUAAAACAAAAACAAAAACAAAAACAAAAUUCCUCAAUAAUUUUCUUGCACCAUGCAUGAAUGUGUCUUGUUAUCGGAGGUUCGCUAUACAUUACUCUCAAGUUCUAACCAAAUCACCCUAAUUUUCUACUAAGAGUAUAUAAUUGGACAAUUUUUGAAAAUCGUAGAAACGAGAGCAAUUUUACACACAUGCACGCACUACUAGUAAUAAAAGCAUACAACCAUCACUGUGCACGCAUGUUACUCUCGUGAUGCUUUACAUGUUUAUUGGAUUUGAAUGAUGUUUAGUGGACCAUGAGAUUAGUCGUGGUACGUGCAAGCUGACCCGGACACCCACAUAAAAAAAAAAACAUACAACCAUCUAGUAGUUAGUCUAGUAAUAAAAGCUUGAGAUCAAAAUAUUUGUUCUCUCUGAUGUUUCAGGUUUGAGCCCUAUGAUUGCUAAUGUGAUGAUCACUAGAUGACUUAUAUAAUCACUAAUUUCAUGGCCUGUGAAAUUAAUCGAGGUGCGUACAAACUGGUCCGGACACUCAUAAUAAUAAUAAAAAAAAAACACAUGAAGCACAAAAUUAUGUAACAAAAGGAAAAAAAAAAAAAAAGACAGCAGAUUAUAUAUGGCAUCAAUAUUAACAAAACACGAAAAUAUAUAUAGCAAGAUUAGCUAAGAAUUAUUCAUUUAUUUAAAGAAAACUACAAAAAGUUGUGUUUCUAGCAAGCAAUUUAUUUGGACUCACAGCAACAUUAUUAUCUUAUGUCAACCAGUCGAGUCUCUUUAUAUAAUUCUUGUUAUCAUUGCAGAAAUAGAUCCCGUCGUCUUCUGUCUUCCAGUAGCAGGAUUUAGUAUGACAACAUGUGCUUGAUUCCAUGCUAUCAGUGAAAACAUUCGCAAAUCGAUGCUUUUCGGCCCAUUUGAAAUCACAAUGAAAUAUAGUUUUGCCAAGGUUGCGAGACCGAACUUGGAAGUUGAAGUCUCCUCCGAUAUAGAGAGUAUGGUUUCCAAGGUCAUUAUUGUCCUGAGACCAGCAAUGAAGGCUCAGUGGGUUCUUAUUGCUGCUAAAAGCCAUUGAUUAUAUGACCCUAAACUUGAAGCAAAAAACUAUUUAUUAUCAUUGAAGGGUAUUUGGCUUGGACCCCCAUGCAAGAACAGGGCAAGAUAUUGCUAGAAGGAAAAGGAGAGGGAAGGAAGCGCUCAGGCUGGAAGAUGCCAUGCUUGCAGGUAUUUUGUGUAUGAGCCACUUCACGGUGCUGAAGUUUAUAUAGAAAAGUAAUGGUGGUGAGGAUAAGACACGUUUAUCCGCAAAAUCCAUCAUUUCUUUUAAUUUUACAUUUACCUUUCAUGGACGCCUUUUCAUUUGUAAUCUAGAAGAGGAAAACAUAAAUUAAGAUAAACACCAAUCAAAACAAAAAAAAAGAGAAAAAUGUAUAAUUAACAUAUAUUAAGUUGAAAUCUUAUACGCCAAACUUUGUUUUUCCAAAUUAUUAAAAAUUAUUGAUGUUGACCAACAUGUUUAAAUAGAAUUUAACCGGGUCGAUCGUAUCAUAAAAAACAUAGUGAAGUCAAUUAGGAUUCACAAAAUCAAUUGUUUUUGAAUUCAACUAAUUGAAACUUGAUUUAAUUUAAAAAAUUAAUUGUUUGUGAAUUCAACUUCAACAAAUCAACAACUUAUACACGCACCCCUUUUGAUUUGCAUCAUAAAAUCUAGAAAAGGAAAACAUAAAUUAAGAUAAACACCAAUCAAAUAAAAAAAAAAGUAUAAUUAACAUAUAUAGUUAGAAAUCUUAACGCCAAACUUUUUUUUCCAAAUUAUUAAAAAAUCAUUGAUGUUGACUCAAUCAUAUUUAAAUAAAAUUUAACCAACAUGUCACAUAAAACAUACUCAGGUCAACUAGAAUUUACCAAGUUAAUUGUUUUCAAUUCAACUCAAAACUUGAUUCAAUUCAACUAUUGAAUGUAAACCUCCAAUUGAAAAUUUUCAUGGUGCUCGUAAAAUUCAAUGGAAAAUAUUAUCACGUUAAUUGAAUAAUAAGAAAUAAAAUAAAAAUAGAAGUAAGUACGUAGUUGGGAUGAGAUUUUUAAUUAUUAAAUAAUGACUUUUGACAUUAAAAAUGAAAAGGAGAUACAACUUUCAUGUCGUGAGGAUCCACUUAAAAUUUUUUGGUGUUCGUUAAAUAAUGAAGAAUUUACUCGAUGAUGAAAUGAGUUGUAAAACCCCCCACGUAAAUAUAGACCCAAAAAUAAUAAGAUCUCGUAAAGUAAUGGAAACUCAGGACAAAAAAUAAAAUAAAUAAAUUUAAUAUAUAAUGGAGGAGAUAAUUUCUAUAAAUAAAUUUAAAAGUGUUAUUGAAGUUAAAAUAAGAGUUAUAAAUUUUUAUUUAAAAUUUAUAACGUCAAUUGAACUAGUAACGAGUUUGAGUUUUGAUGGAUAUAAGAAUUUGAAGAAUUUAAAAUAAAAAAGUUUUUUAAAAUGAGAAAAUAAUUCUAAGAAAUUAUAAGAAAGAAUUGCAUGAAAAGAGUGUUAGUAUAAACCCCAAUAAAAAUCAAUAACGUUAUCAUGAAAUUAAAAUAAGUCCGUAAAUAAAAUAAAUGAUAAUAAAAUAAAAUAAAUAUAUUUUAAAAUAAAAAAAUAAUCCUAGAAAUUUAAUAAAAAAUUAAUACGAUCCAUAAAACAAGAAAUUUAAAUUUAGAUAUUGGGAUGGGUUUCCCAAUACACAGGGUUUAAAAACUCUACUCCUUCCUAGCUAUAUCUAGAGCGAAAGCUGCUGGAAAACUAGCUGAGAAAAGAGAAGAGAGAAAAGCCAAGUUUAACACCAUAAAAUUCCAGAGAGAAAGCAUGAUUUAGGCAUGGUAGAUCAGUGAUUAACAUAAUAAAUCACAAGAUUAAAAGAGGAAAAUCACAAUAGCACUGUCCAUAGAAUCCUAACUAAUUUCCCCAUCAGUCACCCCUCUUUAAUUCUCCUUGAUUAUGGAGGACUUUAACCUUCUGCUCUCUUCCUACGAGUAACAUAACAUGUUGGGCUUGCAAGUCCUUGAUAUCACGGGGCCGAGCGAGCGCUGCUAGCUAGUUCAUCCCGUCCAGUGCCGAAACCAGUUUGCCUGACAUUUUCUGAGAGCUUGUGUGAUUGAUCAUACAAGUAGGCCUUGCUUGUGACUCGUCAAAGUUUCAGCUGCUAACUAGUAGAAUUUUGCUACAUGAAUCAUUAAUUUCCUUAAUAAUGUUCUAUUUUGGGCCUUUGAGCAAUACCUUCAAUCACUUGUGAUUGCUCACCUUAUAUUUGUGUGUCCAUUUUACUCUCUAUAUUAUCUCGGACCGUAUCUCUUUUGUUGUUCUUAUUCGCAGCCUUAAAAUAUGUUCAUUUCUGCCGUCACCGGAGCAGCUACAGGCCAUUAUCUUAUAUUUUACACUAACUCAACAGUAUAUAAUUCUUUUAAAUCAAAACUUAAAUCUGCAGGGUCUCAACUGAUCUUCUAAUUAAUCCCUCGACUUAUUAAGCAAUGGUUGCUUGGCCCUGUGACAUUUCUUUAAAGUAAAAGUUUCUCGUGGUAAAUUAUUGCUAGUAAUGUAGCCGUCAGGUUUCCACAGCAUAUAUAGCCUUGUAAUAAACUUCACCAAAUUCGGCCCUCGCCAACUUCUCAGCCAUAUUUCUAUUACUUUCUUGGCUUUAUUUGCAUUUAUGAAGCUACCUGUGACCUGUCUUUUCAGGGAUAAAGCAACCACAUGCUUAUGCAUCAAACAAAAAGUGGACUCUAACCUGAAGAUGUUACUGUAUCUUUAAAAGGUAAUCUCACUCUUCUUUUUCCUUUUUCUUUGUUUUCUUAAAGUUGCUAUCAGCUAAGCUAUGUACCUCACUAAUAAUUGAUUAGUUUCCCUCGUUGCCAAAGCAGGAUUAUAAAAAAAGAAAAGAAGAUAACAGUUGAGAAUAUUAUUAAGAAAAUGGUUAAAAAGAGAAUAGCCUAGCAAGCAGAAGUUAAAGCUGAAAAGGAAAGAAAAAAGAGGAAGCAAUAAAGCUUUAGAAACCAGGAUUAUAUAUUAACCCAGUUGAUUAGGAAAUCAACUUUCAAUCCAAACCAAGGAAAAAAAGCAUUCUCUUUUAAGCUCUUAUUUGGUAUUGUGUUUUAAAAAGAGAUCGGGUAAAAUUUUAAUUUUUUUUACUUAAAAUUAAUAUUUUUAAGGUUUUUGGAUUGUUUUGAUUUAUUAAUAUUAAAAAUAUUUUUUUAAAAAAUUUAUUUUAAUAUAUUUACAAGUAAAAAAAAUUUUAAAAAGCAACAACUACUACACUUCAAACCAAACACCCCCAGAAAAAAAUUAAGAAGCUUCAUAAUGAAAUGGACAGAUCUUGUUUUUGUUUUUUCUUUGGUAUUUAUGCUGCAAGUAAUUAAACAACAAUAACAUGAGCCUGAAAGUUGCUCCUUUUUUGGAAGAACCAAGAAAGAGUAACAAUAUCUUAUGAAUGGAUUUCUUUUAUAGCACAACCUGUAUUAAAUUUAAAAGGUUGCCUUAUUUAAUAGCGCAACACUUUAAAUUACAAAAAAAUAAUAUUAAUUAAAGUGGUGAUCUAUUAGAGUUAAUGCAGCCCUUGCAAAUACAAAAAACAUUAAAUUGGGUUGCGCUAUUGGAACACUUAAUUAUAUAUAUAUAUUAAGGGUUAUGCUAUUUCUAGUAGUACAAUCCUUUAAAUUAUUUUUACCCGGUUGAUUUCAUUUUCUGAUUUUUCUUCGUGUAGAGCCAAAGAUUGGCUAUAAGCCAAAUUUUACACAGUUGGCAUGCAUUAAAGAGAACCAUCGAUCGAGAUGAGAGGAUAAUAAUAAAACUAACAUUAUUUGAAAAGACAGAAAAAAGAAGAAAUUAAUUGAAUGAAUAUGGGGAACAAGAUAACACGGGAUAUUUCACGGGGAAUUUUGGCACUUAUACAAGGAUGUGUAGCAGAAUCAGGCUAAGUACAGAAUGUGACAUGCAUACAACUAAGGCCUGUCUUCUAGUUUUUUGCAGGCUCACAUGGUGCAUGCCAGGAUAACUUGCUUGCCCUAGCUAGACCUGCAAAAGCAAGCACCAAGCCCAUGUACAUCUCCUGUAUCCUUUUAUCUUUUCCGGCAUAGAAAGCUUGCAAACCUUGCCAUGGCGGCGUUGAGUAUUUUUGGACUGCUUACUCUCUUUAGCCUUGAAAAGGUUCUUUGUGACUGGAAACAAGGCAUGGAACAGCUCUCUGUAUAGAGGUCCACUGGUGUCUAGACCACGCUCCAUCAUCAGAGAAUCCAGGAUUGAAAUUUGUCCAGACUAGUGCGAACCAGCGACAAGGAUUGCCAAUUGUCGGGGGGAGUCUUGAGGACCCAUGUUGAUCAAGUUUUUUUUUUCUUUAAUUAUUAUCGAUUUAUUUGUCUAAUUUUAAUUUGGCUGACAAAAAACUAAUAUUGUGUGUGUGGGUGUGUAAAGCCUAGUUAUAAAACUAGUCUGAUACAAUAAUAUUAACUCGACAAAAAAAUUGUUAAAAGAAAAAAACUAAAACUUACUUAAAAAAAAAUAAUAAUAAGAAGUCCAAUUGACCCAAUAAUUAAAGCACUUUUUUAAGUCAAAACUCAGAUCUAUAUAUAUAAGACCUUGAUUAUAUUUUUCUUUCUUUCCAAGCAAGUUUAUUAUAGAGUAUCUUAAUUUCUUUUUAAGAUGGCGGACACUUAUUUUUCAAGUCACUUAAGGCAUACGUACCCUCUAGCCUUAAUCCAGAGCUUGAUAAGUGAAUCAUAACCAUCAAAUUAUCAAUGUUGACAAGUCCACAUCAUACCAUUUUAUAAGUUACAGUGGAAUUAUGGAUUCAUGAGCCCAUUAAUACAUAAAUUAUAUGAACAUUGGUAAGAGAUUUUUGGUUAACAAUGUCUGAAACGAAACCGCACUGCUAGCAGCCAUUGCAUUAGGAGUCUCAAGAGCUGUGACCUGGCUAUACCAAAAGAGAGGCAAAAAGGGUAAUCAGUGUCGGUGGGAGUCUACAAAACGUGCAAAAGUAAAGGCACUAACUUGUAAGGUGAUUCACAUUUAGGAAAAGUAACUUUGGUUUCAAGGACAAAUGGUGCAACUUUACCUUGGCUAAUCAAAUGUAAUUUGACAUAGCAAUUUAGGGUUCCUGAGAUUUUCCUAAUCUAGUUUUACUGGAAAAUGAUGCAAUUUGGUUCAAUGAUAGAGAGCAGGGAGGGACAAAUUUCUUGUAUGGAAGUUAUUGUGAGAUUAAUUUCUUGUUUUGUAGUGCCGAUAACUGUAUCCGCGUUAUUAAACAAAGCUUAAAUACAUCAUUCAAGUCUAAUCAAAUAAAUUAAUUUUUUUUAUAUAAUUUAUUUAAAAACUAUAUAAUAAUAACAAUAAUACGAGAAUUAAACAAGUCUGCUUACCUACCAAAUUAAACCUCAAAAAGUAUUUUGGGCCGUUUAUUACACAUCAAAAGUAAUCUGAUCCCUUUAAUUUUAAAUAUUUUAUCAUUUUGAUCAUAAUUUGCAGGGAAUUUGGAAUGACAAGUUACUCUUACUAAAAGUUAGUUAGCACCUAGCUACUAGUCAAGCUAAAAGAUACAAUGUCAUGACCGCUUUAUGAUUGUCAAGCUUCGCUUCGUCUCAUGAAUAGGGGGAUUUGGAUAACCAUGCAAAAUUAUCUUCUUGAUCUGAUCUGAUCUGAUCUGAUCUAAAUCCUAAGCUGAAGUCCAACUCAUUUUUAAACUCACCUGCAAAUUUUCAAACUUGGCCAUUUUUUUCCAAAGGGUCAGUUGAACUUGUCCAUAUAAAGGCACAUCUUGAAAGACAUGAAGCCUUAUAUAUUAAUUUUUGUAUGAAAUUCACCCUACGAAGCAGACAUAUUGAAAUUUGAAUUUCCCAGUGGGACACAAAUUCAAGAUAUUUGUUACAAUGUUUUAAUCACAUUUAACCAUUAUAAAAAUACCAAGUCUUCUUUGAUCAGUAUUUCAUGAUAGAAAGGACAUGUAUAUAAAAGGGAUAUAAAUAUAUUUGACGGGGGAGACGAAAGCAAAAAUAAAUUUUUUUUAAAUAAUUUUAGAGUGAAUUUAUACUUUUUAAAACCAAAAUGAAGAGAAACAUAUUCAAUUUGAUCUCAUUUUUGUUAACAAUUGUUAACAAAAAUAAAUUUUAAAUAAUUUUAGAGUGAAUUUAUACUUUUUAAAACCAAAAUGAAGAGAAACAUAUUCAAUUUGAUCUCAUUUUUGUUAACAAUUGUUAACAAAAAUAAAGAGAAACAUAUUCAAUUUGAUCUCUUUUUUCUGAACAACUUUCACAUAAAAUAGGCACGGGCCGGUGCCUUACAAGCAAAGAUUAAAAUUGCUUCUGGGUCUCAUUUUUUUAUUUUCCUUAAUGGCACCAUGCUUUUUUCAAUGGAGAUAGAGGAAAGGAGCGUUUGUAAAUGGACCUUUAGGGCAAGAGCAGACCCCACCAAGCAUCCCCAUUUUGCCGACCAUUGCUUGUCUUUUGUAAAGCUCUACCGCCCAAUCCUGAUAUUGAUGGCUUCCCAGUCAACAGGUGACUGAUAUAAAACAGGAAAAAUUCUCUACAGUAUCUCUGUGCAGAGAAUCCCAAUGCUACCCCCUUAACAUCCCCCCCUCAAACCUCUCUCCUUGUCCCAAGGUCUCAUGGAUUUUCUUCAAAUACCAUCUGAGGAGAAUUCAGAGAAAAACUUGUGGACAAGACUCCGUUGAGGGCCAUUGAUGAGUGUUGUAGCUAGGCAGCAGGGGACAAGGGCAUGCACUGGUAUGUGUUCAUGGCAUUCGUGUAUUUUGAAGAUAAUGAAGGGGGUAGUUAUGUCAUGAGAGAAAAGAUAGUGGGUUAGGGCAUCGAAUCACCAAUCCUAAUAAACAAGUCAGUGCCAUAUGCAGUAUUUCCAUGACACAUGGCAAUAGAAAAUACCUCUGAGUGAAGGUCAGCAUCAGACUCUCAUCUCAGCCUUGUUCAAAUUUGUUCUGCCAAAUGACCAUUGAGGUAAAACAAAAGGCCAGCCCCCUGAAAACCAAACGAAACUUAACAGGAAGAAUCUUUAGUUGUUUGGUUGUCAAGAAGGUUCACUUCUUCCUGUUGGAGUACAAUCUCCAAAAAAAUCCACAAGAAAGCUAGUUUCCUUCCUAGACUAGAUCUCCCCAUCUCUAAGAAAAGUAACAUUAAAUUCCCAUCUAGAAUUCAUGGUGCUGGCUUUUCUUUGAAGAUGGUGCAAAGAAAGGUGCCCAACAAGCUUGGUAUUCAAGCUGAUCAUGUUAAAUCCGAGAAGCGGUUGGGGAACCUGAAACCAAGUUCUUGUCAGCAUCAGGAUGGCAAGAAUAGAGGACCUGAUAUGAAGAAGAAAACGAAAAGGUCAAGAUCAAUCAAGAUUUCAGAUAUUGAGAGCUUGAAAUCAUCAUCACCUUUGAGGAAAACCAUAUCACAGCCUGGGAAGCUGCCUCCUCUCAAUGGUACGACAACUGUAGCAGCACCACAGAAGCAGCUUAUGAUCAAAAUAACUGAUGGUUCACCGAAUUAUAUGAAGUCAACCAGUAGUUCAGAGGCAAGAAAGGAGCGUUCCCGGGUGAGUCCCUUGAAUACUCAAACUGGUUCAAAUGGUAAGAGCCUGCAUUACAGAAACUCUGGGAAUUCGAGAUUUAGUCCUGCUUCUGGUAGCAAACCAGCAAGAACUUUAUCAAAGACAUCUAUUUUGAAGCUGGUGAGGACUCCUAGUUUUAAGCCAACGAGAGGUACUGCGAAGAAAUGUUCUAGAGUAGCUCUUUGUGCUGAUGUGAGUACACAAAAAGCACCUGUUCUUCAACCCUGAAGGAUUCGAAGUUUCUGCUGCUACCUCAUGCUUAAUCCUGGGGGUACUGAAGCAGAGGGAACUUCAGUCAUGAAGGUCUGCCCAUACACCCACUGCUCUCUUAACGGUCAUCAUCACAAACCUGUAACUCCGCUGAGGUGCUUCUUGAAGGCAAGGAGGCGUUCGUUGAAGGUCCAGAAUAGUAUGAAAUUGGAGGAUUUAUCCCCACGCAGAGCCAGGUCAUCUGGCGAUGGAACAGAAGAAAUUCAUGGCAGACUGUUGGAUUUUUCUGAUGACAAACCUGUGAUACAAGAAGUUGGAAAGGAUUUCUUUAUUGAAAUCUACGCUAAAAAUACAGAAGAUGGGGCCUAUGAAACCGAAAAGAGGACAGAGAAUGAAGGCAAGACAGCAAAUGUUUUUUUGGGAGAACCUGAAGGACAGAUUAAUGAGUCCUGCUUUUACGCUGGCCAUGAAGCCGCGGCUGAACAAGACAACAGCAAUCACGUUUCUGAGAGCUCGUCAGAUGAAUCACAAGAAUCAGAGAUUGAUUUUGAGGAAAACUUUAGUGAUACCAAUGCAGCAGAGAUCAAUGUUGCAGUGGGUUUCCUCAGAGAAGAUGAAAAGCAUGGGGGAUACAGACUGCUCAUUGACCUUCUCUGAAGGAGAAGCAAUCAUGGAAGCUGUGACAACAGGAGUGACAUUGAAGGGGAAUGCAAGCGAGUAUGGAGGAAGAUGAUAACAUCUCUGAAGCAACUGGCAUGGAGUGGGAGGAGGACCAACCUUCGACUUCAGAGAUUGGUGCAGAAGAUGAUGAUUUGAACAAACAUGAUAAAUUUUGGACCAAAGUCGGGUUCACACCAGAAAUCGAGAAACUUGAUUGGAGUGAGGAUUCUGAGAUCAUAACGUCUGAUGAUGCAGGCAGCAACUGUACAGGGGAAAUUCUAGCUGAUGAGGUACUGCGAGAAUUUUUUUCAGAGGAAACUGCCUCUAUUGAUAUGCAAUGCAGCGAUAGCGAUUCUGAAUCAGAUAUUAUACCCCACUAUUGGCAGAUUCUCCGAUCUAUCCAAGGGGCAGGGAACUUGGCUUAUGAUCAACCUUCUGCAGCUGAAGAUGCAUUUGAGGCACCAAAAACAGAGGAGAAAGAUGAAGAAGCUGGGAGACAUCUGAGAGAUGCUGUGACCACUUCAUCUCCAAUAAGGGAAUCAAUUGUGGAACCAAUAGGAGCCAGAGAGAACAUUCAGGAGAAUAAUGAAACAGAUAAAUCUCUUGGAGAUGGUGAAAAUGGUUGCACGGCAGACAUUUCAGCUGAAGCUUUAAAUGGUCACCAGGAGGACAAAUCUCUUCAAGCUGAAAAUGCAGCUAUAAGACCUCAUAUUUCUGAAAAGAGAGAUAUGAUUGGAACAAACAAAGAGGAAGAAAUCGAUCAGCUCAUCGAAGUUGCAGAAAAUAAUCAAGAAUUUUCCACUGCUGAAUUCCCUGAUGGUGAAGCUGGAGAUGCAACAGAAGAUCGAGAGCAAGUUGCCGAUGCUGAAUUGCAAUUUGAAAUCCAUGUUUCUGAUUCAUCACAGAAUUUUUCUGAAGCUGAUCAAGAUGAUGCUGAACUAAAUGCCGAUGGAACCCACAUGACAACUAGUGAAGAGGAUAGUUCAAGUCAAGGUCUUGUUGAUGACACCACUCCAACUGAGCCUCUUGACCACCAAUUGGAUGAGCAGGAUGAGACAAACAAUGUUCUUGAGAACGAGAACUUAUUUGAGGAAGAUAAAGAUGAAGCUAAAAAGAUCGAAAUCCUAACUGCCAUGGAUUUUGAGGCUCCGAGUAAUUCAAGAACGCAUAAAAUCAACUCAACUGGAGAUGAUACAGGAGAAGUUGAGAAGAUGGAAGUGGAAGUUUGUAACGAGUCAGAUACAGCAGAAACCUUCCUCUCUGCCAAUAAUGGAGCAACGAGCACAGGAUCAAAGCGCCCAUUCGUAUACACAAGAGGAAAUCCCAAUGAAGAACUUCAAUAUACCUGCAACAACAGGAAGUGGACAAUCGGAGAAAAGAAACCCAUCAAGGACUUGGAGGAAGAGAGAGAAUUCAACCCAAGAGAACCAAAUUUCCUUCCCGUUGUUUCUGAUCCAGAGGCAGAAAAGGUCGAUCUCAAGCAUCAAAUGAUGGAUGACAGGAAAAAUUCUGAGGAAUGGAUGCUUGAUUAUGCACUACGACAGGCUGUCACCAAACUCGCUCCAGCUAGGAAGAGGAAGGUGGCACUACUUGUUGAAGCUUUUGAAAAAGUCUUGCCAACACCGAAAUAUGAAACUCAUAUCAAGCAUACAUCAGCAACAUUUUCUCACACAAGACCUAUUCAAGCUUGUAGAUGAUGGCAGUCACCAAGGUAAACAAGACAUUACUUUCUAGAUGUUACUUCUUUCUAUUUAGCUGCAGUAGUGAAAAUUGAAAUGCCAUUGUAGAUCAAAGAGGGGAAAUAAUCAGUUGAAAUGUGACCAGGUCAUGUAGUCCUUCGUAUUUCGUUGUGCAGGUCAUGCAGAAGUGGGAGCUGCAUUGGUUACCUAUAAUAAGUUGGUGAAUUAGAAGUACUGUUAUUGCUAACCAUGGCUCAAGCUUUAGGAGUAAACAACAAGCUCAGUAGAGAAACAUCUUGGUCUGUUGAUGUAAAGAAUUUCAGUGUUCAGAUUGAAGAGCAGAUGCUGCAUUUGGUAGUUUCUCCUAACCUCAGCGGGCGCAGUGCAAGUGAAGAGUGGCUAGCUCAAUAAUAUAAAUAUAAUAACAGUGUAAAAUCUGACUCUGAGUUCUGAGUUCUGACUACCAGAUGAUUACUAUAUAUCCUAUGUUAUUGUAAGAGGCACUAUUUUAUCUCUAAAUGUUGUUAAUUAUUUGUGGUUACUCUGUCUACUAUUGUGCAGUAACUACUAUUGUAAUUAUGCUCAUGUUCGUCUGAUGAUUUUCAUCUCCAGUCACAUUUCCCUGCAAAGAAAAGAACUUGGCUACUAUGCAAUCCUUAAGAGGUUACGGAUUCAUCACAUGGAAAACUUCAUGCAUUUUCUAACCAGAACAUGUGAUGAUGUCAGGCCAAGAUUAUGAAGAAACUAAACCAAUUUCAAGAAAAAAUAAUAACAUGAAUUUUGUCACGGCCAAAUUAUUAAAAAGCAAUAGAGACAAUUAUUCCAAUCAUCAUCAUCAACUACUUUGAUUUUUACAGGCCCUGUAAGAUAUGCAUGCAAGAAGAGAUUAUAACCACAACCGGAAGCUUCACUCCAGCACGCCUCAUGAUAUUGCAACUACACAAUUCAAGUAAACAGACAUCCAAUGUCCAUGUUUCAUAGACUUCCAAAGACAGACCAAUUUACUUGCAGAUUCCUGUCAAUAUCAGACGGAUUACAUCUUGAAGAAAUAGUUGCUCUGCUUCUUCUUUUUGGCUCUCAGGAGAAAUAUUUAUCUUGAAAGAUAAGAUACUUUGCUUAUAUUUUCUUUCGCUUUUGUAAAUUUCCUUAAAAGUUUCAGGAAAUUGAUGCAAAUGUCUUUGUAACCAUGUGAUGGACAUGUUAUAGUUACUUUUAUUUCUGCACCACCAUAUAUAAACGUAAAUUUAAAAGAGAAUGUGGUAAAAUUCUGAAAAAAAAUAUAAGCAGAUAAUUCAUAUGCAUUGAAUUACUAACGGUAAACAUAAUUGUGAUAUAUAUGGAUCUAAUCAAAAUUGGUGAUACAGUUGUGAGAAAACAACAUUAAUAAUGUUAUCCUUCAAUCAAAAGACAAUACGUCCAAUACAUUAUUCAGUUCUGUACAGGAGUUGCUUUUACUGAUAAAUGUGACUUGAUUGUAGGCGAGUCAAGAAGAAGUGAUUGAAGCUCUCCAACAUAAUUUUCGAGAUUACUGCAGCAUGAGCUAUCAUCCUUGUUCAUUCUGGCUACAUCAGAACUUGCCUUCUCAAGCUCCCUUUGCUCCAUUGCUUUCUUUCUCAAUAUGUCAUCAUGAAAGAACUUAAGAGCAUCCACUGUAGAAAUAGAGUGCACUGAUUCAUACAAACCCUGAAAUUUGUUUUUUUUUCCUGCGUUUCAAUCAGCUUCUCCUUCAAGUCAUCUGGCAGGCAGGCAACCACACUUCACACAAAUAAGAAAAAGGAAAAGAAUUAAACAAAAAAAAAAUGUUAAAGCAUUCGAGAUCUCUUGAAAGCUGGUCAUCACUAUACUAUAAUUCUCCUUCCAUUUUCUUAUUGUUUACCUGGUAACACCUCUAACAACACCCCAGUUGUAUCCUACAAGCACUGAUUGCUUAAAACCAACAUUAAAUCCCUCUUGUGCAGAAUCUUCUUUUCCUGCUAUGAGACCAUCACGAUAGCCAAUCUGAAGUCAUCAAGAAUGAGACGAAUGAGACCAUUAAAGGUUUGGAAAUCAGUAUAUAAGCAGGGAAAACAGAAUCAUGAGAAACAAACAGAAUCAUCAAAUUACCGUGUGAAAUUGAUCAUGUCUCCUCUGCCACUCCCGGUCUAAAUCAGAUUCUCUAUCCAACUCCUCAACAGAAUCAUCCCACAAUGACCCACCAUCAUCCUGCAAGUCACCUUCACAGCAAUCCAAAACAAAGUAACGCACGUUGCUCUAAAAGACUCGAAGCAUAACUAAAUUCAACCCACCAGCCUCAAAAAGUUAAGCAGUGCUCACACAAGAAACUGACUGCAUUUAAGUACCACCAAAUAAAAAUGCCAUUGUACAUUUGCAAAAAUUAGAAGUUUCAGACAUGCGAGAAAAUGAACCAAAAACUGGAGCAAUUACGAAAACAUUGGGAAAUGAACCAAAAGUUGGAGCAGUUACAGAACAGGAUGCAAUUGAAAGUCAUCUACAUUUGUUCUUCUUUCAUCACAUGCACAAAUUGUACACAUAUACACACAAAUACAGGCAAAAAAGAGUAUAUAAUACGCAGCCUUUUCUUUCAUUACUCAUUCCCAGCUAGUGCCAAAACUUGGUAAAUUCAACCAAGAUCACCAUUUUCCAAGCAGAAGAUAACAAUAAGGCUAUAUUUAUAUCAAGCAAGCACGAACUUAUUGAGUCAGCUAAACAGAAGAGCAUAUAAAGCCAACACAAAGCAAAAUAAAUUAACCAAAAUCAAUAAUAAAUAAGUAGAUCAAAACCCAUAACAAUGACUCUACUUACCAUUAGCAAUGGGCUUAGAACCCAAUUCAGCAUUUGAAAGUUGCAAACUUUCUGAAUAAAGCUCCUUAGCAAAACUGCCUUCCAUCUAUUACAGCACAAGAAACACAAAAAACCCAUUUCAGAAAACAUCAAAACAACAAUAAAUAUCUAUCUAUGAAAGCAAAAUUCAGCCACAACGAAAACAACUAAUGGUAAGAAAAGAUUGAAACUUUACCCUUCAUCAAAAAAAGGUAAAGACUUUAUUAAGUUUUGAUUGAUUUUGUUCAAAUUUAAGAAAAGAUUUGGCCUUUACCUUUGAUUAGUGGUUGAAUUAAAAAGAGAAUCCGACUUUGUUUGUUGAGUAACCGGUUGAUUCAAUCGGGUCGGCGAUCCAACAAGAGGUUGUUGCUACAUGGGAAGAGAAGAACUACGGUGAUAAUUGGGUCAUGGAUUCUGGAAUCUAGACCCUGGACCCUGGGCCUGCAGAUAUAUGAAAUGAGAACAGUUGGGUAGGCUAAAGUUCGGCUUUUCUAUCCUCUGUUAAUGUAAAUGGGUAUGUUCUGGGUUAGACGGAUGGGCCACUGGUCGGCGCGGUUUUUUUAGAUAAAAAGUUUUAUUUAUUUAUUGCUUAUCUUGUGCCACAAAAAUUACUAAGGCACUAUUUCUCUAAUUUUAGCAACUACGAAAUAAUAUUUUAUAUUUUCCUUCCGAGAGAAACCAUAAUUGUCAUAUCUGGUUAAGGUUAUGGGUUGUUGAGUCUUUGAAUUAACUUGUGGGUUAUUAAAUUUAUCUUAAAAUGACGAUAAAUCAAUAAAAAUUUAAAAUAAAUUGAAAUUAUGAUACUCUAUAUAAAUAUUAAAAAAAUUAUUUUUUUUAAAAAGACUCGAUUAGAUUUCAUUCAAAUUUAAUCGAGUUAACCAAAUCAUAUAUCAAUUCAUUAAAUUACUCAAAUUAAAUUUAUAUAUGUUAAUAUCUUAUAUAAUUUAUUUGAAUUAGACUCUAAGUCAAUCCUUUAAACCAUGUUAAGUUUAAUAACUAUAUAAAAAAAAUAGUUUCACUUGUCAUAGUUUGAUUGAUAUAUUCAGCUGUAAACAAUUUUAGUUUCAAUCAUAAUUUGAUUUAAUUGUUUUUUAUAUAAAAAAAUAAAUCAUUGUUUCUGAAUAGCUUUCGUUUGAUGUUCUAUUUAUUUUAUUAAUCUAUUUUUUAAAAUAAAUUAAUAAUUUGGAGAAGUGUAAAAUAAUACAAGAUCAAAUGAACAAAUGACAAUUAACGUCCAGCCUUCUUUUCAAGGAGUACUUUACGUGCAUCCAAUUAUCAAACAAUGAUUGCUUUUUUUUCCAUCCAUGCAUCUUCUAUUUUUCUAAUAUAUUCAUCCAUUGUUCUUUCCUUUUUAUCCAAACAAACAGUACUAUAUGAAGAGAUAGAGACUUGCACGCCAACGAAACUUCAACAUUAUUUUAAACAUUUCAUUUUAUAUCUUAAUCUUUCACUUUAUUUUAAUAGUGUAGUUGUGGGAUUUGAUUUCCAGAUUGAUUUAGAAAACGACUUAAUUGCUUUUUCAUCCUUUAUCAACUAUAUUUUUAAUGAAACGACACCAUUUUAUUCUCUUACCUUUUGUAAUAUAUUAACUCGAUUAAAAUUAGAUUGAAUUUGAUAAAAUUAAUUGAGUCAUUUAAAUAUUGGUCGAGUCUAUGUAGUUUAACUGAAUUAUUAACAUCUUAUAUAGUUUAACUAAAAUUUUGAUCCGAAUCGAGUUUUAUAUAAAACCUGAGUUAGUUUUAGGAUAUGCUUUAUAAUAAACAUAGAGAUAUCACUAGGAAAUUAAGAUGAAAUCCUCAACAGAUUUAAAUGUCUGCCAUGUGUUCCAGCUGAAGUAGCCAUCAAAAUAUAUGAUUAAAUAUACAUCUGUAUGUUGAAUCUGAUCUGAAUCUCGGCUUCCCCCAACAUUUUUUAACCAGCAAUCUAGCCAUCCAAUAAGGCUGAUGUAUACUUUCUAACUAUGAAGAAAUCUCUGAUCAUAGCUUAACAAAAAAGAAAGGGAUCAAGAAAAUUUUUGCUGAGAAACCCUACAGUUGCAUGUGUACAUAUUAUACAUGUGUAAGGUCGGAACAUAUCUCCCUCACCUGCAACCUUAACCAUCUCUGUCUAUACCAGGAUGAUUUCUAGGACUGCAGCAUCUUGUUUCCUUUUUCACAUGUUGACGAUACUUUCACUUCUUUGCUUGGCGAACUCAUCGAGAAAGCUGUGGCGAGAGAAUAGCUGCAACAUGUACCGAGGGAGCUGGGUUCAUGACAUGUCCUUCCUCUCUACGAUUCAUCUGCCUGCCAUUUUAUUCGAAAAGAAUUUGAUUGUUUAAUGUAUGGUCGCCCUGAUCACCUCUAUCUUCAAUAUAGAUGGCAGCCCACUGACUGCAACUUGCCAAGGUACAAUAUUAUACGUGCAACAAUAUCAAAUUAUUGGCUCGCCUGAAGAACUUGCUUGUUGAUCAGUCUUAGAACGAUGAGUUCAUUUCAUGCUAAGAGUAAUUUGAUUGUUUUCAAGUAAAGUAAUGUAUUCAUUUCUCUCGAAUGGUUAGCAUUGUGAUUUUUGUGCUAGAGUGUACUAAUUGCGUAAUUGUUAUACAAAUUGAUUUAAAAAAUAACUCAGGUUAUUAUGUCAACCUAAUCAAUUAUUUUUAUCAAAAUAAUAUCGUUUUGUUUUUUUUUUAAUGGAAAAUUAUUGACAUUACUCAAAUCUGGUUUUGACCAAGUUAAUUGAGCCAUUCAAAUACCGGUUGAGUUAAUAUCUUUCUAUUUCAAAUUAAAACCUAGCCCUAACAAGGUUUUAGGUAACAGUUUUUCAUAUUAAUCUAUGCAUCAAGUUUAAUAAUUAUGAUUAAUUGUUUUUAUUUUAAUCUGAAUGUAACAUGUGUGUGACCUUAUUCCAGGUUUGAUGGUCAAUAUUUCUUGAAGAAGUUAAAGGGGAAGAAGGUUAUGUAUGUAGGGGACUCUCUGAGUCUAAACAAUUUUCAAUCGAUGGUAUGCUUGCUCCAUGCAGCUGUGCCUGAUUCCAUAUCACAAGAAAUUCAAAAAACUCUGUUACCACAGUGAUAUUCCAGGUGAGUAUAUAUAGCAAUUAAUCUUAUAAAUUUCUCCAGCUGGUGAAUUAGAAAUAUUUUUCCUUGCUAAUCUAGAACUAGCUAGCUAUACAUUCUUAAUUACUUGAUGUUUAAUUAGCAAUUAUUUGACUUAAAACUUGUGUUAAUUAACUCUCAUAAUUUUACAGGAUUAUGGAGUGUCAGUGAGUCACUUCCAGUCUCCAUACUUAGUAGACAUUGAAAAAGAAGAAAUUGGCAGGAUCUUGAAACUUGACUCCAUCAAGGAUGGCAAAACAUGGAAGGAUAUUGAUGUUCUUGUUUUCUACUCUUGGGGGUGGUGGUACCGGAAGGACCUCAGCAGCCGUAUGAGCUCCCAAAAUUUAUCAACUUUAAAUUUUUUAUAAUAAAAAUAGAUAACGAAUUUGUUCUGGACUUUCUACUAGAAAAAAAAAAAACAAAGAUGAUAACUAUUAUCAUAAUUUUUUAAGAUUAUUUUAUUCAGCUUGAAUAUUUUUGACAAUUUAUUGUUGUCUUUUUCAGGUUUUGGAAACAAAUAUUAAAAAAAAACACACAAAAUUGAAAUAAUACAGAAAUAAUUCUUUGUGAUAUUGCUAAAAAUGACUUGAUUCUAACCAACAUUUUUUUUUUUUUUUUUUGUGAAUUUCAGAUGGGAUUAUAUUCAAGAAGGUGAGACCAUAGUUAAGGACAUGAAUCGUAGGGUUGCUUUUCACAAAGGCUUAACAACAUGGGCAAAAUGGGUCGAUUCGGAUGUUGAUCCAAAUAAAACUACUGUUUUUUUUCAAAGCAUUUCUCCAUCUCAUUACAAGUAAGUUCCAAACCAACUUUUAAUUUGAAUAAAAAAAAAUUAUAAUUUAAUAAAAUUUAAUUGAUUCAAUAAAUUAACCGUGACUCAGUUAAUCUAACCAAACUCGAUCAUAUCAACAUUGUCAUUGUUUUGAUAACAAAUUAUUGACUCAUUUAACAAAACUUUUACAAAGUCUAAUUUCGAAGAUCAUCUUGGUAUGUCUCGAAAUAGUGGCACGGAAUGGAACGAGCCGGGAGUGACAAAUUGUGCAAACCAGACAGAACCAAUGAGUGGAUCAACUAGCCCUGGCGGUUCACCAUUAGAAUUGCAAAUAGUGGAAGAUGUGCUAAGUGCUAUCAAGAAACCAGUUCAUUUUCUCAAUAUAACAGCUCUCUCACAGCUAAGGAAAGACGCACAUCCUGGCUCUUAUAAUGGCGUUAGGCCAAUGGACUGUACUCAUUGGUGUGUUGCUGGCCUCCCAGAUACCUGGAAUGCACUUCUCUAUGCAACUCUUAUCAAUCAGAAAUGAGGAAAUUACAUGAAAUUGAUUGCAUUUAUAUAUAUAUAGCAUAGUCUGUGUGCAUUAUUUAGAUUUUCAUGUAAGUGCUAAUUAAAUCUAAUUAAUGGAAACAAGAGGAAAAGCUAGAUUCUGAAGCACAAUGAUUUCUUCAAGAGAAUUAAAGGGCUAAUCAAGUCUAAUGUAAACAAGAGGAAAGGCUAGAUUCUUCUCGGGCAAAUAUAAUGUUUCAUUAUAGCAAUUAUAAUAUUUUUUUAUUUUUUAUUUUAUUAACUCGUAUAAUUUUUAUAUAUUAUAUUUUACUACAUGUAAGCAUUUAUUUUUUAAUUUAGGACCAUAUUUUCCACUUCAUAAGGGAGAACCAUAACAAAGAACCAUAACCACAACAAAUUUUGGUGUUACCAUCAUCAUGAGCAAAUUGAAGUCGAAAUUAAUGCAAUAAAAGCAAUGUUGAAGCCAGCCCUCGAAUUAUUCCUCGAGAGACCAAGAUAUGCUCUCAUGUGCUGUUGCCUCCACCGGGGGAUGCGACUUGCAAUUUCCAUGCCUGCCCUCCAAAAACCCAUAAUUUAUUAUUUUUGAAAUUUAUAUGCAAACACAAAUUAAUUAAGAAAUAUAAGAAUGGUCCUUCAACUGAGUUGUUUUCCAUGUGUUGCAUGUGAAAGCCAGGCAUAUAUCUGAUCAUGGCUCGUGCACGCUGUUCGGCCAAUCUAGCCAUUUCCCGUCAACCGGCUACAAGAUUUUAAAGGUCGCAAGUUCUAAAAAGCAAACUUAACAUCAUAAUUUGUUUUAGACAUAGAUUGAGAUAAAGUUAGUAAACUUUGACCACUACAUUACAUGAUCCAUUGUAUAUUUCAAGAUAUGAAUCACAAAUUUAACGGAAUUUAAUAUUUAUUUUUUUAUUUUAAAAAAUACUAAAAUAAUAUUAUUUAAAAAAUUAAACUAAGUUUUAACUGAAUCAUAGGUUAACUUACCUUGUUGGAAUUGACUUUCUUUAAAUUUGGCCUAUGUCAAAAGAUGGGUAAGUCCAAUCCUGAGUUUACCCGUCAUGAUAAAACAUAUUUAAUACUAUGGUUCAAGAAGUUUAGAAAAUGUUUUUGAAAUGUUUGUUUUUAAUCUAAAAUAGUUUUAAAUUGAUUAUUUUUUUAAAAAAAUAUUCUAGAAAAGUUUUGAUAAAUGAAUUUUAAAAACUUCUUAAAAAAAUAAUCAAUUAGAUUAUCAAACACAUUUUUAAUUAUAGUUUUUUUCCCCCAAAAUGAUUAACCCAUCACGGGAACUGAAAAUUAGCAUCCAUCAACCAAUAUUGAACUUUAAACUCGGUGAGUUCUUGCAAGAACAAAAGGGGUGAUGAGAUUUUAAUUAAGCAAAAAAAAAUUAAUCCCUCUGUUUUUUUCGUUGACGGAAACCCUAGUCUUGGAGAGAUCCUUGCUGCAUUGGGCACUCUAAUUAAUCACUCACGUUUUCUUCUUAUCUUUUUCAGGAGACCGGGCCAAAUGUCUUUCGGUAAGCACAACUAUUUCAUGCAAAAAUGUCAAAGAGAGUGGCUGCUUUCAUCUGCUAGCUCUUAUAGCCCGAGAUCACGAGUCUAAUUUUCGAUAUUGACAAGAGAGGAAACUCCCCAUGUCAUAUUUCCCAAGUAUAAUCCAAUCAAGAGGAUCUUGAAUUGGGUGGUUCAUGCAUGAAAGACAACUUUAGUAUAAUUUUAAGAGAUUGCUCCCGUGAUUAAGAAUUUUAAUUCUCAGGAUUGUGUUUUUAAAAUCAUUUUACUUGAUAUAUAAACAAACUCCAAAAAUAUAUCUAAUCUCCAAAAAAAAAAAAUGAUAUUAGUACCAUUUGAAUCUAAAUAAAUUAGCAAUUUUCUUUAAUGAAAUACUUCAUAAAUUAAUAAUUUGAUUAAAUAAUAUAAUAAUUGAUUAGUAAAUUUUGAUGGUCCCAAAAUGUUAAUUUAUAAAAAUUUCACGGUAAUAUUAAUAAUCGAAUCUAAUCCAACUCUUAUGGCAAGAAAAAUCCAGCAACAUAAAAGCUGCAAAAACGUAAGCAAUUCCAUUAAUGUCAAAAUCAUAUACAAUUGACCAUAGAAAAGGAAUCUAAUUGAUUAAUUUCAUAAUCUAAACCCUCUAAUAUACAUAUAGAAGGAAACUAAAUUGAUUAAAGAUAUAGCACACACUUCAGUAACCGGCCAUAUUUAUAAAGAACACAGACAGGACAAUAUCGCCAGCAACCUCUCUCUCUCCCUCUCUCCCUCUCUCUCCCCUUCUCCUCUGACUCUCCACAGUGAUGGAUUCUGGGACUAGAAGAUCCUCUUGUGUCCUUUUUGCCAUCUUUAUCACAUUUUCUUGUCUUUUUUUUUCGUCCUCAUCAAAGACUCUGCAAAUCUCUACAACGAAGAAGAACGUCUGGGAGUGUACAAAAUGGCAAAAGAGUGAUUGCAACAGGUAUGAAGGAAGUUGGGUUCAAGACACUUCGUAUCCUCUCUACAAUUCAUCAGCCUGUCCUUUUAUCCGCAAGGAAUUUGACUGUCAAAAAUAUGGUCGCCCUGAUCACCUCUACCUUCAAUAUAGAUGGCAGCCUAGUGCCUGUGACUUGCCCAGGUACAUGCAUUCAUCUGCCCAUCUCUCUUUUCUGAUCUUAGACCAAGUGUUAAUUAACUAGAAGAGCUUUUAUAUUUUCAUUUUUGUAAUGAAUCCUCAUAGAAUUUCAAAAAAAAGAGCUUCUAGUUUCUCCAUGCAAUGAUGUUUUAAGGCUUUUUCUGCCUUCUUUUGAGCUGUAGUUUAUUUACAUACAAAUGGAAAAAUAUGGGUCUCCAUGUGGUUUGAUUAGGCUAGCAAGUCUUAGACCCGCUAUUAAAUUACUGAAAUUAUCAUGGUUUUGCCUCAAGACCAUAAAAUAUUAAAAAUUAAGGGCAAACAUAAAAAGUAAUCCAUAGUUAGUCUCAAUUUUGUCACCAAACAAUUUUUUUUAAUCAAUUUUACUUUUAGAUCUUAGAAACUAUCAAUUAAUUAAAGAUAUUAUUUUAUAAAGAAUUCAAUGGUUUUUGUUAGGUUAUUCUAAAUAAAAGCUCUAACUGAAAAAUCAAAAUAAUUUAAAAGUAAAAUUGAUAAAAAAAAUAGUUUAUAUACAAAAUUGAGACCAUCCUAAUAGUUUCUAAUAGUUUAGGGGGGUAUGUAUGAUGUUUGUUUAAAAUUUAAAACCAAAGAUCAACAUUUAAUUAUUUUAUUGGGACGUUGAUAGGUUGUUGCCACGGGUCAAUUUUCCCAUAACUAAAUUAUUUAGUGGUGGUGGUGUACCUCAAGAUAAGCUAAGAAAAUGAUGUCGAUAUUUGACGCAUCUCAUCAACAAACUAAUAAAAAUAAUAAUAAUAAAUUUGAACAAUUCAAGCAGCAAUGCUAAAAAAGCAUAUUGUAUUGGUCCCUCCUCCUCCUCCUCCCUCUCCUUCUUCUUCUUCUUCUAGGUCACAUCAUAUAUAAAUCUGCUGGCAGUGAUAAAAUUCUUCUGCUAACGUUUCCCCUGCAUGUAGAUCUGCUAAAAAUGCAUUUAAUCAGUUUGUGUGACCAACUUUUCGUAGCAUUGCUUGUAGGCAAAAGUGAGUCUGUACACUACGCACAAUCAAUUUGAUGAAACAAAUAUCUUAGUUGCAUAUUUUCUUGAACAUCUAGCUAAAGUAUACUUCAUAAAAAAAAAUUGAUUUGAACUAGCGGCAUGAUAUGUACAUGAUUAUUAUUAUUUUUUUUCUAAAAAUACCCUUGUCACUUUAUAGUAUAUUUGAUAAUGUAAUUCAGCUGUUUUUUAAAUUAUUUUUUACUUGAAAAAACAUUAAAUUAAUGUUUUUAGAUGCUUUUAAGUAGUUUGAUAUGUGCUUAUAUUAAAAGUAAAAAAAAUAUAAAAAAACAUUAUUUUUAUUUAUUUAUUAUUGAAAAAUACUUUAAAAAAAAUUGUUUUACAUUACCAAACAUAUAUUUAAUAUGUUGUUAUAUAAUAAUAUAUAUCUUUAAUUUGUUUUUAUAUCCCUAAUUGAGCUAAUAUUAUCCUUUAAUAUGCUUUAAGUUUCUAAUAUAUUUUUCCUGUAAGAUUUUUAGGCCAACCCAUUGGAAUUGGUUACGUGAUUUGCACUUAAAUACAUCACUUGGAAACUUAAUUAAGUGUAAACUUAUCAUUAUUAUCAUGUGCACCUCGCAUAAGUACUGAUUGUGGUGAGUUAAUUUAAAAAUCUCAUCCAAAUGAUAUAUUAUUAGAAACUUAAUAUAUAUUUAAGUCAUUAUACAAGGACAUAUGAAGCCAUUUCGGUUAAAAUAUUUUUAGAUCUUGUAGCUCAGACAAGAACAUGAUCUUUCUUUAAUCGGACAGAAGAUUUGUCUUUAUUCAGGACACCACUCGAUUGUAAAGCCAUGUAAGAAAAGUAGUUGUAAGCUUUAGUACAAAAUCUUUAUGAUUUUGGAAAGUGUUACAAGGUGAUCUGCAUUAAAUAUCAGAUAUUCUGAUGAGUUCCAUGCCGAGUUACUCUGUUCCUGAUACUGUUGCUAUUUUGGAAUGUGUAAUCCCGUCAGGUUCAAUGGUAAAGAUUUAUUGGAGAAGUUGAAGGGCAAGAAGAUAAUGUUUAUAGGGGACUCUGUUAGUCUCAACCAUUACGAGUCACUGUUAUGCUUGCUUCAUGCAGCCGUUCCUGAUGCCAGGAUCACAACGCAGACGAGUAACUCGACUAACACAGUGACAUUCGAGGUGAGUGAACUGGUCCUGGAAAGGUUACAGCCCUUGUUAUUCCAAGCAAAAUUGAGUCUACUUUUAUGUAAUUGAUGGUCUAGAACUUCUCAGGAUCAUGGUGUAUCAAUAUCGGUGUUUGAAACUCACUACUUAGUAGACAUUGAACAAGAACAAAUCGGCCGAGUAUUGAAACUUGAAUCGAUUAAGGAUGGAAACACAUGGAAGGAUAUGGAUGUUUUAGUGUUCAAUACUUGGCUUUGGUGGUACCGGAGAGGACCGAAGCAACCGUAUGAGCUCGAAAAACUUGGCAAAUGUGGAAGAUUUGUGAAUUCAAUUGAAAAGAAAUCAAGCUGAUGUAUUGUGUUUGAUUUUUCUGCUUCAAAUUUCAGAUGGGAUUAUGUUCAAGAAGGGCAGAGUAUACUUAAGGACAUGGACCGUAUGGUGGCUUUUCAGAAAGGUUUAACAACUUGGGCAAAAUGGGUCGAUUCGGAUGUUGAUACGAGUAAAACCACAGUUAUUUUUCAGGGAAUUUCUCCAUUUCAUUACCAGUAAGGCUCUCUUCAUUUUCUGAUAAGUGUUUUAAGAAUUGAUUCAUUUUUUCUUUUCAUUUGAAAUCAAUAGAUUAAUGCUUUUUUCUCACGACUUGAACGUUUUUGUCCCUGAACCAGUGGAGAGGAAUGGGACGAACCAGGAGCGACAAAUUGUGGAAAGGAGACCGAGCCAGUUAGCGGAUCAAGUUACCCUGGUGGUUCACCAUUGGCAUUGCAAGUAGUAGAAGAUGUGUUAAGUACUAUAAAGAAACCUGUUCAUUUACUUAAUAUAACAACUCUUUCACAGCUGAGAAAAGAUGGACAUCCGAGCUCUUACAAUGGCUUUAAGGGCAUGGAUUGUACUCAUUGGUGUGUUGCAGGAGUUCCAGAUACUUGGAAUGAACUUCUCUACACAGCUAUUACCAGUUAGAAGAAAAUACACAUUUUAGUUACAUAUUCUGUAGCACAGCCAUUGAAACUAGCCUGCUAGAUGUCAUCAGUCUCCUGAAAUAAUGCACACAGUAUGGAAGCAAAUUUCUUGAUAUAGACUGUCUUUUCUGUAAUUGUUUCCUGAAUAGAAGAAUAGUUUCACAUUUGAGUGUUCAUUCCUUUGUCCAUGAUGAUGAUGAGGCGAUUAUUUUAUUUGCCUUUAUCUAGUGGUGUUUGAUUAUUAUUUCAAGAAAGAAAAAAUAAAAACAAUAAAGACAUAUCUCUUUAUAUAGUGGAAUAUAAUGAUGGUAGUUUUAGAAAGUAUUUAGAGGUGUGAUAGUUAUUGUUUUACAUAAAAAUAUAUUAAAAUAAUAUUUUUUUUUAUUUUUUAAAAUUAUUUUUGAUAUUAAUACAUUCAAAUGAUUCAAAAACAUUAAAAAAAUUAAUUUUAAAUAUUUUUUUUUCAAAAUUUGAUGAAAUAAUAUAACAACUAAACAACCCCUAAUUUCAUCCUCGGAAGAAAUGAAAACUUUCCAAGAAGUGUGGUGGAAAGAAAUCAUUCUUACAAGUGGGAAAAUAGAGUUUUUUUCUUUUUUAAAAAAAAACAAACAAACUAGCACAAUGCUCAAUUGUUUUUUUUAUAAAGAAAAUAGCUUACUAAAAAAAUUAUUUAAAAAAAUAGCAUAAUUCAUUAAGUUGCAUCAACAUCAUUAACUCGACCAAAUUAAAUUUUACAGGCCGGCAAUGUCACGACGGCGGCCUUCAAAUUUUUUCCUAAUUUGUUUUUUGAAAAUGACCAAUUCGUUUGAUUUCACGUCUCUCAAUUUCAAUUGUUUUUUCCUUCAAAUACAUUUAUGCAUGUUUUAUUCCAAAAAGAACAUUAUACAAAGAGACAGUUUCAAAAUUCAAGACAAUGCCAACCCUGUCAACCCAAUUGUUAUCAAUAAAAACAUUUGUAGAAAUGUCAAGGCAAUCAAAUUAAAAAAAAAAUACAAAAUUGUACACCCACAAUUUAAAAUUUUAGCUGACGUUCACUUUUACUUAGAUAUAUAAAUACAGUAAUGGUUAUUUUUUAAAAUAUUUUUUUAUUUAAAAAUAAUAUUAUUAUUUUUUACAUCAACAUAUUUAAAUAAUAAAAAAUAAUAUAAAAAAUCUCAAGAUACUUUUUUAAGUGUAAAAAAAAUAUAGCCACGUCUCAGUGUGUACUUAGUACUCUAUUGCAGGAUUUUUUUUCUUACUGCUACUUCUUUUAAAAAAAUUGAACACUUAAAAAGAAAAACUCUGAGAAAAUGGAGGUGAAAAAAGAGAGAAGCUGGCAAAAUAGGAGAAUUUUUUUCUUAGAAGCACAGCUAUACAGGCCAACCCCCUAUUUUUUUUAUAUAUAAAAAAAAAGGAGUAAGAUUCCUCCCAUAGUAUUGGGAAUCUUGCCUCUUUUGUAUUCUGUAUAACAUCUAGUCAUCUAGUCAUCGUCUACGUGCUAUAAAUCUACAAGUAUGAACCCUCACAAGUUCAAAGUCUAGUGUAGUCUAGCCAUAACGAACACACUUGAUCACACAAUCACAAAAAUGGCUUCUCUGGUGACUUCUUCCACUCUCUUCAGGGGCGGAGCAAGAACAAAAAAUUAGGAUAGCUUAUUUGAUUAGCAAGAGUCGUUGCUGUCAACUUAUCAGGAAUCUGCAGUUUUUAUGCUUUGGUGUUUUCUUAAUUGUUAUGACUUUGCAAGAUUUGCACUGUUGUUGCUGAAAGUUAAUGAUAUUUUUCUUUCUUUCUGCUCCCUGCUCAAAGUAAUUUGGAAGAGGACAAAAGUUCUUACAGACCAAUCAAAAAGAAAGGUCAAGAUUUCCUCCAUGCAUAUAUACAAAAAGCAGCAAAGAGCAUGUACUUCUCAAAAAAAAAAAAAAAGUAGGGAGUUUAUUUCAUCACUUUGUUUAAUCCAGACCAGACUAGCAAGAUCUUAGAAUUUUUUACCCGCUAGAAUCUGAAUGGAUAUCUCAAACUGCACGAGUACAAAAUGCAUCACACUUCAAAACAAAUUGAAUACAAGUUUAUAGCACAAGCACAUAUUUAACAAAUUCUUAUAGCAAAAAUUCCCAGUCUUCGCAUCACCGUACAGCAAAUAUCCAAUUGCAUAGUAGACCAUAAUCUUGGGCCAAUUUUUCUGACAAUUGAUGAUAAGAGCAAGCCAGCUGAAGGAUCUCCAUAGAAGUCCCAGAAAAUCCUGACAGGCCAUUUGUUAAGAUGCAUGUCAAAAAGAAAUCAAUCUAAAAGAAAAUAUGAAAAAUCAAACUCUGUAAUUACUAUUUAUAACACAAAAUGAAAGCAAAAACUAUUUGUAGUACCUUCAGCGAAAGAAGAGAAUGGACACUUGUCCAGUGUUUGGUUCAGUUGAUCUUCAUUUCGGGAAAGUGAGAAAUCUUGUGCCAAUCUUCGCUCCCCUGUAUCCCUUGUACACCUUUUUUUCCAGUAAAGGACAUCUCCCGAUCACAAGAGAAGAAAGGGAGGAUGGGAGCCCCUCUUCAGGCAUGGACUGGAGCUGAGGGCAUCCAUAGAUUGUCAAUUCUCUAAGAGAGGUGAGGAGUCGAAGCACCUUGAAGUCCAGAGAUUUUAGUUUAGGGAGACUGCGUAUUGUAAGAGAUUUCAGAGUAGAGGGCAGCAGCGUCUCCUCAGGGAAGGAUUCCAGAUCAUUGUACCUACCAAAAGUGAAGUAUGAAAGAGAAGGGAGAUUUUGCAAAUCCCAUUGCAUGCGACCAGCAAUGAGUUUCUUGCAACCUAUAACAUAAAGUGUUUGUAAUUUAGAGGAAAAAACCUCAAUUGGAAAUGACUCAACUUCUGGACAACUCCCUAAUAUUUUGAAAUUCACAAGGGAAUGCAUCCUCUCAGGCAAUGACUUCAAAUUCAAGCAGAAACUAAAAUGAAGCUCUGUCAAUUUUGGUGAUCCUUCUUUUGUUAAAAGAUACUAAACUAGGGAACUUACUGAUACUAAGAAAUCCCAACUUUGGGAACAACUCUAAUGGGAAGCACUCAAUCUCAAGCCGCUGACAUUCCCAAAUCUCAAGUUUUGUUAAAGAAGGAAGGUGAGUGGACAGGGCCUUCGUUAGGCUGGGGCAUCUACGUAUGCAGAGCUCUUGCAGGAAAGAAGAGUCUCCUAUCCAAUUUGGAAAUAGCCAUAAACGGAGAGACUUUUUAAAUUUACACGUGGCUGUAGUUUUUCAAGUACUUGUUCUUGCAAAGAAUCAUUCCAGCUUAAUUCCAACUUCUUGAGAUUCUCAUUACCCUUCAAAACGACUUCCAAAGCAUCUGAAGCAUUAGUGACAUUUUGAAGACUCCUUACACAAAGUUUUCCACGCAGAUGCUGAAGCUCCCCUAACUCUUCAAUACCACACCCAUUCUGCUUUCCCACAAAAAAAUCAGUUAGUUUUCGAAGCUUUCUUGAUUCAUCUAGGAAAAUAAUUUGUAUGGAUCCUUACAUGCAUAAUAUUUCUUCCUUGAAAAAAAUGAAGGAUGGCCUGAUUGAGGAGCCAGAUCGUGGGAAGAGGAUAUGGCCUUCGAUCACAGUCAAGUUCAUUAACAGCUUAUUACUCUUGAGAAUAGUUUCAAAACCAUGAAGUUGUGCCACUUCACCACAAGCUGAUCUGCAUCGAUUGGCACUUGAAAAAGAGAAUUUAACUUUAUGAUAGCAUCAAUAUCUGUACAAGCUAUAAUGGUAGAUUACUGAUCAAAGGAAUUCAAAAGAUGAUAAUCCAACGUAUGAGAGCAGAUACAGAAGAGUUGUAAUCCACGACAUUUUUCGUGUUUGCAAAUCAAAUGUGAAUGGGAAGAGUAUUUCUAUGUGUUCAUGGAUUCCAAUCCGAGUUAAGAUACAAAAUUCCAAUAAGUAACUAAAGCCCUGAUCUAACUUGGAUAGAUCAUUGAUUCUUGUUGCCGCAUCUGCUUGGCCAUCCCUUGAGGGCUUGGCAUCUCCUCUUCUGGACAGUAGCUGAUGUUUACUGUGACCAAGGAAUAUCUCUCCUCCAAUGUUGUGAUUUUGUUUUACAAAUUUCCGGCAAGAAAGAUACGUUUGUUGUAAUCAGUAAUCUUAAGCAGUCUUCCAAGCUUGGCUUGUGCAAUGCUUUCAUUUUGACAUGGUGAGACUCGAAAUGAAUGUGCAUUUGUAAAAUUGAUCGUUCCUCUUCUCCUCAAGAAACUACAUAGAGGAAAAAAUACAGAAAAAGUGAACUCAUAAGGUAAAAGAAUAUGAUGUAAAGUGGAACUAUGGAUGGAUGGAAGUUAUGAUGAGCAGACUAUAAAAUGGAAAACAAGUUUUGGCCCCGGUACCUUCAAUGGACAUUGAAAUCUUUUUGCAACCAAGGAAAAGAAAUGAAACUGAUCUGUGUUAUUAAAUCGAGCCUUUGAAGUUCCCAUCCUUAAAAGGUAGUUCAUGAAAGGAGAAACAGGCAGAACGCUGUUACAUUAUCAGUCCAACAAUGUAGUUGUAAGAAUUCUGCUGAGGAAUAUUGACCAAAUUUGCUUAUAAAGGGUUAUUUUUUUGUCAUAUUAAAUUUUAUGGAAAUGUUGGAACUCUCAAAGACAGGGUGGAGGGAUUAGAGGCAUUCUUAGAAAGUGAAGGCAGGAGGCAGCUCACGAAGGCUCACCCUGGAAAAUACUGGCUAGUAUUUAUUUCAAUAAGAAUCAACAUAAGAGAAUCUUCAUGGCCCCUUGUCGGAAAAUCCAGUCAUAUCAGCAUCCAGAUCAUAACGCAAAAGCAACAUUCAUAGCAUCAUCUGGGGAAAGAGUUCAAAAUUCAGUUAUAUGAACACUAAUCUUAAUCAAAUAGCAAAGCGAUUCCUCAAUGAACAAAAUAAACACAGCACUACGUUAUGUAAGCAGAUAAGAUGAUCAUAGAGAGUUUUAGCAUCUCUGAAGAAAGCAAAUGGCUUUGAUGCACUGUUACCUUUAUGGCAGAAAAGGACUAUUUAGGAUAAUAGCAAGCCAUGCUGAAGUAUCACCACAGAAAAUCCUGGCAGCCCACCUAAGAAGGUAAUUGUAAUAAAAAACUUUGCCUGAAACACAAUAAUUCAGCAAUCAAGCCUGGUAGACAAGAAAAUGUCACAGUUCACCAUAUAAAAUGUUCUUUGAGCAGCACAUUCAAUUUUUAUAUAUAUAUAUAUAUAGCUGCAUAUAGGAAUACAAGAUUGAAAUACAAAGUCAAGAACAAGUACAAAAUAAUGACCCAGCAAUUUAGAUCAAGGCAGACCAAGCUUAGUAAAUGGAUCACUUGAAGUCUUGAACCUUUUGUGUGCUGAUAAGUUGUUUUAUUUCCCAUUUAUAGUUGUGAAGUAGUUCUUCAGACCGCCUAGAAACCCAACAGAUAGGCAAUGAACAAAGUGAUAAAAUCAUGUGGUAAAAGUACAUUGAUUCUUUCAAUGAGAACAAAAGAAAUUAAGGAUUGAUCUUAAGAAAAUUAAAUGCAAACAUGAUAAUACAGGAUGUUAUGUGAAUAAAAUGUUCUUUUCAUGCAUUGAGUACAAGCAAGAACAAUCAGUUGAAUUUUCUUGGGGCCAACAUUUUAGUUAUCCUAGAUUCAUAGCCGAUAUUGACACUUGUAAUUUGGAUUGAAGAACAAAAGGAUCAAAAUCCUGCUUGUAAAUUGCAGUAAAUUAAUAACAAAAUGUACUCUGAAAUAGUGAUUAAUCACUUGCUAAAAGGAAAAUAACUUUAAAAUAGCAAUACCUCAUCAAGUUGGAUUAAAUUGAUUUUCUUCCUGAUGUCAUAUAUUCUGGAUCUCUGAUGUAUUUUGGGAACUUCCUCAGCUCCCCUUCACACUCCUUUUCCAGCAAAGGACAUUGCCAGAUAGUUAGAGAAGAAAUGGAGGGGGGCAGCCCUCUUCUGGCAUGGAAACCUCCAUGCAGUUCAUAAUUAUCAACUCUCUAAGAGAGGUGAGGUGUUGAAGUCCCUUGUAGUCAAGAGAUUUGAGAUUUUUUUGUGUCCUGAUUUCAAGACGGGUAAGGCUUGAGGGCAGUAGUGUCUCCUCAGGGAAGCACUCCAAAACAUCAUUUUCUGCAAUUGAAAAUCUUGAAAGAACAUGGAGUGAUUGCAAAUCCCAUUGUGCGCGGCCUGCAAUGAGUUUGUCGCAACCCCAAAUAGCAAGUCCUUUAAGUUUGGAGGGCAAACCCCCUACUGGAAAUGACUCGAGUUUCGGACAAUGAAAUAUGGACAAUUUCUCAAGGGAAGGUAGAAGUGAAUGCAUAUUCUCGGGCAAUGACUUCAAAUUUGAACAACUCCAUAACUGAAACUCUUUCAAAUUUGGGGCAAGGGGCAUUCCUUUGCUGAAAGAUACUAAAUUAGGACAACUACCAAUAGUAAGAGAUUCUAAUUUAGGGAACAACUCUAAUGGGAAAAUCUCGAUCUCAAACUGCUCACAUGCCCUGAUAUCAAGUUUGGUUAAAGAAGGAAAGUGAGUAAAGAGGGCCUUCUUCAGGUUGGGGCAGCUUCUGAUGUAAAGCUCUUGGAGGAGAGGAAGAGAGGAGUUCCCAACCCAAUCUGGAAAUCUUGUACCUCCAUACCCAUUAAUGGUGAGAAUUUUGACAUUCACAGGAGGUUGUAGCUGCUCAAGUACCUUUUCAUGGACGAGUGGAUUAUCCAUAUCACAAUCCCAUACUAACUCCAACUUCUCAAGAUGUUCUUUACCCUUCAAAUUCGCUUCAAAAGAAUCUCGAGCAUCUGUGACAUUUUGAAGAUUCCAAAUAGAAAGAUCACCAGAUAGAUGCUGAAGCUUUCCCAACUCUUUAAUGUUAGAGCCACUUUGUUUUCCGAUAAAGAAAUCAGUUAAUUUUCGAAGCUUUGUUAGUUUCCCCAUUUGCAGUGGCAUCUCUCGCAAUUUUGUGUGUUGAAGAUCAAGAUGACGCAAGUUGAUCAAGCUUCUCAUGUUAGCUGGCAACUCAACAAGCUUAACACAAAAGUGCAAGUUCAAAAUUUCCAAAUUAUACAGACUGCACAUUGAUUCAGGGAGCCUUGUAAUCUUUGUACGAGAGAGAUCAAGAUACCGUAAAUGCUUCAAGUUGCAAAUUGAAUUAGGCAACACAGAUAUAUCAUGAAAGGGGUGCAAAGAUAGCACUCUGAGGCACUUGAGUGCAGGCAAUAAAUUACAUAUGACCUCAACUUGUUGUAUCAUGUGUUGAGGCCAACCAUUGGGACAUAGCAAGGUGCGCAGCAAUUGGGGGUUCUUGAUCGCCUUGAAUGUCUGAUAAGAGUCAUCUUUUGUUGCUCUGUAUGAUAAAUGGCGAGUCCUUUCAGUAGUCUUGCUUGAAUCAUCACCUUCUAGCCUGAAGCAAAAAUCUCCGGAUGCAAAUCUAGCUAAAUCAUUAAUGAGGUCAUGCAUUAUGAAUAAUGAUGAACUGAGACUUGAUUGCUGAAAAAAUGACCUUGCCACAAGCUCAUUGAAGUACUCAUAGCCUAUUUCUUCCAUCUCAUUAUUUCUUCUGGGUUCCACCAAAAAGCCUUCUGCCAUCCAUAAAAGGACUAUCUCCUCCCUUGUGAAUUUAUAACCCUUCGGAAUUAUCGCGCAGUAAGAAAAGCAUCGUUUUAAAUGAGAUGGGAGAUAAUGAUAACUCAGCCGCAGAGGUGACAGAAUGUUGUCAUUUGGCAAUUCCCAAAAAUUGCUCUUUAAUAUCUUCAUCCACUCAUUCAUAGCUCUUUUGGAGCACAGGAGACUCCCAAGUGUUUUUGCAGCCAAAGGCAGGCCGUUGCACUUCCUCGCUAUCUGUCUGCCAAUUAAUUCCAGCUCUGGAUGGGCAGUGAAAUUUCCACCAUCAAAUGCAUGUUUUGACAACACCAACCAACAAUCAUCGUCAGAUAACUUCUUUAUAUGAUGAGUUGAAACAGAAGAAAUGAUCGAUGCUACGUUUUCAUUGCGCGUUGUCACGAUAAUUUUACUUCCCUGUCUCACGGACAUGAAAGGUUUCAGUAAAAAUUCCCACUGAGAUUGGUUAUCGCUCCAACAUCGUCUAGAACAAGCGAUAGUUUGUUCCCUGACAAUUUCUUCUCUAGCUCGCAAUGGAGUUGAUCUUCAGUCAUGUUGUCACAGUUCAUCGAACCAACCCCCUUCAGAAUAUCUUUUGUUACUUUGAGAACAUCGAAUUCUUCCGAAACAUAAACCCAGGCUUUGAGAUCAAACGAGCUCUUCUGGCUUCUGUCGUUGGAAACAACAAUUUCUUUAUAGAGAAGCUGAGCAAGGGUGGUUUUACCAACCCCUCCCAUACCCACUAUCGAAAUCACAUCUAGGUGCCUGCCUUUUGUAUCAUCUGAUAGCAGCAACUUCAUUAUGGCUUCUUUUUCAGCAUCCCUUCCAUAAACUCCAGAUUCAUCUACCAGAGAAGAAGUGGUGUUAUCCGCGACGAUGGUUUCUCCCCAAUGCGCUCUAUCAGACCAAGAACAUCCUUUUGUCCCACCAACUCUUCUAAACUUCGAAGGAUCUUUGCCAACUCUAUUUGCACCUUCUCACCCCUUUCUACAUGGAUUAAGAGAAGCGAGAAAACUUCGAAGCUGAUCCGUGCAGGUCUGACUUCGAGAUUCACCUUCCAACUUCAACCGCAAAACUUUAUAAGCAAUCUCAUCCAAGAAGUCAUCAGCUUGAUAGACAGCAUCCUUAAGCUCAUCAAGCCACUCUUUCACAGCUGCAUCAGUAAUCUGCUUCUCCUCUGCAUCAUUGAGCAGUUUACUAACAGACCUCAUCCUUGCCUUCAACUUCUUCAAUUCUUCAUCAUCGAUUUUUUGGCUCUUGAAGAAGUCCCUAACCGCAGGAGAAACUAUCCUCUCCAUCAAAACUUCAAGGACUGCAGCAAGAAUUGAUUCUCCAAUCAAUGCGAGAGCCAUUUCCCCUGUUCACAAAUCUUUACAAAUAAUAAAUAUUCAGCAAAGCCAAAUGAACCAGAAAGAACAAGUACACAAGAUUAUGCAGCAGGCAUUCGAAUCAAGACAUCAAUCAACUCAAUCUUUUCAUUAAAAUUAUUAACUUCAUGAUAUUUCAUUAAAUAACUCAUCAAAAUAAAAAGAUUAAGGCUAUGUAACAUCAAUUCACAUAAUUCAUACUUCCAAAAAAUCAAAUAUCCUAAAGAACCAAAAAAAUAAAUUGAAAUACCCCAAACCCAGAACACGAAAAUCCUUAUUAUGGGUUCUUUAAUAUAUACAUAGCUGCAGAAAAGAAAGCAAAAUUGGGAUGAAAAAAAUUCAAGAACAAGGAGAAAAGAUUGAGCCAACAAAGGAAGUCAAGGAAACAGAGCUUACUUGAGCCGACAGCAUGCAGCAGUAUUUACUAUUUAGGUGAAAAUGAAGGAAAAUUCCAAGGAUGAGUGAUGAAAGGAAUUCUGAUUUAAUAAAGUAAAGUCAGUUGUGUGACGCAGAGAUUAUACAUUUUCGGACAUGAAAGCAGAAAAAGUUGACAAUAACGGUCGAUGUCAGUUUCUGAAGCUGUAUGCCAGCCAAAAGAUAUAGAGAAGAAAAGGUCAAUCAUCCCUGUACUUUUUGAAAUGUUUUGGUUGGGUCCCUCUACUGUUCUGUGGUUUAAUUUAGUCCUUGUAUAUUAUGUAAUAUCUGUGAUUUGGUCCUCUGUAAAAGUUUACCUUUGUAUUGUAUUUGGGAAAAAAACAGGGAGGAAUGAAAAUGAGAAAAUAAAAGUGCGAGGAAGGAAAAUAUUAGAAAAGAAAAUGAUUUUCCUCACUGAGUUUGGAAGGGGUAAAUUUGGAAGGAAGGAAAAUGGAGGGGUUUUGUAAAAUUACAAUUUUAUCCUUUCACUUUUUUUCUUUUGGUCUAGAAAGUUUUGCGAAAAUCUUUAAAUAAGAAAAUUGUGAUUUGAAUGGGAGUAACUUUAUGAUAAAAGAAGAGAGAGAAGAAAAGAGUCGUUUCAUAUUGUCGCACGUGUGCGGCGAAAAAAUUACAAUGUUUUUCCAUUUUCUUAUCUACAAUGUAAAUCUAUCUAUAUCUAUUUGGCAAAUAUGGGGAGACAAGAAAUUCUUGUCGUUUAUUGGUGGAAAAUGGAAUGGGAGUCGCCACCUAGUAUUUUGGUCACUAGUAACCCUAACUGGUCUCAGAGAUCGGAUACGAGGACUGGUUGCGUAAAUGGAAGGUAUUAGCACCCCAAUUACGCCCUACCUAAGGUAAGCUGCAUUGUUUUAUUGUCUGAUAAAAUCUAAGGUCUUUUCGUGUUUUCCUAGUUGUUGGUAUGGUUCAAGAAAAAUCCUCCUCGGUAAGGAGAUCAUUAUCUUAAUGGGUAAUUCUGACGUUAACAAAAGAAUUUAAUAUUCAAAAUAUGUCUUACGUAUAAGAUCUUAAUCCCAAAUACUAAAAGAAAACACAAUAAUUUUUUUUGGAAUUUUUGAAAUAUUGGCCCAGUUCUCAUGGCUUAAAUAAACUGGUUAUUAAAGCCAAAAUGCAUGCUAAUACAUAUAUUGUUUUGAAAUUUCCUUUGUUGUGUGAAAAUAUGAUGUUAUAAUAUUUAUAUAUAUAUAUAUAUAUAUUGGAGAGACUAGGCCGUAUGCAUGAAAACAAACAUUUUUUUUCUUAUAAACAUUUUUCUUGACGAAAACCGGGUAUUUUAAUACCGGAUUUGUAUCUUUAUAGUAUAAAAUACAAACCGAUAUUGAUCAAAAUACAGUAAUAAAAUUACAGAAAAAUCACAAAUUCUUUGAAAUAAUUUUUGAAGAAUUCUUAUUUUUUUAUUUUUAUGGGUUGGACCCAACUGGGCCGACGUGGCUGGGCUGAACCCAGCAGGCCCCACGUGAAUUAUAUUUCACAUGAACAGUGAAAUAACAUUUCACGUGAAUUAUAUUUGAUGCGAACGGUGAAAUAGCAUUUCACUGUUCACGUUAAUUAUAUUUGGUAUGAAUAGUAUUUCAUUGUUCACGUGAAUUAUAUUUGAUGUGAACAGUGAAAUAGCAUUCACUUGAACAGUGAAAUGCGAGGAAAUGGCGCAUGGGGCAAACCUGGUGGCGGAAACGAUGUUGAAGACGAUGGCGAACACUCCCAGUGAUGCUGGUGGCGGUGGAGAGACAGGCGGCGAGGUCUCCCGGUGGUGCUGAUGGUGGCAGUGGCUGGGAAGCGCAAUGGCAUCAACUAUUUUCUGCAGCAUUUCUUCUCCUUUAUGCAGAUGCACGUACCUCUGUUUUCCUUCCUCCUUUUUGCUUCUGCCUGGUUCUUCUCCUCUUGAUCUCGGGUGUUUCCUUCUGUCAGCUGUUCAUCCUUCUCUGUGUACAUUGGUUUCCCCUCUCGGUCGUCCCCUCACUGUCUCAUUGUUUUGUUUCCUCCUCCCUUUCUGUCUGUUCUCCUUUCUUUCCCCUCUCUCUCCUCCCUUUGGGUCCUCUCUUUUCUAUUCUCUUCGUGCUCCUCCUCUCAUUCAAAACUUCCUUCUCCUUUAAAAUUUUCCUCCAUCGAGCCCCUCUCUCUCUAAAAAAUCCCCCUUGCUGCUGGUGUUGAGAGCAAUAUUUAUAGGCUAGAAGGGAGCGGGCUGCUGCGGCUGGUCGGCCAUUGGGCGCGACAGCAAGGCGCCGCUCCCUUGAUUUCGGCAGGGCGCGCGGCGGGUUUAAGUUUUGGGAGCAGCAUGCAGUCAUUGGUGUGGGGCUCUAGCAGCAUGCGAGAAGAGGAACAGUGUCAAAACGACACUGUUUGUUUUUUUUUUAAUUUUUAUUUAUUUAUUUAUUUAUUUUUAUUUUUAUUUUUAUUAUUAUUAUUAUUAUAUUUUUUUCUUUAUUUUGUUAAAAUUUUAUUUUUUGUGGGGACCCGAAAAUGGGUUACAACAGAUGCCCCCUCUUUAUAAUGCUUACGGAGCAGGGGUUUUGCGCUGUAAGUUUUAUAAAGAUAAACCAAAAAUGAACUCCUGAAACUGAUCUUGUCGAAGCUUGAUCGAAGCUGGAUUGAUCUGAAACUUUGUCUUUAUAGCAAACCUCCACAACCUAGAAAACUAUGAUACAAAUUUAGUCAUCUUGAGAUCCCUUCUGGCGAUCUCUUUAAACCAAAAUCUAUAAUUGUAGCUUACUCAACUGGGAAUCCCAUCUAGCGAUUCCCUUUUACCAAAAUGAAAUAUGAGGUCCCUUAUGGCGACCUCUUUUGACCAAUAUCAAAAUACGAGAUCCCUUCUAGCGAUCUCCUUUAAUAAAAAAAUCUUGGAAUCCCAUCUGGCGAUUCCUUUUAACCAAACAUGAAAUAUGAGGUCCCUUCUAGCGACCUCCUUUGACCAAUAUCGAAAUACGAGUCCCUUCUGGCGACCUCCUUUGACCAAUAUCGAAAUUCAAGAUCCCUUCUGGCAAUCUCCUUUAAUCAACUUGGAAUCCCAUCUGGCGAUUCCUUUUAACCACAUGAAAUAUGAGGUCCCAUCUGGCGACCUCCCUUGACAAAUAGCGAAAUACGAGAUCCCUUCUGGCGAUCUCUUUUAUUCAACCUGGAAUCUCAUCUAGCGAUUCCUUUUAACCAACAUGAAAUAUGAGGUCCCAUCUGGCGACCUCUUUUGACAAAUAGCGAAAUACGAGAUCCCUUCUGGCGAUCUCUUUUAUUCAACUUGGAAUCCCAUCUGGCGAUUCCUUUUAACCAAACAUGAAAUAUGAGGUCCCUUCUGGCGACCUCCUUUGACCAAUAUUGAAAUACAAGAUCCCUUCUGGCGAUCUCCUUUAAUCAACUUGGAAUCCCAUUUGACGAUUCCUUUUAACCAACAUGAAAUAUGAGGUCCCAUCUGGCGACCUCUUUUGACCAAUAUCGAAAUACGAGAUCCCUUCUGGCGAUCUCCUUUAAUCAACUUGGAAUCCCAUCUGGCGAUUCCUUUUAACCACAUGAAAUAUGAGGUCCCGUCUGGCGACCUCCCUUGACAAAUAGCGAAAUACGAGAUCCCUUCUGGCGAUCUCCUUUAAUUAACUUGGAAUUCGAUCUGGCGAUUCCUUUUAACCAACAUGAAAUAUAAGGUCCCAUCUAGCGACCUCUCUUAACAAAUAGCGAAAUACGAGAUCCCUUCUGGCGAUCUCUUUUAUUCAACUUGGAAUCCCAUCUAGCAAUUCCUUUUAACCAACAUGAAAUAUGAGGUCCCAUCUGGCGACCUCCCUUGACAAAUAGCGAAAUACGAGAUCCCUUCUGGCGAUCUCCUUUAUUCAACUUGGAAUCCCAUCUGGCGAUUCCUUUUAAACACAAUGAAAUAUGAGGUCCCAUUUGGCGACCUCUUUUGACCAAUAUCGAAAUACAAGAUCCCUUCUGGCGAUCUCCUUUAAUCAACUUGGAAUCCUAUUUGGCGAUUCCUUUUAACCAACAUGAAAUAUGAGGUCCCAUCUGGCAACCUUUUUUGACCAAAUACGAGAUCCCUUCUGGCAAUCUCCUUUAAUCAACUUGGAACCCCAUCUGGCAAUUCCUUUUAACCAACAUGAAAUAUGAGGUCCCAUCUGGUGACCUCUUUUAACCAAUAUCGAAAUACGAGAUCCCUUCUUGCGAUCUCUUUUAACAAACAAUCUUGGAAUCCCAUCUAGCGAUUCCUUUUAACCAAAGCUGAAAUAUGAGGUCCCUUCUGGCGACCUCCAUUGAUGAAUAUCGAAAUACAAGAUCCCUUCUGGUGAUCUCCUUUAACAAACAAUCUGGGAAUCCCAUCUGGCGAUUUCUUUUAACCAAAGCUGAAAUAUGAGGUCCCUUCUAGCGACCUCCAUUGAUGAAUAUCGAAAUACGAGAUCCUUUAUGGCGAUCUCCUUUAACAAACAAUCUUGGAAUCCCAUCCGACGACUCCUUUUAACCAAAGCUGAAAAUAUGAGAUCUCUUCUGGCGAUCUCCUUUAAAAAACCAAAAAAAUCUAUUUUGUAAAUCGGUCAACCUGGAAUCCCAUCUGGCGAUUCCCUUUUACCAAAGCUGAUAUCGAUGUCGUUCUUCCUGAUGGUAGGGUUUGAAACUUUCAUUUUCUCUUUAGGCUCUUCUCGUUGUUCUAGAAUCAAAACCGUGAUUCUUUGAUAUCAUCAACUCAAUGAUUCUUUCUUCGUUCACAAUCUUGUUGGAAUGCACUAAGGACUCCUCCUGUAACGAUCCAAAAAAAACAUACAUGCAAUGAUUUAUGAUUAGAUGUAAUGCAUGCAUUCGUACCUGAUUUUGAAACAUAGGCCCCAUCAUCUUCCAUGAAACUCUCUCUUGACAUGAGCUUGCUUUUGAAGUCGUAUGCUGGAUUCAUUUCUCGUGUUGCCUCUUUUUACCUAUCAUAUCUUGGAGAAGAAGUCUUCGACUUUUUAGAAGUAGCCCCUUUUUUCUCAAAAUGUAUGACUUGUCAUUGCCUCUUUGUCAUACUUUUGUCAAAUGCUUUAUCUUUUCAAAUCUACGAGCUCUCAUCCCGUUUUGAAAAUACAUAAAACUUUUCAUGAAAUAUCUUUUAUUGCCCCCAGUGUGGAGUGUGAUCCUAGUCCGGGUUUUUAUAAAAAAGAAAUUCAUUCUCGCUCAAAUGGGAUCACCAACGAUAAACUCUUUAGAAAGUGAAAGGAUAAUGAAUUUUUCUUAUUUCAAAAUGCACAUUGUUAGGAUUGAUAAACUUUAUUUUUAUCUUGAAAGAAAUUUACAGGUGAUUAUAGAGUGACCACUUGAUCAUUUAUCCAUGCAAUUCAUUAUGCUAUCCAGACGUAGGGUUGUACUUUAGGGUUAACUUUUCUUAAAUUUCAUUUUUUUAACCAUUUUAUGAUACCUUCCUUGUAACCACUCAACCUUGUUUUUUAAAAAAUGCAUAAUUUCAUCAUUUAUUUAAAGAAAAGGUGGGCUCAAAGACAAACAUAAAAUCUGGCUAACAUCAUGAGCCUUGAUUGUUAACUAGAGAAAAUAAAAGCAAUGACAAAAGCAUGCUAAGACAAAUAAAGUCGAUUAACAUUUUGAAAACUACAGGAACUUCUUGGGUCACCCCGUUCUAAAACUUCUCUACUUGCAUGAAAAGGUCUUGGCGGAGACUUCUAGUGAGUGGACAAUCAAUCGUGGCAGUGUUUUAUCUCCUUCAAUCUCAUCUUCUUAGUUAUUGACAAAUCUUGACCAAGGUUUUCCAACCCUUUAUCCACUAUUAUUCGUGUCACAACUAGGAAAUGGUUUUGAAUUGAUUUUGGGUGGGUCUUUAAAUGACACCCAUCCUAUCUUGAUGAGCUCCAACAACCUUUUCUUGAAAGCAUAGCAUGUUUCAAGACCAUGCCCAGUAAUACCAGCAUGGUACUCGCAAGUCAACUCGGGCUUGUACCAGAUGGGGAAUGGUGGCUGUAGUGGUAAUGUAGGGAUAGGAGCUAUUUGUCCAAUGCUCAGUAGUUUGACAUACAUGUCCUUCAAAGGCAUGGGUAAUGGCGGUAGUUGUUUUGAAAUGUAUCUUGUGUUUGAAUUUUGGUGGUUGUUUUGUUUGUUUGACUGGUUAUUUGCUCAAUUAGGGGAAAAAGGUUGGUUAAAGUUUAUGUGGGCAACAUGAGAGGUAGGUAUUUGUGGGUUAUAUGAAUCCGUUAUCUUUUCAUUGGACCCACCUUCAAAGUUGUUAGUGUGACCUUCCAUUUUUCUUCCAAUAAAACCCUUCGUCUGCAAUGGCUCAACUAUGCGUCCAGCUUUAAUUCUUUGCUCUAUUCUUUCCGCUAUGCGUACAACAUCAUAGAAAUGCUGAGCUGAGCUACCCAUUAAAUGCUCAUAAUAUGGUGCCUUGAAGGUGUUGGCAAACAAAGUCACCAUCUCUCUUUCUAUUAAAGGGGGUUGGACAUGCAUUGCCUCAUCCCUCCACCUUUGCGCAUAUGCCUUUAUUGACUCUUGGCUUCUUUUCUCCAUUGACAUUAGACUUGUUCGAUCCGGAGCGAUUUCCAGGUUAAAUUUGUACUGCUUAAGGAAAGCUUCCACCAAGUCUCUCCAGCUCUUGAUCCUGACACUAUCUAACCUUAUGUACUAACUCAAAGCGGAUCCUGCGAGGCUAUCUUGAAAAAAAAAAAUUAACAGUUUAUCAUCGCGGAUUACUUCUGCCAUUUUAUUACAGUAGGAUCGAAGGUGAGUGUUUGGGCAUUCCAAACCGGUGUACUUGAUGAAUUCUGGUAUCUUAAAAUCUUUUGGCACCACGAUGUUUGGUACCAGACAUACUUCAGCUGCUCGCAUAGGGUCAAACCAGUCAUUACCUUCAACUGCCCUUAAUCUUUCUUCCAAGGCAAACAACUUGUCCUGGUCCAUUAAAUUGGGAGACCUAUUAUCUGGGAUUCCUUUCGCUGUUAAGUCAACAGUAAUUGGAGCAUGAGUUGGUUGGAUAGAGGUGAUAGGCACAAAAUGUUGUUCAUUGGCCGAGUUUGCCCCCUGGUUUUGAGAUGCUUGAGGGAUGUGAGCUGUUGGCGCUCCUUCGGGUGGUUGUGCUGAUGUUCCCUCCCUAUUCUUAGCUCUUAGUAGUUGUUCGAGUAGGUCAGUCAGCCGAGCGACCUUGUUUUUUACGGAUUCCAACUCGAUCUGAUAAUAUGACUCUAAGUGAGCUCUUCCUUCAUUCUCCAUCCUUGAUUUAGACCGGGUGUGGUGGACUUUGGAUGUAGGACCUAUGUUUCACGAUCUGAAAUGCAUAUGAUAAUGUAAAAAUAAAAUGUGUGAUGAAGAUGUGAUGCACAAGUGCUACGCGAUGAGUUUAACAUUAUUAAUCUUAAUGCAAAUAAGAUACAUAACCUAAGGACAAACUCUAUUUAUUAAGUAGUUUUUCAAGUACUUGUUCUUGCAAAGAAUCAUUCCAGCUUAAUUCCAACUUCUUGAGAUGCUCAUUACCCUUCAAAACGACUUCCAAAGCAUCUGAAGCAUCGGUGACAUUUUGAAGAUUCCUUACACAAAGUUUUCCACGCAUAUGCUGAAGCUCCCCUAACUCUUCAAUACCACACCCAUUCUGCUUUCCCACAACAAAAAUCAGUUAGUUUUCGAAGCUUUCUUGAUUCAUCUAGGAAAAUAAUUUGUAUGGAUCCUUACAUGCAUAAUAUUUCUUCCUUGAAAAAAAUGAAGGAUGGCCUGAUUGAGGAGCCAGAUCGUGGGAAGAGGAUAUGGCCUUAGAUCACAGUCAAGUUCAUUAACAGCUUAUUACUCUUGAGAAUAGUUUCAAAACCAUGAAGUUGUGCCACUUCACCACAAGCUGAUCAGCGUCGAUUGGCACUUGAAAAAGAGAAUUUAAUUUUAUGAUAGCAUCAAUAUCUGUACAAGCUAUAAUGGUAGAUUACUGAUAAAAGGAAUUCAAAAGAUGAUAAUCCAACGUAUGAGGGCAGAUACAUAAGAGUUGUAAUCCACGACAUUUUUCGUGUUUGCAAAUCAAAUGUGAAUGGGAAGAGUAUUUCUAUGUGUUCAUGGAUUCCAAUCCGAGUUAAGAUACAAAAUUCCAAUAAGUAACUAAAGCCCUGGUCUAACUUGGAUAGAUCAUUGAUUCUUGUUGCCGCAUCUGCUUGGCCAUCCCUUGAGGGCUUGGCAUCUCCUCUUCUGGACAGUAGCUGAUGUUUGCUGUGACCAAGGAAUAUCUCUCCUCCAAGUGUUGAGAUUUGUUUUUACAAAUUUCCGGCGAGAAACAGAAGUUUGCUGUAAUCAGUAAUCUUAAGCAGUCUUCCAAGCUUGGCUUGUGCAAUGCUUUCAUUUUGACAUGGUGAGACUCGAAAUGAAUGUGCAUUUGUAAAAUUGAUCGUUCCUCUUCUCCUCAAGAAACUACAUAGAGGAAAAAAUACAGAAAAAGUGAACUCAUAAGGUAAAAGAAUAUGAUGUAAAGUGGAACUAUGGAUGGAUGGAAGUUAUGAUGAGCAGACUAUAAAAUGGAAAACAAGUUUUGGCCCCUAUACCUUCCAAUGGACAUUGAAAUCUUUUUGCAACCAAGGAAAAGAAAUGAAAUAGUUGUAAGAAUUCUGCUGAGGAAUAUUGACCAAAUUUGCUUAUAAAGGGUUAUUUUUUUUGUCAUACUAAGUUCUAUGGACAUGUUGGAACUCUCAAAGACAGGGUGGAGGGAUUAGAGGCAUUCUUAGAAAGUGAAGGCAGGAGGCAGCUCACGAAGGCUUACCCUGGAAAAUACUGGCUAGUAUUUAUUUCAAUAAGAAUCAACAUAAGAGAAUCUUCAUAGCCCCUUAUCGGAAAAUCCAGUCAUAUCAGCAUCCAGAUCAUAACGCAAAAGCAACAUUCAUAGCAUCAUCUGGGGAAAGAGUUCAAAAUUCAGUUAUAUGAACGCUAAUCUUAAUCAAAUAGCAAAGCGAUUCCUCAAUGAACAAAAUAAACACAGUUCUACGUUAUAUAAGCAGAUAAGAUGAUCAUAGAGAGUUUUAGCAUCUCUGAAGAAAGCAAAUGGCUUUGAUGCACUGUUACCUUUAUGGCAGAAAAAGGACUAUUUAGGAUAAUAGCAAGCCAUGCUGAAGGAUCACCACAGAAAAUCCUGGCAGCCCACCUAAGAAGGUAAAUGUAAUAAAAAAAUUUGUCUGAAACACAAUAAUUCAGCAAUCAAGCCUGGUAGACAAGGAAAUGUCACAGUUCACCAUAUAAAAUGUUCUUUGAGCAGCACAUUCAAUUUUAUAUAUAUAUAUAUAUAUAUAGCUGCAUAUAGGAAUACAAGAUUGAAAUACAAAGUCAAGAACAAGAACAAAAUAAUGACCCAGCAAUUUAGAUCAAGGCAGACCAAGCUUACUUGAGCAGAGACAGUUUGCACUAUUAGACAGCUAGGAAAAUUCCAACGAUGCGCACAAGGGUCCCUGCUUUCCUCAAAUACACUCGAUUUGAAGUUCAAAAGGAAUAGUUUCACAUUUGAAAGUAUGAAAGCAUACGCAAGCUUCCUUCUCCUCGUUGCUCUUUUGGACCAGAACCCCUUCCGAGACAUGCCAAGCUUUGCAAAAUUAAAAGUAUAUAUGCAAGUCCUUCUGGAAGGUACUUGCGAAGAUAGUACCCAACAGAAUAGAAAAUAACCCUAGUCGUCUGUAGAUGCAAUAUAUCAGAAUAAACUAAGUAGAGAUCAGCGAAACUCUUGAACCAAAUCAGAGAGUUCUGAAAAUACUUUGAGUUUCAACGUUUGAUGCUUAAAUCAAUGCAAGGAUACAGAACAACGGAUGAUGAUAACAACAUCAAGAAAAAUGGAUGGCUAUGCAAAGCGGAGUACAUGGACCACUUGAACCUUUUGUGUGCUGAUAAGUUGUUUUAUUUCCCAUUUAUAGUUGUGAAGUAGUUCCUCAGACUGCCUAGAAACCCAACAGAUAGGCAAUGAACAAAGUGAUAAAAUCAUUUGUGGUAAAAGUAAAUUGAUUCUCUCAAUGACAACAAAAGCAAUUAAGGAUUGAUCUUAAGAAAAUUAAAUGCAAACAUGAUAAUACAGGAUGUUAUGUGAAUAAUAUGUUCUUUUCAUGCAUUUAGUACAAGCAAUAACAAUCAGUUGAAUUUUCUUGGGGCCAACAUUUUAGUUAUCCUAGAUUCAUAGCCGAUAUUGACACUUGUAAUUUGGAUUGAAGAACAAAAGGAUCAAAUUCCUGCUUGUAAUUUGCUUUAAAAUAAUAACAAAAUGUACUCUGAAAUAGUGAUUGAUCACUUGCUAAAAGGAAAAUAACUUGAAAAUAGCAGUACCUUGUCAAGUUGGAUUAAAUUGAUUUUCUUCCUGAUGUCAUAUAUUCUGGAUCUCUGAUGUAUUUUGGGAACUUCCUCAGCUCCCCUUCACACUCCUUUUCCAGCAAAGGACAUUGCCAGAUAGUUAGAGAAGAAAUGGAGGGGGGCAGCCCCUCUACUGGCAUGGAAACCUCCAUGCAGUUCAUAAUUAUCAACUCUCUAAGAGAGGUGAGGUGUUGAAGUCCCUUGUAGUUAAGAGAUUUCAGAUUUUUAUGUGUCCUGAUUUCAAGAUGGGUAAGGCUUGAGGGCAGUAGCGUCUCCUCAGGGAAGCACUCCAAAACAUCAUUGUCUGCAAUUGAAAAUCUUGAAAGAACAUGGAGUGAUUGCAAAUCCCAUUGUGCGCGGCCUGCAACGAGUUUGUCGCAACCCCAAAUAGCAAGUCCUUUAAGUUUGGAGGGCAAACCCCCUACUGGAAAUGACUCGAGUUUCGGACAAUGAAAUAUGGACAAUUUCUCAAGGGAAGGUAGAAGUGAAUGCAUAUUCUCCGGCAAUGACUUCAAAUUUGAACAACUCCAUAACUGAAACUCUUUCAAAUUUGGGGCAAGGGGCAUUCCUUUGCUGAAAGAUACUAAAUUAGGACAACUACCAAUCGUAAGAGAUUCUAAUUUAGGGAACAACUCUAAUGGGAAAAACUCGAUCUCAAACUGCUCACAUGCCCUGAUAUCAAGUUUGGUUAAAGAAGGAAAGUGAGUAAAGAGGGCCUUCUUCAGGUUGGGGCAGCUUCUGAUGUAAAGCUCUUGGAGGAGAGGAAGAGAGGAGUUCCCAACCCAAUCUGGAAAUCUUGUACCUCCAUACCCAUUAAUGGUGAGAAUUUUGACAUUCACAGGAGGUUGUAGCUGCUCAAGUACCCUUUCAUGGACGAGUGGAUUAUCCAUAUCACAAUCCCAUACUAACUCCAACUUCUCAAGAUGUUCUUUACCCUUCAAAUUCGCUUCAAAAGAAUCUCGAGCAUCUGUGACAUUUUGAAGAUUCCAAAUAGAAAGAUCACCAGAUAGAUGCUGAAGCUUUCCCAACACUUUAAUGUUAGAGCCACUUUGUUUUCCGAUAAAGAAAUCAGUUAAUUUUCGAAGCUUUGUUAGUUUACCCAUUUGCAGUGGCAUCUCUCGCAAUUUUGUGUGUUGAAGAUCAAGAUGACGCAAGUUGAUCAAGCUUCUCAUGUUAACUGGCAACUCAACAAGCUUAACACAAAAGUGCAAGUUCAAAAUUUCCAAAUUAUACAGACUGCACAUUGAUUCAGGGAGCCUUGUAAUCUUUGUACGAGAGAGAUCAAGAUACCGUAAAUGCUUCAAGUUGCAAAUUGAAUUAGGCAACACAGAUAUAUCAUGAAAGGGGUGCAAAGAUAGCACUCUGAGGCACUUGAGUGCAGGCAAUAAAUUACAUAUGACCUCAACUUGUUGUAUCAUGUGUUGAGGCCAACCACUGGGACAUAGCAAGGUGCGCAGCAAUUGGGGGUUCUUGAUCGCCUUGAAUGUCUGAUAAGAGUCAUCUUUUGUUGCUCUGUAUGAUAAAUGGCGAGUCCUUUCAGUAGUCUUGCUUGAAUCAUCACCUUCUAGCCUGAAGCAAAAAUCUCCGGAUGCAAAUCUAGCUAAAUCAUUAAUGAGGUCAUGCAUUACGAAUAAUGAUGAACUGAGACUUGAUUGCUGAAAAAAUGACCUUGCCACAAGCUCAUUGAAGUACUCAUAGCCUAUUUCUUCCAUCUCAUUAUUUCUUCUGGGUUCCACCAAAAAGCCUUCUGCCAUCCAUAAAAGGACUAUCUCCUCCCUUGUGAAUUUAUAACCCUUCGGAAUUAUCGCGCAGUAAGAAAAGCAUCGUUUUAAAUGAGAUGGGAGAUAAUGAUAACUCAGCCGCAGAGGUGACAGAAUGUUGUCAUUUGGCAAUUCCCAAAAAUUGCUCUUUAAUAUCUUCAUCCACUCAUUCAUAGCUCUUUUGGAGCACAGGAGACUCCCAAGUGUUUUUGCAGCCAAAGGCAGGCCGUUGCACUUCCUCGCUAUCUGUCUGCCAAUUAAUUCCAGCUCUGGAUGGGCAGUGAAAUUUCCACCAUCAAAUGCAUGUUUUGACAACACCAACCAACAAUCAUCGUCAGAUAACUUCUUUAUAUGAUGAGUUGAAACAGAAGAAAUGAUCGAUGCUACGUUUUCAUUGCGCGUUGUCACGAUAAUUUUACUUCCCUGUCUCACGGACAUGAAAGGUUUCAGUAAAAAUUCCCACUGAGAUUGGUUAUCGCUCCAAACAUCGUCUAGAACAAGCGAUAGUUUGUUCCCUGACAAUUUCUUCUCUAGCUCGCAAUGGAGUUGAUCUUCAGUCAUGUUGUCACAGUUCAUCGAACCAACCCCCUUCAGAAUAUCUUUUGUUACUUUGAGAACAUCGAAUUCUUCCGAAACAUAAACCCAGGCUUUGAGAUCAAACGAGCUCUUCUGGCUUCUGUCGUUGGAAACAACAAUUUCUUUAUAGAGAAGCUGAGCAAGGGUGGUUUUACCAACCCCUCCCAUACCCACUAUCGAAAUCACAUCUAGGUGCCUGCCUUUUGUAUCAUCUGAUAGCAGCAACUUCAUUAUGGCUUCUUUUUCAGCAUCCCUUCCAUAAACUCCAGAUUCAUCUACCAGAGAAGAAGUCGGUGUUAUCCGCGACGAUGGUUUCUCCCCAAUGCGCUCUAUCAGACCAAGAACAUCCUUUUGUCCCACCAACUCUUCUAAACUUCGAAGGAUCUUUGCCAACUCUAUUUGCACCUCUCUCACUCCCUUUCUACAUGGAUUAAGAGAAGCGAGAAAACUUCGAAGCUGAUCCGUGCAGGUCUGACUUCGAGAUUCACCUUCCAACUUCAACCGCAAAACUUUAUAAGCAAUCUCAUCCAAGAAGUCAUCAGCUUGAUAGACAGCAUCCUUAAGCUCAUCAAGCCACUCUUUCACAGCUGCAUCAGUGAUCUGCUUCUCCUCUGCGUCAUUGAGCAGUUUACUAACAGACCUCAUCCUUGCCUUCAACUUCUUCAAUUCUUCAUCAUCGAUUUUUUGGCUCUUGAAGAAAUCCCUAACCGCAGGAGAAACUAUCCUCUCCAUCAAAACUUCAAGGACUGCAGCAAGAAUUGAUUCUCCAAUCACUGCGAGAGCCAUUUCCCCUGUUCACAAAUCUUUACAAAUAAUAAAUAUUCAGCGAAGCCAAAUGAACCAGAAAGAACAAGUGCACAAGAUUAUGCAGCAGGCAUUCGAAUCAAGACAUCAAUCAACUCAAUCCUUAUUUUCAUUAAAAUUAUUCAACUUCAUGAUAUUUCGUUAAAUAACUCAUCAAAAUAAAAAGAUUAAGGCUAUGUAACAUCAAUUCACAUAAUUCAUACUUCCAAAAAAUCAAAUAUCCUAAAGAACCAAAAAAAUAAAUUGAAAUACCCCAAACCCAGAACACGAAAAUCCUUAUUAUUAAUAUAUACAUAGCUGCAGAAAAGAAAGAAAAAUUGGGAUGAAAAAAAUUCAAGAACAAGGAGAAAAGAUUGAGCCAAUAAAGGAAGUCAAGGAAACAGAGCUUAUUUUUUUUCUUUUUUUCUUUUUACAGAGCUUACUUGAGCCGACAGCAUGCAGCAGUAUUUAGGUGACAAUGAAAGAAAAUUCCAAGGAUGAGUGAUGAAACGAAUUCUGAUUUAAUCAAGUCAAGUCAGUUGGUGUGAAGCUCAGAGAUUAGGCAAUUUCGGACAUGAAAGCAGAAAAAGAUGACAAUAACGGUCGAUGUCAGUUUCUGUAGCUGUAUGCCAGCCAAAAGAUAUAGAGAAGAAAAGGUCAAUCAUCCCUGUACUUUUUGAAAUGUUUUGGUUGGGUCCCUCUACUGUUCUGUGGUUUAAUUUAGUCCUUGUAUAUUAUGUAAUAUCUGUGAUUUGGUCCUUCUGUAAAAGUUUACCUUUGUAUUGUAUCUGGAAAAAAAACAGGGAGGAAUGAAAAUGAGAAGAAUAAAAGUGCGAGGAAGGAAAAUAUUAGAAAAGAAAAUGAUUUUCCUCACUGAGUUUGGAAGGGGUAAAUUUGGAAGGAAGGAAAAUGGAGGGGUUUUGUAAAAUUACAAUUUUACCCUUUCACUUUUUUUCUUUUGGUCUAGAAAGUUUUGCGAAAUUCUUUAAAUAAGAAAAUUGUGAUUUGAAUGGGAGUAACUUUAUGAUAAAAGGAGAGAGAGAAGAAAAGAGUCGUUUCAUAUAAUAAGCCUUUUUUCUCUUGAUAAUUAAUAUAUAUAUAUAUAUAUAUUGUUAGAAUAUUUAUUUAAAAUAAUAAUUAAUAAUAGAAUUUUUUAAUUAUUAAAUUUUAUUGACUUAUCUAUUUUAAUGGUACAUAAAAUUUAAAAGGUUAACAUUAAUAUAAUUGAUGAGCUAACGUUUAUGAUUAAAUUAAUUUAUUAUAUUUAGUUAUUUUAAAUAUAUUUAGUAAUUAAUGUAUUUAUUGAGUGUGUGUGUGUAUGACAUGUUUUUAGGAUAAUAAUAUAUAAUCUUUUUUAUCAUCAAAACUUUUAAAAAUACUUUUGUAUUUUUGUCAAUUAUAAAUCUCAACACAUAAUUUAACAUCUUUUUAUAUAUAUAUUCCUCUCAAAUUUUAUUGCAUUUCCUUUUUCAUACUUUAUUAAUUUAAGUUAGAAAAUGGUGAUUUAAUGGUUCGGAGAUUUUUUUCUACAUUAAAAAAUUAUGUAUCUUGAAAAAUAAGCAUAUUAUAUAUAAAAUUAAUAUAAGGGGAUGUUUUCUAUUUAAAGAUAACACUUCUUAUAAACCUUUAUUCUUUUCAUAUUUACUUUUAGUUUUUAUUUUUAUUAUUGAUUUUGGCUAUUAAUUUAAAUAUUAAAAAGGAAACAACAUUCUUAAUUGUAUUUAUUUUUCUAACUCUUUCAAAUAUCUUUAAUUUUCCUAAUAUAUAUAUAUAUAUAUAUAUAUGGAGUGAAAAAUAUGAUUUUGUUGUGAAUGAGAACAGUCAUACAAAUAAGGGUAAAAAUGUAUUUCUAAUCACUUUUAUUUAUAUACGCAGCAAUGUCUUCGCUCCCUUCAUCUGGAGAGACCAGUCACCACUACAUAUUCCUCGUAAUUCUCAAAUAUUAGAAUUAGAGAUCACAUAUAGAAUUUUUAUAUAUUCAUUAUUUAUUGGAUAAAAUAUUUAAAUAUCUAUAAACUAUUUAUAAAAUUUUGAAUAUUCACAUGAGUAUUUAUUACUUCUGAGUGGGACAUGUUGCCUACCCCCCUUGAAGUACGGAGCACAAGGGAGUAUGAUUCUUGUCACAACACGCAGUGAAAGUGAAAGUGAUUAUGUUAUUAUUAAGGUAAAUUUUAUAGUUUUGAUUUGAAAAGAAUUAUUUUGUUAAGUAAAAAUUAAUUUAAUUUGUUUAGUUAAAAUAUUGUUUUUCAAAUUAAAGUUAUAAAAUAAUCAUAUAUAUAUAUAUAUAUAUAUUGAUGGUUUUUAAUUUAAAUAUUGUAAAUUUAACUAUUAUUACAUCAUGAAAUAAAUAAUACUUAUAUAAAAUAUUUUUUAUUGUUUCCUUAAAUUAUCUAUAAUUCCAUCAUGUACGAAAUACAUCCGACAAAAACUAUAGUUUUCUUGGUUUCUUAAGCGCACAACAACAUCAGGAACAAAAUUCAUAUAGCAAUCAAAUUCUACAAAUGCUACGUCAUCAAGCGAUUUCCAUCUAAUUUUUUAAAUAAAACACAAUUAAAAAUAAAAAUAAAAAUUAAUUUUUUUAAUUGGAUCGGACCCGGUUCAAUGUAUUUAGUUUUGGACCGGACCCUAUCCGGUCGGAACAAUGGAGAGUGACUCCAUUGUUAACGUAAUUCACUCUCUACUAUCCGCAGGAUGCGGGGAAGCAGCUCUUGACUGCUUUCUGCAAACCUAUGGUUCAAACCCAUUUUAUAUGGGUCCCACACCAACAAUAAAAUGUGUUUUAGCAAACAUGUGGUCUUAUGUAUUACUAGAUAAGCAUUUUCAAAGAAGAAAAAAAAUUGAGACUCGGUUGAUUUACUUGAAUGAGUUUAGAAAUUUCAUGUAAUUUUAAUAAAAUAAAUUAAAAAAUACAAGGACAAGAAAAAAAAACUAACAAAGAAAAAAAAAGGUAAAAACACACGACUCAAGUCCAUCCAAGUCACCAUGUCAAAUCUAAGACUUGAUCGUGAUAUUAGAGCAACCCUGUCGAAAGAAAUUAAAUAAAUUAAUAAACCUCAAUAUCAAAUAACUCAAUGUUAAAAGAAAAAAAUAAAAAUAAAAUUAAUUUUUCUAAAAAAAACAAUGGGAAAAAAUGAUAUAAGUCAAAAAGGGUUAACACGUUGACCUCAUAGAAGAUAAAAAAAAACAUAAAGACCAAUUUUCUAUAAAUCAAACAUUGAAUGAUAAGAUGGGAAAAAAAAUCAAAUUUAAAUCUAAAAAAUAAAAAAUCAAAGUCAAUCUGUGUUAAUAUUUGAAACUAGUGACCUUAGUCACGAGCACAAGAGUCAAGACUAAUUUUAUAGAAGAUAAACUCUAAAAAAUAAUGAAGUUAAAUUCUUCUUCACAAAUAAUGAGGGAUAAAAUUUGAAAAAAAAAUUGGCAACUAAAAAAUGAUAUAAAAUAAAACAAAUAGUAAUAAAAAAAAUUAAUUGAAUUUGACAUUAAAAUAAAUGGAAAUCAAGUGUUGAUGGAUGGAAUUAAAAAAAAUCAGUUAGAAAAAAAAUAGUAAUUAAAAGAAUAAUGAUAAAUGUUGAUGUAAAAAUUAAAUAAUGAAAGAUAAAAUUAAAGAAAAAAAAAUAUAAAAGAUAAAAAAAUAACAAUAAAAAAAAUUAAAUUGUUUAAAAAAAUAAAAGGAAACUUUUGUAUUUGAGGAGAGGAGAAAGAAAAUAAGAUGGAGAAAAAAGAACAAAAAAAAGAAGGUGAAGAAGAAAAUCAUCGAUGGACUUGUGCCCCACCAUCAGACAGCCCUUGAUGCUCUGCUCUGAACACCACAAUGGAAGGCAGUUUCUGGCCGGCAAAGGACCCCGCAAGUGCUUCCCAAUAGCAUUUUAGUAAUAAACGCAUUCAAAACUAUUAAUUUUGCCCCAAAUGCAACAUAUUAUAGACUUAAAAAAUAAUCAGAGUUAGUAUAAUUUUGCCCCAAACUAUUAAAUGCAACAUAUUACAGUUCAAUGAACUCAGGGUCUCAUUAGGGGAAUAGCUUAUCAACAAACAUCCCUUCUUCAAACACUACAACUUUCCACAGGGGAGGCUAAUACCUAGUGAAGGCGAGCACUCUCAGUUUAGGAUGCACCAACCCAUACGUGACUUUCCCAGCUUUGACGGGGAAGAUGCCCAUAAAUAAAUGCAUAGAUGCAAUUAAUAUUUUUAUCUUGAAAAGAUUGGAGAUUCUGAAAAACUCCCUUGAUGGAAUAUCAUUAUAUUGAAAGGUUAUGUAGAAGCUUUGGGAGCUAGAUAAGCGCUUCCAAUUCGCUGCUUUUUUUUUUUUUUUAAGUGAGGUUGUGGUUGUUUUUUAAAGUAUUUUUUUACUUUUAAAUGCAUUAAAAUAAUAUUUUUUUUAUUUUUAAAAAAUUAUUUUUGACAUUAUCAUAUUAAAAUGAUUUGAAAACAUCAAAAAAAUAUUAAUUUGAAAUAAAAAAAUAUAAAAAAAAAUUUAAUUUUUUUCAAAAACGAUUUUGAAACAUAAAAAUAAAUAGGGACAUAAAUAACCAUGCACUACUACUAAACUUGUUAUUGUUCUCUGUAAUCAAAAUUUAAGCCGAAAAAUGAUAUUGGUCUUAUGUAUUACUAGAUAAGGUCCCGCGAGUUGGUCUAAAUUUUUCUAUUGUAAAAUAAAGUAAGUUAAGGAGCCAUAAGCAUUUUCAAAGAAAAAACAAUUGAGACACGUGUUUUAUUUAUACGAAUGAGUUUAAUAAAUUUAUGUAAUUUUAAUAAUAUAAAUUAAAAAAUACAACAAUAACAAAAAAAAUUGACUUGUGCCCCCACCACCACCCCCGGCUCUUAGAGCGUGUUUGGCAGUGUGGUAGCGGUUGUUUUUCAAAUAGCUUUUUGUGCCGAAAUACAUGCCAAUGAUGUUUUUUUCAUUUUUUUUUAAAUUAUUUUUGACAUUAGCACAUCAAAACGAUCCAAAAAGUACAAACCACACUCAAUUUUAACAAAAAAAAAAUUCAAAAUUUAAUAAAAUACAGGUACAAAUGCAAUGCCAAACAGUGUUAAUGCUCCUCCAAGCAACAAGGUAGAUGGCGGUUUUUGGCCAACAAAGAAGCCGCACGCCGCUUCUCAAAAGCAUUUCAGUAAUAAAAACAUUCAAACCUAUUAAUGCAACAUAUUAUACACUUAAAAAGAUCUUUUCAGCAAUAUGAUACUAACAUUUUACAUCGAUUAAAAAUUAAGAGUUUAGAUCAUUUAUAAAUUUUAGGUAUCACUUUUCUUCAUUAAAGAGAUAUCUUUUUUAUUAAAAAAUUCUCAAAUGUGAUGGAAUUUUUUUAAGGGGGAAGCCAUGGAAAGCAACAUCUUCUCAUGCCGUACAAAUUAGACAUGUAAAGUUCAUGUUGCAUCCCAAAACGACACUCCAGUGAAAAUUACUUUGUUCUAACCACAAAUGUUUUCAAUAGAAAGAAAAUACUCUUCUAGUUUUUUUGUUUUUUUUUAGAAUGAGAAAAGUACAAUAAUACUAAUCAAAUCAACUUAAAAAUUAAUUAUAUAGAAAAAUCAGAAAACUUAAUAUUCAAGAAAUUAACUCUAAAUUCAUGUACAAAAAAUUAAAAAAUCUCAACAACAAGCUGAGACUAUUUAUGGCGUCUAACAAGCAGCUGCGAGAAUUUACAAAAUGAUGAAGAACAAAAUUUACUUGCCCUACAGUCGCACUCUGCAGCCAUUGGCUUUCCCUCAGCUCCAUCAGCCAAGUACAAGCGGACCAUUCUGGAGACGAGAGCAUCACCAGCAUCAAUGGUUUGAUCAUUUGUAUUUUUUUUUUAAUUUAGUUAUAACAAUAUUUUGAAUCAUAAUGUAUAUAACUCAUGUAUUAUGUAUGUAAACUCUGGGAUUAAAAUUUUAAAAAUUUAUUUAAAAUUUUUUAAUGAAUUUAAAUAAGUAAUAACUGGACAGAAUAAUUUUAGACCUCAACGAGUUUAUCAAAAAGAGGUAAACAUUGACAUAAGAAAUAAAACAAAUGCUAUUAAUUGAAGUGAAUUCUUUUUAGAGAUAAAUUGAGGAAAUAUUGAUUUUUUAGACUUUUAACAGUGUUAAAAUAGUACCGGUAGCUGGGCAAUUACACACAAAUGACAUGGACAUAAUAACUGACAGGAAAAUUGUAAGUAAUAUGAAAGCUUCAUCUCCUCCCUUUUUAUAUCCGGUCGCCGGCCAUAAAAAGAGAAAACAGGUGUCCAUCUUCUUUUUCAUUUCCCACGAUAAUAUAACAAGGGUCCAUCUUCUUUUUCAUAAGAAAACAAGAGCAAAAUUGUAAAUAAUAUAAAAAAGUGACAAAUUGCACAAAAAUAAUUAAAAUAAUUGAUUGGUGGUUGAAGUCUUUCGUCAAGUGUCAACAACAUAUUGGGACCAGCAGAAAUUUCCUAGUUGGUUCCUACUUUUCUCAAGUACAUCCCUCUGACCAAUAUUCCAUUUCCCACGAAUUUUUUUUAAUAUUGAACAUAUUUUUUAUUCUAUUAUAUUUAUUUGCAGCAGAUUAAUCUAGUUAAUUUUUAUUUAUUUUUAAUUAAUUUUUUUAAAUUUUAUUUAAUAUUAUAUUUCAUUGAAAAUUAAACUUUAUAUUUUAUUUUUAUUUUAUUUUAUUAAAUUAUUUAGGUCUCAUUAUCUAUAAAUAAUGUUUUCAGAUUAAUAAGGUUGAUCUGACUUUUUUUUAUAUUAUUUUUUUAAUUAAUUAUUUCUUAUAAAUCACAUCAUUUAAAAUUAUGUUUGAUAUUAAAUUAUUUUUAAUGAGGGUUUUAAUUAUAAGUUAUUGAGUUAUAUAUAUUUUUAAUAAUUUUAUGUGCUGCGCAGAGUUAAUUUGUAGGCCUAAUUUAAAGAGCAGAAUUACCUAGAUAUUACAUGGUUCCUGCUUUUUUUUAUUUCGCUGUCAAGGAAAUAUACCAUAAGUUUUAAUUGAAUAUAGAUAUUAUUUAAUCGGGUACUCAUUGUCAAUGAAAUAUACUAUAAAGUUUCUAAUUUUUUUUAUCAAAUAAAUUUCUUAGUAAACUAUAUUUCUAAAAAAAUAAAUCAUUCUAUGGAUUUAGCCACUAAUUUAACAUAUCUCAAUAAUUUUUAACGUCUCAUUACUCCAUUACAUACCAAAAUCUAAUAGGGACCAACAACUCAAUGAUAUUCCUCAUCUAGACAUCAAUUCCUUUUUUGAUUUUCAUGGUAGUAAUAUUUCACACAAUCUUGAGAAUCAACACAAGUGUUCCAUGGAAUUUAAAAAGUUGUAAAGACAUUCAAAAAAUAGUUCUAUUUACUACAUUAUUCAUCAAUUCACAACAUUUAUUCACAAAUUAAAUCCCCUAGAAUUUCUCAUUAUUUGACCGGCCACUAGCUCUAUUUAAUUAUCAAAAAAUUUUACUUCAAUUACAAUAAUUUAAUCACUUUACUCUAAUUUUCACAUUAUUCCCCGUGACAAAUUACAAUAAAUUUUUAUUUCCCUCGAAUUUAUUCAAGAACCCUAGCUUUCUUUUUAAUUUUAAAAAUUCAAUCAAUUAAAAACUUUAAGCCAUUAAAAUUCAGAUCAAAAGUCUUUAGAAUGCAUUGUCAAGCAAGUAAUUAAACUCUAAAAACUUCCCAAAUCAAGCUUUCAACCCCUCCUCUUCUUUAAUCUUGGUUGAACUUGCUCUCUCCUUUUCUACUUACCUUCCCUUGAUUUUUAUUCCUUUCAGUUAAUGCUCACUAAGCUUGGUUAAUGUUCCGUCAGGAUCUUCCCUUGAGAUUUUAUGUUUCCGUUACAAUUUUAUCUCUUUCACAUGUAAAUGGUAGUUUCCCCUCUUUCUUUUUUUUCUUCUUACCCAAGCACGCAUAUGCACACUUACACAUACACACUAACUUUUUUACCAAAUUUUUAUAUAUCUCAAAUAGUAAAUUUCAUAUUACUGUCGGGCCGGUCCGAGUUUAAUAACAGUGUUUUGAAUAGCUAAAUUUAAUAUUUUUUGGAUUGACCUAACUUAUUUUUUAUAUUAUUUUUUUAUUAGGUUAUUUUUUAUAUUAUAAUAAUAUUCUCGUUGCUUAAAAAUUGCAUUGUUCACGUCAGAUUUGACAUGGUAAAUUAGAGAUUGCACUUUUUAAUUUAUUUUUAUUUACUUUUUUAGAGAUUAUCACGGUCUUGUAACUAGAGUCAUAUAUUUGACGAGUUAAAUUAGGUCAUUGUUUUAUAUUUUUUUUAUAGGAUUAUCUCGAUCUCAUGACGAGUCAUGAGUUUGUUGGAUUGAUUUUGGUCAUUUUUAUAUUCUUUUUAAAAUUAAUUUUUUUUAAUCCUAUCCUUCAACAUUUGGUUAAUUAAGUUUGAACUUCAUAAUUAUUUUUUUUUUCUAUAUGACUAUCUCUAUCUUAUAACCUAGGUUGUGGGCUUGACAGUUUAACUUGAUUCAUAUUUUUAGAUCGUUCUUUUAAUUGAUUUUUUUUUUAGUUAUAUCAUUUAAUAUUUAGUUGCUUAGGAAUUAGACUUCAUAAUCUCAUAACCCGGAUAAAAAAUUUGACAAGUUAACUCUGGUUAACCCAAUUCAAUCUAUUACUUUGUUAUAUUCACAUUAAAAAAAUAUAUAUCAUUUUGAAAAAAAUUCUAAGUUAAGCUAUAUUUUUAUAGGUUGUCCGAGUUGUUUCUGAAUAAACAAAAUCAAUUGAGUCACAUCGGAUCAAUCUUCACAUGCUUUAUUUAUUUUAAUUUUAUUAUUUAAUAUUUAGUUGGAUGAGAAUUAGAGUUCCUAAUUUAUUUUCUAUAGAGUUAUCAUAGUCUCAUAACUCGGGUUAUAAAUUUAACAAGUUAACUCGGGUUGACCCAAAUCAAUCUAGUUUAUUGUUAUCUUAUUAUUAAAAAAAAAAUACAUAUCAUCUUGAAAUUUUUUUGAGUUAAACUAUAUUUUUAGUGGUUAUCUUGAUUGUUUAUGAAACUACAAAUUCAAUCAAGUCACAUCAAAUAAAUCACCACAUAAUUAAUUUUGUUUAUAGAAUAAAUUAAAACAUUCACAAGUUGAAUAAUUUUUAUAUAUAUAAAAAAAAAAUAACCCGUACUAUAAUGAAGCACGAGUAAAUAAUCCAAUUAUAAAUUGGUUAGCGUACAUUGCUUUUAAUAUUUUAAGGAACUCAUUAAACAUUUUAAAAUUAUUAAUCUCUCUUGUAUUAAAAACAAUUACACAAAACUUGAAGCUUUGCAUAAUAUUUGCUGAAUUUUAAAACAAUGGUGGAAGGAAUCAUUAAAAGAAUAAUGUAAUUUUUAAAUAUCAAUAAUUUUAGAUAAAUAUAUAUGUGCUUUUUAAAAAAAAAUACAUAUACAACCAACAUACUACCCUUCAUAAAAAAAGAUAUUGUUAAACAUGGUAUAGUACUUUGACAGCAAAACCAUGUUUAGUUUCUACCGUGUCCAAGUGUUUGUGGUGCGAAGAGAGAGAGAGAGAGAGAGAGAGCGAAGGAAAGUGACAAAGUAAUAGGAAUAAUUUGAUUGGUGGUUGAAGUCUCCUGUUCCUCUGACAUCAACCCAUUUCCCACUAAAUUUAUUCGAUAUUAAAUCUAAUUUUCUUAUUGAAUUAUUUUUAUUUUAUAACUUGAAUAGCGGGUGUCUCAUGAGUUAAUAUAGAAAAUUUAUAUUUAUUUUUAACUGAUUUAUAAAAAAUAAAUCAUUUAAGUUUUAUUAUUUAUUUUAAUUUUUUUAUUAGAUUAUAUAAUUUUUAUUACCUAAUAAUAAUAUUUAACAGGUUAAACCGGAUUGACCUAACUUAUUUUUUAUAUUAAUUUUUUAAUAAUAUUUUUUAUAAAUUACAUCCUUAAAUAUUAAGUUUAAAAUUAUUAAAUAGAAAUUAUAUUUUAUAAUUUAUUUUUAUUUAAUUUUUAUAAAAUUAUUCUGGUUUAUAAUCAAAUCAUGAAUUUAAUAAAUUAAAUUUGAUUUUUUUAUUUUUUAAUAAAAUUAUCUCUAUUGAAUAAGUGUUUUUUUUUUUAAAAAAAAUUAAAUACUAUUCUGAAUGUGCUUGUGUAUGCGUGAACUACGCGUGCCAGGAAAGUGGAGUUAGUUCACACAUCUUACUCGGUCUAUCCUUGCUUUAUUUGACAAGAGAUCCCACCGGUUGAAAAAGGGGGCUUGAUUGGAAUAACUUUUAUUAUAUAAUCUUUGUUUUCACGUGAUGUGCUAAUAAUGCAGAAGAAGACUUCACUUUAUUUCUUCUCUCCUUUUUUUUUUUAUCACUUUUCAUUCAUUGAUAAAGUAGAUAAAUAAAUUAUAAAUUAGCUGAUGACCAUUGCUAUGAAUAUUAUAAAAACUUCAUUACACAUUCUAGAAUGUUGGCGUAGUAUUUGUUUAACUAUAAAUUGUGGAGCAAGUUAUAAUAAAAAAAAUCAUUAUAUUAGAAAUCACAGUUGAAUUGCGAAAAUAAAAAUAUCCUUAAUCAGUAUUAAAGAUACUGAUUGUUUGCUUUGAAUAACAAGAUGCAGUUCAAUAGGAUUAGGUCUUAUUGGUUCUAUCUUCCACCUGUAAAAAAAAACCUUUUAUAUUUGACAAAAAAAAGAGAGAAAAAGAGGUUGAGUAAAAAAAACGUUUUAGUAAUAAAAACAUUCAAAACUAUUAAUUUUGCCCCAAAUGCAACAUAUUAUAUACUUAGAAAGAUUUUUUUAGUAACAUGAUACUCUAACAUUUCACAUCGAUUAAAAAUUAAGAGUUUAGAUCAUUUAUAAAUUUUAGGUAUCACUUCUCUUCUUUAAAAGAGAUAUCUUUUUUAUAACAAAAUUCUCAAAUGUGAUGGAAUUUUUUUAAGAAGGAAGCCAUGGAGAGCAACAUCUUCUCACGCCGUACAAAUUAGACAGGUAAAGUUCAUGUUGCAUCCCAAAACGACACUCCAGUGAAAAUUACUUUGUUCUAACCACAAAUGUUUUCAAUAGAAAGAAAACACUCUUCUAGUUUUUCUUUUCUUUUUUGAGAAUGAGAAAAGUACAAUAAUACUAAUCAAAUCAACUUAAAAAUUAAUUAUAUAGAAAAAUAAGAAAACUUAAUAUUCAAGAAAUUAACUCUAAAUUCAUAUACAGAAAAUAAAAAAUCUCAACAACAAGCUGAGACUAUUUAUGGCGUCUAACAAGUAGCUGCGAGAAUUUACAAAAUGAUGGAGAACAAAAUUUGCUUGCCCUAAUUCAUUUCACGAAAAUCACAGUUGCACUCUGCAGCCAUUGGAUUUCCCUCAGCUCCAUCAGCCAAGUACAAGCGGACCAUUUCGGAGACGAGAGCAUCACCAUCAAUGGUUUGAUCAUUUGUAUUUUUUUUUUUAAUUUAGUUAUAACAAUAUUUUGAAUCAUAAUGUAUAUAGCUCAUGUAUUAUCUAUGUAAACUCUGGGAUUAAAAUUUUAAAAAUUUAUUUGAAACAUUUUAAUGAAUUUAAAUAAGUAAUAACUGGACAUAAUAAUUUUAGACCUCUACGAGUUUAUCAAAAAGAGGUAAACAUUGACAUAAGAAAUAAAAAAAAAUGCUAUUAAUUGAAGUGAAUUUUUUUUAGAGAUAAAUUGAGGAAAUAUUGAUUAUUUAGACUUUUAACAGUGUUAAAAUAGUACCGGUAGCUGGGCAAUUACACAAAAUGACAUGGACACAAUAAGUGACUGCAAAAUUGUAAAUAAUAUGAAAGCUUCAUCUCCUCCCUUUUUAUAUCCGGUCGCCGGCCAUAAAAAGAGAAAACAAGGGUCCAUCUUCUUUUUCAUUUCCCAUGAUAACAUAACAAGUAUCCAUCUUCUUUUUCAUAAGAAAACAAGAGCAAAAUUGUAAAUAAUAUAAAAAAAUUGAAAAAUUGCACAAAAAGUAAUUUAAAAUAAUUUGAUUGGUGGUUGAAGUCUUUCCGUCAAGUGUCAACAACAUAGUUGGGACCAGCACAGAAAUUUCUUAGUUGGUUCCUACUUUUCUCAAGUACAUCCCUCUACAUCAAUAUUCAUUUCCCACGAAUUUUUUUUUAAUAUUAAACUUAUUUUGUAUUCUAUUAUAUUUAUUUGUGCAGUAGAUUAACCUAGUUAAUUUUUAUUUAUUUUUUAAUUAAUUUUUUUAAAAUUUUAUUUUUUAAUUUAUAUUUCAUUGAAAAUUAAACUUUAUAUUUUAUUUUAAUUUUAUUUUAUUAAAUUAUUUAGGUCUCAUUACUUAUAAAUAAUGCUUCACAGAUUAAACGGGGUUGAUCUGACUUUUUUUUUUAAUAUUUUUUUUAAUAAUUAUUUUUUAUAAAUCAUAUCAUUUAAAAUUAUGUUUGAUAUUGUUGAACGAGAAUUGUAUUUUAUAAUUUAUUUUUUUAUAAAGUUAUUUUUAUUUCAUAAGCAUAAUCAUGAUUCUAUAAGUUAAAUUAAAUUAUUUUUUUAACUUUUCUAAUGAGGGUUUAAUUAUAAGUUAUUGCGUUAUAUAUAUUUUUAAUAAUUUUAAUGUGUUGCAGAGUUAAUUUGUAGGCCUAAUUUAAAGAGCAUAGAAAUUACCUAGAUAUUACAGGGUUCCUACUUUUCUUUAUUUCGCUGUCAAGGAAAUAUACCAUAAGUUUUAAUUGAAUAUAGAUAUUAUUUAAUCGGUUACUCAUUGUCAAUGAAAUAUACCAUAAAGUUUCUAAUUUUAUUUUAUCAAAUAAAUUUCAUAGUAAACUAUAUUUCGAAAAAAUAGACCAUUCUAUGGAUUUUAGCCACUAAUUUAACAUAUCCCAAGAAUUUUUAAUUGUCUCAUGACUCCAUUACAUACCAAAAUAUAAUAAGGAACAACAACUCAAUGAUAUUUCUCAUCUAGACAUCAAUUCCUUUUUUGAUUUUCAUGGUAGUAAUAUUUCACACAAUCUCGAGAAUCAACACAAGUGUUCCAUGAAAUUUAAAAAGUUGUAAAGAGAUAUUCAAAAAACAGUUCUACUUAAUAUAUUAUUCAUCAAUUCACAACAUUAAUUCACAAUUAAAUCCCCUAGAAUCUCUCAUCAUUUGACCGGCCACUAGCUCUAUUUAAUUAUCAAAAAUUUUACUUCAAUUACAAUAAUUUAAUUACUUUACUUUAAUUUUCACAUUAUUCCCCGUGACAAAUUACAAUAAAUUUUUAUUUCCCUCGAAUUUUCAAGAACCCUAGGUUUCUUUUUAAUUUCAAAAAUUCAAUCAAUUAAAAACUUUAAAACAUUAAAAUUCAGAUCAAAAGUCUUUAGAAUGCAUUGUCAAGCAAGUAAUUAAACUCUAAAAACUUCCCAAAUCAAGCUUUCAACUCCUCCUCUUCUUUAAUCUUGGUUGAACUUCCUCUCUCCUUUUCUACUUUCCUUCGCUUGAUUUUUAUUCCUUUCAAUUAAUGAUCACUAAGCUUGGUUAAUGUUCCCUCAAGAUCUUCCCUUAAGAUUUUAUGUUUCCGUUACAAUUCUAUCUCUCUCACAUGUAAAUGGUAGUUUCCCCUCUUUCUUUUUUUCUUCCUUUUUUUCUUACCCAAGUACACACAUGCACACUUACACACACACACACUAACUUUUUACCAAAUUUCUUCUAUAUCUCAAAUAGUAAAUUUUAUAUUACCGCUGGACCGGUCCGAGUUUAAUAACAGUGUUUUGAAUAGCUAAAUUGAUAAAAUAGUAUUUUGAAUAAUAUAAAUAUAUAUAUAUAUAUAUAUAUAUAUAUUUUUUUUAAUGGAAAAAACUAGUUGAAAAGCUAAUUGUAUUGGAGUGAGAGAAAUAAAUGUUUUAUUUUUUUUAAUGAGUUUGAUGUUAUUUUUUUUUCAUAUGACUAUAUUUAAUUGGUUUAUUUUUUGAUGGCCCCACUUUUUUAGUGUUGUUUUUUUUAUAGAUAUGUAGAAAUAGUAUUUAUAAGAAAGAAAAGAUAUUUUGACAUUUUAUUUAAUAUUUUUUUGAAGUGUAUAAAAUAAACAUGAAAGAGUCAAAAUAAUAUUUUUUAAUUUUUAACUUUUUAUUUAACACACCCUUUGUAGAUGCUCUUAUGAUUUGGACUCAAUUUAAGUGGGUUAAAUAUUGGUGGGAUAUUCCAUCUUUCUCUUUUUUUUUUGGAAAUUGUACUUUGUUUGUCUUUGAUUUAUUUUGCUAGAAAUUACAUCUUAAAAAAAAGGGGUUUGAUUGGAAAAACUUAACCAUAUUUAGUUAUUUGGGAAUCAGGUAUUAUAAUUUCAUAACCUGAAUUAUAAAUCUAACAAGUUAACUUAGGUGAACCAAUUUAAUAUAAAACUUUGUUAUUAUUAAAUUAAAAAAAUAACAUUUUAAAAUCUUUUCUAAAUUAAAGUAUAUUUUAACGGGAUUUUAAAAAGGAGUUAGAUGUUUGCCUUGCUUUAUUUGCCAUCAACUCGGUCUGUCCUUGCUUUAUUUGCCAAGAAGCCCCAUCGGUUGAAAAAGUGACUGGAAAAUGGAGUAACUUGGUUUGUCCUUGCUUUCUUCGCCGGGUUUGAUUGGAAUAACUUUAUUAUAUAAUCUUUCUUUCCACGUGGUGUGCUAAUAAUGCAGAAGAAGACUCUUUAUUUCUUCUCUCUUCUUCUUCUUUUAUCACUUUUCCUUCAUUGAUAAAGUAUGGGCUUGCGGUCGGAUCAACUCGCUGGUUCAAUCGAGUCAUAUUGGAUUUUUUUUUCAAUUCGAUUAGGUUUCAGCCCCAAAUCAACCAUGUUCCAGGUCAACCCACUAUGCUGAGUUUUAAAAUUACGAUUAUGAGUGCUAGGAAAUUGGAGCUAGGUCCCACAUUUUACUAAUUUUACUUGCUUUAUUUGCCAAGAGAUCCCAUGGUCGAAAAAGUGGGUUUGAUUGGAAUAAUUUUUAUUAUAUGCCAAUCUUUCUUUUCACUUCAUAUUUUAAUCAAUAUUUUUUAAAAUUUUUUAUUUUAAUAUAAUAUUUUUUUAACGAGUUAUCCAACUUCCACUAACACAAUUGUAAGUUUAAACAGUUAACUUGACUAUUCUAAUAGCUUAGGUUUUAGCUUCACAUUGGAUUUUCGUUGCUGAUUUUUCAGUUAUCAGCUUCUUUUUUAUUUAAUUGUUUGUUGUUAAUAAUUCAUAUCAUUUUUUUUAGUAGCCAGUAACCCUUUAAUUGCUAAGCCGGUCAUCCAAUUUAAGAACUUAGCCAUUAGCCAUUCCACUUCUUCUUCCUCUUUCCUUCGUAGAUCCAAACGAACAUAAUUUAUUAUAUCUGAAAUCUCCUCAUGAGAAAAUUUUAUUUAUUUAUUUAUUUAUGAAACAAGCACGAAACCCAAAUAUCCCUCUCUCAGAUCAAUGGUUUACGAAUGGUCCGUAAAGAUUUAAAUCCCUAUUUUUCCUUUGAAAUCCCAUAUCUGAUGAAGGAAUUUGCUUUGCUUCUUAAUAAUUUUACCAAAAUGAUCUCUCUGUAUGUAUGCAAGUUAACUAAAGAGCGGAAAUGGCGGAUGAUAUGAAAAUGACUAAUUAUUUGUCCUGAACAACAGUAAACUCCAAAAAAGAUAUGACUUACAUGUACUCCAAAAUCAUUUUUUAACUUCUGCUUUAUAUGGAAUAAAAACAAUUUAAUCAAAGUUAAAUAAUAAAUAAAAGAUAAAAAAAAGUUUUUGAAUUUUGAAUUUUUGGAGAAGGGAAGAGACUAGAGAAAGAGAUGGAGAAUUUUUUUUUUUUUUAAUUUUUGAAGAUGCGGGAAAAGAGAAAAGGAGAAAGGAUGGGGAUUUUAUAUAAUUAAGGGUUUGAUUUAUUUUUGGAAUCAGUUGCAGAUUUGAUGUUGCCAAGCACGUCAACAAUGAAAAAUCCGUUGCAAAUUACUUAAAUAAUUUAAUAUUUUUUAAAUCCUUUUUAGCUUGGAUUUUCUAUCACUAAUGUCAUUGUUAAUAUUAAAAAAAAUCAUAUAUACACAUUUUGUUGUUAAAUUAGCAAAAGAAAUAUUCCGUUGCUAAAAUUCAAUGACAAUAGCCUCCUGUCCAAAUUAAGGGUGGUGCUGGCAGUUCAAAAUCUGAAGCAUGUGAUGAUCCUCCAGCUUGAUAUAUUGAAAUAGAAUGAUGAUUAUUAUUUAUGGAGAUGAAUGAGAGACAAUAGGAAGAAAAUAUCUGUAUUUCUACAUCCAACAAAUAAAAACAAUACAAAAUGGACAAUAUCCGUAUUUCAUUCAUCCAAAUUUUAAUUGAAAUUGCUUUGGAUUACUGAAAAGAAAAUAAACUAUUUAGUAGCAAUACCUCAAUAUGUUGGACGAUUGAAAGAAAACCUCCUUUUAACUGCUACAUCUUUGCUCCGCUGAUUAUGGGUUAAAUAUGUAUGCGAGGAAUGUGAGAAAUCUUGGGCCAAUCUUUACCUUUCUCCCUUUCACAACUUUCACUCAGCAUAGGACAACCCAGAAUUUGAAGAUAAUAAAGGGAGGAGGGCAACCCUUCUUCUGGCAUUGACUCAAUCAGAGGGCAGUUACUUAUUGUCAAUUGUGUAAGGGAGGUGAGGUGUUGAAGCCUUGGAAGAGAUUUUAGGUAAGAGAUGUUAAGAGAUUUAAGACUUGAGGGCAGAAGCAUGCGGCCUGCAAUGAGUUUGUUGCAAUUCGUAAUCUCAAGUGAUUGUAAUGUGGAGGGAAAAUCCCUUCUGACACAACUCAACUUCUGAACAACUAUAAUAUUACCAAAAGGUUAAGGGAUGGAGGAGGAAUGCAUUCUCUCAGUAACAGCUUCAGGUGCUGCAGUUUACUAAAUGAAGUUGUGUCAAGACUGGAGCAGAUAACUAAUUUAGGGCACCCCCAGAUUUUCAAAGAAUGGAGAGAGGUGAGAUCAUCAGAGGUCUUCAUGUGCACAUAAUGAUUCGAGAUCUCGACAGUCAGAGAUAGAAAAGAUUUUAACUUGGGGAGCAAGUCCAGUGCGACGCAUUUGAGAGAAGCACAGCCCUUGAUUUCAAUUCGCCCUAAAUCAAGGGUGAAACAACCCAUUUGAUCAAUUUCCUCGGGUAGGGACUCUAGGGAGUGCAUCCAGAAACAUCGAGAGAGAGCAACCUGGGAAACCUAGGAAGGGCCUUUGCAAGGUUCGGCAUUCUUCGAUUGAAAGCGACUCUAGAAGAGGGAAGGCUUCCUGGCUGCCUUCGUCUGAAAUCCACUCGCGCCACUCUGGCAUGCUUUUAAAAAUAAUGUUUUGAGGGAUUCAAAUGGCUUCUUCAUAGCUGUACAAUUCCCAUAGAACUCAGAGCCCACAGUCUCAACUUUAUCGAAUCCUUCAAUGGAAGACGCUCUAAAGAAGCUAAUUGCCCGAGCGGUGGUAAGGAGGUGCAGUUUGUACAUCUAAUGAGCUUCAAGGACACUAUAUUGGAGAAAGAGGACUCUCCUACCCACUCCGGAAACCUUACACCUCCAUAACCAUCAAUCUUAAGAUACUGCACAUUUAUAUGUGGCUUUAAUUUCUCGAGCGUGCUUGUUACGUGUUGCGGGUCAUGAGUGUCACCAUCCCAUGUAAACCUCAGCUUAUCAAGGUGCUUUUUACCUUUCAAAUUUGCCUCACCAGCAUCCCGAGCAUCCACCACAUUUUGAAGGUUCCGAAUAUGAAGAUCUCCCUGUAGAUGUCGUAGCUUUCCCAAUUCUUUAAUGCUAGUCUCACUCUGUCUUCCCACGAGAAAGUCCGUCAACGUUUGGAGCUUUGUCAGUUGACCUAUAUGUGGUGGCAUCUCUUUCAAAGGGGUGCCUGUGAUGUUAAGAUACCGCAAGUUGAUUAACCUUUCCAGAGAUUCAGGCAACCUUUCGAUUCCUGUUCCUUCAAGAUUCAGAUGUCGUAAGUGCUUCAAAUUUCCAAGAUCAGGUAGACUAGCAAGUUGUUUGCAAUCUUUCAAGAUCAACGUUUGCAAAUUGAGAAGAGCACUCACUUCUUCAGGCAACGUUACUAAAGAUGACCGAAAGAGAUUCAAAUACCGCAAAUGCUUCAACUUGCUAGUUGAACGUAACAUAUUAGCUCCAUCUCUACAAGCAGACAUGAUUAGCACUCGUAGGCGCCCAAGUGUUGACUGAAAGAUCUCAUUAUAAAUUUCGGGAGGACACCUCAAAUAGCGUGAAAAAGGUCGGAAUGUGCGUAGAAGUUGGGCUUCACGGAUGUUUUCUAAUUUUGUGCUUGAAAAAACACCUUCCGUAUCUACUACGAGUGAUAAAUGUCGAGUCCUUCUGCUGGCCUUGGAAGAAUUAUUUUCCCCCAACCUGGAGCUGAAGCAAAAUUGACCGGACACAUGGGUAGCCAAGUCAUGCAUGAGAUCGUGCAUCACAAAUGAUGAGCGAGAGGCACUUGAUUUCUGGAAAAAGGACCUUGACAAGAGAUCAUCAAAGCACUCAGCACCAGCUCUUUCCAUCUCAUCAUCUUUAGAGUGGACUAAGAAGCCCUCUGCCAUCCACAGGAGCACUAAUUCAUCCUUUUUAAACUCAUAGUCUUUUGGAAAUAUGGCACAAUAAGCAAAACAUUGCUUCAGAUGUGGCGGUAGAUAAAGAUAACUUAAUCUCAAAGCUGGGAGGAUAUUGUCUUUGGGUAAAUCCCAUAGAUUGCUUUCCAAUAUCUUCUCCCACUCCUCGACAUCUCUUUGGGUGCGUAGCAGACCUCCGAGUGUUACUGCAGCUAGAGGAAGGCCUUUACACUUUCUCGCUAUUGCUCUACCAAUUUCUUGUAACUCUUCAUGAGCAGUGGGAUUUUCACCACGAAAUGCAUGUUUGGCAAACAAGGACCAGCAGCUGUCUUCCGUCAAUUCUUUUAGAUGAUGAGUUGGAAGAGUUCUCAUGACCGAUGCUACACGUUCAUUGCGAGUUGUAACAAGAAUCUUACUCAUCCCUUGUGCUCCGUACUUCAGGGGGGUAAGCAACUUGUCCCACUCAGCAUAAUCUUCAUUCCAAACGUCAUCUAAAACAAGCAAGAAUCUCUUUCCCUCCAAUCUGUCCUUCAACAGAAGCUGGAGCUGAUCCAGAUUAUCAGAAGCAGGCUUUGAACCGAAGGCCUCAAGGAUAACAUUGGUUAACUUCAAAACACUGAAAUCUUCUGAAACACAAACCCAAGCUUUGAGAUCGAACCGCUUCUGUACUCUGCUGUGAUUGUAUACAAGCUGAGCAAGCGUGGUUUUACCAACCCCGCCCAUUCCCCUAAUGGGGACGACACCAGGGCUUUCUCCAUUUGCAUCCUCUGAUAGAAGCAACGUCAGUAUUGCUUCCCUGUCAUCAUCUCUACCAUAAACACCAGAUCCAUCCACGAGAGAAGUUGUUGGUGUUCUAUGCGAUGAUGGAUUUUCUACAUUGCGGUUGUUCAAACCAAGGGCUGCCAUUCGUUCAACUAAGGGAUCUAGAUCCUGCAAGAGGACUUUUAAUUUUUCUUCGAUCUCUCUCGACCCCAAUAUUUCAAGUGGGUUAAUGAAAGAAAGAAGCUGACUUGUGAAGGUUUGACCUUCAGCUUCCAACUCCCCCCGUAGAGCUUCAUAUGCAAUCUCAUCCAAGAAGUCGUCAGCUUUAUAGACAGCGUCUUUAAGCUGGUCCAGCCAAUCCCGCACGGCUCUGUUUGUUAUCUGCUUCUCCUCGGCAUCGUCAAGCACCACCCUGAGAGAUGUCAUUGCUGUCUCCAGCUUCUGCAGCAGACUACUACCGUUGACUUUUUGGCCUCUGAAGAAGGCAACCACCUGGGGAGAGGCCAUCCUGUCGAACAACACAUUAAGGAAAGAAGAAAGAAAAGCUCCUCCGACUAAAGCCCCGGCCAUGGUUUCUCCUCUUUGCAAAGUAACGAAGGAAGAGUAAACAAACAAGAAGAAGAAGAAGAGGGGAUUUUGUUCAGGUGACAGAAGGGGAAAGAAUUUGUGUAAAGAACUGGCAAAAGCUUUUUCUCUCUCGGCUUUAACUCUUAACUUGUAAAUGCUUAGGAGUCCAUUUAAGUGGUGACGGUUGUCUCUUAUUGUUUUUUAUUUAAAAAUAUAUUAAAAUAAAUUAUUUUUAUUUUUUAUAAAUUAUUUUUAAUAUUAAUACAUUAAAAUAUCUAAAAAACUAAAAAUUUAUUAAUUUAAAAUAAAAAAUAAUAAUUUUUAAAAAAUUAUUUUUGAAACACGUAUCCAAGUCGCAACUGAAUCGAUAUUCCAUUUUUCUCUUCUUUUGGAAUUUUACUCGGUUUGUCUUUGAUUUAUUUUUCUAGAAAUUAUAAUUUUUUAAAAAAAGGGUUUGAUUGGAAAGACUUCACUAAAUGCUAAAUUAAAUAAAUAAAUCAUAAAUUAUACUUUAUAUUAUUAUGUUUUAUACAAUUAUUUGAAUGAGUGUUACUAAAUGCUAAAUUUUUUAAUGAAUGUUUUUUAUUUUACUAUUACUUUUUUUUAUUAAAUUGUCUCAUUUUUAUAACAAAAAUUAUAAAUUUAAUGGAUUAACUCAGUUAACUUGAUUUUUUUUAAUUAACUUUUUUUAUAAUUUUAUCUUUUAAUAUUUGAUUAAUUAAAAAUCAAGUUUUAUAUUUUGUUUUGUUUGUUUUAUAUUAGAUUAUUCUAACCUCGUAACCCGUAAAUAAUACUUCACUUGUUAACCUAAGUUUACUCAGAUUGUAUUUUAUGUUUUUUUUAAUUGAAUUUUUUUUCCAACUUUAUCAUUCGAUAUUAGGUCAGUUGGGAAUGGAACUUCAUAAUCUAUUUCAAAUUAUUUUCUAUAGGGUUAUCCUAGUCUCAUGAUUAGAGGCGAGGGUUUUGACAUUUUAAUCCAAAUUCAAUUGAGUUGUUUUUUAAUUUUAAGAUGUUAUCUUAGUUUCAUGACCUGGAACACGAGUCCUUCAAUAGUAAAUUUGCUUUUUAUUGGGUCAUUUUUAUUUCAUAACCUAACUCGCAAGCUUAGUAAGUUAACAUGAUUGACUCAAUUUUUUUUAAUUACCCUUUUUUUCUUCAAUUUUAUUAUUUAAUAAUAUGUGUUUAUCAGGAAUUAGAUUUCAUGGUUUGUUUUGAUUUUAUUUUUAUUAGGUUAUCAUGGCCUCACAAUCUAAGAAUGAUGCUUAACGGGUUGACCUAAAUCAUUUUUUAUGGUAUUUUUUAAUUCAAAAUUUUAGAAAUUGCAUCAUCACAUCGGGUUUGAUAUGGUCAAUUAGGGAUUGCACUUUUUAAUGUAUUUUUAUUUACUUUUUAAGAGGUUAUCUCGGUCUUGUAACCAAAGACACAAAUUUGAUGAGCUAGAUCAUGUAAUUUUUUUUACAAGAUUAUCUCGAUCUCAUGACGAGUUAGUUAUGGAUUUGGUGAAUUAACUUGAGUUAUUUUUAUGUUCUUUUUAAAUUUGAUUUCUUUUUAAAAUUUUAUCCUUCAACUUUUAGCUAUUUAAGAUUGAAUUUCAUAAUUUAUUUUGAUUAUUCUCUAUAAGAUUAUUCUCUAUUAUAAUUUAGGUUAUUUUUUUAGGGAGACUUGACAUGUUAGCUCAGUUCAUAUUUUUAGGUUAUUUUUUUAAUUGAAUUUUUUUAAUUAUAUCAUUCAAUAUUUGAUUGCUUAAGAAUUAUACUUCAUAGUCUCGUACCCGGAUAAAAAAGUUUACAAGUUAACUCUGUUCAACCCAAUUCAAUCUAUUACUUUGUUAUCUUCAUAUUAAAAAAAAAUGUCAUUUUGAAUUUUUUCUAAGUCAUAUUAUAUUUUUAUUAGUUGUUUGUAUUAAUUUUGAACAAGCUAAAUCAAUUAAGUUACAUCGGAUCAACCUCCACAUGAUUUAUUUAUUUAUUUUAAUUUUAUUUUUUAAUACUUGGUUGGUUGAGAAUUAAACUUAAUAAUUUGUUUUUUACGUGAUUAUUAUAGUCUCAUAACUCUGGUUCUGAAUUUCAUAAAUGAGUUCACCCAAAUUAAUUUAAUUUAUUAUUAUUUUAAUAUUAAAAAAAAUAUACAUAAGUUUUUGUGGCGUAAAGAGAGAAAGGUUGAAGGAAAGUGACAAACUGCAUAAAAAAUCAAUAAAAAUAAUUUUAUCGGUGGUUGAAGAAGUCUCUCCAGUCCAGUGUCAGGAACAUAACUGGGAACAUCACAGAAAUUUCUUAGUUGGUUUAUAUUUUAUUUUAUUUUCGUUAUUAUGUAAUUGUACCAUAAGCUUUAAUUGAAUGCAGAUAUUGUUUGAUCGGCUACUUGUUGUUGGAAUUUAAAGUGUAAGAUAAAAUAGGAUUAAUAUGAUUAAUUAAAUUUGAUAUUGAAAUUAAAUAUUAAGAGAUAAAUUAAAAAGGAUGUUUAAUUAAAAAAAAUAAUAAAUAAAUAAAUAAAUAAAAAUAAAGGUCAUGUUUAAUAAAAAAAAAAAAUUAAAUAAAAUCAAACGAUAAAAAACAAAAUUAAAAAAAAACAAAUCUACAAAAAAUAAAAAUAAAAUAAAUAAUAAAUUAAAAAAAAUUAAAUUAUUUAAAAAAAAAACCUUUUGUAUUUGACAAGAAGAGAGAGAAAAAGAGGUUGAGAAAAAAAACGUUUCAGUAAUAAAAAUAUUCAAAACUAUUAAUUUUGCCCCAAAUACAACGUAUUAUACACUUAGAAAGAUUCUUUCAAUAACAUGAUACUCUAACAUUUUACAUCGAUUAAAAAUUAAGAGUUUAGAUCAUUUAUAAAUUUUACGUAUCACUUCUCUUCUUUAAAAGAGAUAUCUUUUUUAUAACAAAAUUCUCAAAUGUGUUGGAAUUUUUUUAAGAAGGAAGCUAUGGAGAGCAACAUCUUCUCACGCCGUACAAAUUUGACAGGUAAAAUUCAUGUUGCAUCCCAAAACGACACUCCAGUGAAAAUUACUUUGUUCUAACCACAAAUGUUUUCAAUAGAAAAAAAAUACUCUUCUGGUAUUUUAUUUUUUUUUAGAAUGAGAAAUGUACGAUAAUACUAAUAAAAUCAAAUUAAAAAAUUAAUUAUAUAGAAAAAUCAGAAAAGUUAAUAUUCAAGAAAUUAACUCUAAAUUCAUAUACAGAAAAUAAAAAAUCUCAACAACAAGCUGAGACUAUUUAUGGCGUCAAACAAGCAGCUGCGAGAAUUGACAAAAUGAUGGAGAACAAAAUUUGCUUGCCCUAAUUUAUUUCGCGAAAAUCACAGCCGCACUCUGCAGCCAUUGGCUUUCUCUCAGCUCCAUCAGCCAAGUACAAGCGGACCAUUCUGGAGACGAGAGCAUUACCAGUAUCAAUGGUUUGAUCAUUUGUUUUUUUUUUUAAUUUAGUUGUAACAAUAUUUUGAAUCAUAAUGUAUAUAACUCAUGUAUUAUGUAUGUAAACUCUGAGAUUAAAAUUUUAAAAAGUUAUUUAAAACAUUUUAAUGGAUUUAAAUAAGUAAUAACUGGACAGAAUAAUUUUAGACCUCUACGAGUUUAUCAAAAAGAGGUAAACAUUGACGUAAGAAAUAAAAAAAAUGCUAUUAAUUGAAGUGAAUUUUUUUUAGAGAUAAAUUGAGGAAAUAUUGAUUAUUUAGACUUUUAACAGUGUUAGAAUAGUACCGGUAGCUGGGCAAUGACACAAAAUGACAUGGACACAAUAAGUGACCGCAAAAUUGUAAAUAAUUUGAAAGCUUCAUCUCCUCCCUUUUUAUAUCCGGUCGCCGGCCAUAAAAAGAGAAAACAAGGGUCCAUCUUCUUUUUCCUGCAUUUCCUGUUUCAAUCUCGGCUCUUGUAUGCUCUGGAUUCCAUUUUACUCGGUUUGUCUUUGAUUUAUUUUCCAAGAAAUCUCUGGAUGUUACCAUAUCAUCAGAUCAAUCCGUUAAAUCAAUCCAGCUGUCAAGUUAACCUGUCAAAGAUCAAAUUUUAAAAUAUCGUAUUUUCUACCGUGUCCAAGUGCUUGUGGUGCAAAGAGAGAAUGAGCAAAGAAAAGUGACAAGUUGCACAAAAAGUAAUUAAAAAUAAUUUGAUUGGUGGUUGAAGUCUUUCUGUCAAGUGUCAACAACAUAGUUGGGACCAGCACAGAGAUUUCUUAGUUGGUUCCUACUUUUCUCAAGUACAUCCCUCUAACAUCAUAAUUCCAUUUCCCACCAAAUUUUUUUAAUAUUAAACUUAUUUUUUAUUUAUUAUCUUUAUUUGUGCAGCAGAUUAACCAGUUAAUUUUUAUUUAUUUUUAAUUAAAUUUUUUUUAAAUUUUAUUAUUUAAUGUUAUAUUUCAUUAAGAAUUAAACUUUGUAUUUUAUUUUAAUUUAAUUUUAUUAAAUUAUUAUAUCUCAUUACCUAUAAAUAAUGUUUAAUAGAUUAAACGAGGUUGAUCUGACUUAAUUUUUAUAUUAUCCUCCUCCUUCUCUUUUUUCUUCUUCUUUUUUUAUCAAUAGUUCUUAAACUCGAACCAACCUAAUAGAUCAACCUAGAAUCCAGGGACUGGAUUGGUCAGGGCUUGUCAAAAAACUGACAAAUGCAACUACCAUGUUGACCGGCCAGCGACCCAAGCUAACUCGGACGAGACCUGGUUUUUGUAUUAAAUGUGAGAUUUAAAACCCAUUAAUAUAUAUACACUUUAUGUUCUCAAGAAAAAAAUUAUGUGUUUAAAAAAAUUUUGGUUUAAAUAUUUCAACUUAAAAUGAUAACAUAAUAUCUUUUCAAUGUGGGAUUUAAAGCCAUUUCGUAUAUAUAUUAUAUGUUCACAAGAAAAAAAUUAUGUUUUUUUCAAUGUGAGAUUUGAAACCCAUUAAUAUAUAUACUGUAUAUUCCCAAGAAAAAAGUUAUUUUUUCAAUGUGGGAUAAAAAACGUUUUUGGUUUAAAUACUUCAACUUAAAGGGUUAACAUUGUAUCUUUUUAAUGUAGGAUAAAAAACUUUUUAAAAUAUUUUUUAAAACUUCAUUAUUUAUAAUAAGUAUAACCUAUAUUUACAUGGGUUUUUUUUCUUAAUUUUUACAUAUGAAAUAUCAAAACUUUAAAUAUAUAUUUUUAAUUUUUACGGGUUAAUCUGAGUUGACCCAUGAAACUCGGGACUUAACUCCCGGAUCGAGUUUAAUAACUAUGUUUCUAUCACUUUUCAUUGAUAAAGUAGAUUAAUAAAUUAUAAAUUAGCUGGUGACCAUUACUAUGAGUAUUGUAAAAACUUCAUUGCACAUUCUAGAAUGUUGCUUGGUAUUUGUUUAACUCAAAAAGAUUUGUAAAGCAAAUUAUAUAUAAAAAAUUAUUUUAUUAUUUAAAGACCAGUAAUUUUAGAUAAAUGGAUGUGAUUUUUUCAAAAAAUAUAAAAACAAUCAAUGUAGUAACUCUUCACAGUAAAUGAGAUUAUUAUGAGACAUAAUUGGUUUUUAUCUUCCACCGUUUGACCCUUUACCUUGCUUUAUAUAUAUAUAUAUAUAUAUAUAUCUUCACAUGAACAAAUUUAAAAUUAAACUAGAAAAACAUUGAUGCGGUGCAACGAUGUUUACCUUAUUAGAUUUUGAAUGAUCUUAUAAUUAGACAAAACCUGAUUUAAAUCUAGUUAAAUCAACAUAAAAAGGAUUUAUUUUAUUUUUAAAAAAUAAACAAAUAUUAUUUUAAUAAAAUAUUGAUAAAAGACCCAUAAUUUAAUUCAAUGAUCUUAUCUAUUCGAUGACAUUAUACCUCCAAGACACAUUCCAAGUAAUCAAAUUAUACGAGAAGCAUGUGCUUUGAUUAUGGUUACUUCUUUUUUCUGUGCAAGAUAUGGGUUAUAAUUAAUAACUAGUGACACGAUUGUUGAGAUUAAGUUAAAAUAGGUUUGAUGAUAAUUGGAUCCUUGUUUUACACUAAUGUGUUUGGGUUUGAUCCUUUUAUUUAACUUUGUUGAUGCUUAUACUGGUUACCAAACAUAACAUAGUGUUUUAUUGUAAGUCUAACAUAUAAACUUGAAAGAAUUGGCCUAGUACUUGAUUAGGAAAUGGAUGUUUCAUGCAUGAAUCUUUAAGGUUGCCUUUGGUUAAAUAUUACUAAAUAAAAACGAUAGACAUUGAAAUGAUAUAAACACGUUUGCUCAAGGAGAUGAAAAUGAAGAUAUAAAAUAAAUAUGUAUUAAUUUAGACGGAUUCUUGUAUUUUCAAGGUAUAAAGUACAUAAAAACAUGUCUGUUUCAAUUUUUUAUGUGCUGAGAUUAAAAUAAAAUGAAUUUAGCUUUAAUUAAUAUACCCAAAUUCUUUUAUGCUGAAUCCUCGAACCGUGUCUGAUUUCAAAAAAAUAACAGUUCUGCACAAAAUUACCGAUACUAAUAAAGCAAAUUAACAAGUCACUUGCGAGGAAAAGGGUAGGAAAGGAGCCUGAAGUACCAUGGAGUGCUAAACAGCUAAUGUCCAUUAAUCAAUCAAGUGGAUGACUUUUAGCCUACCAGAAUUGACUACAACAGUUGGUUGUUAAUGCAGCGUGACAAUCUCAGCUCUUUGAUAAACAUCCUCACAUUUUCGAGACUGAUUAUCCUUAAGUUAAAUAAACAUAAAAAGAGAGAAUAAUUAUUCUAUAAAAAAAAACGUUACAGGUAAAGAUCAUGCUACACUAUCUAAAAUACCCAUAUCAUCCUACAGAAAGUUGGUGGUAAUUACGCUCAAACUGAUAAAAAGGUACCAAUUCAAGGCCUAUAUAAAUCAACAUUGGAAAUGCAAUUACAAACAAAGCUAAAUAUAAAAAAAUAUAAAUUAUUUGACAAAAUAAAUAAUUUUUUCCUUAUCACCUAGAAAGUACAAUAGCACGCAUCAACAACACGAGCCCAUGAAACACAAACAUCAAAUUACAUUCUGGUUAUUACAUUUUAGGAUGGUGCGGCAGGACAAAUAACCAACCUUUCUCAUUGAUUUGUUUGAACUAAAAAAAAAGCUUAAUUUAAUUUUUAAAAAAUUCAGAAUUGUUUUUUUUUUAAAUUAUGAAAAUAACAUUGGUAUUAUAAUCUCAAAAAAAAAAGGGAACGUCUAGGAUUUGUUUAAAAAUAUAAUUGUAAUUUUUUAAAGUUUUUUAUUCGGAAAAAUAUUAAAAUAAUAUUUUUUAUUUUUAAAAAAUAAUUUUUGGUAUUUUUAUAUCAAAAUAUCAAAAAACAAUUAAUUAAAGUAAAAAAAUAAAAAAUUUUUAAAAAAACUUUUAAAAUAUAAAAAUAAAAAAUGAUUAACAGCUAUAUACUCUUCUCUGGAGGCACUGGAACAGAAAUAUCAAAUUAAUUUGAGUGUGAUAGACAGACACUUGUUGGGAGUUGUCCUGGUGGACGGGUUCACAUGCGGCCAUUGUAGUAAAUCAACGCCGGGCAAGAUAUCAAUCCCGUAAGAUCCGUUAUGGCAUGAUCUUCUAGAAGCAAGAAACAACCACGAAAUGGAUCAUGUGGCUCCCAUUAGCCCUACCCCCAUCCAUCGAUUAUCAUGCCAUGCCUAGUCUUUAGCUAUGAUUGAAAGAGAAAACACAAAAACAGCUGAUGUCACAACUGGGUCCCAUACAAAAACAUUCCAAUCAGCUACUCAAGUGGCUUGUGAAUUGUGAUAUCCAUAAAACAGCACAACCACCGGUGGUGGCACGAUCAUUGUUUUUUUUAGAGUUUUGUAUUGUGGGGAUGGUAUCUUUUUAUUACGGAGUCAAUUAAAAAAUUGAUUUAAAAUAAAAAAAUAUAAAAUUUUUAAAAACUCUUUUAAAAUACAAAAACAAACACUCAACUAUUCUAAUAGCCAGAGUUUUAAAACCCGGCCCGGCCCGGUGGGUCGAUCCGGGUCCCGACGGACCCGGGCAUGGAACCGGUCCGGGUGGAGGCCAAAACCUGCUUGGGAAUUGGUCCGGCCAGACCCGGUCGACCCGACAAGACCCGGCCUCAAACCCAUUGACUUUUGUUUUUUUUUGUUUUUUUUUUUUUACUAAAACGACGUUGUUUUGAUUUUUUUUAAAAAAUUAAAAUUGUUUUUUGACCCGUCCGACCCAGCAACCCGGUCGAGACCCGGUGACCUAGCGACCCGGUCGAAACCCGGUGACCGGUCAAAACCUGGAACCCGGGUCUUGGACCGGGCGACUACCGAACCGGAUCUUAAAACUAAUAGCUAAGGUUUUUGGAAUUUGACAGCAAAACCGCGUAAGAGAGAAUUUGGUUAUAUGUGAAUUUGACAGCAAAACCGCGUAAGAUAUUUGGUUACACGUGAAUUUGACAGCAAAACCGUGUUUAUGGUGCAAAGAGAGAAGGGGCGAAGGAAAGUGACAAAGAGCACAAAAGGUCAAUAAAAAUAAUUUGAUCGGUGGUUGAAGUCUCUCUAUCCAGUGUCAGCAACCUAAUAGCCGCGACCACCACGGAAAAAUAUACAGAACUCUCAAAAGCCUUCUCUCUGGAUCACACAGUUUCCGAGAAAUUCCAUCUUUGAAAAAAGUUGGUUUGAUCCGAAAAACAUCACUAAAUGCCAAGCUUUUCACGUGAUGUGAUCAGGCAGCAGAAGACUUCACUUUAUUUGUUCUCUCUCCCUCCUUCCAUCACUUUUCAUUGGUAAAGCAAAUCAAUAAAUUAUAAAUUAUAUUAUUAUAUUUUAUACAUUAUAUUUUGUUUUCGUUUUUUUUAAUUUAAUUAUUAAGGUAUUUCACUUGCAUAACCUCUGCGUUUGGCUAUAUUCAAAGGUUUAAGCCGAAAUAGAUUAUAUUAGUAAAUUUAUAUUGAAUUGCUUAAUUAUAUCAUGAAUUAACAUGUUUGGUAUCAAUGUCAAUAGAAAUAAUUGAAUUGACGCAAUUAAUUAAUUCUUGAUAGCAACUUUAAAGGUAAAUGCAAGACAGUUACCUUUAAUCAGGAAGCAACAACGGACUUUAUUGUAAUGUACCGUAUUCUCAAAUACGAUCUAAAAAAAUAUAUAAAAGCGAUUGUAAAGAAUUUAUAAAACAUUCAGCGUGUUUGAUAUUCUUUUACAAAUUAGAAAUAAUGAAUCUAGUUUACAUAAUACUUUCUUGAUAAAAAAAUCAAAGCAAUCUGAAUGCUUGUAUAUAGGAAUUACAUACAUAAAAAGGGUAAAGAACAGGUAAAGAAGGUAUACUUCUUCAAAACAAUGCUGGGUGGGUGCUAGGAUUUAGAACUCUACACCGUUCAUGGCCAUAGCUAUUGCUAGCUUCUUUACAGAUUUCAGAGAACAAUGAUUACGAGAAUUUGCCAAGUUUUGGUUGCAUCAUUCCAUAGAUGGAAUUUGGAUGUUACCCAAGAUAGUAACCUCUUUUGUGAAACACAAGAAAACCAUUGAUGGAAGCCGGAAACUGGAGCACAUCAGGGAACUAACGUUUUUUUAUUUUUCUGAAAUACCUGUAUUGUUUCCUAUACUCUCACCCAGGGAGAUGAAGGCCGCCACAACCUUACAUAGCUUUCCGUCUUUUCUGAAAUUUGCCGUAAACUAUUUCCUGAUCAACUUUACAUUGAUUUAUGUAAAUUGCCUGCUUGAACUUCGACUCUUGAAUACAAAAGCACAAAAGAAAUUGAAAAGGUAAAAUCCGAAAAGGAGAGCUAAACACACACAUCCAAGUAUAAAUGAGUGGCACAACAUACAUGAUAAAUUUUGCUAGAUUUAACUAAGAGAGAGAGAGACAAAGAUUGUUCAACAAGUGCAAUAAGUUUAGAUAAACAGGGCAAAAUCAUUAAGUGCCUGCUCUCUUGAGUGACAUUGACCACUUUCACUUGCUUCUGAAUUUUGAUUCCAAAACGCGGAUGCUUCCUUGUUAUGAACUAUGGUUAUGUUCACUUGCUUCUGAAGGCUUGGGUUGUAGGUUUCUCAUGUCAAUAGAAGCAAUUCCAAGUAAAUCCAAAGAACAUUGGAUUUUCGUUGCUGAUGUUUCAGUUAUCAGCUUCUUUUUUAUUUAAUUUUUUGUUGUUAAUAAUUCAUAUCAUUUUUUUUAGUAGCCAGUAACCCUUUAAUUGCUAAGCCGGUCAUCCAAUUUAAGAACUUAGCCAUUAGCCAUUCCACUUCUUCUUCCUCUUUUCUUCAUAGAUCCAAACGAACAUAAUUUACUCCAUCUGAAAUCUCCUCAUGAGAAAAUUUAAUUUAAUUUAUUUAUUUACGAAACAAGCACGAAACCCAAAUAUCCCUCUCUCAGAUCACUGGUUUACGAAUGGUACGUAAAGAUUUAAAUCCCAAUUUUUCCUUUGAAAUCCCAUAUCUGAUGAAGGAAUUUGCUUUGCUUCUUAAUAAUUUUACCAAAAUGAUCUCUCUGUAUGUAUGCAAGUUAACUAGAGAGCGGAAAUGGCGGAUUAUAUGAAAAUGACUAGUUAUAUGAACAACAGUCUCCACGAUGGAAGGUGUCGCGGGGUCUAUUUUUUCACUCAAAUUUUCAACCAAUAUUUUCUGCUUCGUCAAGGCAAUGUGCUUUUGUUAGUGCACCAGCACCUAGACCUCUAACAAAAGGCUUCAUCCUUUUACCUUUCCAACCUCUUGGCCAUCCUCCUCUGCUUUAGCUUUCUCUGGUUAGCACCACCUCCUGAAGAAAACACAUGAACAAAUAAAAACAUUUAAUUUAUUUCCUAGAAAAAAAACAUCAAGAGGUCGUUAGUUUUCUUACCUGGGUUGUUACAAGCAACAGCACUAAAAUGACUAUCAUCUUGAUCGGCAUUUUGUCAAACAGCUAGGGUGUGUUCUUUAACUGCACUCCUACUCCAUUAUUGCUUGAAAAGGUUAAUGGCCCAAUAUUUGUUCCCGAACAUAACACAAGCCAUGUACAUUUAAAUGAUGUCGGGCAACGAAACAAGGGAGUGUUGAUGAGAGUUGAAGCAAAACUGGAAUCAAACGAAUGAACAAGCCCUUCUAUCAAAGAUUGGACAAGGCAGGGAAAACUUUCAAGCUAAUAAGCGACUUGACAAAUGAACUAAUGAAAAAAAAAAAAAAAAGAUUUGAAAAGACAGAAAGUAAACAGUUUUUUUGAUCCCUCGCUGUUAUUUUGGGCAAGAUAAUGAGUCAUGAAUUUUAUAUUAUCUUUUCUUUAUGUCUGUUUUUUAUCAAAGUAAACUCCAAAAAAGAUAUGACUUACAUGUACUGCAAAAUCAUUUUUUAACUUCUAUUUGAUAUGGAAUAAAGACAAUUUAAGUUUUUGAAUUUUGAAUUUUUGGAGAAGGGAAAACAGACUAGAGAAAGAGAUGGAGAAUUUUUUUUUUUAAUUUUUUAAUAUGCGGGGAAAGAGAAAAAAGAGAAAGGAUGGGGAUUUUAUAUAAUUAAGGACAAUUGUUUUUUAAGGGUGGUGCUUGCAGUUCAAAAUCUGAAACAGAAUGAUGAUUAUUAUUUAUGGAUAUGAAUGAAAGACAAUAAUUAUGAAAGAAAAUAUCUGUAUUUCAACAUACAGCAUAUAAAAACAUACAGCAUUUUGGACAAUAUCUCUAUUUCAUUCAUCCACAUUUUAACUGAAAUUGCCUUUGAUUAUUGAAAAGAAAAUAAACUAUUUAGUAGCAUUACCUCAAAAAAUAUGUUGGACGAUUGAAAGAAAAGCUCCUUUUAACAUUCUCCUCAAACUACAUCUUUGCUCCGCUGAUGUUGGGGGCCAAUAUAUAUGUCAGGAAUGUGAGAAAUUUUGGGCCAAUCUUUACCUUUUUUAUUUUUUUUAAAUUGUUUUAUUUUUUAAAAAAAUCUCUUAAAAUGAUACCAUUAUAAAUUUAAUAACUUACAGAAAAGGGAAAAAAAAUAAGAUUGUUAGUCAAUCCAUGCCAGACAUUUUGCUAAUAAAAACAUAAAACAUGAUGUUUUUAUUGUGGUGUAACAUAUUAUCUUUUCUCUUAAUGUCUGUUUUUUAUCAAAGUACACUCCAAAAAAGAUAUGACUUACAUGUACUCCAAAAAAGAUAUGACUUACAUGUACUCCAAAAUCAUUUUUUAACUUCUGCUUUAUAUGGAAUAAAAACAAUCCAAUCAAAGUUAAAUAAUAAAUAAAAGAUAAAAAAAGUUUUUGAAUUUUUAAUUUUUGGAGAAGGAAAGAGAAUAGAGAAAGAGAUGGGAAUUUUUUUUUUUUUUAAUUUUUGAAGAUGCGGGAAAAGAGAAAAGGAGAAAGGAUGGGGAUUUUAUAUAAUUAAGGGUUUGAUUUAUCUUUGGAAUCAGUUGCAGAUUUGAUGUUGCCAAGCACGUGAAUAAUAAAAAAUCCGUUGCAAAUUACUUACAUAAUUUAAUUUUUUUAAUCCUUUUUAGCAAUGGAUUUUCUAUUACUAAAUUCUUUGUUGAUAUUAAAAAAAUCAUAUAUACACAUUCUUUUGUUAAAUUAGCAAAAGAAAUAUUCUGUUGCUAAAAUUCGAUAAUAAUAGCCCCCUGUCCAAAAGGACUAAGGGUGGUGUGCUGGCAGUUCAAAAUCUGAAGCAUGUGAUGAUCCUCCAGCUCGAUAUAUUGAAACAGAAUAAUGAUUAUUAUUUAUGGAGAUGAAUGAGAGACAAUAGGAAGAAAUUAUCUGUAUUUCAACAUCCAACAAAUAAAAACAAUACAAAAUGGACAAUAUCUGUACUUCAUUCAUCCAAAUUUUAACUGAAAUUGCCUUUGAUUACUGAAAAUAAAAUAAACUAUUCAUCCAAAUAAACUGUUUGGGUAAAUAUAUAUGUAAGGAAUGUAAGAAAUUUUGGGCCAAUCUUUACCUUUCUCCCUUUCACAACUUUCACCCAGCAUAGGACAGCUGUUAAUUACAAGAGAAGAAAGGGAGGAGGGCAACUCUUCUUCUGGCAUUGACCCAAUCAGAGGACAGUAACUUAUAUCCAAUUCUCUAAGAGAGGUGAGGUGUUGAAGCCCCUUGUAGUCAAGAGAUUUCAGGUGUUUUAGGGAAUAGAUGUGAAGAGAUGUAAGACUUGAGGGCAGAAGCAUCUCUUCAGGGAAGGAUUCAACAUUUUCGUUCCAACUAAUUUUAAAGUGUGAAAGAGAAGGGAGCGAUUGCAAGCCCCAUUGCAUGCGGCCUGCAAUGAGUUUGUUGCAAUCCGAAAUCUCAAGUGAUUGUAAUGCGGAGGGAAAACCCCCUUCUGGACACAACUCAACUUCUGAACAACCAUUUAUUCCCAAACGGUUAAGGGAUGGGAGGAGGGAAUGCAUACUCUCAGGCAACAGCUUCAGGUUGCUGCAACCUUCUAAAUGAAGUCCUCUCAAGACUGGAGCAGGUAACCCUCCUUUGGGAAAUGAAACUAAUUUAGGGCACCCAUAGAUUUCCAUAGUAUGGAGAGAGGUGAGAUCAUUGAGAGGUCUUUCAUGUGCACAUAGUGAUUCCAGAUUUGGACAGUCAGAGAUAGAAAGAAAAUUUAACUUGGGGAGCAAGUCCAGUGCGACGCCUUUGAGAGAAGCGCAGCGUUUGAUUAUAAUUGUCCCUAAAUCAGAGGGUGAACAACCCAUUUGAUCAAUUUCCUCGGGUAGGGACUCUAGGGAGUGGGAUCCAGAAACAUCGAGCGAGUGCAACCUAGGAAACCUAGGAAGUGGAGUCGCGAGCUGCUCACAUCCUUCAAUUCUAAGUGAUGUUAAACGGGGAAGGUUGUGACCAGGUAGGGCCUUUGCAAGGUUGGGGCAUUCUUUGAUUGAAAGAAACUCAAGAAGAGGGAAGGCUUCCCGGCUGCCUUCGUGUGAAAUCCACUCGCGCCACUCUAGCAUCCUUCUAAAAGAUAAUGUUUUGAGGGAUUCAAAUGGCUUCUUCAUAGCAGUACAAUUCCCAUAGAACUCGGAGCCCACAGUCACAACUUUAUCGAAUCUUUCAAUGGAGAGACGCUCUAAAGAAGCUAAUUGCCCGAGCGGUGGUAAGGAGGUGCAGUUUGUACAUCUACUGAGCUUUAAGGACACUAUAUUUGAGAAAGAGGACUCUCCUACCCACUCCGGAAACCUUGUACCUCAACCAUCAAUCUCAAGAUCCUUCACCUUUCUAUUUGGCUCUAAUUUCUCAAGUGUGCUUCUUACGUGUUGUGGGUCAUGAGUGUCACCAUCCCAUGUAAACCUCAGCUUAUCAAGGUGCUCUUUACCUUUUAAAUAAGCCUCAGCAGCAUCCUGAGCAUCCACCACAUUUUGAAGGUUCCUAAUAUGAAGUUCUCCCCGUAGAUGUCGUAGCUUUCCCAAUUCUUUAAUUCUAGUCUCACUCUGUCUUCCCACGAGAAAGUCAGUCAACGUUCGGAGCUUUGUCAGUUGACCUAUAUGUGGUGGCAUCUCUUUCAAAGGCGUUUAUGAGAUGUUAAGAUACCGCAAGUUGAUUAACCUUUCCAGAGAUUCAGGCAACCUUCUGAUUCGUGUUCCUUGAAGAUUCAGAUGUCGUAAGUGCUUCAAAUUUCCAAGAUCAGGUAGCCUAGCAAGUUUUCGGCACCUUUUCAAGAUCAACGUUUCCAAAUUGAGAAGAGAACUCACUUCUUCAGGCAACGUUACUAAAAACUGUGAAAAGGAAAGAUCCAAAUACCGCAAAUGCUUCAACUUGCUAGUUGAACAUAACAUCUUAGCUGCAUCUUUACAACCAGACAUGAUUAGCACUCGUAGGCGCCCAAGUGUUGACUGAAAGAUCUCAUUAUAAAUUUCGGGAGGACACCUCAAAUGGCGUGGAAAAGUUUGGAAUGUGCGUAGAAGUUGGGCUUCACGGAAGUUUUCUAAUAUUGUGCUUGAAAAAACACCUUUCGUAUCUCCAUCUUCGGUAUCUUCACCAUCCGUGUCUUCCGUAUCUACUACGAGUGAUAAAUGUCGAGUCCUUCUGCUGGCCUUGGAAGAAUUAUUUUCCCCCAACCUGGAGCUGAAGCAAAAUUGACCGGACACAUGGGUAGCCAAGUCAUGCAUGAGAUCGUGCAUCACAAAUGAUUAGCUUGAUUGCUGGAAAAACGACCCUGACAAGAGAUCAUCAAAGCACUCAGCACCUGUUUUUUCCAUCUCAUCAUCUACGGAGGGGACUAAGAUGCCCUCUGCCAUCCACAGGAGUACUAAUUCAUUCUUUUGAAAUAAAUAGUCUUUUGGAAAUAUGGCACAAUAAACAAAACAUUGCUUCAGAUGUGGCGGGAGAUAAAGAUAACUUAAUCUCAAAGCUGGGAGGAUAUUGUCUUUGGGUAAAUCCCAUAGAUUGCUUUCCAAUAUCUUCUCCCACUCCUCGACAUCUCUUUGGGUGCGUAGCAGACCUCCGAGUGUUUUUGCAGCUAGAGGAAGGCCUUUACACUUUCUAGCUAUUGCUCUACCAAUCUCUAGCAACUCUUCAUGAGCAUUGGGAUUUUCACCACGAAAUGCAUGUUUGGCAAACAACGACCAGCAGCUGUCUUCCGUCAAUUCUUUUAGAUGAUGAGUUGGAACAGUUCUCAUGACUGAUGCUACACUUUCAUUGCGUGUUGUGACAAGAAUCUUACUCCCUUGUGCUCCGUACUUCAGGGGGGUAAGCAACUUCCCACUCAGCAUAAUCUUCAUUCCAAACGUCAUCUAAAACAAGCAAGAAUUUCUUUCCCUGCAAUCUCUCCUUCAACUGAAGCUGGAGCUUAUUCAGAUCAGAACCAGACUUUGACCGACCCCUCAAGGAACCUUGGUUAACUUCAAAACACUGAAAUCUUCUGAAACACAAACCCAAGCUUUGACACCGAACCGCUCUUGUACUCUGCUGUGAUUGUAUACAAGCUGAGCAAGCGUGGUUUUACCAACCCCGCCCAUUCCCCUAAUGGGGACGACACCAGGGUUUUCUCCAUUUGCAUCCUCUGAUAGAAGCAACUUCAGUAUUGCUUCCCUGUCAUCAUCUCUACCAUAAACACCAGAUUCAUCCACGAGAGAAGUUGUUGGUGUUCUAUGCGAUGAUGGAUUUUCUACAUUGCUGUUGUUCAAACCAAGGGCUGCCAUUCGUUCAACUAAGGGAUCUAGAUCCUGCAAGAGGACUUUUAAUUUUUCUUCGAUCUCUCUCGACCCCAAUAUUUCAAGUGGGUUAAUGAAAGAAAGAAGCUUCUGCGUCUGACCUGUGAAGGUUUGAUCUUCAGCUUCCAACUCCUGCCGUAGAGCUUCAUAAGCAAUCUCAUCCAAGAAGUCGUCGGCUUUAUAGACAGCGUCUUUAAGCAGGUCCAGCCAAUCCCGCACAGCUCUGUUUGUUAUCUGCUUCUCCUCGGCAUCGUCAAGCACCACCCUGAGAGAUGUCAUUGCUGUCUCCAACCUCGUUAGCAGCCUAUCGUUGACUUUUUGGCCUCUCAAGAAGGCAACCACCUGGGGAGAGGCCAUCCUGUCGAACAAAACAUUAAGGAAAGAAGAAAGAAAAGCUCCUCCUACUAAAGCCCCGGCCAUGGUUUCUCCUCUUUGCAAAGUAACGAAGGAAGAGUAAACAAACAAGAAGAAGAAGAAGAGGGGAUUUUGUUCAGGUGACAGAAGGGGAAAGAAUUUGCGUAAAGAACUGGCAAAAGCUUUUUCUCUCUCGGCUGUUUAACUCUUAACUUGUUAUGCUUAGGUGUCCAUUUAAGUGGUAGCGGUUGUCUCUUAUUUUUUUUAUUUAAAAAUAUAUUAAAAUAAAAUAUUUUUAGUUUUUAUAAAUUAUUUUUAAUAUUAAUACAUUAAAAUAUCUAAAAAAAUAAAAAUUUAUUAAUUUAAAAUAAAAAAUAAAAAAUUUUAAAAAAAUAUUUUUGAAACACGUAUCCAAGCCGCAGCUGAAAUGAUAUUCUAUCUUUUUCUUUUUUGAAAAUUUACUUGGUUUGUCUUUGAUUUAUUGUCCUAUAAAUUACAUCUUUUUGACAAAGGGGAUUGAUUGGAAAGACUUCACUAAAUGCUAAAUUAAAUAAAUAAAUCAUAAAUGUCUUUAGAGAUACUUUGAGAUAUUCCUAAAUUGUAAUGAUAUUUUUAUUGUUUUUUUUUAUAUAGUUAUAUACCUAUAUGGAAUAUUGUUGAUACAAGAUGAGAACUUCAACUCCAUAAGCCUUUACAUGCAGCAGCUUAUUAUUUGAAUCAUCAUUAUCAUUAUAAUCCUAAUUUUAAGGUUAAUGCCAACAUUAAAAUUAGAUUAUAUCAGUGCUUAGAAAGGAUGGUUCCUAAUGCAAGUGAAAGGUGCAAAAUUGACUUGCAACUUGAAUCAUUCAAAGAUGCAAAAGGGUUGUUUGGCAUUGAGGCUGCUAAGACAGCAAAAGAUUAAAAAACUUCAGCUCAAUGGUGAGAUUCUUUUAGGGAUGAAUGUCUAGAAUUACAAAGGUUUGCAAUCCGAGUUCUAAGCUUGACUUGUACUUUAUUUGGAUGUGAGCGUAACUGGAGUGCAUUUGAAAUUGUGAGUUUUUUAUUUUAUUAUUUUAAAUGUUGACAUAUUUGAUAAAAAUCUUAUAAAUUUGAAUUGUUUAUUUAGGUUCAUACAAAAUGAAGAAAACGGUUGCACCAGAGAAAAAUAAAUGACUUGGUAUUUUUAAUGUGCAAUCUAAAAUUGAAUAAUAAUCAAGUCAAAAAGCAAGCUGAUGAUUUUGGUGUAGAAGAUGAUCUUUCAUCUGAUGAUGAUUGGAUAACCGAGGGAGAAAAACAUUUGAACAUUGAUUUGCUUGGUGCUAUUGACAGUGCAACACGAAGAAAAAAUAGUAAUGAAGAUGAAAGUGAUGAAUAAGAAAUUCCUAAUGAUGUUGAAAUGGAGAGUCAUGGUACUGAAGAUGAUUUAGAGAUUUAAAUUGAUGAUAUUGGUGUUGGUACUAGUAGUAGCUCUAAUGUUUAUAAUAUUGGUGUUGGUACUAGUAGUGACACUAAUAAUCAUCUUGAUGGUAUUGAUAUUGAUGAAUAUCUGAGGAAUAAUGAGGAAGAUGAAGGCAUUGAAGUUGGUUUACAUGACACACCAGCAGAUUGUUUGUUUUAAGCUUGUUAAUUAUUAGCUAAUGAAAAUUUAUUUAAAUUAUGUAUGAAUUUUUAUUUGAAGCAUGUAUUUUAAGGUGCUUGAACUAUGUAUGAAUUUUUAUUUGAAGCAUGAAUUUUUUGUUAAUGUAUUUUAAAAUUCUUUGCAAUUUUACAAUUUUACGAUCCGAGUUUGUAUUGUAUUUUCCGUGCCAUGUCAAAAUCACAAUUUUAACAAAUCCACUCUUUUUGGGAGGUAAAGUCUACAAGAUAGUCUUGCUUCUUUUGAAUAGAUGACAUCUUUUGACAGGACAUUGGAUUUGGGAUCCUGGGAAGGGGGGGAGAAUUCGUUGCCAAGGAGCCUCUCUAUCCUGCCAGGUAAAAGACGUCAGAUACAAAAAGAAGGAAGUUGCUGAUUUUAAAUCCUCAAGCUAUUAAUUCUUGGCUAACACAGCAAUCACAUAAUAAAAGUCUUCUAGAUGGGUUGAAAUUCUAAAGCGAGAGUGUCCAAGUUCCAAACCUGAUCAAACGCUAUAAUUCUACGUCCAGGUUUGUCAAAUAAGGAAACUCCAGGAGAACGUCAGGAAUUGACUGGCGCCGAAUUACUUCACUAAUUUUAUAGGCCAACAGAGACUUAAGGUCAUGCUAAAUUGUAGAAUCGCAUGGAUUUAUCAUGUGAUUAAUUCUUGUCUAUAUUAAAGAAUUCUAAAAGGCGUGGGAAAACACUGUAGCUUCCCAACGCAUUUUAAUUAUACUUAAUAUAAUAAUAAUAAUAAUUAUUAUUAUAUAUAAUAAUAAUUAUUAUUAUUAUAAUUAUAUUAUAAUAUUAUAAUAUAUUUUUUUCCUAUUCUGUAGCAAUUUUUUUUUCCGUUUUUUUCCUCUUUUUUUUCUAUACCUUUUUUUUUCAUUUUUUUUUUGCUUUUGGUUUUUUUUUUUUCUAAAAAAAAACAAUAUGAAUUGCUACAGUGUUUCUCCUACAUGGUUUUUGUUUUGCUGCAGUGUUUGCCCACAUAUUUUUUAAAAAAAUUAUCUUUAUCGAAUUUAUUUUUUCAAUAUUGAGCUGGCUGAUAAUAUAGCUUUAGCUUUUCCCACAUGUUUUUUUAUUUCUUUUUCCUUUUUUCCAAAAUUGUCAUUUUUUACAUAUAUUUUUUUAUAUAUAAUUAUUUUUGUUGAUUUUAUUUUUUUUGCUAUUGAGCUGGUUGAAAUUUUAGUUUUUUUUUCUUUAAAACAUUGUAGAUUGCUAUAAUGUUCUCAUACAUUGGUUUUUUUUAUGAUUUAUUUAUUCUUUUUUUUUUCAAAAUGGUCUUUGUAGAUUUUAUUUUUUUUAUAUUAAGUUGAUUGAGAAUUUAACUUUGUAGUUUUUUUUUUCUAAAAAAAAACAAUAUGAAUUGCUACAAUGUUUCUCCUACAUGGUUUUUGUUUUGCUGCAGUGUUUGCCCACAUAUUUUUUUAAAAAAUUAUCUUUAUCGAAUUUAUUUUUUCAAUAUUGAGCUGGCUGAUAAUAUAGCUUUAGCUUUCCCACAUGUUUUUUUAUUUUUUUUUCCUUUUUUCCAAAAUUGUCAUUUUUUACAUAUUUUUUUUUUUAUAUAAUUAUUUUUGUUGAUUUUAUUUUUUUUGCUAUUGAGCUGGUUGAAAUUUUAGUUUUUUUUUUAAAACACUGUAGCUUUCCCGACGUGUUUUUUUUCUCGCUUUUGUUUCUUUUUUUUACAUUUUUUUUUCUUUUUUUUUUACCCAAAAUUGACUUUUAAAAAAAAACAAUAGGCUUUGUCAGUUUUUGUUUUUAUAUUGAGCUGGUUGAGAACUUAUCUUUGUAGCUUUAAAAAAAAAAAAAACACUAUGGAUUGCUACAGUGUUUCCCUUACAUGGUUUUUGUUUGUCUGCAGUGUUUUCCCCACAUGUUUUUUUUUAAAUUAUUUUUAUCGAAUUUAUUUUUUUAAUAUUGAGUUGGUUGAGAAUUUAGCUUUAGCUUUAGCUUUCCCCACGUUUGUUUUUUUAAUUUUUCCCAAAAUUUUCUUUCUUCUUUAUAUUUUUUUUCAUAAUUUUUUUUGCUGAUUUUAUUUUUUUAUUAUUGAGCUGAUUGAUAAUUUAGUUUUUAAUUUUUUUCUUUAAAACACUAGAUUGCUGUAGUGUUUCUCUACAUGGUUUUUUAUUAAAUAAUUUUUUUUCAGAAUUAUCUUCGUCGAUUUUAUUUUUUUUAUAUUAAGCUGAUUGAGAAUUUAGCUUUGUAGUUAUUUAAAACACUGUAGAUUACUACAGUGUUUUCCCACAUGAUUUUUUCCUUGCUACAGUGUUUCCCCACAUGUUUUUUUUGUCGAUGUUUUUUUUCCAAAUAUGUUUUUGUCAAAUUUAUUUUUUUCAUACUGAACUAGCUAACAAUUUAGCUAUUUUUCCUUAAAACAUCGUUGAUUGCUACAGUGCUUUCCCAUAUAUGUUUUUUUUUAAAUGGUCUUUGUCGUUUUUAUUGUUUUUGAUAUUGAGCUGGUUAAACAUUACAACUGUAGAUUUUCUUAUGAAACACUAUAGAUUGUUAUAGUGUUUCCAUGGAUUUUUUUUUCCUUUCGUUUUUUUUUUUAUAUUUGUCAAAAUUAUCUUUAUUGAUUGUUUUUUAAUACUAAGCUGGUUGAGAAUUGUAGUUAUAUAUUUCCUCACAAACACUAUAGAUUGCUACAGUGUUUUCUUAAAUUAUUUUAAUAAUUAGCUGGUUGACAAUUUAGCUUUAACUUUCCCCACAUGUUUUUUUUCAUUUUUUUAUUAUUUGUUUUUUGCUUUUUUUUCUUCCAAAAUUGUCAUCUUCUUUUUUUCAUUUUUUUUGUUUUUUUUAUAAUUGUUUUUGUCGAUUUUUUUUUUAAUAUACUGGUUGAGAAUAUAGCUUUGUAGUUUUUUCCUUUAAAAUAUUGUGGAUGGUAACAUUUUUUUUUAUGAUUUUUUUCACAAAUCCACAAUAAUGCACAAGCAUGGCACAAGCCCGCGGUAUCGCGCGGGCAUGUCACGCCUUUUACUAAUAUAUUUACUUAUUAAUAUAUUAUAUUAUUAUAAUUAUUAUAUUAUAAUUAUAAUUAUAAAUAUAAUUACAUUGUAUUAUAUUAUAUUAUAUUAUAUAACAUUUUUUUCCCUUUUUUUCUUUUUAAUUUUUUUAAUGAAUUUUUUUUGUUUGAUUUAGUUUGUUAUUUUUUAUUUUUUAAUGGAUCUCGGAUUUGAUGGGUUAGCCUGAUUUGACAAGUUAUUUUUUUCAUUUAGUUUAGUUUGUUAAUUUUUUAUUUUUUAAUGGAUCUCGGAUUUGAUGGGUUAGCCUGAUUUGACAAGUUAUUUUUUUCAUUUAGUUUAGUUUGUUAAAGUUAAUUUUCUUUCUAUUUAAUUACCAGACUUUCAUACUUUCAUGACGCGUGUCCUGAGCUUGACGGGUUAACCCAGUUAAUUCUGGGUAAACCCGUCAUUUGUUUUUCUAUUUAGUUAUCAAACUUUCAUAAUGUGAAUCCCAGGUUUUACGGGAUAACCUAGUUUAAAGGGUUAACCCAAUUAAUUCAAUUUGUUUUCUUUUUCUUCAUUAGUUUUUUCCUUUAUGUUGAUUUUUUUCUUUGUUUUUUUUUAAUCAAUCUAUUUAAUUAUCACACUUUUAUGACACAACCUUAUAUCUAGACCCACAUCCAAUAUUCUUGGGUCCGGUGUUGCAGUCAGGCUCACUUAAACUUGGGUCAUGCAAGUUUAAUUUUAUUAUUAAUAUUAUAAAUAUUAUUCUUAGGUCAGGUGUUGCAGCCAAACCCAAGUUUCUUGGGUAUAACUUUGCAGAAAAACCCAAAAUUUUUAAAUUUUUAUUUUUUUUAAUAUUUUUAUGCAAAAAAAAUAACCCGCGGCAUCGCGCGGGUCAAGUGUCUAGUUAAAGAACUCUAAAAGGCGUGGGGAAAGCAUUGUAGCUUCCCCACGCCUUUUAAUUAUACUUAUAUAUUAUUAUUAUUAUUAUAUAUAAUAAUAAUUAUUAUAAUUAUAAUUAUAAUUAUAUUAUUAUAUUGUAAUAUAUAUUAUUUUUCAUUUUCAUUUUUUUUCUAUAUUUGUUUUGGUUUUUUAUGCUUUUAUGGUUUUUUUUUGUUUCUUUCUUAGUUUUUUUUCCUUUUAAUUUUUUUUGUUUAAUUUAGUUUGUUAAUUGAUCCCGAGUUUGACGGGUUAACCUGGUUUGACGAAUUAACUAGAUAUUUUAUUUUUUUGCUUUUUUUUCUUUUUAAUUAAUUUUUUUCAUUUAGUUUAGUUUGUUAAUGUUAAAUUUCUUUCUAUUUAAUCAGACUUUCAUGACACGUAUUGCAAGCUUGACAGGUUAACCCGUCAAUUUUUUUUUCUAUUUAGUUAUUAAACUUUCAUGACGCGAAUCUAAGGUUUGACGGGUUAUCCUGAUUUGAAAGGUUAAUAAGAACUCUAAAACGCGUAACUUUUUCACUAUAGCUAAAGCUCUUUUGUUUUUUUUUUGCAGUUUCUUUUUUCGUUUUUUCUUUUGUGGCAUUUUUUUUGUCGUUUUUGGUUUUUUUUUCAUGUAGCAUUUUUUUUUGCUUUUGUUUUUUAAAUGUUUUUUCACUGUAACAGCUUUUUUUUCUUUUUGUUUUUCUUUUUGUUUUUUUUAACGCGUGGGUUUUUUACUUUAGCUGCUUUUUUUUUCCACGCUUUUGUUUUUUCUGUUUUUUACAUAUAAUGUAUCAUUGUGCACACAGUGAUACACUGACUUUUUUUUCGUUUUUUUUUUCAUUUUGCCCAUGGGUUUUUUUUUUUUGCUUUUUUCUUUGUGUUUUUUUUUCUUUUAAUGAAUUUUUUUUUGUUUAAUUUAGUUUGUUAAUGUGAAAAAAAAAAUAAUUUCGUUAUCAUACUUUCAUUACACGGAUCUCGGUUUUUUUUAUAUAUUAAGAUGGUUGAGAACUUAGCUUUGUAGCUUUUUUUUAAAAAAAAACACUAUGAUUUUUGUAUAUAAUUUAGGUUAACUUGGUUUGAUGGAUUACUACAGUGUUUUCCUCAUAUGAUUUUUGUUUGGCUGCAGUGUUUCCCCCACAUGUUUAUUUUUUAAAUUAUCUUUGUUAAAUUUAUUUUUUUAAUAUUGAGUUGGUUGAGAAUUUAACUUUAGCUUUCCCCACGUUUUUUCAUUAUAAUUAUUAUUAUAUUGUAUUAUAUUAUAUGAUUGUUUUUUUCUUUUGUUUUUUUUAAUUGUUUUUAAUGAAUUUUUUUUGUUUGAUUUAGUUUGUUAAUGUUAAUUUUUUUUUUUUAGUUAUCAUAUUUUCAUUAUACGAAUCUCGAGUUUGAUGGGUUAACAUGAUUUGACGAGUUAUUUUUUUCAUUUAAUUUAGUUUGUUAAAGUUAAUUUUCUUUCUAUUUAAUUAUCAGACUUUCAUGACACGUAUCCUGGGCUUGAUAGGUUAACUUGGUUUGAUGGGUUAACCCGUCAUUUGUUUUUCUAUUUAGUUAUCAAACUUUCAUGACACAAAUCUCAGGUUUUACGGGAUAAUCUGAUUUAAAGGGUUAACCCAAUUAAUUCAAUUUUUUUUUCUUUUUCUUCAUUAGUUUUUUCCUUUCUGUUGAUUUUUAAUUAAUCUAUUUAAUUAUCACAUUUUUAUGACACGACCUUAUAGCCAGAUCCACAUCCAAUUUUCUUGGGUCCGGUGUUACAGUCAGGCUCACUUAAACUUGGGUCAUGCAAGUUUAAUUUUAUUAUUAAUAUUAUAUAUAUUAUUCUUAGAUCAGGCGUUGCAGUCAAAUCCAAGAUUCUUGAGUAUAACUUUGCAGAAAAAACCCAAUAUUUUUUUUUUAAUAUUUUUUAUACAAAAACAAUUACUCGCGGCAUCGCGCGAGUAUCAAAGCUAGUAUAUAUAUAAAACAAGAAGGGAAAAGUCUGUUAAAAGGAAUGAAGUUUCAUGCUUAGGGCCCUCCAUCUUGAGAAUUAUCAUGAAGCUGUCUUGUAAUCCUUUUGAGAAUUUGAUGAUAAUAGCCCCCUGUCCAAAAGAAUAAUUUGAGAAUAUUCCCAAAUAUUCUAAUAGCUAAGGUUUUUGGAAUUUGACAGCAAAACCGUGUAAGAGAGAAAGAGCGAAGGAAAGUGACAAAGAGCACAAAAGGUCAAUAAAAAUAAUUUGAUCGGUGGUUGAAGUCUCUCUAUCCAGUGUCAGCAACAUAAUAGCUGCGACCACCACAGAAAAAUAUACAGAACUCGCAAAAGCCUUUUCUCUAGAUCAUACAUUUUCCGAGAAAUUCCAUCUUUGAAAAAAGGCUAGAAGAUUAAAAUGUACAUCGUAACCUGGGAUCAUAUCUUAUAAACUGUACCACUACGAAACAAAGUAUUUUUUUUAACUUAAAAAAAGAAUAUUAUGUAAAAACAAUCUGAGAUACGUCUAAUUGGUUCAAAAAAUAUAUAAAAAAUACAACUACAAUAAAUUAAUUAAAAAAAUAACAAUAAAAAAAAUAAAAAACCAGAAUUCAGCUCUCCCGAAUUAUCAAACAACUCAAUAUUAAAGGUGAAACUAUAAAAAAAAUUAAAAAAACACAAAAAACCCUAUUAAACCAGGUGAACUCACCAACUUCACAACCAUGAAUAUAAGAUUGAGAUAGUCUCAUGGAAAGAAAAGUAUGACAAAAAAUUAAAUAAAAAAAUUAAAAUAAAUUGAUUAAAAGAGAUAAAAAAAAUAUCAUCUCAUGUCAACCCAUCGAAACUGAUGAUUUCUUAAAGAUAGUAACCUCUUUAAUCACCACUUAUGAAUUAUUUUAUUUUAAAUACUAAAAUUUUUAAAAUUAUAAUUUGAGUUUAAUUUUUUUUUAACAGUCAUUAUCCAUUACAAAUAUUAUAAUCCAUUUUAAAAAAAUAUUUGGAUAAAAUUUAUUUGGAAAUAGAGACUGGUAAAGAGGUGAAUGAGCCAAUCUCAUAAUUUACCAUUAAAAAAUAUUUUGCUACUACUCGACCCAUAUCUAUCACCCUAAACCAAUACACAUACUUGCCCAUGUAAUACUUGGAAAAAAUUAGCUUUUCAGUAAUGUUCAUUUUAGUCCAUGAGUUUUUAAAACGUUUUUUAGUCAUAUAUUUUUCUAAGAAAACAUUUUUUUUGUUAGAAUUUUUUUUCAAGUUUUUUUUUUUACAAUAAAAAAUGCAUCCAUCCAACAAAGUUAAUGUUUAAACAUGUAAGAUAUACUCAAAAUUAUUUAAAAAGUAAUUUAAUUUAAAAUUAUAUAUUUAAGAAAACUAAAUAGAAGAUGAGCUUCACUUUCAAGCUAUGUAUAUAAACUUAUUAAAUUAACAAAAAUUUAUUGUAAAUUAAAUUAAAUAUCCCAAGAAAAAAUAGGUAUUAAGGAAACUCCAGGAGAACGUCAGGAAUUGACUGGCGCCGAAUUAGUUUACUAAUUUUAUAGGCCAACAGAGACUUAAGGUCAGGCUAAAUUGUAGAAUCGCAUGGAUUAAUUCUUGUGUGUGUCUAUAUAUAUAUAUAUAAACAAGAAGGGAAAAGUCUGUUAAAAGGAAUGAAGUUUCAUGCUUAGGGCCCUCCAUCUUGAGAAUUAUCAUGAAGCUGUCUUGUAAUCCUUUUCUUUUGGAACUAGUCAAGGCCGGCUACCAUCUCAGAAAGGGUCGUCCUAACUACGAUUUUUCUAAUGCCGACGUAUAAGGCAAGCCAGACAAUGCACCGACCGGUGGUGGCACGAUCAUUGUUUUUUUUUUAGAGUUUUGUAUUAGGGGGAUGGAAUCUUUCUAUUAUUGAGUUAAUUAAAAAAUUAAUUUAAAAUAAAAAAUUUAAAAUUCUUAAAAAUUCUUUUAAAAUACAAAAACAAACACUCAAAUAUACUAAUAGCUUUGGUUUUUGGAAUUUAACAGCAAAACCGUGUAAGAGUGGAAAAGCGAAGGAAAGUGACAAACAGCAUAAAAGGUCAAUAAAAAUAAUUUGAUCGGUGGUUGAAGUCUCUCUAUCCAGUGUCAGCAACAUAAUAGCUGCGACCACCACAGAAAAAUAUACAGAAAAAAUAUACAGAACUCGCAAAAGCCUUUUCUCUAGAUCAUACAUUUUCCGAGAAAUUCCAUCUUUGAAAAAAGGCUAGAAGAUCAAAACACAAAUAUUGUAGGCAAGCAGUUUCACGUCCAAUACAAGCAGUUUCAUUUCUAUGAAAUUGCUCUCGCACACCAUUCUAUUCUUCAGCUACAAUUAUUUAUCUGCUGCUGUUAUAGAUGAACAUCAGACAAUCCUCACUAUUGCUCUACCAAUUUCUUGUAACUCUUCAUCAGCGUUGGCAUUUGUAGCUUUACCCUGGUGCAGCAUCCAUGAGUGCAAAGAUUGUCCAGAAAGAAGAUUGUUCAACAAGUGCAAUAAGUUUAUUCAAGGACAAAUAGAAGGAAAACAAGAUCCAUACAAAUUCACUGGAAUCAUCAAUGCAGAGAACUUGCACAACUUUAGAUAAACAGGGCAAAAUCAUUAAGUGCCUGCUCUCGUGAGUGACAUUGGCCACUUUCACUUGCUUCUGAAUUUUGAUUCCAAAACGCGGAUGCUUCCUUGUUAUGAACUAUGGUUAUGUUCACUUGCUUCUGAAGGCUUGGGUUGUAGGUUUCUCAUGUCAAUAGAAGCAAUUCCAAGUAAAUCCAAAGAACAUUGGAUUUUCGUUGCUGAUUUUUCAGUUAUCAGCUUCUUUUUUAUUUAAUUUUUUGUUGUUAAUAAUUCAUAUCAUUUUUUUUAGUAGCCAGUAACCCUUUAAUUGCUAAGCCGGUCAUCCAAUUUAAGAACUUAGCCAUUAGCCAUUCCACUUCUUCUUCCUCUUUCCUUCGUAGAUCCAAACGAACAUAAUUUAUUACAUCUGAAAUCUCCUCAUGGAAAAAUUUAAUUUAUUUAUUUAUGAAACAAGCACGAAAUCCACCACAAACCAACUGGCCAGCUACAAGCACCUAUGCAUCCAAUGUUGCUGUGUUUCUGCCUCGGCUUGGACAGCCCAUUGUCCCAGCCCCAAUGUCAUGGCCAUUUCAGCACCUAGACCUCUAACAAAAGGCUUCAUCCUUUCCCCUUUCCAACCUCUUGGCCAUCCUCCUCUGCUUUAGCUUUCUCUGGUUAGCACCACCUCCUGAAGAAAACACAUGAACAAAUAAAAACAUUUAAUUUAUUUCCUAGAAAAACACAUCAAGAGGUCGUUAGUUUUCUUACCUGGGUUGUUACAAGCAGCAGCACUAAAAUGACUAUCAUCUUCAUCGGCAUUUUGUCAAACAGCUAGGGUGUGUUCUUUAACUGCACUCCUACUCCAUCAUUGCUUGAAAAAGGUAAUCAAGCCAUGUUCAUUUAAAUGAUGUCGAGCAACGAAAGAAGGGAGUGUUGUUGAGAGUUGAAGCAAAACUGGAAUCAAACAAACUAGUAUAAGAUAUGGAAAGCCAAAGCUGUUACUUAAAUUGCCCUCUUCGGUCAUCCACUUCUUCUUUUAAAUUCCUCGGUCUGAGAACAAGCCCUUCUAGCGAAGAUUGGACAAGGCGAGGAAAACUUUCAAGCUAAUAAGCGACUUAAUAAAUAAACUAAUGAAAAAAGGAAGAAUUAAAAAGACAAAGGAAAGAGUUUUUUGAAUCCCUCGUACAUUCCUCCGUGAUACAAGGCUUACAUCUUUGGGAAGAUAUAAUUAUGGUGUUCAUGGAUAAUUAGUUUAAUCUUGUUAGUUAUUUUGGAAAUUUUAUUUAAAACAUAAAGAGAUAUAACUAGAAAAAAAAUUGUAAAUUUUUUAUAUUUUUUUUAUAGAUACUGAAUUUUAUAUUAUCUCUUUAAUUUUUUUUAUUAAAAUAUAUUUGAAGAAUAACUAAUAAGAUAUUACUGGUUAUUUUCUAAACACCAUAAAAUUCUACUAGAAGGCAAGGUAUGCACUCCAAAAUUGUUUUCUAACCUCAGCUUUAUAAGGAAUCAAUUUUUUUUAAUAAAAAAUAAAUAAUAAAAGAGAAGGAUAAAUCAAAAGUUUUUGGAUUUGGAGAAGGGGAAUAGACUAGAGAAAGAGGUGGAGAAAAAAUUUGAAUUUUUGAAGAUGCAGAAAAAGAGAAAAGGAGAGAACUAGAGAAGGGAUAUUUUAUAUAAUUAAAGGUUUAAUUUAUUUUUUGAAUCAGUUGCAAUAAGUUUAUUCAAGGACAAAUAGAAGAAAAACAAGUUCUUUACAAUUCACAGGAAUCAUCAAUGCAGAGAAAUUGCACUAUUUUAGAUAAACAGGGCAAAAUUAGAUUUCCCUUCUAAUUUAAUGAUCAUCUGCAGAUUCAAAGUAAGGAGGCGGCAACAAAUUCAGGCAAAUUCAAAUGAGUGGUUUGGAAUUUAUAAACAUGAUACGUAAUGUUGCUGUUAGUAAUAUAAAGGGACCUUGGGACAACAAAAUUAAAUGUGUUAACAUGAUUUAAUUUCUAUUUGAUUUAUAUCACUCAAAACUAUUCUAUAAAUAAUUUAUUUCAAAAUUAUAUUAUUUGAUAAAAUUAAGUGGAAGAUAAGCCUCAUUUUCAAGCCAUGUAAUUUACACCUUUGCUAGCAAUCAAUUAACCAAGAUUUAGUUUGAUUAUAUUAUUCUCUAAGAAUAAUUUCACUUCCAAUUAAAAACUUCAAUUAUUGAUUAAGAAACUAAAAAUAUUUAAUGUAGAAACCCAUUCAAUUAAUUGUUGAUGAAUGAUGAUAUCACAUGAUAACCCAUAGCACAAAUUCAAUUCAAUUUCACAAAUUCUACAGCUCAAUCACCCACAAUUCAAAUACUACAAAAACUCCAGCAAAUUACGACACUGCAAACACUUGAAGACAUCACCAAGCACCAUUCAUGAAAAUGACCAAAGGCAAUAAGAUUUGAGGGUGAGCUGUAAUUUUAAUGCCAGGAGAAAACAGAGGAAGCAUCUGACUAUGAGAACAGAGUCGGAGGAUUGCAGUCAGCUUCUACGACCGGAGAAUAGACAACGGCGGGAAACAAACGAUGCCACAACCCAAAAGAUACAAGAGGAGCCAGCAGCUGCCUAUGUAACACCAAAUUUAGCAUCAUUCUUUAAAAUGUCUGGCCACGCAAAUUUCUUAACAAAAUUAUUGAAAAUUUCUUUAAGAAAUAUUUUAUUAAUUGAAAAAUAUUUUUAUAAAAUUAUAUUCACUGCAUUAUCAAACAUACACAGCCUAUUAGCCACGGUCUUUGAGCAUUUCCAAAACUAUCCUCCGAGAAAUGCAGUACUGGUAGCUCUGUUCUGACCCGUCGUCUACUUUGUCAAGCAUUGGUCAAGGAUGAAAACGCUGUGAAUCGAAGCAUAGUUUCCGUUAAAGGUAUUUUUAGUUUCUGCCAUGGUUUAUUUCUGUUGCUCAUUGUCACUCUUGGAAAUUAUUUGUUUUUAUGGUGAUAUAAUUUUUUUUAAAAUAAUAAUAAUUUUUUAAAAAAAAUUGUGUUUUUGAAUUUGUUUGUAGGGUGAUACAGUUUUUUAAAAAUAAUAAUAAUUUUUUAAAAAAAAUUAUAUUUUUAGAUUGUUUUAAUAUGUAAUGUGAAAUAUUAAUUUUUAAAAAUAAAAAAAUAAAAAAAUAAAAAUUAUUUAGAUAUAUUUUUAAAUAAAAUAUAUUUUACAAAAUAAUUACCACCAUAAUAUGUUGGGAUGUUUUUAUAAAAUAGGAUGUAAAACUACUGAGAGCCUACAAGGUUUUAUUUUUUAUGGUAAGUUAGAGAUUUUGUAGGCCCAUUUAAAAUUAAUAGGUUGGAUCGUGAUCAUAAAUAAAGAUUGAGAAUUUGGUCUGAUUAUGCAGAUAACAUGCCUUAACUUGUCUAAAGUUAUGUAUGGUGUUACUAAACCCAGCUCAAGAUAAGUUAAGAGCUUGGAUUGGAUUUUAAAUUAAAUUGGAUAGAAUUUAACUGGAUAUAAUUCAACUUAUUUGAUCAAUCAAAACUCAGUUUAAUUUAAAAAAGAUUCACAUCAUUUUAUUUUUUAUUUUCAAAAAAUUCUUUAAGUCAUAUCACUUUGUAUUGAUUUAUGUUAACCCACUACUUGAAUUAUAAUUCGAGUUGGGUUUAAUAACUUAGAUAAUAUUAUUUUCGUUCGAAAGUAAAGGUAUAAAAAUUGAUGAGGUGCAAGUUAGAGAGGGGAAUUAGUGUGAAUUAUGCUGGUGAACUUCAUAAAUUUAUUUAACUUUCGCAUUGCUUAUUUAUCCUCUAAGGCGUGUGAUUUCUUUUUUAUACUGGGUGGAAAACAACGACGUGGGGUAUUGUGUCAUCUAGUGACCGUUGCAAGAUGUUUGAAUCCUACUAAAUGCACCGCAUGGCUGUUAGACGAUUGUAGGGGUAUUGUGUCACAAAACACACCGUUUCAAUUACCACCUAGACACAUCGUUUAAAUGAUGGUGUUUCUUUUAUUUAGAUGAGAAUCUUGCCACGUGUUGGCUAUUGCUUGAUAAUUGGAAGUUGUUCUGUUAUCCGCUCUUUCAGUUAGUAUUUGUAACAGAAUGCCAGCGUGAAAAUAGAAGAAUGAAAAAUGUUGGCUUAACCAAUUUAUGUCCCUCUUCGAGGACUUUGAGGAGUUUGGGAGGCGAGGGCGGAGAGCCAGGAUUUUUCUUCUGUCCUGAACUAUUAAAUAAACAUAUAAUUUUUUUUAAGAUAAAUUAUUAACUAAUGUAUAUGAGUUUUUAAAGUUAAUAGUAAAGUUUUAAUUCAAAUACAUUAUCUAAAAUAUAAAAAAAUAAAUUUGAAAAUAUAUAAAAUUAAAAUGAAAGUAAAAAUAAACUCAUUAUUAAAGUUACAUCUUUCGAUGUUUUGUGGAAUAUAAUUCAUCUAUAAUCGAAUUUGAAUCGAUAUUGUAACAACCCUUGAACUGGGAUAAAAUAAUAAUCUCAUAUCAACUGAAAAAUAAAAUAAUUAAUUUUUUUCCCUCUCUCAAUUCCUCCUUCCUUCAGUUGAUUCUUCCUUAGAUUAGUAUUUUAUAAGUUGGACUUUGUAAGUUUUCAAGGUUAUUUUCUUACUUUUCUUAUCUUUUUUUCUAGGAUUUUUUUUAUGUUUUUCUCUUACUUUUCUCUCUCUCUCUUGCCUUUUCUUUUCUUUCAUUUUCUAUUCUGCUUCUGCCCGGUCGGCAACAUAUAAAGGAAGGAAAAACUGAUUUGUUUUAUUUUUUUAAUGGCAAAUAAUAAUUUUACCCUUAAUGAGUCAUUUUGCUUUUUUUUGACGUUUUUUUUGUUAGCACUACCAAAAUCUGUUCAUUUUAAAAUUUAAACCAGAUUUUAUUCAAUAUAUUUUAAGAUUCCUUGUAAAAUUUCAGCUCAAUCUGAUGGUCAGAUUGAAAAUUACACUCAAUAAUGUAAAUUGGUCAAAUUAUGAUUUUGUUUUUUAUCAAAUUUCUGAAUUUUUCCAAAAAUUCUGAAAUUUUAACCCAAACUAAAGCAUCAUAUUAGAAGGCUCCACGUAAAUUUUCGGAAUUUUUUCAUGCCUCAAUUGAGAAUCAUAAAUUUUCUUUACAUAAAACUAGUACAAAAAUAUUAAUAAAAUCUUGACCUGAGCUAGAGCCCACCCUAGCCCAUUCAUGCCUCCGCCCUUGUUGGGAGGCAAGAAGUAACUUCGGAAGGUUAUGUAGAAGCUUUGCGUGCCAGAUUUAGAGACAAGAGUAUGGUUAUAUUGGAAGAUUGAUUAUAAGGAGAACUGUGUUAAAGUGAAAAAGUAUGACUUGCAGUUUUUUUUUUAAUGGAUGGAAAUUUUGAAGGAAUUAGGAAUUGGCAAAGUGUUCAAAUGGUGUGAUUCAUUUGGAAAUUAGAUGGAGUUUUCAUAAGUGAUGAGAGAUAUUGAUUUAGUUGAAGAUCAAGGAGUGGUUGUGGUAUGGGAUUUAGGGGAAAGUGAGUGGUUGUGACGAGGAAGAAUCGAUCAGUAGUAUUUGAAUGUGGCACACUGACAAAGAGUGAAGAAAUAAUAAGAAAACUAUUAGAGCUUCUCAAGUGUUUUAAUUUGGGAGUCGUUUUCACAGGCCAUAUUGUAAUGUUUUGAAAUUAAUAAGAUAGGAUAUUACAACAAAGCCCUUGGAGGCUUAAAAGUUGGAAUAAAUGAAUAAGGGGUAUUAUGGUAAUUGAACAAAAAUUGAUAAAUAUAAAUAGGAAGUAAAAAAAAAAAAGAAAGUGAUCUGAAAUUAAACCGUGAGAGAGAGAAGGAGAAAGAAGAAGAAGAGAAAAGAAGGGAAAAAGGAAGAGAUUGGAGGAAAUAAGUGAAAAAGGUAAGAUUUAGGUUGUUUAAUGUGUAUAAUAUGUUAAUUAAGCUUUAAUUUCAGUUUUUAUGAAUGUUAGGGUUUUGAGAAUUUGUGUUUGAUUUAAAUUGAUGAAUUAAAUUGAAGGUUAGGGGUUGAUUGUUGUGUUAAUUGAUGAUUUAGUUGAUUAUGGAAGAUUAUGAUGAUUUUGAGUUAUAGUUUUGUGUAAAUGGUGAAAUUGUGUUAGAAAUCAGGGGAGAACAGUGGGGUUUCUGUUAAAAUCUGGACUGGAGGUUGAAGAUGACGAAAAUUCAAUUUGGUCCCUCAAUUUCCGAAAAUUACAGUUUAGUCCCCGAACUUUGGAAAAUUACAAAUUGGUCCCUGGAGCAUAUUCCGAGAUUCUGAACAGAAUAACAUAUGAAUUAUGGACAUAAUUACUGUAUAGAUAAGAGAAUUUAACACUUUCAAUUUAGUCCUCCAAUUUGACAAAAAGUACGAUUUGACCCUAAAAAUUUAGUAAAAUUCCAGAAUGAUCCCUGAAGCAUAAUGAUACAUCCUGGACAGAAUUGAGGAUUAAUUAAGGUCAGAAUUUCAGUAUAUUCAUGGAUUUAUGACAAAUUUCAGUUUGGUCCUCCAUUUGACAAAAGUUACAAUUUGGCCCUAAAAAUAUGGAAAAAUUCCAGAUUAGUCCCUAGCUGUAAUAUUAGCUUUUGCAGAUUAGUUUGAUGAAUAAUUAAGGGUUAUUUAGUGAAUUAUUACCAAUUUUAUUAGUUGUUUUUAUUAUGGAUUAGAUUUCGGGAAAACCGUUAGAUUUUGGGUUUUUAAGAAAAUUGACUAGUUAGUUCAAAAAAAAAAUAUAGGGUUACGGAAUACACCCUUAGUUAAGUGUAUUAAAUAGGUUAAAUGUUCUUUCGAGUCGUUUUUGAAUAUGUCUCCUUUGUAUUCAGAUAAUCCUGAUAUUCUACCGGCAGGACGUCAGUAGAAUUUCCUUCGGUUUCAGCUUGUGUGUGUGUUUGCUUUUGAGUCAGGUGAGUGGAUAAUUUUCCAUAUGCAUGAGAAAUAUUAUAAAUAUUUGAUUUGUUAAUAUGAAUUGGAUCAUGCUUCUUGAUAAUAUAUAUGCUGAUUAUUAUCCUUGAUAUGAUAAAGCAUGAUCAAUUAUUGAAUCUGAUUUCUUGAUAUGAACCAAUAUGAUUUGACUUCUGAAUUGAUAGCUCCUCAUUUGAUGGAUGUCAUGAGUUGAGCUUUGAGAUAUGAAUAUGUUUGUUUGAUUAUGAUUAUGAACCUAUGGUAUGUCAGUCAGAAUACCCAUGCUAACAGGGUAGUGUUAGUCUUUGUGCACAUCGUAUCUGAACCCUAGUUGGUCGGGGGAGUCACCAACAUGUGUGGAUUGAUCAUCCCACAGUACGGAGCCUCAUGCUCAUUGCAUUUUGAUUUUCUGACAAGUUUUACCAUAUGAUAUUCUUGUUAUGGCCUAUUUGAUAAACCUGCGUAUAAGAACUAAAGCCAUACUUGUAUAUAUAUUUCUCAUUGCUAUAUUACCUCAUGUGUGUAUAUUGAACAUUAUCUACUCACUGAGUUGUUGAACUCACCCUCUCAUUAUUUAUCCUUUUCAGGCUUAUAGCUUGAUAGCAUGUCACUUUUGUUGAAUCUUCUGAACCUGCUUUUUGGUUGUAAUUUGUACCUUCCUUUUAUGUCAAGUUAGUGCUCCAAGACUAUGAAUAUAUAUGAACUCUUGUAUUAAGACAAUUGAAUUAUGUUAUAAAGUUAGUUUUGUUGUUACUGCUGCGUUGAACAACUCUGAUUGAGUUUUGAAGGAUAAGUUUGUAUGUAAAUUUGGGUUCGUAUAGGUACACGGAACCUUGGAGGGGAACCUUGCCUAUGUGCCGGUCAUGGAUCCGGGAUUCGGGUCGUGACACAUAUAGCUAUGAAGCUGGUGGAAAUAUGCAGGGAAAGGGCUGCAGGAGGGAAGAAUAUAAUUUUUCUUGGGAACUGAGGGAAGAGUUCAGCGAAUGAAGUUAGGAUGUGGAAAGAGAUGGAGCUUGUGAUGAUAAGAGAAGCUACGCAUAGUGAUUGGUGAUUACGAAAGUCGUGUGGAUUCAUAUCUAAAGAAGCUAUGAAGAAGGUAUCUUUGAAGGCACUUCCCUCCCUUUUCCUUGCAAAGUAGCUUGGAACUGAUGGAAAGAUGCAAAUUUAUUUGUGGAUCAGUUGAUGGGGUGCAAUGUGAUAUCCUCCUUCUUAAAGAUGUUCACACUAUGAGGUAUUUUUUAUUGGAUAUCCAACAGAAAAAAACUUGAUAUUGCUUGGUUUGUCUUCCAUGGAUAUUGAUAAAAAGGUGAUAUGCAUGCCUACUGGAAAAUGUACUUCUUCUUGCUGGGUCUGAAAUUCAAACUUACGUUCACUAGGGACCUUUCAAUAAUGUUGUUGAAGUGAACUGCUAGGUCAUUAAUCACAAGUCAAAAUAGGAGACUGCUGAUGGUGCAUCAGUUAGAGAUACCUUUGAUUCACAUAUUCAGGAUUCAGAGUUUUGGGCCUUUUACUUUGAUUAUAGAUGUACAGCUAUAAAAUAUUGUCUAAUUUUUAUUGAAUAGGUUUUAUUUAUGGUAUUAGGGCACCUAAGUUUCUUUCUCCGGUGACACACUUAUUGGUAAUGUUUGGUUGUGAUCUUGGUGUCAAAUAAUACCAACGAAAAGUGAGAAAGGGAAUCUUCUUUAAAUGGGAUUUGAGAAGGUUUAUGAUCACUCGAGUCAGGGAGGACCAUGAGAAAGUGAUGCAGGUAGCGUUAGAUGUUAUAUCGUACUGUGAAGAAAUUAGUUCCAAAAAGAAGAUAAUUUGCCUUGGUUUUAUUUGUCCAGACUGAAGUUUUCAAAGUGCUCUGUACAUGCAAUGAAGCUUUAGGUCUUACUUCAUCUUAUUGAGAGCAUGCUUUGGGCCAUCUCCUCCUUUUCUUUUUUUAAUUUUGUUGAAAUUUUUAAAUGAAUCAUGCCAAUGGCUUCUACUUUCUAUUUUAUUUUUAACACAAUUUAGAACAUUUUAGUAUUUUCUGCAUGACUCAAUUAAAUAUUUGGUUCCCAACUCAUUGACACUAGCAACUCUCGUACACACACGUGUGCUCAUAUGUGCCCACGCACACCUUACAAGGAACUGAACUGAUUAAUUAGUGUAUUAUUCAGAAUAUUAUGUUGGGAAAAAUAGUCUUGCUAAGUUACCCAGAGAUUAACUUGUGACUGUUUCAUUCUUCUCAUGUAUCCCACAUUUAGUGAUGAUGCUUACUCACUAUCUUUCCAGCUUACGAACAUAAUAUGGGGUGAGGCUGAAGAUAGUGAUGACCAUAUCGUGCCAUAUCCGGAGGCAAGUGAAGAUUAUUGCAAGAAAAAGGAAUCGAGUGAAGAAGCUAGCACCAUUAAAUCUAGUGAGCAGAAGGCACCUGGGGCUAAAGUUGAUACUGAUGGCAGAAAGCUGGAGAGCAUUUCGAAUGUUGACACAAGUGAAGGAACUUCUUCCUUAGGACUUGACAUGGACCGAUGGCCUAACUUGUCCUCACGUAAUGCUGCCAAAACUGAGCAGGAUUCUUUGGAAACUUCAAUCUCUAACAAUCUAACUGAGAUUACCAAACUCGAUUCAUCAGCAGGUGAUGAGAUUUCAAUUACAAGGAAAAAAUGUAGAUAGGGUGACGAGUUGCAUGAUGUUUUCAUAGCAUAGUAUCUUACAUGCUACUGUCUAUUCUAAUUCUUUUUUUAAAAAAACGCAGAGACAGAUCAUCUUGAUAAGGACACUGAGAUUUUUCAAAAUCCUCAUGAAGGUGAAGAGCAAGGUGAUUUUGCUGAUUAUGGCUGGGCUAGCAUUGGAAGCUUUGAUGAUCUUGAUCGAAUUUUUAGGUAAAGCACAGUUACCAUUUCUUACUUUCUGCACCUAAAUGAAAGAUGGUCAGCAGCACCCUGAUAUGGAAGCUUGUAUAUCUCAUUAUUCUGAUAAUUUGAACAAAUUCUUAUUACUGACUGUGAAGUGAAAGUUUCGCGAACAAAAUAAUUAUGCUCACUGUCUAUUUUCAUUUCAGAAGAAAAAAAUCAUGUAGUACAAGAGUGUUGUUGUGAAGGAAAAACAACCAGACUCUUUUAAUAAUUGUAGUUUCUUCUGUGUUGGAUCUAUAUCCUUUUCCAAACAAGUGCUGUCUGCUGAAAGCAACACUAACAAAAAAUGACUAGUUGUUUGAAAAUUUAUGGUUUUUGAUCCUUGGCUUAAUUUUGUUAAUUGGGAAAAGAACCUGAAGGAUGCCAGUUUUUAGCAGCACAAUAUCCUCAAUUACAAGUAUAAAUGGCAGAAAGAAUGUAAUAUAGCAGCACUGGAUUUGUAAGGAAUUGGUGAGCUUGUUCAAUUGUGGAAGGGCUUUCCUGCAUUUCUGUUCUUCACUAAUGUUCUUAUAUUUUAUCUUGAUUCUGUUGGAGAACAGUAAUAACCAUCUGACUCAAUAUCCUCACAAGUGGUGAUUUUGCAGCAAUGAUGACCCAAUAUUUGGCAAUGUAAAUCUUGGUAAUGCUGAUGAGCUAUGGUCUUCUUCAAAAUGUACAACUAACAACUAAUACCUCAAUAUAUUCUGAACAAUAGAAACCCUUCCGAUCAUAAGUUACAGCUAAAAACAAAAUAACAUUGAAUUUAUCCUUACAAACCAUGUACUGAAUUAAAAUACUAACUGUGCCUUAGUCACUCUCCCCUGCAGGGCUAGAUGGUUAAAACGUUGAUCUAUUCUAAGUAAUUUGUCUAUUUAUUAUAGUUCUGUGAUCAGAGUUACAGGCAAAAGAAGAUCUUGAAAGAUCGGGAAAAACUGGAAGAAAAAGGUGAACUGAAAUCAUACCAAGAUUUUUAUGGAAACUGGACUUCAUCUGGAAUCCCAGCCUCUCAACUUAAGGAUCCCAAAUUAUGCAAUCUUCUCCCCCUUCAAUUCUCAGCCAACAGAAGCAGCUACAGGGUUCCGAGCAGUUGCAGUACCAGCAGAUAUCCAAUCCAUUUGUGACCCCUUCUGCAUACGGGAGUAUUACAAAUCCAUAUUCUAUGUUAGUGAUACUGGCAGUACAAACAAUAGUUGCAGGGACUAACAGAGGAGCUGACCUUGAAGUAGAGGAUCUAAGUACACUUGCUUCAUUUGACCCAAACUCACCUAUUGAGCAAGACGAUUCCAAUACAGUCUCCCUGGCAGUUAAUGAUUAUUCAAUGGAGGACACAGUACUCUACAGGCUUCAAGAUAUUAUUUCAAAGGUAUGCUUCACGUACUAUUGCAUUCUUUCCCUGCUAAAUAAUUUGUGCUUGGUUACGAUUCCAAACCAAUGUUUUACAACAGUUGGAUGUCAGAAUUACAACAGUUGGCUCAAAGUGCAAUGCAAAGGCAUUAUGCUAGUGAUACUGGCAGUACAAACAAUAGUAGCAGGGAAGAACAAGUUGCUGCAAAAGAGGAAACCAGCAGUCAAGGAAGGUUGGUUAAGGCAAUGCAUUUCUAAUGCUUCUGUUUUCAAAUUUAAUCUAUCCUCUCUCUUUUUUAACAUUUUUGCUCUAUGGAAAUGUUAAAUUAGGAUCUUUUUAUGCCAUCACCAUUUUCUGUUUUCCAUUCUCAUUCUAGAAAUAAAUAUUGAAAACGGUAUCCUCUAUUUACAAUGGAGGAAUAGUGACUGAAACAAUUCAAUUAAGGCAGCGCUUGUUCUUAGAAGUAGAAGAAAAUCUAAACAGAAAAUUUUAGGGUCCUCUUUCACUGGAUUUCCUUAAAAACUUGACUGAAUUUGACCUUGUUGAUCAAAUAUGUAGUAGUUCGCUUCCACUGGUUCUGUUAUGAUUGUGAGUGCUGGUCAUCAUGUCUUGAUUUAGUUGAGAGAAGCUUUGGUAUUGUAUGUAGGCCAACCUAGGUAGAGGCAGAUAUUAAACUGACAUUUGUAGCUUUACCCUGGUGCAGCAUUCAUGAGUGCAGUGCAGCAAGUAGUCAUGAGUGACAAUUCAAAUAGCAUAAUAUUUAGUAGAGAUUUUCAUUUAAUUAGAAAAGGAAAUUUAAUUUUUCCAAUAUUAACAAAAUCUAUGCAAGUUUUCUGCAAUGUUGAUUCCAGUGAAUUUGUGCAUAAUCACCUUAAUCCGAAAAGAAGAGCUAAACACACACAUCCAAGUCUAAACGAGUGGCACAACAUACAUGAUAAAUUUUACUAGAUUUAACUAAGAGAGAGAAACAAAGAUUGUUCAACAAGUGCAAUAAGUUUAUUCAACGACAAAUAGAAGGAAAACAAGAUCUGUACAAAUUCACUGGAAUCAUCAAUGCAGAGAACUUGCACAACUUUAGAUAAACAGGGCAAAAUUAAAUUUCCCUUCUAAUUUAAUGAUCAUCUGUAGAUUCAUGAUACAUUACAUUUUAAACAAGAAAUUUAAGAACUCAAAUCAUCUUCUAAUCGGCUCAUCAAUGUCUAAAUGGGACACUUCCAGCCAAAACCAUAAGCUGUUUUGAUCUGAAACUCGAUUUUUUGUUGUAAGCGACAAUGUAAUUGUUUCUUGUUCCAAUGGGUUUGUUCCUUUACAUCUCGUCCUUCCCAUUUCAAAUCAUUCAAUUUGUUUGCACAAAAUUAUUAAUCAAGUCUUUAUCAAUUUGUUUAGAGUAUGGCAAUCUCAAACUUGCCUGUCAUUUUCCUCAUGGAUUUUAUGAGUAUACUGCAGGGUGGUUAAGAUGCCUGAGGUGGAAACAGAGACCAAUCCGGUAGACCGGACUGUGGCUCAUUUGCUGUUUCAUAGACCGAUGGAUAUUCCUGGGAAGCAUCCUGAUACACCUGAAUCACCUUUUUCAACUAAGCUCCCGUGUGAGCACAAGACAAUGGGCCUAGCAAAGCUGUCAACGGGAAGCCUGUCUGAGACUCCGAAAGGUAAACCAAACUUUUCGCAAAGGGGGUCUCGACUUUCUAGUCUCUUGACCAAUGCUCAGCCUGUAAGUCAGUGUAAAAGCAAUCCUUGCUUAGACGAUUCAGAGGAUGCAUCAAACAAUGGGCCUGCUGAUGAAGGAGCUAGGGAGGUUAAAGCCUCUCAAUGAGGUAAUUCCUACCUGAAUCUCUUCCAUGCUUGCAGUGACGAUUUACUAGUAAUGCCGAGGUUUUCUUUUAUUGUCAGCUCACUGGAUCAUCAUGAGGAAUAAACACCAGUAUUGAUGGGGAUUUGUAAAUGUCUUUAGCAGCGUAACCAUCAAGAAGUUAAUAUAGCUACGUAUCUACUGCAAAACAAUGAACUCUUUGCUGUGGGUUCUCAAGAUGAUGACUUUCUGUGCUUUAAUCCUUUCUGUUGAUUGUGCGUAAGGAUGAUGCUCCAAUAAUUAUUAGCAGAUUUGCAAGUGCCUACUCUCUCGAGUGAUAUUGGCCGCUUUCACUUGAUUCUGAAUUGUGAUUCCAAUACGCGGAUGAAUUUUAUAUUAUCUUUUCUUUUUAUAUCUAUAAAGAUCUUUGAUGGAAGUAAACUUUAAGAAAAGUUUUUUAAUCAAAGUUAAGUGAUAAUAAAAUAAAUAAAUCAAAAGUUUUUGGAUUUUGAAUUUUUGGAGAAGGGGAAUAGAUUAGAGAAAGAGGUGGGGAAAAGAUUUUGAAUUUUUGAAGAUGCGUAUAAGGAGAAAAGGAGAGAAUGGAGAUUUUAAAUUUUGAAUUUUGAUUUUGUCGCGUCAACAACGAAAAAUCUGUUGCAGAUUAUUUAAAUAUUUUUUAAUCCGUUUCAGCUCUGCUAGGCCCGUUGUCUUUUAAGAUGGACACUUGUUUUUUAAGGGUGGCGCUAGCAGUUCAAAAUCAGAAGCAUGUGAUGUUUAUUUGCCGCAGUUGAUAGAGGAACAAUAGUAGCAUUAAUUAUAGCAAAAAAGAUAUUGAAAUAGAAUGAUGAUUAUUAUUUAUGGAGAUGAAUGAGAGACAAUAGGAAGAAAAUUUGUAUUUCAACAUCAAACAAAUAAAAACAUACAACUUUCUAGGACAAUAUCUGUAUUUCAUUAAUCCAAACUUAUGAGCCGCCCUUGCUUGUAGAGGAAAAUUUGGAUCAGAAUGCUGCAAAGAAACAAUGGAGGAUUUAGACCAAGAGCAUGAAAAGGAUAUGUAAAAUACACAAAUAGCUACGUAAUGAUAUUUGAAAAACAAUCUUGUUUUGUGAAAAUGGGCAAUUGGUAAUACUGACAUGAAAAUGCAAAGGAUUAAUAAUGGUGGAGAAAUACAGAGUAACUGAGAAAGAACAUCAAAUGGAAAAGCUCACAAUGAGUCAAAGCUGAGGGAGCAAGCAAAUCAAUUUUAUCGUUCUGGCAAGAAGGAAGGGCGACAGAGCCUUCAUGAACUGUAAGUAGAAAGAUGGAUUUGGAUCCUGCCAAAAAUAAGCAUAGAAUUAAUAGUGGAACAUCACAAAUUUUAACUGAAAUUGCCUUUGAUUACUUAAAAGAAAAUAAACUAUUUAGUACCUCAAUAUAUUGGACGAUUGAAAGAAUGUGAUUUAUGUAUUAGCUCCUUUAAAAGCUCCGAAUAUGUAUGUAAGGAAUGUGAGAAAUCUUGGGUCAAUCUUCACCUUUCUCCCUUUCACAACUUUCACCUAGCAGAGGACACUUGCGAAUUCGAAGAGUAGAAAGGGAAGAGGGCAACCCUUCUUCUGGCAUUGACUCAAUCAGAGGGCAGUCCCAUAUAGUCAAUUCUUCAAGAGAGGUGAGGUGUUGAAGCCUUGGAAGAGAUUUCAGCAUGGGACAACUGUUAAUUAAAAGAGAAGAAAGGGAGGAGGGCAACCCUUCUUCUGGCAUUGACUCAAUCAGAGGGCAGUUACGUAUUUUCAAUAAUGUAAGAGAAGUUACGUAUUUUCAAUAAUGUAAGAGAGGUGAGGUGUUGAAGCCCCUUGUAGUCAAGAGAUUUCAGGUGUUUUAGGGAAUGGAUUUGAAGAGAUGUAAGACUUGAGGGCAGCAGCAUCUCUUCAGGGAAGGAUUCAACAUUUUCGUCCCAACCAAUAACAAAGCUUGAAAGAGAAGGGAGCAUUUGCAAGCCCCAUCGCAUGCGGCCAGCAAUGAGUUUGUUGCAAUCCAAAAUCACAAGUGAUUGUAAUGUGGAGGGAAAACCCCCUUCUGGACACAACUCAACUUCUGAACAAUCUCUUAUUUCCAAAUGCUUGAGGGAUGGGAGGGGGGAAUGCAUACUCUCAGGCAACUGCUUCAAGUUCCUGCAUUCUAUUAACUCAAGUCGUGUCAAGACUAGAGCAGGUAACCCUUCUUUGGGAAAUGAAACUAAUUUAGGGCACCCCUUGAUUUUCAAAGAAUGGAGAGAGUUGAGAUCAUUGAGAGGUCUUCCAUGUGCACAUAGUGAUUCGAGAUCUGGACAGCCUGAGAUAGAAAGAGUAUAUAACUUGGGGAACAAGUCCAGCGCGACGCAUUUGAGAGAAGCGCAGUACUCGAUUGCAAUUGAGCUUAAAUCAGAACAACCCAUUUGCUCGGGUAGGGACUCUAGGGAGUGGAAUUCAGAAAGCGAGAUAUCGAGCAGCCUAGGAAUCUUAGGAGGUGGAGUCGCGAGCUGCACACAUCCACUAAUAACAAGAUUUGUUACACGUGGAAGGUGGUGACUAGGUAGGGCCUUUGCAAGGUUGGGGCAUUCUUCGAUGAAAAGCUCUUCAAGAAGAGGGAAGGCUUCCCGGCUGCCUUCGUUUGAAAUCCACUCGCGCCACUCUGGCAUCCUUUUAAAAGAUAAUAUUUUGAGGGAUUUAAAUGGCUUCUCCGUAGCAGUACAAUUCCCAUAGAACUGGGAGCUCACAGUGACAACUUUAUCGAAUGCUUGAAUUGAGAGAUGCUCUAAAGAAGCUAAUUGCCCGAGCGGUGGUAAGGAGGUGCAGUUUUUACAUCCAAUGAGCUGCAAGGACACUAUAUUUGUGAAAGAGCGCUCUCCUACCCAAUUCGGAAACUCGACACCUCCAUAACCAUCAAUCCGAAGAUCCUUCACAUUUGUAUUUGGCUCUAAUUUCUCAAGCGUGCUUUUUACGUGUUGCGGGUCAGGAGUGUCACCAUCCCAUGUAAACCUCAGCUUAUCAAGGUGCUUUUUACCUUUCAAAUUUGCCUCAGCAGCAUCCUGAGAAUCCACCACGUUUUGAAGGUUCUGAAUAUGAAAAUCUCCCCGUAGAUGUCGUAGCUUUCCCAAUUCUUUAAUGCUAGUCUCACUGUGUCUUCCCACGAGAAAGAAAGCCAACGUUUGGAGCUUUGACAGUUGACCUAUAUGUGGUGGCAUCUCUUUCAAAGGCGUGUAUGAGAUGUUAAGAUACCGCAAGUUGAUUAACCUUUCCAGAGAUUCAGGCAACCUUUCGAUCCUUGUUCCUAGAAGAUCCAGAUGCCGUAAGUGCUUCAAAUUUCCAAGAUCAGGUAGACUAGCAAGUUCUUUGCACCUCACCAAGAUCAACGUUUGCAAAUUGAGAAGAGCACUCACUUCUUCAGGCAACGUUACUAAACGUGACCAGGAGAAAUCCAAAUACCGCAAAUGCUUCAACUUGCUAGUUGAACAUAACAACGUAGAUGCAACUCUACAAUUAGUCAUGAAUAGCACUCGUAGGCGACAAUGUGUUUGAAAGAUCUCCUUAUAAAAUUCGGGAGGACACUCCACAUAGCGUCCAGUUCGGAAUGUGCGUAGAUGUUGGGCUUCACGGAUGUUUUCGAAGUUUGUGCUUGAAAAACGGCAUCCCGUAUCUACGAGUGAUAAAUGUCGAGUCCUUCUGGUGGACUUGGAAGAAGUAUUUUCCCCCAACCUGGAGCUGAAGCAAAACUGACCGGACACAUGGGUAGCCAAGUCAUGCAUGAGAUCGUGCAUCACAAAUGAUGAGCUUGAUUGCUGGAAAAACGACCUUGACAAGAGAUCAUCAAAGUACUCAGCACCUGUCUUUUCCAUCUCAUCUGCGGAGCUGACUAAGAAGCCCUCUGCCAUCCACAGGAGCACUAAUUCAUCCUUUUUAAAUUCAUAGUCUUUUGGAAAUAUGGCACAAUAAGCAAAACACUGCUUCAGAUGUGACUGGAGAUAAUGAUAACUUAAUCUCAAGGCUGGGAGGAUAUUGUCUUUGGUUAAAUCCCAUAGAUUGCUUUCCAAUAACUUCUCCCACUCCUCGACAUCUCUUUUGGUGCGUAGCAGACCUCCGAGUGUUACUGCAGCUAGAGGAAGGCCUUUACACUUUCUCGCUAUUGCUCUACCAAUUUGUAGCAACUCUUCAUGAGCGGUGGGAUCUUCACCACGAAAUGCAUGUCUGGCAAACAAGGACCAGCAGUAUUCUUCCGUCAAUUCUUUUAGAUGAUGAGUUGGAACAGUUUGCAUGGCUGAUGCUACACUUUCAUUGCGUGUUGUGACAAGAAUCUUACUCCCUUGUGCUCCGAACUUCAGGGGGGUAAGCAACUUGACCCACUCAGCAUAAUCUUCAUUCCAAACGUCAUCUAAAACAAGCAAGAAUUUAUUUCCCUGCAAUCUCUCCUUCAACUGAAGCUGGAGCAUAUCCAGACUAUCAGAAUCAGGCUUUGAACGGAACGCCUCAAGGAUAACCUUGGUUAACUUCAAAAUACUAAAAUCUUCUGAAACACAAACCCAGGCUUUGAGAGUACCGAACCGCUCUUGUACUUCGCUGCGAUUGUAUACAUGCUGAGCAAGCGUGGUUUUACCAACCCCGCCCAUUCCCCUUAUGGGGACGAUACCUAGGUUUUCUCCAUUUGCAACCUCUGAUAGAAGCAACUUCAGUAUUGCUUCCCUGUCCUCAUCUCUACCAUAAACACCAGAUUCAUCCACGAGAGAAGCUGUUGGUGUUCUAUGCGAUGAUGGAUUUUCUACAUUGCGGAUGUUCAAACGAAGGGCUGCCAUUCGUUCAACUAAGGGAUCUAGAUCCCGCAAGAGGACUUCUAAUUUUUUUUCGAUCUCUCCCAACCCCAAUAUUUCAAGUGGGUUAAUGAAAGAAAGAAGCUUCUGCGUCUGACCUGUGAAGGUUUGAUCUUCAGCUUCCAACUCCUGCCGUAGAGCUUCAUAUGCAAUCUCAUCCAAGAAGUCGUCGGCUUUAUAGACAGCGUCUUUAAGCAGGUCCAGCCAAUCCCGCACAGCUCUGUUUGUUAUCUGCUUCUCCUCAGCAUCGUCAAGCACCACCCUGAGAGAUGUCAUUGCUGUCUCCAACCUCGUUAGCAGCCUAUCGUUGACUUUUUGGCCUCUGAAGAAGGCGACCACCUGGGGAGAGGCCAUCCUGUAGAAACCAAACAUUAAGGAAAGAAGAAAGAAAAGCCCCUCCUACUAAAGCCCCGGCCAUGGUUUCUCCUCUUUGCAAAGUAACCAAGGAAGAGUAAACAAACAAGAAGAAGAAGAAGAAGAAUAGGGGAUUUUGUUCAGGUGACAGAAGGGGAAAGGAUUUGUGUAAAGAACUGGCCAAAGCUUUUUCUUUCUCGGCUCUUUAACCCAACUUGUUCAUAAAGCAUCUCUAAAGGGAAAUGUUAUUUGAAGGAGGUAAAUUGAUAAAAUAAUAUUUUGAAUAGUAUAAAUAUAGUUUUUUUUAUUAUGUAUAUUUUAAUGGAAAAAAGUCAUUUGAAAAGCCAAUUCUAUUAGAGUAGAAUAAAGAAGUGUUUUAUUUUUUUUUAUGAUUUUAAUGUUAUUUUUUUUUCACAUGGCUAGAUUUAAUUGGUUUAUUCUUUUGUUGGCCUCACUUGAUUAAUUUUGACUCUUUUAAGAGAUAUGUAGAAAUAGUAUUUGUGGAAGAGAAGAGGCAUUUUAGCAUUUUGUUUGGUUUUUUUCUUGGAGUGUGCAAAACAAGCCAAGAAAAACUAAAAUAUUAAUUUUUUAUUUUUAGCUAUUCAUUUAGCUUCUCCCUCUGCUUAGGAAUCCAUUUAAGUGUUCACUGUUGUUUCUGAUUGUUUUUUAUUUAAAAUAUAUUAAAAUAUUUUUUAUUAUUUUAAAUAAUAACACAUUAAAAUAUUUAAAAAUACUAAAAAUAUAUUAAUUUAAAAUUAAAAAUAUAUUUUUUUUUUAAAUCACUGAUACAAGCUGCAACUGAAACGAUAUUCCAUCUUUCUUCUUUUUUAAAAUUUUACUCAGUUUGUCUUUGAUUUAUUUCCCUAUAAAUUACAUCUUUUAAAAAAAGGGGUUUGAUUGGAAAAACUUCACAAGAUGCGAAGCUUUUCACGUGAUAUGAUAAUGCAGCGGAAGACUUCACUUUAUUUCUUUUAUCUUCUUCCUUCUAUCACUUUUCAUUGAUAAAUUAAAUAAAUAAAUCAUAAAUUAUACUUUAUAUUAUUAUAUUGUAUACAAUUAACUCGCAGGCUUGGCAAAUUAAGCCAGACUAGAUGUUUUUUGAAUUAAUUUUUUUUGAAUUCUAUUAUUUAAUAUUAUAUUUUAUUAAAAUUUAAGUUUCAUGAUUUGUUUUGAUUUAUUUUUAUUAGGUUAUCUUGACCUCCUAAUCUAAGAAUAUUGUUUAACAGGUUGACUCGGGUUGACCUAAAUAUUUUUUGUGUUAUUUUUAAUUUAAAUUUCUAGAAAUUGCAUCGUUCACGUUGGAUUUGAUACUUUUUAAUUUAUUUUUAUUUACUCUUUAAGAGGUUAUCUCAGUCUUGUAAUUAGAGUCACAUAUUUGAUGACUUAAAUUAGGUCAUUGUUUUAUUAUUUUUUUAUAAGAUUAUCUCGAUCUCAUGACGAGUUAUGAGUUUGAUGGAUUGAUUUGAGUUAUUUUUAUGUUUUUUUUUUAAAUUGAUUUUUUUUAAUCUUAUCCUUCCAUGCUUUAUUUGUUUUAAAUUUAUCUUUUAAUAUUUGAUUGGUUGAGAAUUAGACUUUAUAAUUUAUUUUCUAUAGAGUUAUCAUAGUCUCACAACUCGGGUUAUAAAUUUAACAAGUUAACUUGGGUUGAUCAAAAUCAAUCUAAUUUGUUGUUAUCUUAAUAUUAAAAAAAACAUAUCAUCUUGAAAAUUUUUUGAGUUAAAUUAUAUUUUUACUCGUUAUCUAGGUUGUUUUUUAAACUGCAAAUUCAAUCAAGUCACAUGAAAUAAAUCACCAUAUAAUUUUAAAAACAUUUACUGGAAUAAAUUAAAACAUUCACAAUUUGAAUAUUUUUAAGAAAACUUUGACUCGUAUUCAAGUAAAUAAUCCAAUUUUAAAUUAGAUAGCGUACAUUACUUUCAAUAUUUUAAGGAACUCAUUAAACAUUUAAAAUUAUUAAUCUCUCUUGUAUUAAAAACAAUUACACAAAACUUGAAGCUUUGCAUAAUAUUUGCUUAAUUCUAAAAGAAUGGUGGAAGGAAUCAUUAAAAGAUAAUUGAAUUCUUAAAUAUCAAUAGUUUUAUAUAAAUAUAUAUGUGCUUUUUUAAAAAAAUACAUAGACAACCAACAUACUACCCUUCAUAAAAAUAAAAUAAAAAGAUAUUGUUAAAUAUAGUAUAGUACUUUUGACAGCAAAACCGUGCUUGGUUUUUACCGUGUCCACGUGUUUGUGGUGCAGCGAGAGAGAGAGCAUAGGAAAGUAACAAACUUCACAAAAGUCAAUAGGAAUAAUUUGAUUGGUGGUUGAAGUCUCUCUGCUCCUCAUUAUUUGUUUUAAUUUUUUUUUUUAGGUUAUAUAAUACUCAUUGACGAGUAAUAAUAUUUAAUGGGUUAAACUGCAUUGAUCUAACUUAUUUUUUAUAUUAUUUUUUUAAUAUUUUUUUUAUUAAUUACAUUGUUCAAUACUGAGUUUUACAUGAUUAAAUAAAGAUUAAAUUUUAUAAUUUAUUUUUUGUAAAAUUAUCUUGGUUUGAUAAUCAAAUCAUGAAUUUAAUAAAUUAAAUUUGAUUAUUUUUUAUUUGUUAAUAAAAUUAUCUCGAUUUAGUAACGAACUAGUUACAUGCCCCGCGCGAUUUCAUAGGUUAAUUAUUUUUUAUAUUUUAAAAAAAGCCAAGAUCUAAAAGUGUUAGGUUUUUUUGCAAAAUUAUACUCAAGAGUCUUAGGUUUGGUCGUAACGCCUGACCCAACAGUAGUAUUUAUAAUAUUAAUAAUAAAAUUAAACUUGGGUUAACUCUUAGCAUAAAAGUGUUUGAACUGCAAUACCAGACCAAUAGCAUUGGACGUGGGUCUAGCUGCAAGGUCGUGUCAUAAAAAUAUGAUAAUUAAAUAGAUUAGUUAGAAAGAAAAAAAACAAACAGGAAGAAAAAAACUAACGAAGAAAAAGAAAAAAAAUAUGAAUUAACUGGGUUAACCCUUCAAACCAAGUUAAUCAAUCAUACCUUAAAUUCGCAUCGUGAAAGUUUGAUAAUUAAAAACGAAAAAAAAAUUAAUGGGUUAACCCAGAAUUAACUAGGCUAACUCGUCAAACCAGUUUAACCUGUCAAACCCGGAAUCCAUGUCAUGAAAGUUUGAUAACUAGAUAGAAAAAAAAAAUUAACAUUAACAAUUUAAAUUAAACGAAAAAAUUUAAUUAAAAAAAAGAAAAAAAAAACAAAAUGCAUCAGCAUUUUUACUAUAGACUGCAAUGUGCAGUCCAUAGUCAAAGACAUCAGCAUUUUCACUAUAGACUGCAAUGUGCAGUCCAUAGUCAAGGACAUAAAAACAACAAAAAAAAUAAAAAGAAAAAUUAAAGGUAUCAGCCGAGAACUACUUAGAAAUUUUUUUAAUAUUAAUAAACUAAAAUAAAUAAAUAAAAUUAAUUAAAAAGAAAAAAAAACCUCUAAAAAUAAAAAUAAAACACUAAAUAGAAAGAAAUUUAACAUUAACAAACUAAAUUAAAUAAAAAUAAUAAUUAAAAAGAAAAAAAAAUAAAUUCCAGGUUAACUCGUCAAACCAAGUUAACUCGUUAAACCCGAGAUCCGUGUCAUGAAUUAAACGAACAAAAUUAAUUAAAAAGAGAAAAAAAAAACAAUCUGGGUUAACUCGUCAAACUAUGUUAACCUGUUAAAUCCAGGAUCUGUGUCAUGAAAAUCUGAUAACUAAAUAAAAAAAAUUAACAUUAACAAACUAAAUUAAACAAAAAAAAUUUAUGAAAAAAGAAAAGAAAUGACAGGUCAACCCAAAAUUAACUGGGUUCACCCGUGAAACCAGGUUAACCCGUGAAACUCGGGAUAUGUGUCAUGAAAAUCUGAUAACUAAAUAGAAAGAAAUUUAGCAUUAAUAAACUAAACUAAACAAAAAAAUUAAUUAAAAAGAAAAAAAAGCAAAAAAAUAAAAUUCUGGAUUAACUUGUCAAACCAGGUUAACCCGUUAAAUCUGGAAAACGUGUCAUGAAAGUAUGAUAACUAAAUAAAAAAUUUAACAAUAAUAAACUAAAUUAAACAAAAAAUUUUUGUUAAAAGAAAGAAGCAAAAAAAAUAAUCCCGGAAGGCAUAAAAAAACAGCUAAAAAAAAUAAGACAACUUAAAAAAAAAAAACCAUAAAGCAUCAGUGUUUUACUGUGGACUGCAUAGAGGAAAAAAAAGCACAAAAAAAAUAUUUUCGGGUUAACUUGUCAAACCAGGUUAACCCGUUAAAUCUGGAAAACGUGUCAUAAAAAUCUGAUAACUAAAUAAAAAAAAUUAAAAUUAGUUAACUAAAUUAAAUAUAAAAAAAUAUUAAUAAAAAAAACAAAGAAACAAAAAAAAAUAAUCUUGAAAGGCAUAAAAAAAAUAGCUAAAAAAUUAAAACAACUUAAAAAAAAAUCUAAAGUAUUAGGAAUUAGUAUUUUACUAUAAACUGCACUAUGCAGUCAUCGCUAAAACACUACUCGUUUUAGUAUAUGUUACAAUUCCAAUACAAUAAGUGUUUUAUUUUUGUGUUUUUAAAUUGAAUACUAUUCUGAAUGUGCUUGUGUAUGCGUGAACUACGCGUGCCAGGAAAGUGGAGUUAGGUCCCACAUCUUACUCGGUCUGUCCUUGCUUUAUUUGACAAGAGAUCCCAUCGGUUGAAAAAGGAGGUUUGAUUGUAAUAACUUUUAUUAUAUAAUCUUUAUUUUCACGUGAUGUGCAAAUAAUACAGAAGAAGACUUCACUUUAUUUCUUCUCUCCUUUUCUUUUAUCACUUUUAUUUCAUUGAUAAAUAGAUAAAUAAGUUAUAAAUUAGCUGAUGACCAUUGCUAUGAAUAUUAUAAAAACUUCAUUACACAUUCUAGAAUGUUGCGUGGUAUUUGUUUAACUCUAAAAGAAUUGUGGAGCAAGUUAUAAUAAAAAAAUCAUUAUAUUAGAAAUUACAGUUGAAUUGCGAAAAUAAAAAUAUCCUUAAUCAGUAUUAAAGAUACUGAUUGUUUGCUUUGAAUAACAAGAUGCAGUUCAACAGGAUUAGGUCUUAUUGGUUUUAUCUUCCACCUGUAAAAAUGAUCUUGUUUUUCAUGUAGAUGGAUCAUUUUAUUCCAAAACUUCUUUAUAAAUAUAAUUAUUAAACUUCAUUGAUUAAUGUUUUUUUAAUUAAAAAAUAGUUAAGAACACAACUUAAAAACAUGUUCAUCGAUCAAAUGUGUUUGUUUUUUAGCAGUUUUUUCUUUUUUAAUGCAGAUAACAAAAACAAGAUAUUUGAUUAUAUGUGAAUUUGACAGCACAACCGUGUUUAUGGUGCAAAGAGAGAAAGAGCGAAGGAAAGUGACAAAGAGCACAAAAAGUUAAUAAAAAUAAUUUGAUCGGUGGUUGAAGUCUCUCUAUCCAGUGUCAGCAACAUAGCUGGGACCACCACAGAAAAAUAUACAGAACUCGCAAAAGCCUUGUGUCUCACCAUAAAGAAGAAAAGAGAAAAAACACCCAAUCCAGCUAGAAAGCACGGGAUGGAAAUUGAAAGCCAGUGAUAAUUGGGACUCACCAUAAAGAUCAGAUUUUAAUAUUAUUUUAAAUUUCAUUAUUUAUAAUAUGUGUAAUCUAUAUUUACAUGAAUUUUUUCAUAUGAAAUAUUAAAAAUUUAAAUUUUUUUUAAUUUUUUACAGGUUGACCCGAGUUGACCCUUGAAACCCGAGACCCGGCCCCUUGGAAUAUAGAUUACACAUAUGAAAUAUGUGUAAUCUAUAUUUACAUGGAUUUUUUCAUAUGAAAUAUUAAAAAUUUAAAUUUUUUUUAAUUUUUUACGGGUUGACCCGAGUUGACCCUUGAAACCCGAGACCCGGCCCCUUGGCCGGGUCAACCCCGAGCCGGGUUUAAUAACUAUGGUGUCAACAACAUAGUUGGGACCAACACAGAAAUUUCGUAGUUGGUUCCUACUUUUCUCAAGUACAUCCCUCUUACAUCAAUAUUCCAUUUCCCACGAAAUUUUUUUAAUAUUAAUAAUAUUAAACUUAUUUUUUAUUCUAUUAACUUUAUAUGUGUAAUAGACUAACCCAGUUAAUUUUUAUUUAUUUUUAAUUAAUUUUUAUAAAAUUAUAUUAUUUAAUAUUAUAUUUUAUUCGAGAAUUAAACUUUAUAUUUUAUUUUAUAAAUUAUUUAGAUCUCAUCACCUAUAAAUAAUGCUUAACAAAUUAAACGGGGUUGAUCUAACUUAAUUUUUAUAUUAUUUUUUUAAUAAUUAUUUUUUAUAAAUCAUAUUAUUUAAAAUUAUGUUUGAUAUUGUUGAACGAAAAUUGUAUUUUAUAAUUUAUUUUUAUUUAUUUUUUAUAAAAUUAUUUUUAUUUCAUAAGCAUAAGCAUGAUUUUAUAAGUUAAAUUAAAUUAUUUUUUAACUUUUUUAAUGAGGGUUUAAUUAUAAGUUAUUGAGUUAUACAUAUAUAACUCAUAUAAUCUUUCUUUAAUUUAGAAGUUGCAAAUGUAUUUUGUUUGCAGUUUCUUCUUCUCUUUACCCAGGAUCAUGGGUCAAUACACUAGAUUGGAAUAACUUUUAUUAUAUGCCCAAUAUAAUCUUUCUUUUCACAUGAUGUGCUAAUAAUGUAGAAGAAGACUUCACUUUAUUUUUUCUUUUGUACAUAGUUAUUAAACUCAGACUAACCUAGUGUAUUGACCCAUGAUCCAGAGACUACACUGGUCAGGUUUUGUCAAAAGAUUGACCAAUGCAACUACCUAGUCAACCGGCCGGUGACCCGAGCGAACCUGUACGAGACCCGGUUUUUUAUUAAAUGGGAGAUUUUAAACACAUUAGUAUAUAUACACUUUAUGUUCCAAAAAAAAAAUUAUGUUUUUUCAAUAUGGGAUAAAAAACUUUUUGGUUUAAAUAUUUCAACUUAAAAUGAUAACAUAAUAUCUUUUUAAUGUGAGAUUUAAAACCUUUUCGUAUAUAUACUAUAUAUUCGCAAGAAAAAAAUUAUGUUUUUUCAAUGUGAAAUUUAAAACCCAUUAAUAUAUACACUAUAUGUUCCCAAGAAAAAAGUUAUUUUUUCAAUGUGGGAUAAAAAACGUUUUUGGUUUAAAUACUUCAAUUUAAAAGGUUAACAUAGUAUCUUUUUAAUGUACGGUAAAAAACUUUUUAAAAUAUAUUUUUAAACUUUAUUAUUUACAAUAAGAAUAGCCUAUAUUUAUAUGGGUUUUUUUUCUCAAUUUUUACAUAUGAAAUAUUAAAACUUUAAAUAUAUAUUUUUAAUUUUUCCGGAUUAAUCUAAGUUAACCCAUAAAACUUGGGACCCGACUCCCGGACUGGGUUUAAUAACUAUGCUUCUAUCACUUUUCAUUGAUAAAGUAGAUGAAUAAAUUAUAAAUUAACUGGUGACCAUUACUAUGAAUAUUGUAAAAACUUCAUUGCACAUUCUAGAAUGUUGCUUAGUAUUUGUUUAACUCAAAAAGAUUUGUUGAGCAAAUUAUAUAUAAAAAAUUAUUUUAUUAUUUAAAGACUAGUAAUUUUAGAUAAAUGGAUGCGAGUUUUUCAAAAAAAUAUAAAAACAAUCAAUAUAGUAACUCUUCACAGUAAAUGAAAUUAUUAUAAGACAUAAUUGAUUUUUAUCUUCCACCGUUUGACCCUUUACCUUUUAUAUAUAUAUAUAUAUAUAUAUAUAGUUUUUUAACCGUGUCCGUGAUUUGAUUCGACAGGAAGCUAUCAAAUUCAAAUUCUGACAUGAACAAAUUUAAAAUUAAACUAGAAAAAUAUUGAUACGGUGAAAUUAUAUUUACCUUAUUAGAAAUAAUCUUAUUAUUAGAAAAAACCUGAUCUAAACCUAGUUAAAUCAACAUAAAAAGAAUUUAUUUUAUUUUAAAAAAUAAACAAAUAUUAUUUUAAUAAAAUAUUGGUAAAAGACCUAUAAUUUAAUUCAAUAACCCUGUCUAUUCGAUGGCAUUAUACCUCCAAGACAUAUUCCAAGUAAUCAAAUUAUAUGAGAAGCAUGUGCUUUGGUUAUGGUAAUUUUUUUUUCCGGUGCAAGAUAUGGGUUAUAAUUAAUAAAUAGUGACACGAUUGUUGAGAUCAAGUUAAAAUAGGUUUGAUGAUAACUGGAUCCUUGUUUUACACUAAUGUGUUUGGGUUUGAUCGUUUUAUUUAACUUUGUUGGUGCUUAUACUGGUUACCAUAGUGUUUUAUUGUAAGUCUAACAUAUAAACUUGAAAGAAUUGGCCCAGUACUUGAUUAGGAAAUGGUUGUUUCAUGCAUGAAUCUUUAAGGUUGCCUUUGGUUAAAUAUUACUAAAUAAAAACGAUAGACAUUGAAAUGAUAAAAACACGUUUGCUCAAGGAGAUGAAAAUGAAGAUAUAAAAUAAAUAUGUAUUAAUUAAGACGGAUUCUUGUAUUUUCAAGAUAUAAAGUACAUAAAAACAUGUCUGUUUCAAUUUUUUCUGUGUUGAGAUUAAAAUAAAAUGAAUUUAGCUUUAAUUAAUAUACCCAAAUUCUUUUAUGCUGAAUCCUCGAACCGUGCCUGAUUUCAAAGAAUAAUAACAGUUCUGCACAAAAUUACCGAUGAUAAUAAAGCAAAUUAACAAGUCACUUGCACCUACUCAAAGAUGUAAAGGAACCAACGAGGAAAAGGGUAGGAAAGGAGCCUGAAGAGUUUACCAUGGAGUGCUAAACAGCUAAUGUACAUUAAUCAAUCAAGUGGAUGACUUUUAGCCUACCAGAAUUGACUACAACAGUUGGUUGUUAAUGCAGCGUGACAAUCCCAGCUCUUUGAUAAACAUCCUCACAUUUUCGAGACUGAUUAUCCCUAAGUUAAAUAAACAGAAAAAGAGAGAAUAAUUAUCCUAUAAAAAAAAACGUAACAGGUAAAGAUCAUGCUACACUAUCUGAAAUACCCAUAUCAUCCCGCAGAAAGUUGGUGGCAAUUACGCUCAAACUGAUGAAAAGGUACCAAAUCAAGGCCUAUAUAAAUUAACAUUUGAAAUGUAAUAAUAAACAACGCUAAAUAUAAAAAAAUAUAAAUUAUUUGAGAAAAUAAAUAAUUUUUUCCUUAUCACCUAGAAAGUACAAUAUCACGCAUCAACAACAAAUUAAAAUAACAUCGGCACUAUAAUCUUAAAAAAAAUGGGAAAGGUUUAAGAGUUGUUUAAAAAUAUAAUUAUAAUUGUUUUUUAAAGUGUUUUUUAUUCAGAAAAAUAUUAAAAUAAUAUUUUUUAUUUUAAAAAAUUAUUUUUUUAAUUUUUAUUUCAAAAUAUCUAAAAAUAUAUAAAAAAUUAAUUUAAAGUAAAAAAAUAUAUUUUAAAAAAACUUUUAAAAUAUAAAAAUAAAAAAUGAUUAACAGCUAUACUCUUUUCUGGAGGCACUGGAACAGGAAUCUCAAAUUAAUUUGAGUGUGAUAGACGGACACUGGUUGGGAUUUGUUCUGGUGGACGGGUUCACGUCCAGCCAUUGUAGUAAAUCAACACCGAGCAAGGUAUCGAUCCCGUAAGAUCCGUUAUGGCAUGAUCUUCCACAAGCAAGAAACAACCAUGAAAUAAAAUAAUACAAGAGUAGGUUAACUGGGGGCGUGGCUCAGUGGUGUUGGGAGCAACUUUCCUUCCUUCGAGUUCCAGUGGGAGCUGGAAAGUUUGCUCCUUUCCUGUUUCUGGUCCUCCCCCAUGUUAUCAAAAAAAAAGAAAAAAAGAAACAACCAUGAAAUAAAAUAAUACAAGAGUAGGUUAACUGGAUAUGUUUAAGAUUUGUAAAAUUAAUUAAAAUAGAAGCAAACCGACAGUAAAACCACGCUAAUAAAAAAAAAAACAACAACCAUGAAAUCGAUCAUGUGGCUCCCAUUGCCCCUUCCCCCAUCAAUCAGCAAUCAUGCCAUGCCUACGAUCAAGCUAUGAUUGAAAGAAAAAACACAAUAACAGCUGAUGUCACAGCGGGGUCCCAUACAAAAUCAUUCUAAUCACCCUACUCGCGUGGCUUGUGAUAUCGAUAAAACAGCACAACCACCGGUGGUGGAACGACCAUUAUUUUUUUCGAGAGUUUUGUAUUGUGGGAAAGGUAUCUUUCUAUUAUGGAGACAAUUAAAAAAUUGAUUUAAAAUAAAAAACAAUAAAAAAUUCUUAAAAGCUCUUUUAAAAUACGAAAACGACAACUUUGACAGCAAAACCGUGCUUAGUUUCUCCUUUUAAAAUACCAAGUGAUUGUGGUGCAAAGAGAGAAUGAGCGAAGGAAAGUGCCAAACUGCACAGAAAGUCAAUAAGAAUAAUUUGAUUGGUGGUUGAAUAAGUCUCUCUGUACACCAGAACAACGUGGAUCGGCACAUAAACUUCUUCGAGUCCGUUUGUCUACGCAGCCGUAGCCGUUUGGUAAUAACAAAAACUCGAUUUACUGCGCAUGGGACCCACACAACUUUUGCGUUUAAAACGCUGAAAAUAAAAAACCUACUUUUCGUCUACUGUAGCUGAUAAAUAAUAACGAACAGUGCAAUUCACUGCACUAUUCACAAGUGAAUUGCACUGUUCACGCGCACAAUGCAAUUCACUUGUACUUUUGUUUUUUUUUUUAAAAAACUAGUUUAGAGAAUUAAAUUUAUUUGCGAUGUGAACAAUAUUUUUUUUUCGAAAAACUAGUAUAGAGUCAAUUAAAUUUACUCGCACAAUAAUAUUAAUUUUAUAUCUGAUAAUAUUUUAUCUAAUUUUAUUACACGCUUAAAAAAUUAUAAAAAAUAUAGUUCUUAUCGGAUGAAUUUUGUACGUAAUGAAAUUAUAAAUAGUUUAAUGGAAUAAUAACAAAUCUUUUAUAUAAAAUAUUUUUUUUUUCAUGAUGUAAUAGGAGUAAUUAAUUUUACAAUAUUUAAAUUUAAAACCAUCAAUAUUAAAAUAUAUUUUUUAAAAUUAUUUUAUAAUCUCAAUUUCAAAAACAUUUUUAACGAAACACAUUAAACUACUUUUUCUUUAAUCUCAAUUUCAACCACAGUUUUAAUUAAACAUCUAUUUUUUCAAACUAACCUCAACUAAAAAUAUUUUUUAUAAAAUAUUUUUUUUCAAAUCACAACCACAACAGUUACAGGAAUACCAAACACACUCUUCAUCGGACAUCAACCCAUUUCCCAUGAAACAAUGAAGACAAACACUCUAUUUUAAACAACAAAAACGUUGCUGUUUCUCUUCGUACUGGAGACCAGCUAUCUUCCACUCCUGACAACGUGUCACCAUCCCUUGAGUUAUUAGAUUUCAGCCGUUGAUUUGGAUCAUGGUCUUUUAAAAUUACGCUUCCCUGUGUGUAGAUCCAAAGCUCGUUACAGCCUCAGUUUGCAGGCCCAAUAGAAAUUUCCUAGAUCCAGAGGGUUCCUACUUCUUCUUUUUUAUUUCGCUGUCAGGUAAUUAAUUAUACCACAAGUUCUAAUUAAAUAUAGAUAUUAUUUAGUUGGGGGUACUCAUUGUUGAAAACUCGGAGUUUAAGAUGCAGUAGGAUUAUCUGUUUGUGAUAUAAUAUUGUUUGUUUUUUUUAAUAUGUUUUAAAAAUAUAUUUUACUUCAAAAUAUAUUAAUUUUUUUUAUUUAUAUAAAUGUUAUUCCAAAAUAUAGCAAAGUUGUUAAAUUUGAUGAUGAGUUAAUAAAUGGAACUCAUAAUCUAAAGUCUAACCUAGAUCAUAUUUAAAAUUCAACUAGAAAAAACAUUAAUAUGAUAAAAAAAACUAUUUGACUCAACUAGAUUCUUAAUUACCCAAUUGUACUGAUAAAAUCUUAUCUAAAUAUACUUAGGUCAAUACAAGAAAAUUUUGUUUUUUUAAAAGAAAAAAAAUGAAGUAAAAUGAUUGAUCCUAUAACACACGAGUUAACUCAAUAAUCUAAUAACUAUGAUUUCAAAGAAUAAUACCCUCUACACAAAAUUUCAAAUAAUGAAUCAAGCAAUUUUACAAGGCACUUGCACAGUUGCAUCCACUCAAGGACAUUAUAGAACCAGUGAGGAAAAGGGUAGGAAAGGAACCCGAAGUUUUUACCAUGUGGUGUUAAACAGCUAAUGCCCAUUAAUCAAGUGGAUGUUUUUAAAGCAAGUAAAAAUACAUUACAAUAAUUUUUUUUUUUUUUUAAAUUGGUAUGUCAAAAGAUCUAAAAAUAUAACUGGUAAAGCGUAACCGGUAAAGCUCAAAAUGAUGAAAAGGGAGGCCUAACAGCCUGGUGUUCUGCUAAGAGUAAUGUUGCUGAGCUGCCAUAAAACCUCAGGUAAAUCAAGCCAAUUUUAAAAAUAAUAUAAUUCAUAUUCUAUUUUAGAAAGUAAAUUUUUUACUUGAGAUUAACUUUAUUUUAAACAAAUAAUAUAAUUCAUUUUACUUGGAUUAGAAAAUAUAUAUAGAUAAAAUUUAUUUUAAUAUAAUUCAUUUAAUUAAAAUAUAAUUCAUUUAAUAACUUUAUCACCCUAAGCCCAAACUCAUCUCCAUACCUGCAUAUGGAUUCAUAGCCCAUUUUGUUUUUUUGGGAACACGGUGUAAACCGUAUUUUUAAAAUAUUUUAAUUUUUUUUAUAAAAAAUUAAUAUUUUUUAUAUAUUUUCGAUCGUUUUGACGUGUUAAUUUUAAAAAUAAUUUUUUUAAAAAAUAAAAAAAAAUAUUAUUUUGAUAUAUUUCGGUAUAAAAAAUUAUUUGAAAAGUAAUAACAACCACACUUCCAAACAUCCAAAUAAAAAUAGCUUUUCCUAAAUGUUCAUGAAAGUUUUUUGAUCCUUUUAAUUGUUGAUGAAUGAUGAUAUCAGAUGAUAACCCAUAGCACGGAUUCAAUUCCCUCUAAUUCUGCAGCUCAGUCACCCACAAUUCAAAUACUACAAAAACUCCAGCAAAUUACGAUACUGCAAACGCUAGAAGACAACACCAAGCACCAUUCAAGACAAUGACCAGAGGCAAUAAGAUUUGAGGGUGAUCUGUAAUUUUAAUGCCAGGAGAAAACAGAGGAAACAUCUGACUAUGAGAACAGAGUCGGAGGAUUGCAGUCAGCUUCGACGACCGGAGAAUAGACAACGACAGGAAAUAAACGAUGCCAAACCCCAAAAGAUACAAGAGGAGCCAGCAGCUGCCUAUGUAACACCAAAUUUAGCAUCAUUCUUUAAAAUGUCUGGCCACGCAAAUUUCUUAACAAAAUUAUUGAAAAUUUCUUUAAGAAAUAUUUUAUUAAUUGAAAAAUAUUUUUAUAAAAUUAUAUUCACUGCAUUAUCAAACAUACAAAGCCUAUUAGCCACGGUCUUUGAGCAUUUCCAAAACUAUCCUCCGAGAAAUGCAGUACUGGUAGCUUUGUUCUGACCCGUCGUCUACUUUGUCAAGCAUUGGUCAAGGAUGAAAACGUUGUGAAUCGAAGCAUAGUUUCCGUUAAAGGUAUUUUUAGUUUGUGCCAUGGUUUAUUUCUGUUGCUCAUUUUCACUCUUAGAAAUUAUUUGUUUUUAUGGUGAUACAAUUUUUUUUAAAAUAAUAAUAUUUUUUCAAAAAAAUUGUGUUUUUGAAUUUGUUUGUAUGGUGAUACAGUUUUUUUAAAAUAAUAAUAAUUUUUUUAAAAAAUUAUAUUUUUAGAUUGUUUUAAUAUGUAAUGUGAAAUAUUAAUUUUUAAAAAUAAAAAAAUAAAAAUUAUUUAGAUAUAUUUUUAAAUAAAAUAUAUUUUACAAAAUAAUUACCACCAUAAUAUGUUGGGAUGUUUUUAUAAAAUAGGAUGUAAAACUACUGAUGAGCCUAUAAGGUUUUAUUUUUUAUGGUAAGUUAGAGAUUUUGUAGGCCCAUUUAAAAUUAAUAGGUUGGAUCGUGAUCAUAAAUAAAGAUUGAGAAUUUGGUCUGAUUAUGCAGAUAACAUGCCUUAACUUGUCUAAAGUUAUGUAUGGUGUUACUAAACCCAGCUCAAGAUAAGUUAAGAGCUUGGAUUGGAUUUUAAAUUAAAUUGGAUAGAAUUUAACUGGAUAUAAUUCAACUUAUUUGAUCAAUCAAAACUCAGUUUAAUUUAAAAAAGAUUCACAUCAUUUUCUUUUUUAUUUUCAAAAAAUUCUUUAAGUCAUAUCACUUUGUAUUGAUUUAUGUUAACCCACUACUUGAAUUAUAAUUCGAGUUGGGUUUAAUAACUUAGAUAAUAUUAUUUUCGUUCGAAAGUAAAGGUAUAAAAAUUGAUAAGGUGCAAGUUAGAGAGGGGAAUUAGUGUGAAUUAUGCUGGUGAACUUCAUAAAUUUAUUUAACUUUCGCAUUGCUUAUUUAUCCUCUAAGGCGUGUGAUUUCUUUUUUAUACUGGGUGGAAAACAACGACGUGAUGAAUUCAUGAUAGAUUUACACCCUUGACACUUGUGGCAUAAUUUUGAGUAAUCUGUGUCACAAAUUGCUUUUGAGUUUGCAGUAUAACAACGCCCUCGUUCGCCACAGAACGAUCUGCCAAAGAUUUAUCAGAGCCUGGAGUUUUCCCCAGCACUGAAACAGCUGUCUCUGCGGCUAGGUACACAUAUGGUGACUUCUCUCUUCAUGUAUUUUUCAGUCCGAAAAGAAGAACUGAUCUUGGUUACAUAUGGUGAUACCAUUCUAAUUGCUUGCAGCAGGAGGGAGGCAUCUUGCCUCUAAUAUUCAAAUAAACUAAUGGUGAUAGUGUUUCUGUUUCCCAAACUAGGAUUAAAGGAGGUGCCAAAGCAUUGCAGCGAGUUCGAGUCAUUUAUGCUUGAAAUUCUGUUUAUUUCUGGUUGGAUGUGGAUUCUCAAGGAUUGAUCAUCCUGAGCUUGUCUGUACCAUAAUGAGACUAGUGAUAUCAGGUUCCAAAGCAACUGAUAGUAGCCAUUGAAGCUGCAAAUGGACUAAACUAUAAGCAGAAAGGAUGAGGGUACACACCAAGAGUCUUAAUGACACCAUCAUCCGCUAAUCACCAGCCAAAUGUAUCUUCAGAAAUAUAUAUAUAUAUAUAUAUAUAUAUAUCUAUUUAUAUAUAUAUAUAUAUUAAAGAAAAGCAUUAGACUUCCACUCCAACACAUAUUGUAAAGUCCACCUACACUUCGGAUGACAGAGUUUAAAGUGCAGAGUUUCAGUUUCACUCCAACACAAUUGUAGAACUCAUUCCUACUGCAAUUCCUUUGCUACUGUAAUUGAUAGGAUAAUAUUUAAUAGUGAUAGAUGCUAAUAUGAACACUGUAACCCUUCCUUACCUCAUUGUAACCCGUUGUAUAUAAAGCCCUGCUACUGUAACAGUGCUGAUAUGAAUAAGAAGUAUCUUCUUCUCUUUUGUGUCUUCAAUUCUCUUUUGUUUCUUCAAUUCUCUUCCCUUUUGUUUCUUCAUGGUAUCAGAGCAGGUCCUUAAUAACCUGCUAUUUGUUUUUUUUAAAAAAAAAUCUUAUGGAAGACCAGUUUAAGAUAGAUGGUGCUGAUGGCAAUUUUAGAAUCUGCAAUAUGCAAGAAGGAGAGCCAAAUCUUAACCAGCGUUUAGGCUCGGUAUUGUUAAACGAAUUUAACUAUCUUCCUUGGUCAAGAGCUGUGACAAUUGCUCUUGGUGGAAGAUCCAAACUUGGCUAUAUCAAUGGCCAUAUUACACCUCCUGAUUCUUCUUCACAGGCGUAUGAAGCUUGGCAAUGCAAAGAUCAACUUGUGUUGUCCUGGUUACUCAAUUCUAUGGAAAAUCAGAUUGCUGAAAUAUUCAGCUACUCAGAAUCUUCUUUGGCACUAUGGGAAGCAGUGAAAGAGAUGUAUGGAAAUCAAAACAAUGCAGCUCGUAUUUUCCAAAUCAAUAGGAAUCUUGCUAAUCUGCAACAAGACGGCAAAACCUAUGUUCAAUUGCUUGGAACCUUGAAAGGUAUGUGGAGUGAACUUGCUCUUUAUCGUCCUCACACAGUUGAUGCAGCAGAAUUACGGAAAACGUGAAGAGGAGGACAAGAUCUUCCAACUUUUAGCUAGUCUUGGUCCAGACUAUGAAGAUCUUCGCAGCAGGAUCCUUAUGAAUCCUGAUCUUCCAUCUCUCACUACUGUAUGUGCUACCAUUCAAAGAGAAGAAGCUCGUAGAAAGGUUAUGAAUUCUGACUCUAAACUCUCUUUAUCAGAAUCUCGUGUGUAUGCUGUCAACAGAUCAAUGAACAACAACAAACCUUACAAGGGCAAACGACCAGAUUUGAAGUGUCACCAUUGCCAUAAUAUUGGUCAUUCUAUUGGGAGGUGUUGGAUUCUUCAUCCAGAAUUGAAGCCAAACUUUGAAAAAGAGAAGAGAUCUCAAAGGGACUAUGAGCAUAAGGGUCAUGUUGCUGCCGCUGCUCACUUCAGCAAUACUUCCAGUAAUGUUGAAAAUUUUUCAACCAACCCAUCUGCUCUUCUCAAUGACUUCGCUACCUAUCUUAAGGAAAAAGGUGACUCUGCCAUGACAACAUCUGCCUCUGAUUCUAUGGCACUCCUUGGUAAGUUUGGGCUUCCUUGCAAACUCUGCUCACAUUCCGCAAGAAAACACAGAAGGUAUUUUCACUGCAUUUAAAAGUGCCUUGAUAGCUAGUACUGUGUAUAAUUUUUGGGUCAUUAAUUCAGGUGCCACUGAUCAUAUAACUAAUAAAAUGACCAAUCUAUAUGAUUUCGAGGGAUUUUCCUCUCCAACUCAUGUGUCUAUUGCCAAUGGAAAAAAUGUUUCUGUCAAAGGUAAAGGAAAGAUUAAAUUACUAUCUAAUGAUAUAGAAUCUUCAGUCCUAUAUGUUCCCUCCUUUCCAUUCCAAUUACUUUCCAUUGGUAAAAUCUCUCGAACUCUAAAUUGUCGUGUUAUUUUUUACUCUCAACAAGGUCUCUUUCAGGACCUCGCCACCAAGAAGACGAUUGGUGAAGGUUUCUUUUUCGAAGGACUUUAUUAUUUUUCGAGUCAUCCCUAGAAUAACAAGUAUCGUCAAGUUUCUACUUUUUCUUCAUUUCAUCAAGAGCAACAUUUAUGGCACCAACGAUCCCUCAGACAUUGUUCUCACCAAAUUAAUGCCCAAUUUGGAUAUAAAAAAUAUUCCAUGUGAUACAUGUCAUUUAUCUAAGUCUACUAGACUUCCUUUUAUGCUUUCAUCGUCUAAGGCUAAUAAGAUGUUUGAUCUUGUUCAUUCUGAUGUUUGGGGACCAAUUAUUGAAUCUUUUGAUGGCUACAAAUAUUUUGUCUCAUUUAUUGAUGAUUUUUCUCGUGUUACUUGGAUUUAUCUCCUAAAAUCCAAGAGUGAAGUUGUGUAUGUCUUUCAGAAUUUUCACAUGCUGGUCAUGACUCAAUUUUCUACAAAAAUUAAAAUUCUCCGAUCUGAUAAUGGCACUGAAUACAUGUCCAAAAAUAUGACACAAUAUCUAGUUUUUCAUGGCAUUUUACAUCAGUCCAGCUGUGUUGGAACACCUCAACAAAAUGGGGUAGCUGAACGUAAAAACAGAGACUUAUUAGAAAAAACUAGAGCCUUAAUGAUACACAUGCAUGUUCCUAAAACAUUUUGGUCUCAUGGAGUAUUAUCUGCUGCAUAUCUAAUCAAUCGGCUACCUAGCCGAAUAUUGCACUUUAAAUCUCCUCUUGAAGUCUUGCAGAAGCAGCCGCCAAAUCUAUCUCAUCUACGAGUGUUUGGUUGCAUUUGUUUUGUUCAUAUACAAACCUCACAUCGGGACAAACUUGAUCCAAGGGCCGCUAAAUGUGUUCUUGGGAUACUCUGCAACCCAAAAAGGAUAUAAAUGCUACCAUCCUCCUUCAAAAAAAUUGUUUAUAUCAAGAGAUGUCCGAUUUGAAGAAAGCUCUGUAUACUUUAAAGACAUGAAUCAACAAGGCAACAUGGCAGAAUUGUUUCCUCUACCAAAUGUCACUACAGACUUGACACCAUCUGCAGAUACACUUGUUGCUGCAGACGAUUUUCCCACCGUUUCUGGUGAUAUACAUGCGGAUUCAAGAGUUAUCACAAACCUUGAGAAUGAUUCAGCAAAUCAGUCUCUUCAGCCUCCUCUACAGCACCCUCUUGUCAUUUCCAUUACCACAGAUUCUGAGGGAGAUUCUGAGGGUGGUUCAGCUAAUCAAUCUGAUUUUGCCAAUCACUCUUCUCUACCACAGCCUCGUAGAAAUCCAACUCGUCACCGUGCUCCUCCAACAAAGCUACAAGACUUUGUCACCUAUGUUGCUAGACAUCCUAUGUCUAAUUAUCUUACAUAUCAACAUCUCUCAGCUGGACAUACUGCCUUUCUUACUGCUAUCUCUGAUGUGCAUGAACCCCGGAAUUUUCAAGAGGCUGAUUCAAAUAAAGAAUGGCGACAAGCUAUGCAUGAUGAGCUACAAGCCCUUGAUCAAAAUCAGACCUGGAGUGUUGUUAAACUUCCUAAAGAUAAACAUGUUGUGGGUAGUCGCUGGGUAUAUAAAAUCAAGUUCAACUCAGAUGGGUCUAUUGACAGAUACAAGGCGCGUCUUGUGGCUCAGGGCUAUACUCAAACUUUUGGCGUGGAUUAUAAGGAAACCUUCGCACCUGUUGCAAAGAUGAACACAAUUCGUGUUCUACUCUUAGUGGCUGUGAACAACAUAUGGUUGAUGUGUCAAAUGGAUGUCAAGAACGCCUUCUUGCAUGGAAAUCUUGAAGAAGAAGUCUAUAUGAAGCUGCCUCCCGGUCACCCACAAGGUUCAACCCUAACUUAGUAUGUCGGCUUCACAAAUCUAUCUAUGGGCUGAAGCAAUCUCCACGAGCUUGGCAUGCACAAUUGAGUGCUGUUCUUGAAGAAAGUGGCUUCAAACGAAGCAAUGCAGAUUCCUCUUUAUUUAUUCACCUUGGACCAACAACCAAAGUAAUGGUCCUUGUCUACGUUGAUGACCUUAUUAUUGUUGGGAAUGAUAGUGAUGCUAUAUCUCAUCUCAAGGCUACUUUGCAACAACGGUUUCCAAUUAAAGAUCUCGGCAAAUUGAAAUAUUUUCUUGGGAUUGAAAUGGCCACUUCUCACAAAGGGCUAUUCCUAAAUCAACGCAGGUAUAUCCUUGAUCUGCUUAAGGAUGCUAAGAUGAUAGAUGCCAAACCUGCACCUACUCCUUUGGAUAGUAAAUUGAAACUUAACACAACUAGUGAACCUCUUGGUUCUUUCAAUUACUAUCAACAUCUUGUUGGAAGACUCAUUUAUCUUACUAUUACACGGCCUGACAUCACCUACGCAGUAAGCCUUGUUAGUCAAUUCAUGCACACUCCUACAGUUUUUCACCUGAAUCUUGUUAAGCGAAUUUUGCGCUAUUUAAAGGGUUCUGCCGGUCGUGGGAUUGUUAUGACUAAUCAUGGUCAUACUCAGAUUACUGGAUAUAGGGACUCUGAUUGGGCUGGUAAUGCGAUUGAUCGCAAAUCAACCACUGGUUUCUGCAUGUUUGUUGGUGGUAAUCCAGUCUCCUGGCAUAGUAAAAAGCAACAUGUUGUUGCACGUUCUAGUGCUGAAGCUGAAUAUCGUGCGAUGGCAUCCGCGACUUGUGAACUAAUUUGGCUUAAAGGUCUCCUGUCAGAUCUGGGUUUUUCUAGCAAUAUUCCAAUGACUCUGUUUUGUGAUAACCAAGCUGCUAUGCAUAUUGCAGCUAAUCCCGUAUUCCAUGAAAGAACUAAACACAUUGAAGUUGAUUGUCACUUUAUUCGUCAACAAGUUCAAUCGCAGGUUAUCAAGACAUGUUACAUCCGCAGUCACGACCAACUAGCCGAUUUAUUCACAAAGGUACUAACUUCAGCUCACUUCCAUCGUCUACUAUCCAAGCUUGGCUCAAUCAACCCCCUUGAUCCAGCUUGAGGGGGAGUAUUGAAGAAAAGCAUUAGACUUCCACUCCAACACAGAUUGUAAAGUCCACCUACAGUUCGGAUGACAGAGUUUAAAGUGCAGAGUUUCAGUUUCACUCCAACACAAAUUGUAGAACUCAUUCCUACUGCAAUUCCUUUGCUACUGUAAUUGAUAGGAUAAUAUUUAAUAGUGAUAGAUGCUAAUAUGAACACUGUAACCCUUCCUUACCUCAUUGUAACCCGUUGUAUAUAAAGCCCUGCUACUGUAACAGUGCCGAUAUGAAUAAGAAGUAUCUUCUUCUCUUUUGUGUCUUCAAUUCUCUUUUGUUUCUUCAAUUCUCUUCCCUUUUGUUUCUUCAAUAUAUAUCGUGAGUGGUUGUGACGAGGAAGAAUCGAUCAGUAGUAUUUGAAUGUGGCACACUGACAUAGAGUGAAGAAAUAAUAAGAAAAGUAGGUCUUUGUGGAAAACUAUUAGAGCUUCUUCAAGUGUUUUAAUUUGGGAGUCGUUUUCACGGGCCGCAUUGCUACGAAGCUGGUGGAAAUAUGUAGGGAAAGGGCUGGAGGAGGGAAGAAUAUAAUUUUUCUUGGGAACUGAGGGAAGAGAUGGAGCUUGUGAUGAUAAGAGAAGCUGCGCAUAGUGAUUGGUGAUUACGAAAGUCGUGUGGAUUCAUAUCUAAAGAAGCUAUGAAGAAGGUAUUACGAAGGCACUUCCCUCCCUUUUCCAUACAAAGCAUCUUGGAACUGAUGGAAAGAUGCAAAUUUAUUUGUGGAUGAGUUGAUGGGGUGCAAUGUGAUAUCCUCCUUCUUAAAGAUGUUCACACUAUGAGGUAUUUUUUAUUGGAUAUCCAGCAGAAAAAAACUUGAUAUUGCUUGGUUUGUCUUCCAUGGAUAUUGAUAAAAAGGUGAUGUGCAUGCCUACUGGAAAAUGUACUUCUUCUUGCUGGGUCUGAAAUUCAAACUAUGUUCACCAGGGACCUUUCAAUAAUGUUGUUGAAGUGAACUGCUAGGUCAUUAAUCACAAGUCAAAAUAGGAGACUGCUGAUGGUGCAUCAGUUAGAGAUACCUUUGAUUCACAUUUUCAGGAUUCAGAGUUUUGGGCCUUUUACUUUGAUUAUAGAUGUACAGCUAUAAAAUAUUGUCUAAUUUUUAUUGAAUAGGUUUUAUUUAUGGUAUUAGGGCACCUAAGUUUCUUUCUCCGGUGACACACUUAUUGGUAAUGUUUGGUUGUGGUCUUGGUGUCAAAUAAUACCAACGAAAAGUGAGAAAGGGAAUCUUCUUUAAAUGGGAUUUGAGAAGGUUUAUGAUCACUCGAGUCAGAGAGGACCAUGAGAAAGUGAUGUUAUAUCUUACUGUGAAGAAAUUAGUCUCAAAAAGAAGAUACUUCGCCUUGGUUUUAUUUGUCCAGACUGAAGUUUCCAAAGUGCUCUGUACAUGCAAUGAAGCUUUAGGUCUUACUUCAUCUUAUUGAGAGCAUGCUUUGGGCCAUCUCCUCCUUUUCUUUUCUUUUCUUUUUUUAAUUUUGUUGAAAUUUGUAAAUGAAUCAUGCCAAUGGCUUCUACUUUCUAUUUUAUUUUUAACACAAUUUAAAACAUUUUAGUAUUUUCUUCAUGACUCAAUUAAAUAUUUUGUUCCCAACUCAUUGACACUAGCAACUCUCGUACACACAUGUGUGCUCAUAUGUGCCCACGCACACCUUACAAGGAACUGAACUGAUUAAUUAGUGUAUUAUUCAUAAUAUUAUGUUGGGGAAAAUAGUCUUGCUAUUAUUAUGACCAUAUGGUCCAUAUCGUGCCAUAUCCAGAGGCAAGUGAAGAUUAUUGCAAGAAAAAGGAAUCGAGUGAAGAAGCUAUCACAAUUAAAUCUAGUGAGCAGAAGGCACCUGCGGCUAAAGUUGAUACUGAUGGCAGAAAGCUGGAGAGCAUUUCGAAUGUUGACACAAGUGAAGGAACUUCUUCCUUAGGACUUGACAUGGACCGAUGGCCUAACUUGUCCUCACCUAAUGCUGCCAAAACUGAGCAGGAUUCCUUGGAAACUUCAAUCUCUAACAAUCUAACUGAGAUUACCAAACUUGAUUCAUCAGCAGGUGAUGAGAUUUCAAUUACAAGGAAAAAAUGUAGAUAGGGUGAUGAGUUGCAUGAUGUUUUCAUAGCAUAGUAUCUUACAUGCUACUGUCAUUCUAAUUCUUUCUUUUUUAAAACGCGGAGACAGAUCAUCUUGAUAAGGACACUGAGAUUUUUCAAAAUCCUCAUGAAGGUGAAGAGCAAGGUGAUUUUGUUGAUUAUGGCUGGGCUAGCAUUGGAAGCUUUGAUGAUCUUGAUCGAAUUUUUAGGUAAAGCACAGUUACCAUUUCUUACUUUCUGCACCUAAAUGAAAGAUGGUCAGCAGCACCUGAAAUGGAAGCUUGUAUAUCUCAUUAUUCUGAUAAUUUGAACAAAUUCUUAUUACUGACUGUGAAGUGAAAGUUUGGCGAACAAAAUAAUUAUGCUCACUGUCUAUUUUCAUUUCAGAAGAAAAAAAUCAUGUAGUACAAGAGUGUUGUUACGAAGGAAAAACAACCAGACUCUUUUAAUAAUUGUAGUUUCUUCUGUGUUGGAUCUAUAUCCUUUUCCAAAUAAGUGCUGUCUGCUGAAAGCAACACUAACAAAAAAUGACUAGUUGUUUGAAAAUUUAUGGUUUUUGAUCCUUGGCUUAAUUUUGUUAAUUGGGAAAAGAACCUGAAGGAUGCCAGUUUUUAGCAGCACAAUAUCCUCAAUUACAAGUAUAAAUGGCAGAAAGAAUGUAAUAUAGCAGCACUGGAUUUGUAAGGAAUUGGUGAGCUUGUUCAAUUGUGGAAGGGCUUUCCUGCAUUUCUGUUCUUCACUAAUGUUCUUAUAUUUUAUCUUGAUUCUGUUGGAGAACAGUAAUAACCAUCUGACUCAAUAUCCUCACAAGCAGAUAUCCAAUCCAUUUGUGGCCCCUUCUGCCUACGGGAGUAUUACAAAUCCAUAUUCUAUGCCUGGGUUGUCCCACAUUCAGUCUGGGGAUUUUAAGCAUCAACCUUUAGCUUCUGGUUAUGAAGUUUCUUCAGGUAAUGCGAAUCCUGUUAAAGUUUUCUGACUUUCCAACAAAAUUUCUAGUCAUUUAAUCAUCGACCUAAAAUUUCUGGUUAUGAAGUUUCAGGCAAUGCAAAUCCUAUAAACAAGUUAGCUGACUGUCCAGUGAAACCCCAGAGAAUGACACCUCAGGAAAAGAUUGAAAAAUUAAGGAGGCGGCAACAAAUUCAGGCAAUGCUUGCCAUUCAGAAACAGCAGCAGCAGCAGCUUGUUCAUCAAAAGUGUUCCCAAGAAAAUCAAAUUCAGUAUGUUGAAGGAGCUGACCUUGAAGUAGAGGAUCUAAGUCCACUUGCUUCAUUUGACCCAAACUCACCUAUUGAGCAAGACGAUUCCAAUACAGUCUCUCUGGCGGUUAAUGAUUAUUCAAUGGAGGACACAGUACUCUACAGGCUUCAAGAUAUUAUUUCAAAGGUAUGCUUCACGCACUAUUGCAUUCUUAACAAUGCAAAAUAAUUUGUGCUUGGUUACGAUUCCAAACCAAUGUUUUACAACAGCUGGAUGUCAGAAUUAGACUUUGUAUUCGGGAUAGCUUGUUUCGGCUGGCUCAAAGAGCAAUGCAAAGGCAUUAUGCUAGUGAUACUGGCAGUACAAACAAUAGUAGCAGGGACGAACAAGUUGCUGCAAAAGAGGAAACCAGCAGUCAAAGAAGGUUGGUUAAGGCAAUGCAUUUCUCAUGCUUUUGUUUUCAAAUUUAAUCUAUUCUCUCUCUCUUUUUUUAAACAUUUUUGCUCUAUGGAAAUGUUAAAUUAGGAUCUUUUAAUGCCAUCACCAUUUUCUGUUUUCCAUUCUCAUUCUAGAAAUAAUUAUUGAAAACGGUAUCCUCUAUUUACAAUGGAGGAAUAGUGACUGAAACAAUUCAAUUAAGGCAGCGCUUGUUCUUAGAAGUAGAAGGAAAUCUAAACAGAAAAUUUUAGGUUCCUCUUUCACUGGAUUUCCUUAAAAACUUGACUGAAUUUGACCUUGUUGAUCAAAUAUGUAGUAGUUCGCUUCCACUGGUUCUGUUAUGAUUGUGAGUGCUGGUCAUCAUUGUUGGCGUGAGCUGUCAAUAUAGAGAAAUUAGAGCAGGAAUAGGACACUGUUACGUAAAGGAGAUCCCAUAUGUUUAGGGAAACCUUUAUUUCCGCAAUAGAGAUUGUAUUGAAUAGGAAAACUAAAAUCCUUCUCUGUAUAAAACCUAAAGGUACUCUGUUACGUAGGUUAAGAAAGAAAAGACAGAAUAAGAAAAAGAAGUAACUUAUAGACUUCUAAAAUUAUCAUGGUAUCAGAGCGGCGGGUUCCUAGGACCUCUGCUCAACCCACCUUGUAACCAUAAAAAACACUCAAACAACCUAGACUCUAUGGCAGAAUCAACAGAACUGAUGGAACACCUCAACCCCCAGACCGAAUCAAUCCUUACCAGCCUGACGACCAAGAUGACAGAAGUUCUCUCGAGAUCACAGACCUCCCAACACCCACCACCUACUGAUUCUUCGACUACUCCAAUCGGCAUCAAAUUGAAUGACUCAAAUUUUGCCUUAUGGUCCCAAGUUGUUGAGAUGUAUAUCUCCGGCAAAGACAAGUUGGGAUAUAUUAAUGGAGAAUUUCCUAAGCCUCCAGAAACCGACCUAACCUUCAGAAGAUGGCGAACUGAGAAUGCCAUCGUCAAAGGUUGGCUGAUUAAUUCUAUGGAACCUUCCCUAGUUGCUAAUUUUAUUCGCUUCCCUACUGCAAAACAAGUGUGGGAUUCUGCCGCUACAACCUAUUUUGAUGGGACAAAUACGUCUCAGGUUUAUGACCUCCGCCGUCGUGUGACUCGGAUGAAACAAGCUGGCGGAUCCAUUGAAAAAUACUAUAAUAAUCUUCAAGGCUUAUGGCGAGAAAUAGAUUUUCGGCGUCCUAACCCAAUGGAUUGUGUUGUGGACAUUCAGAAAUACAAUUUAAUCUUGCAGGAAGAUCGAGUGUAUACCUUCCUUGAUGGAUUGGAUGACCGGUUGGACAAGACCAGGAGCGAUGUACUUCAGCUAAAACCAUUCCCUACAGUAGAGCAGGCUUAUGCUUAUGUCAGACGGGAAGAAAUAAGGCAGACAGUAAUGACUUCAGGGGCCGAAAGUGCUCCUGGAAUGGUUAUGAAUUCCAAAGGACUCAAGGCAGGACGCCACCACACUCCAAUGAAGACAAGUUUUUUCUCCUUGAACAAUGACAUACCAAAUCCAUCUGAAAAAAUGCCGGCUCCAUCAGAUGGCAUAAAGUGCACUCACUGUGGCAAUGCCAAGCACACCCGUGAAACCUGUUUUAAGUUACAUGGAUACCUAGAUUGGUGGCAUGAACUUCAGACAAGGAAGAAACGAGACAAUCCUAAUGGCAGCACAAGGAGAGCUGUUAUAGUCACUGGGGAACCUUCAUUAUCACUCACCUCCCAAGUAGAAACCACACAGAAUUCAGGUAACAACAAUAACGUUCUUCAUAGCUGUACUCAUACUGCUGAUGACAACUGGAUUCUUGACUCUGGGGCUACAGACCACAUGACAUUUGACUCCAAUGAUUUUUCCCAUACCACUUUGCCAAGAAGAAGUCAUGUUGCUACUGCUAAUGGGGUCCCUUGUCCGGUUACAGGAGCUGGAACUGUGACUCUAUCUCCCUCUUUAUCCUUACCUCAUACGUUACUUGUUCCAUCCCUUUCCCAUAAAUUAAUGUCUAUCAGCCAAGUUACUGCUGAUCUCAAUUGUAUGGUAUUAAUAUACUCUACAUUUUGUCUCCUUCAGGAUAUUCUCACCAAGGAGAUCAUUGGGCGUGGUACUAAGAGGGGGGGGAUUAUACUAUGUCGAUGACCUCAUUUUAAGCAGAGAAAACCUCAUGGAUCAUGUGGUUAGCAAGAAAGAACAACAGAUUUGGUUAUGGCAUCACCGCUUAGGACAUCCUUCGUUUGGUUAUUUGAAGCACUUAUUUCCAGAUUUAUUUUCCAAUGGAAUGCAUUCAAACUUUACGUGUAAUACUUGUAUUCUAGCAAAGAGUCAUAGGGUUUCAUAUCCUGUGAGCAUGAAUAAAAGCAUGAUUUCGUUUGCAUUGAUACACUCUGAUGUAUGGGGACCUUCCCCCAUUACUACUGCUUCUGGACAUCGUUGGUUUGUGAUUUUUGUUGAUGAUUGCACUCGAAUGACAUGGUUGUACUUACUGAAACACAAGGAUGAAGUAUUUAGUAUGUUCAAAGCCUUCCAUAUCAUGGUUCAGACUCAAUUCUCUGUGAAGAUUCAGGUCCUUCGUUCUGACAAUGGAGGGGAAUAUGUUAAUCAGCAGUUUCAAGCAUACUUUCAGAAUCAUGGUCUUCUCCAUGAGACCUCAUGUGCUCGGACCCCACAACAAAAUGGCCUUGCUGAAAGAAAGAACUCACAUAUCUUAGAAAUUGCACGUGCUUUAUUAAUCGGGGCACAUGUGCCUAGUCGCUAUUGGACUGAUGCUGUCGCCACAGCCGUGCACUUGCUGAACCGUAUGCCUGCAAAGGUAUUAACGUUUCAGACUCCUUUAAAGGUUCUAUCUGACCAUGUCUCAUUGCCUACUGUGUUGUUGCUCCCUCCUCUAUUUUUGGUUGCGUUGCCUUUGUACACCUCCAUAAGAAUUAGAGAUCUAAGUUGGAUCCUUGUGCAGUCCGAUGCCUAUUCUUGGGUAUGAGUACAUAAGAAAGGAUAUCGUUGCCUUGAUCCCUCCACCAAACGCACCUACACUACCAUGGAUGUCACAUUCUUAGAGUCUGACACCUUCUUCCCAUCACCAGCAUCCAAUUCCACUCUUCAGGGGGAGCACCGUGAUGAAGAGCAGAAUUGGUUGGGAGAAAAGCAGCACCUACUGGACAGUGAAGGGUUAUCAAGACAGCAGCACCUACUAGCCAAUGAGGUUGAGUACCUGGACAGUGAAGCUGAUGUUGGAAGCAAUCCAGCGUAUCUGCACAAUGAAGCUGAAAGUAUUGAGCCGAAGGAUCAGGCUAAGUCAGUGAUAAAUACAGAAUCUGAAGAUGACUUUCCCCACCUCUUAGUACCUAAUCCCGACGACCCUCCUCCUGAGAAUAAUCCUGAGGUAAGUUCUCCUACUACACCUCUACACACUAAUGACAUGGAUAAUUCUGCUAGUCCUAUUCUACCUUACAGACACAAUCGGGGCAAGCCACCAAACAGGUAUUGUCCAGACAUAGAAGACAGACGGUCCAAAUAUCCAAUCACCAACUAUGUGUCUACACAACGGUUAUCUGGACCCCUGAGAGCAUUUGCACACACCUUGUCCUCGUGUAAAAUACCUUGCAGCGUUGAGGAAGCCUUGACAGAUCCACACUGGGCUAACGCUAUAAAGGAAGAACUGGAGGCGUUGCAGAAAAAUAAAACAUGGGUACUGGUGGAACUACCCGAGGGGAAGAAGACUGUGGGGUGUAAGUGGAUUUUCUCCACUAAAUACAAAGCAGAUUGCUCCAUCGAUCGACACAAGGCAAGACUGGUUGCAAAGGGGUAUACACAGACAUAUGGCAUAGAUUAUCAAGAAACGUUCUCACCCGUAGCCAAACUAAAUACUGUUAGAGUCUUGCUAUCUCUUGCAGCAAAUCUAGAUUGGCCACUGCACCAACUUGAUGUAAAAAAUGCCUUCCUCCAUGGUGAUCUUGAGGAGGAAGUUUAUAUGGACAUUCCGCCAGGAUGCUUGUCUUCCUCAGAGGCACGAGUGGUAUGUAAACUACAACGAGCAUUGUAUGGAUUAAAACAGUCACCCCGUGCAUGGUUUGGUCGGUUCAGUUCAGCUAUGAGAAAAUAUGGGUUUCAACAAAGCAACUCAGAUCAUACACUCUUCAUAGCAGGGACGAACAAGUUGCUGCAAAAGAGGAAACCAGCAGUCAAAGAAGGUUGGUUAAGGCAAUGCAUUUCUCGUGCUUUUGUUUUCAAAUUUAAUAUAUUCUCUCUCUCUCUUUUUUAACAUUUUUGCUCUAUGGAAAUGUUAAAUUAGGAUCUUUUAAUGCCAUCACCAUUUUCUGUUUUCCAUUCUCAUUCUAGAAAUAAAUAUUGAAAACGGUAUCCUCUAUUUACAAUGGAGGAAUAGUGACUGAAACAAUUCAAUUAAGGCAGCGCUUGUUCUUAGAAGUAGAAGAAAAUCUAAACAGAAAAUUUUAGGUUCCUCUUUCACUGGAUUUCCUUAAAAACUUGACUGAAUUUGACCUUGUUGAUCAAAUAUGUAGUAGUUCGCUUCCACUGGUUCUGUUAUGAUUGUGAGUGCUGGUCAUCAUGUCUUGAUUUAGUUGAGAGAAGCUUUGGUAUUGUAUAUAGGCCAACUUAGGUAGAGGCAGAUAUUAAACUGACAUUUGUAGCUUUACCCUGGUUCAGCAUUCAUGAGUGCAGUGCAGCAAGUAGUCAUGAGGUGACAAUUCAAAUAGCAUAAUAUUUUGUAGAGAUUUUCAUUUAAUUAGAAAAGGAGAUUUUCAUUUAAUGGCAUAAUAUUUAGGUGACAAUUCAAACCAUGAAGGACAAUAUGCUACAUAAAGAUAAAAUUAUGAUUUAUACACAUUUCCAUUAGCUUUGAUGGAGAAAGAGCAUUCCACCCGUCUCCACUCAUGCAGCGUGUCACCAUCCCUUGAGUAAUUGGAUUUUUGCCAUUAAUUUGUGCCAUAGUCUUUUGAAAUUAUGCUUCCGUGUCUCCCUCUGUCAUGAGCUCAUUACUGCCUCAUUUUGGAGGCCUAAUUACAAGAGCAUAGAAAUUAUGUAGAUAUUACAGGGUCCCAACUUUUUUUUUUUCGUUGUCAAGGAAUUAUGUCAUAAGUUUUAAUUGAAUAUAGAUAUUGAUUAAACGGGUCUUCAUUAUCAAGGAAAUAUACCAUAAAAUUCCUAUUUUUCUUUUAUCAAAUAAAUUUCAUAGUAAACUAUAUUUCUAGAAAAUAAACUAUUCUAUGGAUUUUAGUAACCAAUUUAACAUCUCUCAAGAAUUUUUAUCGUCUCAUGACACCAUUACAUACCAAAAUCUAAUAGGGACCAACAAUUCAAUGAUAUUCCUCAUCUAGACAUCAAUUUCAUUUUUUAUUUUCAUGGUAGUAAUAUUUUACACAAUCUCAAGAAUCAACACAGGUGCUCCAUGAAAUUUAAAAAGUUAUAAAGAGAUAUUUAAAAAAUAGUUCUACUUACUACAUUAUUCAUCAAUUCACAACAUUUAUUCACAACUAAAUCCCCUAAAUUCUCCUGUCAUUGGCCGGCGACCAACUCUAUUUAAUUAUCAAAAAUUUUACUUCAAUUACAAUAAUUUAAUCACUUCACUUUAAUCUUCACAUUAUUCCCCAUGACAAAUUACAAUAAAUUUUUAUUUCCCUCAAAUUUAUUCAAGAACCCAAACUUUUUAAUUUAAAAAAUGCAAUCAAUUAAGAACUUUAAGCCAUUAAAAUUCAGAUCAAAAAUCUUUAGAAUGCAUUGUCAAGCAAGUAAUUAAACUCUAAACACUUCCCAAAUGAAGCUUUCAACUCCUCCUCAUAUUUAAUCUUGAAUGAACUUUUUCUUUAUUUUUCUACUCACCUUCACUUGAUUUUUAUUCCUUUUAAUUAAUGCUCAAUAAGCUUGGUUAAUGUUCCCUCAAGAUCUUCCCUUAAGAUUUUAUGUUUCCUUUACAAUUAUAUCCCUCUCACAUGUAAAUGGUAGUUUCCCCUCUUUCUUUUUUUCUCCUUUUUUUUUCCGUACCCGAGCACACACAUACUCACUUACAUACACACACACUAACUUUUUACCAAAUUUCCUUUAUUUCUCAAAUAGUAAAUUUCAUGUUACCUCCGGGCCGGUUCGAGUUUAAUAAUAGUGUUUUGAAUAGCUAAAUUGAUAAAAUAGUAUUUUGAAUAAUAUAAAUAUAAUUUUUUUUUUAUCAUAUGUAUUUUAAUGGGAAAAAAAACUAGUUGAAAAACUAAUUGUAUUGGAGUGAGAGAAAUAAGUGUUUUAUUUUUUUUAGUGAGCUUGAUGUUAUUUUUUUUUUCAUAUGACUAUAUUUAAUUGGUUUAUUUUUUGAUGGCCCUACUUUUUUAGUGUUGUUUUUUUUUAUAGAUAUGUAGAAAUAGUAUUUAUAAGAAAGAAAAGAUAUUUUAACAUUUUAUUUAAUACUUUUUUGAAGUGCAUAAAAUAAACAUGAAAGAGUCAAAUUAAUAUUUUUUUUUAAUUUUUAACUUUUCAUUUAACACGCCCUUUGUAGAAGCUCUUAUGAUUUGGACUCAAUUUAAGUGGGUUAAAUAUUGGUGGGAUAUUCCAUCUUUCUCUUUUUUUUUGAAAUUUUACUCUGUUUGUCUUUGAUUUAUUUUGCUAGAAAUUACAUCUUAAAAAAAGAGGGGUUUGAUUGGAAAAACUUAACCAUAUUUGGUUAUUUGGGAACUAGGUAUUAUAAUUUUAUAACCUUUAACAGGUUAACUUAGCUGAACCAAUUUAAUAUAAAACUUUAUUAUUAUUAAAUUUUAAAAAAACAUUUUAAAAUCUUUUCUAAAUAAAAGUAUAUUUUUACGGGAUGUUAAUUAAUUUUAUAAAAUAUUGUUCCGGAUGUGUUUGUGUAUGCGUGAAUUGCGCGGGCCAGGGAAAUGGAGUUAGGUAGCGCAUCAACUCGGUGUGUCCUUGCUUUAUUUGCCAAGAAGCCCCAUCGGUUGAAAAAGUGAGAGGAAAAUGGAGUAACUUGGUUUGUAUCUUCUUUUCACGUGAUGUGCAAAUAAUGCAGAAGAAGACUUCACUUUAUUUCUUCUCUCCUUUUCUUUUAUCACUUUUAUUUCAUUGAUAAAGUAGAUAAAUAAAUUAUAAAUUAUAAAUUAGCUGAUGACCAUUGCUAUGAAUAUUAUAAAAACUUCAUUACACAUUCUAGAAUGUUGCGUAGUAUUUGUUUAACUCUAAAAGAAUUGUGGAGCAAGUUAUAAUAAAAAAAUCAUUAUAUUAGAAAUUACAGUUGAAUUGCGAAAAUAAAAAUAUCCUUAAUCAGUAUUAAAGAUACUGAUUGUUUGCUUUGAAUAACAAGAUGCAGUUCAAUAGGAUUAGGUCUUAUUGGUUUUAUCUUCCACCUGUAAAAAUGACCUUGUUUUUCAUGUAGAUGGAUCAUUUUAUUCCAAAACUUCUUUAUAAAUAUAAUUAUUAAACUUCAUCGAUUAAUGUUUUUUUAAUUAAAAAAUAGUUAAGAAAACAACUUAAAAGCAUGUUCAUCGAUCAAAUGUGUUUGUUUUUUAGCGGUUUUUGUUUUUUUAAUGCAGAUAACAAAAACAAGAUAUAUAUUUGGUUAUACGUGAAUUGACAGCAAAACCGUGUGCACAGAGAGAAGGGGCGAAGGAAAGUGAGCACAAAAGGUCAAUAAAAAUAAUUUGAUCGGUGGUUGAAGUCUCUCUAUCCAGUGUCAGCAACAUAAUAGCAGCGACCACCACAGAAAAAUAUACAGAACUCGCAAAAGCCUUUUCUCUGAAAAAAGUGGGUUUGAUCGGAAAAACAUCACUAAAUGCCAGCUCUUCACGUGAUGUGAUCAGGCAGCAGAAGACUUCACUUUAUUUCUUCUCUCUCCCUCCUUCCAUCACUUUUCAAUGAUAAAGCAAAUAAAUAAAUUAUAAAUUAUAUUAUUAUAUUUUAUACAUUCUGUUUUGUUUUUUUUGUUUUUAAUUUAAUUAUUAAGGUAUUUCACUUGCAUAACCUCUGCGUUUGGCUAUAUUCAAAGGUUUAAGCCGAAAUAAAUUAUAUUAGUAUAUUUGUAUUGAAUUGCUUAAUUAUAUCAUGAAUUAACAUGUUUGGUAUCAAUGUCAAUAGAAAUAAUUGAAUUGACGCAAUUAAUUAAUUCUUGAUAGCAGUUUUAAAGGUAAAUGCAAGACAGUUACCUUUAAUCAUGAAGCAACAACGGAUUUUAUUAUGAUGUAUCACAUUCUCAAAUAUGAUCUAAAAAAAAAUAUAAAAGCGAUUGUAAAGAAUUUAUAAAACAUUCACAGUGUUUGAUAAUCUUUUACAAAUUAGAAAUAAUGAAUCUAGUUUACAUAAUACUUUCUUGACAAAAAAAUCAAAGCAAUCUGAAUGCUUGUAUAUACGGAUCGAUUACAUACAUAAAAAAGGGUCAAGAACAGGUAAAGAAGGUAUACUUCUUCAAAAAAAAUGCUGGGUGGGUACUAGGAUUUAGAACUCCUGCACCGUUCAUGGCCAUAGCUAUUGCUAGCUUCUCUACAGAUUUCAGAGAGCAACGAUUACGAGAAUUUGCCAAGUUUUGGCUGCAUCCAAUCCAUCAUUCAUGCCAGGAUACACCCAAUGCCAGGGAAAGUCGUCCUCUGCUUUAGCUUUCUCUGGUUAGCACCACCUCCUGAAAAAAACACAUGAACAAAUAAAAACAUUUAAUUUAUUUCCUAGAAAAACACAUCAAGAGGUCGUUAGUUUUCUUACCUGGGUUGUUACAAGCAGCAGCACUAAAAUGACUAUCAUCUUCAUCGGCAUUUUGUCAAACAGCUAGGGCGUGUUCUUUAACUGCACUCCUACUCCAUCAUUGCUUGAAAAGGUUAAUGGCCCAAUAUUUGUUCCCGAACAUAACACAAGCCAUGUACAUUUAAAUGAUGUCGUGCAACGAAACAAGGGAGUGUUGAUGAGAGUUGAAGCAAAACUGGAAUCAAACGAAUGAACAAGCCCUUCUAUCAAAGAUUGGACAAGGCAGGGAAAACUUUCAAGCUAAUAAGCGACUUAACAAAUGAACUAAUGAAAAAAAAAAAAAAAGAAUCGAUAAGGAGUCAUGAAUUUUAUAUUAUCUUUUCUCUUUAUGUCUGUUUUUUAUCAAAGUAAAUUCCGAAAAAGAUAUGACUUACAAGUACUCCAAAAUCAUUUUUUAACUUCUGCUUUAUAUGGAAUAAAAACAAUUUAAUCAAAGUUAAAUAAUAUAUAAAAGAUAAAAAAAAAGUUUUUGAAUUUUGAAUUUUUGAAGAAGGGAAGAGACUAGAGAAAGAGAUGGUGAAUUUUUAUUUUAUUUUAAUUUUUGAAGAUGCAGAUUUUAUAUAAUUAAGGGUUUGAUUUAUUUUUGGAAUCAGUUGCAGAUUUGAUGUUGGCAAGCAUCCGCUGCAAAUUAGUUAAAUAAUUUAAUUUUUUUAAUCCUUUUUAGCAAUGGAUUUUCUAUUACUAAAUUCAUUGUUGAUAUUAAAAAAAUCAUAUAUACACAUUCUGUUGUUAAAUUAGCAAAAGAAAUAUUAUGUUGCUAAAAUUCAAUGAUAAUAGCCCCCUGUCCAAAUUAAGGGUGGUGCUGGCAGUUCAAAAUCUGAAGCAUGUGAUGAUCCUCCAGCUCGAUAUAUCGAAACAGAAUGAUGAUUAUUAUUUAUGGAGAUGAAUGAGACACUAAUUAUGGAAGAAAAUAUCUGUAUUUCAACAUACAACAAAUAAAAACAUACAACAUUUUGGACAAUAUCUGUAUUUCCUUCAUCCAAAUUUUAACUGAAAUUGCCUUUGAUUACUGAAAAGAAAAUAAACUAUUUAGUAGCAAUACCUCAAAAAAAUAUGUUGCCUUUGAUUGAAAGAAAAGCUCCUUUUAACUGCUACUUCUUUGCUCCACUGAGGUUGGGGGGAGGGAAAAUAUAUAUGUAAGGAAUGUGAGAAGCUAGCGAACGCUACGGCCCAAGAGCAUUACAUUCUUUGCUGUGCUGAUGUCUAUGUCAGGAAUGUGAGAAAUCUUGAGCCAAUCUUUACCUUUCUCCCUUUCACAACUUUCACCCAGCAGAGGACAAUUGUGAAUUAAAAGAGAAGAAAGGGAGGAGGGCAACCCUUCUUCUGGCAUUGACUCAAUCAGAGGGCAGUGCCAUAUAGUUAAUUCUCUAAGAGAGGUGAGGUGUUGAAGCCUUGGAAGAGAUUUCAGCAUAGGACAACUAUUAAUUAAAAGAGUAGAAAGGGAGGAGGGCAACCCUUCUUCUGGCAUUGACUCAAUCAGAGGGCAGUCCCUUAUAGUCAAUUCUUCAAGAGAGGUGAGGUGUUGAAGCCUUGGAAGAGAUUUCAGCAUGGGACAACUGUUAAUUAAAAGAGAAGAAAGGGAGGAGGGCAACCCUUCUUCUAGCAUUGACUCAAUCAGAGGGCAGUUACGUAUUUUCAAUACUCUAAGAGAGGUGAGGUGUUGAAGCCCCUUGUAGUCAAGAGAUUUCAGGUGUUCUAGGGAAGAGAUGCUAAGAGAUGUAAGACUUGAGGGCAGCAGCAUCUCUUCAGGGAAGGAUUCAACAUUUUCGUCAUCACCAAUAACAAAGCUUGAAAGAGAAGGGAGCGUUUGCAAGCCCCAUUGCAUGCGGCCUGCAAUGAGUUUGUUGCAAUUGCAAAUCUCAAGCGAUUGUAAUGUGGAGGGAAAACCCCCUUCUGGACACAACUCAACUUCAGAACAAUUAAUUAUUCUCAAAUGGGUAAGGGAUGGGAGGAGAGAAUGCAUACUCUCAGGCAACUGCUUCAAGUUGCUGCAUUCUUCUAACACAAGUCGUGUCAAGACUGAAGCAGGUAACCCUCCUUUGGGAAAUGAAACUAAUUUAGGGCACCACCGGAUUUUCAAAGAUUGGAGAGAGGUGAGAUCAUUGAGAGGUCUUUCAUGUGCACAUAGUGAUUCCAGAUCUGGACAGUCAGAGAUAGAAAGAGAAUUUAAGUUGGGGACCAAGUCCAGUGCGACGCAUUUGAGAGAAGCACAGUUAUGGAUUCCAAUUUCCCCUAAAUCAGAAGGUGAACAACCCAUUUGAUCAAUUUCCUCGGGUAGGGACUCUAGGGAGUGGCAUCCACAAACAUCGAGAGAGAGCAACCUAGGAAACCUGGGAAGUGGAGUCGCGAGCUGCUCACAUCUGAAGGAUGUAAGUGAUGUUAAACGGGGAAGGUUGUGACCAGGUAGGGCCUUUGUAAGGUUCGGGCAUUUUUUGAUUGAAAGAACCUCAAGAAGAGGGAAGGCUUCCCGGCUGCCUUCGUCUGAAAUCCACUCGCGCCACUCUGGCAUCCUUUCAAAAGAUAAUCUUUUGAGGGAUUUAAAUGGCUUCUCCGUAGCAGUACAAUUCCCAUAGAACUCGGAGCCCACAGUGAGAACUUUAUCGAAUGCUUCAAUUGAGAGUUUCUCUAAAGAAGCUAAUUGCCCGAGCGGUGGUAAGGAGGUGCAGUUUUCACAUCUACUGAGCUUCAAGGACACUAUUUUUGAGAAAGUGGACUUUCCUACCCACUCCGGAAACGUUGGACCUCCAUAACCAUCAAUCUCAAGAUCCUUCACCUCUCUAUUUGGCUCUAAUUUCUCAAGUGUGCUUGUUACGUGUUGCGGGUCACGAGUGUCACCAUCCCAUGUAAACCUCAGCUUGUCAAGGUGCUUUUUACCUUUCAAAUUUGCCUCAGCAGCAUCCCGAGCAUCCACCACAUUUUGAAGGUUCCGAAUAUGAAGUUCUCCCCGUAGAUGUGGUAGCUUUCCCAAUUCUUUAAUGCUAGUCUCAAUCGGUCUUCCCUCGUUAAAGUCCACGAGAAAGUCAUUCCACGUUUCUUUAAUGCUCUCACUCUGUCUUCCCUCGAAAGAGUGCACCAGAAUGUCAGCCAACCUUUCUUCAAUGUUCUCACUCUGUCCUCCCACGAGAAAGUCAGUCAACGUUCGGAGCUUUGUCAGUUGACCUAUAUGUGGUGGCAUCACUUUCAAAGGCGUGUCUGAGAUGUUAAGAUACCGCAAGUUGAUUAACCUUUCCAGAGAUUCAGGCAACCUUCUGAUUCCUGUUCCUUCAAGAUUCAGAUGUCGUAACUGCUUCAAAUUUCCAAGAUCAGGUAGCCUAGCAAGUUGUUGGCACUUUUUCAAGAUCAACGUUUGCAAAUUGAGAAGAGCACUCACUUCUUCAGGCAACGUUACUAAAUCUGACCGGGAAAGAUCCAAAUACCGCAAAUGCUUCAACUUGCUAGUUGAACAUGACAACAUAGAUGCAUCUCUACAAUAACUCAUGAAUAGCACUCGUAGGCGACAAUGUGUUGACUGAAAGAUCUCCUUAUAAGUUUCGGGAGGACACUCAAAAUAGCGUGGAAAAGUUCGGAAUGUGCGUAGAAGUUGGGCUUCACGGAUGUUUUCUAAUAUUGUGCUUGAAAAAACACCUUUCGUAUCUUCAUCUCCGGUAUCUUCACCAUCCGUGUCUUCCGAAUCUACGAGUGAAAAAUGACGAGCCCUUCUUGUGGCCUUGGAAGAAUUAUUUACCCCCAACCUGGAGCUGAAGCAAAAUUGACCGGACACAUGGGUAGCCAAGUCAUGCAUGAGAUCGUGCAUCACAAAUGAUGAGCGAGAGGCACUUGAUUGCUGGAAAAACGACCUUGACAAGAGAUCAUCAAACCACUGAGCACCUGCUUUUUCCAUCUCAUCAUCUACGGAGGGGACUAAGAAGCCCUCUGCCAUCCACAAGAGUACUAAUUUAUUCUUUCGAAAUGAAUAGUCUUUUGGAAAUAUGGCACAAUAAGCAAAACAUUGCUUCAGAUGUGGCGGGAGAUAAAGAUAACUUAAUCUCAAAGCUGGGAGGAUAUUGUCUUUGGGUAAAUCCCAUAGAUUGCUUUCCAAUAUCUUCUCCCACUCCUCGACAUCUCUUUUGGUGCGUAGCAGACCUCCGAGUGUUACUGCAGCUAGAGGAAGGCCUUUACACUUUCUCGCUAUUGCUCUACCAAUUUCUAGCAACUCUUCAUGAGCAGUGGGAUCUUUACCAGGAAAUGCAUGUCUGGCAAACAAGGACCAGCAGCUGUCUUCCGUCAAUUCUUUUAGAUGAUGAGUUGGAACAGUUUGCAUGACUGAUGCUACACUUUCAUUGCGUGUUGUGACAAGAAUCUUACUCCCUUGUGCUCCGUACUGCAGGAGGGUAAGCAACUUGACCCACUCAGCAUAAUCUUCAUUCCAAACAUCAUCUAAAACAAGCAAGAAUUUCUUUCCCUCCAAUCUCUCCUUCAACUGAAGCUGGAGAUUAUUCAGACUCCCAGAACCAGACUUUGGAUCGACCUCCUCAAGGAUCGCCUUGGUUAACUUCAAAACACUGAAAUCUUCUGAAACACAAACCCAAGCUUUGAGGUUGAACCACUCUUGUACUCUGCUGUGACUGUAUACAAGCUGAGCAAGCGUUGUUUUACCAACCCCGCCCAUUCCUACUAUGGGAACGACACCUGGGUUUUUUCCAUUUGCAUCAUCUGAUAGAAGCAACUUCAGUAUUGCUUCGCUGUCAUCAUCUCUAUCACAAACACCAGAUUCAUCCACGAGAGAAGUUGUUUGUCUUUCAUGCGAUGAUGGUGCUUUUCCAGUGCGGUUGAUCAAACCAAGGGCAUCCUUUUGUUUUACUAAGUCAUCUAGACUCUCCUGGAGGCUUCUUGAUUUUUCUUUUAUCUCUCUCAACCCCAUUAUUUCACGUGGGUUAAUGAAGAUUUGAGCUUCAGCUUCCAACUCCUGCCGUAGAGCUUCAUAAGCAAUCUCAUCCAAGAAGUCCUCGGCUUCAUAGACAGCAUCUUUAUACGCGACCAGCCAAGCCCUCACAGCUGGACUUGUUAUCUGCUUCUCCUCAGCAUCGUCAAGCAGCCCCCUGCCAGGUAUCAUUGCUGUCUCCAACCUCUUCACCGGCCUAUCGUUCAUGUUUCUGGGUUUCAAUUUACUUGAAACUACAUCGACAAUCUUUUGAAUUAAUUUUGAUUCGUGCCUGUGGAUAGAAAAAGAAAGUCAUCACUCAUCGAUGAAAGAUAAUCUUUUGAACUUAAUGCAAAUUUAAAAUACAAAAUGUAAGAAGGGUAAAAGUUAUGAGCCUUUGCUAUUGAUAUAGGGGAAGAAAAGAAGUACCCAUUUGCGAUACUGCGACGAUGCAACCCACAUAAAUUUGCAGCCUCCACAAGAGCUUCUCUCCACUUUUGGACCUUCUCCAUUUCUUCCUUAAAACGUUCUUCAUGCUUAUCAAAGGCUUCAGCAAAACUCCCCGUCUGUUUUCUAAUAGCAGAAGGUUCGAUAUCAUAGAAAACAGGUAGAACAAUCUGACCAGUUGUGUGUCUGCAUUCAAGAAUCUUUUGAAGUUCACCAAGGCACCAAGUGGAGGAAGCAUAGCCCUGAGAGAAAACCACUACAGAAAUCUUGGAUUCUUGAAUUGCUUGGGAGAGUUGUAAGGAGAUUUCUUCACCUAUACGAAGUUCGUUGUCAUCUCGAAAUGCAUGGAUUCGUUCUCGGAGUAAAGCAUUGUAAAGAUGAUCCGUAAAAGUUUUGCGAGUAUCUUCACCUUUAAAACUUAGAAAUACAUCGUAAACCCAACCAGGUCUAGGCAAAGAAGAAGAAGACGCCAUGAUGAACAUCUAGCGGUGAUUGCAAACUGCAAAGUUAUAAUAAAGGUCACCUUCGGUCUUUCUUUUGAAGCGCAUAUAUAUAUAUAUAUAUAUAUAUAUAUAAUCGACUUCUUGCUUUAUUGCAAGUUGCAAACCAGGUACCAUUUGAUUCAGAAAAAGUUAUUUUCACAAAAUCAUUUUAAAAACUUUCUUUUUGUUAAAAAAUUUUGAUGGAAAAUACGUUUUAAUUAUAAAAAAAAUAGUUUUGUUUUUAAAAAAGUAUUUUUUAUUAUUAUUUUAGGUGAAAAAUAUUAUAAAAAAAUAUCUUAUAUGUUUUAAUUAUAAAACAAUUAGUUUUGUUUCUAAAAUAAUAUUUUUUAUUAUUAUUUUGAAUAAAAAAUAUUAUAAAAAAAUAUCUUAUUAUUUAUUAAUUGUAUAAUUUUUUAUCGAUUUACUUUUUAAUUUAAUGUUAAACAGAUUAAAACCUAAAAUUAAAAGAUUUGGAGUUUGAAUGCAAAACUUCAAAAUCGCAAUUUGAAUUGGAAAAAGGAGUCGUUUCCUGGACAACUGUUCACUGCCUUCUUCCACUGUUUCGGCAAUAAAGGCAAUGUUUUCGUUUCGUCAUUAAGGCAUUAAAAGGGUUUCAAUUACAGGGCAUGUCUCACGGCUAUUAUCAAGCCAGCCAUUACCAUCACAAGGCUUUCCCUGGCUUUUUAAAGCCAGGGAAAGGGAACGAACAAAGGGAGGAGAAGGACGGAUGAGAAACAGAACCACGGAAGGAAAACGAGCCAAGCCUAACGCAGACUAAAAUGAGAAAACACAGAGGAGGGAGCUUCUAUUCAACCUGCAGCACCUAACGCCUUCAUCACCAUCGUCUUCGUCCUGAGCAGAGGAACAAGAAAAAAACCCGAAGAGGGAGAAGAAGAAAAACAGGGAGCAUACAGAGAGAGCCAAGCCUCUGCACGACCAUCGGCUUCAUCUUUCUUAAUUACCAGCCUCCAGAAACAGAGGCGACAGAACAAGGAAUUAAAAACAAGGGAAGGGAAACAAAAAUAUUACAAGAAACUCGUCAUCACCAUCGGUUUCCCCUUUUCCAGCACCAGGAAUCAAAAACAAGGGAAGGGUUACAAUGCUUACCUUCGCACAAUUCAUGCACGCGUGAAUAAAUUCACGCGUGCACUCGGUUCUCCAUCCAGGUCAAUCGCUUGGACCACUGAUUAGACCGCACUGGCAGCACGUGGGCUAAGCUGGAUCCUGUCUCUAACGACCCUUUAUUUUAUUUUUUAAAAAAGUUUCAUUUCAGCUUGUUUUCUAUAAUAUUUUUAAAUAUUAAAAAAUAUUUUUAAGAAAAAAAUUAAUAAAAAAAUUAUUUUUCAAAAAAUAAAUAAAUAUAAACGCAUUAUAUUUGGUGUGGCUACUGAGUUGUAAAGCAUAAAAAUUAUUAAGGUAUUUCACUUUCAGAACCUCUGCAUUUGGCUUUAUUGAAAGGUUUAAGCCGAAAUAAAUUAUAUUAGUAAAUUUGUAUUGAAUUCCUUAAUUAUAUCAUGAAUUAACAUGUUUGGUAUCAAUGUCAAUAGAAAGAAUUGAAUUGACGCAAUUAAUUAAUUCUUGAUAGCAGUUUUAAAGGUAAAUGCAAGACAGUUACCUUUAAUCAUGAAGCAACGGACUUUAUUGUGGUGUACGGUGUACCGCAUUCUCAAAUGUAUCUGUUUUGUCUUUGAUUUAUUUUUCUAGAAAUUCCAUCUUUGAAAAAACUUCAUUAAAUACCAAGCUUUUCACGUGAUGUGAUGAUGCAGAAGAAGAUGUUCUUCCAUCACUUUAUUUGCCAGUAAAGUUCAAAGUAAAAAAAAAUAUCUCAAAUUAAUGUUAGUGUAUGCGUGAGUUGCGUGUGCCAGGAAAAACGAGUUAUGGCCCCCAUUUUACUCGGGUUGUCCUCGCUUUGUUUGCCAAGAGAUCCCAUCGUCGAAAAAAUGGGUUUGAUUGGAAUAACUUUUAUUAAAUGCCAGUCUUUAUUUUCACGUGAUAUGCUAAUAAUGCAGAAGAAGACUUCACUUUAUUUCUUCUCUCUUCUUCUUCUUUUAUCACUUUUCCUUCAUUGAUAAAGUACGGGCUUGUGUAUGCGUGGGUUGCGGGUGCUAGGAAAUUGGAGUUAGGCCCCACAUUUUAUUAAUUUUACUUGCUUUAUUUGCCAAGAGAUCCCAAGAUGGUAAUUCACUUUAUUUCUUCUCUCUUCUUCUUUUAUCACUUUUCUUUUAUUACUUUUCAUUCAUUGAUAAAUAAAUUAUGAAUUAUAAAUGAGCUGAUGAACAUUGCUAUGAAUAUUAUAAAAACUUCACUUUAUGUCUUUUAGUAUUUAUUUAACUAUUUUUAGUCUUUUUAUGCUCAAUCCUUGAACAAGGCGCUUGCACCCAUCGAAGACAUCAAGAUCCAGCGAGGAAAAGGGCGGGAAAGGAGCCUGAAGUGUUUGCCAUUAAUCAAGUGGAUGGCUUUUGACAAUUAAAUAAGAUACCCAAUCGUCUCUCACAUCCUCUCCACCUUCACCAGUAUCUUUUGUGGUAAUUUAAGUUAAAACAUCCAUUUUAAUCAUAAUUUCAGUUAACACAUUUUUAAUUAUAAUUUUAGUUAAAUAUUUAUUUAAAUCAAACAAAUCACGAGUGAAAACUAUCUUUUUAAAGUCUCCAUCACCGCAAGAGCUAUCACGAGAACAAAACACUCCAAAAAACAAAUUAAACAAUGAAAACGCUUUGUUUCUUUUCGUACUGAAGACCAGCUGUCUCCACUCAUGCGACAUGUCACUAUCCCUUGAGUGAUUGGAUUUCAGCCGUUGAUUUGUGUCAUGGUCUUGAAAUUACGCUUUCUUGUCUCCCUCUGUCAUGGGCUCAUUAUAGCCUCAGUUUGUAGGGCUCAUUAAAAGGGCAUAGAAAUUACCUAGAUAUUACAGGUUCCUACUUUUUUUUAUUUCGCCGUCAGGGAUAUAUACCAUAAAGUUUUAAUUGAAUAUAGAUAUUGUUUAAUCGGGUACUCAUUGUCAAGGAAAUAUACCAUAAAGUUCCUACUUUUCUUUUAUCAAAUAAAUUUCAUAGUAAGCUAUAUUUCUAAAAAUUAGACCGUUCUAUGGAUUUUAACCAACAACUCAAUGAUAUUUCUUAUCUAGACAUCAAUUCCUUUUUUGAUUUUCAUGGUAAUAAUAUUUCACACAAUCUCAGUAUCAACACAAGUGUUCCAUAAAAUUAUAAUAUUUCACACAAUCUCAAGUAUCAACACAAGUGUUCCAUAAAAUUUAAAAAGUUAUAAAGAAAUAUUCAAAAAACAUUUCUAUUUACUAUAUUAUUCAUCAAUUCACAACAUUUAUUCACAAUUAAAUCCUCUAAAAUCUCCCAUCAUUGGCCGGCCACUAGCUCUAUUUAAUUAUCAAAAAUUUUACUUUAAUUACAAUAAUUUAAUCACUUUACUCUAAUUUUCAUAUUAUUUCCCAUGACAAAUUAAAAUAAAUUUUUAUUUCCUUCAAAUUUAUUCAAAAACCCUAACUUUUUAAUUUCAAAAAUUCAACCAAUUAAAAACUUUAAGCCAUUAAAAUUUAGAUCAAAUGUCUUUACCAAGCAGGUAAUUAAACUCUAAACACUUUUUUAAUAUUGGUGUUUUUGAUAGAUAUGUAGAAAUAGUAUUUAUAAGAAAGAAAAGAUAUUUUGACAUUUUAUUUAAUAUUUUUUAAAAUAUAUAAAAUAAACAUGAAAUAGUCAAAAUAAUAUUUUUAAAAUUUUUAACUUUUCAUUUACCACAUCCUUUGUAGAUGCCGCUAUGAUAUGGACUCAAUAUAAGUGGGUUAAAUAUUGGUGGGCUAUUUCAUCUUUCUUUAUUUUUUAAAAUUUUACUCUGUUUGUCUUUGAUUUAUUUUUCUAAAAAUUACAUCUUAAAAAAAAGAGGGUUUGAUUGGAAAAACUUCACCAUAUUUGGUUAUUUGGGAACUAGGUAUUAUAAUUUCAUAACAUAAAUUAUAAAUCUAACAGGUUAACUAAGCUGAACCAAUUUAAUAUAAAACUUUGUUAUUAUUAAAUUAAAAAAAUAACAUUUUAAAAUCUUUUCUAAAUUAAAGUAUAUUUUAACGGGAUGUUAAUUAAUUUUAUGAAUAUUGUUCCGGAUGUGUUCGUGUAUGCGUGAAUUGCGCGGGCCAGGAAAAUGGAGUUAGGUGGCGCAUCAACUCGGUCUGUCCUUGCAUUAUAUGCCAAGAAGCCCCAGCGUUUGAAAAAGUGACAGGAAAAUGGAGUAACUUUGUUUGUAUCUUUCUUUUCACGUGAUGUGCUAAUAAUGCAGAAGAAGACUUCACUUUAUUUCUUCUCUCCUUUUCUUUUAUCACUUUUAUUUCAUUGAUAAAGCAGAUAAAUAAAUUAUAAAUUAGCUGAUGACCAUUGCUAUGAAUAUUAUAAAAACUUCAUUACACAUUUUAGAAUGUUGCGUAGUGUUUGUUUAACUCUAAAAGAAUCGUGGAGCAAGUUAUAAUAAAAAAAAAUCAUUAUAUUAGAAAUUACAGUUGAAUUGCGAAAAUAAAAAUAUCCUUAAUCAGUAUUAAAGAUACUGAUUGUUUGCUUUGAAUAACAAGAUUCAGUUCAAUAGGAUUAGGUCUUGUUGGUUUUAUCUUCCACCUGUAAAAAUGACCUUGUUUUUCAUGUAGAUGGAUCAUUUUAUUCCAAAACUUUUUUAUAAAUAUAAUUAUUAAACUUCAUCGAUUAAUGUUUUUUUAAUUAAAAAAUAGUUAAGAAAACAACUUAAAAACAUGUUCAUCGAUCAAAUGUGUUUGUUUUUUAGCAGUUUUUGCUUUUUUAACGCAUAUAACAAAAACAAGAUAUUUGGUUAUAUGUGAAUUUGACAGCAAAACCGUGUUUAUGGUGCAAAGAGAGAAAGAGGGAAGGAAAGUGACAAAGAGCACAAAAGGUCAAUAAAAAUAAUUUGAUCGGUGGUUGAAGUCUCUCUAUCCAGUGUCAGCAACAUAAUAGCUGCGACCACCACAGAAAAAUAUACAGAACUCGCAAAAGCCUUUUCUCUGGAUCACACAUUUUCCGAGAAAUUGCAUCUUUGAAAAAAGUGGGUUUAUUUCUUUGCAUCUCUGGAUCAGAAAAACAUCACUAAAUGCCAAGCUCUUCACGUGAUGUGAUCAGGCAGCAGAAGACUUCACUUUAUUUCUUCUCUCUCCCUCCUUCCAUCACUUUUCAUUGGUAAAGCAAAUAAAUAAAUUAUAAAUUAUAUUAUUAUAUUUUAUACAUUAUAUUUUGUUUUCUUUUUUUAAUUUAAUUAUUAAGGUAUUUCACUUGCAUAACCUCUGCGUUUGGCUAUAUUCAAAGGUUUAAGCCGAAAUAAAUUAUAUUAGUAAAUUUGUAUUGAAUUGCUUAAUUAUAUCAUGAAUUAACAUGUUUGGUAUCAAUGUAAAUAGAAAUAAUUGAAUUGACGCAAUUAAUUAAUUCUUGAUAGCAGUUUUAAAGGUAAAUGCAAGACAGAUACCUUUAAUCAUGAAGCAAGAACGGAUUUUAUUGUGGUGUACGGUGUACCGCAUUCUCAAAUGUGAUCUAAAGAAAUGUAAAAGCGAUUGUAAAGAAUUUAUAUUAUUGUUUUUUAAAGUAUUUUUUUAUUUAAUAAUAUAUUAAAAUAAUAUUUUUAAAAUUUUAACAUAAAAAUGGUAUAAAAAUAUAAAUAAUAAUAAUUUUUUUAAAAAAGUUAUAAAACAUAAAUUAUAUGUGAAGAAUCAUAGGUUUGUGAUUGUGGGAUCCAUUACAAUUUAUGGGCCAACCAUGAGCUAAUAAAAAGUAACAUCGACAUGUUUUUACUAAGCUACAACCUCAGUAUUUUCUCAUCCACCGACAACUUCAUAAAAAAAAAUAUCAAUGGUUUUUUUACAAUUACUAAGAUACCCAAUCAUUUUUAAACAUCCACCACCACAAGAGCUAUCACGAGAACAAUUUAAAACAAUGAAAAGGCUGUUGUUUCUCUUUGUACUGGAGACCAGCUGUCUCCCACCCAUGGCAACGUGUCAGUAUCCCUUGAGUGAUUGGAUUUCAGCCGCUGAUUUAAGUCCUGGUCUUCUGAAAUUACGUUUCCCUGUCUGCCUCUAACAUCAACUCAUUUUCCACGAAAUUUCCCAAUCUUCGGACAAUAUGCUACAUAAAGAUAAAAUGAUGAUUUAUACACAUUUCCAUUAGCUUUGAUGGAGAAAGAGCAUUUCCAUUAGCUUUCAUGGUAAGCGAUCCGUACUACCUGUGAACAUAGAAAAAAAGAAAUAAGAUUUCUUAUAAAAUAAAAUGUAAAUAGGCCUUUCCCUUUUCUUUUCUCUCGUGUACAUUUCUUAUAGCUCGUGCUAACCAUACUCCUACAAGAAAUAAGAUAUUCCUUUCUUCGACUUCCUGUUUUUUCGCCAGUUAAAAGAAAAUACAUCUGAAAUUUCCUUAUUUUUUAGAGAGAAAUAUAUUUUCUUCUUCUAGUACUCAAAAGUCAAAACACUUGGAAAGUCAAGUCAGUAUAUCAUAUAAUUGAUACAUAGGUGGUUGUUUCGAUUACUUGAAAAUAUUACAACUAUACUGCCUUUAAAUAUAAGAAAUACUAAAAUAUAAGAAAAAAAUUGGGGUAUUUUUUCUUUUUGAAAAUAACGAGUUUUGUUUUGGAUGAAAUUGUUCUUGACCUUUCAUAGCUACCGUAAUUAUAGAACAAUUAGUUCAAUUGCAAACUUAUGGAUAGAUCUAAUUAAACAUAAUUAAUUAUUUAAUUGAAUAAUCAUACACUCGUUAUGAACAACAGAUAUUCUUAUGAUUAAAGGAAGAUUUAUGGUUGCAAAGUUUAAUCAUGCAGACAUUGACUAAUAUGUUUUUUGUGGAAAGUAUUUAAAAAAAAAAUUAAUUUUUUUUAUUUUAAAUUAAUAUAUUUUUGAUGUUUUUAAAUUGUUUUAAUUUUGAUAUGCUGAUAUCAAAAAUAAUUUUUUAAAACUAAAAAAGUAUUAUUUUAAUAUAUUUUAAAAUAAAAAAUAUAUUAAAAAAUAAUCAUUAUGCCGGGAAUUCCAUUUUACUCGGUUUUGUCUUUGAUUUAUUUUUCUAGAAAUUCCAUCUUUGAAAAGAGUGGGUUUGAUUGGAAAAACUUCAUUAAAUGCCAAGCUUUUCACGUGAUGUGAUGAUGCAGAAGAAGAGGUUCUUCCAUCACUUUAUUUGCAAGUAAAAUCCAAAGUAAAAAAAAAUAUCUCAAAUUAGUGUUAGUGUAUGCGUGAGUUGCGUGUGCCAGGAAAAACGAGUUAUGUCCCCCAUUUUACUCGGUUGUCCUCGCUUUAUUUGCCAAGAGAUCCCAUCGUCGAAAAAAUGGGUUUGAUUGGAAUAACUUUUAUUAAAUGCGCAAUAUAAUCUUUAUUUUCACGUGAUGAGCUAAUAAUGCAGAAGAAGACUUCACUUUAUUUUUUCUCUCUUCUUCUUUUAUCACUUUUCCUUCAUUGAUAAAGUACGGGCUUGUGUAUGCGUGGGUUGCGGGUGCUAGGAAAUUGGAGUUAGGUCCCACAUUUUAUUAAUUUUACUUGCUUUAUUUGCCAAGAGAUCCCAAGAUGGUAAUUCACUUUAUUUCUUCUCUCUUCUUCUUUUAUCACUUUUCUUUUCUUACUUUUCAUUCAUUGAUAAAUAAAUUAUGAAUUAUAAAUGAGCUGAUGAACAUUGCUAUGAAUAUUAUAAAAACUUCACUUUAUGUUUUUUAGUAUUUAUUUAACUCUUUUUAUGCUCAAUCCUCGAAGAAGGCGCUUGCACCCCUUGAAAAUAUCAAGGAUCCAGCGAGGAAAAGAGCGGGAAAGGAGCCUGAAGUGUUUGCCAUUAAUCAAGUGGAUGGCUUCUAGUCCACAAGAAUUGACCACAACAGUUGAUGUUUUGACAAUUAAAUAAGAUACACAAUCGUCUCUCACAUCCUCUCCACCUUUACCAGUUUCUUUUGUGGUAAUUUAAGUUAAAACAUUCAUUUUAAUCAUAAUUUUAGUUAAAUAUUUUAAAUUAUAAUUUUAAUUAAAUAUUUAUUUAAAUCACGAGUGAAGAUAAUUUUUAUAAACUAUCUUUUUAAAGUCUCUAUCACCACAAGAGCUAUCACAAGAACAAAGACACUUCAAAAAACAAAUUAAACAAUGAAAACACUUUGUUUCUUUUUGUAUUGAAGACGAGCUGUCUCCACUCAUGCCACAUGUCACCAUCCCUUGAGUGAUUGGAUUUCAGCUGUUGAUUUGUGUCAUGGUCUUCUGAAAUUAUGCUUUUCUAUCUCCCUCUGUCAUGGGCUCAUUAUAGCCUCAGUUUGUAGGGCUCAUUAAAAGGGCAUAAAAAUUACCUAGAUAUUACAAGGUUCCUACUUUUUUUUAUUUCGUUGUCAAGGAUAUAUAUCAUAAGUUUUAAUUGAAUAUAAAUAUUGUUUAAUCGGGUACUCAUUGUUAAGGAAAUAUACCAUAAAGUUCCUACUUUUCUUUUAUCAAAUAAAUUUCUUAGUAAACUAUAUUUCUAAAAAUUAGACUGUUCUAUGGAUUUUAACCAACAACUCAAUGGUAGUAAUAUUUCAUACAAUCUCAAGGAUCAACACAAGUGUUCCAUAAAAUUUAAAAAGUUAUAAAUAGAUAUUCAAAAAACAGUUCUACUUACUAUAUUAUUCAUCAAUUCACAAUAUUUAUUCACAAUUAAAUCCUCUAAAAUCUCCCAUCAUUGACCGGCCACUAGCUCUAUUUAAUUAUCAAAAUUUUUACUUUAAUUACAAUAAUUUAAUCACUUUACUCUAAUUUUCACAUUAUUUCCCAUGAUAAAUUAAAAUAAAUUUUUAUUUCCCUCAAAUUUAUUCAAGAACCCUAACUUUUUAAUUUAAAAAAUUCAACCAAUUAAGAACUUUAAGCCAUUAAAAUUUAGAUCAAAUGUCUUUAGAAUGCUUUACCAAGCAAGUAAUUAAACUCUAAACACUUUCCAAAUCAAGCUUUCGACUCCUCUUCUUCAAUCUUGGUUGAACUUCCUCUCUUUUUAUCUACUCACCUUCAUUUAAUUUUUAUUCCUUCCAAUUAAUGCUCAUAAAGCUUAGUUACUUUCCCUCAAGAUCUUCCCUUAAGAUUUUAUGUUUCCGUUACAAUUCUAUCUCUCUCACGUGUAAAUGAUAGUUUUCCCUUCUUUUUUUUUUUUUUCUUUUUUCUUCUUACUGGAGCACGCACACAUACGGUAAAAUUUUACCAAAUUCCCUCUAUAUUCCAAAUAGUAAAUUUCAUGUUCCCAGGAUAAAAUUCUUGGAUCCUGGCAUUUGUCUAUAUAAAAAUUUUACCUAGGUGAAUUUGAAUUUUAUUUAAUUAUAUAUUGAUAAUUUUAUUUUCAAAUCGUAUGGACUCUCUCUCAUGCCCCAUCAUCAGCACAGGAGGAGGGAAUGGGGGUGCUGUCUUCCUCGGUGAAAACUAAUGGUGAUAGAGUGCUUCUGUUUCCCAAACUAGGAUUCAAGGAGGUGCCAAAGCUGUCCUGACAAGUAGUGGGGACCUAGCAUUUAUGAUAGUGUUUCUGAUUCCCAAACUAAUGGUGAUAGUGUAUCCUCGAGUCAUUUAUGCUCGAAAUUCUGUUUAUUUCUGGUUGGAUGUGGAUUCUCAAAGAUUGAUCAUCCUGAGCUUGUCUGUACCAUAAGGAGACUAGUGAUAUCAGGUUCCAAAGCAACUGAUAGUAGCCAUUGAAGCUGCAAAUGGACUGGACGAAAAGCAGAAAGGAUGAGGGGACACACCAAGAGGCUUAAUGACACCAUCAUCCGCUAAUCACCAGCCAUAUGUAUCUUCAGAAAUAUAUAUCGCGCACGACUUUUGCCAACACAUGCCUGUGCAGUACAAGAAUAAAAGAUUAUUUUUCAGUUAAAAAAAAUAAAGUUGGAAAGAAUAAAAUGAAUUAGCAGCGCAAGAUAAAUACUUACGUUUCGGAUUUUGGAUAAUGCAUCAUGAUGAUGCAAAUUUAAUUGGCCAUGAUAAUUAUGAUAGGAAGCUGUAACUUCCUCUGUUCUUACAUCAGAUAUUUGUGAUGGCUUUACACACAAAUUAAUCCUUCUCAUUAUAUAAUCACGUUAUUAAAAAUGUAUAUUUUAGUUGUGAUGACUAUAUAUGUGCUAGUGAGAAAGAUAUGUUUUUAAGAUUUUCAUAGAAGAAAAAAAAUAUUGAUAUGAUAUCUUUGCUCCAAAUUUGAAUCUAGUGACCGUUGGAAGAUGUUAGAAUCCUACUAAACGCACCGUAUGGCCAUUAGAAGAUUGUAGGGGUAUUAUGUCACAAAACACACCGUUCAAUUACUACCUAGACACAUCGUUUAAAUGUUGCUGUUUCUUUUAUGACUCUUGCCACGUGUUGGCUGUUGCUUGAUAAUUGGAAGUUGUUGUUAGCCGCUCUUUCAGUUAGCAUUUCUAUCAGAAUGCCUGUAUGAAAAUAGAAGAACGAAAAAUGGUGGCUUAACCAAUUUAUGUCCUUCUCUCCACUCUCUUCUUCUUUAUUCCCUAUCAUCCAGUGUUUCUGUUAAAUGGCCUGCGAGUUUAUUGAUCCCUGUGAUUAGUAGACUCCAUUGUAAACCUCAAAUCAGUGUAGUGACCUAACAGUCCUACUGGAUUCUAUCCUGGUGGGAGAUCAUUCCAUCGUACUUGCUACAAGUGGUAUUAGAGCGAUCGAUCCUCGGAAUGUGAACAAAUGAUCGAUCGCUCCUGACACUGGAUCUCAAGACAUCAAAAAGCUGGAGAGCUCCCUUGAAGCUGUCAGCAAGGAUCAAGCAUAAGAUUAUGGACAAAUGAUGAAAAUGUUGGAGUCUUACAAUCACAAACUGGGUACCACAGAAAGCAACCAUGAAGCUAAGUUUAACGAACUCAAGGGUCUCAUUAGUGGAAUAACUUAUCAACAAACAUCCCUUCUUCGAUCACUAAAACUUUCCACAGGGGAGGCUAAUACCUACCCGAGACAAACAAACAACUCAUAAGUUGCAAUAACUUGAUUACCUAGUGAAGGUGAGCACUCUCGGAUUAGGACGCACAAACCCAUAUGUGACUUUCUCAGCUUUGAUGGGGAAGAUGCCCAUAAAUGGUUUGUAUAGAUGCAAUCAAUAUUUUGAUCUUAAGAAGAUUGGAGAUUCUAAAAAACUUAAGUUAGCAUCAUACUACCUUGAUGGAAUAGCAUUAUAUUGUCACCAGAACUUUGAGGAGUUUGGGAGGCCUAGAAGUAACAUUGGAAGGUUAUGUAGAGGCCAGAAAGACCCAAUAAACGCUCCCAAUCCGCUGCUCUUGCUUUCUUUCUAAACGACCAUGCACUACUACUAGACUUGUUAAUGUUCUCUUUAAUCAAGAUUUUAGCCGUCCUAGAUUUUUUUAUUGUAAAAAAUAAUUAGUUAAUCGGACAUAAGCAUUUUCAAAGACUCCGUUCAUUUAAUUGAAUAAAUUUAAUAAAUAUUUAAGUUAACAUGGGUUAAUAUUUUAAUUCUAAUGAUUAUUAUGAAUAUAAAAUUAAGAUAACCUGUAGAAAGAAAAGUAUAUAAAAAAAAAACAUGAAGAUAAAUUCUCUAUAAAUCAAACAUUGAAGGAUAAGAUUUAAAAAAAAAAAAACAAAACUAAAAAAAAACCGAAGUUAAUCUGUGUUAAUAUUUGAAACUUGUGACUUUGGUAAUGAGCUCAAUAUUAACUCUACAAAAGAUAAACCCUAAAAAAUAAUGAAAUUAAAUUCUUUAUCACAAGAUAAUGAGAGAUAAAACUAGGAAAAAAAUACAACUUAAAAAGGAUUUAAAAAAAACAUAUAGUAAUAAAAAGAAAAUUAAUCAAAUUUUACAUUAAAAUAAAUUGAAAUCAUAUAUUAAGAGAUGAAUUUGAAAAGAAAAUUCAAUUAGAAAAAAGAUAAUAAAUAAAUAAAUAUUAAUUAAAAAAAUAAAGGCUAAACUUGGUAUAAAAAUUGAAUAAAAUCAAAUGAUAAGAAUAAAAUUUUUAAAAAAACAAAUUUACAAAAAAUAAAAAUCAAAUAAAUAACAAUAAAAUAAUAAAAAUCAAAUUCUUCAUAAAAAAAAUAAAAGAAAACUUCUGUAAUUUACCAUAAGAGGGGAAAAAAUACAGAAAAAGAAAUCCACGUACUUGUGGCCCACCACCACCCAGCCCUGAUGCUCUUCUCCAAAGUUCCAAACAACAAACAGAAGUCAGUUUUUGGCCAGCAAAAAGCCGCACGCGCUUCUCCAAAGCAUUUCAGUAAUAAAAACAUUAAAAACUAUUAAUUUUGCCUUAAAUGCAACAUAUUAUACACUUAAAAGAAUUAUGAAAAGUAGCUUAAUUUGUCAGACAUUGAGUUUACUUUCCAAUAAUCACGAGUUUGAGUUUUUUUAAGGUUACCAAAAGUUUAUAUAAUCGUUAACAUUAGAACCCGUGAAAUUAAUCGAGUUACAUACAAACUGGUCUAAACAUUCCCGUUAAUUAAAAAAAAAAGAUUUCCAAAAUAUGUCUUGAGGAUUUGCAAGGAAUUGGUGAGCGUGUUCAAUUGUGGAAGGGCUUUCCUGCAUUUCUGUUCUUCACAUAAUAUGGGGUGAGGCUGAAGAUAGUGAUGACCAUAUCGUGCCAUAUCCAGAGGCAAGUGAAGAUUAUUGCAAGAAAAAGGAAUCGAGUGAAGAAGCUAGCACCAUUAAAUCUAGUGAGCAGAAGGCACCUGGGGCUAAAGUUGAUACUGAUGGCAGAAAGCUGGAGAGCAUUUCGAAUGUUGACACAAGUGAAGGAACUUCUUCCUUAGGACUUGACAUGGACCGAUGACCUAACUUGUCCUCACGUAAUGCUGCCAAAACUGAGCAGGAUUCCUUGGAAACUUCAAUCUCUAACAAUCUAACUGACAUUACCAAACUCGAUUCAUCAGCAGGUGAUGAGAUUUCAAUCACAAGGAAACAAUGUAGAUAGGGUGAAGUUGCAUGAUGUUUUCAUAGCAUAGUAUCUUACAUGCUACUGUCAUUCUAAUUCUUUUUUUUUUAAAACGCGGAGACAGAUAAUCUUGAUAAGGACACUGAGAUUUUUCAAAAUCCUCAUGAAGGUAAAGAGCAAGGUGAUUUUGCUGAUUAUGGCUGGGCUAGCAUUGGAAGCUUUGAUGAUCUUGAUCGAAUUUUUAGGUAAAGCACAGUUACCAUUUCUUACUUUCUGCACCUAAAUGAAAGAUGGUCAGCAGCACCUGAUAUGGAAGCUUGUAUAUCUCAUUAUUCUGAUAAUUUGAACAAAUUCUUAUUACUGACUGUGAAGUGAAAGUUUCGCGAACAAAAUAAUUAUGCUCACUGUCUAUUUUCAUUUCAGAAGAAAAAAAUCAUGUAGUACAAGAGUGUUGUUGUGAAGGAAAAACAACCAGACUCUUUUAAUAAUUGUAGUUUCUUCUGUGUUGGAUCUAUAUCCUUUUCCAAAUAAGUGCUGUCUGCUGAAAGCAACACUAACAAAAAAUGACUAGUUGUUUGAAAAUUUAUGGUUUUUGAUCCUUGGCUUAAUUUUGUUAAUUGGGAAAAGAACCUGAAGGAUGCCAGUUUUUAGCAGCACAAUAUCCUCAAUUACAAGUAUAAAUGGCAGAAAGAAUGUAAUAUAGCAGCACUGGAUUUGCAAGGAAUUGGUGAGCUUGUUCAAUUGUGGAAGGGCUUUCCUGCAUUUCUGUUCUUCACUAAUGUUCUUAUAUUUUAUCUUGAUUCUGUUGGAGAACAGUAAUAACCAUCUGACUCAAUAUCCUCACAAGUGGUGAUUUUGCAGCAAUGAUGACCCAAUAUUUGGCAAUGUAAAUCUUGGUAAUGCUGAUGAGCUAUGGUCUUCUUCAAAAUGUACAACUAACAGCCCGGUAAAGCCCUUUCCAAUAUCUGUGGCUUCGAGAGAAGAGGACCAGCUGUUUGCCCUUGGCUAUGGAAAAAUGAACGACCCUGCAUCUCAUGGUCUGCAUAAUACUCAGGCAAGCCUUGAUCAUGUAGAAUAUGAUGAAGGUAAAAACAAGCCUAUACUGAAGGAGCAGGUAUAGCGACUCAAUUUUCAGUAAUGAGUUCACUUAUUAAUGCCCCAUGCUCAAGUGCAGGAGCUGAGAGAAGCUUAGCAUUAAUUUUUUUUAUUUUUUUUGUGCUUUUGCAGACAGAUUUGGCUGUUGUGGGAAAGAACACGGCGGCUAACUCUCAACUGACAGAGAGGAAUGAAAAUAAACUUGGAUGUUGGGUGAAUAUGGAUUUACAUGAUUUAGUCAUGACUUCAAUAAUGCAUCAAUUAAGUUAUCCUGGAUGUCAAAUCCAUUACUUAACCAUGAUAUCGAUUGCCUAAAGUAAAGCCAUUGUGUGGUUUUCUGUUAGUAGGAAGGAGAAAGGAAUAACAUGUGAAAAUUCAGGGACAUGCAAAUUCUGUUUGCAUGGCAUAGUUUAGCUAAUACCUCGAUAUAUUCUGAACAAUAGAAGCCCUUUCGAUCGUAAGUUGCAGUUCAAAAAAUAAAAUAACAUUGAAUUUGUCCUUACAAACCAUGUACCGAAUUAAAAUACUAACUGUGCCUUAGUCACUCUCCCCUGCAGGGCUAUGGUUAAAAUGUUGAUCUAUUCUAAGUAAUUUGUCUAUUUAUUAUAGUUCUGUGAUCAGAGUUACAGGCAAAAGAAGAUCUUGUAAGGUCGGGAAAAACUGGAAGAAAAAGGUGAACUGAAAUCAUACCAAGAUUUUUAUGGAAACUGGACUUCAUCUGGAAUCCCAGCCUGUCAACUUAAGGAUCAUUUAGCACCCCAAAUUAUGCAAUCUUCUUCCCCUUCAAUUCUCAGCCAACAGAAGCAGCUAGGGUUACAAAUCCAUUUGUGGCCCCUUCUGCAUACGGGAGUAUUACAAAUCCAUAUUCUAUGUCUGGGUUGUCCCACAUUCAGUCUGGGGAUUUUAAGCAUCAACCUUUAGCUUCUGGUUAUGAAGUUUCUUCAGGUAAUGCAAAUCCUAUAAACAAGUUAGCUGACUGUCCAGUGAAACCCCAGAGAAUGACACCUCAGGAAAAGAUUGAAAAAUUAAGGAGGCGGCAACAAAUUCAGGCAAUGCUUGCCAUUCAGAAACAGCAGCAGCAGCUUGUUCAUCAAAAGUGUUCCCAAGAAAAUCAAAUUCAGCGUGUUGAAGGAGCUGACCUUGAAGUAGAGGAUCUAAGUACACUUGCUUCAUUUGACCCAAACUCACCUAUUGAGCAAGACGAUUCCAAUACAGUCUCUCUAGCGGUUAAUGAUUAUUCAAUGGAGGACACAGUACUCUACAGGCUUCAAGAUAUUAUUUCAAAGGUAUGCUUCACGUACUAUUGCAUUCUUUCCCUGCUAAACAAUUUGUGCUUGGUUACGAUUCCAAACCAAUGUUUUACAACAGUUGGAUGUCAGAAUUAGACUUUGUAUUCGGGAUAGCUUGUUCCGGCUGGCUCAAAGUGCAAUGCAAAGGCAUCAUGCUAGUGAUACUGGCAGUACAAACAAUAGCAGGGACGAACAAGUUGCUGCAAAAGAGGAAAUCAGCAGUCAAAGAAGGUUGGUUAAGGCAAUGCAUUUCUCAUGCUUCUGUUUUCAAAUUUAAUCUAUCCUCUUUUUUUUUUGUAACAUUUUUGCUCUAUGGAAAUGUUAAAUUAGGAUCUUUUAAUGCCAUCACCAUUUUCUGUUUUCCAUUCUCAUUCUAGAAAUAAAUAUUGAAAACGGUAUCCUCUAUUUACAAUGGAGGAAUAGUGACUGAAACAAUUCAAUUAAGGCAGCGCUUGUUCUUAGAAGUAGAAGAAAAUCUAAACAGAAAAUUUUAGGUUCCUCUUUCACUGGAUUUCCUUAAAAACUUGACUGAAUUUGACCUUGUUGAUCAAAUAUGUAGUAGUUCGCUUCCACUGGUUCUGUUAUGAUUGUGAGUGCUGGUCAUCAUGUCUUGAUUUAGUUGAAAGAAGCUUUGGUAUUGUAGGCCAACCUAGGUAGAGGCAGAUAUUAAACUGACAUUUGUAGCUUUACCCUGGUGCAGCAUUCAUGAGUGCAGUGCAGCAAGUAGUCAUGAGGUGACAAUUCAAAUAGCAUAAUAUUUUGUAGAGAUUUUCAUUUAAUUAGAAAAGGAAAUUUAAUUUUUCCAAUAUUAACAAAAUCUAUGCAAGUUUUCUGCAAUGUUGAUUCCAGUGAAUUUGUGCAUAAUCACCUUAAUCCGAAAAGAAGAGCUAAACACACACAUCCAAGUCUAAAUGAGUGGCACAACAUGCAUGAUAAAUUUUACUAGAUUUAACUAAGAGAGAGAAACAAAGAUUGUUCAACAAGUGCAAUAAGUUUAUUCAAAGACAAAUAGAAGGAAAACAAGAUCUGUACAAAUUCACUGGAAUCAUCAAUGCAGAGAACUUGCACAACUUUAGAUAAACAGGGAAAAAUUAAAUUUCCCUUCUAAUUUAAUGAUCAUCUGCAGAUUAAUGAUACAUUACAUUUUAAGCAAGAAAUUUAAGAACUCAAAUCAUCUUCUAAUCAGCUCAUCAAUGUCUAAAUGGGACACUUCCAGCCAAAACCAUAAGCUGUUUUGAUCUGAAACUCGAUUUUUUGUUGUAAGCGACAAUGUGAUUGUUUCUUGUUCCAAUGGGUUUGUUCCUUUACAUCUCGUCCUUCCCAUUUCAAAUCAUUCAAUUUGUUUGCACAAAAUUAUUAAUCAAGUCUUUAUCAAUUUGUUUAGAGUAUGGCAAUCUCAAACUUGCCUGUCAUUUUCCUCAUGGAUUUUAUGAGUAUACUGCAGGGUGGUUAAGAUGCCUGAGGUGGAAACAGAGACCAAUCCCGUAGACCGGACUGUGGCUCAUUUGCUGUUUCAUAGACCGAUGGAUAUUCCUGGGAAGCAUCCUGAUACACCUGAAUCACCUUUUUCAACUAAGCUCCCUUGUGAGCACAAUGUUAAUGGUAAUAAGACAGAUGCUCAUGGAAACAAUUCAACUGCAGCUGUAAGCCAGCAACGUGGAAACCAACAUGGAAACGAAUCAGCCCUCAUGGAAACAAAUCAACUGCAGCAGUCAGCCAGCAACAUGGAAACAAAUCAAAGAGACGUUGGCUAAUUAGAAUCACCAGCAACAAUGGAAACAAACCAACUCUCAUGGUAACAAAACACAAACAGAAAGAGACGUUGGCUUGUUAUGAAAAUAAAUCAACAGCAGCAGCAAUGAAGUUUAUGACAGGAACCAGAAAGAGAAAGAGACGUUGGAUUGUUAUAGAAAUAGAUCAGCUAAGAAUUAGGCAAGUCAAUGUAUCCAAAUUAAGCAACUUGUAAUGUUCUAAAAAACAACAGCUCGUAUAGAAUGGCAAGUAGUAUAUUCACGUUAAUAUUCAAAGAAACAGAGAAACCUUUCUUCCAUUGAAACAUUCUUAUCUUUCUUCAAAUUUCCGCUUGGUAUCAGAGCCUGUGUGAAUAUACAUCUUAGCAGAACCACACAACAUGUGAACUCUGUCACUCAAUGUUGGUAAUUUCAUUACCCUCAAGCUCAGCCCCACAAAUUAUCCACUAUGGAGAGAACAAGCCUUAGCUCUUGCAAAAAGUCAAGACUUGGUUGAUCAUCUCAUCAAUGAAGAUUCAAUCCCAAACAAAUAUAUUGUACCAGAUUCUACUACCACCACAGAUUCUUCACCAAGACUAACAGAAGAAUAUAUUGUCUGGAGGAAGGCAGAUUGACUACUUCGUGGCUGGUUGAUUGGUACUCUUUCAGAACAUACAUUAGGCCUUGCAGUAGGCCUAGACACAGCCUUUGUUGUCUGGAGUGCUCUAAAGAAUGAAUAUGCAGAGGACUCCCAAGAACGAGAAUUCACCCUCAGACAACAAGUCACCUAUUUUCUCAAAGAAGAUAACAGAACCAUUGGAGAACACAUUCGAAUCUUCAAAGGACUAUGCGAUGACCUUGCAGCUAUCGGGAAACCAAUUUCAGAUAAAGAAAAAAUCUUUUGCCUCCUCACAAGUCUCGGCCCUCAAUAUGAAACCUUCACUACCACAAUGCUGAAACCACCAAGACCUUCUUACCCGGAGUUGGUCUCUCAAUUACAGAGCUUAGACCAAAGAAGAAACUGGUUCACCAAUCAGACAAAUAACUCAUCCUCAGCUGGCAUUCUACGGGCAAAAGCACCAGCGCCCUCAACAUCAUUUUUCAGGAAACCAUGGCAGCAGACAAGGCUUUAUAUCUACCGGGAGAGGAUUCCAUGCACAACAACCUAAAGAUAAAACUCAUACUUACACUGCCAGAUCCCUUCAGAUUCAAAACAGAAACGACCUCCUCCAUCUGGAGAGCAUCGCAAUGACUCCUGCAGAACGUGAGCUAUACAGAGAAGAAACCUGCCAGUACUGUGGUGUUCCAGGUCAUAUUGCAAAGAUAUGUUGGUGGGUGCCUAAACGAUCAAAUCAACACGGAGACCUACCACAAGCUUUGGCUGCUCUCACCUUGGACAAUACUAUCACUGAAACGGAAUGGAUCUCUGAUACAGGAGCUUCCAACCACAUGACAGGUAAUCCAGGUAUGUUAAAAAAUAUUCGCAAUCACUAUGGUUCGGACUCUGUUCUUAUUGGUGACGGUUCUUCUAUAUCAAUACAUGGUAUUAGAGAUUCCUCCAUCACAUAGGAAAAUAAAAUACUGCCACUUAAUGAUGUAUUGUUAGUACCCGACUUGAAAAAAAAAUUACUCUCUGUAAGUCAGUUAACAUCUCAAUUUCCUGUUAAUUGUGAAUUCUCUGACGUUGAUUUCUGUAUUAAGGAACGACAGACAGGACAACCCGUGAUCACAGGAUGGCGCAAGGGUGACCUCUAUGCUCUAUCCACUAUGCCUGAGCUCUACUUUUCUAAUCGUUUCAGAUCAGGACCAGCAGAUAUUUGGCAUCAACGCCUAGGACAUCCACAUUUUUCUGCUUUACAAUUAUUGCACAAUAAAAGUUUGAUAGAUGUUAAAGGAACCACAAAAUGUGAACAUGUUUGUGACAGUUGUCAAUUUGGAAAACUUAGUCGAUUACCUUUUUUUCGUUCUGAACAUUCUAGUUCUGGUAUUUUUGAAAAAAUCCAUUGUGAUUUAUGGGGACCUGCUCCUGUUUUAUCAAUAGGAAAGUUCAGAUAUUAUGCGUGUUUAGUAGAUGAUUUUUCUAAAUACACUUGGAUAAUCCCAUUACUACAUAAGUCUGACUUUGCUGAUGCUUAUUUUGCCUUUGAGCAUUAUGUUACUCGACAAUUUAACAAGCAUAUCAAGGUCUUUCACUCUGAUGGAGGGGAGAGUUCAUAAAUUCCAAACUAUCAUCACACUUCCUCUCAACAGGAGUGGUUCAUCAGAUAUAUGUCCUUAUACACCUGAACAAACAGGUAUAGUAGAAAGAAGACAUCGAGUAAUACGAGAACUAGGUAUGACCAUGUAUUUCAUAGUGGUGUUCCUUUAUCUUUAUGGGUUGAAGCUUUCACUACUGCUGUUUAUCUUAUGAAUAGAUUGCCUUCUUCCGCACUUAAAUUUGAAUCUCCAUAUUUCAUGUUACAUGGUAAUCAUCCUACAUACUCAUCUCUUAGAGUCUUUGGGUCUAAAUGCUUUCCCUACACAUGGGAUACAAAACAAAAUAAAUUUGACCCAAAAACAGUUCUAUGCAUUUUUGUAGGAUAUAGUGAUAAACAUAAAGGAUACAAAUGCUUUCACCCUUCUAGUAAAAAAAUGAUUAUUUCUCGUCAUGUAGUCUUCGAUGAGUCAUUUUUUCCUUAUAAACAAAAAAUUCAGAACUACAUCACUCCAUCUCCUGCACAUGUUAUGAGCAUUUUUGAUUCAUGGCUGCCACCUACUAUCUCUAACUCUGCUGCAGAAAUACAACCCCCAAUGUCCACUCCACCAUGCUCAAGCUCAUCACUAAACACUUUACCAUUUUCUCUUAAUUUACCUGAUGUUUAUGCAGAACAACAUGCUAGUGCCGUUGAAAUUGCAGAACACCACAAUGCCGAUGGAUUGGCAGAGCAAGUCACUAUACCAUCUUGUCUCAAUUUACAUGAUGAUGUUAUUACUAAUACAAUUGCAGAGCAGCAGGACAAUGUUGAUGUAGUAGCCGAAACACAACAAGAAGAACACAACCAUGCUGUUGGAGUGGGAGAACACAGCAAUGGCGUUGGAAUGUCAGAAAAAGUAAUGUACCAUCUUCUCUUAAUUUACAUGCUGAUUAUGUUAUCACUAAUACAGUUGCUGAAACAGUAGCCGAUACACAACAGGAAGAACACAACAAUGUUGUUGGAAUGGCAGAGCAGCACCUUAGAACUGAUAAUAUAACUGAAAUACAUUUGGUAGAAUCUGACCAUGAAGAUGAAAUGCAUCGACAACACCUCUCUCACUCACAACCCAAUCCUGCUUCUCUGGAAUCAGACUUGCAGCUUGUUUAUUCUCCACGUGCAACCCCUCCUUCACAUACCAUGGUUACUAGAUCACAAAGAGGCAUCCUUAAGCCUAAUCCAAAAUAUGCCUUAAUAUCCUCUAGGACUUCAGCAACCAUUCCACGUGAGCCUUCUAACUUUCGGUCUGCAUUAGCUCACCCUGGCUGGAAAGCUGUAAUGGACGAGGAACUUGAAGCUCUCCAUAGAAAUCAGACUUGGGAACUUGUCCCUCGCACACCUUGUUGUAACCCAUUUUUGGGUCCCCACAUAUAAAAUAAUAAAAUACAAAAAAAUUUAAAAAAAUAUAUUACAAAAAAAAUAUAACAGUGAAAAAUGCCAGAGCGCCAUAAACAUGCUAAAAACAUUGUUUGAGGAUUUUCAAAAAUAUAAAAAUUAUUUUUUGACAGUAUAUCAUUAACUGAUGAGAGCCCUGAUGAUAAGGAAAAUUCAAUGAAAAAUGCAAAAUCAGAAGUUUAUGGACUCAAUUAAAUUUUAUUGAAGGUUUAAUUGAAUUUAUGGAGAUUUUAAUUGCAAGAAAAAUUGAUUUUGGAGUUAAUUUGGGCUUUAAUUAGGAGAAAUUAAUUUUCUGGGGUCAAAUUAUAAUUUUUGGAAGUUAAUUUGGUCAAAUCAGGGGCUUAAUUGCAUAAAUUAUUGAAGUUUAUGGCCAAUUAGGGACUUAAUUGAAGAAAUCCGAGACCAAGGACUACAUUGUAAAACGCGCGACAAUGGAGGGCCGAAAUUUGAAUCUGAUGCUUUUGCGCCUUUUCCUAUUAAAUGAAACGGCGCGUUUGACCAAAACGGCGCCGUUUCAUUCACUGUAGCAAAAAAAAAAAAAAAAGAAGCCCAAAACAGUGAUGUUUUGACGGCACUGUAGCUCUUCUUCCCCUGGACACACGAGGCAGGGGAAGAAGAUUUUUUCUUCCCCUUUUCGCCUAAUUACUUUCCUUCCUUUUGCUCAAAAAGACGCCGAAACAAGGACACCACUUGCCGACCACUUUCCACGUGUUGGACGGGCGGCAGCACACCGGCCACCACCAUGACGUCCCCCCCCCUGUUUUUCGCCUAUAAAAACAGGGGAGGAAGAGGAAAAAAAAGGACGAAGAGAGAAGGGAGAGAAGAGAAGAAGAGAAGAGAAGAAGAGGGAGAGAGAAGAAGAAGCAGAGAAGAAAAGAAGAAAAACAGAAAGAGAGAGAGAGAGAGAGAGAGAGAAGAACCACCGCCGGCCUCCGCCACCAUCGCCUCCGCUGCCACCAGCAGCACCGCCACGACGCCACCGCAGGUAACCUCUGCCCCGUCUCCUUCUCCUUUGCCUGCCUCCUUUUUUCAUGCAGAACGUGAAUUAAUUCACGUUCUGCACUGAAGAGGCUGGUUACUGUGCUUAUGCACAGUAACCAGCCCAUUUAGUUGGGCCGGUUCGGCCCAGCCCACUGAAUGGGCCGGGUCCGGCCCAUUUCAAUUUUUAUUUUUAUUUUUAUUUUUUAGAAUUUUUACAAUUUUUCCAGCACAUGUUUUUAUCAAUUUUGCUUAAUAUCGGUCUAUAUUUUACAUCGUAAAAAAUAUAAAUUCGGUAUUAAAAUACCCGAUUUUCGGUACUAUUCAUACGGUACUGUUCACACAUGCAAAAAAAAAAAAUCAAAAAUAUUUGUUUCAGCAUUUUAUAAUUUUUCCGCGUAGUUUUUAUGUCAUUUUGAUUAAUAUCGGGCAGUAUUUUACAUCGUAAAAAUAUAAAUCCGGUAUUAAAAUACCCGGUUUUCGGCAAAAACUUCCAAAAAUAAUAAAAAAAUUAAUUAAAAAAAAGAUAAAAAAAUGUUUUUGUGCAUACGGCCAAGUGUCUCAAAUCUAAAAAAUCAUAUCGUAUUUUUCAUAUGUCAAAAAACAAUAUUUUAGCAUGCAUUUUGGCUUUAAUAACCAGUUUAUUAAAGUCAAGAGAACAUUGGCCAAAAUCUCAAAAACAACAAAAUAUUUUAUUUUGUUUGAUUUUAGUAUCAGGGAUUAUGAAUUUAUACGUAAAUCGUAUUCCUGAUAUUAAAAAGAUAUUUUCUUUUGACGACUUCGAAUAGUUAGUUUUUUACCCGAUAAAGAUAAGGAUCUCCUUACAGAGGAGGACUUUUCUUAAACCGUAAACGAACCAACAAUUCAAAAAACCACAACACGAUUUUAGAUUUUAUCAGACAUUAAAACAAUGCAGCCUACCUUAGGUAGGGCGUAGUUGGGGUGCUAAUACCUUCCCUUUACGCAACCAGUCUCCGUACCCGAUCUCUAAAGACCAGUUAAGGUUCCUAGUAACCAGAAUACUAGGUGGCGACUCCUAGUCCAUAUUUUCACUUGUAGAGACAAGAAUUCCUUGUCUCUCCCUAUUUUAUUUUCAAGGAAUAAAUUAUUCCGAUUUUUCCUUGAGGGUGGACGAUCGCCGCGCCGCCGCACACGUGCGACACACCUGUCAUGCAUGUUAUUGGGUCUAAAUGGGUUCUAAAAACAAAACUCAAACCUGAUGGUUCAUUAGACCGCUUGAAAGCUCGAUUAGUAGCAAAGGGGUAUCACCAAGUUGAUGGAUUGGACUAUACUGAGACUUACUCUCCAGUUAUCAAAACAUGAACUAUUCGUAUGGUUCUCUCCAUAGCACUAGUUAACAAAUGGUCCAUACGUCAACUUGACGUGAAAAAUGCCUUCCUGCAUGGUUUUGUUUCAGAAGACAUAUAUAUGGAACAACCUCCAGGAACAACUGAUCCACGGUACCCAUCACAUGUGUGCAAGCUCAAAAAAGCUCUUUAUGGUCUCAAACAAGCACCCCGUGCCUGGUUUGAUCAGUUUAGUAUCUUCCUUCUUAAAUAUGGGUUUUUUUGUAGUCUUGCAGAUCCAUCACUUUUUAUUUUUCACUCUAACUCUGAUACUUUAAUCCUUCUUCUUUAUGUUGAUGAUAUACUCCUCACAAGAUCCUCUGUUCCUCUGGUUACGCACCUGAUUCAAUUGUUGAGCUCAGAAUUUGCAAUGAAAGAUUUAGGACCCAUUCAUCAUUUUCUUGGCAUUGAAAUUACUCACACCUCUGAAGGACUCCAUCUCUCUCAAUCACACUAUGCGAUGACAAUCCUGGAACAAGCUGGUAUGGUGGACUGUAAACCAAUGAGCACACCGCUUGAAGCCAAGACAAAAAUGGCAGCAACUGAUACACUAUUGCAAGAUCCACAAUUUUUUCGUGGGCUUGUUGGUGCUUUACAAUAUCUCACACUCACAAGACCUGAUAUCUCUUACAGUGUCAAUUUUAUCUCUCAAUUCAUGCAUGCUCCAACUGUUAUACAUUUCAAAAUGGUUCAUCGUAUUUUAAGAUAUGUCAAAGGCACAAUUGACACUGGAUUAAAUUUUACUUCCCAUUCUACACUUGAUCUUUGUGCUUUCUCAGAUGCAGAUUGGGGAGGUUGCUCUACAACAAGACACUCCAUAACUGGAUACUGCACAUUCCUUGGUAGCAAUCUCAUUUCCUGGUGUGCAAAGAAACAACCCACUGUCUCUCGUUCCAGCACCGAGGCCGAAUAUAGAGCUAUGGCUAACACAACGGCAGAGCUUACAUGGCUAACCUUCAUUCUACAAGAUCUUCACAUAUCACCUUCUUCACCACCUAUCCUCUACUGUGACAAUCUCAGUGCCUUACACAUGACUGUCAAUCCUGUGUUUCAUGCUCGUAGCAAACACAUUGAAUUGGAUUACCACUUUGUGCGUGAGCGUGUUGCCCUUGGUCUUCUCAUCACUCAGCACAUCUCCACCCAUGAACAAAUAGCUGACAUCUUCACCAAACCCAUGUCCAAAGGUGCAUUGGCUUACUUCAAAGACAAACUAUGCCUCCGACUCCGGCCUAGUUUGAGGGAGGAUGUUAAUGGUAAUAACACAGAUGCUCAUGGAAACAAUUCAACUCCAGCUGUAAGCCAGCAACGUGGAAACCAACAUGGAAACGAAUCAGCCCUCAUGGAAACAAAUCAACUACAGCAGUCAGCCAGCAACAUGGAAACAAAUCAAAGAGACGUUGGCUAAUUAGAAUCACCAGCAACAAUGGAAACAAACCAACUCUCAUGGUAACAAAACACAAACAGAAAGAGACGUUGGCUUGUUAUGAAAAUAAAUCAACAGCAGCAGCAAUGAAGUUUAUGACAGGAACCAGAAAGAGAAAGAGACGUUGGAUUGUUAUAGAAAUAGAUCAGCUAAGAAUUAGGCAAGUCAAUGUAUCCAAAUUAAGCAACUUGUAAUGUUCUAAAAAACAACAGCUCGUAUAGAAUGGCAAGUAGUAUAUUCACGUUAAUAUUCAAAGAAACAGAGAAACCUUUCUUCCAUUGAAACAUUCUUAUCUUUCUUCAAAUUUCCGCUCACAAGACAAUGGGCCUAGCAAAGCUGUCAACGGCAAGCCUGCCUGAGACUCCAAAAAGUAAACCAAACUUUUCGCAAAAGGGGUCUCAACUUUCUAGUCUCUUGACCAAUGCUCAGCCUGUCAGUCAGUGUAAAAGCAAUCCUUGCUUCAACGCUUAAGAGGAUGCAUCAAACAAUGGGCCUGCAGAUGAAGGAGCUAGGGAGGUUAAAGCCUCUCAAUGAAGACAAGGGUAAUUCCUACCUGAAUCUCUUCCAUGCAUGCAUUAUGCUUGCAAUGGUGAUUAUAUCGAUUUACUGGUAAUGCCAAGGUUUUCUUUUAUUGUCAGCUCACUGGAUCAUCACCAAAUGAGGGUCAUGAGGAAUAAACACCAGUAUUGAUGGGGAUUUGUAAAUGUCUUUAGCAGCGUAACUAUCAAGAAGUCGCAUUUGUGCAUUCUGGAAGUAUUAAUGUUGUUAAUAUAGCUACAUAUCUACUACAACAUUGAACUCUUUGCUGUGAGUUCUCGAGAUGAUGACUUUCUGUGCUUUAAUCCUUUCUGUUGAUUGUGCGAAAGGGUGAUGCUCCAAUAAUUAUUAGUAGAUUUGCAAGUGCAUGCUCUCUUGAGUGACACUGGCCACUUUCACUUGAUUCUAAAUUGUGAUUCCAAUACGGAUGAAUAUUAUAUUAUCUCCUCUUUUUGUAUCUGCUUCUUUUAUGAAAGUUAACUUCAAGAAUAACCCUGUGCACCAUAAAAUAAAUUUGACUGGAAAAAGCCUUACCUGCACUCCAAAAUUGUUUUUUAACUUCAGCUUUAUAUGGAAUAAAUUUUUUUUAAUCAAAGUUAAAUAAUAAUAAAAAAAAGAUAAAUUAAAAGUUUUUGGAUUUUGAAUUUUUGAAGAAGGCGAAUGGAUUAGAGAAAGAGAUGGAGAAAAAAAUUUGAAUUUUUGAAGAUGCAGAAAAGGAGAGAACGGAGAUUUUAUAUAAUUAAGGCUUUAAUUUAUAUUUUGAAUCAGUUGCAGAUUUGAUUUUGCCACGUCAACAAUGAAAAAUCCGUUGCAGAUUACUUAAAUAAUUUAAUAUUUUUUUAAUCCUUUUUAGCAAUGGAUUUGCUAUUACUAAAUUCAAAAUCUGAAGCAUGUGAUGAUCCAAAUGUUGGGGAUUCCGCCCGGUGAUGUUCUAAUAUUUGCUCAUUGGAAGCUAAACACACUGACAUAAUAUUUAACGUGGUUCGACAAAUCGCCUACAUCCACGAGAGAUGUUCAUUUUAUUAAAGAUAGAGAAAGGAUAAAAUAAAUACAUGGAGGAGGAGGAUUACAUCCACUCCAACUCAACUCACUGCUCAUACACUCUGCUGCAUAUGGCAGCAGCUCCUCUUUCUCUCUUCUUCUCUUCUCUUCACUCUCUCACGUUAUCCCUCACUCUCUCAUUGCUCUCAAAUAAUUAUUCAUGGUCAACAUGGAGGGGCCAAUAAUGCCUUAAAACAUGCCACUAAUUGUGGCACUAGUGGUGCUUCCACUUGCUUGGUGGUGGGGUAUUGCCAUUAAAUGGCAAUAUCCUAACACCAAAGGUAUUGAAUUUAAUAUUUCACUGAGCAUGUCUUUAUUCGCAGCAGAAUUACAGGAUAGAGGAACAAUAGUAGGAUUUGAAUUUGGAUUCAAAGGAAAGAAGCCAAAGGUAUUGAAAUGACCUUUAAAUUGUUUAAAUUGUCCAGUGAAACCCCAGAGAAUGACACCUCAGGAAAAGAUUGAAAAAUUAAGGAGGCGGCAACAAAUUCAGGCAAUGCUUGCCAUUCAGAAACAGCAGCAGCAGCUCCUAUUAAUCAUUCUCCCUGUCUUGUUUAAACUGUUAUUGUUUUUUUAAGAAGCAAUUUAUGUAACGAAUUUGAACCAAAAUCCAGUGAAAAUUACUUUGUUCUAACCACAAAUGUUAGAAUGAGAAAAGUACAAUACUAAUCAAAUCAACUUUAAAAUUUAAUUAUAGCAAAAAAGAUAUUGAAAUAGAAUGAUGAUUAUUUAUGUUGUAUAUGAAGAGGAAUGAGAGACAAUAGGAAGAAAAUAUAUGUAUUUCAUUCAUCCAAACUUAUGAGCCGCUCACGCUUGUAGAAGGAAAUUUGGAUCAGAAUCCUGCAAAGAAACAAUGGAGGAUUUAGACCAAGAGCAUGAAAAGGAUACGUAAAAUACACAAAUAGCUACGUAAUGAUAUUUGAAAAACCUGUUGGUUUGCAUGCAAAGCAAUCUUGUUUUGUGAAACUAUGGUGCUCCACUCUGCAAUGGGCAAUUGGUGAUACUGACAUGAAAAUUUUAUCCUGUGCAUAUUGUUCUGGCAAGAAGGAAGGCUGACAAACCCUUCAUGAACUGUAAGUGGAAAGUUGGAUUUGGAUCCUGCCUUAAAAAAAGCAUAGAAUUAAUAGUGGAACAUGACAAAUUUUAACUGAAAUUGCCUUUGAUUACUGAAAAGAAAAUAAACUAUUUAGUAGCAAUACCUCAAUAUAUUUAGUAGAAAAUAAACUAUUUAGUAGCAAUACCUCAAUAUAUUUAGUAGAAAAUAAACUAUUUAGUAGCUCCUUUUAACUGCUACUCUUUUGCUCCGCUGAUGUUGGGAAAAUAACUACGUGAGGAAUGUGAGAAAUCUUGGGCCAAUAUUUACCUUUCUCCCUUUCACAACUUUUUCACCCAGCAUAGGACAAUUGUUAAUUACAAGAGAAGAAAGGGAGGAGGGCAACCCUUCUUCUGGCAUGGACUCAAGCAUAGGGCAGCGAAAUAUCACCAAUUCUGUAAGAGAGGUGAGGUGUUGAAGUCCCUUGUAGUCAAGAUAUUUCAGGUGUUCUAGGGAAUAGAUUGUAAGAGAUGUAAGACUUGAAGGCAGAAGCAUCUCUUCAGGGAAGGAUUCAAUAUUUUCGUGGCCACCAAUUGUAAAGUGUGAAAGUGAAGGGAGCGUUUGCAAACCCCAUUGCAUGCGGCCUGCAAUGAGUUUGUUGCAUUUCCAAAUCUCAAGUGAUUGUAAUUUGGAGGGAAAACCCCCUUCUGGACACAACUCAAGUUCUAAACAAUCACUUAUUAGCAAAUGGUUAAGGGAUGGGAGGAGGGAAUGCAUGCUCUCAGGCAACCGCUUCAAGUUUCUGCAAUGUCGUAACGUAAGUUGUGUUAAGACUGGAGCAGGUAAUCCUCCUUUGGGAAAUGAAACUAAUUUAGGGCACUGCUCGAUUUCCAAAGAAUGAAGAGAUUUAAGCUCAUUGAGAGGUCUUUCAUGUGCACAGAGUGAUCCGAGAUCUGGACAGUUAAAGAUAGAAAGAGAAUUUAGCUUGGGGAAAAAGUCCAGUGGGAUGCAUUUGAGAGAAGCUGAUGGAAAUAAGUUAAGCUUAAACAAUACAGUUUACGUAAAGAAAAAGAAACAGAUUUAAGAUGGCAGAGUUGAGUAGAAAGAUCAAUAUAUUUCAUUAACUUCAAAUGCCUAUAGGCUUACAUAGAACUUGAAAUGCAUUAGAACUCUCAACAAACUUGAGAGAUUAUUGGAAUUGAAAUCCUAGACUAAGCAGAAUGUUUCUGCUGCAAAUCCUGAAAGAGAUAAACUAUUACAGAAUUCAAAUAUUAAAAAUUGAUCUUAAUUCUAUCUAUCUAAAGGCAAAAUCUCAUAAUUCUAACACUCCUCCUUGAGACUUGCCUUAGACAAACCAAGUUUCAUCCUUAGAAAUUCCAGUCUUGAUCUAGGAAGAGCUUUAGUUAUUAUAUCAGCAAGUUGAACAUCUGUUGGACAGUAGUGUAGCUUUAUAAGCUUGUUCUUCUCAACUUCUCUUAUAGAAUGAAACUUCACAUUGAUGUGCUUGGUUCUGCCAUGUUGAACCGGAUUUAGAGCAAUAGCAAUGGCAGAUUUAUUGUCACAAUGAAUCUCAGUUUGUGAGCUUUGUUCUUGACCCAAAUCAGCAAGCAAUUUGUUCAACCAAAUUGCUUGAUUUGCAGCAGCUGCCAUGGAGAUAUACUCUGCUUCAACUGUUGAUUGUGCCACCACCUCCUGCUUCUUUGCAUUCCAACAGAUUGCACCUGAACCAAUAUUAAAAACAUAUCCAGAGGUGCUCUUCAUGUCAUCAACACUCCCUGCCCAGUCACUGUCUGCAUAACCAAUCAGAUUUACUCCUCCUGUCUUCAAGUACCAGAUGCCAAGAUCAGUUGUUCCUCUGAUGUACUUCAACACUCUUUUAGCAAUUCCCAUGUGAAUGUUGCUAGGUGAGCUCAUAAACCUUGACAGCAAACCAGCUGGAAACAUUAAGUCAGGUCUAGUUGCUGUCAAGUAUAGCAAACUGCCCACUAGGCUUCUAAAUCCAGAGGGAUCUUCAAGUUUCUCACCAUCAUUCUUUGAAACUUUCUCAUUUUGUGCUAAAGGAGUUGCUACUUCUUUGCAUGACUCAAGCUUGAACUUCUUGAGUAUAUCAACAACAUACUUCCUUUGUGAAACAAAAAUACCCGAACUACAUUGAUGUAUUUCCAUUCCAAGAAAGUAGUUCAUAAUGCCAAGAUCAGACAUUUCAAAAACAUCUUGCAUUUCAGUUUUGAACUCUUCCAGCAACUUUGCAUUGCUUCCAGUAACUAGCAUGUCAUCUACAUAGAGUGAUAUCACCAGCUGCAAACCAUCUUCAUCUUGUUUCAGAUAUAGGGUAGCUUCAUUUUCACUUCUUUUGAAUCCUAGUUGAAUCAAAUGAGUAUCAAUCCUGCUGUACCAAGCCCUUGGUGCUUGCUUCAAACCAUAAAGAGCUUUGUGUAGCUUGUAAACUUUGUGUUCAUCACCAAUAACAACAAAGCCUUCUGGUUGCUGAACAUAAAUUUCCUCAAGUAGUAUUCCAUUUAGAAAAGCAGACUUCACAUCUAAAUGAUAAACUUUCCAUCCUUUUUGUCCCGCAAGAGCAAGUAGGAGUCUUAUAGUGUCAUGCCUAGCUACUGGUGCGAAAGUAUCUCCAUAAUCCACUCCAGCAACUUGAGCAAAACCUUUAACAACCAAUCUAGCCUUGUGUUUGAAGAUUGAACCAUCUGGAUUGAAUUUGGUUCUGAAAACCCACUUCACUCCAAUUGCCUUUUUAUCUCUAUGAAUUUCAGUCAAUCUCCAAGUCCCAUUUCUUUCAAUGGAAUCAAUUUCUGAUUUCAUUGCUUCAAUCCAAGCUGGAUCUCCUGCAGCUUCAGAGUAAUUUGUAGGCUCAGCAUGUACAAGGUUACAUCUUUCAUACACAUCAGACAAUUGUCUAACCUUUAGUACUGUUGUAUCUGAAGUUGCUUCAAUGGCUUGUUGAUCUUCAUCAUCAAUACUUUGUACUGGUGAUUCAAAGGCAGCUGUGAUAGUCUGUUGAACUUCUUUUAAGUCCCAAUUCCAGCAGGCAUUUUCAUCAAAUUGCACAUCUCUGCUGACCUGAAUUUUGGCUGAAUUCAGAUUGAAAACUCUGUAACCUUUUGAUUCUGUUGCAUAUCCCACAAGAAUCCCUUUUUCUGCUCUAGCAUCCAGUUUUCCUCUUUUGGCAGAUGGAACAUGAAAAUAGCACAAUGAUCCAAACACUUUUAAAUGUUUGGCAGUAGGCCGGACUCCAGACCAUGCCUCCAAUGGUGUUUUGUUUUGAACAGACUUGGUUGGAAGUCUAUUAAGCAAGUAUACUGAAGUAUUUACUGCUUCAGCCCAUAGAAACCUUGGCAACUUCUUUUCAAACAAUAUACAUCUGGACAUCUCCAUCACUGUUCUAUUCUUCCUUUCAGAAACUCCAUUCUGCUGUGGAGAGUAAGGAGUCGUCAGCUGGUGCACAAUUCCAGCUUCUGAACAAAAGGCAUUAAACUUCUUCGAAAUAUACUCUCCACCAUUAUCAGUUCUCAACACUUUGAUCUUCUGACCACUUUGAGUUUCAGCCAUGCUUUUGAAGUUUUUGAACAUAGAUAAAGCUUGUGACUUGUUUUUCAGAAAAUAAACCCAAGUCAUUCUGCUGUAGUCAUCAAUGAAUAAUAUAAAAUACACAUUAUUAUUCAAAGAAGCUGUGCUCAUAGGUCCACAUAUGUCUGAGUGAACCAGCUCCAGCAUGUGUGUUGCCCUUUUGGAUAUACCUUUAGGAAAUGGUUGUCGAUGCUGCUUUCCCAGUUCACAACUUCCACAUGUAUGAGCAGUAACAUGUAUUGCAGACAUGUUUUCUACCAUUCCAGUAUCAUAGCAACUUUAAUGAAUUAAGAUUGUAAUGACCGAAUCUUUUGUGCCAAAGAAUGCUUUCAUCAAUCUUUGCACUAAACACAUGUCCAUUAACAGCAUCAAGCUUCAAAUAGAAGCUAUUACCAUCCAUUUUGAUUUUUGCUAUCUCUGAAUUAUGUGUAUCAGUGAUAAAGCAAAAUUUCUCUUUAAAAGAGACUUCAUAACCAUUCUUGAGCAUUUGUGCAACACUAAGGAGAUUCUGAUCUAGUUCAGGAAUGUAAAGAACAUUUGUGAUGGUUUUAAUACCUCUAUUUGUGCUGACUGCAACAGUUCCUUUCCCCUUAGCUUGCACAAUAUCUCCAUUUCCCAGCUUAAUCUUCGGUUGAACUGAUCUGUCAAUAGAGGAGAAAAUUGACAGAAAUUUGGACAUGUGACUUGUGCAGCCACUGUCUAUAAGCCAUGUAUUCAGUUCAGAGGUAUUGCUAGCUUGUGUUGCCAUAAACAAAUGCUCCUCCUCAUCUUUGCUUUCUUCAGAAACAUUUGCUUGUUGUUGUAUUUGUUGCUGAGGUUGCUUCUUCUUGAUUCUGCAAUAUUUCUCACUGUGACCGAGAUUAUUACAGAAUAAACAUUGAAGAGAAGGUUUCCCCUUAAACCAGCAAUCUUUCUCAGUAUGGUUAGUUCUUCUGCAAUAAGAACAUGGUGAGAAAGUCUGUCUUUUUGAAGGUAUACUUGAUUUCCUUUUAGCAUACUUGACAGGUUUGUUUCUUGGUAGAUUACCAGCACUCCUUUCCCUGUUGUUUGCUUGGAAAGCCCCUUCAACUGCCUCAUCAUCUCUCAUAUGAACUCUUUGCUCCUGAAUAUGAAGUUUGCUAAUUAACUCAGCAAUAGUCAGACUUUGCAGAUCGCAAGAUUCUUCUAUUGCUGAGAUUUUAGCUUCAAACUUUUGAGGAACAGACAUCAUAAGUUUUUCUACUACCUUAUGAUCUUCAAAUGUGUUUCCAAGAAGCCUCAUUUGAUUUACAACAUCCAUUAAUCUGCCAGAAUAAUCUUUGACAGAUUCAUUGUCUUUCAUCUUCAUCAACUCAAAUUCCCUCUUAAAUGCAAGAAGUUUAACUGCUUUGACUCUGCUGCUGCCUUCAAAUUCAACUUGAAGCUUAUCCCAUACCUGUUUUGGUGUUUCCAGAUUCAUAUUUUUUGAAAAUAUGAUCUGCAAGACCAGAAUGAAGACAGGUAAUGGCUUUGUCCUUCUUGAGUUUUUCUUCUUCAUGUGCUUUCAUUUGAGCAAUUGUAGGAUUUGCAUUCAAUGGUGGAGGAUCAGAAUCGGUUGCCACAACAUUCCAUAAGCCAUGAGAUCUUAGAUAAAAUCUCAUUUUGACAGCCCAAAUAUGAUAGAGUUCUCCACUAAACAUUGGAAUUGCAGAUACAAUAUUGUUUGAAGAAGACAUUGAUAAAAACCAGAAAGAAAAUAACUCUCAAGUGUUUCGCUCACUCUCUCUGUGUUUUCCUCACCUUCUCUUAUUGUUAUCACUCAAAAGAAAGAAAAAAAUGUUUGCCCCACAGCCCGUAGGAUCUAUAUGCUCUGAUACCACUGAUGGAAAUAAGUUAAACUUAAACAAUACAGUUUACGUAAAGAAAAAGAAACAGAUUUAAGAUGGCAGAGUUGAGUAGAAAGAUCAAUAUAUUUCAUUAACUUCAAAUGCCUAUAUAUAGGCUUACAUAGAACUUGAAAUGCAUUAGAACUCUCAAUAAACUUGAGAGAUUAUUGGAAUUGAAAUCCUAGACUAAGCAGAAUGUUUCUACUGCAAAUCCUGAAAGAGAUAAACUGUUACAGAAUUCAAAUAUUAAAAACUGAUCUUAAUUCUAUCUAUCUAAAGGAAAAAUCUCAUAAUUCUAACAGCCACGCCGUCGAUUGCAAUAUCUCCUAUAUCAGUGGGUGAAAAAACCAUUUGCUCGAUUUCCUUGAGUAAGGAGUCUUGGAAGUUGAAUCGAGAAACAUAGAGAGAGUGCAACCCUGAAAGUAAAUCUAAUUCCCUCCAGCCCAGUGUACGAGAAGCAUCGCACAAGUAAAUUGAAUUGAUGAUUGGACACCUAGAAAGUGGAGUCGCGAGCUGCUCACAUCCUCCAAUUGAAAGUGUUGUUAAAUGUGGAAGGUGGUGACCAGGUAGAGCCUUUGUAAGGUUGGGGCAAUUACUGAUGAAAAGAUCCCGAAGAAGAGGGAAGGCUUCCCGGCUGCCUUCGUCUGAAAUCCACUCCGCCACUCUGGCAUCCUUUCAAAAAAUAAUGUUUUGAGGGAUUCAAAUGGCUUCUUCAUAGCAGUACAGCUCCCAUAGAACUCAGAGCCCACAGUCACAACUUUAUCGAAUGCUUCAAUUGAGAGAUACUCUAAAGAAGCUAAUUGCCCGAGCGGUGGUAAGGAGGUGUAGUUUGUACAUCUACGGAGCUUCAAGGACACUAUAUUUGAGAAAGAGGACUCUCCUGCCCACUCUGGAAACCUUAUACCUCCAUAACCAUCAAUCUGAAGAUCCUUCACAUUUCUAUUUGGCUCUAAUUUCUCAAGUGUGCUUGUUAUGUGUUGUGGGUCAUGAGUGUCACCAUCCCAUGUAAACCUCAGCUCAUCAAUGUGCUUUCUACCUUUCAAAUUUGCCUCAACAGCAUCCUGAGCAUCCACCACAUUUUGAAGGUUCCCAAUAUGAAGUUCUUGUUGGCAUGAGUUGUACAAACCGAGAGACAAUAGGAAACUAUAGCUGUAAUAGUCACGUUUAUCUUCUAUUUUUAUGUAAAUCCCGAUUGUCAUGGGAUCGUAAUAGUUUCCUUUCCAAACACAACUAGGAAAGCUGUACAUUGUGAUGUAUAUAUCCCCUGCUUCUUGAAUAAGAAAAUAAGAAAGAAUUCUGCAGAAACCCUACUCAAACUAACAUGGUAUCAGAGCAUAGAUCCUAAAUUAAUCUAUUGCUACAACGAAAGUUGCUGGAACAAAUAGCAACAUACGACCAUGGAGAGAAUAGAAGGAAUGGAAGCAGCACCCGUAGAACUAGAGCAACCAAAUACGGCUGCAAAUCUUGAAGAAUUAUGGCAAGAAUGACUCAAGCCAUAAACCAGAAUCAAACACAGACUCCAACAGUAAUGCAUGAUAUUACUGCAACACAGAUUGGUAUCAAACUCGAUGGUACCAAUUAUGCUUUAUGGUCCCAAAUUGUUGAGAUGUUCAUCUCCGGAAAAGACAAGUUGGGAUAUAUAAAUGGUGAUCUUCCACAACCAGAACCGAAUGACCCUUCGUUUUAGGAGGUGGAGGACAGAAAACUCAGUGGUAAAAGGAUGGUUAAUUGGAUCGAUGAACCCAUCCUUGGUCAGCAACUUCAUCCGAUUCCCUACAGCUAAACAGGUAUGGGAUUCAAUUGCUGUAACUUACUUUGAUGGGACUGAUACAUCUCAGGUGUAUGAUCUAAAGAGGCAAGUAAAUAGAAUGAAACAAUCAGGGGAACCAAUUGAAAAAUACUACAAUGAUCUCCAAGGCUUAUGGAGGGAGAUUGACUUUCGUCGUCCAAACCCGAUGGUUUGUGUUCAUGAUAUACAAAAAUACAACACUCUCUUGCAAGAGGAUCGGGUGUACACCUUUCUCGAUGGAUUAGAUGACAGGCUUGAUAAAAUCAGGAGUGAUGUGUUGCAACUGAAACCAUUUCCAACUGUAGAACAGGCGUAUGCCCAUAUCCGGAGGGAAGACAUAAGGCAGGCUGUGAUGCUGUCCAACAGAGGAAAUAUUCCAGAUGCUGCUGCAAUGAUCUCUAGAGGUAUGAGAACGGGUUCACAAAACAAAUUUACAUUGCAGGUAGCCAAGACUGGAAACUCCUCUUCACACGGGGGGAAAUUUAAUUCUGAAAAAACUAAGGGCCAUGUGGAGGGAGGAUGCUCCCACUAUGGGAACUUGAAACACACCCGUGAGACAUGUUUUAAAUUACAUGGCUACCCCGAAUGGUGGACAGAACUCAAGGCACGAAAACAAAAAGAAGCUGCUGGUGGAAUUGGAAGAGCAUCCAUGGUUAAUUCAGCCCCCAAGAAUCCAGAAGCCACCCUUUCACUCGUCCCACUUGUUGAAUCAAAGGAGGACAUGGCAACCUCUCUUGGUAAUCCAGGUAACAAUUCCAGUAAUGACAGCAGUGCCUUACUUAUGUCUAACCCAGGCAAGAAUGAAGAUUGGAUAGUGGAUUCAGGAGCUACUGAUCAUAUGAUGUUUUGUCAAGAUGAUCUUGUGGAAAUUACAGAGCCAAGGCGAAAUAAUAUAUUCAAUGCCAAUGGGGUUAUGUAUCCGGUUACAGGAGCUGGAACCGUAGAUUUAUCAUCUUCAAUCUCCUUGGCUAACACUCUUUUAGUUCCCUCUCUUUCCAGUAAAUUAUUAUCAGUGGGACAAGUCACCGAAGAACUCAAUUGCUUAGUGCUAAUGUAUCCAACAUUUUGUCUUUUUCAGGAUAUUCUCACGAAAAAGAUUAUUGGGCGUGGUACUAAAAGAGAGGGGUUAUACUACAUGGACGACUUCAGUUUCGACAAAGUCAAUACCAUGAGUCGCACAUCUAGCGCACAUGAAGAACAGAUUUGGUUAUGGCAUGCUCGGUUGGGGCACCCUUCAUUUAGCUACAUGAAACAUUUAUUUCCGCAGUUAUUUUCAACUUUGAGUUACUCAAAUUUCAGAUGUGAAACAUGCAUAUUGGCCAAGAGUCACCGUGUACCUUUUCCAACUAGCAUGAAUAAAAGUGAUAUUCCAUUUACUCUAAUUCACUCUGAUGUUUGGGGACCUUCCCCUAUUACAACUAUCUCGGGUAUACGAUGGUUUGUGACUUUUGUAGAUGAUUGUACGCGGAUGACUUGGCUAUAUUUGUUGAAACGCAAGGAUGAAGUAUUUGGUGUAUUUCGAGCAUUUUCAUGCUAUGAUUCAGAACCAAUAUUCAGCAAAGGUCCGUAUUCUUCGGACGGACAAUGGGGGAGAGUAUAUGAAUCGCGAUUUUCAUGAAUAUUUCCAAAGAACUGGUAGUCAGACGCCACAUGAGUCAUCGUGUAGUCAGACGCCACAACAAAAUAGAGUAGCCGAAAGGAAGAAUCGACACAUCCUAGAGACUGCACGAGCCUUGUUGAUUGGAUCAAAUACACCUAGUCGUCAUUGGGAUGACGUUGUUGCUUCGGCUGUGUAUCUAAUGAACCGUAUGCCCUCUAAGGUUUUAGAUUUUGACACCCCAUUACAGUUUUUGUCAAAACAUGUCACUCUGCCAUCUUUACUUCUCAUCAAGCCACGUAUAUUUGGAUGUGUUGCCUUUGUUCAUUUGCAUAAAAAUCAAAGGACCAAGCUGGAACCGUGUGCCAUUCGGUGCAUAUUUUUGGGGUAUGGUACUAACAAGAAAGGGUAUCACUGCUAUGACCCGAAUAAAAAUCGGGUGUACAUAACAAUGGAUGUCAUAUUUGUAGAAUUGGACAAGUUCUAUUCACCCCAUAUAUCAACUUCUUCUCUUCAGCAGGAGACUUGGGAUGAAGAGUAGAAGUGAUGGACGGGAAAAAUUGAAGAAACUAUGGUGACAACAGCUCCUACUGUAGUGACAGUGGCACCAUCACAGGAGGAGGAAACCACGGUAGCAGCCCUUACCGUGGUGACAGUGGCGCCAUCACAGGAGGAGACAGAAGCAGCUGUUAUACAAAUGGAUGAAAAUAUGAUGACAGUGGAUGCUGCUAGAUAUAUAGAGGAUAUAUGUCAUCCUCCACAGGAAUUGUCUGCAUGUUACAAAGGGCAUUGUAUGGGCUGAAACAAUCACCGCGUGCAUGGUUUGGUCGCUUUAGCAUGGCUAUGAGAAAGUAUGGUUUUCAACAAAGCAACUCAGAUCAUACUCUCUUCCUAAAACGACGACAAGGGAAAAUAACUGCCUUGAUAAUCUAUGUCGACGACAUGAUAAUCACAUGAGAUGAUUCAGAAGAAAUCUAUAGACUAGAGAAACAUUUGGCCACGGAAUUUGAAAUGAAGAACUUGGGUGGACUCAAAUAUUUUCUUGGAAUAGAAGUUGCUAGAUCAAAACAGGGCAUCUUUCUAUCACAACGAAAAUAUGUACUUGAUCUACUGGCAGAAGUUGGAAUGCUCGACUGCAAACCGGCAGAUACUCCAACAAUUCAGAAUCAGAAACUUGGGGAGUAUCCUGAUCAAACCCCAACCGAUAAAGAGAGGUAUCAACGACUGGUGGGUAAGCUAAUUUAUUUAUCUCAUACUCGUCCAGAUAUUUCAUAUGCGGUGAGCAUGGUCAGUCAAUUUAUGCAUUGCCCCAGUAAAGAUCACAUGGAUAUGGUUGUUCGGAUUCUUCAAUACUUGAAAUCAGCUCCAGGAAAGGGGAUUAUGUUCUCUAAGAAUGAUCACUUAGAUGUUGAAGGCUAUACAGAUGCAGACUGGGCAGGAAACUUGGUCGACAGAAAAUCCACAUCAGGUUACUUCACAUUUGUUGGAGGCAACUUGGUUACGUGGAGGAGUAAGAAACAAAAGGUGGUAGCUCUAUCAAGUGCGGAAGCCGAGUUUAGAGGUAUGGCAAAGGGGCUUUGCGAGCUUCUGUGGCUCAGACGCCUGCUCUCAGAAAUUGGCUUUGCACCCAAUUCUGAAAUGAAUUUAUAUUGCGACAAUAAAGCCGCGAUAGAAAUAUCUCAGAAUCCAAUCCAACAUGAUAGAACGAAGCACAUUGAGAUAGACCGGCAUUUUAUUAAACAGAAUCUUGAAGAAAAGGUAAUUCGCUUUCCGUUCGUCAGAUCAGAGGACCAACUUGCGGACAUGCUUACAAAAGCCGUCUCAAACAAAAACUUUCACAGCUCACUUGACAAGCUGGGUAUCAAAGACAUGUCUACACCAACUUGAGGAGGAGUGUUGGCAUGAGCUGUACAAACCGAGAGACAAUAGGAAACUAUAGCUGUAAUAGUCACGUUUAUCUUCUAUUUUUAUGUAAAUCUCGAUUGUCAUGGGAUCGUAAUAGUUUCCUUUCCAAACACAACUAGGAAAGCUGUACAUUGUGAUGUAUAUAUCCCCUGCUUCUUGAAUAAGAAAAUAAGAAAGAAUUCUGCAGAAACCUACUCAAACUAACAGUUCUCCCCGUAGAUGUCGUAGCUUUCCCAAUUCUUUAAUGCUAGUCUCACUCUGUCUUCCCACGAGAAAGUCAGUCAACGUUUGGAGCUUUGCCAGUUGACCUAUAUGUGGUGGCAUCUCUUUCAAAAGCGUGUAUUUGAUGUUAAGAUACCGCAAGUUGAUUAACCUUUCCAGAGAUGCAGUCAACCUUUCGAUUCCUGUUCUUUGAAGAUUCAGAUGUCGUAAAUACUUCAAAUUUCCAAGAUCAGGUAGACUAGCAAGUUGUUUGCAAUAUUCCAAGAUCAACGUUUGCAAAUUGAGAAGAGUACUCGCUUCUUCAGGCAACGUUACUAAAUCUGACCGAGAAAGAUUCAAAUACCGUAAAUGCUUCAACUUGCUAGUUGAACAAAACUUCAUAGUUGCAUCUCUACAACCAGUCAUGAAUAGCACUCGUAGGCGCCCAAGUGUUGACUGAAAGAUCUCAUUAUAAAAUUCGGGAGGACAGAUCCAAUUGUGUGGAUAAGUUUGGAAUGUGCGUAGAAGCUGAGCUUCACGGAUGUUUUCUAAUUUCUUGCUGAAAGAACAAUCUUCAGUAUGUGGCGUACCUGCUACGAGCCUACGAGUGAUAAAUGUCGGGUCCUUCUAGUCGCCUUGGAAUAAUUAUUUGGGCCGAUGCAAAAUUGACCGGACACAUGUGUAGCCAAGUCAUGCAUGAGAUCGUGCAUCACAAAUGAUGAGGGAGAGGCACUUGAUUGCUGGAAAAACGACCUUGACAAGAGAUCAUCAAAGCACUCAGCACCUGCCUUUUCCAUCUCAUCAUCUACAGAGUGGACUAAGAAGCAUAGUUUUGAAACCCGACCCGGUCAUUGACCCGGUCGACCUUCUGGGUCACGGGUCAGGUGGGUUGACCCGGGUUAACCCGGGUCAACCCAAAAAAACCUAUAUAUAAAAAAAACACAUAACUAAUUACAAUAUAACACUUACUUAAACCAAAUUUAAAUUAUAAACCAACAAUAUAAAUUUAAUUCAAUAUCCAAAAUACAAACUAAAUAUAAAUUAUAAAAUAUUUAAAACAAAACAUCCAACCAAAUAAAUUCCAAAAUAUUUAUAUGAGAGGAGGGUGUUGUUAAAGGAGGAGAGCAUGUUUAUUUAUUUAUUUAUUAUUUUUUUAAAAGGAAUAAAGCAUAAUCUCUUUCAAACAAGGAGAAGGCACGAAUAAAGCUAAAGCAUUUAGCUCUGCUUGAAGUUGAAUGGCUAGAGGGCUAAACUAAUGACUUCCUUCAUGGCUUAUGACUACAGCCUCCAGGAACAAUCACUUACAUGUGCAUGUUUUUUGAAUGAGAUUAUAACAUUGGUUUUUUUAUAUUAACAAUCGCUUAUUCUUUACUAUCCUUCAUUAUGUUUUUUUCUUAAAUCUUAUUCAAUCAUUUUAUUACAUGUGCAUGUUUUUAUUAUCAUAUAAUUAUUUGUUCUAAUUAUUUUUUAUUAUUAUUAAAUAGAGGAAAUAUUAUACUAGCAUAUUAUUUAGUUUCAAUGGGAUAUAAAUUAUUAAUUUUGUUAUAAAAAAUGCCUGAUAUCUAAUUAAAUAAGAAAAAUUGAAUAACUCCUCAAGUCACGAGAUUAUAUAUCCUAAUAUGCAUCUAUCUCUCAGUCUCUCAAUUUUAUUUUUAAUUUUGUAAGCAAUUUUAUAUAUUGGCAAGUGUAAUUAUCAACUAUUUUUGUUUCACAGUUAAAAUAUUUUUUUAUGAUAAAAAUAUAAUUAACAAUGCCUAAGGAUUUGUAUUUAUUUUUUUGGGCGUUACAGGAACGUGGAUACGUUAACUAGUGAAUAGUCUAUUUAAGAUGGAUCCAAGUGAUGAGAGAUUUAAUUUUCAUAUAUGAAAACCCAUAAAAAUAACAUGACUAUUAAAUACUAACAAUAAGAAAGGUUUGAGAUAGAUAUGCAAUACACUCACGGGACAUUUUAACAAGAGAGUGUUUAGUGUCCCGAUCCAAGUCAAUCAGUAUGCUCGCCAUUGUUAGCCUGAAAAUUGAGUUCGAAUCAGAAUAGUUGAACGGACGACAGGGAGAAACUUUUGUCCACGGUUCAAUCAAAAGAUGCUGUGGAGAACAUAGAGAUUUUGGGCUGCCUGUUCUUGAUGCGACUCUAAUUCAUGGGAUUUGCUGGUUAGAGAAAAGGGUAAAAAGCACAACCAUAUCCACAAUCCAUGACUGGAACAUACCUGGUACGAGUGGGGAGUUGCGUUUUUGGACUGAAUGGCAGGCACCGCUUCUUUUCCUGCUUCUGGGUCUCGACCUCUGUAUAUAUGGCACUGAUUCUGCUCACCUUGUUGGCUUCUGCUACACCCUGUUCUUCGUUCUUCGUCUGUCUUCGCUCUUCGGUGCUAAGUAUGUUUUUAGAGUCAUUAAACGGCGUCGUUUAAUGACAGGGAGAGUAAAAAAAAAAGUGGCCGGGUCGACCGGGUUUGACCGGGCCAAUUCCCAAGCGGGUUUUGGCCUUCACCCGGACCGGUUCCGUGCCCGGGUCGGCCGGGUCCCGGGUCGACCCGCCGGUCCGGUCCGGGUUUAAAAACUAUGUUAAGAAGCCCUCUGCCAUCCACAGGAGCACCAACUCAUCCUUUUGAAAUGAAUAAUCUUUUGGAAAUAUGGCACAAUAAGCAAAACAUUGCUUCACAUGUGGCAAGAGAUAAAGAUAACUUAAUCUCAAAGCUGGGAGGAUAUCGUCAUUGGGUAAAUCCCAUAGAUUGCUUUUCAAUAUCUUCUCCCACUCCUCGACAUCUCUUUUGGUGCGUAGCAGACCACCGAGUGUUAUUGCAGCUAGAGGAAGGCCUUCACACUUUCUCGCUAUUGCUCUACCAAUUUCUUGCAACUCUUCAUAAGCUUUGGGAUUUUCACCUCGAAUGCAUGGGUGGCAAACACGGCCCAGCAGCUGUCUUCCGUCAAUUCUUUUAGAUAAUGAGUUGGAACAGUUCUCAUGACUGUUGCUACACCUUCAUUCCGUGUUGUGACAAGAAUCUUACUCCCUUGUGCUCCGCACUUCAGGGGGGUAAGCAAAUUGUCCCACUCAGCAUAAUCUUCCUUCCAAACGUCAUCUAAAACAAGCAAGAAUUUCUUUCCCCGCAAUCUCUCCUUCAACUGAAGCUGGAGGGGAUCCAGGUUAUCAAAAUCAGGCUUUGAACCGAACCCCUCAAGGAUAACCUUGGUUAACUUCGAAACACUGAAAUCUUCAGAAACACAAACCCAAGCUUUGAGACCGAACCGCUCUUGUACUCUGCUGUGAUUGUAUACAAGCUGAGCGAGCGUGGUUUUACCAACCCCGCCCAUUCCCACUAUGGGAACGACACCUAGGUUUUGUCCAUUUGCAUCAUCUGAUAGAAGCAACUGCAGUAUUGCUUCCUUGUCAUCAUCUCUGUCGCACGUGUGCGGCGGCGCGGCGAUCAUCCACCCUCAAGGAAAAAUCGGAAUAAUUUAUUCCUGGAAAAUAGGGGAGAGACAAGGAAUUCUUGUCUCUACAUGUGAAAAUAUGGACUGGGAGUCGCCACCUAGUAUUCUGGUUACUAGGAACCUUAACUGGUCUUUAGAGAUCGGGUACGGAGACUGGUUGCGUAAAAGGAAGGUAUUAGCACCCCAACUACGCCCUACCUAAGAUAGGCUGCAUUGUUUUAAUGUCUGAUAAAAUCUAAAAUCAUGUUGUGGUUUUUUUGAAUUGUUGGUUCGUUUAUGGUUUAAGAAAAGUCCUCCUCUGUAAGGAGAUCCUUAUCUUUAUCGGGUAAAAAAACUAACUAUUCGAAGUCGUCAAAAGAAAAUAUCUUUUUUUUUUUUUAUCAGGAAUACGAUUUACGUAUAAAUUCAUAAUCUCUGAUACUAAGAUCAAACAAAAUAAAAUAUUUUGUUGUUUUUGAGAUUUUGGCCAAUGUUCUCUUGACUUUAAUAAACUGGUUAUUAAAGCCAAAAUGCAUGCUAAAAUUUUUUUUUUUUUUGACAUAUGCAAAAUACGAUAUGAUUUUUUAGAUUUGAGACACUUGGCCGUAUGCACAAAAACAUUUUUUUUUUAAUCUUUUUUUAAUUUUAUUUAUUUAUUUUUGGAAGUUUUUGCCGAAAAACGGGUCUUUUAAUACCGGAUUUAUAUUUUUACGAUGUAAAAAUAUUGCCCGAUAUUAAUCAAAAUGGCAUAAAAAAAACUACGCGGAAAAAUUAUAAAAUGCUGAAACAAAUAUUUUUGAAUUUUUUUUUUUAUGCUGUGUGAACAGUACCGUAUGAAUAGUGACGUGUGAACAGUACCGCGGGACGAAAACCGGGUAUUUUAAUACCGAAUUUAUAUUUUUACGAUGUAAAAUACAGACCGAUAUUAAGCAAAAUUGAUAAAAAAAUAUGCCGGAAAAAUUGUAAAAAAAAAUAAAAAUGAAAUGGGCCGGGUCCGGCCCAUACAGUGGGCUGGGCCAACCGGCCCAAACUAAAUGGGCUGGUUACUGUGCAUAAGCACAGUAACCAGCCUCUCAGCAGUUGCAGAACGUGAAUUAAUUCACGUUCUGCAUGAAAAUAAAGAGAGGGCAGCAGCAAAGGAGAAGGAGACGGGGCAAGGGUUACCUGCGGUGGCGUCGAGGCGGUGCUGCUGGUGGCGCGGAGGCGAUGGUGGCGGAGGCACGUGGCCGGCGGUUCUUCUCUUCUCUCUCCUCUGUUUUUCUUCUUUUCUUCUGCUUCUUUUUUUUCUUCUUCUCUCUUCUCUCUCUUCUCUUCUCUCUCUUCUCUCCUCUUCUCUCUCCCUCUUCCUCUGUUUUUUCUCCUCUUCCUCUCCCCUGUUUUUAUAGGCGAAAAACAGGGGACGUCAUGGUGGUGGCCUGUUGGCCGCCCGUCCACUAUCCAAGUGGAAAGUUGGCAAGUGGCCUUUCGGCGUCUUUUUGAGCAAAAGAGGGAAAGUAAUUAGGCGAAAAGGGGAAGAAAAAAAUCUUCUUCUUCCCCUGCCUCGUGUGUCCAGGGGAAGAAGAAGAGCUACAGUGCCGUCAAAACGGCACCGUUUUGGGCUUCUGUUUUUUUUUUUUUUUUUUUUUUUUUUGCAACAGUGAAUGAAACGGCGCCGUUUUGGUCAAAACGCGCCGUUUCAUUUAAAAGGAAAAGGCGCCAAAAAUCAGAUUCAAAUUUCGGCCCUCCAUUUGCGCGCGUUUUACAAUUUAGUCCUUGGUCUCGGAUUUCUUCAAUUAAGUCCCUAAUUGGCCAUAAACUUCAAUAUUUAUGCAAUUAAGCCCCUGAUUUGACCAAAUUAACUUCCAAAAAUUAUAAUUUGACCCCAGAAAAUUAAUUUCUCCUAAUUAAAGCCCAAAUUAACUCCAAAAUCAAUUUUUCUUGCAAUUAAAAUCUCCAUAAAUUCAAUUAAACCUUCAAUAAAAUUUAAUUGAGUCCAUAAACUUCUGAUUUUGCAUUUUUCUUCCACAAAUUGAAUUUUCUUUAUCAUCGGGGCUCUCAUCAGUUAAUGAUAUACUGUCAAAAAAUAAUUUUUAUAUUUUUAAAAAUCCUCAAAUAAUUUUUUUAGCAUGUUUAUGGCCCUCUGGUAUUUUUCACUGUUAUAUUUUUUUGUAAUAUAUUUUUUUUUUGAAUUUUUUUGUAUUUUAUUAUUUUAUAUGUGGGGACCCAAAAAUGGGUUACAACAAUCUCUACCAUAAACACCACGUUCAUCCACCAGAGAAGUUGUUCGUCUUUUAGGCGAUGAUGGUUCUUUUCCAGUGCGGUUGAUCAAACCAAGGGCAUCCUUUUGUUUUACUAAGUAAUCUAGACUCUCCUGGAGGCCUCUUGAUUUUUCUUCUAUCUCUCUCAACCCCAUUAUUUCAAGUGGUUUAAUGAAGGUUUGAGCUUCAGCUUCCAACUCCUGCCGUAGAGCUUCAUAAGCAAUCUCAUCCAAGAAGUCGUCGGCUUCAUAGACAGCGUCUUUAUACUCGGCCAGCCAAUCCCGCACAGCUUUAUUUGUUAUCUGCUUCUCCUCAGCAUCGUCAAGCAGCCCACCGCCAGAUAUCAUUGUUGUCUUCAACCUCUUCAGCGGCCUAUCGUCAAACAAAAAUCUGGGAUUCAGCGUUUACUAGAAACUUCUUCAACAAUCUUUUGAAUUAAUUUUGAUUCAUGCCUGUGCAUAGAAAAAGAAAGUCAUCACUCAUGGAUGAAAGAUAAUCUUUUGAAUUUCAUGCAAAUUUAAAAUACAAAACGUAAUAAGAGUAAAAGUUAUAAGCAUUUGCUAUCGAUAUAGGGAAAGAAAAGAAGUACCCAUUUGCGAUACUGUGAGGAUCCAGCCCAGAUAAAUUUGCAGCCUCCACAAGAGCUUUUCUCCACUUUUGGACCUUCUCCAUUUCUUCCUUAAAACGUUCUUCAUGUCUAUAUCAAAGGCUUCAGCAAAACUCCCCGUCUGUUUUCUAAUAUCAGAAGGAUCGAUAUCAUAGAAAACAGGUAGAACAAUCUGGCCAGUUGUGUGUCUGCAAUCAAGAAUCUUUUCAAGUUCAUCAAGACACCAAGUGGAGGAAGCAUAGCCCUUAGAGAAAACCACUAUAGAAAUCAUGGAUUCUUGAAUUGCUUUGAGGAGUUGCAAGGAGAUUUCUUCACCUCUACGAAGUUCGUCGUCAUCUCGAAAUGCAUGGAUUCUUGCAUGGUGUAAAGCAGUGUAAAGAUGAUCCGUAAAAUUUUUGCGAGUAUCUUCACCUCUAAAACUUAGAAAUACAUAGUAACCCCAACCAGGUCUAGACAAAGAAGAAGAAGAAGAAGACGCCAUGAACAUCUAGUAAGGGUUGCUGGCAGUGGCGGAGCCACGUAGGAGCAAAAGGAGGCAAUUGCCCUCUUAAUUUUUUUAAAAAAAUAUUUGACCCAUACUGACCCAUCAAGGAUAAGAGAAAGACGAAAAAUCUAAAGUAUUUUUACUGCACAUAUUUGAAUGCAAUUUCUUUGGAAUUAGAGGAACCUGAUACGGAGUACAUUAGAAUAUUAAUAUAAUAAUAUGGUGAGGGGUUGAUAUUGUUGACUUGUGUCUUAAUAUAAUAAAUAAUAGAUAUAUAUAUAAUAUAUAUGCAACACCCCAGCUUAUUUCCCCAAACUUUUCCUUUUUCUUUUUUUUUUCCCGCUAACUAUUCAAGAGCUUUUUUACUCUUUUUUAGUUGCUCUCUUCCUUAUACAAUUUUUUUUUUCUCAGUUAGGCAACUUUAGGUAACAAAUUUUCAUUUUUUUUAUUCAUUUUAUUAUUUAAUUUUAGUUUUAUUUUUUAUAAUUAGUUAUUGAAAAUGUUAGGGUUUAUAAUAAUUUAGAGGUUUUGAUAUAUAUAAUAUUUUGAAUCAAUUAAAGAUAAAUAGUAGUGGAUUAGACUGCAAGAUUUUGAACAAUAGGUAUUUAUUUGAUUGUUUUGAACUAAUUAAAGGUUAUAUCAUUUCUAAUUGAAUUGAUUAUGAUAUGGAACUAAACUUUUUCAUGAGAUGAACAAUCAAACAUUCAAAUUGUUAUCAACAAGUAAAGAUUGAUAUUUACAAAAUUAAAAUUGUUUUAGCUUGAGAUUGGUCCUUUUUAUGAUGUUAAUUUCCUUUUUAUGAUUAAAUAAUUCAUAUUUUAUUUGUUUUUUUUUCUCUUUUUUGUUUUCGUCAGGCAAUUUGUGUUUUGCUGGAGAAGAAUUAACACGUGCGUACAAGCUUGAUUUUAAUCAGUGCAUGAUGGUUUUUUCUUAAAAAAGAAAAGAAAAAAACAUUUUUUUUUGUUUUUAAAAAUAAUUUAUCAUGAUAAAUUUAGACUAUCAAUCCUGAUCCAUAUCCAUGCAUUAUAUAUAGCAUGCUACAUGGUAAUGAGGUGUGAAAUGGAUUUUGAUGAAUUAAUGUGUAUUUUACUAUGAAUUUUAUAUGAAAAGUUUACAAUUAUUAUGUAACUCAACUGAAUUUUGUUAUUAUGAAAACCCAAAGAAAACAAUUAUAAUGUAAGUUUUUUUUAUUUUAAAAGUAUUUUUUUAAAUUAAUUUUGCUUUAUAUGAGUUAAUAUAUUUGUUUCAAAUUAAUUUCUAAUGCAAGUCUAUAUAAUAUAAUAUUUAUUAAUAAUUUAUCCCCUCAUUUAUAAAAUUCUGGCUCCUACCACUGGUUGCUGGCUUGCUGCAGGUAGGAGAGAGAGGAUCGAGGGGCAGUAAACUGUCACCUUCCCUCUUUCUUUUGAAGAGCCCAAUAUUUAAGUAUUGCUUUACAUAUGGAUGUUCGGUAAAACAAAAUUAAAAAAUUAUAUUUUUAAAUUAUUUUAAUAUUUAUAUGUAAAAAAUAAUUUUUAAAAAAUAAAAAAUAUUAUUUUAAUAUAUUUUUAAAUAAAAAAUAUUUAAAAAAAGCUACUAUAUUUUUAAAUAAAAAAACCUAGCACAUCUCUUUUAAUAUAGUUAAUCUCUAGUUUUCAUACAAUUAAAUGAGAUCAAAAUUGUUAAGGUCCUUUCACUUUCAUAACCUCUCUGCAUUUGGCUAUAUAUAUUCAAAGGUUUAAGCCGAAAUGAAUUCUAUUAGUAAAUUUGUAUCGAAUUACUUGAUUGUAUUAUGAAUUAACAUGUUUGGUAUCGAUCAAUGUCAAUAGAAAGAAUUGGGUUGCGGGUGCUAGGAAAAUGGAGCUAGGCAUGUUGGAAUAACUUGCUUUAUUUGCCAAGAGAUCCCAUCGUCUAAAAAGUGGGUUUCAUUGGAAUAACUUUUAUUAUAUAUGCCAAUCUUUCUUUUCACGUGAUGUGCUCAUGAUGCAGAAGAACACUUCACUUCAUGUCUUCUCUCCUCUUCUCUUAUCACUUUUCAUUGACAAAUAAAUUAUAAAUUUGUUGAUGACCAUUGCUAUGAAUAUUAUAAAAAACAAAGAAUUGUGGAGCAAAUUACAAUAGAAAAAAUCAUUAUAUUAGAAAUUAAGUACAGGUUAAAUUGCGAAAACAAAAAUAUUCGUAAUCAGUAUUAAGUAUACUAAUUGUUUGAUUUGAAUAAUAAGAUGCAAUCCAAUAGAAUUAGGUCUGAUUGGUUUUAUCUUUCACAUGUGGAAAUAACCUUUUUUUAAAUAUAAAUGGAUUAUUUUAUUCCAAAUUAAACCUCUUUAUAAAUGUAAUUAUUAAACUUCAACUAUUAAUGAUUUUUUAAAUAAAAUAUAGUUAAGAAAACAUUUUUAAAACAUGUUCAACAAUCAAAUGUGUUUGUUUUUUUAGCGGCUUUUGCUUUUAACACAAAUAACAAAAACAAGAUAUUUGGUUACAUAUGAAUCAUAGUUUUGUGAUUGUUAGACCCAUUACAAUUUACGGUCCAACCAUAAGCUACAAAUUUAGUAUUUUCUCAUCCACCGACAACUUCACCAAAAAACAAUUUAAGUUAUUUUACAAUUACUAAGGUACCCAAUCAUCUUUCUCAUCCUCUCCACCUUCACUUUUAAAAUAUUACAACAUCAGGUCAUCAACUUUCAUCAUAAUUUUAAUAAAAUAUCUUUUAUUAAACAACAUUUUUAAUUAUAAUUAUAAUUAAAUAUUUAUUAAAAUUAAAAUCAACUAUCAUUAAUUUUUAGAACUGAUGAUUCUAGUCAUGAACUCAGGGCUAAUCUCAUAAAAAUCAAACUAUUAGAAAUAACAAAGCAAUACUAAAAAAAUAAUAAAAAUAUAAUAUCAACUUAAAAAAAAACCAAGUAAACUUGAACGAAUUUAUUAAACCUGGUUUAACUCUAAAACUUGCAACCCGUGUAAUACUAGGCUCAGGAUCAAUAAAAAAAAAUUUCUAAAGCAAAAAAUAGAGAUACAAUUUUAUAUAUAUAAAAAAAAAACCUAAGGAUGAAAUUGAAAAAAUAAAUAACAAUCAAAAGAAUAAAAAUCAAAUUUGAAAGAUUAAAAAAUCAUGGGAUGAAAUUAAAAAAGAGAGUAAUUUGAUAGAUUUUCUUAAGAAUUUUCUUAAUUUGAAAACAAUUUGUAAAUUAAAAAAACAUAGAGGAUUAAAAGGUUUAAUGGUUAAAAGAAAGUUUUAUCACAAUCAUGGUAAACAGUAAUUUCUUUAAGAGAUUUAGUUUUUUUAUUAAAUUUAAUUAAUAAAAAUACGGUACCAUUCUCUUUAACCAUGCCUUUGAUUUUAGAUUAAAAAAAAACAAUAACUAUAAUUAUAAGAGAAGAAAUAUUUUCUUAAAAAUUAAGAGAAAUGAGGAAAUUAAUUUGUUAAUGUAUUUAAAUAAGAUCAUAUAUUCUCUUACAAAUUAGAAAUAAUGAAUCUAGUUUACAUAGUACUUUCUUGACAAAAAAUCAAAGCAAUAUGAAUGCUUGUAUAUACGAAUUACAUACAUAAAAAAUAAAGAAAACAAAAUAAAAUCAUUUCACACCAUGCCAGAGUCACAUUUUUAAUACCAAUGUUUCUCACUCUUAAAAUUUUUACUCUCAAUAUAAUUUUAGUCGGUGUAAAAAAAAAAAAAAACAGAGCAAUACCAUGAGUCGACUCAACCCGACGCCUUGAAGGAAGCCGUGACCGAGUUCAUUUCCACCCUUAUUAUUGUCUUUGCCAAUGAAGGGUCCGGCAUGGCCUUCGCUAAGGUCACCGACAGUGCUGCCAACAUACGCGCUAGACUCAUCGUUGCAGCCAUCGCCCAUGCUUUCUCCCUUUUUGUUUUUGUUUCUGUUGGUGUCAACAUCUCUAAAAAGUAUUGGUUUUUGGCAGCAGCAACCAAAAACCCAGUUCCAAAAAACGACCCCAGCUGCAAGAUUCAUCCUUUUUCCCCAUCAUCCCCGCAUGCUAGAACAUUCCAAAAUCCCAUCAGCCUCAAAAACACAACUGUUUUUCUUUUCUUUAAAAAUAAAAAACUAAAGAAAAGAGACGCAACUUGCUCGUAGAGUUAGGCCAAUCACAAAAAAAAAUAUCCCAUCUCCUCAUUUUACUUGCUAAAGAAGAAUUCAGGAAAGGAAAGAAAAGAGAUAUCAAAUGACAAUAAUAGCAAACAGCCCUCUGUUCCUUUCUACCAGCCUUGCAAAAGUAGUUUACAAGGGGACCAACAACUCCAUCGCUGGAAGUAAUUUUCACCACCUGCCCCUUCUGCAGUCCAUAGUAUCGCACAAUGGCAUCCGAUUCUAGCAAUCUUCGGCUGUAGAACAUGCAUGGUAAUGUUCACCAGCAGGUCAGUGAUCUGAAUGCAAAUCAAACCGUGAAGUGAUUGUCGAAAGCUUAAAUGGGUAACCUUUCUAAAUAUAAGCUACAAGGACAAUAUGAUACAUAAAGAUAAAAUGAUAAUUUAUACACAUUUCCAUUAGCUUUGAUGGAGAAAGAGCAUUCAAAAAGAUCACCGCUAGUAUCACAGACAUGAUCAAAAAGUGACUAGCAUGACCUCUUGUGGCUAGAAAUUAGCAUCGUUCUUUAAAAUGUCUGGCCACCCAAAGUUCUUUCUAAUUGUCUUACAACAAAUCUGCAGUAUGAAAAUUUAUUUAGACAACAGGGGGGUGUACUUGAAAAACCUCCACUUUGAAUGGAAACUUCUCCGGCUCUUUCUUGGCAAAGUAGUUCAUUUUGCUUUGCAAAAUCAGUAUUGUCAAAGAACCAUCUCAAUUCAAUAGCUUAAGCUAUUAGGUGAGGUCCCAGGAUAUGAUUUAUAUUAUUCUCUAACACACCCUCUCAAGUGAAAGCUCUUUGGGCUUGAAACUUGCACAGACCCACAUUACCUUGUGCUUAUUUUUUUUAUCAAAUAAAUGGGGAUAGUGAGAUUCGAACUCGUGACCGCUUGAUCGUCAAGGCUCUGAUACCAUGUCAAAAAACCAUCUCAACUCAAUAGCUUAAGCUAUUAUGUGAAUUUCUAGAAUAUGAUUUAUAUUAUUCUUUAACAAGUAUCAACCCUUGUAUACUCUCUUUGCUAAGAAUUUGACCAUAUACAGCCCUGAUAUUUGCUGUUCUAAUUUCAUCAGUUCCCAUGAAGAUGACCAGGUUCUGCAGACCAAGUUAAAAAAAAUAAAAUUAUGACUAGGAUUUCCAUACAAAUUUCCAUAUAAUUUUUAUUAAGAAAUAUAGACCGGUAAAGAGGUGAAUGAGCCUAUCUCAUAUCUUACCAUUAAAACAUAAUUUGCUCCUACUCGACCCAUACCUAUCACCCUAAACCCAUAUCCAUACCUGCCUAUGUAAUAACCAGCCCAUGUCGAAAAAAAAAUAGCUUUUCAGUAAUGUUCAUUUUAGUCCAUGAGUUUUUAAAACGUUUUUUAGUCAUAUAUUUUUUCUAAGAAAACAUUUUAUUUGUUAGAAUUUUUUUUCAAUUUUUUUUACAAUAAAAAAUGCAGACAUUUAGUUUCAAAUUAUUGGUUUGGAAUGCAUCCAACAAAGUUAAUGUUUUAACAUGUAAUUAAGAUAUACUCAAAAUUAUUUUAAAAGUAAUUUAAUUUAAAAUUAUAUAUUUAAGAAAACUAAAUAGAAGAUGAGCUUCACUUUCAAGCUAUAUAAACUUAUUAAAUUAACCAAAAUUUAUUGUAAAUUAAAUUAAAUAUCUCAAGAAAAAAUAGCUAUUAAGAUAUAGUAAAAGCAUUGUCACAGUUGUUUUGUAAUAUUGACAGGAGUAUCUGAUUUUGAAAAUGACCAAAGGAUAAAACAAAGGAAGCAUCUGACUAUGAAAACAGAGUCGAAGGAUUGCAGUCAGCUUCGAUGACCGGAGAACAGACAACGGCAGGAACCAACGAUGCCAAAACCCAAACGAUACAAGGGAUGGGGGGACAACAUUUCUAUUAAAUCAAGAGCCAAAAAGCAGCAGCACCGUGGAACACCAAAAGACUAAAAGGCAGCAACAAAGCCAUAGAACACCAAAAGGCUUGAAGAUCAAAUUACAAAUAUUGUAGGCAAGCAGUUUCACGUCCAAUACAAGCAGUUUCAUUUCUAUGAAAUUGCUCUCGCACACCAUUCUUUUCUUCAGCUACAAUUAUUUAUCUGCUGCUAUUAUAGAUGAACAUCAGACAAUCCUCACUAUUGCUCUACCAAUUUCUUGUAACUCUUCAUCAGCGUUGGCAUUUGUAGCUUUACCCUGGCCAUGCAAGUUUUCUUCAUUGUUAACUCCAGUGAAUUUGUGCAUAAUCACCUUCAUUGGGUGCAAAUCUUGUUUUCCGUUACAUUUGUCUUCCACACUUGUUGAGACAUCUCUCUCUCUAGUGGCUAAAUCUAGCAAAAUUUCGUAUGUUGCGCUGCUUAUUUAUGCAAGCUCCUUGUUAAACUUAACUACAGUGCAAGUUUAUGUUUUAUUCCUCUUUGAAUUUAGGAUUUGUAGUUUUCUCCGCAAAAAAAAAAAAAACCCAGUAAUACUGGUAUCACACCUGUAUUGUUUCCUAUACUCUCACCCAGGGAGAUGAAGGCCGCCACAACCUUACAUAGCUUUCCAUCUUUCUGAAAUUUGCCGUAAAAUUUCCUGAUCAACUUUACAUUGAUUUAUGUAAAUUGCCUGCUUGAACUUCGACUCUUGAAUACAAAAGCACAAAAGAAAUUGAAAAGGAGAGCUAAACACACACAUCCAAGUAUAAAUGAGUGGCACAACACAAAUGAUAAAUUUUGCUAGAUUUAACUAAGAGAGAGAGAGACAAAGAUUGUUCAACAAGUGCAAUAAGUUUAUUCAAGGACAAAUAGAAGGAAAACAAGAUCUGUACAAAUUCACCAGAAUCAUCAAUGCAGAGAACUUGCACAACUUUAGAUAAACAGGGCAAAAUCAUUAAGUGCCUGCUCUCUUGAGUGACAUUGGCAACUUUCACUUGCUUCUGAAUUUUGAUUCCAAAACACGGAUGCUUCCUUGUUAUGAACUAUGGUUAUGUUCACUUGCUUCUGAAGGCUUGGGUUGUGGGUUUCUCAUGUCAAUUGAAGCAAUUCCAAGUAAAUCCAAAGAGCAUUGCAGUGGCACAAAAGCCGGCUUGUGGUUGCUGAUUUAUUUGCUGAUAAUCCGUAACAAGCAAUGGAUUUUCGUUGCUGAUUUUUCAAUUAUCAGCUUCUUUUUUAUUUAAUUUUUUGUUUUUAAUAAUUCAUAUCACUUGUUUUAGAAGCCAGUAACCCUUUAAUUGCUAAGCCGGUCAUCUAAUUUAAGAACUUAGCCAAUAGCCAUUCCACUUCUUCUUCCUCUUUCCUUCGUAGAUCCAAACGAACAUAAUUUAUUACAUCUGAAAUCUCAUGGAAAAAUUUAAUUAAUUUAUUUAUGAAACAAGCACGAAAUCCAAAUAUCCCUCUCUCAGAUCAAUGGUUUACGAAUGGUCCGUAAAGAUUUAAAUCCCUAUUUUUCCUUUGAAAUUCCGUAUCUGAUGAAAGAAUUUGCUUUGCUUCUUAAUAAUUUUACCAAAAUGAUCUCUCUGUAUGUAUGCAAGUUAACUAGAGAGCGCAAAUGGCGGAUUAUAUGAAAAUGAUCAAUUAUUUGUCCUGAACAACAGUCUCCACAAUGGAAGGUGUCACGGGGUCUUUUUUUCACUCAAAUUUUCAACCCAAUGCGAAGAAAAUUUGUAUUUCAACAUCCAACAAAUAAAAACAUACAACUUUCUAGAACAAUAUCUGUAUUUCAUUAAUCCAAACUUAUGAGCCGCCCUUGCUUGUAGAGGAAAUUUGGAUCAGAAUGCUGCAAAGAAACAAUGGAGGAUUUAGACCAAGAGCAUGAAAAGGAUAUGUAAAAAUCACAAAUAGCUACGUAAUGAUAUUUGAAAAACAAUCUUGUUUUGUGAAAAUGGGCAAUUGGUAAUACUGACAUGAAAAUGCAAAGAAUUAAUAAUGGUGGAGAAAUACAGAGUAACUGAGAAAGAACAUCAAAUGGAAAAGCUCACAAUGAGUCAUAGCUGAGGGAGCAAGCAGAUCAAUUUUAUCCUGUGCAUAUCGUUCUGGCAAGAAGGAAGGGUGACAGAGCCUUCAUGAACUGUAAGUAGAAAGAUGGAUUUGGAUCCUGCCAAAAAUAAACAUAGAAUUAAUAGUGGAACAUGACAAAUUUUAACUGAAAUUGCCUUUGAUUACUGAAAAGAAAAUAAACUAUUUAGGAGCAAUACCUCAAAAAAUAUGUUGGACGAUUGAAAGAAAAGCUACUUUUUUGCCCCGCUAAUACUUAGGACACAUGCGAAUUUCAAGAAAAGAAAGGGAGGAGGGCAACUCUUCUUCUGGCAUUGACUCAAGCAUUGGGCAGUUACUUAUUUUCAAUUCUCUAAGAGAGGUGAGGUGUUGAAGCCCCUUGUAGUCAAGAGAUUUCAGGUGUUCUAGGGAAGAGAUUUCAAGAGAUGUAAGACUUGAGGGCAGCAGCAUCUCUUCAGGGAAGGAUUCAACAUUUUCGUCCCUACCAAUUUCAAAGUGUGAAAGAGAAGGGAGAUUUUGCAAGCCCCAUUGCAUGCGGCCUGCAAUGAGUUUGUUGCAAUUACGAAUCACAAGUGAUUGUAAUGUGGAGGGAAAACCCCCUUCUAGACACAACUCAACUUCUGAACAACCAUAUAUUGCCAAAUGGAAAAGGGAUGGGAGGAGGGAAUGCAUACUCUCAGGCAACUGCUUCAGGUUGCUGCAAUCAUCCAACACAAGUCGUGUCAAGACUGGAGCAGGUAACCCUCCUUUGGGAAAUGAAACUAAUUUAGGGCACGUUUCGAUUAACAAAGAAUGGAGAGAGGUGAGAUCAUUGAGAGGUCUUUCAUGUGCACAUAGUGUUUCGAGAACUGGACAGUCAGAGAUAGAAAGACAUUUUAACUGGGGGACCAAGUCCAGGGCGACGCCUUUGAGAGAAGCGCAGCCGUAGAUUCUAAUUUCCCCUAAAUCAGAGGGUGAACAACCCAUUUGAUCAAUUUCCUCGUGUAGGGACUCCAGGGAGUGGAAUCCAGAAACAUCGAGCGAGUGCAACCUAGGAAACCUAGGAAGUGGAGUCGCGAGCUGCCUACAUCCCUCAAUUCUAAGUCUUGUUACACGUGGAAGGUUGUGACCAGGUAGGGCCUUUGUAAGGUUGGAGCAUCUCUUGAUUGAAAGAAACUCAAGAAGAGGGAAGGCUUCCCGGCUGCCUUCGUCUGAAAUCCACUCGCGCCACUUUGGCAUUUUUGUAAAAGAUAAUAUUUUGAGGGAUUCAAAUGGCUUCUUCAUAAUAGUACAAUUCCCAUAGAACCCGGAGUCCACAGUCUCAACUUUAUCGAAUGCUUCAAUUGAGAGACGCUCUAAAGAAGCUAAUUGCCCGAGCGGUGGUAAGGAGGUGCAGUUUGUACAUCUACUGAGCUUCAAGGACACUAUAUUUGAGAAAGAGGACUCUCCUACCCACUCCGGAAACCUUACACCUCCAUAACCAUCAAUCUCAAGAUCCUUCACAUUUCUGUUUGGCUCUAAUUUCUCAAGUGUAACAAACUCAAGAUCCUUCACAUUUCUGUUUGGCUCUAAUUUCUCAAGUGUGCUUGUUACGUGUUGCGGGUCAUGAGUGUCACCAUCCCAUGUAAACCUCAGCUUAUCAAGGUGCUUUUUACCUUUCAAAUUUGCCUCACCAGCAUCCCGAGCAUCCACCACAUUUUGAAGGUUCCUAAUAUGAAGUUCUCCCCGUAGAUGUCGUAGCUUUCCCAAUUCUUUAAUGCUAGUCUCACUCUGUCUUCCCACGAAAAAGGCAGUCAACGUUUGGAGCUUUGUCAGUUGACCCACAUGUGGUGGCAUCUCUUUCAAAGGCGUGCCUUUGAUGUUAAGAUACCGCAAGUUGAUUAACCUUUCCAGAGAUUCAGGCAACCUUUCGAUUCUUGUUCCUUCAAGAUUCAGAUGUCGUAAAUGCUUCAAAUUUCCAAGAUCAGGUAGACUAGCAAGUUGUUGGCAAUAUUUCAAGAUCAACGUUUGCAAAUUGAGAAGAGCACUCACUUCUUCAGGCAACGUUACUAAAUCUGACCGAGAGAGAUCCAAAUACCGCAAAUGCUUCAACUUGCUAGUUGAACAAAACUUCAAAGUUGCAUCUCUACAACCAGUCAUGAAUAGCACUCGUAGGCGCCCAAGUGUUGACUGAAAGAUCUCAUUAUAAAUUUCGGGAGGACACCCAAAUAGCGUGGAAAAGUUUGGAAUGUGCGUAGAAGUUGGGCUUCACGGAUGUUUUCUAAUUUUGUGCUUGAAAAACCGCCUCCCGUAUAUACUACGAGUGAUAAAUGUCGAGUCCUGCUGCUGGCCUUGGAAGAAUUAUUUUCCCCCAACCUGGAGCUGAAGCAAAUUUGACCGGACACAUGGGUAGCCAAGUCAUGCAUGAGAUCGUGCAUCACAAAUGAUGAGGGAGAGGCACUUGAUUGCUGGAAAAAUGACCUUGACAAGAGAUCAUCAAAGCACUCAGCACCUGCUUUUUCCAUCUCAUCAUCCACGGAGCCGACUAAGAAGCCCUCUGCCAUCCACAGGAGCACUAAUUCAUCCUUUUGAAAUGAAUAGUCUUUUGGAAAUAUGGCACAAUAAGCAAAACACUGCUUCAGAUGUGGCAAGAGAUAAUGAUAACUUAAUCUCAAGGCUGGGAGGAUAUUGCCUUUGGGUAAAUCCCAUAGAUUGCUUUUCAAUAUCUUCUCCCACUCCUCGACAUCUCUUUUGGUGCGCAGCAGACCUCCGAGUGUUUUUGCAGCUAGAGGAAGGCCUUUACACUUUCUCACUAUUUCUCUUCUAAUUUCUUGCAACUCUUCAUGAGCAGUGGGAUUUUCACCACGAAAUGCAUGUUUGGCAAACACGGACCAGCAGUCUUCUUCCGUCAAUUCUUCUAGAUGAUGAGUUCGAACAGUUCUCAUGACUGAUGCUACACUUUCAUUGCGUGUUGUGACAAGAAUCUUACUCCCUUGUGCUCCGUACUUCAGGGGGGUAAGAAACCUAUCCCAUUCAUCAUAAUCUUCAUUCCAAACGUCAUCUAAAACAAGCAAAAAUCUCUUCCCCUGCAAUCUCUUCUUCAACUGAAGCUGGAGAUUAUUCAGACUAUCAGAAUCAGACUUUGAACCGACCUCCUCAAGGAUCACCUUGGUUAACCUCAAAACACUGAAAUCUUCUGAAACACAAACCCAGGCUUUGAGACCGAACCACUCUUGUACUUCGCUGCGAUUGUAUACAAGCUGAGCAAGCGUGGUUUUACCAACCCCGCCCAUUCCCCAUAUGGGAACCACACCUGGGUUUUCUCCACUGGCAUCGUCUGGUUGAAGCAACCUCAGUAUUGCUUCCCUGUCAGCAUCUCUACCAUCAACACAAGAUUCAUCCACCAGAGAAGUUGUUGGUCUUUUAGGCGAUGAUGGUCUUUCUACAUUGCGGUUGAUCAAGCCAAGGGCAUUCAUUCGUUCAACUAAGGGAUCUAGAUCCUGCAAGAGGACUUUUAAUUUUUCUUCGAUCUCUCCCCACCCCAAUUUUUCAAGUGGGUUAAUGAAAGAAAGAACCCUCUGCGUCUGACCUGUGAAGGUUUGAUCUUCAGCUUCCAACUCCUGCCGUAGAGCUUCAUAAGCAAUCUCAUCCAAGAGGUCGUCGGCUUUAUAGACAGCGUCUUUAAGCAGGUCCAGCCAAUCCCGCACAGCUCUGUUUGUUAUCUGCUUCUCCUCAGCAUCGUCAAGCACCACCCUGAGAGAUGUCAUUGCUGUCUCCAACCUCGUUAGCAGCCUAUCCUUGACUUUUUGGCCUCUGAAGAAGGCAACCACCUGGGGAGAGGCCAUCCUGUCGAACAAAACAUUAAGGAAAGAAGAAAGUAAAGCUCCUCCUACUAAAGCCCCGGCCAUGGUUUCUCCUCUUUGCAAAGUAACGAAGGAAGAGUAAACAAACAAGAAGAAGAAGAAGAGGGGAUUCUGUUCAGGUGACAGAUGGGGAAAGAAUUUGUGUAAAGAACUGGCAAAAGCUUUUUCUCUCUCGGCUCUUUAACUCUUAAAUUGUUAUGCUUAGGAGUCCAGUGCUCACGGGUAUCUAUUGUUUUUUAUUUAAAAAUAUAUUAAAUAUUUUUUUUUUACAAAUUAUUUUUAAUAAUAACAUAUUAAAAUAUUUAAAAAUACUAAAAAUAUAUUAAUUUAAAAUUUAAAAAAAUUAAUAUUUUUAAAACACUGAUACAGGCUGCAACUGAAACGAUAUUCCAUCUUUCUUUCUUUUUUAAAUAUUACUUGGUUUGUCUUUGAUUUAUUUUCCUAAAAAUUACAUCUUUUUCUGAAAAAAGAGUUUUGAUUGGAAAAACUUCACCAAAUGCGAAGCUUUUCACGUGAUAUGAUAAUGCAGCAGAAGAAUUCACUUUAUUUCUUUUAUCUUAUUCCUUUUAUCACUUUUCAUUGAUAAAUUAAAUAGAUAAUUAUAAAUUAUACUUUAUAUUAUUAUAUUUUAUACAAUUAACUCGUAGGCUUAGCAAAUUAAAUCAAUUAACUAGAUUUUUUUUGAAUUGGUUGUUUUUGAAUUUUAUUAUUUAAUAUUAUGUUUUAUUAAGAAUUAAGUUUCAUGAUUUGUUUUGAUUUAUUUUUAUUAGAUUAUUCUAACCUCCUAAUCUAAGAAUAAUGCUUAACAGGUUAACUUGGAUGGAUUGACCUAAAUAUUUUUUAUGUUUUUUUUAAUUCAAAUUUCUAGUCAUUCACGUUGGAUUGGACAUGAUCAAUUAGGAAUUGCACUUUUUACUUUAUUUUUAUUUAUUUUUUGAAAGAUUAUCUCGGUCUUGUAACUAGAGUCACAUAUUUAACGAGUUAAAUUAGGUUAGUGUUUUAUAUUUUUUUAUAGGAUUAUCUCGAUCUCAUGACGAGUUAUGGGUUUGGUGGAUUAAUUUGGGUCAUUUUUAUAUUCUUUUGAAAAUUGAUUUUUUUUAAUCUUGUCCUUCAACAUUUGGUUAAUUAAGAUUCAACUUCAUAAUUAUUAUUUUUUUUCUAUCUUAUAACCUAGGUUGUGGGCUUGACAGUUUAACUCGGUUCAUAGUUUUAGAUUAUUUUUUUAAUUGAUUUUUUUUUUAGUUAUAUCAUUUAAUAUCUGGUUGCUUGGAAAUUAGACUUCAUGAUCUCAUAAUCCAGAUAAAAAAUUUGGCAAGUUAACUCUGGUUAACCCAAUUAAAUCUAUUACUUUGUUAUCUUCAUAUUAAAAAAAAAAGAGUAUCAUUUUGAAUUUUUUUCUAAGUCAAACCAUAUUUUUAUAGGUUGUCCGAGGUGCUUCUAAAUAAGCAAAAUCAAUUGAGUCAUGUCGGAUCAAUCUCCACAUGCUUUAUUUAUUUUAAUUUUAUCCUUUAAUACUUGGUUGGUUGAGAAUUAGAGUUCCUAACUUAUUUUCUAUAAAGUUAUCAUAGUCUCAUAACUCGGGUUAUGAAUUUAACAAGUUAACUCAGGUUGACCCAAAUCAAUCUAGUUUAUUGUUAUCUUAAUAUUAAAAAAUAUAUAUAUCAUCUUGAAAUUUUUUUGAAUUAAACUAUAUUUUUACUGGUUAUUUAGGUUGUUUUUGAAACUACAAAUUCAAUCAAGUCACAUCAAAUAAAUCACCAUAUGAUUAAUUUUUUUAUAGAAUAAAUUAAAACAUUCACAAUUUAAAUAAUUUUUUAUUUUUAAAAAAAAUUGGACUCGAGUAAAUAAUCCAAUUAUAAAUUAGUUAGCGUACAUUACUUUUAAUAUUUUAAGGAACUCAUUAAACAUUUUAAAAUUAUUAAUCUCUCUUGUAUUAAAAACAAUAACACAAAACUUGAAGCUUUGCAUAAUAUUUGCUGAAUUCUAAAACAAUGGUGGAAGGAAUCAUUAAAAGAAUAAUGUAAUUUUUAAAUAUCAAUAAUUUUAAAUAAAUACAUAUGUGCUUUUAAAAAAAAUUACAUAGACAACCAACAUACUACCCAUCAUAAAAAAAAGAUAUUGUUAAACAUGGUAUAGUACUUUGACCGCAAAACCAUGUUUGGUUUCUACCGUGUCCAAGUGUUUAUGGUGCAGAGAGAAAGAGAGAGAGAGCGAAGGAAAGUGACAAACUGCACAAAAAGUCAAUAGGAAUAAUUUGAUUGGUAGUUGAAGUCUCUUUGUCCCUCUAACAUUAACCCAUUUUUCACUAAAUUUAUUCGAUAUUAAAUUUAAUUUUUUUAUUGAAUUAUUUUUAUUUUAUAACAUGUUCAAUGAUUUUUAUUUAUUUUUAAAUAUUUUUUUUAAAAAAACUAUUAUUUAAUACUGUAUUUAAUUAAAAAUUAAGAUUCAUGAUUUGUUUUAAUUUUUUUAUUAGGUUAUGUAAUCCUCAUUGUGUUUAAUUAAAAAUUUAAAUUCAUGAUUUAUCUAAAAAUAAUAUUUAACAGGUUAAACCGAAUUGACCUAACUUAUUUUUUUAAUAAUUUUAUUUAUAAAUCACAUCGUUUAAUAUUGAGUUUGACAUGAUUAAAUAGAGAUUAUAUUUUAUAAUUUAUUUCUAUUUAUUUUUUAUAAAAUUAUUUUGGUUUAUAAUCAAAUCAUGAAUUUAAUAAAUUAAAUUUGAUUAUUUUUUAUUUUUUAAUAAAAUUAUCUCGAUUUAGUAUUGAACUAGUUACGUGCCCCGCGCGAUGCCGCGGAUCAAUUAUCUUUUGCAUUUUAAAAAUAGCUAAGAUCUAAAAGUGUUAGGUUUUUUUACAAAGUUAUACCAAGAGUCUUAAGCUUGGUUGCAACGCCUGACCAAAAAGUAAUAUUUAUAAUAUUAAUAAUAACAUUAAACUUGGGUUAACCCUUAGCAUAAAAGUGUCUAGACUACAAUACCAGACCCAAUAGCAUUGGACGUGGGUCUGGCUGCAAGGUCGUGUCAUAAAAGUGUGAUAAUUAAAUAGAUUAGUUAAAAAGAAAAAAAAACCAACAGGAAGAAAAAAACUAAUGAAGAAAAAGAAAAAUAAAUAAAUCAAUUGGGUUAACCCUUCAAACCAGGUUAACCCGUCAUACCUUGAAUUCGCAUCGUGAAAGUUUGAUAAUUAAAAAGAAAAAAACAAAUUAAUGGGUUAACCUAGAAUUAGCUGGGCUAACUCAUUAAACCAGGUUAACUUGUCAGACCCGGAAUCCGUAUCAUGAAAGUUUGAAAACUAAAUACACAAAAAAUUAAUUAUUUAAAUUAAAUUAAAAAAUUAAUUAAAAAGAAAAAAAAAAGGCAUCAGUCUUACAGUCAAAGGCUUAACAAGAAAACAAAAAUAAAAACUAAAGACAUCAACCGAGAACCACUUAGAAAAAAAUUUAAUAUUAAUAAAAUAAAACAAUUAAAUAAAAUUAAUUGAAAAGAAAAAAUAAAAGUAAAAAAACCUCUAAGAAGAAAAAAAAAACUAAAUAGAAAUAAAUUUAACAUUAACAAACUAAAUUAAACGAAAAAAAUAAUUAAAAAGUAAAAUAAAGAAAAAAAAAAUCCAGGUUAACUUGUCAAACCAAGUUAACCCGUUAAACCCGGGAUCCGUGUCAUGAAUGUCUGGUAACUAAAUAAAAAAAAAGUGAACAUUAACAAACUGAACUAAACAAAAAAAAUUAAUUUAAAAGAAAAAAUCUAAAAAAAAAUCUGGGUUAACUCAUCAAACCAUGUUAACCCAUUAAACCCAGGAUCUGUGUCAUGAAAAUCUGAUAACUAAAUAAAAAAAUUAACAUUAACAAACUAAAUUAAACAAAAAAAUUUAUGAAAAUAAUAAUAAAAAAAAAUUGACGGGUCAACCCUGUAACGACCCAACAUUUUCAUGGCCAAAGUCACUGGAUUUUUUUUUUUACAUUACAUCAUAUCGACUUAUUCAUAAAUUCCCAUUCUUGUUCUAAUCUCGUAUUAUCACGAGUUCAUACAAGAGUGUCAAACAACAAGUUACAUAACUAGUACUUUUGUUAUCCUGACCGCAUGUGAUUCUUACAACAUGACGUCCUCAUUAGAUGAAUACCUCAUAUGAGUAUUCAUACACUUCAUAUCAACUUGUUCGUACAUUCUCAUCCGUAUUCCAUUUCAAUAUUUAAUUACUAGUUUUUAUAGAAGGGAUCGAAUGACUAAUUAAGUUAUUUACAUGUUCGUUCAUGCAGAACUCAUAUCACCCAUAAUAUGAGAGUAUAUAAUUCUUUUUCGAAAUGUGUGAGCCACGAAAUGAAUUUCCUUACGCACCAUAUUGGUAUGAUGUCCUUGUUACAACACAAGGUAAUUUUAAGCAUUAUAUGCCAUUUAAGAAACAUAAUAAAACAAGAUUGAAGUCACAUUUCAUUCAUGGACCAAAAAGCAUAAUUCUUUAAUUUCCCUUUACUUAUGUAAAUACCACCGUUAAUGAUCCAUCAAUUAACGAGGCUAAUUUCAGUACUCAAACCCGAUCAUUCAUCUCGAAUGUCGUUAGCCGAAUUAAUGUUUUUCUUUGUUUAAAGCAUAACCAUUAUAGUCCUUUCAUAUACUUAGUAUAUACGAAACAUAGUAUACAUGACCACAUCAGUUCUUCUUAAAACUAACUCAUACACUCAAAUCCGACAAUCCUCUUGGGAGGCCAUUAGCCGAAGUCAAUCAUCUAUUCAUCUUGCCAUCCAUUAGGGUGUCAUUAGCUGUAGCUACUCAUAUUUCUUCUUCUUUCUCUUCUUCUUCUUCUUUUUUUUUUCCAUCUCGGUCAUCUACUUAGGAUGCUGACACGACCAAAAGAUUGAUGUCUUCUCUCAAGUGCAGGAGUGUCGAAGUAAUAAAUAACCCGACAAGACCGGGGUCGAACCACAGAGAGGGUAAUUGUAUAAAUUAUAAAUAAUAAGACAACGACAACAAUAACAACAAGCAACAAUAAUAACAAUAAUAGUAGUAGUAGUAGUAGUAGUAGUAAUAAUAAUAAUAAUAAUAAUAAUAAUAAUAAUAAUACUUAGUACGUGGCAUUGUUAUACCUGAGAAUGAUCUAAAAGAUCGGGUCACAGGUUUCCAACCUAUAUACUGAGUUUAUGAAAAGAUCAAAAAGAUAUAUUAUAUAAUAUAAACAGAAUGUAAAUAAUAAUAAUAAUAAUAAUAAUAAUAAUAGUAAUAGUAAUAAUAACAAUAAUAAUAAUAGUAGUAGUAGUAGUAGUAGUAGUAGUAGUAGUAGUAGUAGUAGUAAUAAUAAUAAUAAAAGAAGAGGAAGAAAUUAAUGAGAACUUUGAGAUGGAAGAUUAAUGUAAGGAUUAAACAAUGAUAAAAACAAAUGUCAAGGUUAGAGGAUCCACCAAUGGUAUUUCAAACAAGUAUAGUAUAAACUCUUAUUACUCAAUUUGGAAACCACACACGGAGGAGGUUCCAAUCGGAUGAUUUGUCAUUAAUAGCUCAUUAUAAAUUAUUAACAUGAUCAUAUUAAUUAUCUUAUUUACAUAACACCAAACUUUUAAAUAUUAUCAGGAAUUCAUGAUUAACUGAUGUUAACAACAAAUCAAGUUCCUUUCAUAGCCCAGGUGUAGGUAAUACCAUACGGUUGGGCUAUGAGAGUGCCAAGCAUUUGUUGUACCAAGUGUUAUACAACACAAAUCUAGAUUAACCAUUUAACAAGCAAGGUAUUAAGAAUUAGUAAGAUAAAAAGAUAAGACAUGUUAAUAUUAAACAUUAAGGUCCAUGUUGAGUUUACCAUACUUAUUCUUACACCAUUAGUGUAACCUUUUCACCUUGACAUAAUAAACUUAGCUAAACAUAAUGAAGAAGAGAAACAUAAAUAAACAAAACAAGAACAUAAAGAAAAUACAAGUUAACUAAGUAAAGGAAAGGAAAUGAAAAGCAUAAACAAAUAUUAAUGAAAGCAAAACUUAAAAAUUACAAAAAAAUAUAAAGAGAGAAAUAAAGAGCAUGAACUUGAUCUGAACAACCAAGCCCCAAUACAUGGCAAAUGCCUCCUUUUAUAGGCCAAAAUUCGGAAUUAUUGAUUUGAUGACUAAUUGUUGAGUGGGUGGCCAACUUUUGACUUGGUGAAAAUCCUUAUCUUCUUGUCUGAAUAAAACAAAAAUGCUACCAUCCGAACUGGGUCACUUGGAAAACAUGAAAGUUGUAGGAAAUUGUCUUAACAUUCUAGAAAAAAAAUGAGGUCAUUUGGACUUCUAUAACUCUAGAUAUGGGCCAAACACUGAACAGUGUUCGGGCUGCAGGACAGAUUCAGACUUCUCUGUUGUUGCUAUAAUUUGGACUUGAAAACGGCCUUGUUAGAUCCUGGCCUCCACAUGAAAGUUGUAGGCCUAUGUCUUACUGAAUCUGUGUAACAAUUUGAGAUCAUUUGGACAUCUAGAACUCGAGAUAUGACCCAAUUACCGAACAGUGUUCCAGUUUGGACUGCACCAACAUCUCUUUUAUAAGUUUCACCCUCUCUUUGUCCUUUCAAUUUCCAUACUUGAACUCAUCAAUCAAUCCUUUGAUUUAUGUGAUAGGCCUGCAUUUAAGAUGAACAUUUACCAUAUAUUAGGGCAUUUUAUAGUAUUAGACUUGUUAUUAUAAAACAUGCUUUAGUUAAGGAGUUAUUGAUACUUUAAGUGCAAAAUGAUGAUAUAAACCCUUGAUAAAUAUGCACUUUUAAGUACUAAUCAGAUGCGAUUAGCUGAAGCUAGUCAUUUUUUCAUCCUGAUUAUCCGUUUAGAAUGCUAUUAACCAAAGCUAGUCAUUUAUUCAUCCCAAUUAUCGAUUUAGGAUGUCAUUAGUCGUAAUUAAUCAUUUGUUCAUCUCGAUUAUCCACCUAGGAUGUUAUUACCCGAAGCUAGUAAUUUAUUCAUCCCGAUUAUCCAUUUAGGAUGUCAUUAGUCGUAAUUAAUCAUUUGUUCAUCUCAGUUAUCUACCUAGGAUGUUAUUAGCCGAAGCUAGUAAUUUAUGCAUCUUGAUUAUCCAUUUAGGAUGUCAUUUACCGAAGCUAAUCAUUUAUUCAUUAUGGUAAUUCAUCUAUGGUGUCAUUACCAUAGCUAAUCAUUUAUUAAUUUCGAUUAUCCAUUUAGGAUACCAUUUACCGAAACUAAUCAUUUAUUCAAUUUGGUAAUUCAUCAAUGGUGCCAUUACCAUAGCUCAUCAUUUAUUAAUCUCGAUUAUCCAUUUAGAAUGCCAUUUACCAAAGCUAAUCAUUUAUUCAUUAUGGUAAUUCAUCUAUGAUGCCAUUACCAUAGCUCGUCAUUUAUUAAUCUCAAUUAUCCAUUUAGGAUGCCAUUAGCCGGAGUUAAUCAAUCGUUUGUGUCGGUCAUCCACUUAGAUGCCAUUAGCCGGAGCUAAUCAUUCAGAUGCCAUUAGCCGGAGCUAAUCAAUCAUUUGUCCUGGUGAUUAGUACUUAAAAGUGCAUAUUUAUGAAGGUUUUAUAUCAUCAUUUUGCACUUAAAGUAUCAAUAACUCCUUAACUAAAGCAUGUUUUAUAAUAACAAGUCUAAUACUAUAAAAUGCCCUAAUAUAUGGUAAAUGUUCAUAUUAAAUGUAGGCCUAUCACAUAAAUCAAAUUAUUGAUUGAUGAAUUCAAAUACUAAAAUUUGUGAAGAUAAAGAGAGGGUGAAACUUAGAAAAGAGAUGUUGGUGCAGUCCAAACUGGAACACUGUUCGGUAAUUGGGUCAUAUCUCGAGUUCUAGAUGUCCAAAUGACCUCAAAUUUUUACACCGAUUCAGGAAGACAUAGGCCUACAACUUUCAUGUUUUCAUCAAGAUCUAAGAAGGCCGUUUUCAAGUCCAAAUUAUAGCAACAAUGGAGAAGUCCGAAUCUGUCCUGCAGCCCGAACACUGUUCAGUGUUUGGCCCAUAUCUGGAGUUCUAGAAGUCCAAAUGACCUCAAAGUUUUACAGAGAAUUGUUAAGACAAUUUCCUACAACUUUCAUGUUUACCAGAGGACCCAUUUCGGAUGGUGGCAUUUUUGUUUUAUUCAGACAAGAAGAUAAGGAUUUUUACCAAGUCAAAAGUUGGCCACCCACUCAACAAUUAGUCAUCAAAUCAAUAAUUCCGAAUUUUGGCCUAUAAAAGGAGGCAUUUGCCAUGUAUUUGGUUGGCUUGGUUGUUCAGAUCAAGUUCAUGCUCUUUAUUUCUCUCUUUAUAUUUUUUUGUAAUUUUUAAGUUUUGCUUUCAUUAAUAUGUUGUUUAUGCUUUUCAUUUACUUUCCUUUACUUAGUUAACUUGUAUUUUCUUUAUGUUCUUGUUUUGUUUAUUUAUGUUUCUCUUCUUCAUUAUGUUUAGCUAAGUUUAUUAUGUCAAGGUGAAAAGGUUACACUAAUGGUGUAAGAAUAAGUAUGGUGUAAACUUAACAUGGACCUUAAUGUUUAAUAUUAACAUGUCUUAUCUUUUUAUCUUACUAAUUCUUAAUACCUUACUUGUUAAAUGGUUAAUCUAGAUUUGUGUUGUAUAACACUUGGUACAACAAAUGCUUGGCACUCUCAUAGCCCAACCGUAUGGUAUUACCUACACCUGGGCUAUGAAAGGAACUUGAUUUGUUGUUAAUAUCAGUUAAUAUCAUGAAUUCCUGAUAAUAUUUAAAAGUUUGGUGUUAUGUAAAUAAGAUAAUUAAUAUGAUCAUGUUAAUAAUUUAUAAUGAGCUAUUAAUGACAAAUCAUCUGAUUGGAACCUCCUCCGUGUGUGGUUUCCAAAUUGAGUAAUAAGAGUUUAUACUAUACUUGUUUGAAAUACCAUUGGUGGAUCCUCUAACCUUGACAUUUGUUUUUAUCAUUGUUUAAUCCUUACAUUAAUCUUCCAUCUCAAAGUUCUCAUUAAUUUCUUCCUCUUCUUUUAUUACUACUACUACUACUACUACUACUACUACUACUACUACUACUAUUAUUAUUAUUAUUAUUAUUAUUAUUAUUAUUUACAUUCUGUUUAUAUUAUAUAAUAUAUUUUUUUGAUCUUUUCAUAAACUCAGUAUAUAGGCUGGAAACCUGUGACCCGAUCUUUUAGAUCAUUCUCAGGUAUAACAACGCCACGUACUGAGUAUUAUUAUUAUUAUUAUUAUUGUUGUUGUUGUUGUUGUUGUUGUUGUUGUUGUCUUGUUAUUUAUAAUUUAUACAAUUAACCUCUCUAUGGUUCGACCCCGGUCUUGCCGGGCUAUUUAUUACUUCGAUACUCCUGCACUUGGGAGAGGACAUCAAUCUUUUGGUCGUGUCACCCGGUCAUCCAUUCGAAUGCCAUUAGCCAGAGCUAAUCAAUCGUUUGUUCCGGUCAUCCAUUCAAAUGUCAUUAGUCACAGCUAAUCAUUGUUUCAUCAAGCAAUUUAUGACAAUUUGACAUUCCUUGCAACAUCAUAGCAGACCCUUAUGGAUACUCAUACCACCAUUUCCUAGUAGUUUAUCAUUCCGUAACACUAUGAUAUAUCCUUUGUAAUGCAGAACUAAACAUCCCUCAACAAUUUAGCAUUUAGUAUAACACAACAAUACCCUUUGUAUCACUCAUCCAACCAUUCUUGACAGUUAAUGUUCAAUGCAACAUAACAAUCAUUCUUGACAGUACCCUUUGUAUCACACCACCAUUUGUGGUAAUUAAUCAUCAAUACGAUACAACGAUAGAUCUUUCAUAACACUCAUACAAUCAUUCAUCAUCAUUACAUUCAAUAUAAUAGAAUAAUAGAUCCUUGGUAACACAUUCAUCACAAUUACAUUCAAUAUAAUAAAAUAGUAGAUCCUUCAUAAUACUCAUACAAUCAUUCAUCACCAUUACAUUCAAUAAGAAUACAAAAGUAGAUCCUUCUACGGUACAUACUACCAUUCAUUAGUAGCCCAAAUUCAUAACAACCCCAACAUCAUAUUCAGUCUAGUAUUCAUAACAACUCAAUAAGAUGUUCACCUUAAAUGGGUCAGUUUAGGACUCUAACAUUUUCACCAUUGUUUCAACAUUCAUCAAGAACUUGUUUGACAUUUCAUAGUCGUUUUGACAAUCAUCAAGAAUUUAAUCCAACUCUUCUUUGUCGUUUCCUCUUACAACAAGGAUUUAAAUAAAAUAUCAUCACAAGUUAAUCAUUUCAAAACAUAAACAUCAAAAUGGGAAAAAGGUGGAAACCACCUACCUGCUCCACUUGUGGUCUGUCCUUGUCCUAGCAAUGGUCCAAUCCUAGCCACAACACCUAAGACAACAAUGACCACAAUCAAUUCAUUUGUAUCUUCAAUUCACAUUCUUCACCACACUUAUUUCAAGAGUUCAUAUGUUCACAUUCAAGUGUUCUAUAUUUUACACCAUCAUACCAUGAAAUUGUUACUAGAAUUUAAGUCAUUUCUGCCCAGAAGGCCUAUUGUAGAAAUCGGCAGUGAAAACUGGUUCACUGCAGGUUGCCAAAUUCGGCAGCGAAAAUUGGUUCGCUACAGGCUGCCAAUUCGGCAGUAAAAAAAAAAAUUAUUCGUUGCAACCAACAAGUUUUGCGGCAGCGAAUGCUACUUCGCAGCCGACAACUCGACUUCCACAACGAAUCACAAAUUCGCUGCCGAACUCACAUUUCAGCAGCGAAAGCUAAUUCGCUGCAGAUAACUCGACUUCAGUAGUGAAUGCUAAUUCACUGCAGACAAUUCAAUUUCGGUAGCGAAUCAUAAAUUCGCUGCGGCAAACUUAACUUCAACAGCGAAUCACAAAAUUUGUUGCAGAACACGCAUUUCAGCAGCGAAUGCUAAUUCGCUGAAGACAACUCAAUUUCAGCAGCGAAUCACAAAUUCGCUGCAGCCAACUCAAUUUCGACAGCGAAUCACAAAUUCACUGCAGAACACAUAUUUCGGCAGCGAAUGCUAAUUCGCUGCAGACAACUUAAUUUCAGCAACGAAUCACAAAUUCGCUGCAGCCAACUCAAUGUCGACAGCGAAUCACAAAUUCGCUGCAGCCAACUCAACUUCGGUAGAGAAUCACAAAUUCGUUGCAGAACACAAAUUUCAGCAGUGAAUGCUAAUUUGCUGCAGGCAAAACAAUUUUGGCAGAGAAUCACAAUUUCACUGCAGCCAACUCAACUUCGGCAACGAAUCAUAAAUUCGCUGCAGAGCACACAUUUUGGUAGCGAAUGCUAAUUCACUGCAGACAACUCAAUUUCGACACCGAAAUACAAUUUCGCUGCAGCAAACUCAAUUUCGGCAGCGAAUCACAAAUUCGCUACAGAACACAAAUUUUGGUGGCGAAUGCUAAUUCGCUGCAGAUAACUCAAUUUCGACAGCGAAUCACAAUUUCGCUGCAGCAAACUCAACUUCGGCAGCGAAUCACAAAUUCACUGCAGAACACACACUUCGGCAGCGAAACUAAUUCCCUGCAGAAGACUCGGUUUCGGCAGCGAAUCGCAAAUUCGCUCCCAACCCACAUUUUGGCAUGAACACACACCACACGUUGUAACAACUCCAGUACAUAAACUGUCACUAAGUUCCAGCAUAACCCACACAUUGAAACCAUCAAUUCCACCAUAUAAUUUUUCAAUAAAUUUCAGCAGAACACACAUAUUGAAACCAUCAAUUCCACCAUAUAAUCUUUCAAUGAAUUCUAGCAGCAUACACGCAUUGAACCCAUCAAUUUCAGCAUAUAAUCUUUUGUUAAAUAUUCUGGAAUCGGGUCCCCCAUCCAACCCCGUUUUUGUCCCUCCUUUGAGCUUAGUUCUUUCCAUAACAGUUGGAGUAAAGUUCCUAGGCCAUGCAUCCAUAGUUUUCUUCUUCCUUUCGAUUUCAAGACCUUAAGAACAGGUGGGGAAAGACAUGGUUCAUACCUCACGGAUUUAGCAUUUUUGGGAAGGGUUUGAAAACAUUUCUCCCCUUCUGCUCCCGAUUGUUUCUUCCUCUUCCUCUCUUUCAGUCUUUCUCCUCCUCUUGUUAGUUUCCCACUGAUUUUUAGGCCUCUACUCCCUUCAUGUUUGCAGCUGUUCAGCCUCCUGUCAAGCGCUCCCUUCUUUCUCUCACGUCUAAGGAGGGCACUAGAAGCUAAGGUAUGGUCAUGUUCUUUCCUUGGAAAGGGAAAGAGGGAAGGGGACAAGCAUCUCAUUUUUGGGGAAAAGGAAGGGGACAAGAGCAUGCAGCUCACUUUGGGGAGAGGGAAGGGGACAAGAGCAUGCAAAUCGUUUUGGGGAGGGUGUCUCCCUCUCUCUCUCUCAUUUCUGCAUUUAUACCCCUCCUAAAAGCAAAAAAAAAAGGGGUGUUUGGAUGUUGGACAAGGUUGUCCUAACCUCCUUUUGGGUUAUCCUUGAGCUGAUUUUCAUUCUCAUUCUCCUCCCCUAGGAUAGGUCGGUCCCACACUAAAUCCUUUUUUUUUUUUUUUUUUGAUGUCGCUGUCGAUUCCGAAAUCGGCAGCCUCAAACUGUGUCAUUGCCGAUUCAGGAAUCAGCAGCCUCAAACUGUGCUGAUGUUGAUUCUUGUCACUGCCGAUUCAAAAAUCGGCAACCUGAAACUACGUCGCUGCCAAUUCAAAAAUCAGCAGCCCGAAACUGCGUUGCUGCUGCUGCAGAAAUCGGCAGCCGCACUGCGUCACUGCCGGUUCAGAAAUUGACAGGCUGAAACUGCGUCGCUGCUGCUGCAGAAAUCGGCAGCGAUGGUGGACUCAUUUCGGUUCCACUUCUUGUUUUUUUUUUUUACAUUAUUGUAAGAUCCCACAUCGGCGGGUGAGGGGUGUGUUGCUGGCCUUAUUAGAAGUGCUAGUGCUAACAUGUUGAACGCGUUUUGGGGCAUCAGGCUCAGUAGUGGGCUCGCGUCACUAUGAACAAAAUCGUGAGGGCGAUAAGGCCCAAAGCGGACAAUAUUUAGCAUGUUGGGCCGGUGACCCGGCUGGGCAACAAUGAAGCAAGCGUGAACGAAAUCGCGCGUGCAUUAGCUGCUAAAGAGAAUUAAUUGAGAGUGUACAGUAGGAAGUGAAUUAAAAUGAAAAGCGGUGAAAGAGAAACUUACUAACCUGGCUCUGGAUCCACCGAAAGCAGCAGCAACAAUGGUUCUGGUCACGGUCGAUUUCCUCUGCUUAUGUUCAUCCCUUUCUCUCUGUUUUUCUCCGGUUCUUGGCUUGUUCGUCCCCUGUUUCUUGGCUUGUUCGUCCCUUGUUCUUGUUUCCAGUCGCUCCUUUCUUUGUUUUCUUGCUCUUGUUCUCUGUUAUUCGUCUGCUCACCGUCUUUGUGUUCUGAAGACGAAGGCUAAGCUGGGGUACGUUGGCUUCUUUCCCCUCGGUGAAUUUGUGUUUUUUUACACUGUAUUUCUUCUCUGUUUUUUUUAGCUCUCCAUCUUCCCUUUGUUCUGUAUUUUCGGGUUGUGUUUCUGCUUUGCUUUCUGGGUUUCUCUUUCGUUUUUUUCUGGGUUUUUUUUUCUUCUCUUGCGUUGUCAAUUGUUGGGUAUUUAUAGGGAUCAAUUUUCCUCUCCCUCAGCCUCACGUCUCUCCUCUUGAUAAGCACGACUGAGGGAGACGGUUCCUGCUAGGACUCGAAUUCGAAGUGCAAUCUUUAUCUCGUCGGGUUGUAAUUAUCAUGAAGAUAAUUAUUGCGUUUCUGUAUUUUGAAUGGGCUAGGAUACUGGUGUUUCAUGCUUUUGUUUCCUUCUUUGCAGGCGGACGUUCGGUGUUUUGGAGACGAAGAUGACGGACAGCACCUGAUUGAAACGGUGUUGUUUUGGGCUGAGAAUGGUUAUUUCCAAUCUAGUCCUUGAAGUUUCUAAAUUCUUGCAUUCAAACCCCUGGUCUUUUAAUUUUCAAGAUUUACCCUCCUUAAAAUUAAUUUAACAAUAAGUGGGUCAAAAUUUGGUUACAACAGUUGCCCCCUCUUUACAAUGCUUACGGUGCAAAUGCAUUAGAAAAUUUAUUUUCUUUUGACUUGGUAUAGUGAGUUUUGUAAAGAAGAAUAAUUGUGAAAACCCUUUCCCCCUUUUUUAUUGAUUUUUUUUGUUUUGUUUUUGUUUUUGUUUUUGUUUUUGGUUUUUUUUUUGUGAUGGUAUAUUGUAAUGGGUUACCGGCCCAGAUGGUCACAUUGUAAUGAGUUACCUGCCCAGUAUAGGAUAGUAUAUUGUAAUGGGUUACCGACCCAAGUGGUCACAUUGUAAUGGGUUACCUGCCCAGUAUAGGAUGGUAUAUUGUAAUGGGUUACCAGCCCAGAUGGUCACAUUGUAAUGGGUUACCUGCCCAGUAUAUGAUGGUAUAUUAUAAUGGGUUACCGACCCAGUUGGUAUAUUGUAAUGGGUUACCAGCCCAGGUGGUCACAUUGUAAUGGGUUACCUGCCCAGUUGGUCACAUUGUAAUGGGUUACCUGCCCAGUUGGUAUAUUGUAACGGGUUACCAGCCCAGAUGGUCACAUUGUAAUGGGUUACCUGCCCAGUUGGUCACAUUGUAAUGGGUUACCUGCCCAGUUGGUAUGUUGUAAUGGGUUACCUGCCCAGCUGGUCACAUUGUACUUGGUUACCUGCCCAGUUGGUAUAUUGUAAUGGGUUACCAGCCCAGAUGGUCACAUUGUAAUGGGUUACCUGCCCAGUUGGUAAAAUACAAGGAAUUUUUUUUUUUUUAAUAAGACGAGGGCUCGAAGGCGCGCUCGAAUGGAGGUAGCAUAGAAAAUGCACUACCUUUAAUGGUCGAGGGCUCGAAGGCGCGCUCGAAAAGAACUCAGACGAGGGCUCGAAGGCGCGCUCGAAUGGAGGUAAGACGAGGGCUCGAAGGCGCGCUCAAAUGGAGGUAGGAUAGAAAAUGCACUACCUUUGAUGGUCGAGGGCUCAAAGGCGCGCUCGAAAAUAAAUAAGACGAGGGCUCGAAGGCGCGCUCGAAUGUAAGACGAGGGCUCGAAGGCGCGCUCGAAUAGAGGUAGGAUAGAAAAUGCACUACCUUUGAUGGUCGAGGGCUCGAAGGCACGCUCAAAUGUAAGACGAGUGCUCGAAGGCGCGCUCGAAUGUAAGACGAGGGCUCGAAGGCGCGCUCGAAAAUAAAUAAGACGAGGGCUCGAAGGCGUGCUCGAAUGGAGGUAGUAUAGGAAAUGCACUACCUCAGGAGUGGAAACUGAAAGGUGGUGGAAGAAUAGAGAGAUUCUUCAAGUGGCCUAAUUCUCAUGGGCGGCCUGCCCAAGUUGAAAAUUUCUCAAAAGUGAAAAUUUUUCAAAAGCAAUUUCAAUAUUCACUAUUUCAAGUUGGCUUUCUGCUCGAUGGAUUCCAUUAGAAUUUUCUCUAAUAAAAUUUGCAAAACUCAUUGUCCAAUGUCUCAAAGUUUAAAUGAUAUGCAUGCAUCUUUACCUGAUUUGAAAUAUAGGCCCCCUAUUUCUUCUUAGUCUUCUCGUUGCUUGGUUGGUGAGAUCUUGCUAUCUGAUUUGAGUCAUCUUUGUCGUUUGGCUUUCUAGCCCACUCGAGUUGGCCCAUGUAAGUUUAUUUCCAGAUUUGUUUACAUAACUCAGCUUUUACGGUGCCCAUCGUGACCCAUUUGCUUGCCCGUUUCAUCAAAUAAUUUGAGAGGAUAUAUUCAUUACCCCUCGUCUUACUGCUAAAAACAUUCGGUAUCACUUACUAAAAGGAUCGAGCUGUCUUUUGUAAACCAAAAUGCCCCCUUGUCUGGUUCAAGGAAAUUACCAUCUCUUUUUCUAGAAUCUUUCCUUCUAAACACAAUGUUGCCCCCUUGUAUUGGUUAUUGCCCCUAAGUGUGCUUCUGUCAGUGACUUAGAUAAAUAAAGGUUUUAAGAGGCCAUUCUCUCAUUUCUCUCCUUUUCAGUUUGGUGGAGGAAUAUGGGUCUAGAAUGAAUCUUGAAAUCUUGAUCUUGCAUUUUGAAAACAAAAAUUAUUUCGAUGUGAGUCAAAACAAUUUGCUUUUGAAAUCUUGCAACUCCUUGGUUAUUUUCUUUCUGGAAAAGAGAUUAUUUGCUCUUGUGUUUGGCAAUGAGGUCUUCGGUGAAAAUAUCAUGAGAUGACCUUUUGUUUCAAAGUGAAGGGCUCGAGAAAAAGCUCGAGGUUUUGUAAGAGAAAAAUUGUCUCUUUUUGAACAUUUAUUUUUAUCAGCAUGAAUAAUAAUGAGUAGUUUAUUCUUGAUGUCAUGAAUCUUAUGAAAAAGUAUUCUUUGCAUUUUGAGAGCAUUGUUUAUUGUUCUAGGUUGCUUGCUUGCUUGAUUAGAAAGGACUUCUACAGGCACGUAACGUAGGCUGUGGUUUUUGGCUAUGAAAGAAAAGAUUCAUAAGGCUCAAAGAGUGUUUCAGGGUUUCAAAGACUGAAGAUCACGAUCAAUAGUUUGACUUUUGACGUCAUUCAUAUUUCUUUUGCCGCUCUUCUUUGAUUGCCCUUUUUUUCUUUUUCAUUGCUCCACUAGAGCAUACUCACUUUAUCUUGGUUAUCACUUUUUCUUGUGAUUUGGGCAUGCCCCCUAGCAUUUGAGUUUCUUGGGCUCUUUUGCCUUUUGGCUUUCUCACGGCUUUAUCAUCUUUCUUGAUCAUUGAAAUUUCACUUGCCCCCAGUGUAGGGUGUGAUCUUAGUCGGGAUUUUUUUUAUGAAAGAAAAAUUAUUCAGGCUCAAAAAGGGUUUGCAAGGGAUGUACUUAUUUUAGAACGUGAAAGGAAUAACAAAGAUGGCCUUUCCUCAUUUCAAGCGCAAGCAGCUAUGAUCAAUAAACUUUGACCUCGUAUAGUGUGAUGGUUUAUUCUUUGCAAAGAUGCAUUUCAUGAGUUAUGAGCAACAAGUUCACUACAUACCAUUAUUCAUACAUUUAAAAACACAUGAUUCAAGAGUAAUGGGGUAAGGGUGUUUAUUUUUUUUUUUCACAAUUGUUUUUCUAAUUUAGUCACCUCAAUGAUGGAGUUGCUUGAUUCACUUGUCAUUCUACAAGUAGAAUGUUAAAAAUGUCAUUUUUGAAUAAACAUCAAAUUAUUUUUUUGAAAUCAAAAUGCCAGAUCAAUUUUUUUCAAAACUCCAAUAGGGAAACUGAUUUUUGGUAAAAGAGAUGAAUUGCGUCUAUGAGAUCGCACAAGGCUUCAAAGAUGUGUUUGUGAAUCUUUAUAAGAAAACUCUCUCAGAAAAAAUGAAUAAUGCUAAUCGUAAACACGAUUGAAUGACAAACUCAUUAUUUUCAUUGAAACUUUAGAAAAUAAGUUCAACAAGAAAGAACUUAUGACAACAUCUUGGGCUAUGAAUACUGGCAUGAUAACAUAUAAAGGGCUAAACAUUUAGCGAUCAUUGAUUGGAAUUUCUGGAAUCUUUCAAUCAUUCAUUCUCCUCGACAAGGGCAUCUUUUCAAUAGUCAAUUGAAAUCAAAUGUAGAUAUUCUCGACCUAAUAUCACCAUAGCUUUAUCUUCAAGAUAGUUGAUUUCUAGGAGUCGAUGUGAAGCAAUUAGCUAUAGAAAUGAUAAGUGUCUUGGCAACCACCUUCAGUGAAACCGUUCUUCUCAGUCGGGUUAGCAAUCUUACCUAACCCAAUGGCUUGUUCAAUCCUCUCAGCUAUAACAACCAGGUCAGUGAAAUGUUGUGCAGAGCUUCUAACCAAGUAUUCAAAGUACGGAGCUUUAAAGGUGUCGGAAAAUAAAGUGAUCAUCUCUUUUUCCAACAUGGGAGGGUUAACUUGUGCAGCUACUCACUCCAUCUCCGGGCGUAUUCUCUUAUGGACUCCUUGUUGUCCUUCUCCAUAGCUUGCAAGCUUAAACGAUCAGGGCCCACGUAUAUUGAACUUAUAUUGCCUCAUGAAGGCAUCAACUAAAUCCUUCCAUUUUUUAACCUUGGUAUUGUCCAACCGCAUAUACCAAGUGAGGGCAACAUUACUCAGACUGUCUUGAAAGAAAUGAAUCAGCAGUUUCUCAUCAUGAACCACCUCAACCAUUUUGUUGCAGUAUGCUUUGAGAUGAGUUAUGGGGCAUUGAGUUCCCGUAUAUUUAACAAAUUCUGGCACUCUAAAUUUUUUUUGGAAUGACUACGUUGGGCACCAAACACAUCUCAGCAGCCUUUAUAGGAUCAUAUAGGUGAAUUCCCUCAAAUGCCCUCAUCCUUUGUUCUAGGGCAAUGAAUUUGUUCAGCUCAUCUUCUUUUACCAUUUUGCCCUUUUGAGAUUCAUUCUCUGUAGAAUCAAUGGUAAACGACAUUCUCGUGGGGUAUGCUGGAAAAUGCAUGGCUUGUUGAAAAUCAGAUGACAACCCAUUUGCCCCCAGAUUCUGUGAUUGAAGGGAUUUACAACAUAGGUUCAGGCUGAGCUGUAAGUGUUGCUUUUCCGGAUUUAUCUCUCAAGGCCUGCUCGAGUAGACUAGUAAGCCUUGCGACUUCUUCUUUAAGAUUGUCCACCUCUUUUUGAUGUUGGGCUUCCAACUGGGCUCUUUCUUCGUUUUCCAUUUGUCUUUUCUCGAAAGGGUUUAUUAUAUGUAGGUUUCAAAUGGGAACCUAUAUUUCAACCUGUAAAUGUAAAUCAUGCAAUUUAUGCAAAAAUAUUGAUUCAAUUAAAAAUGCGUAUGGAAUGCAGACACGUCCUUCACGGGAUGACAACCUAAUAGGAAGAUCCUAAUUGUUGAGUGCAUCAAAGGGUCUCUCGCAUGCUCAGUGAUCGUCCAUGAAAGGUCGAUAUGAGGCUUACAAGUAGUGUGAAAAUAGAGGCCCUCAGUAAUAUCAGUUUGGCAUAUCAACCACUUCCAAGUAAACAAUCAAGCGAGAGUUGGAUGGUUUCACGAGUCUUACCCAGGCUAAAGCCAUUGGGGUACCGUUACUUUCCCACUUAUCCUAGAUUUUCGGGUGUGUGCUCUCAACGUGAUGCAUGACAAUAUAAACAUGGAGGCAUGCUAAAGCAAUAAAUUCAAGAAAAAUAAACAAAUAAACAUAACAUAAAAAACAUUAUAACAAUUGAUAAACAGAAGGCAAAGCUUAGUCCAUUAGUCCCCAGUGGAGUCGUCAUUCUAUCGCACCCGACAUCGCGGCGCGCCUAAAAAUUUAUUAAUAAAUCUUUGGAAAGAACGGAUUUCUGGCAUCCUGUUCUUUAAUGUGGAUAUUCUUGUUUAAGGAGUCGCCACCUAGUAUUACGGUCACUAGGAACCCUAACUGGUCAAUAGAGAUUCUAUGGUUCGAGACUGGUUACAUAAAAGGGAAGAUAUUAUCACCCCUUAAACGUCCUGCCCGAGGCAGGCUGCAUUGCUAGUUUCGUCUUAAAUUGCUAAAUGUUUAUUAGUUUAUGCUAUGAAAAUUUGCUUGUAAUAUUCCUGACUCUAGCGCCAGUGAAUAUUUAACUACGAAUAUUUCCAACUCUGGCGUUGGUAAAUAUUACACAGCUAUAAAAAAACAAAACAAAUUUAAAUCAGUAUUUUUUUUAUUCCUGACUCUGGCGUCAGUGAAUAAACAAAUAAAAUAAAUUUAUUUUUACGCAUGCACAUUUUUUUUGUUAAAUAAAAAUGAAUCUGGCGUCAGUGAAUAAACCAAUAAAUUUAUAUUAUUUUUUUUCUUGCUAAAUAAAAAUAAAAUACAAUUUGCUAAAUAAAAAUAAAAUACAAUGAAUAAUAUAAAUUUAAACCGGUAUUUUUAUUCCUGACUCUAGCGUCAGUGAAUAAACUAAUAAAUUUAUAUUAUUAUUUUUUCCAUGCAUACAUAUUUUUUUUUUGUCUUUUAUUUUUUUUAUUUUUUGGACUGGGUUGGGGCCCAGCCCAGCAUAAUUUUUUGGUGGGGGCUGGGCCCAGCCCGGUCACUGGCCCAAGCCAGUGACCCGGCUGGGCAACAAUGAAGCACGCGUGAACGAAAUCGCGCGUGCAUUAGCUGCUAAAGAGAAUUAAUUGAGAGUGUACAGUAGGAAGUGAAUUAAAAUAAAAAGCGGUGAAAGAGAAACUUACUAACCUGGCUCUGGAUCCACCGAAAGCAGCAGCAAUAAUGGUUCUGGUCACGGUGGAUUUCCUCUGCUUAUGUUCAUCCCUUUCUCUCUGUUUUUCUCCGGUUCUUGGCUUGUUCGUCCCCUGUUUCUUGGCUUGUUCGUCCCUUGUUCUUGUUUCCAGUCGCUCCUUUCUUUGUUUUCUUGCUCUUGUUCUUUGUUAUUCGUCUGCUCACCGUCUUUGUGUUCUGAAGACGAAGGCUAAGCUGGGGUACGUUGGCUUCUUUCCCCUCGGUGAAUUUGUGUUUUUUUACACUGUAUUUCUUCUCUGUUUUUUUUAGCUCUCCAUCUUCCCUUUGUUCUGUAUUUUCGGGUUGUGUUUCUGCUUUGCUUUCUGGGUUUCUCUUUCGUUUUUUUCUGGGUUUUUUUUCCUUCUCUAGCGUUGUCAAUUGUUGGGUAUUUAUAGGGAUCAAUUUUCCUCUCCCUCAGCCUCACGUCUCUCCUCUUGAUAAGCACGGCUGAGGGAGACGGUUCCUGCUAGGACUCGAAUUCGAAGUGCAAUCUUUAUCUCGUCGGGUUGUAAUUAUCAUGAAGAUAAUUAUUGCUUUUCUGUAUUUUGAAUGGGCUAGGAUACUGGUGUUUCAUGCUUUUGUUUCCUUCUUUGCAGGCGGACGUUCGGUGUUUUGGAGACGAAGAUGACGGACAGCACCUGAUUGAAACAGUGUUGUUUUGGGCUGAGAAUGGUUAUUUCCAAUCUAGUCCUUGAAGUUUCUAAAUUCUUGUAUUCAAACCCCUGGUCUUUUAAUUUUCAAGAUUUACCCUCCUUAAAAUUAAUUUAACAAUAAGUGGGUCAAAAUUUGGUUACAACAGUUGCCCCCUCUUUACAAUGCUUACGGUGCAAAUGCAUUAGAAAAUUUAUUUUCUUUUGACUUGGUAUAGUGAGUUUUGUAAAGAAGAAUAAUUGUGAAAACCCUUCCCCCCUUUUUUAUUGAUUUUUUUCUUUUGUUUUUGUUUUUGUUUUUGUAUUUUUUUUUGUGUUUUUUUUUUUGUGAUGAUAUAUUGUAAUGGGUUACCGGCCCAGAUGGUCACAUUGUAAUGAGUUACCUGCCCAGUAUAGGAUGGUAUAUUGUAAUGGGUUACCGACCCAAGUGGUCACAUUGUAAUGGGUUACCUGCCCAGUAUAGGAUGGUAUAUUGUAAUGGGUUACCAGCCCAGAUGGUCACAUUGUAAUGGGUUACCUGCCCAGUAUAGGAUGGUAUAUUGUAAUGGGUUACCAGCCCAGAUGGUCACAUUGUAAUGGGUUACCUGCCCAGUAUAUGAUGGUAUAUUGUAAUGGGUUACCGACCCAGUUGGUAUAUUGUAAUGGGUUACCAGCCCAGGUGGUCACAUUGUAAUGGGUUACCUGCCCAGGUGGUCACAUUGUAAUGGGUUACCAGCCCAGAUGGUCACAUUGUAAUGGGUUACCUGCCCAGUUGAUCACAUUGUAAUGGGUUACCAGCCCAGAUGGUCACAUUGUAAAGAUGGUCACAUUUUCAAGAUUUACCCUCCUUAAAAUUAAUUUAACAAUAAGUGGGUCAAAAUUUGGUUACAACACAUAAAAACGGCAAAAAUACUAAAAGAAAAAAAAACUAAAAAUAUCAGUCGAUAACUAAAUAGAAAAAAAAUUAAUAUUAAUGAACUAAAUUAAAGAAAAAAAAUAAUUAAAAAGAAAAAAAAAGUUAUAAGAAGAAAAAACUAAUGAAGAAAAAGGAAAAAGAAUCUAAAUUAACUGGUUUAACCCUUCAAAUCAGACUAACCCAUCAAACCUAGGAUUCACGUCAUAAAAGUUUGAUAACUAAAUAGAAAAAAAAAAUUGACGAGUUAACCCAGAAUUAACUCGGUUAACCUGUGAAACCAGGUUAACCCGUCAAACUCGGGAUAUAUGUCAUGAAAGUCUAAUAACUAAAUAGAAAGAAAUUUAACAUUAACAAACUAAACUAAACGAAAAAAAAUAAUUAAAAAGAAAAAAAAAAGCAAAAAAAAAAAAAUCGAGUUACCAAGUCUAAAACCAGGUUAACCCGUAAAAACCUGAGAUAUAUGUCAUGAAAGUCUAAUAACUAAAUAGAAAGAAAUUUAAUAUUAACAAACUAAACUAAACUAAAAAAAUUAAUUAAAAAAAGCAAAAAAAAAUCUCCGGGUUAACUCGUCAAACCAAGUUAACGCGUUAAACCCGGGAUCCGUGUCAUGAAAAUCUGAUAGCUAAAUCAAAAAAACAUUUAACAUUAACAAAAGAAAAAAAACAAAAAAAAAUGGACGGGUUAACCCGUGAAACCUAAGAUAUGUGUCAUGAAAGUCUGAUAACUAAAUAGAAAGAAAUUUAAUAUUAAUAAACUAAAGUAAACAAAAACAAUUAAUUAAAAAGAAAAAAAGAAAAAAAAAUCUAUAUUAACUCAUGAAACAAAGUUAACAUGUUAAACCCGGGACCAGUGUUAUGAAAGAUUGAUAACUAAAUUAAAAAAUUAACAUUAACAAACUAAAUUAAAAAAAAUAUUAAAAAAAAGAAAAAACAAAGAAAGAAGAAAAAAAAUUAAAGGCAUAGGAAACGAAAAAAUUAAAAAAAAAAUUAAAAAAACAACUCAAAAAACAGGAAAAAAAAUAAAAACAGUUCAGACUGUGAAUUGCUACAAUGAAAAGCCGAUCAGUUUUAAUAUAUUUCUAAUAUAAUAACUGUAUAUUUUAAAAAAAAAUUGAAUGCUAUUCUGAAUGUGCUUGUGUAUGCGUGAACUACGCGUGCGAGGAAAGUGGAGUUAGGUCCCACAUCUUACUCGGUAUGUCCUUGCUUUAUUUGACAAGAGAACCCAUCGGUUGAAAAAGAGGGUUUGAUUGGAAUAACAUUUAUUAUAUAAUCUUUAUUUUCACGUGAUGUGCUAAUAAUCAGAAGAAGACUUCACUUUAUUUCUUCUAUCUUCUUCUUCUUCUAUCACUUUUCAUUCAUUGAUAAAGUAGAUGAAUAAAUUAUAAAUUAGCUGGUGACCAUUACUAUGAAUAUUAUACAAAUUUCAUUGCACAUUCUAGAAUGUUUCAUAGUAUUUGUUUAACUCAAAAAGAAUUGUAGAGCAAGUUAUAUGUAAAAAAUCAUUUUAUAUGCGCAAUAUAAUCUUUCUUAGGUUUUAAGAUGGGAUAGGAUUGUGUGUUUGAGAGAAUAAUAGUAAUGUAUGUUUUUUUUUAAUAUAUUUUAUUUAAAAAUAUAUUAAAUUAUUAAUUUUCAAAUAUUUUUAAUAAUUUUAAUGUGUUACGGGGUUAAUUUGUAUGCCUAAUUUAAAGAGUAUAGAAAUUACCUAGAUAUUACAGGGUUCCUACUUUUUUUUAUUUCACUGUCAAGGAAAUAUAUCAUAAGUUUUAAUUGAAUAUAAAUAUUGUUUAAUCUGAUACUUAUUGUGAAGGAAAUAUACCAUAAGUUCCUACUUUUCUUUUAUCAAAUAAAUUUCAUAGUAAACUAUAUUUCUAAAAAAUAGACUAUUCUAUGGAUUUUAGCCACUAAUUUAACAUCUCAAAAGAAUUUUUAACGCCUCAUGACUCCAUUGCAUACCAAAAUUUAAUAGGAGCCCACAAUUGAAUGAUAUUUCUCAUCCAGACAUCAAUUCCAUUUUUGAUUUUCAUAGUAAUAAUAUUUCACACAAUCUCAGGAAUCAACACAAGUGCUCCAUAAAAUUUAAAAAGUUAUAAAGAGAUAUUUAAAAAAUAAUUCUACUUACUAUAUUAUUCAUUAAUUCAUAACAUUUAUUCACAAUUAAAUCCCCUAAAAUCUCCCAUCAUUAGCCGGCUACUGGCUCUAUUUAAUUAUCAAAAUUUUUACUUCAAUUAUAAUAAUUUAAUUAUUUUACUUUAAUCUUCACACUAUUUCUCAUGAAAAAUUACAAUAAACUUUUAUUUCUCUCAAAUUUAUUCAAGAACCCUAACUUUUUAAUUUAAAAAAUGCAAUCAAUUAAGAACUUUAAGCUAUUAAAAUUCAGAUCAAAAGUCUUUAGAAUCCAUUGUCAAGCAAGUAAUUAAACUCUAAACACUUUCCAAAUGAAGCUUUCAACUCCUCCUUUUCUUUAAUCUUGACUGAACUUUCUCUCUUUUUUUCUACUCACCCUCACUUGAUUUUUAUUUCUUUCAAUUAAUGCUCACCAAGCUUGGUUAAUGUUCCUUCAAGAUCUUCCCUUAAGAUUUUAUGUUUCCUUUACAAUUCUAUCCCUCUCACGUGUAAAUGGUAGUUUCCCCCUUUUUUCUUUUUUUCCUCCCUUUUUCUUCUUACCCGAGCACACACAUGCACACACACACACUAACUUUUUACCAAAUUUCCUCUAUAUCUCAAAUAGUAAAUUUUAUGUUACCGUCUGGCUAAUCCAAAUUUAAUAACAGUAUUUUGAAUAAUAUAAAUAUAGUUUUUUUAUUAUAUAUAUUUUAACGGAAAAAACUAGUUGAAAAGCUAAUUGUAUUAGAGUGAGAGAAAUAAAUGUUUUAUUUAUUUUUAAUAAGUUUGAUGUUAUUUUUUUUUUCAUAUGACUAUAUUUAAUUGGUUUAUUUUUUAAUAGCCCCAUUUUUUUAGUGUUAUUUUUUUAUAGAUAUGUAGAAAUAGUAUUUAUAAGAAAGAAAAGAUAUUUUGACAUUUUAUUUAAUAUUUUUUUGAAAUAUAUAAAAUAAACAUAAAAAAAUCAAAAUAAUAUUUUUUAAUGUUUAACUUUUCAUUUAACACACCUUUUGUAGAUGCUCUUAUGAUUUGGACUCAAUUUAAGUGGGUUAAAUAUUGGUGGGAUAUUCCAUCUUUCUCUAUUUUUUGAAAUUUUACUCUGUUUGUCUUUGAUUUAUUUUUCUAGAAAUUACAUCUUAAAAAAAAACAGGGUUUGAUUGGAAAAACUUUACAAUAUUUGGUUAUUUGAGAAUUAGGUAUUAUAAUUUCAUAACCUGAAUUAUAAAUCUAACAUGUUAACUAAGCUGAACCAAUUUAAUAUAAAAAUUUGCUAUUAUUAAAUUUAAAAAAAUAACAUUUUAAAAUCUUUUCUAAAUUAAAGUAUAUUUUUACGGGAUGUUAAUUAAUUUUAUGAAUAUUGUUCCGGAUGUGUUCGUGUAUGCGUGAAUUGCGCGGGCCUGGAAAAUGGAGUUAGGUAGCGCGCAUCAACUCGGUCUGUCCUUGCUUUAUUUGCCAAGAAGCCCCAUCGUUUGAAAAAGUGAGAGGAAAAUGGAGUAACUUUGUUUGUAUCUUUCUUUUCACGUGAUGCGCUAAUAAUGCAGAAGAAGACUUCACUUUAUUUCUUCUCUCCUUUUCUUUUAUCACUUUUAUUUCAUUGAUAAAGUAGAUAAAUAAAUUAUAAAUUAGCUGAUGACCAUUGAUAUGAAUAUUAUAAAAACUUCAUUACACAUUCUAGAAUGUUGCGUAGUGUUUGUUUAACUCUAAAAGAAUCGUGGAGCAAGAUUUAUUUGACAAGAGAUCCCAUCGGUUGAAAAGGGGGGUUUGAUCGGAAUAACUUUUAUUAUAUAAUCUUUAUUUUCACGUGAUGUGUUAAUAAUGCAGAAGAAGACUUCACUUUAUUUCUUCUAUCUUCUUCUUCUUUUAUCACUUUUCAUUCAUUGAUAAAGUAGAUGAAUAAAUUAUAAAUUAGCUGUUGACCAUUACUAUGAAUAUUAUAAAAACUUCACUUUAUGUCUUUUAGUAUUUAUUGAACUCUUUUUAGUCCUUUAUGCUAAAUCCUCGAACGAGGCGCUCGCACCCCUUGAAGAUAUCAAGGAACCAGCGAGGAAAGGGGCGGGAAAUGAGCCUGAAGUGUUUACUAUGGAGUGCCUGUUUGGUAACGUGGCUGUGGGUGAGAUUCACCCGCUGCCAUACCAAAUGCCGUUGGGUUAAUAAGAAAAAGUUGUUUUUUAUUGGUGGAACCCAUCAAAUUCUCAGCCGCACCACAUGUUUUGGAGAAGCAGCAAAAGCCAUGCUUCACUGUUACAGUUUUUUUUUUUUUUUUGAAAAACAUUGCAAGAAGUUUGGUUUUUUUUUUUCCUUGAAAAAUUAGUUCAAUUAAUUGAUUUUACUAGCAUUGUUCACAUGAACAUGAACAAUAUUAUUUUUUAAAAAAAUUAGUUUAGAUGAAUUAAAUUUACUCGUAUUGUAAUCUCAAUUUUAUUCCUGAUAAUAUUUUACUUAAUUUUAUUGCACGCUCAAAAAAUUAUUUUUUCUGUAGUUCUUGUCGAAUGAAUUUUGUACAUAAUAAAAUUGUAACUUUUUUAAAAAAAUUAUUUUUUACUUGAAAAACUAGUAUUUAAUAUUAUUUAAUAACACUACAUAAAAAGAAAUUCAGUUUUUAUUUUUAUUUUAAUUGUGUUUUAUUCAAAAACUUAAAAGGAGAUCGCUUAAUGAAGUAACAAAAAAUUCAGUUUUUGUUGUUGCGCGCUUAAGAAACCAUGAAAAAUAUAGUUCUUAUUAGAUAGAUUUCUCAUGUAAUGACAUUGCACAUAGUUAAUGGAAGAAUAAAAAAUAUUUGACAUCAAUAUUAUUUAUUUCAUGAUAUAAUAACAGUGGUUAAAUCUACAAUAUUUAAAUUAAAAAUUAUUAAUAUAUAUAUAUAUAUAUAUUAAUUAUUUUAUAACCUCAAUUUGAAAAGUAUUUUUUUACCAAACACAUUAAACUACUUUUUGUUCAACCUCAAUUUCAACCACAGUUUUAACCAAACAUAUAUUUUUUCAAACCAACCUCAAUUAAAAGUAUUUUUUAUAAAAUAACUUUUUUAAAACCACAACCACAACAGCAACCUCAAUACCAAACAGACCUGGAGUGCUAAACAGCUAAUGCCCAUUAAUCAAGUGGUUGGCUUUUAGUCCUAGCAGAAUUGACCACAACAGUUGAUGUUUUGACGAUUAAUAAGAUACCCAAUCAUCUUUUGCAUCCUCUUCCCCUUCACCGGUAUUUUUUGUGGUAAUUUAAGUUAAAAUAACAAUUUUAAUCAUAAUUUUAACUAAAUAUUUUUAAUUCAAUACUUAUUUAAAUCAAACAAAUCACGAGUGAAAAUAAUUUCUCAACUAUCUAUUUUAAACAUCAACCACUACAAGAACUAUCACAAACAAGAUUAUUAAAAUUACGAGUUAAUUCAUAAAAUUUGAGUCAAUAAAUAUUUAACAUGUUAAAUUAAACUAAAAAUUUAAAAUCAGUAAAAUCAAAUUUAACUAGUACAUAAUCAGUAAAUUCGGUUUAAUUUUAUGAAUUUACUAAAUUUUUUAUAUAAAUAUUGGUCUUCUGAAAUUACACUUCCAUGUCUCCCUCUGUCAUGGGCUCAUUACAGUCUCAGUUUGGAGGCCUAAUUUAAAGAGCAUAGAAAUUACCUAGAUAUUACAGGUUUCCUACUCUUUUUUUUAUUUCGCUGUCAAGAAAUUAUACCAUGAGUUUUAAUUGAAUGCAGAUAUUGUUUAAUCAGGAACUCAUUGUUGGAAUUUAAAGCGUCAGAUACAAUAGGAUUAUGUUUUUGAAAGUACAGUAAUGUUUUUUUUUUAAAUAUUUUUAAAAAUAUAUUUUACUUAAAAAUAUAUUAAAAAGCAUAACCGGUAAAGCUCCAGCUACACUAUUUAAGAUACCUAUAAGGCUAUAUGAAUGGUUUGGAGAAGGAACAUGGAAACUACGCUUAAAAUAAUGAAAAGGGAGGCCCAACAGGCUAGUACCAUAAAUGAUAAGAUCCUACUGAGAAUAUUGUUGAUGGGCUGCCAUAAAACCUCAAAGGCACUGGCUUUAAAUACAGUAUAAAAUAAAGCAAAAAAGUUGCCACCUUUACACUUCCUAUGUUCUCUACAUUAAAACCACCCACGAAAAUAAAAAAAAUUAAAUUAAAAUUUUAUUAUAAGAAUUCAUAAACGUGAUUAAAAUAUUCAAUAAAAUAAUCAAAAUGUGCAUGAGAUUAAUGAGCAUACUUCACGUUUAUUGGUGGCAACUUAGUCACAUGGAGAAGCAAGAAAUAAAAAGUAGCUACCUUGUCAAGCACAGAGGUUGAGUUUCAAGGGACGGCAAAAAGACUAUGUAUACUGCUUUAGCUCAGAAGAUUAUUAUCUGAAAUUGGUUUUGCUCCCAAAUCAAGAACGAACCUAUACUGUGAUAAUUAAGCUACCAUUAAAAUAUUUUAUAACCCAAUUUAACUUGACCGCAUGAAACAUAUUUAAAUAGACAAACAUUUUAUUAAACAAAAUCUUAAAAAAGGAAUGAUUAACUUUUUAUUUGUCAAAUCAAAGAAUGAACUCGUGAAUAUCCUUACAAAAGUUGUCUUCAGCAAAAACUUUCAAAGCUUCCUUGACAAGUUGGGCAUCGAAGAUAUUUUUAAACCAACUUGAGUGAAAAUGUUAGCAUAAUUACAAAGUGAUUUAGUUGAGAGUUUGUAAGAAAAAGUUUAGAAAUUGAUUUAUUUCACAAUUUAGUAAUUGAUUUAUUCCUUAGUUGUAUAAGUACUGUCUAUAGUAGGAAUCCAUAGUUUUUAAGAACAUCUUCUCUGUUUAUAUAUAGGAGCACUGUAAACUUAAAACAUUAAAAAGUCAAUAUAAAUUGAAGGACUCUUUUUUUUUUUUACACAACUCUGUCAAACUGAAACGACAUGUUUCUGCCAUGAUUUACUUUUCUUAUUCACUCACUUUGACACCAAGAUUUUUUUAAAAAUUAUAUUUUUAUAUUUUUUAUAUUAUUUUAAUAUAAUAAUAUUAAAUAUAAAUUUUAAAAAUAAAAAAAUAUAUAUUAAUUUAAAUAAAAAAAUAUUUUUAAAAAUAACAGAUAUCACGUUACUAAACAUUAUUUUAAUACUGUUGAAAUGUCUUUUACAAAAUAGAACCUAUCAUUGAUGGGCAUCUGAGAUUUUAUUUUUUAUGGCCGAAUAGAGGUUUUGUAGAUCCAUUUAAAAUUAAAAGGCUCGAUUAUGAUCCACCUUUAUGAAUAAAGAUUGAGAAUUUGGUCCAACGCUGCCCAUGACAUGCCCCUACGUACAAAGUUACACGUUGAUAUUGAAAUUAAACCCAGUUUAAAAGAAAAAUUACAUAGACAAGCAAAAUAUUACUCUUCAUAAAAAGAAAUAUUGUUAAAUAUCUUAUAGUAUUAUAUAGUCGUCUACGUACAAUUGAUUAUAUUAUUUGUAAUUUGUUUAAAUUAUAUAUAUAUAUAUAUAUAUAUAAAAACUCGUGUGUUUAGCUAAGAAAUGUAAUUUUUUGAUAUAGGAAAAAUGAAAAAUGUUUAAACUCUUCCCUGCAUGGUGAUUUGAUAUAGGAAGCACAUCCUCCAGAUCCUGGCAUUAACCAGGUUUAAAAUUGAAUUAGAAAAAAAUAUUGAUAAGAUAAAAUCUUAAUUACUCAAUUGAAUUUUUAAUGAUUUAUUUGAUUUGGUAAAAUCGGAUACAAACUUAGUUAAAUCAAUAUUAAUAAAUUUUUUUAUAAAAAAACAAAAUAUCAUUUUAAUAAAAUGAUUCAUUGGCGAUCCACUAAUUAAUUAAAUGAUUCAACAAUCCAAAUACUUUUUAUAGUCAAUACUCAAACCGGGUUUGAUUUGAAAAAUUAAUAACAAUUUUGCACAGAAAAAUAUAUUCAUUAUAAUAUAAUAUGUAUAAAUGUAUCUUCUUUAUAUUUAUACAAUUUGAAACAACACGCAUGAAACAUAUAUUAAUUAAAUUCCUAUAGAUUUUACCUCUUUCUUACUUUUAAGCAAGUCUUCGAGAGGACUUAAUUCUUACGUGAUUUAUAUUUCAUCUUUUAUUUUUUUUUUUGUUUAAAGUUGAUUCUUUCUUCCUUUAUUGAUUAUUUUCCAAUUAAAAUGUAUGAUUAUAUAAAUAUAAAUCAUGUUCAAGUUCGUGAAUAGAUAAAAAUAUACAAAAAUUCUAUUUUUUAUGUCAUUUCAUGAGUCUCUUUUUUUGUGUAUAUAAUAUUACCAUUUUUUUUUACAAUAUUUACUAUUUUCGAGUUGAUUUAUGACUUGUUAUUAAAGUUUAAUUAAAAAAUAUAUAUUUUAUAUCAAAUAUCAAGUUCUAAUUUGAACAUCACUUAUCUUUUAUUUUAUUUUUCAAAAUUCUAAUAUCCAACCUUUUCUUACCAAUAACAUAGCUAUAGAGAAGAAGUGAAGAGUAUUUGUUGUAAUUAGUUGUAACCGCCAUUAAUUAAUUGGCUGGAAAGUAUUUGUUGUGAUGAGGUAUAACUUUCCACCUGGCAAUUUGUCAUUCUUCCAUUUAUUAUCCUUCAAUUAACUAUGAAAACAGGGUUUUGUGUGUCAAUCAUCAAUAGCAUUUAAAUAAUUGUUAUCAUUUAUCUUUGGUCCCAGUUAAAUUAUAAGAUAAUAUAGCAUUCAGAUAAAUACAUUUAGAUGAAUAUAUUGAAUAUGUAGAGAAAUAUAUAUAUAUAUAUAUAUAUAUAUAUUAAAUUGGGUUUUGUCCAUGGAAAGUCCUGGAAUUUUGCUCAUAUGAUUUUAUUAAAUUGGGUGUUAUAUUUGUAACUAAUUGUCGCACGUCGGAAAAUCCCGCGCGCGGCAAUCGGCUGGCAAUUUUAUGUCUCGUUGUUGCAUCGCUUGCUUGACUUGGUUCGUUGAGAGUCGCCACCUAGUAUUUAAUUGAGGUUACUAGGAAACCCUGAUUUACUGGUCAUGGUCAGAGAUUCGCGGGUAAGGGACUGAUUAUGGUUAGGGAAGGUAUUAGCACCCCUAACACACCCUACCUGAGGUAAGCUGCUCCGUAGUUUUGAUGUAUUAAGAAGUUUUAAAAAUUUUUCUUUUCAUCGGAUUUUAGAAAUACAACUUUCGUACAAGUUUUUAUUUCUACAUCUUUGAUCCGAUCAAAAUAUUAAAUCCUUCUUUAUUCUUUGCAGUCUCAUCAUAAAAAAAAAUUCAUAAAGAAAAUACACACCACAUUCACCUUUUUUAUUUUUAUUUGUCUUUUCUUUUCUUUUCUUCUUUUUUUUCUUUUACAUUCACAUAUUACAAAUUUAAAAUAAACAAACAACAAUUAUAAUCAGAUUUACAACGUAGUCCUUAAAACUCUAAAAUUGCAGGGAAGCCCUUCUGGGUCGCAGCAACAGUGCUGGAACAGUGGCACCCCGUCACUGGCGGCGCGUGGGUUCACGCGCCGCCGUGAUAACGCUGGAAAAGAUGGGUCCGGCUCAGCUUCUUCUCCUCUUCUCUUCUCUGCCGGUGGUGCAUCUCCCAGUCACCUGCACAAGAAGCAAAAACACACAAAUACAACACAUGGCAGUUGAUUUUAAACUUUUUUUCCUUGUUUUCGGAUCUGUUCUCGGGUCCCCUUUUUUUAGUUAUGGUUUGCUGUUCUUCCCUUCUAUCGGAGACAAAUCUGCCACGGUUGAUCUGGUCGCGGCUGUCGUCUGUGACUGCUGGAGCUGCGGUGGAGAGUGGACCGUGGAUCUGCCACCGGUCGAAGAGGGAAGAUCUGUUGGCACCGCUGGAAGAAGAAGGAAACCGUGGGUCUGAGAACGGUUCUGCCUGUGCUCUGGUCAGUGGAGAUGUGCCGUGGUUGAGGGGAGACGGCCGGAGCGAGCGGUCGAUUGGCAGUGAAGAGGUCGGCAGGAGAAGAAGAGGGAAACGGAGUUGCUGUUGAGGUGGCCACAGCUGUUAAGCAAAGAGGCCGAGAGAUGAGAGGAACUCACAGGUCCAAGCUGGGGAAGCAGCGGUCGUCUUCAACAGGCAAAGGGAAGCUUCUUUGGUGAGGAAAUGAGGCUGUGCUGCGGUGGGGUCUGUCGGUGUCUUUGGAGAAGGAGAAAACCGAAUCUGGAGGGGGGAAACAGCGACCAGUUUUGAAAGGGAGCUGGUUCGGUUUUGGCCAGCGUGAUGAUCACGAUCGGUGAUGGGGUUUUGGACGAAAAUGGCUAUGUAAUUGUUUGGGUUUGCUGCUGGUUGGCGACGGUGGUUUGUGUGUGGGUGCUGAGCCGGCUGGGAGAGUGACGAUGUGGGAGUAGCGGCAGUGAAGAGAAGAAGAAGAUAGUGAAGAGGACUGCUAACAAGAAAAAUCCAGCAGAGGUGGGGACGACAGUCCUUUUCUUGUUGGCUGGCUCCGAUGGUGUGAGUGAAGAGAGAUAGCUGGGGGCUUCCUUUGGUCAAGGCAAAGGGGCUGUUUCAGAAGAAGAAAAUCAAAUUGGAGGGGCCUCCUUGUUUUUUUUUUGUCCAGAGAGUGAGCGGCUCUUUUGGUUUCAAGAGGGAGAACCCUUUGGGAGCUGGUGAGAGGCGGCCCCCGGGUUAAGGAAAAGGAAGCUUUUUUUCAAAGGGAGGGGGCCGCCCACUUGUUCCCUGGAGAAGAAGGGUGGCGGCUGCAGAUAAGACCAAAGUAUUUAGGUUUAGGUUUUUUUUUUGUAUUUUGCCCAAAAUUACUCCCCUUAUAAAAUGACCCCCCCCCUUUACUGAUUUUUGUAGGCUGCUAUUUAUAGGCAAAGCAUUUUUUCGGGCUUCAAAAUUGGUCCCUUAAUUUUUCUGUUCAAAUCACUUGGUAAAAAUUAAAUUUGGUCUUAAAAUUUUCAUCUUUUCAAAUUAGUCCAAAUUAAACUCCCAAACUUAAUUUUGCACCAAUUAAACCCCCAAAUUAAUUUGACCCAUUUAAAGUAUAAUUAAGUCAUUGCACUUAAUUAAAUCCUUCAAUUGGACCUAAAUUAAUUCUUAAACAUAAUUAAAAUUUAAUUUGGCCCAUGAUUAAAUCAAAUUGGCCCAUUAAAAGUUUAAUUAUAUCAUUGGACUUAAUUUUUAUGCAAAUUCGUCCAAUAAUCAUUUAAUUUGACCUUCGAAUAUGCAUUUAAUUUGACCUUCAAUUUUUGCCUAUUUUUGCAGUCUUUUUUAUCGGCUUCCUCCACAGUGCCAGCCUUUAUUUUAUUUUUUUAUUUUUAUAUUUUUAAAAAAGUGAAAUUUAGGGAAUAACCUAAAAUUGGGUUAUGACAGUUGCCCCCCUCUUUACAAUGCUUAUGAUAGAAAGUCUCGUAGGGGACUUUACAUAGUAAGCGUUGUAAAGAAGAAAAAAGGAAGAUGUUUUUUUUUUUUUUUUUUUUUUGUGAAAAUUCAAAGAUUUUGAAAUGGUCGAAUUGUCAUGGGUGACCUACCCAGGUGAAGAACACGAAGAUGUUUUAAAGUGGUGAAAAAUACAGAGAUUUUUCAAAGUGGUGAGAAAUGCGAAGAUUUCUCAAAAUGGUGAAAAAUGCAGAGAUUUUUCAAAGUGGUUUUGUUGUAAUGGGCAACCGGCCCAAGAUGAAAAACAAAAGGAGUUUUCAAGGUGGUGAAAAAUGCAAAGAUUUUUCAAAGUGGUUUUGUUGUAAUGGGCAACCGGCCCAGAUGAAAGGUUUUGAAAAAUACAAAGAUUUUUUCAAAGAGGUGAAAAAUGCAGAGAUUUUUCAAAGUGGUGAGAAAUGCGAAGAUUUCUCAAAAUGGUGAAAAAUACAAAGAUUUUUCAAAAUGGUGAAAAAUACAGAGAUUUUUCAAAGUGAUGAGAAAUGCGAAGAUUUCUCAAGGUGGUGAAAGAUGCAAAGAUUUUUUUAAAGUGGUAGAGAAAUGCGAAGAUUUCUCAAGAUGGUGAAAAAUUUUGGAGGUGGUGAGGAAUGCAAAGAUUUCUCAAAAUGGUUUUAUUGUUAUGGGCAACCGGCCCAAGUGGAAAAAGUUUGAAAGUGGGGAGAAAUGCAAUGAUUUCUCAAAAAUGGUUUUAUUGUUAUGGGCAACCGGCCCCAAUGGAAAAGGUUUGAAGGUGGGGAGAAAUGCAAUGAUUUCUCAAAAAUGGUUUUAUUGUUAUGGGCAACCGGCCCAAAUGGAAGAUGAAAAGAGUUUUGAAAGAGGUCAGAUUAUAAUGGUUGACCUACCCGGGCAAAAAGGCAAAAUGUCUGAAAGGGACGACAUGAUAGGACUCGAUGGGAAAUGAGGGCUGAAGAGCGCACUCCAAAGGAGGUAGGGUUAGAAAAACACACUACCUAAGAGGUGAGUGCUCCAAUGCGCACUCUAAAGGAGGUAAAUAGGGCUAGAAAGCACACUACACAAGAGGUGAGGACUCGAAGGAGCUCUCAAAAAGAGAGGCAGGGUUUGGAAAACACACUACCUAAGAGAUUAGGGCUCGAAGGCACACUCUAAAGGAGGUAGGGUUGAAAAACACACUACCUGAGAGGUGAGGUCUCGAAGAUGCACUCGAAAGGAGGUAAGGUUUGAAAACGCACUACCUAAAGUGGUCGAAGGCUCAAAGGUGUAUUCAAAAGGAGGUAAGGUUGGAAAACGCACUACCUAUAAGUGAUCGGGGGCUCAAGGGUGCACUCGAAAAGAGGUAAGGAGGUAAGGUUGGAAAAUGCACUAUCAAAGAUUGAUGGCCAUCAGGCGCACUUAAACGGAGAUAGGGUUGGAAAACGCACUAACUAAGGGUUGAUGGCCCUAAGGCGCACUUACAAGGGGAGGCAUGGUUAGAAAACACAUUACCCAAGGGGUGAGGGCUCAAAGGAGCUCUCAAAAAGAGGCAGGGUUGGAAAACACACUACCUAAGAGGGUUAGGGCUCGAAGGCACACUAAAAAGAGGUAGUAGGUUGAAAACACACUACCUAAGGGUGAGGGCUAAGGCCCUCAAAAGGAGGUAGGGUUGAAAACACACUACCUAAAGGUUAGGCCUCGAAGGCACACUAAAAAAAGAGGUAGGGUUAGAAAACACACUACCUAAAAGGUUAGGGCUCGAAGGCACACUAAAAAAAGAGGUAGGGUUAGAAAACACAUUACCUAAGGGGUGAGGGCUAAAAGACGCCCUCAGAAGGAGGUAGGGUUGGAAAACACACUACCUAAAAGGGUUAGGGCUCGAAGGCACACUAAAAAAGAGAUGAUGGUGAGACACCGAUCUGUCAAGGAUGAAAGUAAUGCAUUAUGAUCAAUAUGCAUGUAUACUUACCUGAGAAAUAUAGGUCCCAUUUUCUUCAUAGAGUUCUUCUUUUCUCAAAAGUUUGAGUCUCUGAUAGUAAGCUUUGAUGGCUUUUGUCCCCCUUGCUUACUCGAGAAAUAUCUUACGAUCUUGGCCUCUAGGAAAGACUUGAUGCCAUUACUUCUUUGUUCUCCGCCCUUUUUAUCUCAAGGGUUGCCAAUUUUGCCCAAUAGUUUCUUCGAAAGGGAAUCAUGGAGCAAGCUCUACCAGAUGUUUUUUAUUGCCCCCAACUUGAUCAUGCCCCCAAGUAUUCAAUUCGGGUUUGGGGAUGAGGCUAUAUGAAGGAAGGUUUGACAAGGAGUUGUUUUCAUGUAGAAUUUUUGGAAUUUCAAAGCUAUUCCAGACACAGAAAUCAUUUUAACAUCGAUUCAAAGCAAACUCAUUCUGAAGAAAUUCAAGUGAUUCCUAUGGAGAGGUUUUCAGAAGUGAUGAAAACUUUUUGUUUUGAUUUUGGUGAAAAAUAUGAAGUGACAUUUGGUUGGUCACAAAAGGUUGAAAUUUCAAUUUGAGGGUGAGAACUGGUUGGUGAAAAUGUGAAAACAGAAGUGACAUCUGGUUGGUCACAAAAGGUUUAAAUUUCAAUUUGAGGGUUAUUGAGAACCGUUUUCAAAGCAUCAUUUUAUUUGCAUGAAUAAUGAUUUUAUUUCGCAUGAGAAAGCACUGCCUACCGAUCCAGAUUGCUUGCCUUUGAUCAGAAAGGGCUUCAUUAGGCACGUAAUGUAGGCUUGGGCUUUUGGCUAUGAAGAAAAUGAUAUAUGUAGGCUCAAAAGGUGUUUAAGGGACUUUAAGACUAAGGAUCACAAGUGCUUAUAUCCCAAACUCUUUUGUUCAUACAUUUCUGGACCUUGGAUUUGAUUUGUAAAAUGGUCCACGGUGCCCCAAGUGUUGGGGUUGGGUUCUUUCUCUUUGUCUUGGUUUUCUUCAUUUGCUUUUGAGCAUUAUUGCAUUGGCCUUGUUUUUUUUGCUCAAAAUUUUUGGAUCCUUUGGAUUUUUCUUCAUGCCCCCUAGCUUUGAUUGGGCACCUUUGAUGAUUGAGAAUUUUCUUUUAUGCCCCCAGUAUUGUUUGGGCACUUUCAUCGUUGAAGAAUUUUUCAUGCCCCCAAGAGUUAUUUGGGCACUUUCAAUCAUUAUGGAUUUUUUUGCACUUGCCCCCCAGUAUAGGGUGUGAUCCUAGCCAAUGUUAUUUUUCAAGAAAAAUUUAUUAGGCUCAAAAGGGGACUGCAAAUGAUAUAUUUCAGCAAUGUGAAAGGAUUAUCAAAGAUGGCCUUUCUUCAUCUCAAAUGCAUGCAUUUAGGAUCGGUAAGCCUUGCUUUCAUGCGAGUUUGCAGUGUGAUUUCUCAUUAUCCAUGCAAAUAAAACUCAGCUUUAGAGUCACUUCAUGGUGUUUUUUUUUUUUGGGUUUUCUAGGUGUAUGGUUACCUCUCUAAGGAAUCACCUGAAUUUCCAGAACUCGUUCGUUUCAAACAAACAUCAACAUGAUUUCUGUUUUUGUACUAAACUUUGAAUUCCCAAAAAUCCUUAUGAAAACAUGGGGUCCUGUUUUGUUUUGGAAGAAAAGGGAAACGCACCACAAGAUUUUGGGCGCGGUGGUUUCAUGCUUAAAGGUUACCUCAAUGUGUUAUUUGCAUGAAACAACAAAAAUGAUGGCAUGUGAUGAACACAGCAAAACACAUGAUAAAGGCUCAGUGGACAGGAAAGUCUUGUGGAAUUUUGAGCCAAAUUACCAACAAAAACUGGAAUAGGUUGAAACAAAAAAUCAAGUUUUUGGAGGCAUGAUCAAACAGAGGUAGUUAUUUUGGCAGAGAACAAGACAGGCUCCAUUCUGCAACGGUGAUGCAAUUCCCUUCAGAUUGUGUUGAGGCUCUUGAUCAUGUUGGCCCCCAAUUUCUUCGGGUUGAGUUUUUGUUGGGGCUUUGAACAAAAAUGAUUGGCCGAUUGGAAGGACCUUCACUAGAGGCAUUUCUAAGGGUUUGCUCGAGUAAGCUAGUGAGGCGAGCCACACUUGCUUUCAGAGACUCUUAACUCUUCUUGGAAAUGGAUGCUGCGAUGAGCACGCUCUGUGUCUCCAAUGUUUUCUCUCAAAAUCAGGUGUUGUAGACUCGGAGGGGACCUACUUUUUAUUCUGGUGCAUGCGUGACAAAUGUAUGAACAUAAAGUCUAUAUGAUGGACUCGCCCUUCGAGGGGUGACAACAUGGUCGUAACUCUUGUAUGAUUGAACAAGAAUCAUGAUUUUUGCCCAAACUCUACAAUGAAAAUUUUCCGAGUGACGACCAAUGUGUCACCCACAAAUCUUGAGUUCAAGAUGAUUCAAGAAGGGUUCGCCCCGAUGCAAAUAAAUGAUAGCACAUACAACCUAAGGACAGGUUCUAUUCAUUGUGUGAACAUGGGUAGGUUUUCUACCUGGUCUCAAAAGGGUCUAUGAACUGCCCAGUGACGACCUCACGUGAAGGCAGUAUAGGGGUUUACAAGGAAUGGUUGGGGCACCAUGUGACCGCCAUUACCAGUAAACACUCAGCUCAUAGUUGGAUGUUUCACAAAUCUGAACCCCGACUGAAAGUCAUGAGGUAGACUGCUACUCCCCACCUAACUUAGAAGCUUGUGUGUGCUUUCAAAAAUAAAUACAAGUGAUGCAUGAAACAAUUCUAAAAAUGCAUGCAUAAAAUAAAGCAAGACAAAAAUGGCAAAAAUUAAACACAUCAAGUACACAAAGCUUAGUCCAAAAUUGUUAGAAACAAUACCUCCCCAGUGGAGUCGCCAUUCUGUCGCAUGUCGGAAAAUCCCGCGCGCGGCAAUCGGCUGGCAAUUUUAUGUCUCGUUGUUGAUUGCUUGCUUGAAUUGGUUCGUUAGGAGUCGCCACCUAGUAUUUAAUUGAGGUUACUAGGAAACCCUGGUGGACUGGUCAUGGUCAGAGAUUCGCGGGUAAGGGACUGAUUGUGGUUAGGGAAGGUAUUAGCACCCCUAACACACCCUACCUGAGGUAAGCUGCUCCGUACUUGAUGUUUAAAGAAGUUUUAAAAAUUUUCUUUUCAUCGGAUUUUAGAAAUACAACUUCGUACAAGUUUAUUUCUACACUGAUCCAUCAAAAUAUUAAAUCCUUCUUUAUUCUUUGCAGUCUCAUCAUAAAAAAAAUUCAUAAAGAAAAUACACACCACAUUCACCUUUUUUAUUUUUAUUUGUCUUUUCUUUUCUUUUCUUCUUUUUUUCUUUUACAUUCACAUAUUACAAAUUUAAAAUAAACAAACAACAAUUAUAAUCAGAUUUACAACGUAGUCCUUAAAACUCCAAAAUUGCAGGGAAGCCCUUCUGGGUCGCAGCAACAGUGCUGGAACAGUGGCACCCCGUCACUGGCGGCGCGUGGGUUCACGCGCCGCCGUGAUAACGCCGGAAAAGAUGGGUCCGGCUCAGCUUCUUCUCCUCUUCUCUUCUCUGCCGGUGGUGCAUCUCCCAGUCACCUGCACAAGAAGCAAAAACACACAAAUACAACACAUGGCAGUUGAUUUUAAACUUUUUUUCCUUGUUUUCGGAUCUGUUCUCGGGUCCCCUUUUUUUAGUUAUGGUUUGCUGUUCUUCCCUUCUAUCGGAGACAAAUCUGCCACGGUUGAUCUGGUCGCGGCUGUCGUCUGUGACUGCUGGAGCUGCGGUGGAGAGUGGACCGUGGAUCUGCCACCGGUCGAAGAGGGAAGAUCUGUUGGCACCGCUGGAAGAAGAAGGAAAUCGUGGGUCUGAGAACGGUUCUGCCUGUGCUCUGGUCAGUGGAGAUGUGCCGUGGUUGAGGGGAGACGGCCGGAGCGAGCGGUCGAUUGGCAGUGAAGAGGUCGGCAGGAGAAGAAGAGGGAAACGGAGUUGCUGUUGAGGUGGCCACAGCUGUUAAGCAAAGAGGCCGAGAGAUGAGAGCAACUCACGGGUCCAAGCUGGGGAAGCAGCGGUCGUCUUCAACAGGCAAAGGGAAGCUUCUUUGGUGAGGAAAUGAGGUUGUGCUGCGGUGGGGUCUGUCGGUGUCUUUGGAGAAGGAGAAAACCGAAUCUGGAGGGGGGAAACAGCGACCAGUUUUGAAAGGGAGCUGGUUCGGUUUUGGCCAGCGUGAUGAUCACGAUCGGUGAUGGGGUUUUGGACGAAAAUGGCUAUGUAAUUGUUUGGGUUUGCUGCUGGUUGGCGACGGUGGUUUGUGUGUGGGUGCUGAGCCGGCUGGGAGAGUGACGAUGUGGGAGUAGCGGCAGUGAAGAGAAGAAGAAGAUAGUGAAGAGGACUGCUAACAAGAAAAAUCCAGCAGAGGUGGGGACGACAGUCCUUUUCUUGUUGGCUGGCUCCGAUGGUGUGAGUGAAGAGAGAUAGCUGGGGGCUUCCUUUGGUCAAGGCAAAGGGGCUGUUUCAGAAGAAGAAAAUCAAAUUGGAGGGGCCUCCUUGUUUUUUUUUUGUCCAGAGAGUGAGCGGCUCUUUUGGUUUCAAGAGGGAGAACCCUUUGGGAGCUGGUGAGAGGCGGCCCCCGGGUUAAGGAAAAGGAAGCUUUUUUUCAAAGGGAGGGGGCCGCCCACUUGUUCCCUGGAGAAGAAGGGUGGCGGCUGCAGAUAAGACCAAAGUAUUUAGGUUUAGGUUUUUUUUUUGUAUUUUGCCCAAAAUUACUCCCCUUAUAAAAUGACCCCCCCCCUUUACUGAUUUUUGUAGGCUGCUAUUUAUAGGCAAAGCAUUUUUUCGGGCUUCAAAAUUGGUCCCUUAAUUUUUCUGUUCAAAUCACUUGGUAAAAAUUAAAUUUGGUCUUAAAAUUUUCAUCUUUUCAAAUUAGUCCAAAUUAAACUCCCAAACUUAAUUUUGCACCAAUUAAACCCCCAAAUUAAUUUGACCCAUUUAAAGUAUAAUUAAGUCAUUGCACUUAAUUAAAUCCUUCAAUUGGACCUAAAUUAAUUCUUAAACAUAAUUAAAAUUUAAUUUGGCCCAUGAUUAAAUCAAAUUGGCCCAUUAAAAGUUUAAUUAUAUCAUUGGACUUAAUUUUUAUGCAAAUUCGUCCAAUAAUCAUUUAAUUUGACCUUCGAAUAUGCAUUUAAUUUGACCUUCAAUUUUUGCCUAUUUUUGCAGUCUUUUUUAUCGGCUUCCUCCACAGUGCCAGCCUUUAUUUUAUUUUUUUAUUUUUAUAUUUUUAAAAAAGUGAAAUUUAGGGAAUAACCUAAAAUUGGGUUAUGACACUAAUUAUAACAUGUAUAGAAACAAAAAAUAAAUAUCUUGGUCGAGCAAUAUGGUAGAAUUUGUGAAAAUAUAUUAUUGCUUUUAUUUUAUAUAGAUAAUGCAAAUUUGGUUACAUUGUCCUGCUUUAUAAAGAAAUGAAUUCUAAAAGAAACGAUAUAAGUUUUUUUUCUUUCAAUAAACUAUACAAGCCUCAGGCAGAGAGGUGAAUGGACUGAGUAACCAGCUUGGUAGGCAUAGCUCAUUCCUUACCAUUAAAAAAUAUUGUGCUCCUACUGGACCCAUAUCUAUCAUCCUAAGCCCAGGCCCAUAUCCAUACCUGAAUACAUCAUACCUAGCCCAUAGCCCAUAGAGACAAAAAUAGCUUUUCAUAUAUGUUCAUGAAUGUUUUUUAAUCCUCAUAUGAAGGUUAGGAUUUAUUUUAUUUUAUAAAAAGCAUACACAGCUUUAGUUUCAAAUGAGUGGUUUGGAAUUUAUAAACACGAUACAUAAUAUUGUUGUUAGUAAUAUAAAGGGACCUAGGUACAACACAAUUAAAUGUUUUAACAUGUUUUAAUUCCUAUUUGAUUUAUAUCACUCAAAACUACUCUAUAAAUAAUUUAUUUCAAAAUUAUAUUAUUUGAUAAAAUUAAGUGGAAGAUAAGCUUCAUUUUCAAGCCAUGUAAAUUUACACCUUUGCUAGCAAUCAAUUAACCAAGAUUUAGUUUAAUUAUAUUAUUCUCUAAGAAUAAUUUCACUUCCAAUUAAAAACUUCAAUUAUUGAUUAAGAAACUAAAAAUAUUUAAUGUAGAAACCCAUUCAAUUAAUUGUUGAUGAAUGAUGAUAUCACGUGAUAACCCAUAGCACAAAUUCAAUUCAAUUGCACAAAUUCUGCAGCUCAAUCACCCACAAUUCAAAUACUACAAAAACUCCAGCAAAUUACGAUACUGCAAACGCUAGAAGACAACACCAAGCACCAUUCAAGAAAAUGACCAGAGGCAAUAAGAUUUGAGGGUGAGCUGUAAUUUUAAUGCCAGGAGAAAACAGAGGAAGCAUCUGACUAUGAGAACAGAGUCGGAGGAUUGCAGUCAGCUUCUACGACCGGAGAAUAGAAAAUGGCAGGAAACAAACGAUGCCAAAACCCAAAAGAUACAAGAGGAGCCAGCAGCUGCCUAUGUAACACCGGAGAUGAGGGAACAGCCAAAAAGCAGCAGCACCGUGCAACACCAAAAGGCUAGAAGGCGGCAACAAAGCCAUAGAACACCAAUGAAGGUCAGAACACAAAUAUUGUAGGCAAGCAGUUUCACCACCAAUACAACAUCUUCUCCAAUAGAUUGAAAGAACAGAAGGGAAGGAGGAUGCGGGUUCAUGGGGAGGAAGCAAGAAGAGAGAGGGGAGAGGGGAGAGGAGACAGUGCUGAAAAGAGACAGAAAUUAUCUCCUGUUUGAUGUGUCACUCUGAAAUCGCUCUCGCAUACCAUUCUUUAUGAUAGCUUUUCUUCAGCUACAAUUAGUUAUCUGCUGCUAUUAUAGAUGAACAUCAGACAAUCCCUUGCUGAAAUUGAGUAAAGAUGCCGCUGAUAAAUUAAAGCAGUCACUGUAGAACUAGAACUCGUCCCUUGAAAUGUAUAAACUUCACAUCUGCCACGUUAACAGACUCUCUAAAAAACUAUUAAUCAAGCUAGUGCCCUUUGCAAAAUGCAUGCUGACACAAAUAAGUAUGAAAUCACAUCACUGUACUCCAAAUUAAACACCUUAAACAACACAGCUAACAUUAUAAAUCUCCACCCUUAAUGGGGCAUUCUUCUACUACAAAACACACAAACCUAAUAAAAUCUAAGAUUCUAAAAUUUUAACACUAACCAACAACUCUACAUUCACUUAAUUAUCACUAUCACUGUUGUUAACAUUAUUGCUAGCAUUAAUAUUGUUAUCAGUACGAUGACGAGGAUGGUAUUGAUGAUGGUAAUGAUUACUGGUAGCAUUCCCUCCCCUUCUCGCGUUCUUCAACUGCGAAAUCCCCAUCUGUGUCUGCAUAAAAAACUGCAUCCUUUGCAACUCCAACUCUUUCACGAACUCCAUCCUUGUCUUCUCCAUCUCCACCACUUGCUGCAACUUUGCACUCUCAGCUUGCUCAUAGGCUUCCCCAAACUUCACCAUUGCUUGCGUUAACAUCCUGAUCGAAUUCCCCCACCCUCCUCCUCUUUUUUCCUUCCCCACUUUCCCCCUCACUUCCCUCUCCACCACCACUCUCCUCUUCUUCAUCGGCGGAAAACUAUCAUCCGAUUCCGCACCCCCCUCCUCUUCCUCACCCCCCUCCUCAUGUUUCAGAAUCCGAAUUUUCACAUUCUGAUUCCGAAAAUGAUACUGAUUCACACCACCCCUCCUACCACCACUGCGAACCCUAGUAGGAAUUUUACCACCCACAUUACCGUUUCCAACAACAGGAAUCCUCGCUGUGGAGCCAAUUAAUCUUUCCAAAGGAUCAAAAAAAGGCCAACCACUCGGCCCUCCACCUGAAGCAAUUUUAGCUUUUUCCAAUUUAUACUUUUUCUUCACGGUAUCAAUUCUAUUCUUACAUUGAAUAUCAGUUUUCGAAGACUUAGAAUAAUCCUCUCUACUACUUACAAUUUCCGCUACCUCCUUCCAGCUGCCUUUCAAAUUCCUCUGCUUAUCUAAACCUUUUCCCCAGAUCAACCCGCCGUUGCUCCUUCGCUCCAGCAGUCCUCUCUUCCUCCUCCUCCUCCCCGUUCGCUUUCGGCUUCGUAGGCAAAACAAGUGCUAGCGGUUCUUGUUGUUCUGUUGCGGUGGCGGUGGUGCCGGCGUGGAUGCACGGCUCGGGAGCAGAUACGGUGAUUCUUCCGUUCGGUGGUGGUGGUGACGGUGAGGAAUAUUCGGUUGGUGUUUGAGUGUGACUGUAUUUCAUCGUCGUCUUCCAUGAUCGGCGGUCGAUGAAAUAACAAUCAGAUCUGAUUUUGAUGAUUCUGAUGAGAGAGGGCAGGGGGUAGUUUUUUUUUUUUUUUCAAGGUGUUGGGUUUUUUAUGGUUGACGGGAAAGAAACGGUGACGGUGAAGAGGAGACAAGUGAUGGGAGAGGAACGGAAGGGAAAGGAUGAGGUGGAGGAAUGUGAAUGGUGGGGGCUAUAUUCCGUCACCGGCAAGGAUGGAAGUUGGACUGGGAAUUGUGUUGCCGGCUUGCUAGGUGAAAGCACGUGUAUGCGAGUGACUACUAUGUUGAUAAAAAUCAUGUUUGGUCCCUAUAUUUUAAUAUUUCAUCAAAUCAACUUCUAUACUCUCUAUUUUUUUCAGUUUGAACAUUCCGAAGAAUUUACAGGUGAUCAAGAGUCUCUCCUUAUUCAACAUGGAUGUUAUCAGAGUGGUUUGGAACUGCUCCCAAAAAACCAAAUUAUUAGGUUAUUGGAUAAACUCACAUGUUAUCAAGCUAGUUAUUUUUUUAAAACAUCUUUCAUUUAAAAAAAAAAGUACUUCAUGUUGAUGAAAUAAAUUUGAACUUCAAAUUUCCAAUUUCCUUAGUAUUGAUUCAACAAGUUUGAACUGGGUUUAUCGAGCAGCCCUAUUGAUCAAUUAGGUUUUGAAUUUAUCAAUAUUAUUUUUUAAUUUUACAAUUAUAUCAUUUUUUUCUUAAAAAUAUAUAUAUUUUUUAUUUUUGAUUUACUUUUUUAAUCAUAUUAAUAUCAAAAAUAAAAUUUAAAAAAAUAAAAAAUUUAUAUAUUUUAAUACAUUUCUAAAUAAAAAAAUAUUUUUAAUCGUAUAAAUAUUAAAAAUAAAAUAAAAAAAUAAAAAAUAUAUAUUUUAAUAUAUUUUUAAAUAAAAAAAUAUUUUAAAAACACACUGAAAAAAGUCUUAAAACUCAACCCGACCUUAGCUCAAGUUUUUCAAAUUAAUCUGGUACUUUUAUUCAUAUUCAUGAGAAAUUAAAGAUAAAAUGAGAAGUAAAUAUAAAUACAAAGAAUUUUUUUUUAAAAAAAAAAAAAAAACUUAACGGUAGUGGAAACCGAAAACUUCUCCUAACAAAAACUUUAGUACUUUCAAAUGUGCUCACACGACACAGCCCACUAACCAUAGCAUUCUCCACGUGCAAAUUGUCCUCAAGUUUUCAAUUAACCUCGAUAUAACCUGUUGCUCCUUUUUCCUUUCCUUUUCACAGUUUUGUCACGGCAUACAUAAUUUAUAACUUGCUACAACCAUCAUGGCAUUCGUUCCUUCUCAGUAGCUCUUAGCUCUUAGCCCUUUGCUUCAAUAAUAAUAAAAAAAAAAAAGGUCAUUUCCUGGCUAGUCUACCCCUCGCAUUGCCCCCUAUCAAUAAGUUUGCUUCUCUUCCAGCAUAAACAAUGGUUAAAUGCUUCCAUACACUGAUACAAAAUUACUCUAUCCUCAUCCAUCACUUCUUACCAUGGUAACUCCUAAACUACCUGAAAGGUGAAAACAGGAAAAUAUCAGAAACGAGUGGACAGACGAGCAAUGGUCCUAUCAUGUCCCAAGAAAGUUGAAGUUAUUGGUAUUUGCAACCACUUACUAAGCAUUAUAAGUAAUCAUAAUUUACCAUAAUUGCAACAAAAGAGAAACAAAGAAGUUGAGUUUUAAGUGGUCAUGAGAUACCCUCAUGGGGACACUAUGGAUGCAGUUAUGUUCCAUAAUGGAAUCGCUGUGUAUAUACAACACAAGGGCAGGUAUUACCCAAACAUUUAUCCUUUUGUGAUGCAUAAUUUAUGAAAAGCAAUCUGAAUUGAGAUCAGCCACGGUAGUUGAGCGAAAUGAAAACAACUUCAGCAACAGUGCGGGGGGGAGGGGGCAGCAAAUUCAUUCAGAGACAGACAAGAAAUAACUGAGAGGGAAUUGAGAUGAUGAGAAAUGUCAUUCUAGCAACUAACAGAUUCCAUUUCCAUUUGUUCAGUGAAAGACUACAAGAAAGAUAGCAUGAUUUGUCCUUCAGAUAGCUAACUUUCUUCAUGGUGAAAAUCUGUAUGUACUUGGCAAACUCUAUUCUUCCAUUAACAAAGCAACAUGAAUGAGGAAACUUACAGAAAAUAUUGUAAACAAAAGUGAUUUGAGCUCAAUUUCCCUAAGUAACCCUUCUUCGCACCACCAAAUCAUCAGCAGAGUAAUAAUCUGCAAUGAGUCGGUACAUGUAUGAUGGAUUGUGCCCUCCACUGUGAAGUAAUUAGAAAUUAACAGCGGUUAGAAUUGCAUGAGAUGAAAAUAUAAAUAAGUUAAGAUUUGGAAGUUCAAACUGGACAUAAUUAUAUCAAAUCCAUCUGAUUUGGCACCAGAGACCUAACACUGUUUAGUGGAAUAAGUAUUAUUCUAAUCAAUGAUUUGCAUCAGUGGUUAACAUAAAAAGAUGUCCUCAAAAGUACUAGAACUCACGUGUCAGUGAUAAACAGACUAACAAGCUUUGGUGGCACAUAAUCAAAUGCUGGAUUGACAACAUGAAGAAGAGGAGAGCCAGUGCCGCUCCCAAAAUCUAAGCAAUCUGAGAAUUCUCCAAAAUCCAGUAGCUCGGAUGGAGAUCUCAAUUCAUUUAGUAAGACCUCAGGAUUGUGAGGGUACAAGGGACACAGCUGCCAUCCAAGAAAAACAGCCAAGUGUAUGAAGGAUUAAAGCAAGAAUCAGAACAGUAUUUAAAAUUCAAAGUCUACCAUCACAAAAGUCAUUAACAUUAUCCAAGUCGUUUUACUGACUGUAUAAUUAGCAAGGCCACAAAAUCAGAGACAAAACACACAAGGAUUAACUAUUGACACUAUCCAGUUACAAUUAAACAAAGAAAUUCCAUAUUUGUUUUUCUUCAUUUGUCUUCGUGUUUGGAUUCUUAAAAAAUUUCUGUCCUCCCUGGGCAUUUUCAUCCCUGUUAUGUGUACUAGAUUUCUAUGAAUUAAACAUUAGAAAAAAAAAUCUAGAAAUCAAUAUAAUAAACAAUGAUCUGAGUUCAGAAGAACGCAACAAGUUAGAAAAAGACAAAAUGUUAAGAUUUUAGAGCACCGAAGGCGGGACUUAUUUUUUAUAACUUGCAUUUCUUAUGCUUGUAGUUCAAUCAAAUUAUAGCCUAUUUGGGUUUCAUUAGGUCAGUAUGAGCUAACACAUGGCCCUGCAAUAAACACCAACACUAACAGAAAAACGUAGCUGAGAAGGAAAUGACAAACAUCUUCUGGGCCACAGAAGAGACAUUCCAUUUAUUGCUAUAUAGUUGUCAUUAUUUUCCGUCACAAGUUAAGCAGUAUGACAGCAGCAUGCCAUUCAAUAGCAAAAACAGAGCAUGCAAUUCAAAUAUGGCAGUUUGUUUACUUGCUUGCUACCAAAACUCUAGGGGCAAAGAGGGAUAUUAUUUUGCUAAAUUACCUUGUGACUGCCUGCAAGCACGACAAAAGGUACAGCAUGCUUUUGAGCUGCAAGUGCAACCAUAUUCAGCCCAACAGGUACUAUCACACCACCAUUGGCCAUUACAGCAUGAGCUCCAACUAUAACCUUUCCAUAACAAAUUUAAGAUGGAUCAAAAUAGUAAGCAGCCAAUACCAAAAAAAUAGACAAGAAAAGAAAAAUACUAAACUCUCUCAUACCAUGUUCACACGGGAAAUCAUGGCAAAAACUGCUGAGUCAGUAAUCAAAGUGGUAUGUAAACCUCUUGUGACCAGUUCUUUUGCAAGAAGAUGCCCUUGAUACCUAGUUGAAUACCAAUUGCCAAUGAGAAAAUUUGUAUUUAACAAAGAGAAGACUAAAAUCCAACCAGCUAAAAAAAGUUAUUUUGCAAUGUAACUAACAUAAGGUGUUUGGGAGUAUGGUAGCGGUUGCUUUUCAAAUAGCUUUUCAUGCCGAAAAGCAUGUCAAUAAUGUUUUUUUAUUUUUUAAAAAUCAUUUUUGAUAUCAACACAUCAAAACGAUCUAAAAAACACAAACCGCACUUAAUUUUAGCAAAAAAAAAAAAAGUUUGAAAUUUUUCAAAAAGCAGGUUGAACCUCAAUGCCAAACGGGCGGUCGACUUGUACAAACCUUGGAGCACCCUCAGCAACAAAUACCCGGAAUGAUCUUUUCUUCUCCUUUGCAGCAUAAAGAAAUUCUAACACUGUCUUUGAACUACCUAAAGUUAAUAUCACCUCACUGAAAAGAUGUUUAAUAAUUGAAUCAGUAAAACAAAGUGUCAAAAGUGAUGGAUUAAUAUAAUAAGCAAUUAAGAAUCCAUGCAAUUGAGAUGACUGAUCCGAAACUUUACUUGAACCUAGGACUUUUUCUCUUUGACAGAAAACAUUAGGACUGGAAAAUAUUGGAAAGAUAACAAAAAUUGAAAGAUGGUAUCACAUCCAAAUUUGAAACUCCAAUUGUAAGUUCAAAGAUCACACUCCAACACUUUAAGGCACAAAAAAGGAGCUCACUGGACAGUAAAAGUGAUGCAAUGACACCCAAUUUAAAAAUGGCUACCCCAUUAACCAUAAUAACCCGCAGAUGGACUCAAUUGGUGAAUGAAGACAUCCAAAUAUCCCAUGAUAACCCACAGUAUAGACUCAAUUGUCUCUAAUUCUUUCGCUCAAUCACCUCAACUCAAAUACUAUUAAUUCGAGCAAAAUCAUUUUCAUAAUGCUAAAUGCUAGGUGAAAACAAAAGGCACUAUUCAGAAUCAAACUAGAUACACAACUUGUGAAAUAUGAGAGCCAAUUAUGGAAUACAAGCUUGUCCAUGGAUGCUCGUGAAUGAAACAUGGUAUGCAUAGUGAAAUUAGAGUGAAAACCAUAAUAAACUAAAGACCAUCAUAUUGAUUCUUGAAUGUUAACCAGAACUUUAGUGCCAGCAACCCAAAGCAAAGAAAAGGAGCUAAUACGGUAAAAAAAUGAGCUUGAUGGCAAAAAAUUACUUUUGAUGAAUAUGCUCCACAGCUUGUUCAGCAAUCUGUUCAUGACAAGUGUUAAUAUCUUGAAUAAGCUCAUUAACUGCUUCAAUGACAUCAUGCUUCAACCUUCGAGUUCUUGAACUUUUAUCAGCAGCUGUUAUAGAAAAAAUCUUUACAUGUCAAGAUACUCCUCACACGCACGUGCAACCCACAUGCCAUGCCACAACAAUCAGCCAAGUUUCAGCAAUAAGUACUAGUUCAACCAAAUCAAAAUCUAUCCAACUUCGAAGCAUAUGGUAAUCUGCCAUAUGAUAUGAUGCAGUGAUAUAAAAACUAUGAACAACCAUGAGAGACUUACAUUUGCUUUUUCCUUCAGAAUCACCUCCCGAUGAAUAAGUAUGAGGAAUAGCCACUGACUCAGGCAUAUCCUCCAGUAGGGUUUGCAAGGAAGGCGGACGCAAAGCAUUUCUCGCAGCAGCAGCAGCAGCAGCAGCUGAUAGAACUGUAUGCUCAUCUCGCUCACAAUCAUCAUCAUCAUCAUCCCCAUCACUUGCUGCUGAUAAAUUCAAACCCGCAAUAGCAGCAGUCGUCAGAGAAAGAUCCUCCUCCCUAAUAAUAUGCAAAACGCGCCUCACAAUAUUACCCACAGCUACCUCUGCAAACAGCACAUACAACCAACCAACAACACAAACAUCAAUGAAAACCAUAAAACACGCCAAUCCAGGACAUAAGCACUCAAAUAUAGUAUCUAUUUAUUAAAGUAAUUGAAAUGCUUACCGACAGGAUUGGCAGCAAUCAGCUGCUCCCCAACAGCCCUCACAGCAUCAAUUAAAGCUCCAGCCUGAUUCGUGUAAGGCACUCGCUGUUGCGAAAUAACUGAUCGUAACAGUUCAGCAGCCUGCCGCGCCGUCGCCUGCGAACCCUCAAUCUGACUGCCAAAUAACCAAACGAAACCAAAAGUAAGCCUGUAAUCUCAUUUUUACAAACAAAAAAAAAAUCACUCUGUGCACGGUAGUAUAACAAUAAUAAAAAUAAUCACCGUUUUUUAAGCUUGAUAAGAAAAUCAUUGACAAGAGCUUGCACGUCUGGCAUGAUUUUCCUCUGCAAAAAAAAAAAUGUUGUGGUUUUCAAUAUUUUUUUGCGAAAUUGAAAAAACGCGAUAGUAUUUUAGAAGCUAAUAUUUCUUCGCAUUUCUACAGUUUCCUCGGCAAUCAAGCAGAUUAAAAAAGAAAAUAAAUAAAUAGAAAAACUGCUAGUGAUUAAAAAAUCAACAAAUUUCACCUGAAAUGAAAUUUAAGAUAAAAUUAGGAAAAAAUAAGGAGAUAAAGAUAAAUCAGAGAGAGAGAGACUGUAGAGAUACCUAGAGCGGAGAUCGAAGAAGCAUGCGAACGCAAACGAGAGAGAGAUGGAGAGGAGAGAAGAGGUUUUUGCUUAUGCGAGCGAGAGAGAGAGUUUUAAGAGCUUCACACAGUGAAGCUUUUUUUUUAGCAUUUUUUUUUACACCGGGGAAAGGAAAUGGUUUCUUUUUUUUUCGACCCGGUUUGGUGAAAUGGAUAGCAAUACGGGUUGCGACAGCGAGGACUAUUUUUAGGCAAGCCUUGUAAGAGUACUCCAGGUAUAAGGGUGGUCUCGACUGAGUCCUUGAAGAGUUUUUUUAUUCAAUUGGGUCCUUAAAGUGUUGCGAAAUUUUAAAUUAAAGUCUCCAUCUAUGCUCUUUGCAAAUUAUGAGAAAGUGUGCGAGGGUGGAUGGAAUCCGUUAACGGAAAAAGAUGGCGAUACUUGAUUGAAGAUUUAUUGAGACUUUAGGAAUCUAAUUGGGAGAAUAAUAUUUUUAACUCGAUUUGGACUGGGUAGGUGGGUUUUUUUUUCCUAUCUUAAUGACUGUUUUCACGUGUUAAUUACUUACUGUGCGAGCCUACAUUUUAAAAGUAUUUUUAAAAAAAUUUAAAUUUUUUUAUUUUUUUAUUAACCUCAAAUUAAUAUAUUUUUAGUAUUUUCAAAUCAUUUUGAUUUGUUGAUGUUAAGAAUAAUUUUUUAAAAAUUAAAAAAUAUCAAUGACAUGUAUUUUGAUACGAAAACUUAUCUGAAAAGCAACUGCAACCACAUUGCCAAACAAGUUUUGCAGUUUCGUUUUUUUUAAUUUGAAUAAAUGAGUUUAUAUAUUUUUUUACAAUAAAAUGAUUUGUUAGAUUUUGUUAAAUAUAUACUAACAUAGGUAUUAAUUGACAUAAGAUAUGCUAAUAUGUAUGUCAAAUGCUUAUGAACUUUCAUUUUAUUUUUAAUUCGAAUGUUUGUGUUUUUUUUAUUAUUAUUAUUGCCUGAGUGUAUGGAUUUUUUCUUUUUUAGUAUAUAUGAUAUCAGCGAAGAUAAUUAAUGAUACGCAGCUAUUUUUUGUUUAUCUUUAUUGAUAAAAUUCCUCUAUUAUUAGUGAUUAAUUACAUCAGUAGAUGCAGCUAUUUGCUGUUUAUAUCGAUCAAAAUCUCUAUUAUUAGUGAUUAAUUACAUUAGUAAAGUAGUUCAAUGAUGUUAUAUGAUUUUAGGUAAAAGAUGCCUUUUUUUUAUUAUUGCUAUCUCAUCGUGUUCAAUUAACUCAACUAAAAAAAUAUUUAGAAAUGUGUUUAAAAUUGUUCUUAAUUUUUUUUAAAUACAUUUAAUAUAAAAAAUACUAUAUUAAUAUUUUUUUAAUGUAUUUAAGUGAUUUUAGAGUACUGAUGUCAAUAAUAAAAAAAUCAAAUAAAAAUUUUGUUUCUUACACUUUUAAAUAAAAAAAAUAUUAUAAAAACAUUAUACAUCAUAAUAAUCUCAAACUCACAAUAAAAAUAGACAACGUAGUUCUAUAUUUGUUUUUGAAAAAAAUGAAGAAGCAACAUAAAUAAUUAUCUACCAGCUGUUAAAAAACUUUAUUUGGUAUUGGUAUUAAUUUAUACCUUGAAUUCAAUUAUAGCGACGGGAAAACUAAAUUUUUUGUUCUCGCGAUUCAGCUUCAUUUCUUGACAUAAACAUAUUUAUCACCACCAUUAACUACUAAGAAACAAGUGUCAAACAAAAAAAAGAGUAUUAUGUUAUAUUUAUAUUUAAAAUAUAUAAACACCCAAAAAAGAACAAGAAUUUACAUAAAUGAAAUUGUCUCUUGCCAAGAAAUUCACCACUAACAAAUGCAUGAAGAAUUUGACGCUACAGACUCGAAGAGUCAUGCUAUCACCGCUCAAAAUCAAGUCAUCUUCUUUAAGACGAGAACUAUUAACUAGAAAAAAAAAAAUUAAGCCAAUUCAUUCAUCAAGCAAUAAUAUUGAAAAAAAUAUUCAAACAAAAAAUUAAUAUCAUUACCAUGUAAAAAAGACAAUCACUGAAGUGUUACCCAGGAAUAUAAUUAAUUAUAGUCUGUGAUUCAAAAAUUUAUUUUAUCUGUAAUUUUAUAUUCGAAUAUUAUGGUUACUAAUAUAAUAAUCACUGGAAACCUACAUAGUUAUUAACUUUAAAACUUAUAAAAUUAAUCGAGAUGCAUGCAAGUUGAUCUAGAUUCAUUUGAUCUAGAUUCAUUGAUUUAUAUUUGAUUUCAGGCCUUCAUCGCCAUUUAACGGAAACAACUUCUCUUGAGCAAUGUUUUUUUUUAACACCGUAUAACAAAAAUUUACCCACACUAUAAUUUUUAUACACAAACACCCCAAGAAAUCACAAGAAUUACAACUGUGAAUUUGUUUUUACCAGGAAAUUUCCACUGAAAAACGCGUGAAGAGUUUAAUAUUAAAACAAGGCUUGAGUUUCAACGUUUCAAAUUGAAUCUUAAAUAAUUAAGGCUCUGUUUGUUUUCAGGAAAGUGAAUUCCGGGGAAAGUGAAUUCCGGGAAAGUAUUUUCCGAUGUUUGGUAAUGUUAUGGAAAAUAAACUGGAAAACACUUUUCAGUGUUUGGUUAUGUCAUGGAAAAUGAGCUGGAAAAUAACUUAUUAAUAUUUUAUUUUUCUCAAGUUUAUUAAAAUAAUGAGGAACAAAUCUUACAAAUUAAAAAGUUGAAUGAGAAUGAAAUUGAAAAAAAAUAUAUAAUUUCAUAAAUUAUCUCAAAUAAAACAAAUAAUAAUCAAAAUAAUAGGAAUCAAAUCUAAAAAAUUAAAAAAAAUUAAAAAUGAAGAAAUUAAAAUAAUAAUAAUCAACAUUUCAUAAAUUAUUUCAAAUAAAAUAAGUAACAAUCAAAAGAAUGAGGAUCAAAUUUGAUAAAUAAAAAAUUUCAAUAAAUAAAUGAUAAGAAAAAAACAAAUAGCAAUUAUAAAAAUAAGGACCAAAGUUAAUAUAAAAAUAAAAUUUUAAGAGAUGAAAUUGAAAAAUAAAUAUUCAAAAUAAAAUAUAUAUAGCAAUCAAAAGUUUGAGGAUCAAAUUUGAUAUAAUCAGCAAAUAAUGACAUUUCUAAAUUUUUCACAACUUCCGGAAAGUGUUUUCCCCUCAAAUUUUUCAGGAAAACACUUUCCUGAAAACCAAGCCAAAUUUUCCUUUUACUGGAAAGUGUUUUCCAUUGACCAACUUUCCUACUGGCAAACAAACACAAGAAAAUUUGGAAAGUGCUUUCCCGGAAACCACUUUCCGGAAAACAAACACAGCUAAAAGGAAAAUACUUUCCUGAAAACCAAGUCAAUUUUUUUUUUUGACUGAAAAGUAUUUUCCGUUGACUAGAAAGUGUUUUUCGCUGACCGGAAAUUGUUUUCCGUUGACCAACUUUCCUAAUGACAAACAAACACAGGAAAGUUUGAAAAAUGGUUUCCCGAAAACUAUUUUUCAAUAAACAAAUAAGGCUAAAGAAAAAAAAAUGACUGAGGAAAUGUUGCCUCGUGUGAGAGCAUACUCCAUGGAAGGCAAAAUAUCACGAAGCUGCUGCUUCAAAUGGCCCCGUUUUGGUUGGUUUAAAUUAUAGAGUGCAUGUGAUUAUGAUCUCGAAACUGUGCAUAACAUGGUGAUGGUGAUGAUUAUCGUGGACUUAAUAAUAUUUUACUUGCAUGAACAGUUAGAAAUAUUUAAAUAAUUUUUAUAAUAAUUAAGUUGUACUAUAUAUAUUCAUUCAGUGUUUCAUCAUGAUCAUAUGCUUUGAUGCGUGGACCACCGGUUAUUCUACCAAAAUUAUUUCCACCAUGGUAUUAAAACAGCAUUGUACAAAACACUAUAGCAAAUUGAAUUAGCUAUGGAAAGUUAUAGUUAUCAUUGAACAAUAAAAUUGUGAAAAUAAAAGAUCCAAAGCAUACAAUUUUGGAAAAGCUACAUCAAGAGCAAGGUCCUCAGGUCCCGUGAUUUAUCAUAUUUUGAUAAAAUGAUUUAACGAAACCUAAUAAAUCAUUUUAUUGUAAAAUAUAUAUAUAAGUUUGCAAAUUUGCAUGAUAAUUUUUUUUUUUAUAUUAUGAUAAAUACAAAAUAAUACAUUUAUUGAAUCAACACACGAUACGUCGACAUAUAUACUUGAUGCGAGUGUAAUAAUUUUUUUUAACCUAAUCUUAAGAGGUGUAAUUGAAUUGGUUAGAUUAUGGAUUUGCUCCUUAAAAAUCACCAGUUCGAGUACUACAAACUUCAGAGCCGCUGGAGAUUUACAUGAUCGUUAACUAUAAGGCCCGUGGAAUUAGUCAAAGUACACGCAAGCUAUGAACACCCAUGUUAAUAAAAAAAAAAUAUAACCUGUAUAUUUAUUUUUAUACUACAAGUAUCUUUAUUUUUUAAAAAAUAUAUGUAAUUACUAAAAUUUCAAUUCACGCAUUAGCCAUCAUACAACUACCAUGGUUUUAAUUUCACGGAAGAGUUUUGAACCACCACGUUUAUUUUACAAGUCAAAGUUAACUUGCAUCAAUCAUCUUGGUAGAAAAAACUGUGAUUUUAUUUUAAAAAAUAUCUUAGAGUUUACCUAACUACUUUCAAUUCGAAUCUCAACGGGUGGUUAAGAUUUCAAUCAGAUCAAAAUAUUUUUUAAUUUAAUUUAAAAUAAUAUGUAUUGUAUUUGGAUUAUAAAUUACUUGAGUUGAUCAGUAUAAAGUUAUGUUUAGUUUUUUUUGUUUAAAAUAAUUUUUUUUAUUUUUUCAAAUCAUUUUAAUAUAUUGAUUUAAAAAUUAAAUUUUUUUUUUUAAAAAAAUUCAAUAUAUUUUUAAAUAAAAUAUAUUUUAAACUAUAAUCAUUAUCAUAAUUUCAAACAAGAAUUGAAAACCAUCGUUACUCAUAUCUUACGACUUUCCAGCCAUGCACGAGUCAAGGGAGCAAAGAGAAGAUUUUAAGAGGGUAAAAGUGAGGGACUGUUUUUUUUUUUUUUUAUGGGAUAUAAAAGUUACGAAGUGUAAUGAUAAUGAUAACUUCAUCCUUUCACGAUGGUGAUAUCUGGUGUAACAUUGAAGGUGAUAAUUAAUAAUGAUUGACUUUCUUUGUCUCGUGACUUUUUCACGCAAGUCAAUCCUUCUCAUCAUUUAUUCGCGCUGUUCAUGCAAACUGUACGUUGCUUAGUUUAUAGCAUUUCAAUGAAUAUUUGUUUAAAUUGUAAUUCUCUGCCUCUAGUUUAAUUUAUUUUAGUGAUAAAAUACAUUUUAGAGUAGUAAUGGUUACUUUUAAAAAUAUUUUUUUAAAAAAUAUUAAAAUAAUUUUUUAAUUUUUUUUAAUUAUUACAUCAAAUAAUCCAAAAUAUGAAAAUAAUAAAAAAAAAAAACAUCACUUAUAACUCAUCUAGAAGCAAAUCACCCUUGAUACUGGGUGGUUCAAUCGAUUGGACUAGGGAAAUAAAUUUGGAAAAACUACAGCUUGAUCUCUGUAGUUUCAUCAUUGUUUGAUUUACAGCCUUUUAGAAUCUAUCAAUACAAUCCUUAUAGCUUUCUAAAAGUUUCGAUUUUACCCCUAAUGAUUAAAUACAUACCGAAUCCUGAUUACGAGUCCACCUUUUAAGUUUUUCAGUUUCUAUAUUUCAAAUUAUUUUGACGAUAAAUGAUAGAUUAUCGAAGAAUAAGAGAGAGUAUAAGAAAGAAAUGAUGUUUUAUUUCUUAGAUAUUACAGGGGUAAUAUUGAAAAAAAAAAACUAUAGAUAUAGAGUUGGAACAUCAAUGAAUACAUGUAGACGUCAAUGUAGUUAAACCUGGAUUUAAAUCUUGUCUGGCAUUCCAAUUGGAAGAGCGUGAAGCUACGCGCACGGACUCAAGCGUUGGAGAUUUGUUGUCAGCUGAACAGCAGGGCCACGAAACACUAUUAUUGCCGUUCACAGUAUUCCCGGCCCUUUGCCUCCCUCUCUCUACAGUUCAAAGCCUUUCCAAUUUAAAAUUUCAAAAAAAGAAAAAGAAAUUCAAACUUUCCAUGGUUAGAUAUAUUUUUUUAAAUGGUUAUUUACUGAUAAGUAAUAAUAUCUGGUAUAAAUAUCAAUAAACCUGGGUCUAAACUUUAUUCAAAUCCAGAACUCUAGAUAUAUAUAUAUAUAUAUAUAUAUAUAUAUAGAUAUAUAAUUUUUAAAUUCAACAGUGUUUUUUGGUGUAGAGCUGCAAUAUAUUUUUUAAUAGGUUUCAGUUUCUUUUUAUAAAAUUGAUUUAUAAAUAUCUAUUACAUUCAAGAUCUUUAAAAUCCUUCUUGAUUUUAUUAAAAACUAAAAUUAGUUAGAGAUCUAUGUUGUAUAUUAGGUUUGUUCAAGGUUUAUAACUUGUUCGAUAUUGUGGUUGCUAUUGUUUUUCAUUUAAAAUACAUCAAAAUAAUAUUUUUAUUUUUUAAAAAAUUAUUUUUAAUAUUAAUAUAUCAAAAUAUUCGGAAACACACAAAAAAUAAUAAUUUAAAGAAGAGGAAAAAAAAUAUUUUUUUUUACAAAAACAUUUGGAAAAUAUAAAAACAAACGAGCUUUUAAUAUACAAUAUAUCUAAAUUUCAAUAUCAAAUUAUGCAAGAAAAAAAAAUAAAGAUCUUAAUAAAAAACAACAAAAGAUAAAAAAUAGAAAUAGAAAAAAAGCAUUUAAGAUAGAUUAUCUUCUUGUGAUAUUUCUAGGGGUUGAGUUAUUAAAAAUUAAAUGUGUGUUUGAUAUUAUAAUAUUUUUUAUUAUUUAAAUUUUUACUAUAAUUUGAUAUGAAAAACAUGUUUAAAUAGUGACAAUCAAAGUUAUAAUUAGUUUAAAAACAACUUCAUGGCAUCACACCGCAAUAUUAAGUCAAGAUUAAGAGAUUAUUUAGAAACAUUGUGUAACUCGUACUCUUAAAAAUUUAAUUUUUUAUAUUUUUAGAUUGUUUUAAUGCGUUGAUGUCAAAAAAAAUAUUAUUUUAAUAUAUUUAUGAAUAAAUAAUAUUUAAAAAAACAACAACAAUCAUAUUUCCAGAUAUAUUAUAAAUCAAAACCAGACCAUCUCAUCCUAUUCAGUUCCCUUUAUAACCUUUUAUACAUGGUAAAUGUUUAUAAAAUAUAAGACUAUGAAAUAAAAAAUAACUUACAUAAUUUUAAGUUUUUAACUUACAUUAAAAAUGUUCACAACGAUUACUAUUCUCUCCUAAUCAAUCGAAUCUAGUAAUGUCCCAUCCAUGAAAAAAAAUUACUUUUUAUUUCCUGUUUCGUUUGCAAAUAUUACUCGACCAUACCAUGCUUCCUAUAGUGUAACACGUGCUCUAAUUUAAUCGACCAAUUAAAGUCGUAAAUUAUUAUUAUUAUUAUAAAUGCUAUAAUUUUUUUAUACCACUUCAAUCUAUGCUUACAUCACUGCUAUUAAACUUUAUUUAUAUGAUUGAUUAAACUAAUGACACGCAAAUCUUGUUUUUAACUUAGUUUAGGUUUGAAAUUUAAAGGCCAAGUUUAUUGAUUUUAAUUUUUAAAUUAAUUUUUUUAAUAAUAGAUUUUUUUAAAAAAUUAAAAAUAUUAUUUUAGAUUAAUUUAAAUUAACUUAUAAACUCAUGACUCAGACUAGAUUUAACAAUUCUGUAAUUUUUAAAAUAAAUUCCAGACAGUUUUUUAAUGCAUUAAUAGCUUAUGAAAAAUCUACCCAGCUAUAAAAAAACUUUUAAAAAAGAUUUUGUGUCAUUAAAUCUUAAUUUUAUUGUAAAAUUAAUUAAUAAAUCAUAUUAAUCUAAUAACUAAUGUGUUUUUGUUUUAAAAUAUUUUUUAUUUUUUUUUUAAUAUUCUAGCACUGUCUUUUCACAAUUUGAAUUCAAAUUAUAUUAAUUUAUAUUCUAUAUUUUCAUUAAAAUAUAAUAUAAGCUCCACUUUUAAUUAAUCAAUUAAUUUUAUUGUAAAAUUAAUUAAUAAAUCAUAUUAAUCUAAUAACUAAUGUGUUUUUGUUUUAAAAUAUUUUUUAUUAUUUUUUUAAUAUUCUAGCACUGUCUUUUCACAAUUUGAAUUCAAAUUAUAUUAAUUUAUAUUCUAUAUUUUCAUUAAAAUAUAAUAUAAACUCCACUUUUAAAGUUCAACAAUUUUCUAUAAUUGUAGAGAGUCACGACCAUAAAACGCAAGAAAGAGACAACACUCAGGUGUAAAGGACCCACAAACUUAACCUUUCCUUUUUGUAUUUUCUCGAGAAAUUUCUCUCUCCUUACCCCUUGUCUCUCUCCCUCUCUACACGCUCCCCUCUCUCACCGGCUUUAAUUUGAAAAUUCUCUCUUCAUUUCCAUCUUUGUAUAUUUAGGCGCAUUCCGUGCAUUUAUUGCCUUUUAUCUUUCAAUAGAGGGUUUCCCCUCCCUUAUCUCUGUAUCUCUUUUAAAGGGCUACUCGGAUCUUGAAUGGUCUCUUUAGUGGGGUUUCGAUUGCAACCAAACUGUGCCAAGGUAACAUCUUUUUUGUAAGUUAAUCCAGUUUUUGAGCAUGUUAUUCGAUUUCCUAUCUGGGUUUUGAUUUUUUGUUGAUUGAUUUGGUUUUUUUAGUAUUUGGAGUCAUAAAGUCUGCUUCUUUUUUGAUGUCAAAGCUCUUUUUGGAAUAUUCUAGAUCUAUUUUUUUCCUUUAGAUUUGCAUGUGUGUGUGUUUUUUUUUCGUUUUUUUUUUUGGCAUUUGAUGAUUCUUCCUUUUGUUUUAUUUGAUCUACUUAGUGGUUAUGAUGUAGUUUUGAGGAAAUGUAUGCUGUAUAUCUCUUUUGUCAAGUACAGUUUUUGCUUGAGUAGAUAUUAUUUUUCAGUCUCCUUUUAUAGUUCUGUACCUGGCAAAGUUUUUGCUGGAAAUGGUCUUGCUGUGGUGAAAUUUUUUUUUCCGGUGUGUAAUGCUAGGAGCGUGAUUAGGAACUUAUGGUGUCGCACUGUGGUAAUGAUUGUAAUGUGGUAAUUCCGGUGUGGAAACCUGAUGUGGCUUUUUUCAAAUGCAUGCAUUCGUGUUGUAUAUAUGAUGACUAGUUAAGUUACGGGGAAUAAAUUCCUUAAUUUGGGAAGGUGAGAGUAACUGAGUAAUUGUGUUGUACAUCUUCAAUUCCAUGCUCUUGAUGGUCUAUAAGGGCGUUUCUUUAGAUUCGCAUGAGUAGAUGAAUCAUAUGAUGACUGGUUAGGUUAUGAGCCUUGUUUUUGGGAGAUAUGUUGCCAUUUCUUUGAUCUUUAUAAAGGGUCUCACUUGGUUGCUUUGAGAGAGUGAACUGAUUGAUCUUUAUAAUUUGUCUUGCUCAUCACCUGUCAUGAAUUGCUCGUUUUUCCUGUGUUAACUGUGGUACAUAUUGUUGCCUUCUAUUCCUAACUUUUUAUUUAAUGAUUUUGAUAGAUCGAGGAGCCAUAAAUUGUCAAUACACUGAAAGAAUUAAGUGAAGGAGAUAAAGGACAGAACAAGAUUUGGUGGCAAGACUAAGAGUUUCUUGUCAGUGGAAGUGUAUGCUAGUUCCUGUUAAAAGUCAGUUUUUUUUUUUUAUAUAUAUAUUUUUUCAGUGACAUUAAUUUACUUCAACAUGAACACUGAUGUUGUUAUAGCUGGUAGAAUAUCUUCUAAUAUGUGCUUGAUAUGUAUUUAGAUUUGACCUAGACUUAACAAAACUAAAUGACCGAUCAUAAUAGCAUAUGAGAUUGCUAACUGGUAUAACACUAAGCUGUCUGUUUCUUCAUAAAACUUGUUGGUUCUGCCAAUGCUGGGCAAUUUCUUUUCCUUGCUGUUUUCUUAAUUGCUUUUCGUUCUUUCUCUUGUUUGUCUUAGAAAGUUAAUGCAUGAAUUGGACUUCUUAGUUGGGAUAAUUAAAGUAACAAACCUUCCUUUUAGGGUCUACAAGCUGCUACUCUUGAUUCGUUUUUAAAUACAAUUAACUUUUUGUGUCUUCCAUAUCUGAACGUGGGAUUCAUUGAAAUAUAAAUUUUACCAUAUUCCUUAAAUUAUCCACCUUUUAAGUUAUGAACUAAAUUGGACACGGGGAAAAUGAAAAUGCUUUUAAUUUUUCCAGGAAAAUGCUUUUAAAUUAUCCACCUAUGGUAUUGUUGUUGGGACAUUAAUGUCAUGAAAUUGAGUAAAUUGUUAUAUGUUGAUCUGUAAGUAGAAGCCUGUAAAUUAAUAACAGUCCUGAGUAUCUUUCAUAAAUGAAAGUUUUUGUCAAAUUCGGGCUUCCCCUAUUGAAUAUCUUUUAAAAUAGAUAUACAAAAAGCUAACUGUGGUUACAUCCAUGUAAAUAAUAUAUUUUUUCUCACUUUGCAUCAAUGUGAUAUGUUUAACAUACUGAUGUAAUCAGGUUCCUCAUUUUUGUGUUUUUCUUCUGGCGUGUCUGCUUUGGGAGUCAGGGGAAGAUUUUUCUUUUCUUUCCUUUCUUUUUAGAGAAAACACUCGUGGAAUUUUCCAUUUUGACUUGAUUGAUUUAUUGACAACAUGGAUGCCAAACUUGUCUCCUUCCUUUCAUACAUGUCAUUUUUGCUUGAGUAUAAUUAAUAAUGUUAGCAUUUGUGGAGUUGGAAACUGACUACUUGCUUGUUUUUUCUCAUAGGUCGACCAUACUACCAUGGCAUCAAGCAAUCUGUUUUUUGAUGACAUCCGAAAUAAACCUGAGGUUAUUGAUCCUCCUCAAAAUGAAGACUUGACAGAUAUUGGUGAAAGUGUAAAUGAUCCUGCUCAGACAGCUCUAAAACCUAACGUGACCGUGUCUAGCAGUGUUCGUGAAUUACUGGAGUGUCCUGUGUGUUUAAAUGCCAUGUAUCCUCCAAUUCACCAGGUUUGUUUUAUGCCUUCCCCCCCAUUCUUGAUAACCUAAUGAAAUUCUAUUCCUGUGGAAUUCUUAUAAGGCUUCUAACUCUUGAUAUCCCUGCUCCGGUUAAUAAUUCCAGCUUGCAUGUUGGUCAUCUCAUUGGUGUUCUCUUUUGUUGCAGUGUUCAAAUGGUCACACAUUAUGUUCUGGUUGCAAGCCCAGGGUUCAAAACCGAUGCCCCACUUGCAGGCACGAACUCGGCAACAUCAGAUGUCUUGCACUAGAGAAAGUUGCUGCAUCUCUUGAACUUCCAUGUAAAUAUCAGAGUUUUGGGUGCAUAGGCAUAUACCCUUAUUACAGCAAGCUAAAACAUGAAUCCCAAUGUGUUUUUAGACCAUAUAACUGCCCAUAUGCUGGAUCAGAAUGCACAGUUAUUGGUGAUAUUCCUUAUCUGGUGGCCCAUUUGAAAGAUGAUCACAAAGUUGACAUGCAUAAUGGCAGUACUUUCAAUCACAGAUAUGUCAAAUCAAAUCCACACGAAGUUGAGAAUGCAACAUGGAUGCUGACGGUAUUGUUUUGCUUUAUCCUUGUUUCUAGUCUGGUUUUUGUCCUUUCCUUAAUCCUUAGCAAAGGGUUUUCUUAUUUAUAUGUUGAAUGUGUGUGGAUACAAUUAUCUGCAUAGUUCCCUUUAAAUGCCAUAUUUGUGAAAAUUGGACAUCUCUCAAUUAACAAUCCUUGUCCACGAGUUGAAAAUGUAUUAUGGAUGCUGACGGUAUUGUUUUGCUUUAUCCUUGUUUCUAUUCUGUUUUUUGUCCUUUCCUUAAUCCUUAGCAAAGAAGGGUUUUCUUAUUUAUAUGUUGAAUGUGUGUGGAUACAAUCAUCUGCACAGUUCCCUUUAAAUACCAUAUUUGUGAAAAUUGGACACCUUUCAAUUAACGAUCCUUGUGAACGAAAAUGUUCUUUUUGUGGAAGUUAAAAGGGUCCUGUCAUCAAAGUUUGACGUGUGAUUCUAGGUUAUUGUUGGGUUGAACUUUUGUUGUCUGAUUCUAUUGCAGAAACUUGCUUUUUGGACAUAUAAAAGAUUGCUCACUAUUUUCUCCCCUGAUUUUUAGGUCUUUAGCUGCUUUGGUCAGUAUUUUUGUUUACAUUUUGAAGCAUUUCAGCUUGGGAUGGCCCCUGUCUACAUAGCAUUCCUGCGGUUUAUGGGGGAUGACAAUGAGGCAAAGAACUAUAGUUACAGUCUUGAAGUGGGUGGUGGUGGGAGGAAGAUGAUAUGGCAAGGGGUACCAAGGAGCAUAAGGGAUAGCCACCGAAAGGUUCGAGACAGUUUUGAUGGUCUCAUCAUCCAACGCAACAUGGCCCUUUUCUUCUCUGGUGGAGAUAGGAAGGAAUUGAAGCUUAGGGUGACUGGUCGAAUUUGGAAAGAACAGUGACAGGAUAUCCAAUUUCUGUCACAACUUUCAAUUUUAGUUAACCUUCACACCUAGUGACAGGUUUCUUCUUGUAGUAGUCCCAUGAUCUUCUGGUCAUGUAUUGUUUUGAAUUGUAGGAGGCAAACUCUCUUUGCUUGUUUAGCCAUCAAUACAUGAGUGGGAGGCAUGACCCUUGUCCCUGCAAUUAUAAUAUUUAUCUAUGUAGAUUUAGAUGUGCCACAUUGCUCGCAUGGACAAUUAAUGAAUGAUUGCAGUGCUAGUAGAUCCAUGAACUUUGGCGGCCUUUUAAUUCACACCGACUUCUUGAAAUCUCAUUAUCAGUCACUGGCCAUGAGAAAAGAGUGUAUAGGCAUGCCCAAUACUUGCAGAAUGGCUGAGAGCAGUUUUGCUCAAGUUCUCUCGCGUGAGGGAGCAUGGUAGGAUAAUGUGGUCUCCAGUCUCUUUUUGUGAUACAAAUAUCUGCACAUUUGGUGUUGGGAACACUGUUUUAGUAUCUUGGUCAGAUUCUGCUGCUCCAUCCUUUAUAGCUAAAUCAUCAAAAAAUGAAUUUGCCAACCUGAGGAUAAGGGCGGGUAUGGUGCUGGGAUGGAGACAGCGCAAGUGUUCAAGUGUAUAAAAGCUGCAUCUCCCUCGAAAAAAUGCCCUGCGUGAUGGUAGCUUAAUAGCAUUACCUUUUUUUAACCUAUGAAGUACAUGGAGGCGGGAAAGGUCCGAGGUCCUUACUUGCCCAAGAGGGCGUCUACCUGCCUGGUAAACCAAGCAAGUCCCGACCACUCGACCAAGGUCAGUCAACGAAGGUCGAACUUGUUGACCCAGUUGUUCAUAGACCAAGGCGACCAAGCUUGUUGGCUUCUUCAUAUCGGCCUUUCCACGUUUUAUCAGACUUGAAAUUCAAUCAGAAUAACAUUCAACUUUUAACUUGUGUAGGAAGAUAUCAGGUGCUGACAAGUCAGCCAGUACACAGAAGUAUCAACACAGUUUGAUAUGAUACAAACCAUAUUCUAUAAAAUUUCAAUUUUUUUUAUAUUUUCAAAUUAUUUUAAAAUGCUAAUAUCAAAAAUAAUUUUUUUAAAAAUAAAAAAUAUAUUAUUUUAAUGUAUUUAUAGAAAAAAAUACUUUAAAAAAUAACUGUUAUCACACUUUCAAACACCAAAUAAUAAAACAGUGGCAAAAUUCAAUCAAAACUUGGGUUGAUCUGUUCAUCAGCAAAAACCACAAAAAAACAAUAUAAACCAAGGAAGUCAACUUAAAUGCAAUCUCAUGUGCAUUUUGCCAGGUAUGCAUCCCAUCCUUGAAGACGGUAUUCACGAGCUGCCUCUGCAGGAUCUGCUGCCUUUAAAAUCCCACGUCCCACGAUAAUGAUAUCACUGCCCCUAUCGAAGAUGACCUGAAACAUCAUUUAUCCCACAAUUAUUCCCCUUUCAGUAAGAGUUUAUUGCAAGUUUUAAUAAAGCUUGCAUAUUACAUACUUCACUAAUGCAUGCCAACGAAAUAGACAUAAUGAAAAUGCACCAAUCCAGCAAUUUAUGAAGGAAACAAAAAACAGUGAAACAGUCAUUUGAACAUACAGAAUAUGGUGUGUUAUACUGCUGGCCAAGCGCAUCGCCACCAAUGACCAUUUGAACUCCAGGUGUUGCCUGAAUAAAUGCUGGAUUUACUGGUGCACCUGGCCAUGAGGCUGGGUUUACCGAGAUGAAGCCAAUCACAAAAUCAGAAUGUUCUUCAGCAAUUUUUACUGCCGCAGCAGUGUAAUCUCCCUUAGCAAAGUUGCCUGCUGAACUCAUUUCUGCAAGCAGCAAGAGGCCCCUCCCACGAGGCAAACCCUAAAUAGAGUCCACGAGUAAGCAAGAGUUAGAUACUGCCAGGACUAAUUCAGUAAUAUGAUUCCAGAUAAAAGUUGUGUGUGAGGCAUGCCUUCAAUUUUAACCCGUCGACAAUUCCAGGACCAGAAAUAAUGUGACAAUUAACUAUAUCAGCCCAAUCCAAUAUAUGGAAGAUACCCCUGCAAAAAACAGGGCAAAGAAACCUCAGAUUACUGUAAAGAUACUAGCAGAAAGGAAACCAGAAAAGUCACAUAACACUGAUUCUCACCCUUCAUACUGCAUGGUCACUGUGUUACCGAUGUCAGCAAACUUACGAUCUUCAAAAAUUAAAAAAUUGUACUUAUCUGCAAUCUACAGGAUGCAAAAGCGCAAUGAGCUACAAGGAAAUAACAACUACUUUGCACCUAGAGGAAAACGGGAAUAGUAGAAAAAUGAUGAGGAAAAUUGUACUCUGGUAUUUACGGAUCAUCAACAACUUCAAAAGAUUCAUUCUCAUAAUUACCAAACAUAUGAAGAACAGUCAUCAAACAAGUCAAUUCAAACUGCCCCUUGGCUAACUAAGUUAUCAGUUGAAAACAUAAUGAAAUUUACAGCUCCGCUUCAUAACAUGCAAUUAUCAUUUUGCACCAUCCAAAAUGAUAAUUGGUGGUCAAAGGUUAACAUUGACAUAUCAUCAACUGGCAAAACAUAAUGUAGCAGAAUUUUCAUGCUUCCAGAGAAUCUUAAGAACUAAACCUCCAUGCAAAUAACUUUUAUUAUAACACCACAAAAACCUCAUCAAAGCAGCAAACUUCAAAAUACCACAGUUUAGAGACAUACCGCACGAAGUUUUGCACCAAAAUCAGGAUUGAAAUCAGGAAAAAUAUCGACAUGGGUUUUCAACAAACAUAUCUCAGGUCCAACCUACACUCAAAAAAUAAAAUAAAAUAUAUAGAAAACCAUGUCAGCCAAACAAAAACAAACAAACAUAGCACUCCAAUCAUCCCCAACCAACCCAAUACCAAAACACUCACUUUUUCAGCAAGCUCAAGCAAUUCCUUAGCAGUACCAACAUCAGCUGCAACACACAGAUUACUCUCCUUUUUAACCAUAACCUCAAACAACCUCUUCCCCAUCUCAUUCUUUGCUAACUUCGCUCUUUCCUCAAACCCAGAAACCUUAACCCUAACGCUCUUAUCCACCCCUUUAACAACACUAACCUUCCUAUUCUCCUCCAAGAACUUCAAAACCCCCUUCUCCACUUCCUCCUCCAAUUUCCCCUUCUCCCUCAAAACCCUAACCAUCUCACUCAACUUAAUAAUCGCAUGCAACUUAAUGCCAUUCUCCUCCAAAUUCUCCCUCCCUCCUUGUUCCCUGUCAAUCAAAACCACUGCAUCAGUCACCUUCAACCCCGCCGCCCUCAACGGCAAAGCCGUUUCAAGAACAGAAGUCCCACUCGUAACCAAAUCUUCAACUAUCAAACAAGUCUGGUCCUUUUGGAAAUUUCCCUCGAUAGACUUAGAGGUACCGUAAUCUUUCACUUCUUUCCUGCGCAUUAACAUGGGGAUGUCGUUCGAGACUGAUACGGUGGUGGCGAUUGGGAGAGCGGUGUAGGGGACGCCGCAUAUGAGGUCGAAAGUGGUAGUGGCAGGGAUGGAGGUGAUCAGGGUUUGGGAAAUGUGGCGGAGGAGGGAGGGGUAUGAAAUUAUGAGGCGGAGGUCGAUGUAGAUUGGAGAGGUUAUACCGGAUUUGAGCUUGAAGGAACCAAAUUUGACCGCGGAGAUCUCGUGGAGUUGGAGAAUUAGGGAUUCCAUGGAGGACAUUUUGCGGUGGUGGCAAUAACAGUAGUUGCGCCGAGAGAAGCGAGGGAAAGAGGGAGCAAGUGUCAGUGUUAGAGUGGAAACGGAAGGGUUUUUGGAAGGAAUGAAAGUUAUUGUCGUCCCUUUUCGUUUUUUCUUUUUACUUGUUGCUCCCUAAGUUGUUUCUUUAAUGGGAUAUUUUUAUGAUGAUUUUUUUUUUAAUGACAAGUAAUUAUUUAUUACAAUAUUUGUUUUUUUUUUUAUUUUUCCUUUUAGUAUCGUAGUAAUUGUUAUGGCCAUCAAUUUCUUUUUUAGGAAAUUAGCAAUAAGGGGCAAAACACUUUUUCUGCCCGAAGUUAAAGGUAAUUUUUUGCUGGGUUUUAAAUAAGUGUAUAUAAAUAAUAUGAGAGACAUAUAAUUAUGGUUCCAUCCAAUCUAAUAAUCUAUUAAUAUGAAAUACAAUCAUACUGUUCAACACAGGUGAGAUGAUGGUAUAUGGUUCAUAAAAUAUAUUUUCUUUUAUUUUUGAGUUGUAAUUCUAGAAUCAAUAUUUAAAAAAAUCUAUUAAAUCCUUCAUCAAUAUAAAAAGUAUAUUUUUAAAAUAAAAAAAACUUUGUUUUGAUUAACUUGUAAUUUGUUUCAAAAAUAUCCUAAGCAUCUGUUUGCGCGCGCGUAAGGGCAAUUUUUUAGAUAAAAAGAAAAAACAAAAGAAGAUAAUACUUAGACAAGUCAAUGUAGAAAAAAGGCCAUGAAACAGUUUACCCAGCCCGUUCGCCUUGUGCAAGGCCCAUUCUUCUUGAGUUACCCUGGGCCUCUGUUCUUACAGGCCCAAAACCAUCGGACCAACAAGACUAGUUGAGCCCUAAAAUAAUGACAACUCAUUUUUCCAUGCAGAAUUUAGUGAUCGAUUUGUUUGAUAUUGCAGUGGUUUAUAAUUCUUAAAAUGUUUAUAAUUUUUUUUAAUAUUAAUAUUUUCAGGUGUUUUUAAUAAUUUUAAUAUCAAUUAUAGCAACUUGAAAAAAUGCCUGAGCAUGCUCAUGCAAACAACUUUGUAAAGGCCUGAAGCUUCUUCCAUUCGAGGAUAAAAAACACGAGGAAGAAAUAGACCUUUAACCACUGUUAUAUGUGCAGACGAAUUUAUCACGAUAAUACCAAGGCUGCAUGAAUUAUUUUUCAACUCAAACAUUCUCCAUUUAACCUCAUGACAAAAUUCUACAACAAAAAAAACUUUCAUUUUAAGAAGAAAAAGCUCUCAAGUCGAAUGAUUAACUUACGAUUGAAAGGAAAAUUUUAAGGUGAUAGGGAUCCAAUAGAGAAAUAGUUUUGUUUGGGUAUCAAAUUUACAAAUACGUGGUAAUCUAGGGAUAGAUAUGUAUUUUGAUUAAAUAUUCACAGCCUCCCUUUGCAACAUAAAAUUGCAUUGGCGGGGGACUUUUUGUCUCGUGUUCUGUGGUUUCUCCUUGUCCGUGGACUUGUAAUCCCUGCGAAGACCCACAGAUCAAGGCAAAACUUUUCGAGUCAACAGAGCGGUGUGGCAUCCAUUGUUUCAUGCUCAUCUUCCAUCAUGCAUGCGCCAGGUUCUAACAUUGAUUUUCUUCUUAAAUCCAUUUUCAUACGUGGGUUCUGUGGAUCAUUGCACUUGGUUUUGUUACUCGCUUUAUCUGUCUCAUAUGUGUGCAAGAAACUGAGCAGGAGGGGUGAUGGGGAGGGCUCUAAAGAGAUGUUAAAGACAAAGAGAAGGUUUAUGUGGUAUAAACAGACUUUGUUCUGUUGUUUGGGUGUCUCAGUGUUUAAUUUCAUCUCGUGUUUGUUGAGCUACUUUUAUCUGUAUGGAAAUGUCCGGUCUGAUGGUGAAGCAAUGACCCUUUUGGAUUUGGGGCUCAGAACACUCUCUUGGGGUGCACUUGUUGUUUACUUGCAUACCCAAUUCUUUAACUCAGGUGAAAAGAUGUUCCCUCUGUUAUUGAGAGUUUGGUGGGGUUUCUAUUUGGCUAUUUCUUGUUAUUGCUUUUUUGUAGAUGUUUUCCUUCAUCACAAACAUGUGUCUUUGGAGAUAGAGUGGUAUUUAGUGUCUGAUGUGGUCUCUGUGUUUACUGGAUUGUUUCUUUGUUAUGUUGGGUUUUUGAGAAGUGAUAUUCAAGAUGUACUUGAAGAACCCCUUUUGAAUGGUGAUUCUAGCUCGAUUAAUAAUUUGGAGAACAGGGGGGCAGAUACGGUGACUCCUUUUGGAAACGCUGGUCUUUUCAGUAUUCUAACCUUUUCUUGGAUGAAUUCUUUAAUUGCUGCUGGCAACAAGAAAACUUUAGACCUUGAAGAUGUUCCUCAACUUCACGGUGUCGAUAGUGUGGUUGGAGCUUUUCCAGUUUUUAAAAAUAAGCUUGAGUCGGAUUGUGGUAGAGUUACAAGGUUCAAGUUCGCAAAAGCUUUGUUCCUGUUAGUCUGGAAAGAAAUUUUAUGGACAGCUUUAUUGGCGUUGAUUGACACGUUAGGUUCUUAUGUUGGUCCCUACCUUAUCGAUGUUUUUGUUCAAUGCCUUGAUGGGCGAGGAGAAUUCAAGAAUCAAGGUUACAUUUUGGCUUCCGCCUUUGUGGUUGCAAAGCUUGUUGAGUGCCUCGCACAGAAGCAUUUGCGCUUUAGGUUGCAGCAAAUUGGAACAAGGCUCCGUGCAGUAACAGCCACGAUGAUUUACAACAAAAGCUUGACCAUUUCCUGUCAUUCGAAGCAAGGGCAUUCGAGUGGACAAAUAAUCAAUAUUAUGACUAUUGAUGCUAAUAGACUUGGCAUCUUUAGUUGGUACAUGCACGAUCCAUGGUUGGUCAUCUUGCAAGUUUGUUUGGCCUUGCUGAUACUGUACAGAAAUUUGGGACUCGGGUCAGUUGCUGGCUUUGUUGCGACAGUAAUUGUCAUGUCGUUAAAUUAUCCUUUCGGGAGAUUGGAGGAGAAGUUUCAAGACAAGUUAAUGGAAUCAAAAGAUAAACGAAUGAAGGCAACCACGGAGAUUUUGAGAAAUAUGAGAAUUCUCAAGCUUCAGGGAUGGGAAAUGAAGUUUUUGUCUAAGAUUCUUGAACUCAGGAAAGUAGAGACACGGUGGCUGAAAAAAUACUUGUAUACUUCAGUAGUGAUCACUGUUGUCGCCUGGGUCACUCCCACUGUUGUGGCUGUGGCCACCUUUGGUACUUGCAUGCUUAUGGGAGUCCCGCUUGACUCAGGGAAGGUUUUAUCUGCACUUGCAACAUUCGAGAUUCUUCAAUCCCCAAUCUAUAACCUUCCCAAUACAGUUUCUAUGCUAAUUCAGACAAAGGUUUCUCUCGACAGAAUUGCAUCUUUUCUUUGCCUCGAUGACUUGCAGCCUGAUGCUAUAGAGAAGCUUCCAGUAGGCAGUUCUGAUACAGCAAUUGAGAUUGUUGAUGGAAAUUUCUCUUGGGAUUUGUCUUCACCCAGUGUAACAUUGAAAGAUAUAAACUUCAAAGUGUUCAAUGGUAUGAAGGUAGCUGUAUGUGGUACUGUUGGAUCAGGCAAGUCGAGCUUGCUUUCCUCCAUUUUGGGAGAAUUAACCAAGAUCUCAGGGACACUCAAGUUGUGUGGGACAAAGGCGUAUGUUGCUCAGUCACCUUGGAUACAGAGUGGUACGAUAGAAGAGAACAUAUUGUUUGGUAAGGAGAUGGACAAAGAAAGGUACGAUAAGGUACUUGAAGCAUGUUCCCUGAAGAAGGACCUGGAAAUCCUCUCUUUCGGUGAUCAAACAGGUAUUGGCGAGAGGGGUAUCAACUUGAGUGGUGGACAGAAGCAAAGAAUACAGAUAGCACGUGCUCUCUACCAAGAUGCCGAAAUCUAUCUAUUUGAUGACCCUUUCAGUGCCGUGGAUGCUCAUACUGGAUCUCAUUUGUUUAAAGUAAACUAUCCCUUCUUCCUUGAAACAGCUUGCAGUGGAUGCUAACUUCUGCUUUCGAUUUCUGUAGAAAAAAUUACUAGUCCAGAUAAAAGCACCACCCUUUGUUUUAAUUUUCCUUUUAGUUGCUUCCUCUUUUAUUCUUCUUUUCAUGCCUAAUUAAAAAAAAAAAAAAACAAUUGGCAUCUCUCUUACAAUAUACUUGUUCGAUUUUGCAUGACAGGAAGUUUUGCUUGGUCUUUUAAGUUCAAAAACUGUUAUUUAUGUUACUCAUCAGGUUGAGUUCUUAUCCGCUGCUGAUCUAAUCUUGGUGAGUAAUAUGCAUUUGUUUUCUUCAUUGCUUGUGGGAUUAUCAUGUCUCGUAUUGUUUCAUUUGUUUCAACUGUACCUUCUGGUUAGGUCAUGAAAGAUGGAAGGAUUGCGCAGGCUGGGAAGUAUGACGGCAUUCUCAAUUCAGGAUCUGAUUUUAAGGUACUUGUAUGUGCACAUAAGGCAGCUUUAUCAGUUCUUGAUUCCAGACAGGCAGGACCAGUUUCCGAAAAUGAAAGUGUCAGAGACAACAAUGGAGGCGAGAACAGUACUGACGGGAUUGUACAUAACGAAGGAAAUAAAGAUUCACAAAUUGAUAAAGCAGAUGAGGUAGCUGAGCCACAAGCACAACUCAUUCAAGAAGAAGAGAGAGAGAAAGGUAGUGUUGGGUUUCAAAUCUAUUGGAAAUAUAUCACAACAGCAUACGGAGGGGCUCUGGUGCCCUUUAUAUUACUGGCACAACUUCUCUUUCAGAUCCUUCAAAUUGGUAGCACUUAUUGGAUGGCAUGGGCAACUCCUGUGUCAAAGGAUGUGAAACCUGUUGUUAGUGGAUCUAGACUGUUAAUCGUCUAUGUAUCUCUGGUUAUUGGAAGUUCUUUUGGCAUCCUGGUUCGAGCCAUGCUUCUUGUAACAGCAGGGUACAAAACUGCAACUCUACUAUUCAACAAAUUGCAUCUGUGCAUUUUUCGUGCUCCCAUGUCCUUUUUUGACGCGACCCCUAGUGGACGAAUCAUUAACAGAGUAAGCAAUUUCAGUGUGUCUUGUGCUCUUUAUAUAAGUGAUUAGAAUUAAUUAGGGGAGAGUACCAUGUUCAGUAUUUUGACCUCAUUGAUCUAUUUCCUCUCAUGUAGGCUUCUACCGAUCAAAGUGCAAUAGAGAUGGAAAUUCCAUAUAUAGUUGGGGAACUUGCCAUCCAAGCAAUCACGCUUCUGGGAAUUAUAGCAGUGAUGUCUCAAGUGGCAUGGCAAGUUUUUAUGGUUUCCAUCCCUGUGAUUGCUGCCUGUGUCUGGUAUCAGGUACUCCUUGUGGUUUCUUAAAAUCUCAUUUUGUUUUUCGAGCUCUACUUCAGUGAACAAAAUCUAAUAAUAUCAUUAGAUCUCCUGAUGCUUCUUAUACUUUCUUCAUUUGUCUCUUAAUUAGCGUUUCUUUUCCCAAGAUGUUGAGCUUGCAAGAAAAUUUUAAAAAUAGUGUCAAUGGCAUGCAAUUAGAUGCAGCCCCUGUUUCAUUAUGACAAGUAGCAUAUAUUAUGAUUUAGCAUUUAGAAAGAGAGGAGUUCUAACAUAUUUAUUGAUGCCUGCAGCAAUAUUACAUUCCCGCAGCAAGAGAGCUUUCACGGUUGAUUGGAGUAUGCAACGCUCCAGUUAUCCAAAAUUUUACAGAAACAAUUUCAGGAGCAACAACGAUCAGGAGCUUUGAUCAAGAAUCAAGAUUCCAAGAAAUAAAUAUGAAACUAACAGAUGCAUAUUCUCGGCCCAAAUUUCAUAAUUCUGCUGCAAUGCAAUGGCUUUGCUUCCGAAUGGAUAUGUUCAGUUCUAUUACGUUUGCUUUCUGUCUGUUUCUUUUAGUCUCUUUUCCAGAAAGAAUUAAUCCAGGUUGGCAGUUCUUGUCUUGCACCUGUUCUCUAUUUCCCUUCCUGUUGUCAACCAAUGAGUGAACCUGAAAUACACGUUUUUCUUUUCUUUUCCAUAGCCAUUGCAGGCUUAGCUGUUACAUAUGCGCUUGGCCUACACAUGGCACAAUUUGUGCUGAUAUGGUGUUUCUGCAAUUGCGAGAACAAACUCAUAUCAGUAGAGAGAAUUCUUCAGUACAUUUCUAUUCCUGCCGAGCCUCCUCUUGUAAUUGAAGCGAACAGGCCUGACCAUUCUUGGCCAUCACAAGGUGAAGUUGACAUCGAUAAUCUGCAGGUAAUUUUGUUCUGUUUAUUGCUCCAACUGGCUUGUAUUAUUUUUAUGUUACUAAUGGUUGGAUAUGAUGCAGGUUCGAUAUGCCCCACACAUGCCACUUGUGCUGCGUGGUCUCUCAUGCACUUUCCCAGGAGGGAAGAAAACUGGUAUUGUUGGGAGAACAGGCAGUGGUAAAUCUACUCUCAUACAGGCUCUUUUCCGAACUGUUGAACCUGCAGCUGGUCAGAUUAUGAUUGACAGCAUUGAUAUCUCAUUGAUUGGCCUGCAUGAUUUAAGGUCAAGACUGAGCAUUAUUCCCCAGGAUCCAACCAUGUUCGAAGGGACUGUUAGAAGUAAUCUGGACCCACUUGAAGAGUACACAGAUGAACAGAUCUGGGAGGUGUGUUGUCUCUAUUGUGCUAGCUCCAUGAGGGGCGUGUCGAUGCUGUUAUACACUUGCCUGUGUGUUUCUUCAUAGAAUUGAUGUUCAGUAUUUCAAGGAUUGGUGAUUGAAACAUAGCACAAAUCUAACUUAAAUUUGUUAUGAUCCCAGGUUCUGGAUAAGUGCCAACUUGGAGAUGAAGUUAGGAAAAAGGAAAGGAAGCUAGAUUCCACAGGUUUGUCUUUCUCACCAAUCACCGCUACCUAAUUUUUGUGCACAUCUUUUUAAAUGGUCAUCCUGGAUGGUGCUGCAGUUAUCGAGAAUGGGGAGAACUGGAGUAUGGGCCAGAGGCAACUAGUCUGUCUAGGGCGUGUGCUACUCAAGAAAAGUAAGGUCUUGGUUCUUGAUGAAGCUACUGCCUCAGUUGACACAGCCACUGAUAAUCUUAUUCAGCAAACGCUCAGGCAGCACUUCUCCGACUGUACAGUGAUAACCAUUGCACAUCGAAUAACCUCUGUUCUUGACAGUGACAUGGUUUUGCUUCUAAGCCAUGGUGAGUAUGGAAACUUGAUGUAGCAUUGCCUGUAAAUGAUAUGAAUCCUCAAUUUUCUCAAGUAUUUGCAACCAUGUCUCAGGUCUCAUUGAGGAAUAUGAUUCUCCAACAAGGUUGUUAGAGAACAAGUCAUCGUCGUUCUCCCAACUUGUAGCAGAGUACACAGUGAGGUCAAAUACCAGAUUCGAGAAAUCAGCUGGAAUAAAUUGAUGGGCUUCCACACCAUGUAAUUGUAUUCUGCAAAAAACAGUAUAGCGAUGGAUGUUGUAGCAUGCUAUGAUGGAGAUAAUGGCCUGAUGUCUCCUUAAAGUGGAAAAACUUUACGCCAUUAACGCUUCUGUAUCAGUGAUCCACCAUUAAAGCAUAAAUGGAUGGUACUACUUAAAAAUAAUAAAUUAUAAUGUAUCCCAAUAGAAACUAAAUUUAAGUCACCAGGGUCCUGAAAGUUAUUAAAUCAUGAACAGUUUCCAAAUCAAUUUAAAAUCAUAUCAUUUUAAUUUUUUUAAAAUUUGUUUUUUUUUUUAUAAAUCAAAUCAAGUUUCACUUUAACAAUUGAUCUACAAAUCAUUCAAGUUUACUUCUAUUUGAUUAUUUUAAAAUUUAAUUUACAGAUGUAUAUAUAUCUUCAAUCCAGUUUGCUUUUCAAUCAAAAUUAAAUCUUUUAUUCAUAUGAUUUUAGAAGCCAUCAUCAACAUUUACAUGUUGUCUUCAAGAAAAACUCAAUAAAUUCAUCUACAUGAUGAUUUUGAAAUUUGAUUUUUUUUUAAAAACAUACUUUCUUAACCAUUAAGCCAAAUCAAACAUUAGAUUUAGAUACUAACAUGAUAAAUUAGUAUAAGAGUAUUCUAAUAUCAAACUAAUUUAAUAAUAAAAGAAAAGGUUAGGCAUGAAAGCUUUAAAAUUCAGAGCCUUGACCUCUUCCAUCCUUGGAGACUGGGAUGGAAACCGUGGAUGCGUGUGUGUGAGUGUGGAGAAGGGACAUUGCCCGACCUCACUGUGUUCUAUUUUUAAAUUUGAUUUUUUUAUUUUAAAUUAUUUUUUUCUAUUUUAGGUAAUUUUAAUUUGAUAGUAUAAAAAUAUUUUUUUAAAUAAAAAAUAUUUUUUUAAAAAUAAAAUUAAAAUAAGUUUCAAAAUGAGUACCGAGCAUAUGGAAAAUGAGCCAACGUGGAUGCAUUAUCCAAGUCGACGCUCCACUUGUCCAAGAGGAUAUCAAUAAAUAUUUCUUUCAUUACCUUCUCUCGUGACGAUGAGAGAUCACAUGAAUGAGUGUUUGGUAUUGUGGUAGUUGUUGUGGUUGUGGUUUAAAAAAAAUUAUUUUAUAAAAAGUACUUUUAAUUGAGGUUGGUUUGAAAAAAUAGGUGUUUGGUUAAAACUGUGGUUCAAAUUGAAGUUGAAAAAAAAUAGUUUAAUAUGUUUGGUUGAAAAUGCUUUUAAAAUUGAGGUUAUAAAAUAAUUUUAAGAAAUAUAUAUUAAUUGAUUGUUUUAAAUUUAAAUAUUGUAGAUUUAAUUACUCCUAUUACAUCAUAUAAUAAAUAAUACUUAUAUAAAAUAUUUUUUAUUAUUCCAUUAAACUAUGUAUAAUUCCAUUACGUAUAAAAUUCAUCCGAUAAAAACUACAGUUUUCAUAAUUUUUUGAGCGUGUAAUAAAAUUAGAUAAAAUAUUAUCAGAUAUAAAAUUGAUAUUAUAAUACGAGUGAAUUUAAUUUACUCUAUAGACUAUACUACUUUUUCAAGAAAAAAAUAUUGUUCACAUCACAAUGCGAAUGAAUUUAAUUCACUCUAAAUUAGUUUUUUUUAAAAAAAUUAAUAAAAUUAACACACUGCAGGAAAGAAAGAAAGAAAAAAAGAAAAAAAACUGGACGAACAAUUCAUUAUUUUUUAAAGUGAACAGUGUAAUUAUGUACAUUGUUCACGCUAAUUGCACUGUUCACUGAACAGUGCAAUUAGCUGCACAGUGCGUGAAAAAGCAUGAUUUUAUUGCUUUUCAUUAACUGCGUUUUGGAUGUAAAAUUUACGUGGGACCCAUGUACAGUAAAUUACUUUUUUUCAUUACCAAACGGCUGCAAACUGCGUUUUAAUUAAAACGCAGCCGCAACCGCAGAGCCAAACGGGCUCUAAAAAUUAUAAGCCUCUCCGAUUUCUUCAAGUAAAAAAAAAAAAAAAUAAGUUUUUUCUUUUAAAAAAAUACACGAAAAUAAACGGGAUCUUAGUUUGUACGAAGGUCUGAAUUUUAAAUUUUUAAGACUAUUUCAUUGAAUCUUAAUUUAUUGAGUAGUUUAACAAUUACGGACAUGAGUGAUGAACGAUGUGCAAUACACGAGCAAGUAAGAGCGCGUGGGACCAGGAUUUAAGUUUUGUCUGGUAAGUUUAACCAAUGGACGGAGAUUACAACAUCCUCAUAAAUAAAUCUGGUUGGUUGACUUUAUAUUCCAUGUGCUGCAAAUAAUAGAAAAAAAAAUGAAAAGACUGACACAAUAAAAUACAAUCAUCAUAUGGUAGAUUCUUCUAAUCAUAUCCAGUUCAUUUCAACUUUAUGCUCUGAAUCUUUGCUUUGUUGUGUUUCCUUUUAAUAAUUGUUUCUUAAAUUAUCCAAACUUGCAUUUUUUGGAAAAAUUUUUUGCAUUGUUUUGGCCAGCUAAUCCAUUAACCACCACUUCUAUCAAGGCGAUGCCUUGUUUUUCCAAAUUUUCAUUGCCAUCUGGUUUCUUUGUCGAUUUCGUAAGAACCCUUUUUGAAUUCUUGCUUUUAGGAUGUUUUUCUAUUGAUUAUUUCAAAUUCUUUUUUACAUAUUAACAUAUGCCAACUUGUUUGAUGCAGAGAAGAAGCUGAUCAAGGCCCUCCUUUUCUUCUUUUUCGUUGAGAUUCCUUUAAUAUGUAAGAACCCUUUUGAUUCCUGUUGUUUUUUUCAAUUAUUGAUUCUUGUGAUCUAAUCUUGUUUGAAUUUUAGCUUUCUUGGAUUUAGAAUAGUUUAUGUUUAUGAGCAGUUGAUUGCUUAUUGAUUGAUAUCCAUAUCAUUUGACACAGAAAAGGGGAUUUUCUUUGGCUAUGAUGAGAUUAUAGCAGCGAUUCAUGUAAUUUCUGUUUCCAUUGUUUGGAGGAUGGAGACGCCUAUCAGUCACAAGAAUUCUGAAGGUAAUCUGUGUCCUGUGAAAAUCUUGUGCAUAAAUUUAUGGCGAACAUGUUUUGUUCUCUUCCCCUUUUCUUUCUUUUUGUUGACAUUUUCUAUGGUUCAUUUUCUAAAUGAAAAACGACCAAACAUCAUCUCAGUUGCUGUCAAAUGAUUCUAACAAGAUAUGAUUUCAAUACUCUUUUGCCAUAGGAAAGUAAAUGACUUCAGAUUUUGAUAGAGAUGCAAUGUGUCUUUGCUUUUAUUCAACUUUUUUGCCAAUUGCAUAGAUGGGCUCUCUCUUUUCCCUUGAUCGUCUGGUAGAAUCAAGCUCAUGGUCAACUGGGGUUAGAAAUUACAAGCAUGCUGUACCACUUACAAGAUUUAUAGAUAUUGACAUAGUCGAUUUAUAGUUUGAGUGUUGAGUAUUAUGUUUUAUUGGUUGCCAGAAAGUAACUGAUAUCUUUCUCAAGCACUAUCGAAGUCUGUUCACGAUUUUUGUUGUUGUUCUUAACUAAUUGUCUCCGUUCACUUCUCUUUGAUUCCAAUUUGUAUUAUGCUUUCAUCUGCAGUGCAGACUACUGUAAGUUUAUUUCUUUUCUUAGGUUACCUUCCCCAUUAUUAUCAGCCUCCAACCCUUUAACAACCAGAUUUAAAUCUUUUCUCUCUAAGUUGCAUGGAUUAAUCAGUCAUAUAUUAUAUCUUCUUCUAGAUCUCAUGAUAUAUAUGAUAACCUCUCUUCUUCAAACUUGUCUUAUCCCCUAAUUUGUUCAAGGGACGAAAUCUCUAUAUUUGUACUUGCAUGGUGUUGAGAGUCAAGCAUGGCUGUACUCGGGAAAAGUCCUUUUUCGAUGGAUCUUUUCUUAAUAGUUUUCUGGUUCUCAGAACUUGAGAACUGUGAAAUGUGAUAUUUGCUACGAUGUUCAUGCAGUUAAUGACUUUGCUAAUACAUGUUGUGCUUUGAUUUUUAAUAUGGAUUUGUUAUGAUCUAUUCCAUGAAGAAAAGACCUACAGAAAUGAUUGCGUCCUGAUAGUUCCCAACCCUAUAAUCUUCCAUGAUUGUCCGAUAAGUGAUUGGCUAUUUGGAUUUUUAGGUUUGGUUCCUUGCCUACACGAUCUCUUACAUUCAGAAGAACAGAGUUGCAGCAGCUGUAAAGAGGAACAAAAAUUUUCUGGUAUCUUGAGCCUUAAUCUUUCAAUUUUUUGAUUGAAAAUCUUCCUUAUUCUAAUGGUUCAUCACCCUGCAAAAUGGAAGUUGAGGUAUAGUGAAGGCAUAAACAAACUCAAAAUCCAGUAUGAGUGAUUUAUUUGUAACAAAACUCUGUUCUCAAGUUAUGCACUAAUUUUACUUUAGGGAUAUGAUCUAAUAAGAGGAUCUGUUUUCUAUUUUUUCUACUGUUCUCUUCUGUAUUUCCUAUUUAGGUUUAUAAAGACCUUCAUAAAAAUUAUUGCAUUCUGGUUGUUCCCAACAUUAUAAUCUUCCAUGAUGAUCUGAUGUUUGAUUAAACAUAUUGCAUUUUAGGAUCGCUUCCUUGUCCAGAUGAUCUCUUACAUUCAAACAAACAAAGUGACAGCAAUGGAAGAGAUCGACACAAAUCUACUGGUAUCUGGAGCUUUAAUCAUUCAACUUUUUAUUUGAAAAUCUUUGUUAUUCCAAUAGCUUCCAACUCUGCAGAAUAGAAGUUGAAAUAUAUUGCAAAGGCUUAAACAAACUCGAAGUUCUCUUACUAUAUAAUUUAUCUCUUGCAAAAUUCAGCUCUCAAGGUUCUGCAAUAUAUUGACCUUUCAUGCAGGGAUAUGAUCCAUUAAGAGGACUCAUUUUCUGAUAUUUGUACUAUUAUCUUCUUUUUUCACACUUAGGUUCAUAAAGACCUGCACAAAAUGAUUGCAUUCUCAUCAUUCCCAAUGUUAUAAUCUUUCUCGAUGAUCUGAUAUUUGAUUAAAUGUACUGCAUUUUCUUUAGGAUCGGCUUCUUGGCUUGAUAAUCUUUUAAAUUCAGAUGAACAAAGUUGCAGCAGCAAAAAAGAUCAACGGAAACAUUCUGGUAUCUUGAGUUUUAAUCUUUGAAUUUUUUGUUUGAGUUUAUUUGUUAUUCCAAUAGCUCAUCACUUUGCAGAAUAUAAGUUGAAAUUUUCUAUGAUUUAUCUCUUACACAAUGUUGUUCUCAUGGUUAUGUCAAUAUAUUGACCUUACAUGCAGGGAUAUGUCUAUCAAGAGGACUCGUUUUCUAUUUUUCUACAAUUAUCCUCUUUUCCCCCGCUAUUUAUGUUUAUAAAGACCCGCACAAAAUAAUUGCAUCCUGGUCAUUCCUGACAUUAUAGUCUUCCAUGAUGAUCUGAUAAUUGAUUAAAUGCAUUGCACUGUUAGGAUCGGCUCCUUGUCUAGAUGAUCUCUUACAUUCUGGCAGAAGAAGUUGCCGCGGCAGUAGAGAUCCACAGAAAUCUUCUGGUAUCUUGAGCUUUAAUCUAUGAACCUUUUUGUUUGAAACUCUUUGUGAUUCCAACAGCUCAUCGUUCUAAAAAAUAUUAGUUGAAGUAUAUUACUAAGUCAUUAACAGACUCAAAAUUCUUUCACUAUGUGAUUUAUGUCUAACAAAAUUUGGUUCCCAGGGUUAUGCAAUUUAGCUUUACAUGCAGGGAUAUGAUGUGCUAAGCGGACUAGUUUCCUAUUUAGGUUUAUAAAAGAGAGGCAAUAGUGAUAUACUCUUAUAUUGAAAUGAAAUUAUGAAUUUCAUGUAAGAAAGUCAUAUAUUUUAUCUUUCUGUUCAUUAAUCAGGUCCACAAAAAAGACUGGAGCAAUUGCUAAGUCAAUCAGGGAACAAGAUUUGUGCUGAUUGUGGAUCUCCAGAUCCAAAAUGGGUGUAAGUUGUUAAGACUGAACCUGAUGCAUUUCCAUAUACUUUUAUUCACCUAAUGUACAGUUUAUGAUAAUAAAUGCGGUACUGUUUUUCACGCAUGUAACUGUGUUGUGUCAUGCCCCAUUUUCUUUUUAUUAGCACAGAAUUAUACUCUUUCAAUUCACUCUCUGUUAAUUGUAACUGUAUAUCAAAAUGUAAUAGUUGGAGUAUGAAUGCCUAGUGAAAAAUACUUGAAUAUCAGAACAUAGUCUUAUAGCAUUAGAAUCAGUGUCAAAUAUUGUUCCUGCAAAUGAAUGGAUAAUGCAAAGGAAAUUGCAGAUUUAGCACACACAUAUACUUGAAAUCAUUAUCUCGACAGCAAAAUAUGCUUUUACUCUUAUCACUGUUUUGGUCACAAUUUCACAUAAAAGCAAGGGAUAUUUGUCUUUUCGGUUAGUACCAAAACUGCACUUUGUGCCACCCAUUUACAACUGCAGCAGAUACAAUUUCUUUUCCUCAACUCCUGAUAACUGUGUUUCUUGUGCUUGGUUAUCUAUUUUCCUUUUGACUGAAUCAUUUUUGGCUGUCAGGUCAAUAAGUUUUGGAGUUUUUAUUUGUAUCAAGUGUUCAGGCGUUCAUAGAAGCCUCGGGGUGCAUCUAACGAAGGUGCAGUUUUGAAACUUGACUCGUUGGCCUUGUCUGUAAAAGCAAAAUUUUAGAACUUUAUACUGUUAGAUCUUGUACUCUCGUGAUUUAGUACACAGAGGCAUGUGAAAUUUAAUUCGAGGAGAAAUCACAGCUUUUUGAUAAUGAGCUUUUCUGAUGCGAUGUUAACAAAAACUAACAUUUUCAACACAGCUACUUGGUGCUGUCUAUGUCUCCCAUAUUGGUUUGUUUUGCUGAUGCUAUAUCUUUUUCUAUUUCUGUCAGGUUCUAUCAAUCAAAUUAGAUGAAUGGACAGAUGAACAAGUGAACACUCUGAUAGAUUUGGGUGGCAAUACUGCUGCAAACAAGAAAUAUGAAGCUUUUAUUCCUGAUGAUUAUCAAAAACCAAAAUCAGAUGCCUCAAUAGAGGAGCGAUCUGAUUUUAUUAGGUAAUGUCAGUACCACACUGAUCAUAUCUUUAUAAAAAAAACACAGGGUGUUCUAAAUCAGAUAUUUACUUUCUGAAUACCCAGGAGAAAAUAUGAGCAGAAGCAAUUUUCAAACUGUGAUGGACACAUGUCCUGCCCAUUUCCGGGUCCUAGAAGUACAUUAUCCUCUAGUUGUUCAAGUCAUUGUUCACCCCAAGAUAAGAAACAGUAUGAAAAACAAGCAACCAGGCAUCGUAUCGGGAAUGCAUUUCGUAACAGCUGGGGAAGAAAAGACACCGAGUACAAGAACAAUAAAAAGAGCAACUCUUUGGUAAUGAAUUCCAAUUUCAUUAAUGUAUUUAUAUUAUGUUGAGGAUUAUGAGCUCACCUUUUCUUUUUGACGCAAGCUAGAAUGAGAUCUGUUACAAAUAUACUAGUCUGAAAUAACUUGAUCACAAGCCAUCAUUAUGCAUGGUUUGCCGUGGAUGGAAAAAUGUGAUGCAUCCUAUCUUGAAAUUUCAGUGAAACUUGCUGAUUCUAUUGCUUAAAUGUUCUGUUUAUAGGCAGCUAUGGUUGAAUUUGUUGGAUUAAUCAAGGUUAAUGUAGUCAAAGGAACCAACCUAGCUGUCCGGGAUGUGUUGACUAGUGACCCAUAUGUUGUCCUUACAUUGGGCCAGCAAGUGAGACUCUCCUCCCUUUAAUUUUGGCCUCAUUGGCAUUACAACUCUGUUGAUUUUCAAUGGUCUGUGGUGCAACAAACCUGUUAACAAUGCUGUUUUUUUUUUAAUUGUUGUUGCAGUCAGUGAGGACUCGCGUCAUAAAGAACAAUUUGAAUCCAAUCUGGAAUGAAAGUCUAAUGUUGUCAAUUCCAGAACAGAUUCCUCCUCUAAAAGUGGUAACUUGUUUCAAAUUUUUAUGGUGUGGAAUUAACACAAAUUCAAAAAUCAUAAAUUCGAUCAUCAUGAUUCAUGACACUUGCCACUUCUGAUAGAGAUAUUAAUCAUUUCUUUUCUUAAUUUUUUAUUCCUAUUUGUAAUUUUAUACCAAAAUAUAUCAAUCAUAUUAGCAAGCUCUUCUUUUUGGUCUUUGGUUUUGGAUGCUUAAAAUUCCAGGUGGCUGUAUGCAGCUUGUUUACGACAAGGAUAAAUUCACAACUGAUGACUUCAUGGGUGAGGCUGAGAUAGACAUUCAACCACUUGUUUCUGCUGCCAAAGCUUAUGAGAAUUCAACCAUCACUGAGUCGAUGCAGCUUGGUAAAUGGAUAGCAGGCCAGGAUAACACCCUUGUUAAAGAUGGCAUUAUCUCACUAGCAGACGGAAAGGUAAAACAAGAAAUCAGUCUCAAGCUAAAGAACGUUGAGAGAGGGGUGCUGGAGAUUGAGCUUGAAUGUGUUCCUCUCACUCAAUAGUUACAUAGAGAGUACGAAACUACAAACAUUGUGAUGCCAUAUUUUAAACCGGUUUUGAGUGGUGAACUCGCAAUGAAAAAACCUUUUAACCUGCCGUUGUUGUAAUAAGCUGUUUUAGCCAUUGUUUCAUUACGAAUAUACAGGGAUUGUUAGGAUUUUCAUUAACGAAUUGUAUAUAGUUUGUUUGCUUUAAUCAAUGAGCACUCAAACAAAGUAGUCAGGCUGGGUAUCCUCUAUUCUGAUUCCAAACUUGUUGUUAGAUAGUAAUAUAAAAUCAUUCAUGGGGCUUUACCAACAACUCAAGUUUUUGAGUUGGGAUGGUUUUUUGAAUCAAAACUUUAAUAACUAAACGGUCAGUAGUUCGAACCAAUUCUUGUUUGGUUAAUUAAAAAAUAGUCUUUCUGCAGCUUUCCUGAUCAUAGAGUAGUGUUUACGAAAUGCUAUUUUGUUGUGCAACAAUCACUCUUCUGAGGGAACAGAAAUCCUUUUCAACAAAACUAGUUGUUGAGGAAAUGCAUAAUGACAGGAAAAUCUGAAGAAAUAUGAAGGCUUGAAAAUCAAAUGACAGGUCAAGAAACUAACAGGCUCCAUGGUUUUAUAGGCCUCCAGGAAGGGAAUUCAAACCUUGAGAAGAAAAUGGAACAACUCGAAUGAGCUGAAUGAUUUCAUUUAUCUGGAUGUGCUUUGUUAGUGAAACUCAUAUUUAUUUGCAGUUUUAUUUUCUGGAAAUAGUUCAUGUUCUUGUUUUGCGCUGAAAUUUCCUGAAAGCUCCUAUCAGUGCCAAGAAAUCAGAUAGCUAGUUGGAGUGUGAGGUGGGAUUCCAAGUCUUAAAACACCAUGAUCCCGAGACACAAGAUGGUUUUUCUCGUUACUUAGACUAGUUUCGAUGGUAGCUGUCAGGUGGGAUUCCAAGUCUUAAAACACCAUGAUCCCGAGACACAAGAUGGUUUUUCUCGUUACUUCGACUAGUUUCGAUGGUAGCUGUCAGAUUCGGCUACGAGCCGAAUCAUCAUCAUCAAGUUUGACUGGUUCAAUGUCCAAAACAAUCUAAAAACAAACUCAGCCCUGGUCAAGCAAGUUUCAUGUCAGCAGAUCACCAGGCUUGUCCGGGUUCAGUUAUUAUAAUUUCCAUAUGGUACGAAAUUGAUGUGGAAACAAAUUCUCAAUAGUUUCGAAAUGAAUUUUACCGUCUACAAAUUCAGAUAAUAGGUACAUGGAAUGAGAAAUUCAAUCACCGUGUUUUUCUACAUGAUAUGGAUGCCUCCACCAUAUUGCCACGGUCUCAUGUCAAAUUUGCUUUUUUCUACAGGUUUUUGAAUGACAUUAUUCCUAACACUACUUGUUAAAUUCCUUAAAAACAUAAACCAUAAAACUUAGACUUGAGUUAGACUUGAUCCGAAGCUUGAAUUGCAUUUUUACCUGGAUUAACUCAAUAAUUGUUUUUUUAUAAAAAAACAUCAUUUUAAAGAAAAAAAAAAUCUGAUCUUUUUCACUUACUCAUAUCGCGUUGGGCUGCGUCUUAUAACAAUGGCUAAACCUGUCCCUGGAUAGAGACGAUCAGGUAUGUUUUUAGAUUAUCCACAACUGCAUGCCCCAUAGCUACCCUAUUUGUUUGAUAAAUGGCUGCAACCAUGAUAGGAUUUGGAUGGAUCAUGUCAGUUUAUCUGCAAGCACCAACUCAUUCGAGUUGUCAUCCUGAAACUGAUCAUUUUCAUUCGAUGCAAGCACCAACAGAAAACAUCUCAAGCUGUAGCAUAUAAAUUCACAGUGGGACAGAAAUAAUUCAAGAUAAGAUCAUCGAUGCAUUCACUCUUGUUAUUCUACCAAGAUCGGUCUAAUAUAUUAUCAAUCAGCAUGAUGGAAGCUUAGACAGCUACGCCUCAACCAAAGUGCACUGGGAGAGCAUUCCACUGGCCAAACCAAGAAAAAGUUGAGUCUAAUAGUGAUUUUACACACACGAAUAUUGGUCCUCGUGGUUGUCUGAACAUUAUAUCUGAUCAGGAUGCAGAUAGUACAAUGCAACAAAUCUGUUUCGGAGAAUGUCAACAUCUGUUUCAAAAAGCUGUGCCUGUUCAAAAAUCUUAACAAUCGUAUCUUAAAACAUUUUAUGAUGAUGGGUUGUAAUAUGCUUUUUUAAAAAAAAAGAUUUAAAAAAAAAAUUAAAACAAGGUUGUUUUUAAUUGAUUUGCCAGUCGAGAAUUAAUCACAUGAUUGAUUUUUUUACUGAGUCAAUUCCCAAUUAUUUUAAUUUUAAAAUCCGGCUUAUGCCAACUCAUGAGUGGACGGGUCAGGAGUUUACUUCGAGCAUCUCCAACAUAACAAUUAAAAAAAGAGUUAAAAUGAAUAAAAAUAUACUUUUAUCUUUUAUUUUUAAUUUUAAUCAUUUCAAUGGGUAAGUUAAGCUAUAUAAAUAGCUAAAAUGUCUAUUCUUGUUUUGAAAAGUUAUUUUUAUAUUUCUAUGCGGAGAAGUUAAAAAUAAAUGAAAUAACAUGUAUUUGUUGGCCAGUAUUUUUUUAUUUGUUUUGUAUUAAUAACAUCAUGAUUAUAUUAUAUAAAAAAUAACUAAAUUAGUUAUAUAACUAUACUAAAAUUAGUUUAACAUAAAAUAUAUUAAAAUAUAAUUAGCUUUUCUAAAUAGCUUGUUAUUUUUAAAAUAUACAUAAAUAAAAAAAAUUAUAUUUAUACUACUCAAAAAAAAUAUUUUAUUAAUUUAGUUUUUUAAUAUAUCAUUUUGCAUCGGAGAUGCUACGACAAGUUAACAUAGUAUGUAGCCAACAAUGUCUUGUAGUUUGUCUAGGGCAGCGUAGUUGUACCCAUGUAGGCAUUUAAGAAAUUGAACUCUUGUGGUUCCCUUAUCCUCUCCUUUUGAGGUUAAACUCCUCACCUCACUCAUCACUGCCGAUCAAAAUAAAUAAACAACCCAGCGAAUGAGGAAGUUCCACUUCAGUAUUCAAGAUAGAGUACAGCUCUCUCUCCUAGGUUCAUGAGAAACGAGAGGCAAUCAUAAAACCCAUCAGUGUUUUCCUCCAUUUUCUCAGAAACCAAUCAAUCGAUAAUUAUUACAAUGGAAGUUGAGGUAAAGCUUCGGCUUCCAGACUCAAACUCCCACCAAAAACUGUCUAUCAUCCUCGCUUCUUUCCACACCAAAACCUUAAUCCAAGAAAACAUCUUCUUUGACACCACCAACUCCAAACUCUCCUCAAACUUCGCAGCUCUCCGUCUUCGUUUCUACAAUCUUGAUUCUUACUGCAUCCUCUCUCUCAAAGCUAAACCUAUCAUGUCAGAUGGCAUUAGCCGCGUUGAAGAGCAAGAAGAGCCCAUUGACCCCAAGAUUGGCCGCAUGUGCGUGGCUGAGCCCGGCCAGUUACUGGGAUUAUUAGAGAGUUCAAAGAUAAUACAGAGAGUCAGAAGGGAGUUUGGGGUUGGAGAAAACGAGGUUCUUGUUUGUUUGGGCAUGUUUAGGAAUGUGAGGCAAGUGUUUGACUGGAAAGGACUGAAACUAGAGCUUGAUGAGACAAUUUAUGAUUUUGGAACCAGUUAUGAGAUUGAAUGUGAGAGUAAAGAGCCUGAGAAGGAUAAGAAGUUGAUUGAAGGAUUGUUGAAGGAUAAUGGGAUUGAGUUUUCCUACUCGGAAGCUAACAAGUUUGCAGUUUUUCGAUCUGGAAAAUUGCCCCGAUGAGAAAAAUAAUGUGUUAUUUUAAAUUGUAUUGAAACAGCAAUGAGUGAAUCAAAUCUCCUUAUUGAUGUUAUCAUGUUAAAUUUGCUUUUCAUUUCAACUAGUUCUUGGAAUGGCAUUAUUGUUCUUGACUCUUCUUGCUUCAUUCUUUAAAGUUUUUGUCCCUGGAUAGAGACUUUCAGAUAUAUUUAUCCAUUAAUAAAUGCCCUAUCAUCUUCCAAUUUAUUUGCUUGACAGAUAGUUGCAAGUUUGUUUGACAGAUUAGUUGCAGCCAUAACAGGAGAUUGUCUAGACAACGCCAGCUUAUCUGUGAGCACCAACCAUUCAUUUGAGUUGUCAGUCUCAAACUUGUUCAAUAGGAAACAUUUCAAGUUGGAGCAAAUAUCCCUAUCACUCUUGAAGAAAUUGAACAAAAAAAAUUAAGAUACACAGAUCCUUAUGAUUCAUGUUGAAGAAAAAAAAGGUUUUUACAUAAGAUCAUCAAUCAAUUCUCACCAAGACUGGUGUGAUAUGUCAAUCAGUAUGAUGAAAGCUAGACAGCUAUAAGUUAACCAAAGUGGAUUUGACCCAGGGAAGCUCAACAGCUCGGACAGCUAUAAGAUCAUUAAUCCAUUCGGUCUCACUAUUCUCCUUGUUUGUUUGACAGAAAUUUGCAAACAUAAUAAGAAUGGUCUGAUAUGUCCAUCGAUAUGAUACAAGCUCAGACAGUUCAGUCUUGUUUCUAGUAUUUAGUGAAGAUGUCGAUGCAAGAAAACAAACAAGCCAUAACUCAGGACUAGGCAGUGCUGAGGCAUCUGACGAGGGUUUACAUUAAUCCCCUGAAAAGAACUGAAGAUCAACUGCCUUGGAAAAAGGAAACAUUUCAUACAACAGGAUUCAAAUGGAAAGCAGAAUGACUGGAUAAUUGAAAGAAAUAUAGCCAAAGUUGAAAGUACAAAUUAAAUAACGACGAGAUACUGAGCAACCUGGGGCUUGCUCAGAUAAUUAUACAAGGAUUUAAGUUUUGAAAUACUUUCUUUUUUUUACAGGUAUACACAUGAAUUUCUGUUGAUGAUCAAGGCAGUUCAAGAAGCAAUAUACAUAAACUAGAAGUUAUGAGCACAACACACUUGCAGGAUAAUUCAGUCUUGCGAGCAACCUAAACAAACAUCUAGCAUUCCACAGAGUGCAAAAUUUGCAUAUAACCACACUUACCUCACCAUAUUUUCGGUUGUUGAUGCAGAAAGGAUGAACCAAAUCCAACAAAGGUUGCAGAGAAUUAAAGGAAUCACAUAACAAUAAUCAGGGCACAGCACUGCAUUGCCGAUUCUUAAAGAAAGCGAUCACCUGGUUCAUAUGUAUAUCACAAAUAUAAAUUUUUUACGUUGUCAGGUGAAGAAAAUAUUCUCUCAAUCAUGAAGGUAACACAACAUCCACAAGCAAAUUUUGCAAUAGCUUCCUCGGCGUAUGUUCCUAGACAAUUAUGCAUUCCCAAAAGAAAAGGAAAUUCUCUGUGAAGCAGCAAAGUGAAAACAAUAUACAGAGCCAAAUCUGCCAUGUACUGCUGCUAUUCAGAAAGAGAACAAAAUCUCCAAGUAUAUAAACAAUCCACAAAAGCAAAUAAACCUGUAGUUUAAUCUUGUAUUCAUGUCGACAGUAUUAAUCUAAACAACAUGAAUAAAAAGAAAAAUCUACAUUUUCAACGACACAGUAUUCACGUAUAGUAAGUUAGGGUUUAAAAGCACCCAUUUUCAUUACAAUACAUCAUUUGCAAAUCCUUUUGCAAUGCGUUAGCACUACAUAUUUACAUUCCCACAAAGGAGAAAUAAUCCCCCCUGUAUAAAAUACAAACAAAACUACCAAGACCAAUUUGGAGUUUUGAUGACACAUAGUAACUAUUAUUGUUCAAGACACUCUUCAUAAAACAACCAACACCAGUCUCCUUGACCGAUGUAAAUACAAUGAAAAAAAUGAAAAAAAGCCCGUGAAUCCGAAAGAGCAUUUUGAAUCCAACCCUCACAUUGAUUACACACAGCAACGAGACAACUAAAAGAGCACACCAAGUCAGGUGUGUGCAUCCGAGUUCAAUCACGAGCAGCAAUCCGAGCACCGAAUCAAUCCAUUCUCAUUACAUUCCAAGCAUCUCUUAAGCACCCCUUCAUCUUCAUCAAACAACUUCCUACUUCCACUACAAUUCCCACAUGGCACAAACCUCACAUCCCCACACCCUGCACAAACAAACCCAGCCAGCCGUCUUGGAAAUCCAUCAAGAACCCUUGCCAUUUCGCCCGUCUCGAACAUUUGCUUAAUCACCUCAGCACCACCUACAUGAUUCCCCCUUAUAAACACCUGCGGCAAGCUCACAUUUUUCUCUCCCAACACACUUUGCAGCUCCUUCUUAUAAGCUGAAUCCAUCGAAAUAUCCCUCUCAUCAACCCACACUCUAAACCCUCUAAAUAUCAUCUUCACCGCAUAACAAUCCUCAUAAGUCCUCCGAAUCCCUCGCAAGCUCGUUAAAUACACCACAAUCCUAUCCUCAGUACCAGGCAACUGAAUUCUAUUAUCAUUAACAGGGAACCUAUUAUACUCAGGCCCCAUUGAUUUCACAGAUUGUAGCUUAUUAGUUGCUUGAAUUUGCAAUUCUUUGGGAUUCGGUUUCGGGGACUCAAACAAAGACCGAAGCUUUUUGACCUUUCCUUUCAUGGACUCAAAAGAAUUGUAGAAUCCUGAUGUUGAUUGAAGGUAAGGCUUUGUCACUGAAGUUGAAUGAAUUGUAAGAGACCUAUUGAAUAUAGAACUAGAGGUCAUUUUAUUGGUGGUGGGUUUCGAAUUGGGUGUGAUUUCCUGGUUAUUUUCAAAUUCAGCCAUCGACCCAGAUCACAAAAUCAACUCAAUCUCAAGAAUUUCAACGAUUUCCUCUCUGGGGCUCUUGAUUAGAUCAAGAUUGAAACAACCUUGACCCUACAAUUCAACUCUAGAAAUGCCAAAAACUAAAAAAGAUAACCUUUUCCGUUACCUUCAAAAACAAUCCGAACCCGUUCAAAUCCGGUGCUGACGAUGGUGACGGAGAUGAAAUGAUCAGAGAAUUCUAACCGUGGGAUAAAGAAACUGGCGGUGGAUGAUUGCUCUUUGCUUUUUGAUUAUGGCAGGUGAAAAUAAUUUUGGGGUUUUUGCUUUCAGUUUUUGUUUUCUUGAAGUUGCUUUCUAUUUUUUUGAUGUCCGUUGCUUUCUGGCUUGCUUUCCUGUCUUUCUUUGUAUACAGGAGGAUAGAUAGGUAGAGAGAGAGAGAGAUAAAAGUGGAAAAAAAAGAAGAAGCAAAAAAGAGAUGGUUUUUAGCUUCGGGUUAGCCUGCGUUUGUUGCUGUUAGAGAGAAUUGUGGAGGAGACGAAUUUGGAGGCUUGAAUUGGAUACCAAGCUAGGCAAAGAAGAAACCAUAACUCCACGUUACACACACACACGCACGCACGCACGCCCACAUAUAUAUAAUGCUACUAGUUUCAGAGGAGAGAGAGGGGCUUUACAUGACAGAGACUACUCGUUGGGGGUGAUAAUGACGUCAGAGUUACAGACAGAUACAUACGACAGCUCCACCACCGCCUAGUUUGAAACAUACGCGGUUGUUUUUUUUUUUUUUUUCUCGUUUGAAUUUUGUUGGAUGUUUCAAAUGUUUUCUUGUCUUCCUCUCUGGUGUGUGCUGUAACAAAUGAUUCUACUCAAGGGUAUCAUUGUAAAACUACGCUUGGUUUGCGAAUUAUACAUGUUAAUAUAUCUUAAUCAAUUUAGAAUAAUGUUGUUUUUUUUAUAUAUAAAAAAAAAAACAGAUUUACUCGAGUUUUAAGUACGAUUAAUUUGCUAGGUUAAUUAGAUUUUUUUUAGAUCUUCAUUCUAUUUAAAUCCCAACCCUAAUCAGGUUUAUAUUCCCACUAUUUUUAUUUAUUUUGAUUUCAAAAUAGUAACUUAAUGUUAUUCUAGUAUUAAACAAUAUAUAUCAUGACCAAAAUUGUAUUCAAAUUUAAAUACAUACUAUUUUCUGUACAGACUCCUCAAUUCUUUGGAGGGUUUGAUGCUGGAAUGUCAUGUGUUUGCUUUAUUGUCUAAGAAAUUGAAAAUCUGAAAGGAAAAAAAAAACAAUAUAAGAGGAAUAAUCUCUGCUUACUUUAUUUUUAAAAUUGUGAUUGGGUCAACUGAUUUGUGUGUGUAUCACUUUAAAAUAUCACAUGGAUUUUUGGGAAAGAUAUCUAGCGUGGACCAUAUGAUAAAAAAAAAAAAAGGGCGAUGAUGAUAAUUGCUUUUGGAUGGUUCCAAUUUCUUAAAAAAAAAAAAAAAAAUUUCAUGUGUGAACGUGAAAAGAAAAAUCUUUUUUCAUUCUAUCUGUGACUCCUACUGCUUUUUAAAUUUAUGCCCAAUAUUAAAUUUUGGAUUUUUUUUUUUUAUGUUAGCUGGGUUCAAACAUAGCUUUCAGAAUUCUUCGGGGUGGAUUAGAAAAUUACUUAGAGGAAAAUUAUUACAUUACAUUGUUUUUGUAUUUAAAAAAUAUUUAAAAAAUAUUUUUUAUUAUUAUUUUAAAUAAUUUAAUGUGUUGAUAUUAAAAAUAUAUUUUUAAAAAAAUAUAUUAUUUAUUAUAUAUUUUUAAAUAAAAAACCAUUUAUAAAAUAAUGUAAGUUAUUUAUUUUAGUUAAAAUAAUAAUAAUAUUUUUUAUUAUUUUUAAAGUUUAUGAUAUCCCAUUUUAUCAGGUUAUCUAAAUUACUAAAAACCUUCCCGGGUCAAUAUUUUUUUUUUUUUCUGACUCUCCUUAAAAUACAAUUUAGAUCUGGCUUUGUAUUAGGAAUUUCCGAGAUUAACCCGUCUUGGGGGCAGGGUUCAAUAACCAUGGCGGGAACCAGCACAUUAGUGGGUGAAUUAAUUUUGCUGAAUUUUAACGUCUGUGGGCUCUAUAGGAACAUUACUAUCAAAGAUUUCAUCGUAAUAUAAUAUAUAUUUUUUCAUGUCUAGGGGCUCUGUAGGAAAAUUACCAUCUAAAAAUAUCAUCAAUAAAUCAGGUAAUAUGAAAAGCAUCCAGAGAUUUAUUGUGAUAGCUUCUAUUUUUUAAAAAAUAUUUUGGAUUGAAAAGAUAUGUUUUUUUAGUAUUUUUUAAUGAUUUUGAUGUGUUGAUAUUAAAAAUAAAAAAUAAAAAAAAUUAUUUUAAUAUAUUUUUAAACAAAAAAUUAUUUUAAAAAAUACCCUUAAUCUUAAUCCCAAACACACAAUAUAUAAAUUCACAACAAUUUUAGGUUACAAUAUUUAAUAUCAAACUUUGAACUUUCAGUUGAUCUAUCCUUUUCAUUUACGAACUAUUUUAUUGAGAAAUUUUAUGAUGGUCGAACUCUAAUUAUCAAUAUUAGAGAAAUAAACAUUUUGUAUAUUUUACUUGCCAAAUAAAUUUGUCAUUUUUAUUCGCUGUUGAAACCCAAUUAAAGCAUGAACAACACAGGAAAGUCUCCAAAACAGGAAACAAAAGCUGUUAAUUUACUGUAUAAAGCUUACAAUUUCCCAAGAGUUAUAGAUUAAUUUAGCGUAUUUCUCUGUAUCCCCCCCCCCCUCUUAUUUUCAUUAAUUUAAAUAUUCUUUUAUUGAGAAAAGAAUUACUCUUUCAAGCAGAUAUAUCAGGUAUGCUUCUAAACUGGCUUUCAUUUUAUUUCCAUCCAAGUCAAUUCGUUGUUCUUAGAAGGAAAAGGGAAAAUCUGAGUCAUUUUCAGUUUAUAUCUUGAUGGGAUUUUGCCCAAUAUUCUAAAGUUGUCACAGCAUAAAAGCAUAAUGACAGGAGUAACGCUAAUUUUACCUUAUAUUAUUUCCAAAUCACUUCUCCAAUCUCAUACGUAAAUUUCAUGGCUGGAAAUUUUUUAUUUGGAUUUUCUUGGCAGGCAAGAUGAACUAAACAGCCAUUGAUGGACUAAAUCAUCAACAUGUUUAAGUAAAUACCACAUGAAAUCAGCAAGGGUUAUACCUCGCAGCCAUGAGAGGUUUUGGCAAAACAUCUCGAACACAAGACAAAUUAUCAACAUGGAAAAUGGGCAAUUUCGAAAUCAAGAAAUCAAACUAAAAUCAUUCAAAUUGCAUGGCGGGUCAGAGACAAGAGCUGUCAAGAUCAUUUCACACUUGGUUCCAGAACAAAAUGAGGUACAAGGCCAAUCGAGUUAUGACUGUAGGAAUACAAUCAUCUUGAUAGAAGCUGUACCCAAACGGAAAUAAACCAACCAAGAUCAACCUAAAAUCAGAAGUUGAGCUAAUAAACAAUGCCACAGAAAUAAUGAUGAUAUUUUAAAUUUAGACAGUUUUGAGAAUCCUGAGCUUAACUUGAACAGUUCAAGUACAAAGCAAACAUCUCAUUCCAAAUGCAGCAAAAAACAAGGGUCGAAGUAAUUCUGUUGAGGUCGAGAAUCCUGACAUAAACUUGCCAUGUUAAGUAGUACAAAGCAAAGUAGAAAACAUCUCACUCCAAAUGCAGAAAAACACACACAAUUUGAUCAUUUCCAUUGAACUAUCGAGAAAAAUCUUAAGUUUCAAUUUAUAUGCAGUGUCUGAGGCACAUUACAUGCACACGAAUUAAUUUUUAACCAACAGCAGCUCUGUAUCAAGAGCAGGGCUGAAAAAAUGCCAGCUUGAAUCAUGAAAAGCAGCAAAAAAAUCGUCUGAAGCUGUCUUGAUUACAUACUCAUCUGCAAAUUUUCGAGCAGCCAAAACAUGCUUUGUUGACUCCACAACAAUGGAGUUCUUGAUCUCGGAAAAGAACUCAUACAUCUCAAAGCUAUUUCCAAAUAAUACAAUAUGAUUAAGCAGUUCCAAUUCCCAGUUUGCCUGUAAGAGAUUGUUAUAUAGCCCUGCCUCACAAUGUGGCAUGUAAAACACCGUUGACUUUGUAGCGCGUCUACGACCUUGCUCAUUUACAGACAGGACAGAACAACCAAGGGAUUCCAGAACCCGAGACUCUGUUGCAGAAAGAAUUGGGUCAAAAACCUCUAUGUCCCCAAUCCAACAAAACUUCCUUUUCAUCAAGAUAGCAAGACUAAGCUGGAAUCGAGGGUUUUCAUAUGAUUCAAUGCUGCCAAUUCCAUAUAUCACCAUCGGCAUCUUCAGUUCAAAGCCCAGCACCCUGUGAAAAGAAUCCAGGAUUUCAGGAUUUUCUACUUGCUCCAAAAAGUUCUGAUAGAAUCGAGAGCUCUCAACUUUCUUGAUACAAAAUUCCAUCUUUUGUAUUAACUUUGCUUCUCUUUCUGGAUCGGAUUCAAGCUCAGUAGGAACCCAUGGCUGCUGUUCUGCUUCUGGAGUAUUAUGUCUUAGGGAAUGUAUUCUCUUUUUGCCUCGACGAGGCAUUACAACUGUCCAGUUUUCAUUUUGGGAGGGCUUGUCAAGAGCAAGGAGUUUUGCAGAAGCUGUCAUUACAGAACAUUAACUCUCUCUUCUCCUUUGCAAACAAACACUGCCUCACUUUAGUUAAGUCUGAACCCGAGGCAAAAUGAUAAGUUGAUUUACAGAGCAAGCAUGUGAAUUAUGGGAAGCAGUCAAAUACUUCCCAUUCACACUAGCCAAAAUCCUUUGUCGAAGUAAAGAGUGAUUCAGGUAGCCAAAUAUCUUAUUCCUCCACUCAUAAAAAACUCCAUCAAAGCGAAUCAAUUAGCUCCACACCUUAGAUCAGCAUGAGAAACACGCUAAACAAUCUUUCAUUUUCCUGCUCAAGAGAGAUGCAGGGUCUCGUAAAUCAUGCAAGAAUCUCAGAACCCUAAAACCUAACUAGAAUCUGAAAAGAAGUUUUCUUUACCCUAAUUAUAAAUCAUCAGAAACCAAUUUUGCAGGUUCCCCAUUCGGCAUAAUUACACAAAAUUCACAUUCUUAUCUCUAUUAGGCCCUAUAAUUUCCACGAAUCUCACAUAAGCCUGACACUUUGGCUCACCACCGUGAAGUGUUUUAAGCUCCUUUCAUUGUGUGUUUGGUAUUUUGGUGUAGGUGCGUUUUCAUGUGCUUUUUGAUGGUUAUAACGUAAGCAUAUCAAAAAUCCGAAAUCAUAUGAAAAAGCAUCAAAAUGCACUUUGAAAAGCACUUUUAAACGCAGUCCAAACGCAUUACCAAAAACACCCUUAUUACUCCAUUGCUAUACCAUCGAUCUUUAGCAUACAAGAAAAUUAUGCUUACGGUUACACAGUUUCUGACCACUACUACUUCCACAUAUUCAGCAGUCUAUAUUCUAUAAUGCAUGUUGACUAAAGAGAAUUGGAUAAUUAAACAGGUUUACAGGGUCCAAGGCCAACUAAAAUUUAAAUUACUGAGCAUAAUAACUGAAAUUAAACAUGAAAAACUGAAUAAUCAAACAACUCAAGAUAACAGAAAUUCUCCUUCAAAAGGGUCUCUAAUUAACACUACGUUACCAUAACAUCCAGUCCUAGUCUUCCAAAUUUACAAAGAUUGCAUAUUUGCAUAUGUGAAGUAAAAAAGAAUUUUUUUUUUAAGAAGUUAGAAAGGAUUUUGGUAGACGGGAUCUGAGAAAACUUACAGGCAGGGGCAAGGUUGCAAUACACUGGUGGCUGCGGCGGCGAUUGUGGGGGUCUCUGCAGCGGCUGCCUCUCUUGGAUUGGUAUCGAGAGUAACCAACCAGUUCCAGGUGUGCUGGUUCCUUUUUAUGGUCACUACUUCUUACGUUGUUUUUGUACGGAACAAAUAUACACUUGAACUACAGUUGUUAAUGAAAGAAGAUUUUUCUCUUAUUUAUUUAUAUUUUCAAUUAUAAUUAUAAUUAUUAAACUUAACCCGGUUUAUUAACCAGUUUAAGCUUCCAUUUAUAUUGCGUUUUACACGAGGUUAAAUAAAAAUUGAAUUUUUUAAAAUUAUUUUAAUAUGAAAUAUAUUUUUUAAAAAAUAAAUAAAUAAUUUUUAAUAUAUUUUUAAAUAAAAAAUACUUUAAAAAAUAACUAUUAUAUUCUCUAAUAUCAUUAAUAACAACGAUUCAAAUAUUUUAAUUUUAAAAAAAAUAUUUUAAUUUUUAUUUAAAAAAACUUUAAAUCUCAUGGUUAAUCCAGUAGAAUUUAUUUUUUCAUAAUCUUAGUUUAAAUUAACUUUUUUAUAUAAAAAAAAAAUUAAUCUUUUGAAAUUUCAACGUAGAUGUUUAGCAUAUUUUGUUAACAAAUUUGGAUAAAAACAGUUUCUCACUCCAAUUCAGAAUUUUAUAGUUUCUUAUCUCCUUCACUCCUCCCUCCAACCUCUUCCGAUCACCGUUUAAUUUAUCCGUUAAAAAUGAUUUACGGUGAUCCUCAACAACACCAGCACCAGCACCAGCAGCCACAACAACAACACCAGCACCAGCAGCCACAACAACAACACCAGCACCACAGCACAGCACCAGCACCAGCACCAGCAGCCACAGCACCACCACCACCAACAUAUGCAACAGCAACCGCCUCCUGGUGGUGAUUUUCAAAGAGGGCAGCCACCGCCAAUGAUGCGACAACCCUCCGCUUCAUCAACCACUCUUAACCCGCUUGAUUACCACCACCAUCCGCAGGCCGCCCCCGGUCCUCCUCCUCCUAAAUACGAAGCUAGUUAGUUAGUUACACAAGUGCAUUGUUGUUUUUUAAGUGUUUUAGGGUUUGGAAAUUCUGUCUUUGAUUAGUUUAAUUAGAGUGACCAGGUUUCAAUUUUAACCUAAGUUAUGAUGAUGAAUUGUGCGUUUUGAUUGGAAUUUUGUCAUUUUAUUGAUUGAUUGAUUGAUUUUUGUUGUUGUUGUUGUUGUUAUAGAUCAUGGUGAUGGUUACGGUGGAAAAAGGAUGAGGAAGCUUACGCAGAGGAGAGCAGUUGAUUAUACAAGCACGGUUGUUAGGUAUAUUCAGGUAAUGCUUGAAAUAUGUGAUAGCUGGUAAUUGUUGUGAUAUGUAUCUCAAUUGGAAGCGAUGUAGGCCUUGGAAUUUAUUUUUUUGGUUGUGGAUGUGUUUCUGGCCGGAUUUGGUGUUCUUGUAAUGGUAAUUGAAUAAUUGAUGAGGCAUCUAUUUGUCCGUCUUAAUUCCAAUAUCUGAAUCUGUAGUUGGUUUCUUUUAUAUUUUGCUUAAGAAUAAAAGCUUGUCAGUGUUGGUUUUGAAUUCAUAGUUGUACAGGACUAGUGGUUUUCUUUGGGUUAUGGUGGGAUUAAUUGAUCUUGACCAAGAGAAGAGGUGGUGGUUUUUGUACAGUGGAAAAACAGAGAAGUAUAGGGUUUUGUAAUUGCUUGGAGAAGUGGUGGAUUUUGUACAGGGGAAAAAGAGAGAAUUAUAGGGUUUUGUAAUUGCUUGGAGAUGUGGUGGUUUUUUUACGGGGGAAAAAAAGAGAAGUAGGGGAUUUUGCAUGCCUCUACUAAUAUUUUGGGUUUCGUGAAGAGAGUGGAACAAAGAGUAUUUGGGAGAAAGAUUCUACUCUCAACUCUUUGAAGGACUUGUGGGUUCAAACUUUACGCUUAUAGUAUUCCAACAAAGAGGAAUUAAACAAUUGAACUUCAGAGAUCACGUAUUCUCUUAUGUGGUUUAUAUGAUGUACCAUCAAUGAUUUGCUUGCUAGUUUCUUUUGCUUUUGCAAGUGGUUGGUGUCCCCUUGGUGCCUGUAUCAAUAGAUCUUUUGUUAUUUGAGUCACUUGUAAUCUUGUUUCAGUGUUGCUGCAGACUCGUAUGUGGCAGUGGGACUUGAGGGACAGGACAGUAUUGCAACAUACCCCAGCAGCUGCGAUCGAUGUUAGUGAACAUUGUUAAUCUAUAUUCUUUCUUUAUGAGAUAUGCUCAAAGUAGCUAUUAGUCUAAUAACUUUCUAUGCUUCAAGCAUGUGAAUUUUCUUCAUGUUUUGAUCUCUGUUGUAGGUGUUGCCUCCAGUUGCCUAUUCUGAUAAUCCAUCAACAAGCUUUGCCACAAAGUUUGUUCAUACAUCUCUAAACAAAAACCGUUGUUCGAUAAAUCGGGUUUUGGUAAGUCUGAUUGUGACAGAAUUCUUGACUUUGUUACAUAUUUGAAUGGACAAGCAUUUAUUUCUCUUAGGAAGUAGCAUGAUCUGCUCAUACUGUUCUCUGAUGGAUCAUCAAGUGAAAUUCUGUUUCUUUUGAAGUUAGAAGUUAAAGUCAAUUUGCUUUGGUUUUUAUGAAAGGGAAUAUGUGCUGAAUUUAUCUGUCAUAUUUCUUUCCCUGUUAAACAUGUUUCAGGCUCAGCGUCAAAUGAGAGUGCAAUUCAUUUAAUGGGUCCUCAAACUUAGUUUUUACUUGUCUGAGGUGUCAAAUAUAUAAUUGUGUAUGACAUUAUGAAAAAUGACUUAAACACAAUUAUUCUUAUUUGCUGUUUCGUAAUUUCAUUUUGAUAGCAUAAAGUUUUAUCCUUUCAUUGUGUUGAUAUGAAUGAAAAAAAAAAAAAAAUUGUUGCUAGAUGUGCAAAUUGCCUGUUGAAACAAAUCAAGUUAGAUGAAGACUGGUGAUCCAUGGUGUUUCCGACAAACUGAACUCAUCCUACUAGUCUUAAAAUUAUCUACCAGUUAGCUCUUUGAGGCCUUAGUCUGCAGUUCGUGUGUGAUAGUGUAGAAAGUUGUUGAGUUCUAAUCAGUAGUCACCAAUUCCUAUUUGGCAGAGCAGAUGACUUCAUUUGCUUAAUAAAAAAAAAAAGGUGUGUGCAUCUGCCUGCGCACCUGCACAUACAUGCAAGAUAUGCACAUGCAUGUUAUCUAAUUUGAAAUGAGUUUGAAUGCCGUUUAUUAUUUGCCUGGUCUAAAUUUAUUUUGCCAUUACAACUUCCUUGCCAUUUUUACCCUUCUUAAAUACAGCAAAACAUUUUGAUUCUUUCUUUUGGGAUUCAUCACAUUUAACUUUGUAAUCAAACAUAUUCUGACCCUUUUCUUGAUAUGUAGUGGACUCCAAAUGGGAAACGUCUAAUCACAGGUUCUCAAAGUGGGGAAUUCACCCUUUGGAAUGGACAGUCAUUUAAUUUUGAAAUGAUUCUUCAGGUGUGUAGAUAUGAUCAUUUAAUGUUGAUUUUAACCAGGAAAGAAGCCAUAUUGAUGAUUUUUGUGGAAUUCUUUUAUGUGCAGGCUCAUGAUCAAGCAAUCAGGUCUAUGGUAUGGAGCCACAAUGACAAUUGGAUGGUCUCUGGUGAUGAUGGUGGUUCAAUUAAGUAAUUCUCAUAUGUUCUUCAUUGUUCUUAUAGCUUUGUUGCUAUUAUGUUCGUAUAUGUUGUUCAUUUAAUAUUUUUUUUAAUGUUUUUUUAGGUAUUGGCAGAGCAACAUGAAUAAUGUUAAGGUCAAUAAAUCUGCUCAUAAAGAAUCAGUGCGUGACUUAAGGUAGAUAUUUGCUUCAUAUCUCCCUUCCUUUUCCUUCUUUUUUCUUAAUACAUGGUGUUAGUGAAGUUCAUAUUGUAAACCUCUCGAACAGUUUCUGUAGGACAGAUUUGAAGUUCUGUUCAUGCUCCGAUGAUACUACUGUUAAAGUUUGGGACUUUGCUCGGUGCCAUGAAGAGCGUUCAUUAACGGGUAAUGUGUUUUUUGGUCAAUGAACAUAUGAUAUUAGUUUGUGUGGGAUGAUUCUUUUAUGGUACUUAAUUGGACGUUCUUUCUCCCAUUCUCCUGAAUUAUUGCAAAUAAUGUUUCUUUAAGAUUGCUUGAUACAAUGCUAUGCUUUUAGUCAGAAAAGUUAACCUUGAAAGAAGAAUAUUGAAAUAUGCAAUGGGCCUAAGACUGUUGUUCAGUCAUUUUCUUCCGUGAGAGAUAGUUUAGAGACUAAUGCAAGGAAUAUUAAUGGCUUUGCUUCCAUGAUGUGAUCGGACUACUUACUGUUGCAUGUAUUUCUAGUUCUGGUGUAAGUGACAGUCUGAUGGCUUACAUUACUGUCUGUGUGUUGUGCUCAUAAUAUUUGCACUGAGUAACCUAAAGAGUUUUAUCUGCAUCAUUUUGAACUCAGGCAGGCCAUGGUUGGGAUGUGAAGAGUGUUGAUUGGCACCCUACAAAAUCUCUUCUGGUCUCAGGUCAGCCAUAUAUUUUUUUUGGAACCUCAUGAUCUCUUUAUUAAGUUGGCAUUGUUGUGGUUGAUGCUUCUAAUUGACUUUUUUUAGGUGGGAAAGACAACCUAGUAAAACUCUGGGAUGCUAAAUCUGGAAGAGAGCUUUGCUCAUUGUGAGUACAUAUUUUCUUGGUGAUUAGGCUAAGGUUUGGUUUAGGAUUUUUAUAAAAAAAAUUGACAAGUUCGGCAUGGGUUUUGCAGUCAUGGCCACAAAAAUACCGUUCUUUGUGUCAAAUGGAACCAAAAUGGUAACUGGGUGCUGACUGCUUCAAAAGAUCAAAUCAUCAAGGUUUGCAAAUUCUUUCUCACAUCAAAGGUCUCUUUUAUGAAGGAUUGGGGCUUGAAUGUUGACCCUCUUUUACCUUGACCCUCUUUUUGUAAUUUUUGCACAUUUUCAGAUUUAUGAUUUAAGGGCAAUGAAGGAGCUUGAAUCUUUCCGCGGACAUCGGAAGGACGUGACUGGUUAGUAACACCUUUCACCUAUGCACAUCAUAUGAGGAUAAAAUUCAGUUGUAUAAUGGUCUGCCCUUUAUUAUAAAGUUAUGGGUUCCACUUUUAUAUGCCAUGCUUACUGUUGGCUGAGCUUGGAUUAAAAUUGCUAGCAUGCUUGUUUUAAUUCAGUAACUUUUCUGUGGUGUGAUUUGUAAUAUACUUAUCGUAAAAAUGUUCUCUACUAUUUCCAGCAUUGGCUUGGCAUCCAUUCCAUGAAGAGUACUUUGUUAGUGGGAGUUAUGACGGGUCUAUUUUCCAUUGGCUUGUGGGGUAAUGUUGAUAUGUCAAAUAGAACUCUAUUUUUUUUACUGUUAAAUUAUUCUACAACUUCUUUCUGAAGUUCUCAUCAUGGUAUACAUUAGGUGAUUGAAUGUUAUUUGUUUUUAAAACGUUUUCAUUAAAAUAUUUGCAAGGCAUUGAAAAUCUAUGCUAAGGAAAUGAGUAUACGGAGGUUGGAGAGAACCCUCUUUUGUGUGUGUGUGUGUGUGUGUGUGUGUAAUUUAAAGUAAUUUAGUGGAAGGGGAUGUAUAUGGAGUCCUCCAACCAUCAUUUUUUUGUGGGCUCGUUAUUCAAGGAAAAAUAUAAGAAAACAAGAAAAUAGAUCUUAAGAUUUCUUCUCAGAAUUUGUUGGUUAUCAAACCUUUUUUGUUUUGGAUAGUGGAUUACUGAAAACAAACAAUCUUUUGAUCUUAUUUCCUCUCAUUUUUCCGGUUGUGUCGGUUGACUCUAUUUUCUUGUUUGAUGCUAUUUGUGCUGCUUGCUGCUCAUAUGGAAGUAAUCUCAUAUGGCUUCUGUAUCUUAUGACUGUGAUGUAUAGGCAUGAAACCCCCCAGGUUGAAGUUUCCAGUGCUCAUGAUAAUAGUGUUUGGGAUCUUUCAUGGCAUCCUAUUGGAUAUCUUCUUUGCAGGUAAAUUGGCUAAAUUCAAGUUAAUUGAAUAUCCUGGGAUGUUAACUGGUUUUAGUUUUCCUUCCCUUGUGAACGGGUAUUCAAAGAAAUUACCUUUCUUGAAUUUUAUUAGAAAGAAAGUUAAAGUGGUGGCAUGGGUCAUUGCUUGGAAUAUUGAAUGUGGUUUAAUAUAGUUACUACAGCUUUACUUUUUUCUAGUUAUAUAGAAGUUGCAGUGUCUUGUUUGUUGUUCUAUAGCAUCGUAAGUUGGUUUGUAAACUUGUUAAAGAGCAAUGUGAGUGGCACAUAUCAAUGCCAUUGUAUUGUGCAUGUCAUCUAACUUGUACAAGAUUUGAUUAUACGAACUGCUUCACAAGUUACUCUCUAAUUGCAUCGUUAAUAUAUGAAACAGUCAUACAGGCUGCCUUUGAAGCAUGGAAACUUGAAAAUCCUAAGGAAUGAAGUUUUUUGAAGCAAACAGUGUAUCAUGGAAUAGGUUUUUUGGCUUAUUAUGCUUUUCUGCUUCUGGUAUUUUUGAGGUGUUCCAUUAGUUGAUAUUAUUGGAAACCCUUUUGUCAAUAUUUUUAUUUGGUAAGAUUCUUAUUUUCGUUUUUGUGCUGAAUUUUGCACUCUAUCUAUGAUGAUCUUCUAUUUAAAAGAAAGGAAGGAGAGUUCUUGGCUUGUGCUAAAGGAGUACUUGGCUGUAGCAACUUUCAGAAUUUGGUUUUCAUGAAAGAUUUGAAUAUCAAAUAAUUGUAUUUCAAUGUUCUGGUGGUGGACUAAAAUUAAAAAAAAAAAUGACAUGAUUAAAUUGCUUUAAUCUAUGACCCUUUCUAAGGCGUUUCUACCUCACCAGUUACUAAACCUGCAUAAGUUUUUCUGCAGUGGUAGCAAUGAUCACACAACAAAGUUUUGGUGUCGAAAUAGGCCAGGAGACACUGCCCUUGAUAAAUUUAACGUGGGUCAAAACCAAGGUUAGGCUUUACAAACUGGUGAAACUGAACAUGGCUUGAUCGAUAUUUUGUAUUAAAUUCAAUCAUGUGUUGUGUUGGCCAGAAAAUCUCCUUGUACAUGUUCCAAAAAUUUGAAGCCAUGAUAUUUUCAAUGAUUACAUGAUUAGUAUACAAAAGCAUUUUUUAUUAAUUAAUUUUCUAAGCAUUACCAUCUCUACCAGGUUAUGGUGAGCAAAAUCCUGCCCUUGGUGGCCGCUUCCCUGGCAAUUUCCAUGUACCUGAACCACCAACAACUCCAGGACCAUUUGCUCCUGGACUGACUCGAAAUGAAGGAACUAUUCCAGGUAUUGGAGCUGCAAUGCCACUAUCAAUUACAUCUCUUGAUGCAUCGCAGGGAGAGCAGAGGCAGCCUCUUCCUGUUUCUAUGCCCUUUGGCGGGCCUCCUCUUCCUCCUGGUCCACAUCCGUCACUUCGUGCAGCCAAUCAGCAGCAGGGAUAUCAGCAAAGUCCUCAGCAGCAGCAGCAGCAGCAACCACUCCCUCAGCACAUGCCUCCUUUGCCUAUGCCACCUCCAAACAUGCAACAGCUACUGCCUCCAUCCCAUGUACCCCUGCUCUCUCAUCCCCAUCUACCUCGCCCUCCUCAAAUGCCUCCUCAUGGCAUGCCUUCACCAAUCCCAUCUUCAAUGCCCGGAUCUAUGCCUGGUCCAAUGGUAUGAUAUAAAGCUCCAGUCUUUUAUUUUUCUUUCCCAAGUUCAUCUCAUCCCCCUCACUUUAAUUCCAAUUGUUGCAAUUUGGUGCAUAACUUAAAAAGAUUCUCAAGUAGUUUCUCUGCAUGGUUGACGAUGCAAAGCGGGCUUCUGAUUAGAAACACGCUUAGUGAUUGAAAGGACAUGGUCUCGUUUAAAAUAGAUUUUGUAAUUCUAGUUUCAAGUUACAUCUGUUCAGCACUUUCCUUAAUGAGGUGUAUUUGGAAUGCUAUAUUUUACUCUUUCUUUUUCCUUUUUAGGGGAUGCAAGGGACGAUGAGUCAGAUGGUACCUCUGUUGCCACAGGGCCAUUUUAUGGGCAUGAAUCCAAUGCACUCAGGAUCCUUGCCCACAAGUGCUGCCCCUCCAGUCGGCGGGGGCUUUCCAAAUGGCCUGCCCAAUAUGCAGGGCCCAUCAAAUGCCACAGGGGGGCAAAUGUAUCCACAGGGUGGUCCAUUCAACCAUCCUCAAGGUGGACAGAUGCCGAUGAUGCCUGGGUUUAAUCCCUACCAGGUAAGAUAGACAUCACAUUGUUUUGUUAUGGACCAUGUACCAUCCCCAUAUUUGCACUAAAAAUGUCCAGUGUAAAUUGAUGGUAUUUUGUCCGUCAUUUUCAGAUCCCAUAGACAAUUUAAACAGUGUACUUGAACAUGGAUCAUUGUGGAACCCGUGGAAUGUUUAAAUUAUCAAUUAAAAAAGGUCUACUGGCUUCCAUGCUGAAUUGGUAUCAGUUCGCAAAACUGAAAACCAACCCCUCUAAAACAUGCCGCUUUGAUCACUAUGAUGGGCAGAAUAGAGAGAUGCAGAGUUGUGUCAUGGAGAUAAUUGUCUCUUAUUGAAGUCUACAGUGUGUUGGAUUUGGCAAAUUUUCUAGAAUUUAUUGACUUGUGAUAACAGCAAUUCAAUUAAAAUAUGACGAGGGAAACUGUUGAUGUAAGCAUGCAUAAUUUUAUCUGCUCCUGUUAUGCUUUUCUUUUUUCCGGGUUGCAUUAUCAUGGUUCAUGUCUCUUACAAGUAACGAACUUGAGAGUCGGUACAGAAUUCUAAAUGUUACUAGUUUCUGAGCAGGCUUGUGUAUGCAACAUUUAUGCUUGUUCAAGAAGAGCUAACAUAUGUUAAUCCUAAUUGCAGUCUGGAAACCAAUCUGGUAUGCCUCCACCACGACCACCUGGUCCACCACCACAUUCGCAGACACCUCAGUAGAACCUUUGUCGCGUCAUAAAGGCCUGCUGCCUAUGCCUUGAAGAAGAGAAAAUGUCCUGCUGCCUGUGCUCAUACUAACAACUUUAACUUGUAGUCAUGUUCAUUGCUUUCCAUUUUGCCCCUUUUUCAAUAGCCAUGUAUGAUUGAAAUCGUAUAUACUUGUAUACUUUGAGACGGAAUUAAUCGAGCAGAACAUUUUGUACAAUCUUUUUCUAUAAAGAAUUCUGUUUAUAAAUCAUGCUGAAAUGAUACCCGUAUAAUAUAUAUUUUAUGUUAAAUAAUAAAUAAUACUUGGAUAACAUAUUCAAAUGAAUAUCUAAAACAUAGUGGAUAUAUUUAAGGUUUUUGGAUAGGGUAUAACUAUAAUUGAAAUUUAAUUUGUGAAUACCCAUUAGCAUCCCUAAAUUAUUAUUGUUAGGGUUCUUGAUAGAUGCAGCAGAAACACCAACAAUUUUGCCAUAUCAACAUAAGGUACUCAUGGCCCUUUUCUUUAACACAAUCGAGUGAUCAACCUUAUGCACACUCAUGUGAAGAGUUUUCUGUGACUGAUUUUUGCAUCAAAGCUCGACGAGGAGUUGCUGCAAAAACAAUUCAAAUUUGUAAGAAAGUUUUGGCAUUAAAACUUAUCUUUUUCGCUGUUUUUGCACAGUGAGAAACCAUCCUACCUACCCCAGCCUGAUGAGAAAAUCUUGCCAUAUAAUUUAUGUUAUUGCUAUAUAAUUUUCAGACGAGUAAUGCUACAAACCACAAAUUUUUAUCACAAAAAACCAUGAAUUAAGAGAAAAAAACAGCCAUAAAUGUUCCACAAAGUUGCAAUUGUGUCAUCAUCUAUCAUUCGUGUUUUUUGGUAUAAAUCAUUACAAUUUUCAAUCUAUGGGUUUAUAAAAAAAAAAAAAAAAAAACUGGGAUUGCAGAAUUAUUAGCAGAAAUAAGAAUUUAAAUCCCUAUAAUCAAGCAACCAACUAGUACAAAUCUUCAAGAAUCAAAAACCUUCCAAACCCUAUUGGCCACCGACGACAAAGAUUUCUCUCAAUCAGAGUUGACAUUUUGUUGUUGGCUCAGAGAGACAGCAACAUCAUCAGCAACAAUAAAGCAAACAGAGAACAGCUCACUUAAAACCCUCCAAACCCUACAUGCCACCAGUAUGAUCAAGCUUGGCUGCAUUGCCAUGAUAGCUACCUAGCUAGCUUGCUAGAACAACUCUUCAACCCACACUUAAUGUGGUGUUUCUCAGUUGAUGAUCAACAACAAACAAAGAAGAACAAAAUCCUCAACAACAUUGCAUGAAGACUUGGAACCUGGAAGCAAAGGUAAUCUCUGUUAUUAAGGAGUGAUUGAAGGAGGAGAAUGAAACGGCAGAGGAGAAUGCAGGUGAACUUGAGUUUUGAUUAAAUUUUGUUUCAAAAUUGGACGCUUCUACCUUCUGGUGCCGUGCCUUGCCCUUUUGACAAACGACAGUAUGUACGAUAAUAUCUCCACGUUGUCAUUUACUUCCAUCAUCUUCCACGAAUAAGGGAAGAACACACAGCCACACGUAACAAAGUUAUUAAGCCCAGGCCCAUGGAGAAAGGAAUCGCAGAGAAGGAUGGAAAGAGUUGACUUUUUCGAGAUAUAAAUAUUGCAACUGCCAACUGGCGUAGCACUGCACCAGAUUAAACUGAAUUUCAACGACCAGUAUGGAAGCAAAAAAAUACUCCAUCAAAGUUCAUUACCUACGACGAUUAAUGUGAGAUGGUUACAGCUAGCAAUCACCAUAUAAAUAAUGCAGCAGUCUUGGCUAACGUGCGAAAGGAAUCAUCAAGUGGGCUAGGCCUAAAUCACACGACUCAUUCCUCGCCAUUGGUUUGAAGCUGACAGGUAAAGAUAAAAAUGCUGUUAGUCUUGAAGUUAUAUGAGUAAAAAUGGUAACAUGUACUAAAAGCAUCAGUAUUUUUAUGUGCAUGUGGACUGUAGUGCAUUACAUAAUAAAACACUGAUGUUUUUGUCUUAGUCUUAGUUUUUUUGUUUUAACUAUUUUUAUUUUUAGCUGUUUUUUUUAUGUCUUUCAGGAUUAUUUUUUCUUCUUUCUUUGUUUUUUAUCUUUUAACAAAAAAAUUUUGUUUAAUUUAGUUUAUUAAUAUUAAUUUUUUUAUUUAGUUAUCAUACUUUUAUGACAUGUUUUCCGGGUUUAACGGGUUAACCUGAUUUGACAAGUUAACCUAUAAUUUUUUUUUUUUUACUUUUUUUUCUUUUUAAUUAAAUUUUUUCGUUUAGUUUAGUUUGUUAAUGUUAAAUUUCUAUCUAUUUAGUUAUCAAACUUUCUUGACAUAUAUCCCGGGUUUUACGGGUGAACCCAGUUAUUUCUGGGUUGAGCCGUCAAUUUUUUUUUUGUUUUUUUAUUUUCAUUAAUUUUUUUUGUUUAAUUUAGUUUAUAAAUUUUAAUUUUUUUUUAUUUAGUUAUCAAACUUUCAUGACACAAAUCUUGGGUUUAACGGGUUAACAUGGUUUGAUGAGUUAACCUGGAUUUUUUUUUCUUUUUAAUUAAUUUUUUUCAUUUAGUUCAAUUUGUUAACGUUCACUUUUUUUUUUAUUUAGUUGCCAGGCAUUCAUGACACGGAUCUCGGGUUAAACGGAUUAACUUGGUUCGACAAAUUAACCAGGAUUUUUUUUUUGCUUUUUUUUCUUUUUAAUUAUUUUUUUCGUUUAGAUUAAUUUGUUAAUGUUAAAUUUUUUUCUAUUUAGUUUUUUUUUCUUCUUAGAGGUUUUUUUUUCUUUUAUUUUUUCUUUUUAAUUAAUUUUAUUUAAUUAAUUUAGUUUAUUAAUAUUAAAUUUUUUUCUAUGUAGUUCUCGGCUAAUGCUUUUAUUUUUAUUUUAUGCAUUUGACUGUGGGCUGUACAAUGCAGUCCACAGUAAAAAGGUCGAUGCCUUUUGUUUUUUUUUUUUUUCGUUUAUUUUCUUUUUAAUUAAUUUUUUUUCGUUUAAUUUAGAUUGUUAAUGUUAAUUUUUUUUUUCUAUUUAGUUGCCAAACUUUCAUAACACGGAUUCUGGAUUUGACGGGUUAACCUGGUUUGACAGGUUAACCCUGUUAAUUCUGGAUAGACCCAUUAAUUUGUUUUUUUCCUAUUUAGUUAUCAAACUUUCAUGACGUGAAUCCAAGGUUUGACGGGUUAACCUGAUUUAAAGGGUUAACCCAGUUAAUUCAUAUUUUUUUUCUUUUUCUUUAUUAGUUUUUUUCUUUAUGUUGGUUUUUUUUCUUUGUUUUUUUUAAUUAAUCUAUUUUAUUAUCACACUUUUAUGACAUGACCUUGUAGUCAGACCCACGUCCAAUGCUAUUGGAUUUGAUAUUGCAGCCAAACUCACUUAAAUUUGGCAAGUUUAAUGUUAUUAUUAAUAUUAUAAAUAUUAUAAAUAUUACUCAUGGAUCAGGCAUUGCAACCAAAUUUAAGAUUUUUUUGUAUAACUUUAUAGAAAAACCUAACACUUUUAAAUAUUAGCUUUUUUUAAAAUGCAAAAAAUAAUUGAGCACGGCAUCACGCGGAUUAUGUAACUAGUCUAACCUAAACCUCGUUGAAAACGAUAAGUUUUAAUCUACCUUCUCUAAUGGAUAAUGGAUAAAAUAAAAUCCUAUACUUAUAUAAAAAGAAUACAACUCGUGAGUAACCAUUGCCAUCCUACUUCCAAGCUUUUAGUAACUGAAAAUAAUGCAAUACAAACAGAGUAGAAGCACAGUUAACUAUUAGAAUAGUUAAGUGCGAUUAACAACAAAUUAGCAGCGAUUAAAUUUGUCUAGAAGGUAGACUUAAGAUUAAUGAUGUAUUACGUCAAGUACAAAUUCAUGAAAUUGAUCAGUACUUUGUAAUAUAAAGCCCAGCCUUGAGGCCUCUAACAGUUCGCAAUUCAGUUUUGGAUGGUAGAAGUCCCAACCACAAACAUAAACAGAGACAUAAUAGAGGCUUGAUUUUAUAUGGUUUGAGAUUUGCUACCAAAAAAAUAUUUGGCUUUAAAUACAAAAUCUCUCUAGUUGAGAAUCAAUCUUAUGGUUACAAAAUGGAUGGUAAGUCAGUAAGACUUUCCACAAUGAAUCAAGCUCCCAGCACCCAGGAAGAGACCAAAAAUUGCAGCACUUCCAACUGUGGUUUGCCCAAUAUACCUUACUUUCAAAAGUCCAGGAACCUGUAUGUUCAAAAAGCAAAAGUUAGAACCAUCAGGGAUAUCAGUCACCCAACUAGCAGCACAGUGAAAAAGUUAUUAUGUGUCUAUCCUUAAAUCCUUAACCUGCACAGAGGACUUCAAUCAAAGAUGAACGACAAAGGUGAUAAAGAAUCAAUAGAGGGAUAGAUAGGAAAACGACGGAGAGCUGACUUAGUUUUGAGAGCCUAGUAGACCUGCAGCUUGAGUGCUGAAAUUUUUCUGUUCAUGACAAUUUCUAAGAGCCCUGAUUUCUUUUGNNNNNNNNNNNNNNNNNNNNNNNNNNNNNNNNNNNNNNNNNNNNNNNNNNNNNNNNNNNNNNNNNNNNNNNNNNNNNNNNNNNNNNNNNNNNNNNNNNNNAGAUUGCAAACAACUUGCUAGUCUACCUGAUCUUGGAAAUUUGAAGCACUUACGACAUCUGAAUCUUGAAGGAACAGGAAUCGAAAGGUUGCCUGAAUCUCUGGAAAGGUUAAUCAACUUGCGGUAUCUUAACAUCACAGGCACCCCUUUGAAAGAGAUGCCACCACAUAUAGGUCAACUGACAAAGCUCCAAACGUUGACUGACUUUCUCGUGGGAAGACAGAGUGAGACUAGCAUUAAAGAAUUGGGAAAGCUACGACAUCUACAGGGAGAUCUUCAUAUUCGGAACCUUCAAAAUGUGGUGGAUGCUCGGGAUGCUGGUGAGGCAAAUUUGAAAGGUAAAAAGCACCUUGAUAAGCUGAGGUUUACAUGGGAUGGUGACACUCAUGACCCGCAACACGUAACAAGCACGCUCGAGAAAUUAAAGCCACAUAUAAAUGUGCAGUAUCUUAAGAUUGAUGGUUAUGGAGGUGUAAGGUUUCCGGAGUGGGUAGGAGAGUCCUCUUUCUCCAAUAUAGUGUCCUUGAAGCUCAUUAGAUGUACAAACUGCACCUCCUUACCACCGCUCGGGCAAUUAGCUUCUUUAGAGCGUCUCUCCAUUGAAGGAUUCGAUAAAGUUGAGACUGUGGGCUCUGAGUUCUAUGGGAAUUGUACAGCUAUGAAGAAGCCAUUUGAAUCCCUCAAAACAUUAUCUUUUAAAAGCAUGCCAGAGUGGCGCGAGUGGAUUUCAGACGAAGGCAGCCAGGAAGCCUUCCCUCUUCUAGAGUCGCUUUCAAUCGAAGAAUGCCCGAACCUUGCAAAGGCCCUUCCUAGGUUUCCCAGGUUGCUCUCUCUCGAUGUUUCUGGAUGCCACUCCCUAGAGUCCCUACCCGAGGAAAUUGAUCAAAUGGGUUGUUCACCCUCUGAUUUAGGGCGAAUUGAAAUCAAGGGCUGUGCUUCUCUCAAAUGCGUCGCACUGGACUUGCUCCCCAAGUUAAAAUCUCUUUCUAUCUCUGACUGUCGAGAUCUCGAAUCAUUAUGUGCACAUGAAAGACCUCUCAAUGAUCUCACCUCUCUCCAUUCUUUGAAAAUCUGGGGGUGCCCUAAAUUAGUUAUCUGCUCCAGUCUUGACACAACUUCAUUUAGUAAACUGCAGCAACCUGAAGCUGUUACCUGAGAGAAUGCAUUCCCUCCUCCCAUCCCUUAACCUUUUGGUAAUAUAUAGUUGUUCAGAAGUUGAGUUGUGUCCAGAAGGGGAUUUUCCCUCCACAUUACAAUCACUUGAGAUUACGAAUUGCAACAAACUCAUUGCAGGCCGCAUGCUUCUGCCCUCAAGUCUUAAAUCUCUUAACAUCUCUUACCUAAAAUCUCUUCCAAGGCUUCAACACCUCACCUCCCUUACACAAUUGACAAUAAGUAACUGCCCUCUGAUUGAGUCAAUGCCAGAAGAAGGGUUGCCCUCCUCCCUUUAUUAUCUUCAAAUUCUGGGUUGUCCUAUGCUGAGUGAAAGUUGUGAAAGGGAGAAAGGUAAAGAUUGGCCCAAGAUUUCUCACAUUCCUCGCAUACAUAUUUAACCCAUAAUCAGCGGAGCAAAGAUGUAGCAGUUAAAAGGAGGUUUUCUUUCAAUCGUCCAACAUAUUGAGGUAUUGCUACUAAAUAGUUUAUUUUCUUUUCAGUAAUCCAAAGCAAUUUCAAUUAAAAUUUGGAUGAAUGAAAUACGGAUAUUGUCCAUUUUGUAUUGUUUUUAUUUGUUGGAUGUAGAAAUACAGAUAUUUUCUUCCUAUUGUCUCUCAUUCAUCUCCAUAAAUAAUAAUCAUCAUUCUAUUUCAAUAUAUCAAGCUGGAGGAUCAUCACAUGCUUCAGAUUUUGAACUGCCAGCACCACCCUUAAUUUGGACAGGAGGCUAUUGUCAUUGAAUUUUAGCAACGGAAUAUUUCUUUUGCUAAUUUAACAACAAAAUGUGUAUAUAUGAUUUUUUUUAAUAUUAACAAUGACAUUAGUGAUAGAAAAUCCAAGCUAAAAAGGAUUUAAAAAAUAUUAAAUUAUUUAAGUAAUUUGCAACGGAUUUUUCAUUGUUGACGUGCUUGGCAACAUCAAAUCUGCAACUGAUUCCAAAAAUAAAUCAAACCCUUAAUUAUAUAAAAUCCCCAUCCUUUCUCCUUUUCUCUUUUCCCGCAUCUUCAAAAAUUAAAAAAAAUAAAAAAUUCUCCAUCUCUUUCUCUAGUCUCUUCCCUUCUCCAAAAAUUCAAAAUUCAAAAACUUUUUUUUAUCUUUUAUUUAUUAUUUAACUUUGAUUAAAUUGUUUUUAUUCCAUAUAAAGCAGAAGUUAAAAAAUGAUUUUGGAGUACAUGUAAGUCAUAUCUUUUUUGGAGUUUACUGUUGUUCAGGACAAAUAAUUAGUCAUUUUCAUAUCAUCCGCCAUUUCCGCUCUUUAGUUAACUUGCAUACAUACAGAGAGAUCAUUUUGGUAAAAUUAUUAAGAAGCAAAGCAAAUUCCUUCAUCAGAUAUGGGAUUUCAAAGGAAAAAUAGGGAUUUAAAUCUUUACGGACCAUUCGUAAACCAUUGAUCUGAGAGAGGGAUAUUUGGGUUUCGUGCUUGUUUCAUAAAUAAAUAAAUAAAUAAAAUUUUCUCAUGAGGAGAUUUCAGAUAUAAUAAAUUAUGUUCGUUUGGAUCUACGAAGGAAAGAGGAAGAAGAAGUGGAAUGGCUAAUGGCUAAGUUCUUAAAUUGGAUGACCGGCUUAGCAAUUAAAGGGUUACUGGCUACUAAAAAAAAUGAUAUGAAUUAUUAACAACAAACAAUUAAAUAAAAAAGAAGCUGAUAACUGAAAAAUCAGCAACGAAAAUCCAAUGUGAAGCUAAAACCUAAGCUAUUAGAAUAGUCAAGUUAACUGUUUAAACUUACAAUUGUGUUAGUGGAAGUUGGAUAACUCGUUAAAAAAAUAUUAUAUUAAAAUAAAAAAUUUUAAAAAAUAUUGAUUAAAAUAUGAAGUGAAAAGAAAGAUUGGUAUAUAAUAAAAAUUAUUCCAAUCAAACCCACUUUUUCGACCAUGGGAUCUCUUGGCAAAUAAAGCAAGUAAAAUUAGUAAAAUGUGGGACCUAGCUCCAAUUUCCUAGCACUCAUAAUCGUAAUUUUAAAACUCAGCAUAGCGGGUUGACCUGGAACAUGGUUGAUUUGGGGCUGAAACCUAAUCGAAUUGAAAAAAAAAUCCGAUAUGACUCGAUUGAACCAGCGAGUUGAUCCGACCGCAAGCCCAUACUUUAUCAAUGAAAUAAAAGUGAUAAAAGAAAAGGAGAGAAGAAAUAAAGUGAAGUCUUCUUCUGCAUUAUUAGCACAUCACGUGAAAAGAAAGAUACAAACAAAGUUACUCCAUUUUCCUCUCACUUUUUCAACCGAUGGGGCUUCUUGGCAAAUAAAGCAAGGACAGACCGAGUUGAUGCGCUACCUAACUCCUUUUUCCUGGCCCGCGCAAUUCACGCAUACACAAACACAUCAAAAUUUACUUUAAUUUAGAAAAGAUUUUAAAAUUUUAUUUUUUAAUUUAAUAAUAACAAAGUUUUAUAUUAAAUUGGUUCACCUAAUUUAACCUGUUAUUUAUAAUUCAGGUUAUGAAAUUAUAAUACCUAAUUCCCAAAUAACCAAAUAUGAUUAAGUUUUUCCAAUCAAACCCCUCUUUUUUUAAGAUGUAAAGUCUAGCAAAAUAAAUCAAAGACAAACAGAGUAAAAUUUCAAAAAAAAAGAGAAAGAUGGAAUAUCCCACCAAUAUUUAACCCACUUAAAUUGAGUCCAAAUCAUAAGAGCAUCUACAAAGGAUUGUUAAAUGAAAAGUUAAAAGUUAAAAAAAUAUAUAUUAUUUUGACUCUUUCAUGUUUAUUUUAUACACUUCAAAAAAAUAUUAAAUAACAUAUCAAAAUAUCUUUUCUUUCUUAUAAAUACUAUUUCUACAUAUCUAUAAAAAAAACCAAUACUAAAAAAGUAGGGUCAUCAAAAAAUAAACCAAUUAAAUAUAGUCAUAUGAAAAAAAAAACAUCAAACUCAUUAAAAAAAAUAAAACACUUUUUUCUCUCACUCUAGUACAAUUAGCUUUUCAAAUAGUUUUUUUCAUUAAAAUAUAUAUAAUAAAAAAAUUAUAUUUAUAUUAUUCAAAAUACUAUUUUAUCAAUUUAGCUAUUCAAAACAUUGUUAUUAAACCCGACCCGGCCAGGUAGAUCGACCGAGUGACUAGACCUGUCCGGGCUUGUCAAAAAACUGGUCAGUGCAAUAACCUGGCAAAACUCAAUUGACCUGACGAGUUGACCCAUGACCCGGGGGAACUUGGACGAGCCCUUUUUUUGUUUUUUAAAUGUGGUUUUUCUCCUAUCCCUUUUUUUUAUAUAUUUUUUAGUUGGUUAUUAAUAUUUUUUAAAAUUUACUAUAUAAAUAUUAGAAAAGUAUUUUAUUUUUUCAAUGUAAAAUUUGAAAUCCUUUAGUAUAUAUACUAUAUUUUGCCAAGAAAAAAAUUUAUUUUUUCAAUGUGAGAUUUGAAACCUUUUGUAGAUAUAUUUUAUGUUCACAAGGAAAAAAUUAUGUUUUUUCAAAAUAAAAUUUGAAACCCUUCAGUAUAUAUACUCUAUAUUCCCAAGAAAAAAGUUAUUUUUUCAAAAUGAGAUUUGAAACCCUUUAAUAUAUAUAAUAUGUGUUUUCAGAUCAUUUAGAUGUGUUGGUAUCAAAAAUAAUUUUUUAAGAAUAAAAAAAUAUUAUGCAACCAACUUGGGUUAACCCAUUAAGCAUUAUUCUCGUAUCAUGGUUCAGAAUAACCUAAUAGAAAAUAAAUAAAACAAAUCAUGAAGUGUGAACCCCGAUUGAAAAUUAGGCAGAAAAGUAAUCUAAAUGUUUAUACAAUAGAUUUAACAGAAGUACCAAAUAAGCAUUAGAACAAACCAAAUACAAGCAAAAGAAAAUAUAUAAGUAAAUGUGAAUAACAUAAUGUUGGAAGUGAGUUACCUAAAAAUAAAAUUAUCAAUAUGUAACUAAAUAAAAUUCAAAUUCACCCCGGUAAAUUUUUUAUAUAGACAAAUGCCAGGUUCAGAAAUUUUUUCCCGAGAACAUGAAAUUUACUAUUUGGAUAAUAGAGGGAAUUUGGUAAAAUUUAAGAGUGGGCGCGCGCUCGGGUGAGAAGAAAAAUGGAGAAAAAAAGAAAGAUGAGAAACUACCAUUUACAUGUGAGAGAGAUAGAAUUGUAAUGAAAACAUAAAAUUUUAAGGGAAGAUCUUGAGGGAACAUUAACCAAGCUUAGUGAGCAUUAAUUGGAAGAAAUAAAAAUCAUGUGAAGGUGAGUAUAAAUGGAGAGAGGAAGUUCCACCAAGUUAAAGAAGAGGAGGAGUUGAAAGUUUCAUUUGGGAAGUGUUUAGAGUUUAAUUGAAUUUUAAUGGCUUAAAGUUCUUAAUUGAUUGAAUUCUUGAAAUUAAAAAGUUAGGGUUCUUCAAUAAAUUUGGGGGAAAUAAAAAUUAAUUGUAAUUUGUCAUGGAAAAUAGUGUGAAAAUUAGAGUAAAGUAAUUAAGUUAUUGUAAUUGAAGUAAAGUAUUUGAUAAUUAAAUAGAGUUAGUGGCCGGCCAAAUGAUGAGAGAUUUUAGGGGAUUUAAUUGUGAAUAAAUGUUGUGAAUUGAUGAAUAAUAUAGUAAGUAGAACUAUUUUUUAAAUAUCUCUUUACAACUUUUUAAAUUUCAUGGAACACUUGUGUUGAUUCUUGAGAUUGUGUGAAAUAUUACUACCAUAAAAAUAAAAAAAGAAUUGAUGUCUAGAUGAGGAAUAUCAUUGAAUUGUUGGUCCCUAUUAGAUUUUGGUAUGUAAUGGAGUCAUGAGACGUUAAAAAUUCUUGAGAGAUGUUAAAUUAGUGGCUAAAAUUCAUAGAAUGGUCUAUUUUUUAGAAAUAUAUUUUACUAUGAAAUUUAUUUGAUAAAAGAAAAGUAGGAAAUUUAUGGUAUAUUUCCUUGACAAUGAGUACCCGAUUAAACAAUAUGUAUAUUCAAUUAAAACUUAUAGUAUAUUUCCUUGACAGCGAAAUAAAAAAAAGUAGGAACCCUGUAAUAUCUAGGUAAUUUCUAUGCCCUUUUAAUGAGUCCUACAAACCGAGGCUGUAAUGAGCCCAUGACAGAAGGAGAUAGGAAAGUGUAAUUUCAGAAGACCAUCACACAAAUCAACGGCUGAAAUCCAAUCACUCAAGGGAUGGUGACACGUCGCAUGAGUAGAGACAGCUAGUCUUUAGUACGAAAAGAAAAAGAUAAAUUAUUUUUACUCUUGAUUUGUUUGAUUUAAAUAAUAUUGAAUUAAAAUUAUAAUUAAAAAUAUUUAGCUAAAAUUAUGAUUAGAAUUGAACUACCACAAAAGAUACUGGUGAAGGUGGAGAGGAUGUGAGAGGCGAUUGGGAUCCAAAACAUCAACUGUUGUGGUCAAUUCUGGAGGACUAAACACUUCAGGCUCCUUUCCCGUCCUUUUCCUCGCUGGAUCCUUGAUAUCUUCUUCAAGGUGUGCAGGCGCCUUGUUCGAGGAUUGAGCAUAGAAAGACUAAAAAUAGUUAAAUAAAUACGAAAAGACAUAAGGUGAAGUUUUUAUAAUAUUCAUAGCAAUAGCCAUCACCUCAUUUAUAAUUUACUAGUUACAUGCCCCACGCGAUGUCGCGAGUCAAUUAUUUUUUGUAUUUUAAAAAUAGUCAAGAUCUAAAAGUGUUAGGUUUUUUUAUAAAGUUAUACCCAAAAGUCUCAGUUUUGGUUGCUUCGCCUGAUCCAAGAGUAAUGUUUAUAAUAUUAAUAAUAACAUUAAACUUGGGUUAACCCUUAGCAUAAAAGUGUCUGGACUACAAUAUCAGAUCCAAUAACAUUGGACGUGGGUCUGGCUGCAAGGUCGUGUCAUAAAAGUGUGAUAAUUAAAUAGAUUAAUUAAAAAAAACCAACAGGAAGAAAAAAACUAAUAAAAAAAAAGAAAAAAAAUGAAUUAAUUGGGUUAACCCUUCAAACCAGGUUAACCCGUCAUACCUUGAAUUCGCAUCAUGAAAGUUUGAUAAUUAAAAAAAAAAAAUUAAUGGGUUAACCCAGAAUUAACUGGGCUAACUCGUCAAAUCAGGUUAACCUAUCAAACCCGGAAUCCGUGUAAUGAAAGUUUGAUAACUAAAUAGAAAAAAAUUAACAUUAAUAAUUUAAAUUAAAUGAAAAAAAUUAAUUAAAAAAAAAACAAAAAGCAUCAGCCUUUUCACUGUGGACUGCACUAUGCAGUCCACAGUCAAAGGCAUAAAAAAUAAAGGCAUCAGCCAAAAACUACUUAGAAAAAAAUUUAAUAUUAAUAAACUAAAUUAAUUAAAUAAAAUUAAUUAAAAGAAAAAUAAAAGAAAAAAACCUCUAAGAAGAAAAAAAACUAAAUAGAAAGAAAUUUAACAUUAACAAACUAAACGAAACGAAAAAAAAAUUAAAAAAAAAUUCAGGUUAACUCGUCAAACCAAGUUAACCCGUUAAACCCGGGAUCCGUGUCAUGAAUGUCUGGUAACUAAAUAAAAAAAAGUGAACAUUAACAAACUAAACUAAACAAAAAAAAAUUAAUUAAAAAGAAAAAAAAUCUGGGUUAACUCGUCAAACAUACAUACCGUUAAACCCAGGAUCUGUGUCAUGAAAGUCUGAUAACUAAAUAAAAAAAAUUAACAUUAACAAACUAAAUUAAACAAAAACAUUUAUGAAAAUAAUAAUAAUAAAAAUUAACGGUCAACCCGGAAUUAACUGGGUUCACCCGUGAAACCAGGUUAACCUGUGAAACUCGGGAUAUGUGUCAUGAAAGUCUAAUAACUAAAUAGAAAGAAAUUUAACAUUAACAAACUAAACUAAACGAAAAAAUUAAUUAAAAUAAUAAAAAGCAAAAAAAAAAUCUAUUUUAACUUGUCAAACCAAGUUAACCCGUUAAAUCCGAUAAACGUGUCAUGAAAGUCUGACAACUAAAUAAAACAAUUAAACAUUAAUAAACUAAAUUAAACAAAAAAAAUUGUUAAAAAAAACAAAGGAAGAGGCAAAAAAAAAAUCCCAAAAAACAUAAAAAAAACUAAGACAACUUAAAAAAAAACACCUAAGGAAUCAGUGUUUUACUGUGGAAAUGAAAAAAUUAAUUAAAAAAAAAUCUGAGUUAACCCAUUAAACCUGGAAUGCGUGUUAUAAAAGUUUGAGAUAGAAAAAAAUUUAACAUUAAUAAAAAAUUUUAUUUUUAAAUAUCCAUUAAAAAAAAUGAAGAAAAAGAAAAGCAAAAAGUAAAAAAAAACAUCUGAAUUAAUUGGGUUAACCCUCAAACCAAGUUAAGCCGUCAAAACAGGGAUUCGCGUCAUGAAAGUUUGAUAACUGCAUAAAAAAAAAAAUUAACGGAUUAACCCAUAAUUAAUUUGGUUAACCUAUGAAACCAGAAAAAAAAUCUGGGUUGACCCGUUAAACCGGGAAUGCGUGUUAUAAAAGUUUGAGAUACAAAAUUUUUUAACAUUAACAAAGUUUUUUUUUUUUUAAAUAUCCAUUAAACAAAAAAAGAAAAAAAAAAAAAACAAAAAAAAAAACGAAAAAAAAGACAGCUCAGUUAAAAAAAAAAAAUGAAAAAAAAGACUUAAAAAAAAAAAAAAAAAAGGAUCGGUGUUUUACUGUGGACUGCACUGUGCAGUCCACAGUAAAACACAGAUCUCUUUUAGCUAUAUAUAUAUAAUAUAAUAUAAUAAUUUAUCUAUUUAUCAAUGAGUUAAAUGACCCGCGCGAUGCCGCGGGUCAAUUAUUUUUUACAUUUCAAAAAAAAAGUUAAGAUCUAAAAGUGUUAAGUCUUUCUACAAAGUUAUACCCAAGAGUUUUAGGUUUGGUUGCAACGUCUAACCCAAUAGUAACAUCUAUAAUAUUAAUAAUAACAUUAAACUUGCAUGACUCAAAUUUAAGUGGGUUUGACUGUAAUACCAAACCCAAUAGCAUUGGACGUGAGUAUGGUUGCAAGGUCGUACGAUAAAAGUGUGAUAAUUAAAUAGAUUAAUUAAAUACAAAAAAACAAAGAAAAAAUAACUAAUAAAGAAAAAGAAAAAAAAUGAAUUAACCCUUCAAACCAGGUUAACCCGUCAAACCUUAGAUUCGCGUCGGAAAAGUUUGAUAACUAAACAGGAAAAAAAAAAAUUAAGGGGUUAACCCAGAAUUAAUCGGGCUAACUCGUCAAACCAGGUUAACCCGUCAAACCCGGAAUCCGUGUCAUGAAAGUUUGAUAACUAAAUAGAAAAAAAUUUAACAUUAACAAUUUAAAUUAAACAAAAAAAAUUAAUUAAAAAAAAAACAAAAGGCAUCAGCCUUUUUAUUGUGGACUGCACUGUGCAGUCCAUAGUCAAAAGCAUAAAAAACAACAAAAAAAAGAAAAAGAAAAACUAAAGGCACCAGCCGAGAACUACAUAGAAAAAAAUUUAGUAUUAAUUAAAUAAAAUUAAUUAAAAAGAAAAAAAACCUCUAUGAAGUAAAAAAAAAUUAAAUAGAAAGAAAUUUAACAUUAACAAACUAAACUAAAUUAAAAAAAUAAUUAAAAAAAAGCAAAAAAAAAAUUCAGGUUAACUCGUCAUACCAGACUAACCCAUUAAACCUGGGAUCCUUGUCAUGAAUGUCUGAUAACUAAAUAAAAAAAGUGAACGUUAACAAACUGAACUAAAUGAAAAAAAAUAAUUAAAUAGAAAAAAUUUGGGUUAACUCAUCAAAUUAUGUUAACCCGUUAAACUCCGGAUCUGUGCCAUGAAAGUCUAAUAACUAAAUAAAAAAAAUUAACAUUAACAAUCUAAAUUAACCAAAAAAAAUUAUGAAAAUAAAAAAACAAAAAAAAUUGACGGGUCAACCUAGAAUUAACUGGGUUCACCUGUGAAACUCAGGAUAUGUGUCAUGAAAGUCAGAUAACUAAAUAGAAAGAAAUUUAAUAUUAACAGACUAAACAAAACAAAAAAAAGUAAUUAAAACGAUAAAAAAAAGCAAAAAAUAAAUUAUGAGUUAACUUGUCAAACCAGGUUAACCCGUUAAACUUAAAAAACGUUUUAUGAAAGUUUAAUAACUAAAUAAAAAAAAUUAAACAUUAAUAAAGUAAAUUAAACAAAAUUUGUUUUGUUAAAAGAUAAAAAAAGAGCAAAAAAAAAAUCCUGAAAUUCAUAAAAAACAAUUAAAAAAAUAACACAACUUAAAAAAAAAAAAAAACAAACCUAAGGCAUUAUGAUCAUUGUUUUACUGUGUAUUGCACUGUGCAGUCCCGUGAAGGCCCCAGUCAAACACUGAUCUGUUUUAGUAUAUUUUACAAAUAUAAUAAUUUAUCUACUUUAUCAAUGAAAAGUAAUAAAAGAAAACGAAGACAAGAAAUAAAGUGAAGUCUUCUUCCGCAUUAUUAGCACAUGUGAAAAGAAAGAUUGGCAUGUAAUAAAAGUUAUUCCAAUCAAACCCACUUUAUUAAAGUUGUUGCAAAUAAAGCAAGGACAGGCCGAGUAAAGUGGGGGACAUACACUAAUAAGUUAACUAGCUUUGAUACCCGUGCGAUGCCGCGGGUUAUUUUUUUUAUAUACAAAAUAUUUUAAAAAAUAAAAAUAUAAAAAUCUUGAGUUUUUCUACAAAGUUAUACCCAAGAAUCUUGAGUUUGACUGCAACGACUGAUCUAAGAGUAAUAUUUAUAAUAUUAAUAAUAAAAUUAAACUUGCAUGACUCAAGUUUAAUUGAGCCUGACUGUAACACUGGACCUAAAAAUAUUAGAUGUGGGUCUGACUAUAAGGUCGUGUCAUAAAAGUAUGAUAAUUAAAUAGAUUAAUUAAAAAAAAACAAAGAAAAAAAUCAACAAAAGGAAAAAACUAAUGAAGAAAAAGAAAAAAGAAAAAAGAAAUUAAAUUAAUUGGGUUAACCCUUUAAACCAGGUUAUCCCGUAAAACUUGAGAUUUGCAUCAUAAAAGUUUGAUAACUAAAUAGAAAAAAAAAUGACGGGUUUACCCAGAAUUAACCGGGUUAACCUAUCAAACCUAGUUAACCCGUCAAGCCUGCUAAAAAACAAAAUCAGACCCAAUAGCCUUGUAUGCGGAUCUGGCUGCAAUGUCAUGUAAUAAAAGUGUGAUAAUUAAAUAAAUUAAUUAAAAAGAAAAAAAACCAAUUGAAAGAAAAAAACUAAUGAAGAAAACGAGAAAAAAUCUGAAUUAACUGGGUUAACCCGUUAAACCUUGGAUUCGUGUCAUGAAAGUUUGGUAACUAAAUAGAAAAAAAAAUUGACGGGUUAACCCAGAAUUAACCGGACUAACCCGUCAAACCAGGUUACCUAUCAAACCUAGGAUCCGUGUCAUGAAAGUUUGAUAACUAAAUAGCAAACAAAUUGAACAUUAACAACCUAAACUAAACGAAAAAAAUUAAUUAAAAUUUUUUUUUUUUUAAAAAAAACAAAACAAAAGACAUAAGCCUGUUACUAAUGAGGAAAAAGAAAAAAAUCUGAAGCAACUCAGUUAACCCUUAAAAUUAGGUUAACCCGUCAAACCUGAGAUUCGCGUCAUGAAAGUUUGAUAACUAAAUAGGAAAAAAUAAUUGAUGGGCUAAACGAAAAAAAUUAACAAACUAAACUAAAUGAAAAAAUUUGAUUAAAAAGGAAAAAAACAAAAAAAAAUUGGGUUAACUCAUCUAAUUAAGUUAACCCAUCAAACCCGAGAUCCGUGUCAUGAAAGUACGAUAACUAAAUAAUUUUUUUUUUCCACAUUAACAAACUAAAUUAAACAAAAAAAAAUUCAUUAAAAGAAAAAAAACACAAAGAAAAAACUAAAAUAAAAAACUCAUAGGCAUAAAAAAAGAAGGGAAAAAGAUCUGAAAAAAAAAAAAAAAAACAAACAAACACUUUAGCUACAGUAUUUUACCUACGCGUUUUAGUAUAUUAAUAUUAAUAAUAAUAAUAAUAACACUAAUUUGAGAUAUUUUUUUUACUUUGGAGUUUACAGGCAAAUAAAGUGAUGGAAGAAAAAGUCUUCUUCUGCAUGAUCACAUGAUGCGAAAAGCUUGGCAUUUGCUGAAGUUUUUCCAAUCAAACCCACUUUUUUCAAAGAUGGAAUUUCUCGGAAAAUAAAUCAAAGACAAGCCGAGUAAAAUGGAGUUCAGUGUUCUAUAUAUUUCUCAAGGGGAAAAAAAUAACGUCGUUUUCUUUUCUAUACAACUGUUUUGUUAGAGAUCUUAGCCGAUGCAUCUGAAUUAUAAUUUUUAGCAAUUAUAAUAUUUUAUAGCGCUAAUAUCUUACAAAAACAUAUUUUCUAGCUUUUUUUUUUUUUAUAGUAUGAUCAAAUAUUAAAAAAUAUUUUUCAACUCAUUAUCUUUAAUACAAUUAAAUUUCAUAGAAUUGUCUAUUUUUUUGAAAUAUAGUUUACUAUGAGAUUUAUUUGAUAAAAGAAAUUCACUUUGUAACAAUACACUAGAAAAAAAGAAGAAGAAGCUAAUGAUCAUUUAAACAUAUAGUCUCGCCAGAGAGACUAUAUUGGAAUCAUCUUGCUCAACAUGUCGAAUGAUGCAAGCGGAAGCAUAAUAAAACAACAAUAAACACAGACAAAAUAGAAAAUAAAGUUGAAUUAGGGUUAAACAUAAAAAAUCCUAUAACCUUAUUAUAUGUUUGAGUUGGCUUUUUAAAGAGGUUUACGAUGUUUUUUAUAACCUAAAAAAAACUGAUUACGCUAGAAAAUAAAAUUAAAAUCCCUAAAUAUAAAAGAAAAUAGCAUAAAACCAAAAACAAACAAUAAAUCUAAAAAUAUAUAAGAAAAAUAAUAAAUAUGAUCAAACAAACAACUUCAAAACCCGAAUCAUGCAAGUUAUAUAAUGAACAUAGUGGCUUCCCAUUAGAAAAAUACACAAGUUAUAUAUAUAUAUAUAUAUAUAUAUUAUAAUUAAAUUUAAAAAUUAUAACAAAUUAUUCCUGUUUUUAUUUUUUAACUUAAGGAUGAACAAUCUUGAAAAUGUGAGGAUGUUUAUUAAGGACUUGAGAUUGUUAACGUUGCAUCAACAGCCGGCUGAUCUUGUCAAUUCUGCUUAGACAAAAGGGUGUUGGCAAGUGCUUUCAAACGAUGUCAAGGAAAAAAUAAAUUUAAAGGAUAAAUUUUUUUUAAAAUCAAAACAAAAUAUAUAAAAUUAAAAGAUUGAAGAACAGAUUUUAUAUAAUCAAUAAAUAAUUUAAUAUAUUUUUUUAUUUUUUUACAACUUUUGAAAAAUAUAUUUGACUCAAAAUAAUAAAAAAUAUUUUUAUGAAAACAAGUCAAACAUUUUUUUAAUUUAGAAGUUUUUUUUAUUAAAUAAAUUUUUCAACGACAAACAAAUAUAAAAAAAGAAUUAAAAAAUGAUUUAUCAGAAAACCACAAACAAACUGUGCCUAGACUUCUUUAAUUUAGAAUUGCAAAUGUAUUUUGUUUGCAGUUUCUUCGUCUCUCUACCCUCCAAUCGAGGAUUUGACAACGACAUUGCAUGAUUUCUCUCUGGUCUAUGAACCAUUAAACAACAAUCACUCGAAACCCACGUACAGUCCCUGCCAUCCUCUCUUUCCAUUAAAAUGGAAGUCGCUGCAUGUGUUGCAUGUUCUCAUUAAGUCAAUAUGUGCAUGCAUGAUUAAUUAUGCACUUUGUAACCAUAAAUCUUCCUUUAAUCAUUCCAAAAAAGAAAAAAAUAGAAAAGAUUUUCUCUGAUCUGUUUGGUGAGUCCCAAUUAUCACUGGCUUUCAAUUUCCAUCCCGUCCUUUCUAGCUGGAUUGCGUGUUUUUUCUCUUCUUUUCUUUUUUGCUGGAAUACAAUAAUGCAUCACAAUGGUUAAUUCCAUGGUAAUUUCUUUAAUCAUUUAUAUACAUAAAUUUGGUUACAGAGGAGAAUGACACUUCCACCUCUAUAUUCAAAUAUUUAUUAAAAAUAUAGUUUAAUUGAUUAGGUUCUGAAUUUGUUUUUUAAAGGUUAAUAAUUCAAGUUUUAUAAACCUCAUAGUUAUUAAAGACUUACAUGAUCAUUAGCUUAGGACCUACGAAAUUAGUUGAAGUACGCACAAACUAGUCAAGAAAUCCAUGUUAAUUUUUAAAAAAAAAGUUUUGUAUUUUUAUUCAUUUUUAUUUAUAUAGUAUCUUUGAAAACAAAACAUCAAAUAUAACAUUGAUGGUUCAGAAAUAAUUCCAAAUUUCGAAGUAUACCAAAUAAUUACUUCCAAUCCACCCCAUUCAUAGAUCGUGUUAAAAACCAUGCUGUAUAUAUUUGAGGGGUGCAAGCGCCUUGUUUGAGGAUUGAGCAUAAAAGACUAAAAGAGUUAAAUAAAUACUAAAAGACAUAAAGUGAAGUUCUUAUAAUAUUCAUGGCAAUGGUCAUCAGCUCAUUUAUAAUUUAUUUAUAUACUUUAUCAAUGAAAUAAAAGUAAUAAAAGAAAAGGAGAGAAGAAAUAAAGUGAAGUCUUCUUCCGCAUUAUUAGCACAUCACGUGAAAACAAAGAUCGGCAUAUGAUAAAACCCAUUCUUUUCAAAGAGCAUAACAAGGGCCGAGAGAGACAAGGCUUUUGCGAGUUCUGUAUAUUUUUCUGUGGUGGUCCCAGCUAUUAUGUUGCUGACACUGGAUAGAGAGACUUCAACCACCAAUCAAAUUAUUUUUAUUGACCUUUUGUGCUGUUCGUCACUUUCCUUCGCUCCUUCUCUCUUUGCUGUCAAAUUUCAAAAACCUUAGCUAUUAGAAUAGUUGAGUGUUUGUUUUUGUAUUUUAAAAGAGUUUUUAAGAAUUUUAAAUGUUUUUAUUUUAAAUCAAUUUUUUAAUUGACUCCAUAAUAGAAAAGAUGCCAUCCCCCUAAUACAAAACUCUAAAAAAAAACAAUGAUCGUGCCACCACCGGUGGUUGUGCUGUUUUAUGACAUCACAAGCCAUAUAAGUAGCUGAUUAGAAUGAUUUUGUAUGGGACCCAGUUGUGACAUCAGCUGUUUUUGUGUUUUCUCUUUCAAUCAUAGCUAAAGACUAGGCAUGGCAUGAUAAUCGAUGGAUGGGGGUAGGGAUAAUGGGAGCCACAUGAUCCAUUUCGUGGUUGUUUCUUUCUUCUAUAAAGAAGAUCAUGCCAUCACGGAUCUUACGGGAUUGAUAUCUUGCCCGGUGUUGAUUUACUACAAUGGCUGCACGUGAACCCGUCCUCCAGGACAACUCCCAACAAGUGUCUGUCUAUCACUCUCAAAUUAAUUUGAUAUUUCUGUUCCAGUGCCUCCAUAGAAGAGUAUAGGUGUUAAUCAUUUUUUAUUUUUAUAUUUUAAAAGUUUUUUUUAAUAAUUUUUAUUUUUUACUUUAGAUUUUUUUUUGAUAUUUUUAGAUAUUUUGAUAUAAAAAUAUCAAAAAUAAUUUUUUUAAAAUAAGAAAAUAUUAUUUUAAUAUUUUUCCAAAUAAAAAACAUUUUAAAAAACAACAACAAUCAUAUUUUUAAACAACUCCUAAACCUUUCCCAUUUUUUUUGAGAUUAUAGUACCGAUGUUAUUUUAAUAUUUAAAAAAAAAAUCUUAAUUUUUUUAAAAUUAAAUUAAGCUUUUCUUUGAGUUCAAACAAAUCAAUGAGGAAGGUUGGUUAUUUGUCCUGCCGCACCAUCCUAAAAUGUAAUGUAAUAACCAAUGUAAUUUGAUGUUUGUGUUUCAUGGGUUCGUGUUGUUGAUGCGUGCUAUUGUACUUUCUAGGUGAUAAGGAAAAAAUUAUUUAUUUUGUCAAAUAAUUUAUAUUUUUUUAUAUUUAGCUUUGUUUGUAAUUGCAUUUCCAAUGUUAAUUUAUAUAGGCCUUGAAUUGGUACCUUUUUAUCAGUUUGAGCGUAAUUACCACCAACUUUCUGUAGGAUGAUAUGGGUAUUUUAGAUAGUGUAGCAUGAUCUUUACCUGUUACGUUUUUUUUUUAUAGGAUAAUUAUUCUCUCUUUUUAUGUUUAUUUAACUUAAGGAUAAUCAGUCUCGAAAAUGCGAGGAUGUUUAUCAAAGAGCAGAGAUUGUCACGCUGCAUUAACAACCAACUGUUGUAGUCAAUUCUGGUAGGCUAAAAGUCAUCCACUUGAUUGAUUAAUGGACAUUAGCUGUUUAGCACUCCAUGGUACUUCAGGCUCCUUUCCUACCCUUUUCCUCGCAAGUGACUUGUUAAUUUGCUUUAUUAGUAUCGGUAAUUUUGUGCAGAACUGUUAUUAUUCUUUGAAAUCAGGCACGGUUCGAGGAUUCAGCAUAAAAGAAUUUGGGUAUAUUAAUUAAAGCUAAAUUUAUUUUUUUUAAUCUCAACACAAAAAAAAUUGAAACAGACAUGUUUUUAUGUACUUUAUAUCUUGAAAAUACAAGAAUCCGUCUAAAUUAAUACAUAUUUAUUUUAUAUCUUUGUUUUCAUCUCCUUGAGCAAACGUGUUUUUAUCAUUUCAAUGUCUAUCGUUUUUAUUUAGUAAUAUUUAACCAAAGGCCACCUUAAAGAUUCAUGCAUGAAACAUCCAUUUCCUAAUCAAGUACUAGGCCAAUUCUUUCAAGUUUAUAUGUUAGACUUACAAUAAAACACUAUGUUAUGUUUGGUAACCAGUAUAAGCAUCAACAAAGUUAAAUAAAAGGAUCAAACCCAAACACAUUAGUGUAAAACAAGGAUCCAAUUAUCAUCGAGCCUAUUUUAACUUAAUCUCAACAAUCGUGUCACUAGUUAUUAAUUAUAACCCAUAUCUUGCACCAGAAAAAAGAAGUUACCAUAACCAAAGCACAUGCGUCUCAUAUAAUUUGAUUACUUGAAAUAUGUCUUUGAGGUAUAAUGACAUCGAAUAGACAAGGUAAUUGAAUUAAAUUAUAGGUCUUUUACCGAUAUUUUAUUAAAAUAAUAUUUGUUUAUUUUUUUAAAAUAAAAUAAAUCUUUUUUAUGCUGAUUUAACUAGGUUUAGAUCAGGUUUUGUCUAAUAAUAAAAUCAUUAAAAAUCUAGUAAGGUAAACAUAGUUUCAUUGCAUCAAUGCUUUUCUAAUUUAAUUUUAAAUUUGAUCAUGUCAAGAUUUGAAUUUUAUAGCUUCCAAUAGCAAAUCAAAUCACGGACAUAAUUAAAAAAUGAUACUAUAAAUAAAUAAAAAAGAUUUUGGAAUAAAAUGAUCCACAUAUAUAUAUAUAUAUAUAACAAGGUAAAGGGUCAAACGGUGGAAGAUAAAAACCAAUAAUGUCUCAUAAUAAUUUCAUUUAUUGUGAAGAGUUACUAUAUUGAUUGUUUUUAUAUUUUUUUUUAAAAUCACAUCCAUUUAUCUAAAAUUACUAGUCUUUAAAUAAUAAAAUAAUUUUUUAUAUAUAAUUUGCUCUACAGAUCACAGUUAUUAAACCCGGCCCGGCCCGGCGAGUCGACCCGGUGCUGGACCGGUUCGGGUUUAAUAAAAGACCGGUUGUGGCAACAGCCCGGCCAGACCCAGGCGACCCGGGCAAACCCGGACGAGACCCGAGUUUUUUUUUUUUUUUUUUAAUUUGGGAUAAAAAAAAAUUUGGUUUAAAUAUUUCAACUUAAAAUGAUAACAUAGUAUCUUUUCAAUGUGGGGUUUGAAGCCCUUUCAUAUAUAUACUUUAUGUUCACAUGAAAAAAAUUAUAUUUUUUCAAUGUGGGAUUUAAAACCCAUUAGUAUAUAUACUUUAUGUUCCCAAGGAAAAAAUCAUGUUUUUUCAAUGUGGGAUAAAAAACCUUUUAGUUUAAAUACUUCAACUUAAAGGGAUAACAUAGUAUCUUUUCAAUGUGGGAUUUGAAGCCCUUUCAUAUAUAUACUCUAUGUUCCCAUGAAAAAAGUUAUGUUUUUUCAAUGUGGGAUUUGAAACCCAUUAGUAUAUAUACUCUAUGUUCCCAAGGAAAAAAUCAUGCUUUUUCAAUGUGUGAUAAAAAUCCUUUUGGUUUAAAUACUUCAACUUAAAGGGAUAACAUAGUAUCUUUUCAAUGUGGGAUUUGAAGCCCUUUCAUAUAUAUACUCUAUGUUCCCAUAAAAAAAGUGAUGUUUUUUAAACUAAAAUGUUUUUUAUCCCACAUUGAAAAAACAUGAUUUUUUUUCUUUAGGAAUAUAGAGUAUAUAUACUAAUGGGUUUCAAAUCCCACAUCGAAAAAACAUAUGAAAAGUUUUUUGAGUUAGACAAAUACUAAGCAACAUUCUAGCAUGUGCAAUGAAGUUUUUACAAUAUUCGUAGUAACGGUCACCAGCUAAUUUAUAAUUUAUAAAUCUACUUUAUCAAUGAAAAGUGAUAGAAGCAUAGUUAUUAAACCCGAUCCGAAAGCCGGAUUUCAGAUUUCAUGGAUCAACUCGGAUUAACCUAAAAAAAUUAAAAAUACAUAUUUAAAGUUUUAAUAUUUCAUAUAUAAAAAUUAAGAAAAAAUUAAACUCAUGUAAAUAUAGGCUAUACUUAUUGUAAAUAAUGAAGUUUAAAAAAUAUAUUUUAAUUUUUUUUUAUCAUACAUUAAAAAGAUACUAUAUUAACCUUUUAAGUUGAAGUAUUUAAAUCAAAAACGUUUUUUAUCUCAUAUUGAAAAAAUAACUUUUUUCUUUGGAACAUACAAUAUAUAUAUUAAUAGGUUUCAAAUCUCACAAUAAAAAACAUAAUUUUUUUCUUGGAAACAUAUAUAUAUAUAUAUAUAUAUAUAUAUAUAUAUAUAUAUAUAUAAAAGGACUUUAAAUUCUACAUUAAAAAAAUAUUAUAUUAUCCUUUUAAGUUAAAGUAUUUAAACUAAAAAAUAUUUUAAAUUGAUCUGCUGAUAUGGUAAAAUCCAGAGAUUUCUUGGAAAAUAAAUGAAAGACAAACAGAGUAAAAUGGAGUCCAGAGCAUACAAGAGCCGAGAUUGAAACAGGAAAUGCAAGAAAAAAAAGAUGGGCCCUUGUUUUCUCUUUUUUAUGGCCGGCGACUGGAUAUAAAAAGGGAGGAGAUGAAGUGCCCGUUUGGUAACGUGGCUGCGGGUGAGGUUCACCCGCAGCUACGCCAAAUGCCGUUUGGUUAACAAGAAAAAAUUGCUUUUUUGAUAGUGGAACACAUGAAAUUUUCAGACGCGCCACAUGUUUUGGAGAAGCAGCAAAAUGCUGCUUCUCAUAGUAUAGAAAAGCAGAACAGUGGAGCCAUGCUCCACUGUUACAGUUUUAGUUUUUUUUUUUUUUGAAAAACAUUGCGAGAAGUUAAUUUUUUUUUUCUUGAAAAAUUAUUUCAAUUAAUUGAUUUUACUCGCAUUGUGAACGUGAACAUGAACAAUAUUAUUUUUUAAAAAAAUUAGUUUAAGGUGAAUUAAAUUUACUCGUAUUGUAAUAUCAAUUUUAUUCCUGAUAAUAUUUUAUUUAAUUUUAUUGCACGCUCAAAAAAUUAUUUUUUCUGUAGUUCUUGUCAAAUGAAUUUUAUACAUAAUAAAAUUGUAAUUUUUUUAAAAAAAUUUUGUUUUACUUGAAAAACUACUAUUUAAUAUUAUUUAAUAACACAUCAUAUAAAAAGAAAUUCAGUUUUUAUUUUUAUUUUAAUUGUGUUUUAUUCAAAAACUUAAAAGGAGAUCGCUCAAUGACGUAACAAAAAAUUCAGUUUUUUGUUGUUGCGCGCUUAAGAAACCAUGAAAAAUAUAGUCCUUGUUAGAUAGAUUUCGUAUGUAAUGACAUUGCACAUAGUUUAAUGGAAGAAUAAAAAAUAUUUGAUAUCAAUAUUAUUUAUUUCAUGAUAUAAUAACAGUGGUUAAAUCUACAAUAUUUAAAUUAAAAAUCAUUAAUAUAUAAAUUUUUUAAUUAUUUUAUAACCUCAAUUUGAAAAGUAUUUUUUUACCAGACACAUUAAACUACUUUUUAUUCAAUUUCAACCACAGUUUUAACUAAACAUAUAUUUUUUCAAACCAACCUUAACUAAAAAUACUUUUUAUAAAAUAACUUUUUUAAAAUAAUAACCACAAUAACAACCUCAAUACCAAACAGACCCGAAGCUUUCAAAUUAUUUACAAUUUUGCGGUCACUUAUUGUGUCCAUGUCGUUUUGUGUAAUUGCCCAGCUACCGGUACUAUUUUAACACUGUUAAAAGUCUAAAUUAUCAAUAUUUCCCCAAUUUAUCUCUAAAAAAAAUUCACUUCAAUUAAUAGCAUUUUUUUUUAUUUCUUUUGUCAAUGUUUACCUCUUUUUGAUAAACUUGUAUAUUUUUGUACCAGAGGUCUAAAAUUAUUGUGUCCACUUAUUACUUAUUUAAAUUCAUUAGAAUGUUUUAAAUAACUUUUUUAAAUUUUAAUCCCAGAGUUUACAUGCGUAAUACAUGAGUUAUAUAAAUUAUGAUUCAAAAUAUUGUUAUAACUAAAUUAAAAAAAAAAUACAAAUGAUCAAACCAUUGAUGCUGGUGAUGCUCUCGUCUCCAGAAUGGUCCGCUUGUACUUGGCUGAUGGAGCUGAGGGAAAGCCAAUGGCUACAAAGUGCGAAUGUGAUUUUCGCGAAAUGAAUUAGGGCAAGCAAAUUUUGUUCUCCGUCAUUUUGUAAAUUCUCGCAGCUGCUUGUUAGACGCCAUAAAUAGUCUAAGCUUGUUGUUGAGAUUUUUUAUUUUCUGUAUAUGAAUUUAGAGUUAAUUUCUUGAAUAUUAAGUUUUCUGAUUUUUCUAUAUAAUUAAUUUUUUAAUUUGAUUUGAUUAGUAUUAUCGUACAUUUCUCAUUCUAAAAAAAAAAAAAUACCAGAAGAAUAUUUUCUUUCUAUUGAAAACAUUUGUGGUUAGAACAAAGUAAUUUUUACUGGAGUGUCGUUUUGGGAUGCAGCAUGAACUUUACCUGUCUAAUUUGUACGGCGUGAGAAGAUGUUGCUUUCCAUGGCUUCUCCUUAAAAAAAUUCCAUCACAUUUGACAAUUUUGUUAUAAAAACAAAAGAUAUAUCUUUUAAAGAAGAGAAGUGAUACCUAAAAUUUAUAAAUGAUCUAAACUCUUAAUUUUUAAUCGAUGAUCAUGUUACUGAAAAAACGUACUACGCUUGGAGGACAUAGAGAACGUCCUACGCUUUCAUUCGAGUUUAGCGCACACGAGAAACCUGAAUUCUUUAUAAGAAGCUUGGUAUAAAUAUAUUUCUUCUUAGACAUUAAUUAUUCAUGCAAUUGAAGUUGAGUUUGGGUUAGGUUUUGGAUAGGGCAUGGUAAUAUCUAACCUGAUCUGAAACUUGAUUUUUUAUCUUCAAGUUUUACAUCAAAUCAACUUGAAUUAAAAAAUUUCUUAAUUAUUUGAAUAAGUUCAAGACAAUAUCCAUAGAAUUCAAGUGAAAUCGGCCCGAGGAGGAUAUACAAGUAGACUUCUAGUUUUCUCAAAUAUUUUAAUUUUAAUGAUUGGACAAGAGAGCAAAAAUACCAUAUUAAUAUUUUUUUUCUUUUUAUGAAAAUAAAACAUAUCUUUUCUCACUAGCACAUAUUCAUCCCAACUUGAAAAUACAUUUUUAAUAACGUGAUUAUACGAUGAGGUCCCCACUUGUCAGGUAAAGCUUCGGCACCUCCUUCAAUCCUAGUUUGGGAAACAGAAGCACUCUAUCACCAUUAGUUUUCCCCGAGGAAGACAGCACCCCGAUUCCCUCCUCCUGUGCUGAUGAUGGGGCAUGAGAGAGAGUCCAUACGAGUUCAAAAUAAAAUUAUUAAUAUAUAAUUAAAUAAAAUUAAAAUUCACCUAGGUAAAAUUUUUAUAUAGACAAAUGCCAGGAUACAAAAAUUUUAUCCCGGGAACAUGAAAUUUACUAUUUGGAAUAUAGAGGGAAUUUAGUAAAAUUUUAGCGUAUGUGUGCGUGCUCCAGUAAAAAGAAAAAGAAGAAAAGAAAAAGAAGGAAACUAUCAUUUACAUAUGAGAGAGAUAAAAUUGUAACGAAAACAUAAAAUCUUAAGGGAAGAUCUUGAGGGAAAGUAACUAAGCUUUGUGAGCAUUAAUUGGAAGGAAUAAAAAUUAAAUGAAGGUGAGUAGAAAAGAAGAGAGGAAGUUCAACCAAGAUUGAAGAAGAGGAGGAGUUGAAAGCUUGAUUUGGAAAGUGUUUAGAGUUUAAUUACUUGCUUGGUAAUGCAUUCUAAAGACAUUUGAUCUAAAUUUUAAUUGCUUAAAGUUCUUAAUUGGUUGAAUUUUUGAAAUUAAAAAGUUAGGGCUCUUGAAUAAAUUUGAGAAAAAUAAAAAUUUAUUUUAAUUUGUCAUGGGAAAUAAUAUGAAAAUUAGAGUAAAGUGAUUAAAUUAUUAUAAUUAAAGUAAAAAUUUUGAUAAUUAAAUAGAGCUAGUGGCCGGCUAAUGAUGAGAGAUUUUAGAGGAUUUAAUUGUGAAUAAAUAUUGUGAAUUGAUGAACAAUAUAGUAAGUAGAACUGUUUUUUGAAUAUCUCUUUAUAACUUUUUAAAUUUUAUGGAACACUUGUGUUGAUUCUUGAGAUUGUGUGAAAUAUUACUACCAUGAAAAUAAAAAAAGGAAUUGAUGUCUAGAUAAGAAAUAUCAUUGAGUUGUUGGUUAAAAUCCAUAAAACGGUCUAAUUUUUAGAAAUAUAGUUUACUAUGAAAUUUAUUUGAUAAAAGAAAAGUAGGAACUUUAUGGUAUAUUUCCUUGACAAUGAGUACCCGAUUAAACAAUAUUUAUAUUAAAUUAAAACUUAUGGUAUGUAUCCUUGACAGCGAAAUAAAGAAAAGUAGGAACCUUGUAAUAUCUAGGUAAUUUUUAUGCCCUUUUAAGGAGCCCUACAAACUGAGGCUAUAAUGAGCCCAUGACAGAGGGAGACAGAAAAGCAUAAUUUCAGAAGACCAUGACACAAAUCAACAGCUGAAAUCCAAUCACUUAAGGGAUGGUGACAUGUCGCAUGAGUGGAGACAACUGGUCUUCAGUACAAAAAGAAACAAAGCGUUUUCAUUGUUUAAUUUGUUUUUUGAAGUGUCUUUGUUCUCGUGAUUGCUCUUGUGGUGAUGGAGACUUUAAAAAGAUAGUUUAUAAAAAUUAUUUUCACUCGUGAUUUGUUUGAUUUAAAUAAAUAUUUAAUUAAAAAUGUUUAACUAAAAUUAUGAUUAAAAUGGAUGUUUUAACUUAAAUUACCACAAAAGACACUGGUAAAGGGGGAGAUGAUGUGAGAGACGAUUGGGUAUUUUAUUUAAUUGUCAAAACAUUAACUGUUGUGGUCAAUUCUGGUGGACUAAAAGCCAUCUACUUGAUUAAUGGCCCUUUUCCUCGCUGGAUCCUUGAUAUUUUCAAGGGGUGCAAGCGCCUUGUUCGAGGAUUGAGCAUAAAAAGAUUAAAAAGAGUUAAAUUGAAAUAUAACUAAAACGGAUGAGUGUUUUAUUUUUAAGUGGUCAAUUCCUAUUGUUUUACGUGUUUUUUUUAAAAAAAAUUUUGCUUUUUUUUUUAAGUUUUUUUUUUUUUUUUUAAUUGAGCUGUUUUUUUUUUUUACUUUUUGCUUUUUUUUUUCUUUGUUUUUGUUUAAUGGAUAUUUUAAAAAAACAAAAUUGUUAAUAUUAAAUUUUUUUGUAUCUCAAACUUUUAUAACACGCAUUCUGAGUUUAACGGGUUAACUCAAAUUUUUUUUUCCUGGUUUCAUAGGUUAACCAAAUUAAUUAUGGGUUAACCCGUCAAUUUUGUUUCUAUACAGUUAUCAAACUUUCAUGACGCGAAUCCCUGGUUUGACGGGUUAACUUGGUUUGAGGAUUAACCCAAUUAAUUCGAUUUUUUUUUUAUUUUUUGCUUUUCUUUUUCUUCAUUUUUUCUUUGUUUUUUUUAAUGGAUAUUUUAAAAAUAAUUUUUUUUAUUAAUAUUAAAUUUUUUUCUAUCUCAAACUUUUAUAGCACGCAUUCCAGGUUUAAUUGGUUACCUCAGAUUUUUUUUUUUGGUUUUUCUUUUUAAUUAAAAUUUUCAUUUUCACAAUAAAACACUGAUUCCUUAGGCCUUUUUUUUUUUAAAUUGUCUUAGUUUUUUUAGUUGUUUUUUUUAUGUUUUUUGGGAAUUUUUUUUGCUUCUUCCUUUGUUUUUUUUUUAACAAAAUUUUUUUGUUUAAUUUAGUUUAUUAAUGUUUAUUUUUUUUUUUUGUCAGACUUUCAUGAUACGUUUACCGGAUUUAACGGGUUAACUUGGUUUGACAAGUUAAAAUAUUUUUUUUUUUGCUUUUUAUUCUUUUUAAUUAAUUUUUUUUUUGUUUAGUUUAGUUUGUUAAUGUUAAAUGUCUUUCUAUUUAGUUAUUAAACUUUCAUGACACAUAUCCUGAGUUUCACGGGUUAACCUGGUUUCACGGGUGAACCCAGUUAAUUCCGGAUUGACCCGUCAAUUUUUUUUUUUUCAUAAAUGUUUUAGUUUAAUUUAGUUUGUUAAUGUUAAUUUUUUUUUUAUUUAGUUAUCAGACUCUCAUGACACAGAUCCUGGGUUUUACGGGUUAGCAUGGUUUGACGUGGUAACCCCUGUUUUUUUUUCUUUUUAAUUAAUUUUUUUUUGUUUAGUUUAGUUUGUUAAUGUUCACUUUUUUUUUAUUUAGUUACCAGACAUUCAUGACACGGAUCCUGAGUUUAACGGGUUAACUUGGUUUGACGAGUUAACCUGAUUUUUUUUUUAAUUAUUUUUUUCGUUUCGUUUAGUUUCUAUUUAGUAUUUUUUUCUUCUUAGAGGUUUUUUUCUUUUAUGUUUUCUUUUUAAUUAAUUUAGUUUAUUAAUAUUAAAUUUUUUUCUAAUUAGUUUUUGGCUGAUGCCUUUAGUUUUUUUUUAUGCCUUUGACUGUGGACUGCACUGUGCAGUCCACAGUGAAAAGGCUGAUGCCUUUUGUUUUUUUUUUUAAUUAAUUUUUUUUGUUUAAUUUAAAUUGCUAAUGUUAAUUUUUUUUCUAUUUAGUUAUCAAACUUUCAUUACACGGAUUCCGGGUUUGACAGGUUAACUUGGUUUGACGAGUUAGCCCAGUUAAUUCUGGGUUAACCCAUUAAUUUGUUUUUUUUUUUAAUUAUCAAAUUUUAAUGAUGCGAAUUCAAGGUAUGACGGGUUAACCUGGUUUGAAGGGUUAACCCAAUUAAUUCAUUUUUUUUCAUUAGUUUUUUUCUUCUUGUUGGUUUUUUUUAACUACUCUAUUUAAUUAUCACACUUUUUUAACACGACCUUGCAGUCAGACCCACGUCCAAUGCUAUUGGAUCUGGUAUUGUAGUGCAGACACUUUUAUGCUAAUGGUUAACCCAAGUUUAAUGUUAUUAUUAAUAUUAUAAACAUUACUCUUGGAUCAGGCGAUGCAACCAAAACUGAGACUUUUGGGUAUAACCUUACAAAAAAACCUAACACUUUUAGAUCUUGGUUAUUUUUAAAAUGCAAAAAAUAAUUGACCCGCGGUAUCGCGCGGGGCAUGUAACUAAUACUAAAAGACAUAAAGUGAAGUUUUUUCAGCUCAUUUAUAAUUCAUAAUUUAUUUAUCAAUGAAUGAAAAGUAAUAAAAGAAAAGUGAUAAAAGAAGAAGAGAGAAGAAAUAAAGUGAAUUACCAUCUUAGGAUCUCUUGGCAAAUAAAGCAAGUAAAAUUAAUAAAAUGUGGGACCUAACUCCAAUUUCCUAGCACCCGCAACCCACGCAUACACAAACCCGUACUUUAUCAAUGAAGGAAAAGUGAUAAAAGAAGAAAAGAGAAGAAAUAAAGUGAAGUCUUCUUCUGCAUUAUUAGCACACCACGUGAAAAUAAAGACUGGCAUAUAAUAAAAGUUAUUCCAAUCAAACCCAUUUUUUCGACGAUGGGAUCUCUUGGCAAAUAAAGCGAGGACAACCGAGUAAAAUGGGGGACAUAACUCGUUUUUCCUGGCACACGCAACUCACGCAUACACUAACACUAAUUUGAGAUAUUUUUUUUUACUUUGGAGUUUACAGGCAAAUAAAGUGAGGAAGAACAUCUUCUUCUGCAUCAUCGCAUCACGUGAAAAGCUUGGCAUUUAAUGAAGUUUUUCCAAUCAAACCCACUCUUUUCAAAGAUGAAAUUUCUAGGAAAAUAAAUCAAAGACAAAACCGAGUAAAAUGGAAUUCCCGGCAUAAUGAUUAUUUUUUAAUAUAUUUUUUAUUUUUAAAAAAAUUAAAUAAUAUUUUUUUAUUUUUAAAAAUUAUUUUCAAUAUCAACACAUCAAAAUUAAAAUGAUUUAAAAAUAUUAAAAAUAUAUUCAUUUAAAAUAAAAAAAAUUUAAUUUUUUUUAAAAAUACUUUCCACCAAAAACAUAUUAGUCAAUAUCUGCAUGAUUAAUUAUGCACUUUGCAACCAUAAAUCUUCCUUUAAUCAUAAGAAUAUCUGCUGUUCAUAACGAGUCAUUCAAGUAUGAUUAUUUACUUAAAUAAUUAAUUAUGUUUAAUUAGAUCUAUCCAUAAGUUUGCAAUUGAGCUAAUUGUUCUAUAAUUACUGUAGCUAUGAAAGGUCAAGCACAAUUUCAUCCAAAACAAAACUCGUUAUUUUCAAAAAGAAAAAAUACCCCAAUUUUUUUCUUAUAUUUUAGUAUUUUUUAUAUUUAAAGGCAGUAUAGUUGUAAUAUUUUCAAGUAAUCGAAACAACCACCUAUGCAUCAAUUAUAUGAUAUACUGACUUGACUUUCCCAAGUGUUUUGAGUUUUGAGUACUAGAAGAAGAAAAUAUACUUCUCUCUAAAAAAUAAGGAAAUUUCAGAUGUAUUUUCUUUUAACUGGCGAAAAAACAGGAAGACGAAGAAAGGAAUAUUUUAUUUCUUCUAGGAGUAUGGUUAGCACGAGAGAAAAGAAAAGGGAAAGGCCUAUCGACUCUUUUUUUUUCCAUGUUCACGGGUAGUACGGAUCGCUUACCAUGAAAGCUAAUGGAAAUGCUCUUUCUCCAUGAAAGCUAAUGGAAAUAUGUAUAAAUCAUCAUUUUAUCUUUAUGUAGCAUAUUGUCCGAAGAUUGGGAAAUUUCGUGGGAAAUUGUCCGAAGACAGGAAACGUAAUUUCUCUCUAAAAAAUAAGGAAAUUUCAGAUGUAUUUUCUUUUAACUGGCGAAAAAACAGGAAGACAAAGAAAGAAAGGAAUAUCUUAUUUCUUGUAGGAGUAUGGUUAGCACGAGCUAUAAGAGUUGUACACGAGAGAAAAGAAAAGGGAAGGCCUAUCGAUUCUUUUUUUCUAUGUUCACAGGUAGUACGGAUCGCUUACCAUGAACAUCAAACCUAUCAUUCAUAAACUGUGCCUAGACUUCUUUAAUCAUUUACAUAUAUAAAUUUGGUUAAUCAAGUUGGAGAAGUUCGUGUCAAGAACCAUGCUGUAUAUGUUUGAUAAUGCAGUGAAUAUAAUUUUACAACAAUAUUUUUCAAUUAAUAAAAUAUUUCUUAAAGAAAUUUUCAAUAAUCUUGUUAAGAAAUUUGGGUGGCCAGACAUUUUAAAGAAUGAUGCUAGUUUCUGGCCACAAGUGGUCAUGCUAGUGACUAAUCACUUUUUGAUCAUGUCUGAUACUGGUGGUGAUCUUUUUUAUCAUCGUAUUUUCCAUCAAUUUUUUUUAACAAAAAGAAAGUUUUUAAAAUGAUUUUGUGAAAAUAACUUUUUAUAAAACAAAUGGUAACUAGUUUUGCAAUAUAUGCGCUUCAAAAGAAAGACCAAAGGUGACAUUUAUUAUAACUUUGCAACCACUGCUAGAUGUUCAUCAUGGCGUCUUCUUCUUCUUUGCCUAGACCUGUUUUGGUUUCCGAUGUAUUUCUAAGUUUUAGAGGUGAAGAUACUCGCAAAAAUUUUACGGAUCAUCUUUACACUGCUUUAGACCGAGCAGGAAUCCAAGCAUUUCGAGAUGACGAAAAACUUCGUAGUGGUGAAGAAAUCUCCUUACAACUCUCCAAAGCAAUUCAAGAAUCCAAGAUUUCUAUAGUGGUUUUCUCUAAGGGCUAUGCUUCCUCCACUUGGUGCCUUGGUGAACUUCUAAAGAUUCUUGAAUGCAGACACACAACUGGUCAGAUUGUUCUACCUGUUUUCUAUGAUAUCGAUCCUUCUGAUAUUAGAAAACAGACGGGGAGUUUUGCUAAAGCUUUCCGUAGACAUAAAAGACGUUUUAAGGAAGAAAUGGAGAAGGUCCAAAAGUGGAGAAAAGCUCUUGUGGAGGCUGCAAAUUUAACUGGGCUGGAUCGUCGCAGUAUCGCAAAUGGGUACUUCUUUUCUUCCCCUAUAUCAAUAGCAAAGGCUCAUAACUUUUACCCUUAUUACAUUUUGUAUUUUAAAUUUGCAUUAAAUUCAAAAGAUUAUCUUUCAUCGAUGAGUGAUGACUUUCUUUUUCUAUCCACAGGCACGAAUCAAAAUUAAUUCAAAAGAUUGUCGAAGAAGUUUCAAGUAAAUUGUAUCCCAGAAGCAUGAACGUUAGUAGUCUGCUGCAGAAGUUGAAGACAGCAAUGAUACCUGGCAGGGGGCUGCUUGACGAUGCUGAGGAGAAGCAGAUAACAAAUGCAGCUGUGCGGGAUUGGCUGGUCGCGUAUAAAGAUGCUGUCUAUGAAGCCGACGACUUCUUGGAUGAGAUUGCUUAUGAAGAUCUACGGCAGGAGUUGGAAGCUGAAGCUCAAAUCUUCAUUAUCCCACGUGAAAUAAUGGGGUUGAGAGAGAUUAGAAGAAAAAUCAAGAGCCUCCAUGAGAGACUAGAUGACUUAGUAAACAAAAGGAUGCCCUUGGUUUGAAUCAACCGCACUGGAAAAGAACCAUCAUCGCAAGACAAAACUUCUCUCGUGAUGAAUCUGGUGUUUAUGGUAGAGAUGAUGACAGCAAAGCAAUACUGAAGUUGCUUCUAUCAGAUGAUGCAAAUGGACAAAACCCAGGUGUCGUUCCCAUAGUAGGAAUGGGCGGGGUUGGUAAAACCACGCUUGCGCAGCUUGUAUACAAUCACAGCAGAGUACAAGAGUGGUUCAACCUCGAAGCUUGGGUUUGUGUUUCAGAAGAUUUCAGUGUUUUGAAGUUAACCAAGGUUAUCCUUGAGGCGUUCGGUUCAAAGCCUGAUUCUGAUAGACUGGAUAAGCUCCAGCUUCAGUUGAAGAAGAGAUUGGAGGGAAAUGAAUUCUUGCUUGUUUUAGAUGACGUUUGGAAUGAAGAUUAUGAUGAAUGGGAUAGGUUUCUUACCCCCCUGAAGUUCGGAGCACAAGGGAGUAAGAUUCUUGUCACAACACGCAAUGAAAGUGUAGCAUCAGUCAUGAGAACUGUUCCAACUCAUCAUCUAAAAGAAUUGACGGAAGACAGCUGCUGGUCUGUGUUCGCCAAACAUGCAUUUCGUGGUGAAAAUCCCAAUGAUUAUGAAGAGUUGCUAGAGAUUGGCAAAGCUAUAGCAAGAAAGUGUAAAGGCCUUCCUCUAGCUGCAAAAACACUCGGAGGUCAACUACGCACCCAAAGAGAUGCCGAGGAGUGGGAGAAGUUAUUGGAAAGCAAUCUAUGGGAUUUACCCAAUGAAGGUAUCCUCCACAUCUGAAGCAAUGUUUUGCUUAUUGUGCCAUAUUUCCAAAAGACUAUUCAUUUAAAAAGGAUGAAUUGGUUCUCUUUUGGAUGGCAGAGGGCUUCUUAGACCCCUCUGCAGUAGAUGAUGAGAUGGAAAAAGCAGGUGCUAUGUGCUUUGAUGAUCUCUUGUCAAGGUCCUUUUUCCAGCAAUCAAGUGUCUCUCGCUCAUCAUUUGUGAUGCACGAUCUCAUGCAUGACUUGGCUACCCAUGUGUCCGGUCAAUUUUGCUUCAGCUCCAGGUUGGGGGAAAAUAAUUCUUCCAAGGCCACCAGAAGGACUCGACAUUUAUCACAUACGGGAGCCGGUUUUCGCAGCACAAAAUUGGAAAACAUCCGUGAAGCCCAACUUAUACGCACAUUCCAAAAUUGGCAUCAUUUUCCUGGUUGGUACUAUAAAGAGAUCUUUCAUAUAUUGCCAACACUUGGGCGCCUACGUGUGCUAUCCUUGUCUGUCCAUCCCGGUGCAGCUAAGAUGCUUUGUUCAAUUAGCAAGUUGAAGCAUUUGCGGUAUUUGGAUCUCUCGUCGUCAGAAUAUUUAGUAACGUUGCCUGAAGAAGUGAGUGCUCUUCUCAAUUUGCAAACGUUGAUCUUGAAAAAGUGCCAACAACUUGCUAGUCUACCUGAUCUUGGAAAUUUGAAGCAUUUACGACAUCUGAAUCUUGAAGGAGCAGGAAUCAAAAGGUUGCCUGCAUCUCUGGUAAGGUUAAUCAACUUGCGGUAUCUUAACAUCUCAUGGACGAAUUCUUUGAAAGAGAUGCCACCACAUAUAGGUCAACUUGCAAAGCUCCAAACGUUGACUUUAUUUCUCGUGGGAAGACAAAGUGAGAAUAGCAUUAAAGAAUUGGGAAAGCUACGACAUCUACGGGGAAAACUUCAUAUUGAGAACCUUGAAAAUGUGGUGGAUGCUCGGGAUGCUGCUGAGGCAAAUUUGAAAUGUAAAAAGCUUGAUCAUCUGAUCUUUAGCUGGAAUGGUAAGACUCAUGACCCGCAACACGUAACAAGCACACUUGAGAAAUUAGAGCCAAAUAGAAAGGUGAAGGAUCUUCAGAUUUACUGUUAUGGAGGUGUAAGGUUUCCGGAGUGGGUAGGAGACUCCUCUUUCUCAAAUAUAGUGUCCUUGAUGCUCUAUGGAUGUACAAACUGCACCUCCUUACCACCGCUCGGACAAUUAGCUUCUUUAGAGGAUCUCUCCAUUAAUGAAUUCCACAAAGUUGAGACUGUGGGCUCCGAGUUCUAUGGGAAUCGUACCGCUGUGAAGAAGCCAUUUGAAUCCCUCAAAAAAUUAUGUUUUGUAAGGAUGGCAGUGUGGCGCGAGUGGAUUUCAGACGAAGGCAGCCGGGAAGCCUUCCCUCUUCUUGAUGAGCUUACAAUCGUGGAAUGCCCCAACCUUGCAAAGGUCCUACCUAGUCACCACCUUCCAUGUGUAACAAGACUUGAAAUUAGAGCAUGUGAGCGGCUCGCGGCCCCAUUUCCCAGGUUUCAUAGGUUGCAAUCCCUCGAUGUUUCUGUAAACCGCGACUGGCCACCUUCUAAGCAAAUGGGCUGGGCUGCUCUCAAAUGCUUCGCCCUGGACUUGGUCCCCAACUUAAAUUCUCUUUCUAUCUCUUCCUGUCCAGAUCUGGAAUCACUAUGUGCACAUGAAAGACCUCUCAACGAUCUCACCUCUCUCCAUUCUUUGUCUAUCUGGGGGUGCCCUAAAUUAGUUUCAUUUCCCAAAGGAGGGUUACCUGCUCCAGUCUUGACACGACUUGUGUUAAAUCAUUGCAACAACCUGAAGCAGUUGCCUGAGAGUAUGCAUUCCCUCCUACCAUCCCUUAACCACUUGGAAAUAAGAGGUUGUUUAGAAGUUGAGUUGUGUCCAGAAGGGGGUUUUCCCUCCACAUUACAAUCACUUGUGAUUAGUAAUAGCAACAAACUCAUUGCAGGCCGCAUGCAAUGGGGCUUGCAAACGCUCCCUUCUCUUUCACGCUUUGUUAUUGGUGGCCAUGAAAAUAUUGAAUCCUUCCCUGAAGAGAUGCUUCUGCCCUCAAGUCUUACAUCUCUCAGCAUCAUUGGCCUAAAACACCUGAAAUCUCUUGACUACAAGGGGCUUCAACACCUCACCUCUCUUACAUCAUUGAGAAUAAUUAUCUGCCCUCUGAUUGAGUCAAUGCCAGAAGAAGGGUUGCCCUCCUCCCUUUUUAUUCUUGAUAUUUACUAUUGUCCAAUGCUGGGUGAAAGUUGUGAAAGGGAGAAAGGUAAAGAUUGGCCCAAGAUUUCUCACAUUCCUUACAUAGACAUCAGCACAGCAAAGAAGUAGCAGUUAAAAGGAGCUUUUCUUUCGAUCAAAGGCAACAUAUUUUUUUGAGGUAUUGCUACUAAAUAGUUUAUUUUCUUUUCUGUAAUCAAAGGCAAUUUCAGUUAAAAUUUGGAUGAAUGAAGUACAGAUAUUGUCCAUUUUGUAUUGUUUUUAUUUGUUGGAUGUUGAAAUACAGAUAAUUUCUUCCAUAAAUAAUAAUCAUCAUUCUGUUUCAAUAUAUCGAGCUGGAGGAUCAUCACAUGCUUCAGAUUUUGAACUGCCAGCACUAGUAAUUAUAAAUCCAUUGUUAAAAAGGAUUAAAAAAAUUAAAUUAUGUAAGUAAUUUGCAACGGAUUUUUCAUUAUUCACGUGCUUGGCAACAUCAAAUCUGCAACUGAUUCCAAAGAUAAAUCAAACCCUUAAUUAUAUAAAAUCCCCAUCCUUUCUCCUUUUCUCUUUUCCCGCAUCUUCAAAAAUUAAAAAAAAUAAAAUUCUCCAUCUCUUUCUCUAGUCUCUUCCCUUCUCCAAAAAUUCAAAAUUCAAAAACUUUUUUUAUCUUUUAUUUAUUAUUUAACUUUGAUUAGAUUGUUUUUAUUCCAUAUAAAGCAGAAGUUAAAAAAUGAUUUUGGAGUGCAUGUAAGUCAUAUCAUUUUUGGAGUGUACUUUGAUAAAAAAACAGACAUAAAGAGAGAAGAAAUAAAAUUCAUGACUCUUUAUCUUGCCCAAAAUAACAGCGAGGGCUCAUGGAUGCUGCACCAGGGUAAAGCUACAAAUGCCAACGCUGAUGAAGAGUUACAAGAAAUUGGUAGAGCAAUAGUGAGGAUUGUCUGAUGUUCAUCUAUAAUAGCAGCAGAUAAAUAAUUGUAGCUGAAGAAAAGAAUGGUGUGCGAGAGCAAUUUCAUAGAAAUGAAACUGCUUUUAUUGGACGUGAAACUUCUUGCCUCCAAUAUUUGUGUUUUGAUCUUCUAGCCUUUUGGUGUUCUAUGGCUUUGUUGCUGCCUUUUAGUCUUUUGGUGUUCCACGGUGCUGCUGCUUUUUGGCUCUUGAUUUAAUGGAAAUGCUGUCCUUGUAUCGUUUGGGUUUUGGCAUCGUUGGCUCCUGCCGUUGUCUGUUCUCCGGUCAUCGAAGCUGACAGCAAUCCUCCGACUCUGUUAUUGCAGUCAGAUGCUUCCUCAGUUUUAUCCUUUGGUCAUUUUCAAAAUCAGAUACUCCUGUAAAUAUUACAAAACAACUGUGACACUGCUUUUACUAUAUCUUAAUAGCUAUUUUUUCUUGGGAUAUUUAAUUUAAUUUACAAUAAAUUCUGGUUAAUUUACAAUAAGUUUAUAUAGCUUGAAAGUGAAGCUCAUCUUCUAUUUAGUUUUCUUAAAUAUAUAAUUUUAAAUUAAAUUACUUUUAAAAUAAUUUUGAGUAUAUCUUACAUGUUUAAACAUUAACUUUGUUGGAUGGAUGCAUUUUUUAUUGUAAAAAAAAAAACUUCAAAAAAAAAUUUUCUAACAAAAAAAAUGUUUUUUUAGAAAAAAUAUGAUUAAAAAACGUUUUAAAAACUCAUGGUCUAAAAUGGACAUUACUGAAAAGCUACUUUUUUCCAAGUAUUACAUAGGCAAGUAUGCGUAUAUGUUUAGGGUGAUAGGUAUGGGUCGAGUAGUAGCAAAAUAUUUUUUAAUGGUAAAACAUGAGAUAGGCUCAUUCACCUCUUUACCGGUCUUUAUUUCUUAAUAAAUUUUAUCCAAAUAUUUUUUUUAAAUGGAUAAAAUGGAUUAUAAUAUUUGUAAUGGAUAAUGACUGUUAAAAAAAAAAUUAAACUCAAAUUAUAAUUUUGCAAAUUUUAGUAUUUAAAAUAAAAUAAUUCAUAAGUGGUGAUUAAAGAGGUUACUAUCUUGGGUAACAUUCAAAUUCCAUCUAUGGGUGUUCUCUGAAAACUUGGCAAAUCCUCGCAAUCGUUGUUCUCUGAAAUCUGUAAAGAACGUUGUAGGAGUUCUAAAUCCUAGCACCCACCCAGCAUUGUUUUGAAGAAGUAUACCUUCUUUACUUGUUCUUUACCCUUUUUUAUGUUUGUAAUUCUUAUAUACAAGCAUUUGCUUUGAUUUUUUUGUCAGGAAAGUAUUAUGUAAACUAGAUUCAUUAUUUCUAAUUUGUAAGAGAAUAUAUGAUCAUAUUUAAAUACAUUAACAAAUUAAUUUCCUCAUUUCUCUUAAUUUUUAAGAAAAUCUUUCUUCUAUUAUAAUUAUAGUUAUUGUUUUUUUAAAUCUAAAAUCAAUGUCAUGGUUAAAUAGAAUGGUAUGUUAUCCUUAUUUUUAUUAAAUUAAAUUAAAAUAAAAAACUAAAUUUCUUAAACAAAUUACUGUUUACUAUGACCAUGAUAAAGUUGUUCUUUAACCGCUAAACCUUUUAACCCUUUAUGAUUUUUUAAUUUACAAAUUGUUUUCAAAUUAAGGAAAUUCUUAAGAAAAUCUAUCAUAUUAUAUAUAUUUUUUAAUAUCACCCCUUUAAUUUUUUAAUCGUUUAAAUUUAAUCUUUAUUAUUUUUCAUUGCUUUUUGUUUUUACAAUUUUAUUUUCCUUGGGUUUUUUUUCUAUGAAAUGGUAUCCUUAUUUUUUUUGUUGCUAUAUCUUUUAUUUUUGCAAGUUUUUUUAUUGAACCCGGGUCUAGAAUUACACGAGUUGCCAGUUUUAGAGUUUGACCAAGUUUAGUAGGUUUAUCCGACUUUACUUGGUUUUUUUUUUCUUUCUUGAGCUGAUUUUUUUUAUUUUUUUAUAGUUUUGCUUUGUUAUUUUUAACAGCUUAUCUUUUAUAAAGUUAGCCCUGAGUUUAUGACUAGAAUCAUCGGUUUCAAUGGGUUAACAUGAGAUGAUUUUAAAUUUUUUUAAUUAAUUUAUUUCAAUUUCAUCAUUCUUUUUUUUUUAUAUUUUUUUUUUCUAUGAGACUAUCUCAAUCUUAUAUUCAUGGUUGCGAAGUUGAUGAGUUUACCUGGUUUAAUAGAGUUUUUUAUAGUUUCACCUUUUGUUAGAUAAUUCGGAGGGCUCAAUUCUGUUUUUUUUUUAGUUUUUUUGUCAUUGUUAUUUUUUUAAUUAAUUUAUUGUAGUUGUAUUUUUUAUAUAUAUUUUGAACCAAUUAGUUGUAUCUCAGUUUUUUUUUAAUGUAAUAUUAUUUUUUUAAGUUAAAAAAAUACUUCCUCUCGCAGUGGAGCACGGACACAUGUUCCAGGGUACAUUUUAUAAGAUAUGAUCCGAGGAUACGAUGUAGAUUUUGUUAAGGAGGUUGUGUAUUAAUUUGUUAAUAUGCAUACUGCCUACUUGUGGAACUGAGUUGCAUAGCUGAGUGGUACUUGCAGGUUCAAAUGGUUUGAAGAUUCUGAAACAUUAUUAAUUUGUGCUCAAACUCUUUGCAUUUCAGCAUCCUCUACUGGUUGGUGCAGGCCUUAACUAAACGAAAAGGUGAUUUUAUUGUAUCUCUUUUUAUAAAAUAUUAUUUUUUUAAACAGUUAUAUCCUUUAAAAUUAUAUUUAUUAAGAAUUGAAUUUUAUAACUUUUAUAAUUUAUUUAUUUACUUUAUCAAACUUCUGCUGCAUGAUCACAUGAUUCACAUCACGUGAAAAGCUUGGCAUUUAGUGAUGUUUUUCCAAUCAAACCCCCUUUUUUCAAAGAUGGAAUCUCGAGGUAAAUAAAUCAAAGACAAAACCGAGUAAAAUGGAGUCCUGAGCAUAACAAGGGCCGAGAGAGAAAAGGCUUUUGCGAGUUCUGUGUUUUGUAUACUUCUCAAGGGGAAAAAAUAAUGUUUUGUUAGAGAAUUGUUUUUGAUAGAAUUGUUAGAGAUCUUAGCCGAUGCAUCUGGAUUAUAAUUUUUUAGCAUUUAUACUAUUUUAUAGCGCUAAUAUCUUAAAAAACUUAUUUUCUAGCUUUUUUUUCAUGGUAUAAUGAAAUAUUAAAAAAUAUUCUUCAACUCAUUAUCCUUAUUACAAUUAAAUUUCAUAGAAUAGUCUAUUUGUUUAGAAAUAUAGUUUACUGUAUGAUUUAUUUGAUACAAAAAAUUCACUAGAAACUAAAAAAAGAAGAAGCUAAUCAUCAUUUAAAAAUAUAGAAUAUUGGAAUCAUCUUGCUCAAUAGGUGAGUUUGGGAGUUUGGUUGCUUAACAGGUGAGUGAAGGUUAAAUGUACCCAAUUAAAUCAUAUCUACAUUCAAUUAAAACUUAUGGUAUAAUUACUUGAUAGCAAAAUAAAGAAAAGUAGGAACCUGUAACAUCUAAGAAAUUUCUAUGCUCUUAAAAUUAAGCGUCCAAACUAAGGCUAUAAUGAGUCUUGAAUCUACACAGAAGAAAUUUCAUGGGAAAUGUAAUUUCAAAGACCAUGACUCAAAUCAGCGGCUAAAAUCCAAUCACUCAAGGGAUGGUGACAUGUUGCCUUGAGUGGGAGACAGCUGGUCUCUAGUACGAAGAGAAACAACAAUAUAAUUUUUUUUUUAUUAAAAGUGAGUGUAUGAGCUUCCAUGUAUUUUAAUUUAUUUUAUUAAUUUUAAAAUUAAUAAUUAUAUAAAUUUUUAGUAAUUCUAAAAAGAUUUGAAUUCAUAAUUAUUAAAAUAUAAAUAUAAAACCUAAUCAAUUAGUACCCCCACAGCAGUGUUUUCAUUGUUUAAAAUGGAGUGUUUGUUUUUCUUAGAGCUCGUUUGGGUACGCGUUUGCGUUCGCGUUUCUUCGAAAACGCAUGACAAUGCUGUUUGGUUACAGAUCGUUGAACAAUUAAAAUACAUGGGCCCCACCAUUUACCUGCGGCUGGAACACAAUUUUUUAAAAGCAGCAAGAUACUGCUUUUUUACGAGUUUCAACAAUAUUCACCAGCGAAUUGCACUGUUCACGUGACUUUCUUUCUUCUUCUUUUUUUAACAGUUUUUUUUUAUAAUUUUUUUUUUAAAAAAAAGUAGUUUAGAGUGAAUUAAAUUUACUUACAUUGUGAUGUGAGCAAUAUUUUUUUUCCCUGAAAAACUAGUAUAAAAUGAAUUAAAUUCACUCAAUUUUAUACCUGAUAAUGUUUUAUCUAAUUUUAUUACACGCUCACAAAAUUAUAAAAACUGUAGUUCUUAUUGGCUGAAUUUUAUACAUAUUGGAAUUAUAAAUAAUUUAAUGGAAUAAUAAAAAAUAUUUUAUAUAAAGUAUUAUUUAUUUCAUAAUGUAAUAGGAGUAGUUAAUUCUACAAUAUUUAAAUUUAAAACCAUCAAUAUUAAUAUAUAUUUUUUAAAAUUAUUUUAUAACCUCAAUUUCAAAAGCAUUAUUAACUAAACACAUUAAACUACUUUUUCUUCAACCUCAAUUUCAACCACAAUUUUAACCAAACAUCUAUUUUUUUAAACCAACCUCAACUAAAAGUACUUUUUAUAAAACAACUUUUUUCAAACCACAACCACAACAGCUACCGCAAUACCAAACAGACUCUUAGUGUUUUUGUUCUUGUCAUAGCUCAUGAUGGCGGGGGCUUAAAAAACAUUUAAAGAAAUUAUUUUUUCUUGUGAUUUAUUUGAUUUAAAUAAGUAUUUAAUUAAAAUUAUAAUUAAAAAUGUUGUUUAAUAAAAAAUAUUUUAAAAUAUUUAAUUAAAAUUAUAAUUAAAGAUAUAUUGUAACUAGAAUUACUAUAAAAAAAGAUCCUAGUGAAGGUGGAGAGGAUGAGAAUAAUGAUUGGAUAUCUUAAUAAUUGUAAAAAGAAAGUAUCUUUUUAUGGUGAAGUUAUCGGUAGAUGAGAAAAUACUGAGUUUUGUAGCUCAGAAAAAAACGUCAUUCAACUAAUAAAAUGAUCCAUCUACAUAAUAAUAAUAAAAAAAACCCGCCAUUCCCACGUGUGGAAGAUAAAAUUAAUCAACCUAAUCUUAUUGGAUUACAUUUUAUUAUUUAUAUCAAACAAUCAGUAUCCUUAAUACUGAUUAAGGAUAUUUUUGUUUUUGCACAACUAUACAUUUUAAUAUAAUAAUUUUUUUAAUCUAAUUUUUUAUUAUUAUUAUUUUAGUAUCAUUUUGUUAUUUCUAACAGUUUGCGUUUACAAGGUUAGUCUUGAAUUAUGACUAGAAUCAUCAAUUCUAAAUAGGAAUGUAAGUUGAUUUUUAUUAUUUUUUAAAAUUAAUUUAUUUAAAUUUUAUCAUUAAAUUUUUUUUUUCAUGAUUUCUUUUUAAGAGACUAACCCUUUAUCGACAAACACUAAUGUACUCUGAAAAACAUAAUCCUAUUGCAUCUUACGCUUUAAAUUCCAACAAGGAGUAGGAACCCUGCAUCUGGGAAAUUUUUACUAGGCCUCCAAUCUGAGGCUGUAAAGAGCUGAUGGGUUGAUGUCAGAGGUAGACAAGGAACCGUACUUUCAGAAGACCAUGACACAAAUCAACGGCUGGAAUCCAAUCACUCAAGGGAUGGUGUCAUGUUGCCACGAGUGAGAGACAGCUGGUCUCCAUCUGAAUGUUUAAAUAUGAUUGGGUAUCUUAGUAAUUGUAUAACAAUUGAUUUUUUUUUUUUAAAGUUGUCGGUGUGGAUGAAAAAUACUGAGUUUGUAGCUUAGUAAAAACAUGUUGAUGUUACUUUUUAUUAGCUCAUGGUUGGCCCAUAAAUUGUAAUAGGUCCCACAAUCACAAACCUACUAUUCACAUGUAAUUUAUGUCUUACAACUUGUUUUUUAAAUUAUUAUUUUUAUAUUUUUAUACCAUUUUUAUUUUAAAAAAUUUAAGUUUAAAAAAUAUUAUUUUAAUAUAUUUUUAAAUAAAAAAUAUUUUAAAAAACAAUAAUAUCUGAAUGUUUUAUAAAUUUUUACAAUCACUUUUACAUUUUUUUUAGAUCACAUUUGAGAAUGCAGUACACCACAAUAAAGUUUCGUUGUUGCUACAUGAUUAAAGGUAAGUAAUUGUCUUGCAUUUACCUUUAAAACUGCUAUCAAGAAUUAAUUAAUUGCGUCAAUUCAAUUAUUUCUAUUGACAUUGAUACCAAACAUGUUAAUUCAUGAUAUAAUUAAGCAAUUCAAUACAAAUUUACUAAUAUAAUUUAUUCCGGCGUAAAGCUUUGAAUAUAGCCAAAUGCAGAGGUUAUGCAAGUGAAAUACCUUAAUAAUUAAAUUAAAAAAAGAAAACAAAAUAUAAUGUAUAAAAUAUAAUAAUAUAAUUUAUAAUUUAUUUAUUUGCUUUAUCAGUGAAAAUUGAAAAGAGAUGGAAGGAGGGAGAGAGAAGAAAUAAAUUGAAGUCUUCUGCUGCCUGAAGAGCUUGGCUAGUGAUGUUUUUCGAUCAAACCCACUUUUUUCAAAGAUGGAAUUUCUCGGAAAAUGUGUGAUCCAGAGAAAAGCCUUUUGCGAGUUAUUAUGUUGCUGACACUGGAUAGAGACACUUCAACUAUCUUUUCAUUAUUUUGAGCGCAGUUGCCACCCACCUUUCUGUGGCUUCAUGCUCCUUCUCCAAACCAUUCAUAUAUAGUGCAGCCUGAGCUUUACUGGUUACGUUUCCUUUGAGGAUAAUUAUUGUUAAAUUAUUUUUUGUUUUAAAAUAUAUUAAAAUAAUAUUAUAUUUUUUAUAAUUUUAAUAUAAACACAUUAAAAUUAUUAAAAAAAUCAAUAAUUUAAUAUAUUUUUAAAUAAAAUAUAUUUUAAAAAAACAUACAUUACGAACUAUUCUCUCAAACACACAAUUUUAUUCCAUCUUAAAACUUGAGAUAUUAGAAUAGUCAAGUUCCCUCGUUAAAUUUACAAUUGUGGUAGUGGGAGUUGUAUAACUCAUUAAAAAAUAAAUUUUAUAUUAAAAUAAAAAUUUUAAAAAUAUAUUGAUUAAAAAUGUGAGGUGUUAUUCUGCAUUAUUAGCACAUCACGUGAAAAGAUAGAUUGGCAUAUAAUAAAAGCAAUCCCAAUCAAACCCAUUUUUUCGACGAUGGGAUCUCUUGGCAAAUAAAGCGAGGACAAACCGAGUAAAACAUGGGACCCAACUCCAUUUUCCUGGCACACGCAACUCACGCAUACACACACUCAUUUGAGAUAUUUUUUUUACUAUGGAGUUCAGGCAAAUAAAGUGAUGGAAGAAGGUCUUCUUCUGCGUGAAAAGCUUGGCAUUAAUGAAGUUUUUCCAUUCAAACCCACGCAUACACCCUGUAAUAUCUAGGAAAUUUCUCUGCUAUUUAAAUUAGGCGUACAAGCUGAGGCUGUAAUGAGCCCUUAAUCAACAUAGAAAAAAUUUCAUGAAAAUGGAUUAAUGUCAAAAAUAUAUUUCAAAAAAUCAUGACUCAAAUUAGUGAUUGAAAUCCAAUCACUUAAAAGAUGGUGACACGUUGUCAUGAGUGAGAGAUAACUGGUCACCAGUACAAAAAAAAACAGUAACGUUUUCAUUAUUUAAAAUGGAGUAUUUGUUUUGCUAAGUGUCUUUGUUAUCAUGAUAGCUCUUGUGGUGAUGGAUGUUUAAACAUGAUUGGACAUCUUAGUAAUUGUAAAAACAAUUUUUUUUUUUUUGGAUGAAGUUGUCGGUGGAUGAGAAAAUACUGAGUCUGUAGCUUAGUAAAAACAUGUUGAUGUUACUUUUUAUUAACUCAGGGUUGGCCCGUAAAUUAUAAUGGGUCCCACAAUCACAAACCUCUGAUUCACUUGUAAUUUAUGUUUUAUAACUUUUUUAUUUUAAAUUAUUAUUUUUUAUAUUUUUAUACCAUUUUUAUAUGAAAAAUAUUUUUUAAAAAAUAAAAAAUAUUAUUUUAAUAUAUCUUUAAAUAAAAAAUACUUUAAAAAACAAUAAUAUCAAACACCUAAAUGUUUUAUAAAUUCUCUACAUUCACUUUUACAUUUCUUUAGAUCACAUGAGAAUGCGGGACACCACAAUGAAGUCCGUGGUUGCUACAUGAUUAAAGGUAAAUGUCUUUUAAAACUGCUAUCAAGAAUUAAUUAAUUGCGUAAAUUCAAUUCUUUCUAUUGACAUUGAUGCCAAACAUGUUAAUUCAUGAUAUAAUUAAGCAAUUCAAUACAAAUUUACUAAUAUAAUUUAUUUCGGCUUAAACCUUUGAAUAAAGCAAAAUGCAGAGGUUGUGAAAGUGAAAUACCUCAAUAAUUUCUAUGCUUUACAACCCUAGGAGCCACACAAAAUAUAAUGCGUUUGUUACUAUUAAUUUAUUUAAAAAAUAAAUUAAAAUAUUUUUUAAUAUUUGAUUAUGUUAUAGAAAACGAGUCAAAAAAUAAUUUUUUAAUUUUUUUCUCAAGUUUAUUAAAAAAAUAAGAAACAAAUCUUACAAAUAAAAAUAUUGAAGGAGAAUGAAAUUGAAAAAUAUAUAUUUACAUAAAUUAUUUUAAAUAAAAUAAAUAACAAUCAUAAGAAUGAGAGCCAAAUAUGACAUAUAAAAAUAUUUAAUAAAAAAUAAAACAAUAAUAAAUAAAUAAAAUUAAUAUAAAAAUAAUACUAAACCAAGAAUUAAAUUAAAAAAAGAAAACAAAAUAUAAUGUAUAGUUUAUAAUUUAUUUAUUUGCUUUAUCAAUGAAAAGUGAUGGCAGGAGGGGAGAGAGAGGAAAUAAAGUCUGCUGCCUGAUCACAUCACGUGAAGAGCUUGGCAUUUAGUGAUGUUUUCCGAUCAAACCCACUUUUUUCAAAGAUGGAAUUUAUUGGAAAAUAAAUGAAAGACAAACCGAGUAAAAUGGAGUCCAGAGCAUACAAGAGCCGAGAUUGAAACAGGAAAUGCAAGAAAAAGAAGAUGGGCCCUUGUUUUCUCUUUUUACGGCCGGCGACCGGAUAUAAAAAGGAAGGAGAUGAAGCUUUCAAAUUAUUUAUAAUUUUGCGGUCACUUAUUGUGUCCAUGUCAUUUUGUGUAAUUGCCCAGCUACAAUUUAUAAAUGAUGUAAACUCUUAAUUUUUAAUCGAUGUAAAAUGUUGGAGUAUCAUGUUGCUGAAAAAAUCUUUUUAAGUGUAUAAUAUGUUGCAUUUGGGGCAAAAUUAAUAGUUUUGAAUGUUUUUAUUACCGAAACCUUUUUUUUUUCUCAACCUCUUUCUCUCUCUCUUCUUGUCAAAUACAAAAGUUUUUUUUUUUCAUUUUUUUAAAUGAUUUAAUUUUAAUUUUAUUUUAUUUUAUUUUUAUCUUUUGUAGAUUUGUAUUUUAUCGUUUGAUUUUAUUUAAUUGUUUUUAUUAAACAUGACCUUUAUUUACUUUAUUUAUUAUUUUUUUAAUUAAACGUUCUCUUAACAUUUAUUUUCAAUAUCAGAUUUAAUUAAUCAUAUUAAUCCUAUUUUAUCUUACACUUUAAAUUCCAACAAGUACCCGAUCCAACAAUAUCUGCAUUCACACUUGAGGGUCUAACUUAUUGGUCAACUGCAAGACUUGUCUUUGCGAACGUCUUGGGUUCGAUCCUCUUUGUGUACCCUGUCACCCCGCGGUGUCUUACCUGUUCACCGGGCUUGCAGGAUAUUCAGUGGACUCGAGGAUUAGUUGUGAUGCGCGCAAGCUGACCCGAACACCUCGGGUUAUAAAAAAAAAAAAAACAAUAUCUGCAUUCAAUUAAAACUUAUGGUACAGCGAAAAAAAAAAAAAAGAGUAGGAACCAACUAAGAAAUUUAUGUGCUGUUCCCAGCUAUGUUGCUGACACUGGACAGGAGAGACUUCUUCAACCACCGAUAAAAUUAUUUUUAUUAACUUUUUGUGCAAUUUGUUACUUUGUUUCGAUCUUUCUCUCUUUGCACCACAAACACUUGGACACGGUAGAAACCAAGCACGGUUUUUCUGUCAAUGUACGAUACCGUAUUUAACAAUAUCUUUUUAUUUUUAUUUUAUGAAGAGUAGUAUGUUGGUGAUCUAUGUAUGUUUUUUUUAAAAAUCACAUAUAUAUUUAUCUAAAAUUAUUGAUAUUUAAAAAAUUACAUUAUUUUUUUAAUGACUCCUUCCACUGUUCUUGUAGAAUUAAGCAAAUAUUAUGCAAAGCUUCAAGUUUUGUGUAAUUGUUUUUAAUACAAGAGAGUUUAACCAUUUUAAAAUGUUUAAUGAGUUCUUUAAAAUAUUGAAAGUAAUGUACAAAAACUAAUUUAUAAUUUUAUUACAGAUCGUGCUUUAUUAUAGGUCAAGUCAAGUUUUUCUUAAGAAUAAAAAAUUAUUUAAAUUAUGAAUGUUUUAAUUUAUUCUGGUAAAAAAAAUUUAAAUCAUGAUGUGAUCUAACUUGAUUGAAUUUGUAGUUCACAAAACAACCUAGAUAACAAAUAAAAAUAUAAUUUAACUUAUAAAUUUUUUCAAGAUUACAUAUAUUUUUUUAAUAUUAAGAUAAUAACAAAUUAAAUUGAUUUGGAUAAACUCAAUUUAACUUAUUAAAUUCAUAACCCGUGUUAUGAGACUAUGAUAAACCUGUAAAAAACAAAUUAUUAAGUUUAAUUCUCAACCACCAAAUAUUAAAAGAUAAAAUUAAAAUAAAUAAAUAAACCAUGUGGAGAUUAACUCAAUAUGACUUAAUUGAUUUAGCUUGUUCAAAAACAACCAAGAUAAUCACUAGAAAUAUAAUCUGACUUGGAAAAAAUUUCAAGAUGAUAUUUUUUUUUAAUAUAAAGAUAACAAAGUAAUAGAUCGAAUUGGGUUAAGCAGAGUUAGCUUGUUAAAUUUUUUAUUUGGGUAUGAGACUAUGAAAUCUAAUUCCUAAGCAACCAAAUAUUGAAUGGUAUAAUUAAAAAAAUAAUCAAUUAAAAAAAUGAUUUAAAAAUAUGAACGGAGUUAACAUGUCAAGUCCAUAACCUAUCUUAUAAUAAAGAUAUAAUCUUAUAAAAAAAAUCAAAAUAAAUUAUGAAAUUCAAUCUUAAACAGCUAAAUUUUAAAAGAUAAAAUUUUAAAAAAAUAAUUUUAAAAAGAACAUAAAAAUGACCUAAGUAAAUCCCCCAAACCCAUAGCUUAUUAAGAGAUCGUGAUAAUCUUGUAAAAAAAAAAUUACAUGAUUUAACUCGUUAAAUUUAUGACUUUGGUUACAAUACCGAGACAACCUCUUAAAGAGUAAAUAAAAAUAAAUUGAAAAGUGCAAUCCCUAAUUGACCAUGUCAAACCCGAUGUGAACGAUGCAAUUUUUAAAAUUUUGAAUUAAAAAAUAACAUAAAAAAUAAUUUAGGUUAACCCAUUAAGCAUCAUUCUUAGAUUACGAGACCAGGAUAACAUAAUAAAAAUAAAAUCAAAACAAACCACAAAGUCUAAUUCCUAAUAAAACAUUAUUAAAUAAUAAAAUUGAAAAAAAAAAAGUUAAUUAAAAGAAAUUUGAGUCAAUUAGGCUAACUUGCUAAGCCUGCAAGUUAGGUUAUGAAACAUAAAUAACUCAAUAAAAAACAAAUUUACUAUUGAAGGACUAGUGACGCAGGUCAUGAAAUAAAGAUAACCUUUUACAAACAAAAUUAAAAAACAACUCAAUUUAAUUUGGAUUAAAAUGUCAAAACCUUCGUCUCUAAUCAUGAGACUAGGAUAACCAUGUAGAAAAUAAUUUGAAAUAGAUUAUGAAGUUUCAUUCUCAACUGACCUGAUAUCGAAUGAUAAAGUUGGAAAAAAAUUCAAUUAAAAAAAUAUAAAAUACAACCUGAGUCAACUGAGGUUAACCUGUUAAGUAUUAUUUCCGGGUUACGAGGUUAGAAUAAUCUAAUAUAAAUUAAACAAAACAAAACAUGAAACUUAAUUUUUAAUUAAAAGAUAAAAUUGUAAAAAAAAGUUAAUAAAAAAAAAUCAAGUUAACUUUUUGUUAUAAAAGUGAGACAACUUAAUAAAAAAAAUUAAUAUUAAAAUAAAAAAAAUCAUUAAAAAAUACUCAUUCAAAUAAUUGUAUAAAACAUAAUAAUAUAAACUAUAAUUUAUGAUUUAUUUAUUUAUUUUAGUAUUUAGUGAAGUCUUUUCAAUCAAACCCUUUUUUAAAAAGAUAUAAUUUCUAGGAAAAUAAAUUAAAGACAAACCGUGUAAAAUUCUAAAAGAAAAUAAAGAUGGGAUAUUGUUUCAGUUGCGGCUUGGAUACGUGUUUCAAAAAUAUUUUUAAAAAAAAUAUAUUUUUUUAAUUUUAAAUUAAUAAAUUUUUAGUUUUUUUAGAUCUUUUAAUAUAUUAAUAUUAAAAAUAAUUUAUAAAAAAUAAAAAUAUUUUAUUUUAAUAUAUUUUUAAAUAAAAAACAAUAAGAGACAACCGUGACCACUUAAAUGAAGCAUACCAAGUUGAGAGUUGAGGAGCCGAGAGAGAAAAAGCUUUUGCCAGUUCUUUACGCAAAUUCUUUCCCCUUCUGUCACCUGAACAAAAUCCCCUCUUCUUCUUCUUCUUCUUCUUCUUGUUUGUUUACUCUUCCUUCGUUACUUUGCAAAGAGGAGAAACCAUGGCCGGGGCUUUAGUAGGAGGAGCUUUUCUUUCUUCUUUCCUUAAUGUUUUGUUCGACAGGAUGGCCUCUCCCCAGGUGGUGGCCUUCUUCAGAGGGAAAAAAGUCAACGAUAGUAAUCUGCUGCAGAAGUUGAAGACAACAAUGACAUCUCUCAGGGUGGUGCUUGACGAUGCUGAGGAGAAGCAGAUAACAAGUUCAGCUGUGCGGGAUUGGCUGGCCGAGCUUAAAGACGCUGUCUAUAAAGCCGACGACUUCUUGGAUGAGAUUGCUUAUGAAGCUCUACGGCAGGAGUUGGAAGCUGAAGAUCAAACCUUCACAAGUCAGACGCAGAAGCUUCUUUCUUUCAUUAACCCACUUGAAAUAUUGGGGUCGAGAGAGAUCGAAGAAAAAUUAAAAGUCCUCUUGCAGGAUCUAGAUCCCUUAGUUGAACGAAUGGCAGCCCUUGGUUUGAACAACCGCAAUGUAGAAAAUCCACCAUCGCAUAGAACACCAACAACUUCUCUCGUGGAUGAAUCUGGUGUUUAUGGUAGAGAUGAUGACAGGGAAGCAAUACUGAAGUUGCUUCUAUCAGAGGAUGCAAAUGGAGAAAACCCUGGUGUCGUCCCCAUUAGGGGAAUGGGCGGGGUUGGUAAAACCACGCUUGCUCAGCUUGCUUCCAUUCUCUCCUUUUCUCCUUAUCCGCAUCUUCAAAAAUUCAAAAUCUUUUCCCCACCUCUUUCUCUAAUCUAUUCCCCUUCUCCAAAAAUUCAAAAUCCAAAAACUUUUGAUUUAUUUAUUUUAUUAUCACUUAACUUUGAUUAAAAAACUUUUCUUGAAGUUUACUUCCAUCAAAGAUCUUUUAUAGAUAUAAAAAGAAGAGAUAAUAUAAAAUUCAUCCGCGUAUUGGAAUCACAAUUCAGAAUCAAGUUAAAGCGGCCAAUGUCACUCGAGAGAGUAGGCACUUGCAAAUCUGCUAAUAAUUAUUGGAGCAUCACCCUUCCGCACAAUCAACAGAAAGUCAUCAUCUUGAGAACCCACAGCAAAGAGUUCAUUUUUUUGCAGUAGAUACGUAGCUAUAUUAACAACGAUACUUCCAGCAUGCACAAAUGGGACUUCUUGAUGGUUACGCUGCUAAAGACAUUUACAAAUCCCCAUCAAUACUGGUGUUUAUUCCUCAUGAUGAUCCAGUGAGCUGACAAUAAAAGAAAACCUCGGCAUUACUAGUAAAUCGUCACUGCAAGCAUGGAAGAGAUUCAGGUAGGAAUUACCCUUGUCUUCAUUGAGAGGCUUUAACCUCCCUUGUCAGCAGGCCCAUGGUUCGAUGCAUCCUCUGAAGCGUCUAAGCAAGGAUUGCUUUUACACUGACUUACAGGCUGAGAAAGUUGGGACCCCUUUUGCGAAAAGUUUGGUUUACCUUUCGGAGUCUCAGACAGGCUUCCCGUUGACAGCUUUGCUAGGCCCAUUGUCUUGUGCUCACGCGGGAGCUUUGUUGAAAAAGGUGAUUCAGGUGUAUCAGGAUGCUUCCCAGGAAUAUCCAUCGGUCUAUGAAACAGCAAAUGAGCCACAGUCCGGUCUACCGGAUUGGUCUCUGUUUCCACCUCAGGCAUCUUAACCACCCUGCAGUAUACUCAUAAAAUCCAUGAGGAAAAUGACAGGAAACUUUGAGAUUGCCAUACUCUAAACAAAUUGAUAAAGACUUGAUUAAUAAUUUUGUGCAAACAAAUUGAAUGAUUUGAAAUGGGAAGGACGAGAUGUAAAGGAACAAACCCAUUGGAACAAGAAACAAUCACAUUGUCGCUUACAACAAAAAAUCGAGUUUCAGAUCAAAACAGCUUAUGGUUUUGGCUGGAAGUGUCCCAUUUAGACAUUGAUGAGCCGAUUAGAAGAUGAUUUGAGUUCUUAAAUUUCUUGCUUAAAAUGUAAUGUAUCAUGAUUCUGCAGAUGAUCAUUAAAUUAGAAGGGAAAUUUAAUUUUGCCCUGUUUAUCUAAAGUUGUGCAAGUUCUCUGCAUUGAUGAUUCCAGUGAAUUUGUACAGAUCUUGUUUUCCUUCUAUUUGUCCUUGAAUAAACUUAUUGCACUUGUUGAACAAUCUUUGUUUCUCUCUCUUAGUUAAAUCUAGUAAAAUUUAUCAUGUAUGUUGUGCCACUCAUUUAGACUUGGAUGUGCGUGUUUAGCUCUUCUUUUCGGAUUAAGGUGAUUAUGCACAAAUUCACUGGAAUCAACAUUGCAGAAAACUUGCAUAGAUUUUGUUAAUAUUGGAAAAAUUAAAUUCGUUUUCUAAUUAAAUGAAAAUCUCUCCUAAAUAUUAUGCUAUUUGAAUUGUCACCUCAUGACUACUUGCUGCACUGCACUCAUGAAUGCUGCACCAGGGUAAAGCUACAAAUGUCAGUUUAAUAUCUGCCUCUACCUAGGUUGGCCUACAUACAAUACCAAAGCUUCUCUCAACUAAAUCAAGACAUGAUGACCAGCACUCACAAUCAUAACAGAACCAGUGGAAGCGAACUACUACAUAUUUGAUCAACAAGGUCAAAUUCAGUCAAGUUUUUAAGGAAAUCCAGUGAAAGAGGAACCUAAAAUUUUCUGUUUAGAUUUUCUUCUACUUCUAAGAACAAGCGCUGCCUUAAUUGAAUUGUUUCAGUCACUAUUCCUCCAUUGUAAAUAGAGGAUACCGUUUUCAAUAUUUAUUUCCAGAGUGAGAAUGGAAAACAGAAAAUGGUGAUGGCAUUAAAAGAUCCUAAUUUAACAUUUCCAUAGAGCAAAAAUGUUUUUUAAAAAAGAGAGAGGAUAGAUUAAAUUUGAAAACAGAAGCAUGAGAAAUGCAUUACCUUAACCAACCUUCUUUGACUACUAUUGUUUGUACUGCCAGUAUCACUAGCAUAAUGCCUUUGCAUUGCACUUUGAGCCAGCCGGAACAAGCUAUCCCGAAUACAAAGUCUAAUUCUGACAUCCAACUGUUGUAAAACAUUGGUUUGGAAUCGUAACCAAGCACAAAUUAUUUAGCAGGGAAAGAAUGCAAUAGUAGGUGAAGCAUACCUUUGAAAUAAUAUCUUGAAGCCUGUAGAGUACUGUGUCCUCCAUUGAAUAAUCAUUAACCGCCAGAGAGACUGUAUUGGAAUCGUCUUGCUCAAUAGGUGAGUUUGGGUCAAAUGAAGCAAGUGUACUUAGAUCCUCUACUUCAAGGUCAGCUCCUUCAACAUGCUGAAUUUGAUUUUCUUGGGAACACUUUUGAUGAACAAGCUGCUGCUGCUGUUUCUGAAUGGCAAGCAUUGCCUGAAUUUGUUGCCGCCUCCUUAAUUUUUCAAUCUUUUCCUGAGGUGUCAUUCUCUGGGGUUUCACUGGACAGUCAGCUAACUUGUUUAUAGGAUUUGCAUUGCCUGAAACUUCAUAACCAGAAAUUUUAGGUCGAUGAUUAAAUGACUAGAAAUUUUGUUGGAAAGUCAGAAAACUUUAACAGGAUUCGCAUUACCUGAAGAAACUUCAUAACCAGAAGCUAAAGGUUGAUGCUUAAAAUCCCCAGACUGAAUGUGGGACAACCCAGGCAUAGAAUAUGGAUUUGUAAUACUCCCGUAGGCAGAAGGGGCCACAAAUGGAUUGGAUAUCUGCUGGUACUGCAACUGCUCGGAACCCUGUAGCUGCUUCUGUUGGCUGAGAAUUGAAGGGGGAGAAGAUUGCAUAAUUUGGGGUUCUAAAUGAUCCUUAAGUUGACAGGCUGGGAUUCCAGAUGAAGUCCAGUUUCCAUAAAAAUCUUGGUAUGAUUUCAGUUCACCUUUUUCUUCCAGUUUUUCCCGACCUUUCAAGAUCUUCUUUUGCCUGUAAGUCUGAUCACAGAACUAUAAACAUAUAAAUAGACAAAUUACUUAGAAUAGAUCAACGUUUUAACCAUCUAGACCUGCAGGGGAGAGUGACUAAGGCACAGUUAGUAUUUUAACUCAGUACAUGGUUUGUAAGGAUAAAUUCAAUGUUAUUUUUUUUUUUUAAUUGUAACUUACGAUCCAAAGGGCUUCUAUUGUUCAGAAUAUAUUGAGGUAUUAGCUAAACUAUGCCAAGCAAACAGAAUUUGCAUGUCCCUGGGAAGAGUGGGUGUCAUACUAGAAAUAUAAAUUACUGAUGCCUCCUGAAUUUUGACAUGCUAUUCCUUUCUCCUUCCUACUAACAGAAAACCAGACAAUGGCUUUACUUUAGGCAAUCGAUAUCAUGGUUAAGUCAUGGAUUUGACAUCAAGGAUAACUUAAUUGAUGCAUUAUUGAAGUGAUGACUAAAUCAUGUAAAUCCAUAUUCACCCAACAUCCAAGUUUAAUCUCAUUCCAAAAAAUAAAACUAAUAGCAUGAAUUAUGAAGAGACGAAGAGGAAUUUAAAUAAUAUAAUUUCUCUUUUCUGUCGCCAUUUUCCAUUCCAGAGAAGUACUCAGGAAGUCUUAAUAAGUUCAAGUGUAAGGUAACUUUUACCCUUCCCAGCUCUAAUUAGGUUUCGCUGUCCCUCCAAUCUAAUUUAAGAUCUAAUAUGAGGAAACCACACUGUAUUAGUGAAAGGAUCACAAUAUCAAGAUUUUCCAACUUCAAUUCACUGAUAUAACUUUUCUUGAAUCCUGGACAAAAGAACUUAGAACAUCAAAAGAUCAUAGCAGGAUUCUAAAAAACAAAGAUUGUAUUUGGUGCCUAUUGAGUCUAAAAGUUAUCUUGGAUGAAAAGGGUAAAAAUCAGUAAUAUGUCUGGUUCAGUAUCAAGAUUUUGAAAAUAUCAAAAGGAAGAAAAAAAAAGGUACCUUGUUUGCUAAUUCAUUUGGAAAAGCACCAUUUUCCUCUGUCAGUUGAGAGUUAGCCGCCGUGUUCUUUCCCACAACAGCCAAAUCUGUCUGCAAAAGCACAAAAAAAUAAAAUAAAAAAUGCUAAGCUUCUCUCAGCUCCUGCACUUGAGCAUGGGGCAUUAAUAAGUGAACUCAUUACUGAAAAUUGAGUCGCUAUACCUGCUCCUUCAGUAUAGGCUUGUUUUUACCUUCAUCAUAUUCUACAUGAUCAAGGCUUGCCUGAGUAUUCUGCAGACCAUGAGAUGCAGGGUCGUUCAUUUUUCCAUAGCCAAGGGCAAACAGCUGGUCCUCUUCUCUCGAAGCCACAGAUAUUGGAAAGGGCUUUACCGGGCUGUUAGUUGUACAUUUUGAAGAAGACCAUAGCUCAUCAGCAUUACCAAGAUUUACAUUGCCAAAUAUUGGGUCAUCAUUGCUGCAAAAUCACCACUUGUGAGGAUAUUGAGUCAGAUGGUUAUCACUGUUCUCCAACAGAAUCAAGAUAAAAUAUAAGAACAUUAGUGAAGAACAGAAAUGCAGGAAAGCCCUUCCACAAUUGAACAAGCUCACCAAUUCCUUACAAAUCCAGUGCUGCUAUAUUACAUUCUUUCUGCCAUUUAUACUUGUAAUUGAGGAUAUUGUGCUGCUAAAAACUCGCAUCCUUCAGGUUCUUUUCACAAUUAACAAAAUUAAGCCAGGAUCAAAAACCAUAAAUUUUCAAACAACUAGUCUUUUUUGUUAGUGUUGCUUUCAGCAGACAGCACUUGUUUGGAAAAGGAUAUAGAUCCAAAACAGAAGAAACUACAAUUAUUAAAAGAGUCUGGUUGUUUUUCCUUCACAACAACACUCUUGUAGUACAUGAUUUUUUUCUUCUGAAAUGAAAAUAGGCAGUGAGCAUAAUUAUUUUGUCCGCGAAACUUUCACUUCACAGUCAGUAAUAAGAAUUUGUUCAAAUUAUCAGAAUAAUGAGAUGUACAAGCUUCCAUAUCAGGGUGCUGCUGACCAUCUUUCAUUUAGGUGCAGAAAGUAAGAAAUGGUAACUGUGCUUUACCUAAAAAUUCGAUCAAGAUCAUCAAAGCUUCCAAUGCUAGCCCAGCCAUAAUCAACAAAAUCACCUUGCUCUUCACCUUCAUGAGGAUUUUGAAAAAUCUCAGUGUCCUUAUCAAGAUGAUCUGUCUCUGCGUUUUAAAAAAAAGAAUUAGAAUGACAGUAGCAUGUAAGAUACUAUGCUAUGAAAACAUCAUGCAACUCGUCACCCUAUCUACAUUUUUUCCUUGUAAUUGAAAUCUCAUCACCUGCUGAUGAAUCGAGUUUGGUAAUCUCAGUUAGAUUGUUAGAGAUUGAAGUUUCCAAGGAAUCCUGCUCAGUUUUGGCAGCAUUACGUGAGGACAAGUUAGGCCAUCGGUCCAUGUCAAGUCCUAAGGAAGAAGUUCCUUCACUUGUGUCAACAUUCGAAAUGCUCUCCAGCUUUCUGCCAUCAGUAUCAACUUUAGCCCCGGGUGCCUUCUGCUCACUAGAUUUAAUGGUGCUAGCUUCUUCACUCGAUUCCUUUUUCUUGCAAUAAUCUUCACUUGCCUCUGGAUAUGGCACGAUAUGGUCAUCACUAUCUUCAGCCUCACCCCAUAUUAUGUUCGUAAGCUGAAAAGAUAGUGAGUAAGCAUCAUCACUAAAUGUGGGAUACAUGAGAAGAAUGAAACAGUCACAAGUUAAUCUCUGGGUAACUUGGCAAGACUAUUUUCCCCAACAUAAUAUUCUGAAUAAUACACUAAUUAAUCAGUUCAGUUCCUUGUAAGGUGUGCGUGGGCACAUAUGAGCACACAUGUGUGUACGAGAGUUGCUAGUGUCAAUGAGUUGGGAACAAAAUAUUUAAUUGAGUCAUGCAGAAAAUACUAAAAUGUUCUAAAUUGUGUUAAAAAUAAAAUAGAAAGUAGAAGCCAUUGGCAUGAUUCAUUUAAAAAUUUCUACAAAAUUAAAAAAAGAAAACAAAACAAAAGGAGGAGAUGGCCCAAAGCAUGCUCUCAAUAAGAUGAAGUAAGACCUAAAGCUUCAUUGCAUGUACAGAGCACUUUGGAAACUUCAGUCUGGACAAAUAAAACCAAGGCAAAGUAUCUUCUUUUUGGAACUAAUUUCUUCACAGUAAGAUAUAACAUCCAACGCUACCUGCAUCACUUUCUCAUGGUCCUCUCUGACUCGAGUGAUCAUAAACCUUCUCAAAUCCCAUUUAAAGAAGAUUCCCUUUCUCACUUUUCGUUGGUAUUAUUUGACACCAAGAUCACAACCAAACAUUACCAAUAAGUGUGUCACCGGAGAAAGAAACUUAGGUGCCCUAAUACCAUAAAUAAAACCUAUUCAAUAAAAAUUAGACAAUAUUUUAUAGCUGUACAUCUAUAAUCAAAGUAAAAUGCCCAAAACUCUGAAUCCUGAAUAUGUGAAUCAAAGUAAAAGGCCCUAACUGAUGCACCAUCAGCAGUCUCCUACUUUGACUUGUGAUUAAUGACCUAGCAGUUCACUUCAACAACAUUAGUGAACAUAAGUUUGAAUUUCAGACCCAGCAAGAAGAAGUACAUUUUCCAGUAGGCAUGCAUAUCACCUUUUUAUCAAUAUCCAUGGAAGACAAACCAAGCAAUAUCAAGUUUUUUUCUGCUGGAUAUCCAAUAAAAAAUACCUCAUAGUGUGAACAUCUUUAAGAAGGAGGAUAUCACAUUGCACCCCAUCAACUGAUCCACAAAUAAAUUUGCAUCUUUCCAUCAGUUCCAAGCUCUUUGUAAGGAAAAGGGAGGGAAGUGCCUUCAAAGAUACCUUCUUCAUAGCUUCUUUAGAUAUGAAUCCACACGGCUUUCGUAAUCACCAAUCACUAUGCGCAGCUUCUCUUAUCAUCACAAGCUCCAUCUCUUUCCACGUCCUAACUUCAUUCGAUGAACUCUUCCCUCAGUUCCCAAGAAAAAUUAUAUUCAUCCCUCCUGCAGCCUUUUCCCUGCAUAUUUCCACCAGCUUCAUAGCUAUAUGGCCUGUGAAAACUGUCGUUGUUGCAGUGAUUCUGAACAACAAAAAUAACAAAGGAUAAUGCUUGUGUUUAAGAAGAGAUUGAUGAAUGAAAAGCUUAAAUACUUUAUUCAUAACUGCAGCUCAAUUUAUAGAGCUGAUACAUAACAAACUCCUACGAUCAUGGUCCUACAUUCAAGCCAUGAUCAAUUGAUAAUGGAAAUAACAGAGCUGCGAAAUAGCAGCAAGAACAAGAGAAUAGGAACAGAAUUGACUAAAUCAAAAAUUAAAGAAAGAAUAAAAUUCCAGCUCAGCAGUCCUGAACAUUAUUUCUAACACUCCUCCUUGUUUAGGAGCUGCAAACUCCCAACUUUGUUCUCAGAAAUUCGAAUUUGUUGACUGGCAGUGGUUUGGUGAAAAUAUCAGCUGCUUGUUCUUCAGUUUUGCAGUAAAUAAGAAUGAUACUCCAAUCUUUCUGCACCUCUCUCAAAAAGAAUAAUUUGAUGUUGAAGUGCUUGGUUUUCCCGUGAAACACAGGAUUAUUAGAGAUGGAAAUGGCAGCUUGAUUGUCAACUAGAAUUUCUGUGCUUUCCUUUUGCUCCAGGUUAAGAUCAGAUAAAAUUUUCCUCAGCCACAAAGCUUGAUUGACAGCAGCUGUUGCAGCCACAAACUCAGCUUCAGCAGUGGAUUGGGCUACGGUUUCUUGCUUUUUUGAAUUCCAUGAAAACACACCAGAACCUAAAGAGAAACAGUAGCCUGAUGUGCUCUUCAAGUCAUCAAUUGAGCCUCCCCAAUCACUGUCAGAGUACCCGACCAGUUUGAACUCUCUACUUCUUGUGUAUCUUAUGCCAAAAUUGCAGGUUCCUUUGACAUAUCUUAUCACUCUUUUAGCAGCCUUGAAAUGCAAUUCACUAGCACAAUGCAUGAAUCUAGACAAGAUACUCACAGCAUUCAAAAUAUCAGGCCUAGUUGCAGUGAGAUACAUCAAGCAUCCAACAAUUUUUCUGAAUUGUGCUUGAUCAACCUUCUCGGCUCCAUCUUCUUUACAUAGCUUCUCCUUUUGAUUCAUAGGAGUGCUUACUGCUUUGCAAUCUUCAAGUUUGAACUUUUUGAGGAUUUCUUUGGCAUACUUCUUCUGACAUAUGAACACUUCAUGUUCAGCUUGCUUAACUUCCAUUCCAAGAAAAAAGGACAUCAAACCCAAAUCUGUCAUCUCAAAUACACUCAUCAUCUCUUGCUUGAACGUCUCCACAUUAUUGUUGUUAUUUCCUGUUACAAGCAAAUCAUCAACGUAAAGUGAGAUGAUAAGGAUGUUAUCACCAUUUUGCUUGAUGUAAAGAGUCGAUUCAGAGAGGCUUUUAGUGAAUCCCAAGUGCUGCAAAUGUUCAUCGAUUCGGCUGUACCAAGCUCUUGGAGCUUGCUUCAAUCCAUAUAGUGCCUUCUUAAGAAGACAGACUUUGUCCUCCUCUCCUUCAUUUGCAAAGCCUUCUGGUUGCUCAGUAUAGAUCUCCUCCUGCAAAACACCAUUUAAAAACGCUGACUUGACGUCCAUUUGAUACACCUUCCAAUUCAGUUGUGCUGCAAUGGCAAGUAGCAGCCUGAUAGUGUCAAGUCUUGCUACCGGUGCAAACGUGUCUGAGUAGUCCACGCCAAAGAUUUGUGCAUAACCCUUCACCACUAGCCUGGCUUUGAGCUUAUUGAUUGAGCCAUCAGCGUUGAGUUUUGUUCGAUACACCCAUUUUACACCGAUUACAUUUCUGUUUUGAGGUCUGUCAACCAACUCCCACGUGUUGUUUCUCGUGAUCAUGAGAAGCUCCUCCUUCAUCGCAGCAAGCCAAUUUUGAUCUAGCUUGGCUUCUUCAAAGUCUGCUGGUUCACACACAGCAAUGUUGCACCUUUGAUACACAUCAAGGAGUGACCGUGUGCCUCUAACAGGAGUGUCAUCUGUCAUGUUGAUGUCCCAAUCUUCCAUGCUUUGAUCAUCUGUGUCUGAAACAAGAUAAUUGCCUUUUGGAGAGGCUGAAUCUUCUUUGAUUGCAUCGUUCCAAUCCCAUUCUUCAUCUUCCAGGAAUUGGACAUCUCUGCUUAUAACGAUUUUUCCAGUUUGUGGCUGGAAAAUCUUAUAAGCCUUUGAAACUAAGCUGUAGCCAACAAAAAUGCCUGGAAGUGCUUUCUUGUCAAGUUUAUCCCUCUUGACCUGUGGAACAAGGGUGAAGCACAAACAUCCAAAUACCUUAAGAAAAUUCAGAGAUGGUUUGUAACCAUACCAUGCCUCAAAGGGUGUUUGAUCCUUCAAGGCUCUUGUAGGCAGUCGAUUUUGCAAGAACACAGCAGUGUUUGCAGCCUCUGCCCAGAAUUUCUUUGGUAAAUUCUUCUCAUGUAGCAAGCAUCUUGUCAUUUCCAAUAUGAACUUGUUUCGCCUCUCACUAACUCCGUUUUGCUGAGGAGUAUACGGAGUUGUUAGCUGAUGAUGAAUGCCUGCCUCCUCACAAAAAACGUUGAAGGCAUUGGAAGUGUAUUCCUUGCCAUUGUCUGAUCUGAGGGCUUGAAUUUUGCAGCCACUUUCAUUUUCAACUUUGGCCUUGAAAUUCCAGAACACCUGUGCUACCUCUGACUUGUGCUUCAAGAAGAAAAUCCAGCACAUUCGGCUGUAAUCGUCAAUGAAGACAGCAUAAUACAGACUCCCAUUUAGAGAGAGUGUCCUUUGUGGUCCUGCAAUGUCAGUAUGAAUCAAUUGCAGCUUCCUUGUUGCUCUCCAUGUGGCUUCUGGAAAGGGCUUCCUGUUUAGCUUGCCAGUGUGACAAGUUCUGCAGCUGGAUAUGUGAUCAUCAAGUGCUGGGAAAUCCUUAGCCAUCAUCUUGGAUUUCAUAAGCAUCAGCCCUCUAUGAUGAUAGUGCCCGAGCCUCUUGUGCCAAAUAUCUGUGAUAUUUUCUUUAAUUGGGAAAGCAGUAUGCUCCUCCUCCAAUGGAUUUAGAGCAAAACUCUUCCCUUUCAUGAUUAUUUUGAAAAUAUCAUGACCAUUCACAUCUUUGAUCAAGCAGCAAUUGUUUUCAAACACUACUUUAUAACCCUUCUCAAUAAGCUGACCAACACUGAAUAAAUUUUGAUUUAUACCAGGGACAUACAAUACAUCAGAGAUGAACUUAGUACCUGAGCAAGUCAAGAUUGCCACGGUUCCCUUUCCUUCAACAACAAGGUAUUCUCCAUUUCCAAUUCGAACCUUUGAAGUUGUUUGUUUCAGCUCCUUGAAUAUGUUUCUGUCAUGUGUCAUGUGGUUGGUGCAACCACUAUCAAUGAGCCAGCUUUCACUUGAGUCAUUUCUGGAAAUGCAAGUGGCCACAAACAAUUGAUCUUCUUCUUCUUGAUCAGCAAUUUGAGCUUCUUCACCAUGCUGUUGAAUUUUGUUUUUGCAGAUGACAGCCUCGUGCCCCAUUUGAUUGCAUUUGUUGCACUUAGCUUCUGGUCUUCUCCAACACUUAAAAUGUGGAUGUGAUCUCCUUUUACAAUGCUGGCAUGGAGGAAAAGGUCCUUUUUUGUUUCCAGUGUUGCUCCUUGUUGAAAUUCCUGGAAUCACCUGAUGAUGCUUGACUGCUUCCAUUCUUCUUGUAAUUCUUUCCUUUUUCUCUAUGCUUGACGAAUAGAGCUCCUUCAAUCUCAUCUUCCUGUCUCAUGAUCCUCCUUUGCUCCUGAGCUUGUAAUGCAUUUAGCAUUUCUGUCAAAGUAAUUUUUGACAUAUCCUUGGUAUUUUCCAAGGAUGUAAUUGUAGCUUCAAAGAUUUCAGGAAUUGUUACAAGAAUUUUUUGAACAAUUCUUGACUCAGGCAGGGACGAGCCAAGUAAACUGAUUCGGCUUGCAAUAUUAAGCAGCCUGUCAGAGUACUCUUUGAUGGAUUCAGUCUUCUUCAUCUUCUGCAACUCGAAAUCACGCAUCAAGUUCAACACUUGCAUACCUUGAAUUCUUUCAUCCCCUUCAUACUCAGUCUUGAGAAACUCCCAUAUCUCCUUUGCUGUUUUCAGAGACAUGAUUCGAGUGAAAAUGGUGGAUGCUACUACAGCAAACAAGCACGCCUUUGCCUUUGAUUUUUUUGUCUUCUUCUCCUUCUGUGAUUUGAUCUGCACCAUGGUGGGAUUGUUUGGAAGUGCAGGGAUUUCAUAAUCUUCUUCCACUGCCUCCCACAAAUCCAAAGCCUCUAAGUAUGUCUCUAUCCGUACUGCCCAAAACUGGUAAUUGUCACCAUUGAACACUGGUGGAGCAAUUGAUGAGAAGCUUACUUCUGUCUCCAUGGGUUACAACACAGAUCCCUUUAAAUCAAGAUGCUCUGAUACCAAUUGUCGUUGUUGCAGUGAUUCUGAACAACAAAAAUAACAAAGGAUAAUGCUUGUGUUUAAGAAGAGAUUGAUGAAUGAAAAGCUUAAAUACUUUAUUCAUAACUGCAGCUCAAUUUAUAGAGCUGAUACAUAACAAACUCCUACGAUCAUGGUCCUACAUUCAAGCCAUGAUCAAUUGAUAAUGGAAAUAACAGAGCUGCGAAAUAGCAGCAAGAACAAGAGAAUAGGAACAGAAUUGACUAAAUCAAAAAUUAAAGAAAGAAUAAAAUUCCAGCUCAGCAGUCCUGAACAGUAUUUCUAAUUUCUGCUGGAUAUCCAAUAAAAAAUACCUCAUAGUGUGAACAUCUUUAAGAAGGAGGAUAUCACAUUGCACCCCAUCAACUGAUCCACAAAUAAAUUUGCAUCUUUCCAUCAGUUCCAAGCUACUUUGUAAGGAAAAGGGAGGGAAGUGCCUUCAAAGAUACCUUCUUCAUAGCUUCUUUAGAUAUGAAUCCACACGGCUUUCGUAAUCACCAAUCACUAUGCACAGCUUCUCUUAUCAUCACAAGCUCCAUCUCUUUCCACGUCCUAACUUCAUUCGAUGAACUCUUCCCUCAGUUCCCAAGAAAAAUUAUAUUCUUCCCUCCUGCAGCCCUUUCCCUGUAUAUUUCCACCAGCUUCAUAGCUAUAUGGCCUGUGAAAACGACUCCCAAAUUAAAACACUUGAGAAGCUCUAAUAGUUUUCUUAUUAUUUCUUCACUCUUUGUCAGUGUGCCACAUUCAAAUACUACUGAUCGAUUCUUCCUCGUCACAACCACUCACUUUCCCCUAAAUCCCAUACCAACUAAAUCAAUAUCUCUUAUCACUUAUCAAAACUCCAUCUAAUUUCCAAAUGAAUCACACCAUUUGAACACUUUGCCAAUUCCUAAUUCCUUCAAAAUUUUCAUCCAUCAAAAAAAAAACUGCAAGUCAUACUUUUUCACUCUAACACAGUUCUCCUUAUAAUCAAUCUUCCAAUUUAACCAUACUCUUGCCUCUAAAUCUGGCACGCAAAGCUUCUACAUAACCUUCCAACGUUACUUCUUGCCUCCCAACAAGGGUGGAGGCAUGCAUGGGCUAGGGUGGGCUCUAGCUCAGGUGAAGAUUUUAUUAAUAUUUUUGUUCUAGUUUUAUGUAAAGAAAAUUUGUAAUUCUCAAUUUACGUGGAGCCUUCUAAUAUGAUGCUUUAACUUGAGUUAAAAUUUUAUAAUUUUUGAAGAAAUUCAGAAAUUUGAUAAAAAACAAAAUCAUAAUUUGACCAAUUUUAUGUUAUUGGGUGUAAUUUUCAAUCUGACCAUCAGAUUGAGCUAAAAUUUUACAAGGAAUCUUAAAAUAUAUUAAAUAAAAUCUGGUUUAAAUUUUAAAAUGAACAGAGUUUGGUAGUGCUAACAAAAAAAACAUCAAAUAAAAGCAAAAUGACUCAUUAAGGGUAAAAUUGUUAUUUGCCAUAAAAAAAAAUCAGUUCUUCCUUCCUUUAUAUGUUGCUGACUGGGCAGAAACAAAAUAGAAAAUGAAAGAAAAGAAAAGGCGAGAGAAAAAGAGAGAAAAGUAAGGGAAAAACAUAAAAAAAAUCCUAGAAAAAAAGAUAAGAAAAGUGAGAAAAUAACCUUAUAAACUUAUAAAGUCCAACUUAUAAAAUAUUAAUCUAAGGAAGAAGCAAGUGAAGGAAGGAGGAAUUGAGAGAGGGAAAAAAUUUAAUUAUUUUAUUUUUCAGUUGACAUGAGAUUGUUAUUUUAUCCCGGUUAAGGGAUUGUUAUAAUAUCAAUUCAAAUUCGAUUAUAGAUGAAUUAUAUUUCACAAAACAUCGAAAGAUGUAACUUUAAUAGUGAGUUUAUUUUUACUUUCACUUUAAUUUUAUAUAUUUUUAAAUUUAUUUUUUAAUAUUUUAGGUAAUGUAUUUGAAUUAAAACUUUACUAUUAACUUUAAAAACUCAUGUACAUUAAUUAAUAAUUUAUCUUAAAAAAAAUAUUAUAUAUUUAUUUAAUAGUGCAGGACAGAAAAAAAAUCUAGCAAAAUUUAUUCUUUCCAACUUUAUUUGUUUUGACUGAAAAAUAAUCUUUUAUUUUUGUACUUCACAGGCAUGUGGUGGCAAAAGUCGAGCACGAUAUAUAUAUAUAUAUAUAUAUAUUUCUUAAGAUACAUAUGGCUGGUGAUUGGCGGAUGAUGGUGUCAUUAAGACUCUUGGUGUGUACCCUCAUCCUUUCUGUUUAUAGUUUAGUCCAUUUGCAGCUUUAAUGGCUACUAUCAGUUGCUUUGGAACCUGAUAUCACUAGUCUCAUUAUGGUACAGACAAGCUCAGGAUGAUCAAUCCUUGAGAAUCCACAUCCAACCAGAAAUAAACCGAAUUUCGAGCAUAAAUGACUCGAACUCGCUGGAAUGCUUUGGCACCUCCUUCAAUCCUAGUUUGGGAAACAGAAACACUAUCACCGUUAGUUUUCACCGAGGAAGACAGCACCCCCAUUCUCUCCUGCUGUGCUGAUGAUGGGGCAUGAGAGAUAGUCCAAAGGAUUUGCCUCACGUUGAAGUAUGCAACUGUCUAUGGUUAGCCUUCUCUUUUGUGAUGCAAGCAGCAACCAAGCUCUGCCUUCACUGCAUAAAGAAAUGAUUGAUUCACGAAGCCUGACUUCUUUGAAUUUGAAAGAUUAGAAUCAUUGGAAGAGAAAGAAGAAAAGGUGUAAAUGACAGCGGAAUGCUAUUAUACCAUCUGCCAAGGUAAUGCCAAGUCUACUUGCGAGGUAUUUAUAUCAUAAUUUUUAAAUAUUAGAUUGUCAGCGCAUACCAAGCAAAGAGCUUCGAUUCACAACGAAAUGAAUCCGUGCUAUGGGUUAUCAUCUGAUAUCAUCAUUCAUCAACAAUUAAUCGAAUGGGUUUAUACAUGAAAUGUUUUUAGUUUCUUAAUCAAUAAUUGAAGUUUUUAAUUGGAAGUCAAAUUAUUCUUAGAGAAUAAUAUAAUUAAACUAAACCUUGGUUAAUUGAUUGCUAGCAAAGGUGUACAUUUACAUGGCUUGAAAAUGAAGCUUAUCUUCCAUUUAAUUUUAUCAAAUAAAUUAUUUAUAGAGUAGUUUUGAGUGAUAUAAAUCAAAUAGGAAUUAAAUCAUGUUAAAACAUUUAAUUUUGUUGUCCCUUUAUAUUACAAACAGCAACAUUACGUAUCAUGUUUAUAAAUUCCAAACCACUCAUUUGAAACUAACGCUUUGUAUUUUUUUUAUAAAAUAAAAUAAAUCCUAACACUGAUGUGGACUAAAAUGUUUUUCAUAUAAAAUAUGAGGAUCAAAAAACUUUCAUGAACAUUUAAAAUAUGAUGUGGACUAACAUUUUUUUUUUGUUAAAAUUAGUUCGGUUUGUACUUUCUAGAUCGUUUUGAUGUGCUGAUAUCAAAAAUAAUUUUUAAAAAAUAAAAAAAACAUUAUUGGCAUACUUUUCGGCACGAAAAGCUAUUUGAAAAACAACAACUACCACACUUCCAAACACCCUCACUUAGUAUAAAAAAGAAAUCAUCACGUCGUUAUUUUCCACUCAGUAUAAAAAAGAAAUCACACGCCUUAGAGGAUAAAUAAGCAAUGCGAAAGUUAAAUAAAUUUAUGAAUUACCAGCAUAAUUCACACUAAUUCCCCUCUCUAACUUGCACCUCAUCAAUUUUUAUUCCUUUACUCUCGAACGAAAAUAAUAAUAUUUAAGUUAUUAAACCCAACUCGAAUUAUAAUUCAAGUAGGGGGUUAACAUAAAUCAAUACAAAGUGAUAUGACUUUAGGAGUUUUUUCAAAAAAACAAAUUAAAAUGAUGUGAACUUUUUUAAAUUAAAUUGAGUUUUAAUUGAUCAAAUAAGUUGGAUUACACCAGGUCAAAUUCUAUCCGAUUUAAUUUAAAAUUCAAUCUAAACUCUUAACUUACCUUCAGUCGGGUUUAAUAACAUAUUGACGUAACUUUAGACAAGUUAAGACAUGUUAUUUGUAUAAUCAGACCAAAUUCUCAAUCUUUAUUUAUCAUAAUAACGAUCCAACCCAUUAAUUUUAAAUGGGCCUAUAAAAACUCUAACUUGCCAUAAAAUCAGCAAUUUUACAUCCUAUUUUAUAAAAGACACUCCAACAUAAUUAAUUAAAAUAGUAUUUGAUAUUGUGGUAAUAAUUAUUUUUUAAAGUAUUUUUUAUUUAAAAAUAUAUUUAAAUAAUUUUUAAUUUUUUAAUUUUAAAAAUUAAUAUUUGACAUUACAUAUUAAAACAAUCUAAAAACAUAAUUUUUAAAAAAAGUUAUUAUUAUUUAAGAAAAACUGUAUCACCAUACAAACAAAUCCAAAAACACAAUUUUUUUAAAACAAUUAUUAUUCUUUUAAAAAAAAUUGUAUCACCAUAAAAACAAAUAAUUUCUAAGAGUGACAGUGAGCAACAGAAAUAAACCAUGGCAGAAACUAAAAAUACCUUUAACGGAAACUGUGCUUCGAUUCACAACGUUUUCAUCCUUGACCAAUGCUUGACAGAGUAGACGACGGGUCAGAACAGAGCUACCAGUCCUGCAUUUCUCGAAGGAUAGUUUUGGAAAUGCUCUAAGACCGUGGCCAUUAUGCUGUGUAUGUUUGAUAAUGCAGUGAAUAUAAUUUUAUAAAAAUAUUUUUCAAUUAAUAAAAUAUUUCUUAAAGAAAUUUUCAAUAAUUUUGUUAAGAAAUUUGCGUGGCCAGACAUUUUAAAGAAUGAUGCUAAAUUUGGGGUUACAUAGGCAGCUGCUGGCUCCUCUUGUAUCUUUUGGGUUAAAGGCAUCGUUUGUUUCCUGCCGUUGUCUAUUCUCCGGUCGUAGAAGCUGACUGCAAUCCUCCGACUCUGUUCUCAUAGUCAGAUGCUUCCUCUGUUUUCUCCUGGCAUUAAAAUUACAGCUCACCCUCAAAUCUUAUUGCCUCUGGUCAUUUUCUUGAAUGGUGCUUGGUGUUGUCUUCUAGCGUUUGCAGUAUCGUAAUUUGCUGGAGUUUUUGUAGUAUUUGAAUUGUGGGUGAUUGAGCUGCAGAAUUUGUGCAAUUGAAUUGAAUUUGUGCUAUGGGUUAUCACGCGAUAUCAUCAUUCAUCAACAAUUAAUUGAAUGGGUUUCUACAUUAAAUAUUUUUAGUUUCUUAAUCAAUAAUUGAAGUUUUUAAUUGGAAGUGAAAUUAUUCUUAGAGAAUAAUAUAAUUAAACUAAAUCUUGGUUAAUUGAUUGCUAGCAAAGGUGUAAAUUUACAUGGCUUGAAAAUGAAGCUUCUCUUCCACUUAAUUUUAUCAAAUAAUAUAAUUUUGAAAUAAAUUAUUUAUAGUAGUUUUGAGUGAUAUAAAUCAAAUAGGAAUUAAAACAUGUUAAAACAUUUAAUUUUGUUAUACCUAGGUCCCUUUAUAUUACUAACAACAAUAUUAUGUAUCGUGUUUAUAAAUUCCAAACCACUCAUUUGAAACUAAAGCUGUGUAUGCUUUUUAUAAAAUAAAAUAAAUCCUAACCUUCAUAUGAGGAUUAAAAAACAUUCAUGAAAAUAUAUGAAAAGCUAUUUUUGUCUCUAUGGGCUAGGUACGAUGUAUUCAGGUAUGGAUAUGGGUCUGGGCUUAGGAUGAUAGAUAUGGGUCCAGUAGGAGCACGAUAUUUUUUAAUGGUAAGGAAUGAGCUAUGCCUACCAGGCUGGUUACUCGGUCCAUUCACCUCUCUACCUGAGGCUUGUAUAGUUUAUUGAAAAAAACAAACUUAUAUCGUUUCUUUUAGAAUUCAUUUCUUUAUAAAGCAUGACAAUGUAACCAAAUUUGCAUUAUCUAUAUAAAAUAAAAGAAAAUAUAUAUUUUCACAAAUUCUACCAUAUUGCUCGACCAAAAUAUUUAUUUUUUGUUUCUAUACAUAUUAUAAUUAGUUACAAAUAUAACACCCAAUUUAAUAAAAUCAUAUGAGCAAAAUUCCAGGACUUUCCAUGGACAAAACCCAAUUUAAUAUAUAUAUAUAUAUAUAUAUAUAUAUAUAUAUUUCUCUACAUAUUCAAUAUAUUCAUCUAAAUGUAUUUAUCUGAAUGCUAUAUUAUCUUAUAAUUUAACUGGGACCAAAGAUAAAUGAUAACAUUUAUUUAAAUGCUAUUUAUGAUUGACACACAAAACCCUGUUUUCAUAGUUAAUUGAAGGAUAAUAAAUGGAAGAAUGACAAAUUGCCAGGUGGAAAGUUAUACCUCAUCACAACAAAUACUUUCCAGCCAAUUAAUUAAUGGCGGUUACAACUAAUUACAACAAAUACUCUUCACUUCUUCUCUAUAGUUAUGUUAAUGGUAAGAAAAGGUUGGAUAUUAGAAUUUUGAAAAAUAAAAUAAAAGAUAAGUGAUGUUCAGAUUAGAACUUGAUAUUUGAUAUAAAAUAUAUAUUUUUUAAUUAAACUUUAAUAACAAGUCAUAAAUCAACUCAAAAAUAGUAAAUAUUGUAAAAAAAAAAUGGUAAUAUUAUACACAAAAAAAGAGACUCAUGAAAUGACAUAAAAAAUAGAAUUUUUGUAUAUUUUUAUCUAUUCAUGAACUUGAACAUGAUUUAUAUUUAUAUAAUCAUACAUUUUAAUUGGAAAAUAAUCAAUAAAGGAAGAAAGAAUCGACUUUAAACAAAUAAAAAGAAAAUAGAAGAUGAAAUAUAAAUCACGUAAGAAUUAAGUCUUCUCGAAGACUAGCUUAAGAGUAAGAAAGAGGCAAAAUCUAUAGGAAUUUAAUUAAUAAAUGUUUCAUGCGUGUUGUUUCGAAUUGUAUAAAUAUAAAGAAAAUACAUUUAUACAUAUUAUAUUAUAAUGAAUAUAUUUUUCUGUGCAAAAUUGUUAUUAUUUUUUCAAAUCAAACCCCCGGUUUGAGUAUUGAGCAUAAAAAGAAUUUGGAUUGUUGAAUCAUUUAAACAAUUAGUGGAUCGCCAAUGAAUCAUUUUAUUAAAAUGAUAUUUUGCUUUUUUAUAAAAAAAUUUAUUAAUAUUGAUUUAACUAAGUUUGUAUCAGAUUUUACCAAAUCAAAUAAAUCAUUACAAAUUCAAUUGAGUAAUUAAGAUUUUAUCUUAUCAAUGUUUUUUUCUAAUUCAAUUUUAAACCUGGUUAAUGCCAGGAUCUGGAGGAUGUGCUUCCUAUAUCAAAUCACCAUGCAGGGAAGAGUUUAAACAUUUUUCAUUUUUCCUAUAUCAAAAAAUUACAUUUCUUAGCAAAACACACGAGUUAUAUAUAUAUAUUUAAACAAAUUACAAAUAAUCUAAUCAAUUGAUUAAAGUUGUGACACCUUAUAGUACGUAGACGACUAUAUAAUACUAUAAGAUAUUUAACAAUAUUUAUUUUUAUGAAGAGUAAUAUGUUGCUUGUCUAUGUAAUUUCUCUUUUAAAUUGGGUUUAAUUUCAAAAUCAACGUGUAACUUUGUACGUAGGGGCAUGUCAUGGGCAGUGUUGGACCAAAUUCUCAAUCUUUAUUCAUAGAGGUGGAUCAUGAUCGAGAUUCGAGCCUAUUAAUUUUAAAUGGAUCUACAAAACCUCUAUUCGGCCAUAAAAAAUAAAAUCUCAGGUGCCCAUCAAUGAUAGGAUCUAUUUUGUAAAAGACAUUUCAACAGUAUUAAAAUAAUGUUUAGUAACGUGAUAUCUGAUAUUUUUAAAAAUAUUUUUUUAUUUAAAUUAUAUAUUUUUAAAAUUUAUAUUUAAUAUUAUUAUAUUAAAAUAAUAUAAAAAUAUAAAAAUAUAUUUUUAAAAAAAAUCUUGGUGUCAAAGUGAGUGAAUAAAAAAAAUAAAUCAUGGCAGAAACCACGAACACCUUUAACAGCAAUGUCGUUUCAGUUUGACAGAGUUGUGUUAAAAAAAAAAUUCCUUCAAUUUGUAUUGACUUUUUAAUGUUUUAAGUUUACAGUGCUCCUAUAUAUAAACAGAGAAGAUGUUCUUAAAAACUAUGGAUUCCUGCUAUAAACAGGACUUAUACAAAUGUGGAAUAAAUCAAUUACUAAACUAUGGAAUAGGACUUAUACAACUGUGGGAUAAAUCAAUUACCAAACUUUUUCUUACAAACUCUCAACUAAAUCACUUUGUAAUUAUACUAACACUUUGAGUCAAGUUAGUGCAAAGAUAUCUUACCCAACUUGUCAAGGGAGCUCUGAAAGUUUUUGCUGAAGACAACUUUUGUAAAGAUAUUCGUGAGCUGAUUCUUUGAUUUGACAAAUGAAAAGUUAAUCACUUAUUAUUUAAGAUUUUGUUUAAUAAAAUGUUUGUCUAUUUCAAUAUGUUUCGUGUGAUCAUGUUAAAUUGGGUUAUAAAAUAUUUUAAUGGCAGCUUAAUUAUCACAGUAUAGGUUCGUUCUUGAUUUGGGAGCAAAACCAAUUUCUGAUAAUAAUCUUCUGAGCUAAAGCAGUUUACGUAGUCCUUUUACCGUCCCUUGAAACUCAACCUCUGUGCUUGACAAGGUAGCUACUUUUUAUUUCUUGCUUCUCCAUGUGACUAAAUUGCCACCAAUAAACGUGAAGUAUGCUCAUUAAUCUCAUGCAUAUUUUGAUUAUUUUGUUGAAUAUUUUAAUCAGGUUUAUGAUAUGGAUUCUUAUAAUAAAAUUUUCAUUUAAUUUUUUUAUUUUCAUGGGGGGUUUUAAUGUAGGGAACAUAGGAAGUGUAAAGGUGGCAACUUUUUUGCUUUAUUUUAUACCGUAUUUAAAGCCAGUGCCUUUGAGGUUUUAUGGCAGCCCAUCAACAAUAUUCUUAGUAGGAUCUUAUCAUUUAUGGUACUAGCCUGUUGGGCCUCCCUUUUCAUUAUUUUAAGCGUAGUUGCCACCCAUCUUUCUGUGGCUCCAUGUUCAUUCUCCAAACCAUUCAUAUAGGUAUCUUAAAUAGUGUAGCUGGAGCUUUACUGGGUAUGCUUUUUAAUAUAUUUUUAAGUAAAAUAUAUUUUUAAAAAUAUUUAAAAAACAAACAUUACUGUACUUUCAAAAACAUAAUCCUCUUGUAUCUGACGCUUUAAAUUCCAACAAUGAGUUACUGAUUAGAUAAUAUCUACAUUCAAUUAAAAAUAUAAUUUCUUGACAGCGAAAUAAAGAAAAAAGUAGCAACCCUGUAAUAUCUAGGUAAUUUCUAUGCUCUUUAAAUUAGGCCUCUAAACUGAGACUGUAAUGAGCCCAUGACAGAGGAAGACAUGAAAGUGUAAUUUCAGAAGACCAUUAUUCAUAUAACAAAUUUAGUAAAUUUAGUAAACUCGUAAAGUUAAACCGAUUUUACUAAUUCUGUACUAGUUAGAUUUGAUUUUAUUAAUUUUAAAUUUUUAGUUAGAUUUAGUAUGUUAAAUAUAUAUUAACUUAAAUUUUACUAAUAACUCAUAAUUUUAACAACCUUGCUUGUAAUAGCUCUUGUGGUGGUUGAUGUUUAAAAAAGAUAAUUGAGAAAUUAUUUUCACUCGUGACUUUUUUGAUUUAAAUAAGUAUUGAAUUAAAAAUAUUUAAUUAAAAUUAUUGUUUUAAUUUAAUUACCACAAAAGAUACUGGUGAAGGUGGAGAGGAUGCAAAAGAUGAUUGGGUAUCCUAUUAAUCGUCAAAACAUCAACUAUUGUGGUCAAUUCUGCUGACUGCUGAGACUAAAAGCCAACCACUUGAAUAAUGGGCAUUAGCUGUUUAGCACUCCUUGGUAAACACUUCAGGCUCCUUUCCCGCCCCUUUCCUCGCUGGUUCCUUAAUAGCUUCAAGGGGUGCGAGCGCCUCGUUCGAGGAUUGAGCAUAAAGGACUAAAAGAGUUCAAUAAAUACUAAAAGACAUAAAGUGAAGUUUUUAUAAUAUUCAUAGCAAUGGUCAUCAGCUAAUUUAUAAUUUAUUUAUCUACUUUAUCAAUGAAAUAAAAGUGAUAAAAGAAAAGGAGAGAAGAAAUAAAGUGAAGUCUUCUUCUGCAUUAUUAGCACAUCACGUGAAAAUAAAGAAUGGCAUAUAAUAAAAGUUAUUCCAAUCAAACCUCCUUUUUCAACCGAUGGGGUCUCUUGUCAAAUAAAGCAAGGACAGACCGAGUAAGAUGUGGGACCUAACUGCACUUUCCUGGCACGCGUAGUUCACGCAUACACAAGCACAUUCAGAAUAGUAUUCAAUUUAAAAACACAAAAAAAAAAUAAAGGAAUAAAAGAAGGAAAAGUGAUCAAAGAAGAAGAGAGAAGAAAUAAAGUGAAGUCUUCUUCUGCAUUAUUAGCACAUCACGUGAAAAGAAAGAUACAAACAAGAUUACUCCAUUUUCCAGUCACUUUUUCAACCGAUGGGGCUUCUUGGCAAAUAAAGCAAGGACAGACCGAGUUGAUGCGCUACGUAACUCCUUUUUCCUGGCCCGCGCAAUUCACGCAUACACAAACACAUCCAGAAUAAUAUUCAUAAAAUUAAUUAACAUCCCGUAAAAAUAUACUUUAAUUUAGAAAAGAUUUUAAAAUGUUAUUUUUCAAAUUAAUAAUAACAAAAUUUUAUAUUAAAUUGGUUCGCUUAAGUUAACCUAUUAGAUUUAUAAUUCAGGUUAUGAAAUUAUAAUACCUAGUUCACAAAUAACCAAAUAUGGUGAAGUUUUUCCAAUCAAACCCUUUUUUUUUUUUAAGAUGUAAUUUCUAGAAAAAUAAAUCAAAGACAAACAGAGUAAAAUUUCAAAAAAUAGAGAAAGAUGGAAAAUCCCACCAAUAUUUAACCCACUUAAAUUGAGUCCAAAUCAUAAAAGCAUCUACAAAGAGUGUGUUAAAUGAAAAGUUAAAAAUUAAAAAAUAUAUAAUUUUGACUCUUUCAUGUUUAUUUUACACACUUCAAAAAAAUAUUAAAUAAAAUAUUAAAAUAUUUUUUUUUCUUAUAAAUACUAUUUCUAAAUAUCUAUCAAAAAAACCAAUACUAAAAAAAUAGAGUCAUCAAAAAAUAAACCAAUUAAAUAUAAUUAUAUGAAAAAAUAUAUUUUAAAUAGUGCAGCCUGAGCUUAAUGGUUAAAAUAAUUUUAUAUUUUUUAUAAUUGUUAACAUCAACACAUUAAAAUCAUUAAAAAUAUUAAAAAAUCAAUAAUUUAAUAUAUUUUUAAAUAAAAUAUAUUUUUUAAAAAAACAUAUAAAUUACUACUAUUAUUUCAAACACACAAUCCUAUUCCAUCUUAAAAUCUGAGCUAUUAGGAUAGUAAAGUUAAUUCGUUAAAUUUACAAUUGUGGUGGUGGGAUAUUAAAAAAAAUCUUAUAUUAAAAUUAAAAAUUUUAAAAAUUCUUGAAUAAAAAAACAACAAAACAAUUAUUCAGGUAAUUGUAUAAAAUAUAAUAAUAUAAUGUAUAAUUUAUAAUUGAUUUAUUUACCUUAUCAGUCUUCUGCUGCAUGAUCACAUCACGUGAAAAGCUUGGCAUUUAGUGAUGUUUUUCCAAUCAAACCUCCUUUUUUCAAAGAUGGAAUCUCGAGGUAAAUAAAUCAAAGACAAAACCGAGUAAAAUGGAGUCCAGAGCAUAAAAGAAUCUCCAAUGAAGCUGCUAAAUGAAUAACUAAAAAUAAUAAUAAAAAAAAAAUUGUUUUUGUUUGUUUUUUAUAUUUCAAGAAGAAAAUCAAAUAAAUCGUUAAAAUAUUUUUUUUUCACAUAAAUAUUAUUUUUAUAUAUCUCUCAAAAAAAUCAAAAUUAAUAAAAUAAAACCAACAAAAAAAAGCCAAUUAAAUCUAGGUAUCUAGAAAAAAAUAACUUUAAAAUCAUUAAAAAAAAAAAAUGUUUAUUUAUUUCACUUUAUCUCGAAAAACAGUAACUUUAAAAUCAUUAAAAAAAAUAAAAUGUUUAUUUAUUUCACUUUAAUAGAAUUGGCUUUUCAAUGUAUUUUUUCUAUUGGAAUAUAUAUUGUAAAAAAAAUAUAUUUAUAUUAUUUAAAAUACUAUUUUAUUAGUUUAUUUUUUUAAAAUAAUAUUUUUUAUUAAAGAUACUCCAACAAGGGCCGAGAGAGCAAAGGCUUUUACGAGUUCUGUGUUCCGUAUACUUCUCAAGGGGAAAAAAAUAAUGUUUUGUUAGAGAUUUGUUUUUGAUAGAAUUGUUAGCGAUCUUAGCCGAUGCAUCUGGAUUAUAAUUUUUAGCAUUUAUACUAUUUUAUAGCGCUAAUAUCUUAAAAAAACUUAUUUUCUAGCUUUUUUUUCAUGGUAUAAUAAAAUAUUAAAAAAUAUUUUUCAACUCAUUAUCCUUAAUACAAUUAAAUUUCAUAGAAUAGUCUAUUUUUUAGAAAUAUAGUUUACUAUGAGAUUUAUUGGAUAAAAGAAAUUCACUUUGUAACAAUGCACUAGAAACUAAAAAAAAAUAAGCUAAUGAUCAUUUAAAAAUAUAGUAUAUUGGAAUCAUCUUGCUGAAUAGGUGAGUUUGGGAGUUUGGUUGCUUAACAGGCGAGUGAGGGUUAAAUGUAUCCAAUUAAAUAAUAUCUACAUUCAAUUAAAACUUAUGGUACAAUUACUUGACAGCAAAAUAAAGAAAAGCAGGAACCCUGUAAUAUCUAGGAAAUUUCUAUGCUCUUUGAAUUAGGUGCCCAAACUAAGGCUAUAAUGAGCCCUGAAUUUACACAGAAGAAAUUUCAUGGGAAAUGGGUUGAUGUCAGAGGCAGACACGGAAACGUAAUUUCAGAAGACUAUGACUCAAAUCAGUGGCUGAAAUCCAAUCACUCAAGGGAUGGUGACACGUUGUCUUGAGUGGGAGACAACUGGUCUUCAGUACAAAGAGAAACAACGUUUUUUUUUUAUUAUUAUUAUUAUUAUUAAAAGCGAGUGUACGAGUUACUUCCAUGUUUUUUAAUUAAUUUUAAAAUUAAUAAUUAUAUAAAUUUUUAAUAAUUAUAAAAAAGUUUAAAUUCAUGAAAAGAUUUGAAUUCAUAAUUAUUAAAAUACAAAUAUAUUUUCCUGAGUGUCUUUGCUCUCGUGACAGCUCACGAUGGUGGGGGGUUUAAAAAAAAAUUUAAAAAAUAUUUUUACUUGUGAUUUAUUUAAUUUAAAUAAGUAUUUAAUUAUAAUUAUAAUUAACGAUAUAUUGUAACUAAAAUUACUAUAAAAAAGAACAUAGUGAAGGUGGAGAGGAUGAGAAUAAUGAUUGGAUAUCUUAAUAAUUGUAAAAAGAAAGUAUUUUUUUAUGGUGAAGUUAUUUGUAUAUGAGAAAAGACUGAGUUUUGUAGCUCAGAAAAAAUAAACAUGUUGAUAUUGCUUUUUAAUAACCCAUGAAUGGACCGUAAAUUGCAACGGGUUCACAAACACAAACAUGUGCUUCACAUGUAACCAAACUUAUUGUUAUCUGCAUUAAAAGCAAAAGAUGCUAAAAACACACACAUUUGAUCGUUGAAGAUGUUUUUAAAUUGUUUUCUUAAUUAUUUUUCAUUUAAAAAAAUAUGAAUCAAAGAAGUUUAAUAAUUAUAAUUAUUAAAUAUUUUGAAAUAAAAUGAUCCAUCUAUAUUAAAAAAAAACAUCAUUCCCACGUGUGGAAGAUAAAAUUAAUCAACCUAAUCUUAUUGGAUUGCAUUUUAUUAAAUCAAACCAUCAGUAUCUUUAAUGCAGGAUAUUUUUGUUUUUCCAAUUCAAGUAUACUUUUUAAUAUAAUAAAUUUUUUUAACCUAUUUUUUUAUUAUUAUUUUAGUAUCAUUUUGUUAUUUCUAAUAGUUUGUGGUUACCAGUUUAGUCCUGAAUUCAUUAUUAGAACCAUCAAUUUUAAAAAUCAAUGUAAGUUGAUUUUUAUUAUUUUUUAUUUUUUAAAAUUAAUUUAUUAAAAAAAAAUUCCAUGAUUUCUUUUUAAGAGACUAACCCUUCAUCGACAAACACUAAUGUACCCUGAAAAACAUAAUCUUAUUACAUCUGACGCUUUAAAUUCCAACAAGGAGCACCUACACAUCGAAAUAAAGAAAAGUACUGAGUGCCUUGGCGGUGGGAGGAGCUCUGCUCCUGAGUUCGAGUGUUUACAUGUAUAUCUAUCAUUCUCGUGGUGUUUUAUAUAUCUAUUGGGUUUAUAAAGUAUUCAGUGGGAUUAGUUGUGGUGCGCGCAAACUGACCCGAACAUCCAAAUAAAUAAAUAAAUAAAGUAGAAACCCUGCAUGUGGGAAAUUUUUGUUAGGCCUCCAAUCUGAGGCUGUAACGAGCCCUGGAUCUACACACAAGAAAUUUCAUGGGAAAUGGGUUGAUGUCAUAGGGAGACAAGGAAGCGUACUUUCAAAAGACCAUGAGACAAAUCAACGGCUGAAAUCCAAUCACUCAAGGGAUGGUGACAUGUUACCAUGAGUGGGAGACUGCUAGUCUCCAUCUAAAUGUUUAAAGAUGACUGGGUAUCUUAGUAAUUGUAUAACAAUUGAUUUUUUUUGCUGAAGUUGUCGGUGUGGAUGAGAAAAUACUGAGUUUGUAGCUUAGUAAAAACAUGUUGAUGUUGAUGUUACUUUUUAUUAGCUCAUGGUUGGCCCGUAAAUUAUAAUGGGUCCCACAAUCACAAACCUAUGAUUCACAUGUAAUUUAUGUUUUACAACUUAUUUUUAAAAUUAUUUUUUAUAUAUAUUUUUAUACCAUUUUUAUUUUAAAAAUUUUAAGUUUAAAAAAUAUUAUUUUAAUAUAUUUUUAAAUAAAAAAUACUUAAAAAAAAAAUUAAUAUCAGACACAGUGAAUGUUUUAUAAAAUUUUACAAUCGCUUUUACAUUUUGUUUAGAUCACAUUUGAAAAUGCGGUACACUACAAUAAAGUCCGUUAUAUGAUUAAGGGUAUGUUUGGUAUUGCGGUUGCUGUUGUGAUUGUAAUUAUGGUUUUAAAAAAAAUUGUUUUAUAAAAAGUAAUUUUAGUUGAGGUUGGUUUGAAAAAAUAUAUGUUUGGUUAAAACUGUAGUUGAAAUUGAGGUUGAACAAAAAAUAGUUUAAUGUGUUUGGUUAAAAAAAUGUUUUUCAAAUUGAUGUUAUAAAAUCAUUAAUAUAUAUAUAUACUAAUAUUAAUUAUUUUUAAUUUAAAUAUUGUAGAUUUAACUACUGUUAUUACAUCAUGAAAUAAAUAAUAUUAAUAUCAAAUAUUUUUUAUUAUUAGAUUAAAAUAUAUGUAAUCUCAUUACAUAUGAAAUCUAUCAAACAAGGACUAUAUUUUUCAUGGUUUCUUAAGCGUGCAACAACAAAAACUGAUUUUUUAAAUUUAUAUAGUGUUAUUAAAUAAUAAAGAUUGUGAUAUAUUUAUUAUUGAAAUUGCGAUCAAAUUUCAUAAAUGCUACGUCAUCAUGCGAUAUCUUUCUAAUUUAUAUAGUGUUAUUAAAUAAUAUUAAAUACUAGUUUUUCGAGUAAAACAAUUUAAAAAAAUAUAUAUAAUUUCACUACGUACAAAAGUUAUUCGACAAAAACUACAGUUUUCAUGAUUUUUUGAGCAUGUAAUAAAAUUAGGUAAAAUAUUAUCACGAAUAAAAUUGAGAUUACAGUACGAGUAAAUUUAAUUCACCUUAAACUAAUUUUUUUAAAAAAAAUAUCGUUUACUAUUAACUGCACUGGUUUUUUAGGGGGGAAAAUAAACUUUGCUCACCGGUUUUUUUUUUUAAAAAAAUAAAUAAAUAAACUUUUCUUACAGAUUUUUUCUUUUUUUAAAAAAAGAAGACAUGGUGACAAUGGAGCCAUGCUCCACUGUUAAGUGGUUGUUACCCACGAGAAGCAGUAAAAAUAACGUGGACCCUAUCAAGCAAAAUCAAUCUUGCUUGAUUACCAAACAUUAAAAUAUGUGGCUGCGAGUAAACUCGCCACACUACCAAACAACAUCUAAAGUCUUUAAUUGUCUUGCAUUUAUCUUUAAAACUGCUAUAAGAAUUAAUUAAUUGUGUCAAUUCAAUUCUUUCGAUUGACAUUGAUGCCAAACAUGUUAAUUCAUGAUAUAAUUAAGCAAUUCAAUACAAAUUUACUAAUAUAAUUUAUUUCGGCUUAAACCUUUGAAUAAAGCAAAAUGCAGAGGUUGUGAAAGUGAAAUACCUUAAUAAUUUUUAUGCUUUACAACUCUAGGAGCCACACAAAAUAUAAUGCGUUUGUUACUAUUUAUUUGUUAAAAAGUAUUUUUUUUAUUAAAAAAUGAUUUUUUAAAAAAUAAAUUGAAAAAUAUUUUUUAAUAUUUGAUUAUUUUAUAUAAAACAAGCCAAAAAAUAUUUUUUUAAUUUUCUUCUCAAAUUUAUUAAAAGAAUAAGAAACAAAUAUUUCAAAUAAAAAUAUUGAAGGAAGAUGAAAUUAAAAAAUAUAUAUAUUUUUAUAAAUUAUUUUAAAUAAAAUAAAUAAUAAUUAGAAGAAUAAGAAACAAAUGAAAAAUUAAAAAAUUAAAAAAAAAUAAAACAGAAAUAAAUAAUAAUCAAAAUAAAAAAUUAAUACAAAAAUAAUAUUAAACCAAUAAUUUAAUUUAAAAAAAAACAAAAUAUAAUUUAUAAUUUAUAAUUUAUUUAUUUGCUUUAUCAAUGAAAAGUGAUGGUAGGAGGGAGAGAGAGAGGAAAUAAAGUGAAGUCUUCUGCUGCCUGAUCACAUCACGUGAAGAGCUUGGCAUUUAGUGAAGUUUUUCCGAUCAAACCCACUUUUUUCAAAGAUGGAAUUUAUUGGAAAAUAAAUGAAAGACAAACCGAGUAAAAUGGAGUCCAGAGCAUACAAGAGCCGAGAUUGAAACAGGAAAUGCAAGAAAAAGAAGAUGGGCCCUUGUUUUCUCUUUUUACGGCCGGCGACCGGAUAUAAAAAGGGAGGAGAUGAAGCUUUCAAAUUAUUUUCAAUUUUGCGGUCACUUAUUGUGUCCAUGUCAUUUUGUGUAAUUGCCCAGCUACCGGUACUAUUUUAACACUGUUAAAAGUCUAAAUCAUCAAUAUUUCCCCAAUUUAUCUCUAAAAAAAAUUCACUUCAAUUAAUAGCAUUUUUUUAUUAUUUCUUAUGUCAAUGUUUACCUCUUUUUGAUAAACUCGUAUAUUUUUGUACCAGAGGUCUAAAAUUAUUCUGUCCACUUAUUACUUAUUUAAAUUUAUUAGAAUGUUUUAAAUAACUUUUUUAAAUUUUAAUCCCAGAGUUUACAUGCAUAAUACAUGAGUUAUAUAAAUUAUGAUUCAAAAUAUUGUUAUAACUAAAUUAAAAGAAAAAUUCAGAGUUAAUUUCUUGAAUAUUAAGUUUUCUGAUUUUUCUAUAUAAUUAAUUUUUUAAGUUGAUUUGAUUAGUAUUAUUAUACUUUUCUCAUUCUCGAUAAAAGAAAAAAGAAAAAACCAGAAGAGUAUUUUCUUUCUAUUGAAAAUAUUUGUGGUUAGAAGAAAGUAAUUUUCACUGGAGUGUCGUUUUGGGAUGCAACAUGAACUUGACCUGUCUAAUUUGUACGGCAUGAGAAGAUGUUGCUUUACAUGGCUUCCUCCUUAAAAAAAUUCCAUCACAUUUGAGAAUUUUGUUAUAAAAAAGAUAUCUCUUUUAAAGAAGAAAAGUGAUACCUAAAAUUUAUAAAUGAUCUAAACUCUUAAUUUUUAAUCGAUGUAAAAUGUUAGAGUAUCAUGUUCCUGAAAAAAUCUUUCUAAGUGUAUAAUAUGUUGCAUUUGGGGCAAAAUUAAUAGUUUUGAAUGUUUUUAUUACUGAAACUUUUUUUUUUCUCAACCUCUUUUUCUCUCUCUUCUUGUCAAAUACAAAAGGUUUUUUUUUUAAUUUUUUAAAUAAUUUUAUUUUUAUUUAUUUUAUUUUUAUCUUUUGUAGAUUUGUUUUUUUAUUUAUUUUGUUUUUUAUCGUUUGAUUUUAUUUAUUUUUUUAUUAAACAUUAACUUUAUUUUUAUUUAUUAUUUUUUUAAUUAAACAUCCUUUUUAAUUUAUCUCUUAAUAUUUAAUUUUAAUAUCAAAUUUAAUUAGUCCUAUUUUAUCUUACACUUUAAAUUCCUACAAGUACCCGAUCAAACAAUAUCUGCAUUCAAUUAAAACUUAUGGUACAAUUACCUCAUAGCGAAAAAAAAAAAAAAGUAGAGACCAACUAAGAAAUUUAUGUGCUGUUCCCAGCUAUGUUGCUGACAUUGGACAAGAGAGACUUCUUCAGCCACCGAUAAAAUUAUUUUUGUUGACUUUUUGUGCAGUUUGUCACUUUGCUUCGAUCUUUCUCUCUUUGCACCACAAACACUUGGACAUGGUAGAUACCAAGCACGGUUUUGCUGUCAAUGUACGAUACCAUAUUUGACAAUAUCUUUUUUUUUCUUUUUUCUUUUUUAUGAAGAGUAGUAUGUUGGUUAUCUAUGUAUGUUUUUUAAAAAAUCACAUAUAUAUUUAUCUAAAAUUAUUGAUAUUUAAAAAAUUACAUUAUUUUUUUAAUAAUUCGUUCCGCUGUUCUUUUAGAAUUAAGCGAAUAUUAUGCAAAGCUUCAAGUUUUGUGUAAUUGUUUUUAAUACAAGAGAGUUUAACCAUUUUAAAAUGUUUAAUGAGUUAUUUAAAAUAUUGAAAGUAAUGUACAAUAACUAAUUUAUAAUUUUAUCAUUGCUCUUGCUUUAUUAUAGGUCAAGUCAAGAUUUUCUUAAAAAUAAAAAAUUAUUUAAAUUGUGAAUGUUUUAAUUUAUUCUGGUAAAACAAAUUUAAAUUGUGUGGUGAUUUAACUUGAUUGAAUUUGUAGUUUAAAAAACAAUCUAGAUAACCAGUAAAAAUAUAAUUUAACUCGUAAAAAAUUUCAAGAUUACAUAUAUUUUUUUAAUAUUAAGAUAACAACAAAUUAAUUGAUUUGGGUCAACUCAAUUUAACUUAUUAAAUUCAUAACCCGAGUUAUGAGAUUAUGAUAACCAUGUAGAAAAUAAAUUAUUAAGUCUAAUUCUCAACUACCAAAUAUUAAAAGAUAAAAUUAAAAUAAAUAAAUAAACCAUGUGGAGAUUGAUUCGAUGUGACUUAAUUGAUUUAGCUUGUUCAAAAACAACCCGGAUAAUCAGUAAAAAUAUAAUCUGACUUAGAAAAAAAUUCAAGAUGAUACUUUUUUUCCAAUACAAAGAUAAUAAAGUAAUAGAUUGAAUUGGGUUAACCAGAGUUAACUUGUUAAAUUUUUUAUCUGGGUAUAAGACUGUGAAAUCUAAUUCCUAUUCAACUAAAUAUUUAAUGGUAUAAUUGAAAAAUAAAAUCAAUUAAAAAAUGAUCUAAAAAUAUGAACAUAAUUAACAUGUCAAGUUCAUAACCUAUGUUAUAAUAAAGAUACAAUCUUAUAGAAAAAAAAAAUCAAAAUAAAUUAUGAAGUUCAAUCUUAAAUAACCAAAUUUUAAAAGAUAAAUUUUUUUAAAAAGAACGUAAAAAUGACCCGAGUAAAUCCACCAAACUCAUAACUCGUUAUGAGAUCGAGAUAAUCUUAUAUAAAAAAAAAUUACAUGAUUUAACUCGUCAAAUCUAUGACUUUGGUAACAAGACCAAGACAACCUCUUAAAGAGUAAAUAAAAAUAAAUUAAAAGUGCAAUCCCUAAUUGACCAUGUCAAACUCGAUGUGAAUGAUGCAAUUUCUAAAAAUUUAAAUUAAAAAAUAACAUAAAAAAUAAUUUAGACCAACCCGUCAAGCAUCAUUAUUAGAUUACGAGGCUAGGAUAACAUAAUAAAAAUAAAAUCAAAACAAACCACAAAGUCUAAAUUCUAAUAAAAUAUAUUAUUAAAUAAUAAAAUUGAAGAAAAAAAAUUAAUUAAAAGAAAUUCGAGUCAAUUAGGCUAACUUGCUAAGCCUGUGAGUUAGGUUAUAAAACAAAAAUAACCCAAUAAAAAGUAAUUUCACUAUUGAAGGACUCGUGAUCUACGUCAUGAAAUCAACAUAACCUCUUACAAACAAAAUAAAAAAAAAACAACUCAAUUUAAUUUGGAUUAAAAUGUCAAAACCUCCACCUCUAAUCAUAAAACUAGGAUAAUUAUAUAGAAAAUAAUUUGAAAUAGAUUAUGAAAUUCCAUUCCCAACUGACAUUAUAUCAAAUGAUAAAGUUAGAAAAAAAAUUCAAUUAAAAAAAUAUAAAAUAUAACCCGAGUCAAUUUAGGCUAAUAUGUUAAGUAUUAUUUCCAAUUUAUGAGGUUAGAAUAAUCUAAUACAAAACAAAUAAAACAAAAUAUGAAACUUAAUUUUUAAUUAAAAGAUAAAAUUGUAAAAAAAAUUUAAUUAAAAAAAAUCAAGUUAAGUGAGUGAAUCCAUUAAAUCUACAAUUUUUAUUAUAAAAGUGAGACAACUUAAUAAAAAUAAAUUAAUAUUAAAAUAAAAAACAUUCAAUAAAAAAAACACUCAUUCAGAUAAUUGUAUAAAACAUAAUAAUAUAAAGUAUAAUUUAUGAUUUAUUUAUUUAUUUUAGCAUUUAGUGAAGUCUUUCCAAUCAAACCCCUUUUUUUUUUUUAUAAUUUAUAAAAAAUAAAAAUAUUUUAUUUUAAUAAAUGUUUAAAUAAAAAACAAUAAGAGACAACCGUGACCACUUAAAUGGACUCCUAAGCACACCAAGUUAAGAGUUAAAGAGCCGAGAGAGAAAAAGCUUUUGCCAGUUCUUUACACAUUCUUUCCCCUUCUGUCACCUGAACAAAAUCCCCUCUUCUUCUUCUUGUUUGUUUACUCUUCCUUCGUUACUUUGCAAAGAGGAGAAACCAUGGCCGGGGCUUUAGUAGGAGGAGCUUUUCUUUCUUCUUUCCUUAAUGUUUUGUUCGACAGGAUGGCCUCUCCCCAGGUGAUUGCCUUCUUCAGAGGCCAAAAAGUCAACGAUAGUAGUCUGCUGCAGAACUUUGAAGAAAACAAUGACAUCUCUCAGGGUGGUGCUUGAAGAUGCUGAGGAGAAGCAGAUAACAAGUUUAACUGUGCGGGAUUGGCUGGUCGAUCUUAAAGACGCUGUCUAUAACGCCGACGACUUCUUGGAUGAGAUUGCUUAUGAAGCUCUACGGCAGGAGUUGGAAGCUGAAGAGCAAACCUUCACAGGUCAGACGCAGAAGCUUCUUUCUUUCAUUAACCCACUUGAAAUACUGGGGUCGAGAGAGAUCGAAGAAAAAAUAGAAGUCCUUUUGCAGGAUCUAGAUCCCUUAGUUGCAGGAAUGGCAGCCCUUGGUUUGAACAACCGCAAUGUAGAAAAUCCAUCAUCGCAUAGAACACCAACAACUUCUCUCGUGGAUGGAUCUGGUGUUUAUGGCAGAGAUGAUGACAGGGAAGCAAUACUGAAGUUGCUUCUAUCAAAGGAUGCAAAUGGAGGAAACCCUGGUGUCGUCCCCAUUAGGGGAAUGGGCGGGGUUGGUAAAACCACGCUUGCUCAGCUUGUAUACAAUCACAGAAGAGUACAGAAGCGGUUCGACCUCAAAGCUUGGGUUUGUGUUUCAGAAGAUUUCAGUGUUUUGAAGUUAACCAAGGCGAUCCUUGAGGGGUUCGGUUCAAAGCCUGCUUCUGAUAAUCUGGAUAAGCUCCAGCUUCAGUUGAAGGACAGAUUGGAGGGAAAGAGAUUCUUGCUUGUUUUAGAUGACGUUUGGAAUGAAGAUUAUGCUGAGUGGGACAAGUUGCUUACCCCCCUGAAGUACGGAGCACAAGGGAGUAAGAUUCUUGUCACAACACGCAAUGAAAGUGUAGCAUCAGUCAUGAGAACUGUUCCAACUCAUCAUCUAAAAGAAUUGACGGAAGACAGCUGCUGGUCCUUGUUUGCCAAACAUGCAUUUCGUGGUGAAAAUCCCAAUGCUCAUGAAGAGUUGCUAGAGAUUGGAAGAGAAAUAGUGAGAAAGUGUAAAGGCCUUCCUCUAGCUGCGAAAACACUCGGAGGUCUGCUACGCACCAAAAGAGAUGUCGAGGAGUGGGAGAAGAUAUUGGAAAGCAAUCUAUGGGAUUUACCCAAAGACAAUAUCCUCCCAGCUUUGAGAUUAAGUUAUCAUCAUCUCCCGUCACAUCUGAAGCAAUGUUUUGCUUAUUGUGCCAUAUUUCCAAAAGACCAUGAAUUUCAAAAGGAUGAAUUAGUGCUCUGUGGAUGGCAGAGGGCUUCUUAGUCCCUCUGCAGUAGAUGAUGAGAUGGAAAAGCAGGUGCUGAGUGCUUUGAUGAUCUCUUGUCAAGGUCGUUUUUCCAGCAAUCAAGUGCCUCGCUCAUCAUUUGUGAUGCACGAUCUCAUGCAUGACUUGGCUACCCAUGUGUCCGGUCAAUUUUGCUUCAGCUCCAGGUUGGGGGAAAAUAAUUCUUCCAAGGCCACAGAAGGACUCGACAUUUAUCACUCGUAGUAGAUACGGGAAGGGUUUUUCAAGCACAAAAUUAGAAAACAUCCGUGAAGCCCAACUUCUACGCACAUUCCAACUUUUCACGCUAUUGUUGUCCUCCCGAAUUUAUAAUGAGAUCUUUCAGUCAACACUUGGGCGCCUACGAGUGCUAAUCAUGACUGGUUGUAGAGAUCAACUUGUUAUGUUCAACUAGCAAGUUGAAGCAUUUGCGGUAUUUGGAUCUCUUCGGUCAGAUUUAGUAACGUUGCCUGAAGAAGUGAGUGCUCUUCUCAAUUUGCAAACGUUGAUCUUGAAAAUGCAAACAACUUGCUAGUCUACCUGAUCUUGGAAAUUUGAAGCACUUACGACAUCUGAAUCUUGAAGGAACAAGGAAUCGAAAGGUUGCCUGAAUCUCUGGAAAGGUUAAUCAACUUGCGGUAUCUUAACAUCAAGCACCCUUUGAAAGAGAUGCCACCACAUAUAGGUCAACUGGCAAAGCUCCAAACGUUGAAUUAUUUUCUCGUGGGAAGACAGAGUGAGACUAGCAUUAAAGAAUUGGGAAAGCUACGACAUCUACGGGGAGAACUUCAUAUUGGGAACCUUCAAAAUGUGGUGGAUGCUCGGGAUGCUGGUGAGGCAAAUUUGAAAGGUAAAAAGCACCUUGAUAAGCUGAGGUUUACAUGGGAUGGUGACACUCAUGACCCGCAACACGUAACAAGCACACUUGAGAAAUUAGAGCCAAAUAGAAAGCUGAAGGAUCUUCAGAUUGAUGAUUAUGGAGGUGUAAGGUUUCCAGAGUGGGUAGGAGAGUCCUCUUUCUCAAAUAUAGUGUCCUUGAAGCUCAAUGGAUGUACAAACUGCACCUCCUUACCACCGCUCGGGCAAUUAUCUUCUUUAGAGGAUCUCUCCAUUGAAGGAUUUUAUAAAGUUGUGACUGUGGGCUCUGAGUUCUAUGGGAGUUGUACUGCUAUGAAGAAGCCAUUUGAAUCCCUCAAAACAUUAUCUUUUAGAAGGAUGCCAGAGUGGCGCGAGUGGAUUUCAGACGAAGGCAGCCGGGAAGCCUUCCCUCUUCUUGAUGUGCUUUUAAUCGCAGAAUGCCCCAAAUUAGUUUCAUUUCCCAAAGGAGGGUUACCUGCUCCAGUCUUGACACGACUUGAGUUAGAAGAAUGCAGGAACUUGAAGCAGUUGCCUGAGAGUAUGCAUUCCCUCUUCCCAUCCCUUACCGAUUUGGUAAUAAGAGAUUGUUUAGAAGUUGAGUUGUGUCCAGAAGGGGGUUUUCCCUCCACAUUACAAUCACUUGAGAUUUCUAGAUGCAACAAACUCAUUGCUGGCCGCAUGCAAUGGGGCUUGCAAACGCUCCAUUCUCUUUCACGCUUUACAAUUGAUUGGGACGAAAAUGUUGAAUCCUUCCCUGAAGAGAUGCUGCUGCCCUCAAGUCUUACAUCUCUUAGAAUCUAUUCCCUACAACACCUGAAAUCUCUUGACUACAAGGGGCUUCAACACCUCACCUCUCUUAGAACAUUGAAUAUAAAGAACUGCCCUCUGAUUGAGUCAAUGCCAGAAGAAGGGUUGCCCUCCUCCCUUUCUUCUCUUGUAAUUGAAGGUUGUUCCAUGCUGAAAUCUCUUCCAAGGCUUCACCACCUCACCUCUCUUACAGCAUUGGGUAUAUAUGGCUGCCCUCUGAUUGAGUCAAUGCCAGAAGAAGGGUUGCCCUCCUCCCUUUUUAUUCUUUCAAUUCUCAAUUGUCCUCUGCUGGGUGAAAGUUGUGAAAGGGAGAAAGGUAAAGAUUGGCCCAAGAUUUCUCACAUUCCUCACAUAAGUAUAUAUUGAGGUAUUGCUACUAAAUAGUUUAUUUUCUUUUCAGUAAUCAAAGGCAAUUUCAGUUAAAAUUUGGAUGAAUGAAAUACAGAUAUUGUCCAUUUUGUAUUGUUUAUAUUUGUUGGAUGUUGAAAUACAGAUAUUUUCUUCCUAUUGUCUCUCAUUCAUCUCCAUAAAUAAUAAUCAUCAUUCUAUUUCAAUAUAUCGAGCUGGAGGAUCAUCACAUGCUUCAGAUUUUGAACUGCCAGCACCAUCCUUAAUUUGGACAGGGGGCUAUUAUCAUCGAAUUUUAGCAACGGGAUAUUUCUUUUGCUAAUUUAACAACAGAAUGUGUAUAUAUGAUUUUUUUAAUAUCAACAAUGAAUUUAGUAAUAGAAAAUCCAUUGCUAAAAAGGAUUAAAAAAUUAAAUUAUUUAACUAAUUUGCAGCGGAUUUUUCAUUAUUGACGCUCUUGGCAACAUCAAAUCUGCAACUGAUUCCAAAAAUAAAUCAAACCCUUAAUUAUAUAAAAUCUGCAUCUUCAAAAAUUAAAAUAAAAUUAAAAUUCACCAUCUCUUUCUCUAGUCUCUUCCCUUCUCCAAAAAAUCAAAAUUCAAAAACUUUUUUUUUUAUCUUUUAUAUAUUAUUUAACUUUGAUUAAAUUGUUUUUAUUCCAUAUAAAGCAGAAGUUAAAAAAUGAUUUUGGAGUACAUGUAAGUCAUAUCUUUUUUGGAAUUUGCUUUGAUAAAAAACAGACAUAAAGAGAGAAGAUAAUAUAAAAUUCAUGACUCCUUAUCGAUAUAUAUAUAUUUUUUUUCCUUAGUUCAUUCGUUUGAUUACAUUUUUGCUUCAACUCUCAUCAACACUCCCUUGUUUCGUUGCACGGCAUCAUUUAAAUGUACAUGGCUUGUGUUAUGUUCGGGAACAAAUAUUGGGCCAUUAACCUUUUCAAGCAAUGAUGGAGUAGGAGUGCAGUUAAAGAACACGCCCUAGCUGUUUGACAGAAUGCCGAUGAAGAUGAUAGUCAUUUUAGUGGUGCUGCUUGUAACAACCCAGGUAAGAAAACUAACGACCUCUUGAUGUGGUUUUCUAGGAAAUAAAUUAAAUGUUUUUAUUUGUUCAUGUGUUUUCUUCAGGAGGUGGUGCUAACCAGAGAAAGCUAAAGCAGAGGAGGAUGGCCAACAUGUUGGAAAGGUAAAAGGAUGAAGCCUUUUGUUAGAGGUCUAGGUGCUGUUGCACUAACAAAAGCACAUUGCCUUGAGGAAGCCCUCAAGUCUUACAUCUCUUCACAUCUAUUCCCUAAAACACCUGAAAUCUCUUGACUACAAUGCCAGAAGAAGGGUUGCCCUCCUCCCUUUUUGCUCUUUUUAUUAACAAUUGUGAGAGGGAGAAAGGGUUAAAUGAUCUUUGUAUAUUUGACUGUCCAGAUCUGGAAUCACUAUGUGCACAUGAAAGACCUCUCAAUGAUCACAACUCUCUCGAUUAUUUGGAAAUCGAGGACUGCCGUAAAUUAGUUUCAUUUCCCAAAGGAGGGUUACCUGCUCCAGUCUUGAGAGGACUUCAUUUAGAAGGUUGCAGCAACCUGAAGCAGUUGCCUGAGAGUAUGCAUUCCCUCCUCCCAUCCCUUAACCGUUUGUAUAUAAGUAACUGCCCUUUGAUUGAGUCAACGCCAGAAGAAGGGUUGCCCUCCUCCCUUUCUUCUCUUGUAAUUAACAGUUGUCCUAUGCUGAAAUCUCUUCCAAGGCUUCAACACCUCACCUCUCUUACACGAUUGAAUAUACAUCACUGCCCUCUGAUUGAGUCAAUGCCAGAAGAAGGGUUGCCCUCCUCCCUUUCUUCUCUUGUAAUUGAAGAUUGUCCUAUGCUGCGUGUAAGUUGUGAAAGGGAGAAAGGUAAAGAUUGGCUCAAGAUUUCUCACAUUCCUCACAUACAUAUUUGGAGAAGUUAAAGGAGCUAAUACAUAAAUCACAUUCUUUCAAUCGUCCAACAUAUUGAGGUAUUGCUACUAAAUAGUUUAUUUUCUUUUCAGUAAUCAAAGGUAAUUUCAGUUAAAAUUUGGAUGAAUGAAAUACAUAUAUUGUCCUAGAAAGUUGUAUGUUUUUAUUUGUUGGAUGUUGAAAUACAGAUAAUUUCUUCCUAUUGUCUCUCAUUCAUCUCCAUAAAUAAUAAUCAUCAUUCUAUUUCAAUAUCUUUUUUGCUAUAAUUAAUGCUACUAUUGUUCCUCUAUCAACUGCGGCAAAUAAACAUCACAUGCUUCCGAUUUUGAACUGCCAGCGCCACCCUUAAAAAACAAGUGUCCAUCUUAAAAGACAACGGGCCUAGCAGAGCUGAAAAGGAUUAAAAAAUAUUUAAAUAAUCUGCAACAUAUUUUUCAUUGUUGACGCGACAAAAUCAAAAUUCAAAAUUUAAAAUCUCCAUUCUCUCCUUAUCCGCAUCUUCAAAAAUUCAAAAUCUUUUCCCCACCUCUUUCUCUAAUCUAUUCCCCUUCUCCAAAAAUUCAAAAUCCAAAAACUUUUGAUUUGUUUAUUUUAUUAUCACUUAACUUUGAUUAAAAAACUUUUCUUGAAGUUUACUUCCAUCAAAGAUCUUUUAUAGAUAUAAAAAGAAGAGAUAAUAUAAAAUUCAUCCGCGUAUUGGAAUCACAAUUCAGAAUCAAGUGAAAGCGGCCAAUGUCACUCGAGAGAGUAGGCACUUGCAAAUCUGCUAAUAAUUAUUGGUGUUUAUUCCUCAUGAUGAUCCAGUGAGCUGACAAUAAAAGAAAACCUCGGCAUUACUAGUAAAUCGUCACUGCAAGCAUGGAAGAGAUUCAGGUAGGAAUUACCCUUGUCUUCAUUGAGAGGCUUUAACCUCCCUAGCUCCUUCAUCAGCAGGCCCAUGGUUCGAUGCAUCCUCUGAAGCGUCUAAGCAAGGAUUGCUUUUACACUGACUUACAGGCUGAGCACUGGUCAAGAGACUAGAAAGUUGAGACCCCCUUUGCGAAAAGUUUGGUUUACCUUUCGGAGUCUCAGACAGGCUUCCCGUUGACAGCUUUGAUAGGCCCAUAGUCAUGUGCUCACACGGGAGCUUAGUUGAAAAAGGUGAUUCAGGUGUAUCAGGAUGCUUCCCAGGAAUAUCCAUCGGUCUAUGAAACAGCAAAUGAGCCACAGUCCGGUCUACGGGAUUGGUCUCUGUUUCCACCUCAGGCAUCUUAACCACCCUGCAGUAUACUCAUAAAAUCCAUGAGGAAAAUGACAGGCAAGUUUGAGAUUGCCAUACUCUAAACAAAUUGAUAAAGACUUGAUUAAUAAUUUUGUGCAAACAAAUUGAAUAAUUUGGAAUGGGAAGGACGAGAUGUAAAGGAACAAACCCAGAGCACGUAUUGUUUGUACUGCUGGUUUCCUCUUUUGCAGCAACUUGUUCGUCCCUGCUACUGUUGUUUGUACUGCCAGUAUCACUAGCAUAAUGCCUUUGCAUUGCACUUUGAGCCAGCCGGAACAAGCUAUCCCGAAUACAAAGUCUAAUUCUGACAUCCAACUGUUGUAAAACAUUGGUUUGGAAUCGUAACCAAGCACAAAUUAUUUAGCAGGGAAAGAAUGCAAUAGUACGUGAAGCAUACCUUUGAAAUAAUAUCUUGAAGCCUGUAGAGUACUGUGUCCUCCAUUGAAUAAUCAUUAACCGCCAGAGAGACUGUAUUGGAAUCGUCUUGCUCAGUAGGUGAGUUUGGGUCAAAUGAAGCAAGUGUACUUAGAUCCUCUACUUCAAGGUCAGCUCCUUCAACAUGCUGAAUUUGAUUUUCUUGGGAACACUUUAGAUGAACAAGCUGCUGCUGCUGUUUCUGAAUGGCAAGCAUUGCCUGAAUUUGUUGCCGCCUCCUUAAUUUUUCAAUCUUUUCCUGAGGUGUCAUUCUCUGAGGUUUCACUGGACAGUCAGCUAACUUGUUUAUAGGAUCUGCAUUGCCUGAAACUUCAUAACCAGAAAUUUUAGGUCGAUGAUUAAAUGACUAGAAAUUUUGUUGGAAAGUCAGAAAACUUUAACAGGAUUCGCAUUACCUGAAGAAACUUCAUAACCAGAAGCUAAAGGUCGAUGCUUAAAAUCCCCAGACUGAAUGUGAGACAACCCAGGCAUAGAAUAUGGAUUUGUAAUACUCCCGUAUGCAGAAGGGGCCACAAAUGGAUUGGAUAUCUGCUGGUACUGCAACUGCUCGGAACCCUGUAGCUGUUUCUGUUGGCUGAGAAGUGAAAGGGGUGAAGAUUGCAUAAUUUGGGGUGCUAAAUGAUCCUUAAGUUGACAGGCUGGGAUUCCAGAUGAAGUCCAGUUUCCAUAAAAAUCUUGGUAUGAUUUCAGUUCACCUUCUUCUUCCAGUUUUUCCCGACCUUUCAAGAUCUUCUUUUGCCUGUAAGUCUGAUCACAGAACUAUAAACAUAUAAAUAGACAAAUUACUUAGAAUAGAUCAACGUUUUAACCAUCUAGACCUGCAGGGGAGAGUGACUAAGGCACAGUUAGUAUUUUAACUCAGUACAUGGUUUGUAAGGAUAAAUUCAAUGUUUUUUUUUUUUUUUAACUGUAACUUACGAUCCAAAGGGCUUCUAUUGUUCAGAAUAUAUUGAGGUAUUAGCUAAACUAUGCCAAGCAAACAGAAUUUGCAUGUCCCUGGGAAGAGUGGAUGCCAUGCUAGAAAUAUAAAUUACUGAUGCCUCCUGAAUUUUCACAUGUUAUUCCUUUCUCCUUCCUACUAACAGAAAACCACACAAUGGCUUUACUUUAGGCAAUCGAUAUCAUGGUUAAGUCAUGGAUUUGACAUCCAGGAUAACUUAAUUGAUGCAUUAUUGAAGUCAUGACUAAAUCAUGUAAAUCCAUAUUCACCCAACAUCCAAGUUUAUUCUCAUUCCAAAAAAUUAAACUAAAAAUAAUAGCAUGAAAUAUGAAGAGACGAAGAGGAAUUUAAAUAAUAUAAUUUCUCUUUUCUGUCGCCAUUUUCCAUUCCAGAGAAGUACUCAGGAAGUCUUAAUAAGUUCAAGUGUAAGGUAACUUUUACCCUUCCCAGCUCUAAUUAGGUUUCGCUGUCCCUCCAAUCUAAUUUAAGAUCUAAUAUGAGGAAACCACACUGUAUUAGUGAAAGGAUCACAAUAUCAAGAUUUUCCAACUUCAAUUCAAUGAUAUAACUUUUCUUGAAUCCUGGACAAAAGAACUUAGAACAUCAAAAGAUCAUAGCAGGAUUCUAAAAAACAAAGAUUGUAUUUGGUGCUUAUUGAGUCUAAAAGUUUUCCUGGAAGAAAAGGGUAAAAAUCAGUAACAUGUCUGGUUCAGUAUCAAGAUUUUGAAAAUAUCAAAAGGAAGGAAAAAAAAAGGUACCUUGUUUGCUAAUUCAUUUGGAAAAGCACCAUUUUCCUCUGUCAGUUGAGAGUUAGCCGCUGUGUUCUUUCCCACAACAGCCAAAUCUGUCUGCAAAAGCACAAAAAAAUAAAAUAAAAAUAAAUGCUAAGCUUCUCUCAGCUCCUGCACUUGAGCAUGGGGCAUUAAUAAGUGAACUCAUUACUGAAAAUUGAGUCGCUAUACCUGCUCCUUCAGUAUAGGCUUGUUUUUACCUUCAUCAUAUUCUACAUGAUCAAGGCUUGCCUGAGUAUUCUGCAGACCAUGAGAUGCAGGGUCGUUCAUUUUUCCAUAGCCAAGGGCAAACAGCUGGUCCUCUUCUCUCGAAGCCACAGAUAUUGGAAAGGGCUUUACCGGGCUGUUAGUUGUACAUUUUGAAGAAGACCAUAGCUCAUCAGCAUUACCAAGAUUUACAUUGCCAAAUAUUGGGUCAUCAUUGCUGCAAAAUCACCACUUGUGAGGAUAUUGAGUCAGAUGGUUAUCACUGUUCUCCAACAGAAUCAAGAUAAAAUAUAAGAACAUUAGUCAAGAACAGAAAUGCAGGAAAGCCCUUCCACAAUUGAACAAGCUCACCAAUUCCUUGCAAAUCCAGUGCUGCUAUAUUACAUUCUUUCUGCCAUUUAUACUUGAAAUUGAGGAUAUUGUGCUGCUAAAAACUGGCAUCCUUCAGGUUCUUUUCCCAAUUAACAAAAUUAAGCCAAGGAUCAAAAACCAUAAAUUUUCAAACAUAGUCAUUUUUUGUUAGUGUUGCUUUCAGCAGACAGCACUUAUUUGGAAAAGGAUAUAGAUCAACAACAGAAGAAACUACAACUAUUAAAAGAGUCUGGUUGUUUUUCCUUCACAACAACACUCUUGUACUACAUGAACUUUUUCUUCUGAAAUGAAAAUAGACAGUGAGCAUAAUUAUUUUGUUCGCGAAACUUUCACUUCACAGUCAGUAAUAAGAAUUUGUUCAAAUUAUCAGAAUAAUGAGAUAUACAAGCUUCCAUAUCAGGGUGCUGCUGACCAUCUUUCAUUUAGGUGCAGAAAGUAAGAAAUGGUAACUGUGCUUUACCUAAAAAUUCGAUCAAGAUCAUCAAAGCUUCCAAUGCUAGCCCAGCCAUAAUCAGCAAAAUCACCUUGCUCUUCACCUUCAUGAGGAUUUUGAAAAAUCUCAGUGUCCUUAUCAAGAUGAUCUGUCUCUGCGUUUUAAAAAAAAAAGAAUUAGAAUGACAGUAGCAUGUAAGAUACUAUGCUAUGAAAACAUCACGCAACUCGUCACCCUAUCUACAUUUUUUCCUUGUAAUUGAAAUCUCAUCACCUGCUGAUGAAUCGAGUUUGGUAAUCUCAGUUAGAUUGUUAGAGAUUGAAGUUUCCAAGGAAUCCUGCUCAGUUUUGGCAGCAUCAGGUGAGGACAAGUUAGGCCAUCGGUCCAUGUCAAGUCCUAAGGAAGAAGUUCCUUCACUUGUGUCAACAUUCGAAAUGCUCUCCAGCUUUCUGCCAUCAGUAUCAACUUUAGCCCCAGGUGCCUUCUGCUCACUAGAUUUAAUGGUGCUAGCUUCUUCACUCGAUUCCUUUUUCUUGCAAUAAUCUUCACUUGCCUCUGGAUAUGGCACGAUAUGGUCAUCACUAUCUUCAUCCUCACCCCAUAUUAUGUUCGUAAGCUGAAAAGAUAGUGAGUAAGCAUCAUCACUAAAUGUGGGAUACAUGAGAAGAAUGAAACAGUCACAAGUUAAUCUCUGGGUAACUUAGCAAGACUAUUUUCCCCAACAUAAUAUUCUGAAUAAUACACUAAUUAAUCAGUUCAGUUCCUUGUAAGGUGUGCGUGGGCACAUAUGAGCACACAUGUGUGUACGAGAGUUGCUAGUGUCAAUGAGUUGGGAACCAAAUAUUUAAUUGAGUCAUGCAGAAAAUACUAAAAUGUUCUAAAUUGUGUUAAAAAUAAAAUAGAAAGUAGAAGCCAUUGGCAUGAUUCAUUUAAAAAUUUCAACAAAAUUAAAAAAAGAAAAGAAAAGAAAAGGAGGAGAUGGCCCAAAGCAUGCUCUCAAUAAGAUGAAGUAAGACCUAAAGCUUCAUUGCAUGUACAGAGCACUUUGAAAACUUCAGUCUGGACAUAUAAAACCAAGGCAAAUUAUCUUCUUUUUGGAACUUAUUUCUUCACAGUAAGAUAUAACAUCUAACGCUACCUGCAUCACUUUCUCAUGGUCCUCCCUGACUCGAGUGAUCAUAAACCUUCUCAAAUCCCAUUUAAAGAAGAUUCCCUUUCUCACUUUUCGUUGGUAUUAUUUGACACCAAGAUCACAACCAAACAUUACCAAUAAGUGUGUCACCGGAGAAAGAAACUUAGGUGCCCUAAUACCAUAAAUAAAACCUAUUCAAUAAAAAUUAGACAAUAUUUUAUAGCUGUACAUCUAUAAUCAAAGUAAAGGCCCAAAACUCUGAAUCCUGAAUAUGUGAAUCAAAGUAUCUAACUGAUGCACCAUCAGCAGUCUCCUAUUUGACUUGUGAUUAAUGACCUAGCAGUUCACUUCAACAACAUUAUUGAAAGGUCCCUAGUGAACGUAAGAUUGAAUUUCAGACCCAGCAAGAAGAAGUACAUUUUCCAGUAGGCAUGCAUAUCACCUUUUUAUCAAUAUCCAUGGAAGACAAACCAAGCAAUAUCAAGUUUUUUUCUGCUGGAUAUCCAAUAAAAAAUACCUCAUAGUGUGAACAUCUUUAAGAAGGAGGAUAUCACAUUGCACCCCAUCAACUGAUCCACAAAUAAAUUUGCAUCUUUCCAUCAGUUCCAAGCUACUUUGUAAGGAAAAGGGAGGGAAGUGCCUUCAAAGAUACCUUCUUCAUAGCUUCUUUAGAUAUGAAUCCACACGACUUUCGUAAUCACCAAUCACUAUGCGCAGCUUCUCUUAUCAUCACAAGCUCCAUCUCUUUCCACAUCCUAACUUCAUUCGCUGAACUCUUCCCUCAGUUCCCAAGAAAAAAUAUAUUCUUCCUCCUCCAGCCCUUUCCCUACAUAUUUCCACCAGCUUCAUAGCAAUGCAGCCCGUGAAAACGACUCCCAAAUUAAAACACUUGAGAAGCUCUAAUAGUUUUCCACAAAGAACUACUUUUCUUAUUAUUUCUUCACUCUAUGUCAGUGUGCCACAUUCAAAUACUACUGAUCGAUUCUUCCUCGUCACAACCACUCACUUUCCCCUAAAUCCCAUACCACAACCACUCCUUGAUCUUCAACUAAAUCAAUAUCUCUCAUCACUUAUGAAAACUCCAUAUAAUUUCCAAAUGAAUCACACCAUUUGAACACUUUGCCAAUUCCUAAUUCCUUCAAAAUUUUAAUCCAUAAAAAAAAAAAACUGCAAGUCAUACCUUUUCACCUCAACACAGUUCUCCUUGUAACUAAUCUUCCAAUAUAACCAUACUCUAAAACUAACCCAUAAUCCUAUAAAAAAAAACCAUUUCUUCUUCAAAUUAGUCCUAAAAAACUUCAAAAUACAAGUAACUAUCCAUUUUAAACAAGAUCAGUGAAAUCUAAAAGCAACCCACAAAUCCAAUUCACAAAUCAACUGCAUAUUCCAAUAUAGAUAAAGGAAAAAAAAAUCAUUUAGUUACCUCUUCGUCGUUCCAAUCAAACAUAGCUAAAGAAACCAGAACAGGUCACAAAACGAAAACCCAAUUCACAUAUUAUAUCUUGAAUUAUUUCACACAUCGCCAAUCCUUCAAAACCUUCACCAAAAAAAGAAAAAGAAAAAACAUUAACUUACGUUCAGAAAAAAACAUCAAAACCCCUUAACCCUAAAAACCAAACCAAGACAAAAAAUUUACAUGCAAAACAAGAAAACAAGAACCUUAACAGUUGUUAAAGAAGCAACCAAAAGAGUUUUCCAGAGACUGAAACAAGAGCAUAAAAGAAAGGGAAAAGCCAAAGGGUUGUAGAGCACGUGAGAAUCACGUGAGUUUGAUUGGCUAUUUGACUGACACGUGUGUUUACGACAGUAUCUUAGUGUGUGGUUAGAAUUUAAGGAUAGAUCUAAUACUUGAACGUGAUUGGUUAAUACGUUAGGAGUUUGAUUUGAGUUUGAUUUGGGUUGAAUUUCAUGUGAAUUUAGAGAGAUUUGGCGGGCGGAUCUAAGUUGUGGCUGUGGUUGCUUCGAGGGUUGGUUUCGCGGGUCGGUUUCUUGGGCCCAUGUUGACCAAGUGGUGUUUUUUGGGAUAGCCACGCCCACGCUUUUGGAUUAAAAAAAAAAAAACAGGAGAAGAAUUAUGAGAGUGGAUUAAUUAUUAAUUAGGUAAUGAUUGAGGAUUAGGGUUUAAAGUAGGGGAUUAGGCCGUUUGACUCUUGACGUAGGCACUAUUAGGGGUGAGCAAAAAAACCGAGAAAACCGAGAAAACCGAACCGAAAAAAAAAACCGAUUAAACCGAUUAAAAUUUUGAAAAAACCGACCGGUUCGGUUUGGUAUCGGUUUUAGGCUUAUAAAACCGAAAAAACCGAACCGAACCGAAAAAAUAACCGAAAAAAACCGAGCCAAACCGAGCCAAAACCGGAAAAAAAUGAGCCAAAACCGAAAAACCGAGCCAAACCGGAAAAACCGAGCCAAGCCGGUUUUUCCCCUAAAAAAACCGAACCGAACCGAACCGAACCCGGCCGGUUCGAACCGGUUUCGGUUCGGUUUCGGUUCGGUUUCGGUUCGGUUUCGGUUUUUUUUUCCUAAAAAAAAAAAAAUUCGGUUUGGUUACUUUUUUUGAUAAAAACCGAACCGAACCGGUUUUGCUCACCCCUAGGCCCUAUGCAUGUGAUUUGUUGUUAUUGUGCCAUUUCAUUAAAUUCGUUUAAAAUGUUUACAGACAAAAGAUACGUAUAAAAUUUAAAAACGUUAGCUCUUUCUUUUUUUAAAAAAACAAAAUUAAAGUCUCACAACUAACCUAUAGAAACAUUGUUAUAAAAUCUAAGGUUGCUCAAUGGGUCAAUUUGAAAGUCUGCACUAGUUUAAAUUUUAAUAAAUAAAAAAAAAUUGAUUGAUUCAGUUAAAAAUCUGAUUUGUUCUAUUAACUUGAUUUAAAUUUAAAUUUUUUUUAUGUUUUUUUAUAUAUCAAAAUGAUAUUUUUUUAAUAUAUUUAAAAUUAACAAUUUUGAUAUGUAUUUAAACUUUACCCCAUUUUAUAAUUACUGAUCAAAGUAUUUUAAAAAUCAAUAUAGUAACACUUCCUAAAAAUUAAAAAAAUAAGAUUUAAUUUUAAAUAACACAUAAAGUAUUUGAAUAUAUCUCAUAAAUUUAAAAACAAAUAAACAAAACUUUCACAUCUCCCAAAAGAAAGAGAGUUUAAACAGCCCUGCUUAUGUAAGCAAGCAAGAAAGAAAAAGACUAAAUCAUGAUUAAUAUAUAUCACCUCGUUUAUCUUCAUAUCAAAUAUAUCCUAACUUGUGUAGACGGGUGUGAAGAAUUAAGCUAUAUUCUAACAUCCAAAUUAACUCUUUUUUUUAUAAAAAAAACUCUAUUUCUGAUUUGUACAAAAUUCAAUAAUUUACAUGUCAAUCACUUAAAACCCAAUAAAAAAUACUUUAAAAUAUAAAAAAAAAAUAUAAUUUUGAAAAGAAAAGGGGACUUUCAAUUAUUCAUCAAAGAAUAAUUUAGACUAUUAUAUAUCAUACAAUUUAAUUUAAAAAUCAGUCAAUAAAAAAAAAUCCAAUUUAAGUUUGAUUAACUUAGCAGGUUAACAUGUAAAUAGUUGGCCUGAUUUUGAUGGAGUUGAUUUUUAAAAUAAUGUAUGGAAAACGAUAUCAUUUUAAAAAGGGUAAUCCACCUGACCUAAUCUGGUUCUAGAACAAGUUUAAUUACAUUGACUCCAAUAAUUAGCCUUGAAUGUAGAAAAACGAAGAAGGGAAGUAGAACAAAACUGGGCUGAGAGGCCUAUGGACAUUAAAUUGAUUCUAGUCUUUAUUAAUGGGCUUGUGGCCUCAGCAUGAAAACUGGCAAAACAGUAAAAAAAUUAUAAAAAAAAAAGAGGAGAAAAAAUCAACCACGACUCCACUGGGGAUCGAACCCAGAAUCUCUGGUUCCGUAGACCAGCGCCUUAUCCAUUGGGCCAUGGAGUCUUUCAUGCCAGUGUUUCGAUUCCUAUAAUAUAUUAAUAAAAUAUACAACUCUACCUUCCGAGCCUGUACUAGAGACAGCGAGGGUGGCCAACAACUUCAACCACUUACAAUUUGAAAAUGGUAUUCUGGAUGUUGCUUCACGGGUAGGGCUUUACUGCUCAUCAACAUUUCCAAUAUCUUUUUCCAUCUACACGAUGCAUUUACAAGAGUUACGUUAAUCGGGUAAUUAUGUGUACAUUUUUGAAAAAAUAUUUUUUAAUUGAAAAUAUAUUAAAAUAAUAUUUUUUUUCUAUAUAUUUUAUUUUAUUUUAUUUUUGAUAAUAACACAUUACAACAAUUUAUAAAAACUUUAUUGAAUUUAUAUAUAUAUAUAUAUAUAUAUAUAUAUAUAUAUAUAUCAAUUCAAUAAAGUUUUAGUUGAAAAACUAUUUUUAAAAACAAAUUCAAUAACAAAAACAAACCUACCAUAACCAUUACUUGUACUUUUUUUUUUCCACAGGUUUGUUAAAAAAAAACACCUUUUUUAUUAUGUACUCGAUCGUCGAGUGCUACAAAUUUAAUUAGCUUUCUUAAUGGGAUCGAUUUGUUUCUUUGCAUAGGUUUGUAUUCGUGUCUUUCAUUAAUUAGAUGAUAAAAAAUUAUAAUUUUUUUUACUAAUAGGAUCACUGUGCAAUUUUUAUCUUUUCUUGAACUUAAUUAUUUAUCAUCAAUCCAUAAAUAUCCUUACAUGAUCACACACUACUUGUACAAGUGCGUAGAUUCACAACUAACUAAUGAGAUCCAUGCAUGAAUCACUUGGAUCGAUGGUCUUGGGAUUUGAAAAAAAAACAAAACAUGCAUAUAGUUUCAUCGAUCAUUUCGGGUUUAUUACCAAAGUAAAACUGCAUGCAAAAGCUAGCAUCAGAAAGAGAAGAGAAGACAAAAUAUUUUUGCUGUGGCAUUCACAUGUUCAUGCAUGUUUCCAUGGACGACAACUGCUGAGAUCUGCAAUCCAGCACUACUUGUAAAUUCAAACUAGCUUUCCCACCUAUCUCUUCACACGUUGCAACCUUCUACUAGAAAAAAACACCAGAAUUCACACGUUAAUUAUCCACCUGAAAAUGACUCCUGGACACGUAAUCACCGUUUCUUCUCUCUCACUCUUGACACUAUUUUUUUUAAUCGUUGAAGGGUUAAAGAUGUUGAUAAUUAUAGUUUUUUUAUUCUAGUUAUUAAAUAUUAAUUUAAUUAUUUGGUACGAGAAAUUUACAUCCCAAAACCUUAUUUAGAGUUUUAAAUUAUAUCGAUGAAAUUUAAUUAAUUUAUCUAAGUUUUUAAUAAUUUGGUUGAGUUGAUCGGCCCGACUCGAUUGAAACAUAAUUGAUUCAAUUUCUGUUAGAAAAUAAUAUAAAUCAUAUUUAAUUAUGAUCUCACCUAAUAGUUUAAGUUAUUGGAUAUAUUAAGAUGAUUUUUUGAUAUAAUAUUAGAGUUUUGAUAAUCAAGUGAUUACGAUUUGAAUCUCAUCAUUUCUAUUUAUUUGAUAAAAAUUAAGUACAAGAUAGUGUAAAACAUCUAUAUAAGUUUCAAGCUCAAAAGCUUUUACUUAAAGAGAUAUGUUAGAGAAUAAUAUAAAUCAUAUCUUGUAACCUGACCUUAUAACUUAAGUAAUUGAGUUGAGAUGAUUUUUUUUUUAACAAUUUUAAUGAAUUAUUUUUUUAAAAAUAAAAUAAUACUAUUUUAUUAAAAAUAUUAACUCAAAUUUACUCGAUAAUUCAAUAAUUCAUAUUUAUUUCUGAGUGGAUCUCAGGCCAGGUCUGAGUAGUAUACUAUUAUAUUUUUAACAAAAUAAUUAAAGUAGCAUAAAAGAAACAAAGUAAUUAACGGCUAAACAUGAUGCGUGUGACCCUCUAGGCUAGGCGAUACUUUCAACACAGUAUCAUAAGUUCUCUUGUACCUGUUUGCAUGUAUAAAUAGGAAGCUAAUGGUGGUAUAAUCUUACACUAUUCACUCACGUUUCUUAAGAGAAAGUACUCAAGAAAAAAAUAUUCAACAAUGGCUAGCCUCAUUGCUCCUGACAACCAUGUUCCUAGUGAAGAUGCUGAAGCCCUCUACAAGGCCUGUAAUGGUACUUCUCUCUCCUUUUCUUUCAUACUAUAAUCAUAUAUUAUAUACUCGACAUGCCAACAAUUAAGAAAUAAUCUUAUAUUAUAUACUCUACAUGCCAACAAGUAUGAAAUAAUCAUAUAGCUGUUUGCAAUCACCAGCAAUAUUUAAAUUAAGAGAGGAUUAAUUAGGAGGAGGAUUUCCUGUGUCUAUAGUCCAACCUUAAGAACAUACAGCUGCCUAACAGACAACUUAAAUGUUAACAUGCCUGAAUAAGAUAUCAAAUUUCUGUAAGAAAUGGUAAAAAGUGGUUGUGCUGUAACAAUCAUGAGAAAAUAUUCUAUGAAAAAGAGGAGUAAAUAUUUUACUUUUAGAGAAACAAAAGGCAGGGAAAGGGAAAAGGAAAAAAAAAGGGAAAGUAUUAAUGACAGUCUGAUUUUCUUUGUCGUCAAUUUUUUAUUUGAAAGUGAAGAGGUUGGCGUGAAUGAUUUGUCAGCAUGAGUUGUUCUUUCUGCUUUAUUUUCCGGCAAAAUAUUUAUAAUUUUUGUGAUGGGAAGAUACACUGGACGACUAAGUUAUGCCUUGUUACGUCACAAACUUGAUGCAUAAAACCAGGAAAGAAAAAUAAAAGUUUCUCUCCAAAAUGAAAAAGAAAGAAUAAAAGUAUUUUUUUUUUUGCAAUAACAUAAAAUCAUAAUUAUUAUACUGGUCUAGUUUGUUGAGUUAAUAGAUAUCAACCUUGAGAUGUUGGUUUAAAGGUUCGAGGAUUUGCUCCCUUUAAGAUCUCAAUUUUAAAUUUUAUUAACACCAAAUUUUUUGAUUUAUUUUGGUAUAUGUAAGCUGUAAGCUAAUUUAUGAUAUCAUGUUUUUCCCAAAAAAAAUUGAUAUAAAUUUACAAUACAGAUAUUGAUUCAGACUAGUUUUUGGUUAAACCAGGUGGAGUUAAUAUUAUAGAUUUUAAAAAAAACUGUUUUAAUAAAAAAAAAAAUUAUUGAUUGACUUGACCUAAAUUUCUCGUACGGCAACUAUGCAUAAAACUCUUGUGCGCCUGCACCAAAAUUUUUUCUCUCAUUCACCCAUUUUGCCUUCAAAAAUGGUAUGAAAGAAAAUAUUCAUUUACUCAAGCCAACCAUGAGAGAUAAGUAAGAAUCUAAUGGUGGAAAGCAGGUGGUCAUGUUGAUUAAUGUAUUCAUAAAAUUUAAAUAGUCCAAGAAAUCAUUUGAUUACCACAUUGUUUUCAACGUAAGAGUGUCAGAAAGUGGUACUAUAAAUAUGAGAGCAUGAACAAGUCUCCUUCACAUUGAGUUUUCUAGCUAAAGAGACAAAAGAGAGUUAAUUGCAAUGGCUUCCCUUGUUGUUCCUGAAAAUGUUUCUUGUGUUGAUGAUGCACAAGCUCUCCAAAAGGCUUGCCAUGGUUAAGUUUACAAAUCGUUCUGUCUUGUAUAUGUACUUUCCUUUGUGUUUUUCACUGAGAUAAUUUGUACCCUUUUUUGUCAAAAGAAAUCGGCUACUGAGUUCAUGUUUUCUUGUUUUGAUUCUUGAAUUGCAUCAGGAUCUUGCUCGCUUCUUUUGUGAAAAAUUUUAUCCAAAUUGAAGUUGUGAUCAUCAAGUGAUUUUAUGCAAAAGGAAAUAUCAAAACUGACAACGGAAUUUGUCUCUGCUGUUUGUUUUUGCUAGGCUGGGGGACUAAUGAGAAGGCUAUAAUUUCAAUACUGGGGCAUAGAAAUGCUGCUCAAAGGAAGCAAAUCAGGCUAGCUUAUUCAGAAUUGUUUCAAGAAGAUCUUGUCAAGCGUCUCGAGUCUGAGCUCAAUGGAGACUUUGAGGUAAUUGUCAGUAUCAUGGUUAUGAUAACAGAAACUUUAUGUUUAUACCAGUCUUAUCUGUCAGAGGCAGGGCACAUUUGUUAAAGGGUCUUGUUCAACCAGUUGUGUUUUGCAAGAGAUUUGAUGCAUAUUAACGUUUAAUCAUAGUCAUUAUGUUCUUUCCAACCCAAGGAUUGUUGCAGAAUGGGAUGGAGUGUGAUUGUCGGUUUAUAUAUAUGCCUGUGAUGCUAAUUAAGUUUCAUAAAUUUGUGAACAUAGAAAGCUGUGUAUCGAUGGGUAUUGGAUCCAGAAGACAGAGAUGCAGUGUUAGCAAAUGUGGCUAUCAGGAAAUCUGGCGAUUACCAUGUGAUUGUAGAGAUUGCCUGCGUCCUAUCUUCAGAGGAGCUCUUGGCUGUGAGGAGGGCAUACCAUGCUCGGUACAAGCAUUCCUUGGAAGAAGAUCUUGCGGCCCAUACCACCGGUGAUAUCAGGAAGGCAUGUUACAAUCAUUGAUAUAUUGUGAUUAGGCCAUUCACAAUUGCCUGAUGGUUUGUUAUGAUCAUUUUGCAGCUCUUGGUUGGAUUAGUGACAGCUUUUAGGUAUGAAGGAGAUGAGAUUAAUACAAGAUUAACCAAUUCAGAAGCUGAUAUUCUUCAUGAUGCAAUCAAAGACAAGGCUUUUAAUCAUGAAGAUGUCAUUAGGAUCCUGACUACCAGGAGCAAAGCACAGCUCAUGGCAACUUUCAACCGCUACAGAGAUGAUCAUGGCUCUUCCAUCACUAAGGUACAGAAAAAAAAAAAAGAAGUUCAAUAGCUUGCUUCUAGUUACCAAGUCAAAUGUUUAUAGUUGCAAGUUGUCGUGAGGAGCACUGUGAAGGCCUCCAAGUUUCUUCCCGCUCCUGAGGCCUGUAACAGAAGCUUUAACUCUCUGAAAACAGAACUUCCAUCUACAAGGUUGAGUCUGAUUAUAAAAAUGGAGCAUUAAUGGUCAUUUUUGUUUAAUAGGACUUACUAGAUGAGCCUGCUGAUGAGUUCAAAACAGUGCUCCGUACAGCCAUUCGAUGCCUCAACGACCACAAAAAGUACUACGAAAAGGUGAAAUUUUUUACACUGUUGCCUUAAAUUUCAUAAAUGAAAGUUCAAUGGCCUAAAACAUAGUUGCCUUCUGCUUAGAUUUUGCGCAAUGCCAUCAAAAAGGUUGGGACAGAUGAGGAUGCACUCACUCGUGUGAUUGUCACAAGGGCAGAGAAGGACUUGAAUGAUAUCAAGGAGAUCUACUACAAGAGAAACAGUGUGCCCCUUGAUCAGGCAGUUGCCAAGGACACUUCUGGGGAUUACAAGGCUUUCCUCCUUGCUCUGCUUGGAAAGGAGGAAUAGUUUUGUUCUUCUUUCAGCAUUUCAGAGUUUUCAGUCACAAUUCAAUAAUGGUUUCUUAUGUAGAACUUUCUUACUGUGAGUCUUUUGUUUUCUGUGGUCAUGUUCUUGAGUUCCUACCUGGUCCGUGUGACAUUAUGUAAUCCAAUGCUAUGUUAUCUGCAGUUGAGUGUUUCUCUAAGUGGCUGCCUGUUGGCACAUUCAGACCAAGUUUCAUUGAUGCACUGUAACUCUAAGCUUCCAUUUGAAUCAUCUUUCCCUAAAAAUUUAAGUCGGGCUAAUUGGUUAAAAAAUACCCUGACCUUCAAGUAACAGAAGAUUAGUCCCUGAUCCUUUUCUUUUACCAUGAACUUGAUCCUAAAUCUAUUUUUUUUCAACAAUGUAGUCCUUCCAUUCAUUUUUCCAUCUAUCUAUCAGCAUGUGUGGUCACGUGACCGUGUAGAAGGAUGACACGUGUGCCUCCCAUGUGGUCAAAUUUGAUGGAAGGACUACAAUGAUGGAUAAAAAAUAGGUUCGGACCUAAAUCAGAAUACAAAAAGGUUAGGGACUAAUCUCCUGUUGACAGAAAGUUCAGGGUAGUUCUUAACCGAUUAGCCUUUAUGUCAAGCAUCAAUUUAACUCAUGGCCUCUGCAGGGAUUGCAGAAGCAAGCAAAACAUUUCCAGCUAUAAAAUCCAAUACCCAUCUAGAUCAAAUAAAUAUGAUGGAGCGGUAAGCAAAAAAUUGCCCACAUGUAUUGUUGCCCUUAUUCAGCUCCAUCUACCAGUAAAUCCCCGAAUGCUUUUUUGAUAUUGUAAUGCAAUUCUUUUAAAGGGUUCGCAGUUUUUGGUGAAUUCUAAAUGAUGCUGAAAGGACAAAAAUAACUUUAAAAUUAUUUCAAAAACAUUUACUUUUAUAUAAGUUUCUAUCUUUUAACUAAACACAUUUCUCUUUUUUCCCGAUCUUAUAAUACUAACCAUACUUGGUUUGCCUUUUACAUGGCACUUGAGAGUUGAUAAACUUCUUUUUUUUUAUUUUCUAAACAACAAAAGGUAAUUAAACUGCUUGUAGAUUUCAACAUGUUUUUGGUUCAAACAAUUCAACAAUAUUCUUUCUUCAAUAGCAAGACAAGCAACGGGGCUGAGAGCAACAUUUGUAGACAAAAUUUGGAAUUGAAAGAUAAUAAUCCAAUAUAUUGAAGCAUGAGAAAUAAGAGCAGCUGAAUAAGUUGAUGGAUUUUAAACCUAUGUACAAGCAUAACAUUCCACCAACUACAACAAAAGUGCUGAGCUAAUUCGGAAACUGAAAAAUUGUCGCAUGUUAUUGCCACUGCUGUCUGGCAAACCAUAUCUUGUAAUAGCCGUGAGACUAAACUGGAUGAGUAAGCAAAUGCUAGCAGAUAUGCUGACCAGGAAUGUUGAUAAGGCCAAGUACAACAUGCAAGCUUCGUUUCCAGACUCGAUGCUCAACUAGAUUUGAUAUCAUCUCCAAACUUUGUAUCAUAUGCACCAGAAGACUCCCAUAGAAUUUUAUACUAAGCACAGAUCUUGGCUCUCUGACUCUCCCUAGAGCCUGGAAGCCGCCUCAACAAAUAUGAAAAAUAGAUGAGUCUGUUAUCGAAGGGAAGGGUCAGAAAGAAAUCGGGUUAACUACUAGCAUCAUAUGAAGAAAUGAACAAUAACCUGGAAAUUGAUCUUCUGACAAAAGACAUCGAGUCUUGAUGCAUAUGAACCAUGCCUCGGUCUUUGAUGCUCUAUGCUACCUUAAGAUUCCCGUUUCCUGCUCUGACUGUUGAAGCCAGGCAGCAUGGACUUGGAUUUAGAGUGAGCUCGACUUAUGAGUCUCUGAUGCAAUAAGAGAAAACUUGAAUAAGAAUCAAGGAAUUCACAGGGAUAUAUAUGAUAUGGACAUUAAAAGUAACAAGCAGCAAAAUAUGUCUGACAAACCUGUAGACAUAAAGCAACUCCAUUUCUACGUCCGCCUCCACAGCUGGCCAAUAGUAAAUCUUAACUCAGACAUACAGUAAUUAAUCCACUUGAGUAAGAAACAUAAACCGAAGGGAGAAAAUGAAAAUUAAGAUCAGCGAUACCUCAAUGUGUUGAAUGGAUUAAAGAAGAGAGACUCUACCAGUCUUCUGGUUCAAUCCAGCGGCCAUCAAUCUUGAUGUAGAGUAAAUGAGAAAUCUUGGGCCAAUCUUCCCCUUUCUCCUUUUCACACCUUUUUUCUAGCUGAGGGCAUCCACUGAUUUCAAAAGAAUAAAGGGAGGAUGGAAGCCCCCUUUCAGGUAUGGAUUGGAGAUUAGGGCAUGUGUCAAUCUUCAAUUCUCUAAGACAGGUGAGGUGUAGAAGCCCGUUGUAGUCCAGAGAUUUCAAAUUUUCAAGGGACCGGAUUUCAAGGGACCGAAGUUCUAAAGGCAGCAGCAGCCCGUCAGGGAAAGAUUCCACAUCUUCAUUGUAAGCAAUUAUUAAUUUUGAAAGAGAACAUUGAAGAAGCAAAUCCCAUUGUGCACGGCUUGCAAUGAGUUUAUUGCAACUUUGGAUGCAGAGUGUUUCUAGAUCAAGUGGCAAACGCCCUUCUGGAAAUGACUCAAGUUCAGGAAGUCCUUUCAGUUCCAAAUCCACAAGGGAAAAAAGGAAAGGCAUUUGCUCAGGCAACGCCUUUAAAUUUAUGCAAUCAAGUAACCUAAUCUUUGUCAAAUUCGGAGCAGAUAACCCUCCUUUGGGAAAACAAACCAAGUUAGGACACCCCUGGAUUUCCAAGAAACGGAGAGACCUGUUAUAAGGCUUUUCAUAUGCUGAAAGAGAAUUCAGAUUCGGACAAUUCUUGAUUUUUAGAGUCUGUAAGUUGGAGAACAACUCUAGCGGGAAACACUCGAGUAGAUCAAAAUGAUCUAUUUCAAUAUUUUCAAACAUAGAGGAUAAGCAACCCAUCAGCUCCAAUUCCUUUACCAACGAAUCUACGGAGUCCAAUCUGCGAAUCUCGAGUUCAUACAACUCAGAAGGCAAUUUCUCUAAACGCAGAUCCCGAGAAGCAUCAUUUAACCAAAAUCUGUUAAUGAUUGGAUACCAAGGAAAUGGGCCUCCAAGCUGCUGACAAUCAAGGAUGUUAAGUUCUGUUAAAGAAGGAAGGUGAUGAUUCGGCAAUGCCUUCGUUAGGCUGAUGCAGCCUGAUAUGUGAAGCUCUCGAAGAAGAGGGAAAGCUUCCAUGUCCUCAUCAGAAAUCCAUUCAUUCCAUUGUGGCAUGCUAGCAAAAGUUAAAAUCUCGAGGGAUCCAAAUGGCUCCUUCAAGGAUGUGCAGCUUCCAUAGAACUCGUGACCCACCACCACAACUCCUUCAAAUUCCUGGAUGCAUAGUUCCUUUAAAGACCCUAGCUGUCCAAGUGGAGGUAAAGAGGUGCAAUAUGCACAUUUGAAGAGAUCCAACACUACUAUAUUUGAGAAAGAAAUGUCUGCUAUCCAAUCUGGAAACCUUGUACCCCCAUAACCACCAACAUAAAGACUAGUCACACCUGUAUGGGGCUGUAAUUUAUCAAGAACGUCUCUUUGGUGCUGUGAGUCAUCAGCAUCGCCAUCCCAUCUCAACUCCAACGCUUUAACCUGUUUCAUACCCUUCAAAUUGGCUUCCAAAGCAUCUUGAGCGUUCACAACAUUUUGAAGACCCCAAAUCGUUACUCCCCCUUGUAGAUGUUGAAGCUUGCCCAACUCUAUAAUGCUAGAACCACCCUGUCUUCCCAGAAAAAAAUCACUCAGUGUUUGGAGCUUUGUCAAUCUAUCCAUCUGUGAAGGCAUCUUCGACAGCUUUGUUCCUAAAAUAUCAAGAUUUUGCAAGUUGAUUAACCUUGCCAUAUCAGCUGGCAACUCCGUAAGUUUCUUGCAUUGCUUCAAGAUUAAAGUUCGCAAGUUAUACAAUCCACUCAUGGAUGCAGGUAACCUUUCAAUUGCUGUUUUCGUAAGAUUCACAUGUCGUAAUUGCUUCAGAUUGCCAAUUGAAUUAGGCAAUUCAGCAACCCCUUUGCAAUCUUCCAAGAUUAGCGUUUGCAAAUUGUAUGCAGUACUCACAACUUCAGGUAACUCUUCUAUUGAUGUUCCCCAAAGGUUCAGAUAUCGCAAAUGCUUUAACUUUCCCAUUGAAUUAGACAACUCAGCUAUACUAGAAAUAGCGAGACAAGGAUAGCACUCGUAAUCGUCUAAGGCUUGGUAAUAAAUCACGUGUUAGGCCAUCUUCAAACCGGUAGUCUUCCCACUGCUUUGCCAACGGUAGAAAAGUGCGCAAAUGUUCAGCUCCAUAGAUUCCUACGAAUUUUUUAAGGGAAUCAAAUGACUUUGGUACAUAUGAGAAAUGACGAGCCUUCGCUGCAAUCUUGUUUGAAUCAUCAUCCUCCAACAGGAAGCAAAACUCCCCCGUCACAGAUUUGGCCAAAUCAUUAAUGAGGUCGUGCAUAAUAAACAAUGAUAGAUUGUCACUAGAAUAUCGUUGAAAAAAUGACCUGGAAACAAGAUCAUCAAAGAACUCGCCACCUACAUCUUCAAACUCCUCCUCUCCUUUGAGUGGGACAAGAAAACCACCCUCUGCCAUCCACAAACGUACUAAAUCAUCCUUGUUGAAUCUAUAAUCUUUGGGAAAUAGUGCACAAUACGCAAAGCACUGCUUCAGUGGGGCAGGAAGGUAAUAGUAGCUCAGUCUUAAAGCUGGAAGAAUCGGAUCUUUCGGCAAAGUCCACAUGUCACUCUUCAACACUUUCUCCCAAUCUUUUGCGUCUCUUUUGGAGCGUAGGAGACCCCCCAGAGCUUUUGCAGCUAAAGGUAGGCCAUUGCACUUUCUUACAAUUCCUCUGCCAAUUUGUUCCAAGUCUGGACAUGCACCAGAACUUCCAUCAUCAAAUGCCUGUUUUGCAAAAACCAACCAGCAGUCGUCUUCAGUUAAUUUCUGCAGAUGAUGUGUUGGAACAGUUGACUUGACUGAUGCUACGCUAUCAUUGCGUGUUGUAACGAUGAUCUUACUCCCUUGUCUCACAGACUUUAAAGGUGUCAAUAAAGAAUCCCACUGAUCUUGAUUCUCACUCCAAACAUCAUCUAAAACAACCAGCACUGUUUUCCCUGCUGUUCUCUUCUCUACCUCUUUGUGAAGCUGAUCUGCAGUCAUGGUAUCACAAUUCAGUGAGCCGGCCUCUAGAAGCAUAUCUUUGAUUAACUUGAAAACAUCAGAUUCCUCUGAAACAGAGACCCAUACCUUCAGAUCAAACCGCUCUUGAACUCUGCUAUCAUUGUAGAUAAGCUGAGCAAGAGUGGUUUUACCAACCCCACCCAUACCCACUAUAGGAAUCACAUCUAGCUUUGCAUCUUCAGAUAACAUCAACUUCAUUAUGGCUUCCUUAUCGUCAUGCCUACCAAAAACCCCAGAUCCAUCCACCAGAGAAGUUGUUGGUAUUUUGUAGGACAAGGGUUGUUCUCCAAAACCCUCUUUCAGUCCAAGAGCAUCCUUUUGCUGUACUAAAUAUUCAAGUAGCUCAAGAAUGUCCUCUAACUUAGCUCCCAUCUCUUCCUUCUCUUCCUUCUCUUCCUGGACUGUAUUACGAGAAGAUAAAAAGCCUCUAACCUGAUCAGUGCUGGUUUGAGAGCCAGCUUCAACCUCCAGUCUCAAGCCUUCAUAAGCAACCCCAUCCAAGAAGUCCUCUGCUUCAUAAACAGCAUCUUUGAGCUCGACAAGCCACUCUUUUACAAACGAGUCACUGAUCUGCUUCUUUUCAGCAUCAUUGAGCACCUUAUUAACAGUAAUCAUCAGUAUCUUCAACUUCUUCAGCAGUCUAUCAUUUAGUUUUUGGCUUUUAAAGAAGUCAACAACCUGGCGAGAAGCCAUUCUAUCAAACAAAACCUGGAGGGAAGCCGAAAGAAAAGCUCCACCUACCAAAGCAGCAGCCAUGGUUUGAUCUUCACGUAGUACUGUUUGCAAAACGGGUGCAGUAAGAAUCAAAGCAAGAAAUGGUGAUAGAGAAAAUGAACAAGAAGAGAGAUUAGGAUUAACUUUGCUUGACAAACCAAGAAACUGCCUUCUCGUUUCUUUUUAUUUACUAUUAUUAAACCAGAAAGCGUGUUUUCUUCUGCUAAUUUCCAUGUCGGAUCCCUAUGGACGUUAAAUAUUAUCCAAGCAGUUCAUUUGGUUAAAAAGGUUUUGACUUUGUUUUGGUUUCUUGCUUGGAUUUAUGAGCUGGAACUUCGGAGUGAAUAUCUAAGAUAGUUUAUUCUCUUAAAUACACUGGACCAAUGUAAAAGUAUAAUAUUGUAAGAUGAUUUAUAUUAAAGAAUCAUCUUAACCCAAUAGCUUAAGCUGUUAGGUGAGGUUUUAAGAUAUAAUUUAUAUUAUUCUCUAACACAUCCCCUUGAGUAAAAGUUAUUUAGACUUGAAACUUGCACAGAUCCAUAUUACCUUGUGCUUGAUUUUUAUCAAAUAAAUAAAGAUGAUGAGAUUCGAACUCGUGACCGUUUGGUUAUAAGGCUCUGAUACCAUAUCAAAGAACCAUCUCAACCCAAUAGCUUAAGCUGUUAAGUGAGAUAUCAAGAUAUUAUUCUCUAGCAAUUAAAAAAAAGUAUUUAUUUUCUAUUGAUGCAUAAACUUGAUUAGAAAAUACUCCUUGCAAAGUCAACAUGUCAGUUCAAAACCAAAUACAUUGAAUAAUAAUUUAAGAGAUUUCGUUUGCAAGGAGCUUAUCAUUUUAUGAUCAAGCCGCGUUUUCCAUAUUUCAAAAGGCAUUGGGUUUGGAUUCAACCCAGCCAUGUUUUAAGCUUCAACGCUACGGCUAAUGCGUAUCUUACAGGAAUAACCAGAAUGGGGUGGCCCUUGACUCGGUUUAGGAGCUGGAUCAGCAGGUCCAUGGUCCAACCCUGGUCAGCUCUUUUAAGGAAAAGACUCCAUCUUGCUAUCACUCGGUUCAUGUUCUUCGUUAAACGCAAACACUUGGUGAGUACCUCAAGAACUCUUUCAUUAACACUCACACCCCACCUCUACACUAAACUCAGCAAACCUCAUAAAGAACAUGAGUUAGAACGAAUCAAUAGCACCAAACAAAAGAGUUUCUUAUAGUGAGCCAAACAACCCGACUGAGACUCGACCAAUCAAUUUGAAGAAUUUGUUUUUAUUCAAAACAAUGCUGUUUCGAUUUUUUUUUGAAAAUUUAUUUAGGUUGACUUGCUGACCUAGAAGAGAGGAGAAAUUUGAAUCUCACUACAAAAAUGUGAGCCAAAGUGUAAAUGAGCGUAAUAAUUUUUCGGAAAACUCAGGUGAAUGUACUCGAAAGUACAAGAGAGAGGAAGAAAAUGAAUUGCAAUGUUAAGAUAUCACAAUGAAGAAACCAAUGGCUGCGAGGAAGUAGACUUUGAUGCCAUGAAGUUUGCUGAUUGUAAAGUGGGCUGACAAUAGGCACUUCUGGCAUUCUCACAAUUUAUUUCCAUCUUACCGAACUUCCUAUCUAGUUCAUCAUGUUCAACCGCAUCCUGAACAUAAAAAGACAAAGCAUUUACGUUGUCAAUAAGAUUCAGCAUAUAUAGCUUAGUUGGAAAGCUACUCCAUUAUGUAAUAAAAAAAUCAAAUUAUGCCUAGACAAUUUGAAUCCAUAUCAUUUCAAUUUUAUUUGGCUCCGAACACCACUUCCUCUGCCAGACAUGUUAGCCAACCGAUUGGACAAAGGCCAUUGAGGAAAAAUGUAACUUGACAUCGAAAACCAUAUAAUCCAAGAUGCUUAGAAGUGCUAGAAAGCAAUAUAAUUUUUUUUUUGAAAUUUCACAGAAUAAUUUAAGCUUUUUUUACUGAAUUAAUUUUUUAAUUUGAUAUCAGGUCCAAAUGAUCAGGAAUUUAUAUCUGAGUAUUUCUAUUCUAUCUAAUAAAAUUAAACAUAAAAUAGUGGUUAUACAAGUUUAAAAAUUAAUAUAAAAUUAUUCUUGAAAUUCACCGCUCGCAAACUAUUUCUUUAACUGAAGCAGAGAAACGAGACAACGGAUUUUAAACAACUGCAGUAUAAUGAUGUGGGAAACAUUAAGAGAACAAAUACAUACCUUAACAGAAUAGUGGCGAAAUGUAGGAAGAAAACGUAUCUUGCAGUACUCAUUGAACAUUAUAGUAAGCAGUAAGAGUGGAAUUGUGGCUAUGGAAGCAGAAGGUUUUGACUUCAGCCCAAAAAGACCAAUCAUGGUGAUUUGCAUAAGAAUGAUUCCGACGAAUAUGUAAUGAUGAACGUAUGGCCAAUACUGUCCGCAUGUAUCAUAACCAGUUUCGUAAACAUCUUCAAUCUGCUAACCAUGUUGGAAAAAAAUCCUUGAUAAGCAAGCGAAUCGACCAUACAAAGGCAAGGAAAGAAAUCAGAAACUUAACCUGGUUGACAUAUACAACGUAGCCUAGAUAGAAGUAGCCAACAAGAAAUGGAAGCAGCAAAGGAGCGACAACUGCAUAUACCAUACCAAUGAUUAUUGAUAGGGAGACUGAAGGGAUGAUUCUAAAAUAGAGCAAUGAAUAGAGGUAAGGAUUUUCCUCGUCUCCUGAUCCGCCAACUGUGUGUGAUUUCACGGAAUCCCAAACAAGCAAGCCCGGCUGAAGGAUUUCCAAAGAAAAUCCUGACAACCCAUCUGUUAAGAUGUAUGUCACGAAAAAAUCAGCCUGCAAAAAAGAACAAAUUAAUUAGCAGUCAAGCGGAGCCUGCAAGUUCAUAAAUUCAUAUUAGCUAAGAAUUGUUUGCAUCAUAUGCCAGGGAAAAAGAGAAUUGUGGUAGAUAGCAUAUAAACUCAAGAAAAAGCUUCAAAUAAUACACCAACUAAUUAGAUUAAGGCAACCUAGCUUACUUGAGAAGAGACAGCACUGGCAAGAUGACUAGGAAUACUCCUAGGGUGGGUAAAAUACUCUCCAAGUUCAUCCAGUAGGGAUCCUGAUAUCAAGCUCAAAAAGAAUACAUUUCCCACGAGAAAGUAGAAAACCAUAUUGCAAGCUUUAAUCUCCUCCUUGCUCUUCGAAAUCGAACCGCCUAAUUUAGCCAUGCCAAGCAUUGCAAAGGGAACAACAUAUAUAAAGCCUUUGAGAAUGGCACUUGGAAGAUACCCUGUAAUAAUGGAGCUUAAUCCUGGUCUAUUGCAGAACAAGAACAAUAUGUCAGACAGUUAUACAGAACUCUGAGAAAGAGUUCAAACAUUCGAUUAGUAUUCUGUUAAGUGAUUGCUUAAAGUUUAUAAUAGAUGCGAAAACUAAUUAUUUCUUAAAGCAUAAUGCCAAAAAAACAAAAUUGGAAUUGGAAUCCUCACAUUAGCUCCAUAGCCAUGGCUGGGGGGAACCAUUUCUUAAGUUUCUCAAGUUUAGCUAUUCCUUGAACAGCUGUAACUGGGACUGCAAAGAAAAUUGUGAGGAGAGAUGCUGCAACAACGACCCCGAUUUUGCAAAGUGGCAAAAUCUUAAAGGGAAUUUCCAGACUCCUCCAAGAUACAUCCCUUGGUUCUGGAGCCAUUUCCGUGAUCCAUAUGAGUGGAUGUGAGUGCUGUUGAGUUUGGGAAACUAAUGCUGCACCACGUCGGGACUUGAAUGUAACAAAGGCAACAGGCAACUCCUAGAAAAAUGAAAACAACUCAAGUUUUAAUGGUUAACUUAUAACCAAAUGUGAGACAUGAAGCAUGUAAACUUUUCAUGAAUCGCAUUUAUGAUAUAUCGCAGUUAAAGAUGCAAAGUAUAACGCAAGGCAAAAACAAGGCAUGUAUCUGCAUGGCUGUUCCGAAUACCAUUAUAAAUUGAGCUUCUAGAAGUCCCCACAGUUAAUACUUGACAGAUGAAACAUAUUCCAACUUCAAACUUGAUACAAACAUCCAUGUAAAUUUCUCUGAAGUUACCUUUCCUUUCAGCAUACUUUCGUUCAGUAAUUGACGAAUCUUACGAACAAUUUCUUGCUGCUUUUCCUUAAACAAAGCUAUUUUCGCAUCAUCUUCUUGAGAUACAUCUAAGAGUAAGCUUUCCUUGUCGCGUUUCUUAACUGUUAGCUUUCCUCUCAGGUCCUCUAUCUUUCUCAAAACAUAUUUUGCUUGGUGCUGCAUACAACAAUAUCAGAGGAACCAAGCAGAAUUGAGAUGAAGAAUGUCUUACAAUAAGCAAAGACAACUAAAAAUCUUUCAGCGUGCAAUAACGAGCAUGCUCACUUGAAAGAACUUAAAUCAUUAAAAGCAUGGGUUGAUGAAAAUGUUAUUGAUAGUGCAUAACAUUGGUCACUUUUCAAUACCUUCUAUGGCAAACUUUGAGAGAAAUUUAGAAACAUUCUACCACGUAGGAAAAACUUUGCGCAUUGCAUACCUCAGCCUAAAUUCAUAGUUUCAGUUGCAUAAAUGCCAUAGGGGGCAGAAAAAAUAGAAACUCCCCUGAGCUACCAGAGCUUGACAUCUAAUAUCAAGUGUCAAGCAAACCUCAAAGGAUAUCAUGUUUCCAUAGUAAUGUAUUUUUUACAAGAGCUAUAUCGUGACAUUCUAAGGCAUAUAAUAUCUUUGAUUAUCAUACAAAGCAUAUAUAAUAACAUAGAGCAGCUAAUCUGCCGAGACUGAGAAUGAAAUAGAGCCAACGCAUUAGUGUACGAAAUUCCAAGUUGUUCAAACCUUACCAACAGAUCUUCGAUAUCUUUUCCAUCAUAUAUCAUCUGAUAAGAACAGUAACUGUUAGGAUGAUGUUUAGAGAAGAAGUGAUCAACAGAGCACCCAUAAGCGUUGUGUUCAUUGCAGAAGGGAACUUGCCGAACAAGAACAUUAAACCGAUCAGGUUGAUGCCUUAGGUUCCGAAGUAGUCGGAUCCGUUUAACCGAAAUUCCGUCAUAUUCCUGAAGAUGAAAUGAUGCAGGAAAACACCUCAAAUUUCAACUUAUCUUGAAUGUAAAAGACCAAGAAGCAACGUUAUUAUCGCAAUGAUCGAUCCACCAUUACAACCUGGAUAGUUCUGUCGAUGAUAAACAAUAACAUGCAAUAAGUGGAUUUAAAAAAAGUAGUAUUCUACAUUUGUGAAUAAAUAAACCGAAAAACUAACCUUGUACAGCAGAUAUAAUCCAUAAAAUGAUAUCAACCACAAGCACGUAAAAUGCACCCAAAGCCUGUGGAAUGAAGAAAACUUGGUAAAUCAAUUGAGUAUUUGAGUUAUAAAGCAGUCAAUUGGAAGAUAAGCUUAACACUAAAUGCCAGUACUGCUAUUCAUAUUCAAACACAUGUAACCAGUAAAAAUUUAGACAACAUGAAGUAUCUUGUAUGCAUACUUGAAUGCUUCAUAUCUAAAUCGUAAAAAACGUAUCAAUUCUUAGAAAUUCAGCAUGGUGAAAGAAGUUCAUUGAAUUUGCAAGAUGACAGGUUUCUUUCUUUCUUUCUUUUUCCCCCUGCAGAAACAGCAGUUUGUAUACAAACUAAUAGUUGCUUAGACAGACUUCAAGUUUUAGACAAACAAUAUGCAAAGUAGCAAAAUAUUCUACCCUCUCAAACCUGAACAACCAUAAGCAAGAUGGGAAACCCAACCUGUUCGAACCUGCACUAAUAUUUGAUAUUGUGAAAGGAUCCAUGGAAUGGUAGAUGCUAGAUUGUUCAUCUUGGUCACCGAAAUUGAUUGGCAGAAGUACCACUAAUCCAAUAAGAGAACAAAUUCCAAAGAAAUAUAUCCUGCAAAGCAAACCAUAAUUAGAAAAUGAGUAAUUUUCAAGAGGAUAUUCAAGAAAUAGAUCCUCAUUCUUGGAAAACAAAAACUUCAGAAUUCAUUCCAAUAUGAUAAUAUGCAUAAAAACCAAAAUAAAUAAAUGUGAAAGGGUGCUCCAUAAGAUCGAAAGAUUGCUCUAAAAUCUUUCCUGUUUAGUUUAUUUAGUAUAAAUCAGAAUUUUUCCAAGUUUUCUUAUCUUGAUUCUGUCAAGAAAGUACUGAAAUUUUUCCCAGCACUUUCUAAUUACUUCUCAUGCCAAUUCAAGAACAAAAAUUUUCAAAUUUGUCAAGAACAUAAUCGAGUCCAAGAAACAUUACAGACUGGAAUUCAUGGGCAAAGUUAAAAACACAAAAGAAGCAAACUAACCCAAAUUUGAAGAGUCUGAUAAUGAUGAGAGCAUCAAGGCCACCAAUAUCAAGAACUUCAUCUUCAGUGACUCGAAAAGCACGAAGAAUCCAAGCAACUGAAGGGAGAAAGCGGGAAAGAGUGAAAGACUGCUCAAAGUGAACAUGGUGUCGUUUGGAGAGGCGACGAGCGUAGUAAAUGGAGGCAUUAGAAGGUUGUUUCUUGAAAAUGGAGAAGAGGGAGAGAACUAUGAAUGCCAAGCCAAAGUUAAUGGCUGCCGAUGCAGUAAGACUUUCUGGAUUCAUUUUGAUCACUCAGAUUCAGACUCACUACCAAUGGCCAGAAUGGUUCUUAAGGAAGGGAUGGGGAGAGAGGAAAGAGUGCAAGGUUUGGGUUGUACGUGGCAUGGAUGCAUGCAAAGGAGGCAAAGUGGAUGGGGAUGAGCGUGCGCAACUGCCUUAGCUUGCAUGAAUUUUAUUAGUUUUGAGAUUUUGUGUUAAUUAAGUUUGGAAUUAUUAUGAGAAAAAACCUAAAAGAAAAUAUUAUGAGAAAAAACCACGUGUAUUAAAUUUAGUUUAGCUUAGUAGGUUGAUUUAAGAAACUUAUAAUUAGGAACCUGUUUCUGAGUUUUAAAUUGAAUUAACUUGUUAGUUUUUAAAUUUUUAUUGAUUUAGUUAACUAAUUAAAUUCGUUAAAAUCAACUUUGAUAAUUUUUUUAAAAAAUAAAAUGAUAUUUUUUUACUUAAUUGUUUAAUUCGAGUUUAGUGAUUGUGUUUAAUUUAAUAUUAUUUUAAAUAAAAUAAUUAUCUUUUUUUCUGGUCAAAAUUGUCAUCGUUUGUUUUUUUAUUUCUUAAAAUAAAAAAAAUGAAAAUGAAAUGAAAAAGAAUAUAAAAUGGAUGAAAAGAAUGAAGUUAUAAAUGAAUAGAGAAAUAAUGUUUAAAUAAUAAUUUAUAAAACUACAAGCACCAGUAAAUUAUAAGGGACAAAAUUAUAAUUAACUCUAAGAUUUAUUCAUUUUCUUUACUGCUUUUUUUGUUAUUCGAUGCCAUUUAAUGCUGAUGGGCUAAAAAACAUGUUUGGGCUCAAUUGAUCUGGCAAGAUAGCCCACAUAAACUCUACAAAGUGGACGAUGAGGCCCAUAAUAAUUUCUAUAUGGGCCGUAAUGACCCAAGAAAUUGAGGUGGCUUAAGAAGUUAAAAUUGGUGGACCAGAGAUCACGCGUGCUGCUGCUGUGAUGCUCGUCCGUUUAUAUUAAAAUAAUCCUUAUCAAAUGCUACAUAUUUUUCAACUUUUUCUUAUUUUUUUUAUAUAGUUAAAUAACUCAGAACUUUUCUGAGUUUUGGAUUUUUUAAUAUCUUAAACUAUUUUUUAAAUAAAACUCAGGCUUCUCUGUCUAAGUUUUCGUCCACUCAUUUUUAAAAAAAUUUUAAAUUGCAUGUUUUUAUAUAUAUGUCAUGUUUCUAAACUAUCAUCUACAAUAAUAAAAUUUAAUAAAAAUAUCUUUUAUUAAAAAUAAUUUAAAAUAUUCAAAUAUUCAAAUAGAUUACUAGCUACCAGGUUUUUCUUCUUCUUUUUUCAUCAUAAAAUACAAGUAUAUAAACGUUAAAAUAAAUAUAAAAUUUUAUUUUUAUUUAUUUUAACGUUGAAACUUAUCACUCACACUAAAAAUAUAUAUUUAUAAAAAAAUUACUCUUUUUUUAUGUGAAAUUGAAUAUUUGAUAAUAUUUAAGGAGUAUAUUUACUUUCCACCAUGCCUUCAAAGGUAUUUGACUUGGUAGAAAGCUAUAUAAAAUUAAAUUGUCAUCAUAGCAUGAUGUAAUGGAUUAAAGAAAAUGAAAAACUUAUUUCUUAGUUAACCCAAAAUUUUGAUUAGUAUUCUAACAAAUUAAAAAUAAAAAUAACUCGUUUUAGGGUAGACUUUGCUUGAUCUUGUGACACACGGGUUAACGUUGACCAGUCCAUCACCGAGCCUCAGCCUGGGUCAGUUCUGACGACGAUGCUCUCCAUAGGCAACCACAACUGCAAGGGAGUGGCUUGACCUGGAUCCCACAGAGGCAAAAGUGGAUAAGGAGAAGAACAAAGGGAUGGCAGGGCAGCCAUGAAGGAAAUCUUUGGAGCUUUUAAAUGCAAUUUCGAGACAAGCAAUGUAAAACAGACCGGAAACUGUGUUGUUGUUUUCUCAGUUGACUUGGUCUCCUCUAACCUCAUUAAAUUUUACCAGGAAAAAAAGAAAAAAGAAAUAAGAAACUUACCGGAAACAGCAGCGGCCUUUAACGCAUCAGGGAAGAAGUCAGAACCCUUGACACCGACCCUUUAGAUACCCUUCUCCACAACACUCCAAACAAGAAAUUAAUCUCCAAUCCCUUCACACUCACCAACUAGAUAUUUUCGCCUAUAUUUCGACGGUUGUCCAAAAUGUAAAGGAACACGACAAGUAGAUGAAACCAAGAAACACUAGUGUUCCAGGUCCUCGGUCUUUGUUAACGUAUAUUACUUGUAGAUCCCGUCCAAGAAGAAUUUAACCAUGGAGGUGGAAACUUCUUUUGUGGAAUUUUCAGUCAGUCUUCGCAGUUCUUGAUUCUCUUCUUCAGGUUCAUAGUCUUAUUCGUUUCUUUUACCUCUGGAUUAUGAAUUUUCUUGCUUUUGAAUUCUUGUUCUAGUACAUAAGACUUGCUGUGUACACGUUUGUGUGUGUAAAUAUAUAGACAACCACGUGUGUGUGUGUGUGUGUAUCUUGUUGUUUUCAGGCUCAGUUUCUGUUCAGUUCUUUUGAUUUCUUAAUACCUACACACUUCCUCUGUCAACUUCUGUAGAUUUCUUGAGUUUUGGUUGGUCACUUCUAUAAUUACAACCCUUAAAUACUCUUUCUCCACAUACUUGAUACGAUAAAGAAAUGGAAAAUCCUGAUAGCAGAAGCAUUUCUGAGAUUGAAUCAGAGCAACAAGCCUCAACAGAAGAGGUGGUAUCACUUGCUAAGAACUCAGAAUUCGAUAGAGAAAUAUUUACUGAAUUUGCAGUUCUACUAGACAAGUUCACACCGGUUCUUGUAGCAAUAAAGGAUAAUGAGAAACUCAUGGACAGACCGCCAGUCAAAAAGGGAGUUGAAUCCAUAGAGAAAGAGCUUAAUCGAGCUAAUAAAUUAAUUGAAGGAGCUUGUUCAAGAUCACCCAUCAAGCAAAUGAGGUUGUUACUCAAGAACUUGGGAGAUCAUUAGGCCUUGUGCUUUUUGCAAGCAUUGAUGCAUCCACAGAAGUUAAACAAGAUAUUGCAGCAUUGCACAGAGAAUUGAUGAAUGUGAAGUUUGAUAUCAGUUUUACACCAAGUCCAAGUCCAAGUCUCGGCUCUAGCCCUUGUGUAAUUCAUGGUCAAUCCGGGUUCGUAAGUGAGCAGGGCUCUUUUAUUAAUGAAAUUGAGGAAAAAGAUUAGUCUUAGCAUUGAUGAUGUAGUGUUACAACUCAAGUAUGGUAAUGAUGAAGAAUUCAGGCUUGCACUUUUGGUCUUAAGUGAUUUUAUUAGGGAUCAGGUAAUUGAUAAAGAGUGGAUCCAUGAAGAAGAUAUUAUUCCAAUUCUGUUUAAUCGGCUAGGCUCGAGCAAGCCUCACAACAGGUUAACUAUCAUCCAGAUACUGAGAAUUCUCGCCUUGGACAAUGAUGAAAACAAGGUGAAUCAUAUGAGAAAUGUCUUAAGUUUUCUACAUAAUUUUGGUUGCAAGUUUAAGAAUUUCUACUUUGUAGCCAUCUCACAUUGUCUGGUAAUCUGCAGGAGAAAAUGACAGAUGGAGUCUGCUUGUCAGGGUUGGUGAAAUCUUUGGCACGUGAUGCCGAUGAAGGGAGGGAAGCUAUAGGUCUGUUGUCAGAACUCUCAGAUAUUUCUGCAGUUAGGCGACGAAUUGGAAGAAUUCAAGGAUGUAUUGUUAUGCUAGUCACCAUGCUUAAUGGGGAUGAUCCAACUGCUUCUCACGAUGCAGCAAAGUUGUUGAUUGCACUGUCAAGCAAUACUCAAAAUGUGCUUCAUAUGGCUGAGGCUGGUUACGUCAAACCUCUAGUUCGUUGCCUGAAGGAAGGUAAUAUUAAAGCUUCCUUUCGGUUAAUGCAUGUUCUGUAGCAUAGUUUUCGUGUUCAGGACUGUGGAUGUAUUUGAUGUUGUUUGAUGUGCCUUUUGAGUGAAAAGGCAUUUGGGAUUUUUGCGAGUUGUGUGAAUUCUCUAUUGAAAAUCGAUAUGAAGUCUGAACUUGAUUGCUACCAAUUUUUUUCCUUUCAAGUCCCUUGUUGUCUAAAUAUAAUCAUCUUUUUUUUAUAUAGGCUCUGAUAUGAGCAAGAUCCUCAUGGCAACAGCAGUUUCAAGGAUGGAGCUCACAGAUCAGUGCAGAGCCUCCCUUGGUGAAGAUGGGGCAGUUGAACCCCUUGUCAAGAUGUUUAAAUCUGGAAAACUUGAAGCCAAGUUAUCUGCUUUAAAUGCAUUACAAAAUUUGUCAAACUUGACAGAAAAUAUAAAACGUUUGAUCAGUUCAGGUAUUGUAUCACCCCUGCUCCAGCUACUGUUCUCCGUGACAUCUGUCCUUAUGACACUCAGGGAGCCAGCUUCUGCAAUACUUGCAAGGAUUGCUCAAUCAGAAAAUAUUCUGGUUAAACAAGACGUGGCCCAGCAGAUGCUCUCGCUUUUGAAUCUUUCCAGUCCAGCGAUUCAGUUUAAUCUUUUGCAAGCUCUAAACAGUAUCGCAUCCCACUCUAGUGCAUCCAAAGUAAGAAGAAAAAUGAAGGAAAAUUGUGCAGUCCAGCUUCUUUUACCCUUUCUGACAGAAAGCAACAUCAAAAUCAGAAGUGCUGCAUUAAAUUUGCUUUACACCCUUUCUAAAGAUUCACCAGAAGAGUUCAUGGAACAGCUUGGAGAAUCCUAUCUUAUCAACAUAGUCAAUAUCAUCUCAUCAUCAGCAUCUGAGAGUGAAAAAGCUGCCGCAAUCGGAAUAGUAAGCAAUCUUCCUGUUAGCAAUAAGAAAUCAACAGAAGUACUGAAAAAGUUACAUUUUCUGCCCAUUCUGAUCUCACUAAUGAGUUCAGGUGCAUCAACAUCAACAAAAACAUGGUUAGAAGAGAGCAUUGCAGGCGUCUUAUUCGCUUUACCAUUCCUUCUGAUAAGAAAUUGCAGCUUCUUUCAGCAGAACUAGGGGUGAUUCCUAUCCUUUUGAAGUUGCUAGCAAGCGAAUCAUCAGUAGCCAAGUGUAGAGCAGCGAUCUCACUCACACAACUAUCGCAGAACUCAGUAGCUCUUCGAAAGUCCAGAAAAUCGCGGUGGACAUGUAUGCCUCCUUCCGCAGACACUUUCUGCCAAGUCCAUGAUGGCUAUUGUGUCGUUAAAAGCACAUUUUGUUUGGUCAAGGCCGGUGCUGUCCCUCCACUGAUCCAAAUAUUGGAAGGUGAAGAGAGAGAAGCUGAUGAAGCUGUCCUCAACGCCCUCGCAACUCUCUUGCAAGAUGAAAUCUGGGAGAGUGGAAGCCUCUACAUGGCCAAAACGUCUGCUGUCCAAGCCAUAAUAAGAGUGUUGGAAUCAGGAACUGUAAAGGCUCAAGAAAAAGCACUAUGGAUAUUAGAGAGAAUUUUUAGCAUUGAAGAACACAGAUCACAACAUGGAGAAUCUGCUCAGGCGGUCCUCAUCGAUCUUGCACAAAAUGGCCAUCCAAGAUUGAAAUCCACAGUUGCAAAAGUAUUGGCACGGCUUCAGCUAUUGCAAGAACAAUCUAGUUACUUUUAAGCAGUGUUAUUAAAUCGAUCCGAGUUGGGUUUCAAAAAAAACCAAGCAACAGUUGAUUCAAUCAAACAUAGAUUACCGGGUAGAUCAACUCACAACUCUAUUAUAAAAAAAAGAAAAAAAAUUCAAAAUUAUGUUUUUUGAACUUGUUUUUUUUAUAAUUAAAAUAACAUUGCUUUAUUCAAUUCGGUUUAAUUCAUCCAACCCGAUUUAAAUAAUAAAUCAAGGUUUAAUACCUCUGUAUUAAAGAGAGAAUUUACAUGGUGUGAGUUGUCAAUUUUUUUAAUGAUUUUAUACACAUUAUUUUAUUCACUUGUAUUCCCUUGAUGUAUUUAGAUAAUUUUUUUUUGUAUGAAUGAAGCAAUUAUGUUUUUGAUACUAUAGAAAUUGUGUUUCUGAUUUCCGUAUUUGCAUGGCUGCCAUUCAUGGAAGUACUUCCAAAAUGCUAUGUCCAUGUCUUAUGGACAAAAUUAAAAAAAAAAUCUUAAGAAAUAAAUUUAUAGUUAUAAAUCCUGAUCUAACAGAUAAACUUGAUAUUUAAUUUAAUUUAGGUUUUAUUUUGAAUUAGAUAUUUUUAAAAAAUUAAAAUGAUUUUAUUUCAUAUAUCAAAUUCAAAACAAUGUGUUAAUUUGUGGAUUCAGAGUUAACCCAACGAAUCUACUUAUAGUUUAAUUUAUAAAUAUUCAAUAUUAUCACACACUCGAGUUCGAAUCCUGUAAAGUGUAAACCCAUCUCUAAUCUUCAAUACGACAUGUCGUUUGCAUAAGACAUUAGUAAAAUAGAAACAGUGUCGUUUAGACCCGCGCCAUCUUCCUCCUCUAUUUCACUAAGCAAAAACCCUAACUUUCUCUCUCUAUCUAAAAAUGCUCCGUCGAAACAUCCGAUUAAGAAGAGAGUAUUUGUACCGAAAAAGCUUAGAAGGCAAAGAACGUUUACUUUACGAGAAGAAACGCAAAAUCAAAGAAGCCCUAGCUGGUACCAAUCCUCUUCCCUUUUUUAUUAAUUAAUUUAAUAAAAAACAGAUUUUUUAAAUUAAUUUAAUAAUUUUUACAGAGGGAAAACCGAUUCCUACUGAGCUUCGAAACGAAGAAGCCGCUCUUCGUCAAGAAAUUGAUCUUGAAGAUGAAAACACCGCAAGUAAGCCUCCUUUAUAUAUAUAAUAUAUAUAUAUAUAAUUUCUUAUAUUUUUUUAGUUAAUUAUUUUAUUGUUUGCAUUAUUUUAGUACCGAGGAUCAUAUUGAUGACGAGUAUGCGAAAGCGACCGAACGAGACCCGAAAAUUUUAUUGACUACGUCGAGGGAUCCGAGCGCUCCUCUUACUCAGUUUGUUAAGGUAAUUUGUUAGGUUUACGCGUUGAAUUGUGUUGAAAAAAUUAACUAUGAAAUAUUAUGUUGUUUGAUUUGAUUCGAAUGGUUGGCGGAACCUUGCUCAGGAAUUGAAGUUUGUGUUUCCAAAUGCGGAACGAAUCAAUCGUGGUGGUCAGGUUAGUGAAUUAAUCUGUUAAGUUUAUGCUCGGAGCUGUGCUCCUCCCUUUCAUGGUGAGUCUGAUGUUUUUGUGGGAUGGAGCAGGGCAGCUACUGGUAUAACUAAUAAUUUCUCUUUCAAGAGACUGACUUGGGGUUAAGAAGAUGAUUUGGCAUUUGUGUGUUUCGCAUUUAAUGAUUUACGUAGAGGUGGUGAAGAAAUGUGUGGUUAAUAGAAUUUUGUUGUGUGUGUAUAGAGGAAGUUGAGUUUUGUUAAAGCCUGCGAGUCUAGAUUUUCUUGGCUGUGUAGGAGAUUGAUUCUGUUUGAUAUGUUAGUGACUUUUUUGAAAAAAUGCUCAUUUGCAGGUUAUAUCUGAGAUUAUUGAAAGUUGUCGGGCACAUGAUUAUACUGAUGUGAUUUUGGUGCAUGAGCAUCGUGGUGUGCCAGAUGUUUGGUUAUAUGCCAUCUACCAUUUGUCCAACUGCUUACUUUGAAUUGCUCAAUGUGGUAAGUAGUUUGGUUAUUCUAACAUUUUUUGGGAGUAUUCAUUGGGCUAAUGUUUUGGGGAAUUCUGUAUGCUGAUUAAGUGUCCUUAUUGUAGGUUACUAGACAUGACAUUAAGGACAAGAAAGCCAUCGGAACUAUGCCUGAGGCCCACCCACAUUUGAUUCUUAACAAUUUUAAAUCCAAGGUAUUAAUUUCUCAUUCCCUGAAUGUCUAUUCUUCAGUAUUGGAGUUUGACUUCUUCAUGUGCAACUUGUGGUCAUUUGAAGAUUUGAUAGACAAUUAGCAGCCUUGAGUUAGCUUGUUGCUUUUGAAAGAAAUGGAAAUUGUGCUAUUUAACCAGUACAUAACCAAUUCAAACAAUUGCUUUAUUACUUAAACGUUUUAACCUGUGGAUGGUUCCAUUGUGGAAUUUCUUUUGUUGAUAUUGACAGCUGGGAGAAAGAACAGGAAAUAUUCUAAAACAUCUUUUCCCUGUGCCGAAGCCAGAUACAAAACGCAUCAUUACUUUUGCAAAUCAAUCUGACUAUAUCUCCUUCAGGUUGGUUCCCUGUUCAAGUCCAUAAAAGAUUCUUGUUUCAAGCCAAAUGAGGACCAUUUGAAACAACUUCCAUGAUGUCUUAUUUUAUGCCAUUAUAUUGUAAUUGCAUGGGAUAUCCACCUUUGCUUGGAGUUGCUUGGGAUACCUGUCUUAAGUUCAGCUUGUUUAUGUUCGUGAAAGAGCUCCAAGUAGACCUCAUCAAAUAGCUUAUCUACAUUGUUCAUUUUCUAGCCCUGUUAGUGUAGAGGUUUGCUAUGAGAAAAUUCAUAGACAAUCUUAUGAAGCUGAAACAUCUCAAAGAAAAGGAAUUUAAGUGUUUUUGUGGAAAACAAUGUUUUUUUUUAUUUUUAAAUAAUUCUGUGAUGAUGCUUUAGUCUUAGCUUAGCAAAUGACAGGAGGCAGCAGUCAUAAGCAAUUUGCCUUCUGCUCUACUAGCUCUUACAUCACUUUGUGUUGUUGGUAAUAGCAAUGAUGUUUGAUGUUGGGAAAGUAUUCAAAUUUAUCAGAAAAUAUCCUGAGUUUACUAACAGAGUGUAUAUUUAAAGAUUGAAACUUUGAAAAAUAUUCUUGAAUUACUUGGCCAGCAACAUAACAUGUAUCAUGAUAAAAAAAGUAGAAAAAAAAAAAUUUGUAUUGUUACCAAACAUGGUCAACCUGGUUGCUGAAUAGGAAGAAUGUAUAUAUGCACAAACCAUUACCUGGAAUAUUAUUUUCCUGUCAUGUGUUUGGUUAUCUCAAGUCUGAACAUUUUCUUCCUGUUGGCUAUUGUGUUUUCUGUUUGCAAGCUGUUAAUUAGUGAAAUUCAUCAUCUUUUUUGUACUGAACUGAUCACCUUUUCUUUUUUUCUUCCUAUGCAAUAUGCUAUGGCUGAUUUUUUUUUAUUUGGUAUUGUUUAGGCAUCAUAUUUACGAAAAGCAUGGAGGCCCUAAGUCUGUUGAGCUCAAAGAAAUUGGUCCACGUUUCGAAAUGCGGCUUUAUCAGGUAUCUCUAAUAUCAAUUAGUUCAAUUUUUGACCGUGCGUAAGAUUUCUUGCCUCGAAGUUAGAAAUGGCUUCCGUGAUAUUCUAAUUUUAUUUUUCCGUGAUAGAGAAAUUGUAGACAUCUAGAAUCUGAUUGAUAUCAGUUAUUGGCAAAACAUUAUUACAUCACUUAUAUAGCCUCUGCAAUGCCUUCUGAUAUUAUUACUAAUCGUCAGUGUAAUUUUUGGAUUAUUGAUGUUUCUGUUUCUACAUUGGCUCUGCAGAUAAAGUUAGGGACAGUGGAUCAGACCGAAGCACAAAAUGAAUGGGUGCUCAGACCAUACAUGAACACAACAAAGAAACGGAAGUUUAUUGGAGAUUGACAUGAGCCUCAGGAACUAAUAUCGAACUUUGUACCUUCAUUUCUUCUAUGUCUUGGCAAUUUUGGUAUCAAAUAUAUGCACGAGCCGAUUUAUAUUUGCUCCUGUUGAAGUUAUUUUCCCAUCGAAUGAGUAGAUAUGUAUCCGUGCUCUCUCUCGAACACUUCAAGCCAUUAACCAAGACAAAUUUUCUACUGAAUUCAUUGAGAUUUUUGUAUUUCAGCAACAAAUGAUGAUCGUAUGGCAUGAAAAAUAGAAAAUAAAUGCCCUUGGCAAUAUUGAUCUGAAAAGGAGACCGGGAUGGUCAAUUUCCAGCACCGGGUAUGAUGGGAUGAUAUUCCUGAAUUCCAGGGCACAAGAAAUAAUGAAAGAGCGGGAAAAAAUCAACGAUGUUUCACAAAACGACUUCAAAUGACUGGCAGUGAUUUCAAUUCUUAGAAGAGUUUUCCGUGACUAGGUUAACUAGUUGAUAUGAAUAUUACAACAAAAUCCCUUUGCAAGCAAGAUUUCUCUUUUUUGCACUGUACAGUACAGAUAAACGACUCCACAGAGUGCCCUUCAUCUUCUUCCUAUCAGAUACACAUACUGCCAGAAAAGCUAAACAGUUACUUGCCAGUUGGCGUUACUCCUCGUCUCUAUCUGCAAGUUAUUGCUUACAACUUGGGCGAUCAAGUGGGGAAAGUAAAGGCUACUCCUCCAUGCUUGUUUCCCCGUUUGCACCACUUUUUGGUGGCAUGCCAUCUUCAUCAUUUGGGCAAGCUUCGCUCACCUUUUCCCCAUUCAAUUGGUUAUCAGGUUGCAAAUCCCCGUCUUCACCACUUGGAAUAUCAUCCAUCUCUUUUGAUUCCUUUGCCUGGUUGUCUUCACCACUUGGAAUAUCAUCAAUCUCUGUGGAUUCCUCUGCCUCGUUUUCAUCUGGUGUAUCAUUGAUUAUUGCGCCCUUUGCAGGAGCAGGUCCAUCAGAUGGAUACGCAAUGUAGUGCUCAUGCUGAUAGCCCAUCAUACGUGCCUGGAAUCAAGAUUAACCAUGACUUCAAUCACUGGAACUUUAUACAGCAGACUAAGAUAAAAUUUGCAAGUGGAUUUUAAUUGGCAGCCAACAACAAAGCGGAUGCACCGCAUCACAGGCUGGAAAAGGUUUCUUCAUCUUGCAAGAUCAAGCUACUUUAUGCACGUGACUUAGCAUAUUAUAAGCCCAAAUGUUUACAUUUGAAGUACUUAAACAUACUUUACCAAUAUUGCAAGCCUGUCACUGCUUUGUGCGGUACUUGGUGCAACUUGAAUGUACCUCACCAUCACCCAACAGAUGGGAGUGACAGUGCCAAUGUCUUGGAGGUAUUAACAAGAAUAAGCACGCCCUUUUAAGAAUAAUGCAGAAGAUUUUCUUAGGAGAAGAAAAUGAUCGGAUAUGAAAAGUACAAACCAAAGUGCUCAAAACCAAAAGCCAGAUUGAUAUCUCUGACAAUAAACUAUUAAAGUUCAGACCGGGUGAAAAUCUGAUAACUUUAAAAUAUCUGAACAAGACAAAGCCAAAGGUCUUGUCAAGUUGAUCCAUCACAAACUACAACUUGUUAGGCAAGAGUUGAUUCACACCGUGUGUGUUUGUGUGUGUGCACUGGCGUUUGCAGGUGUGUGUAAGCUUCAUCAGCCUAAAAUGCUUUAUUCUUUACUCUGCAAUAUGCACAACUUUCACCUAACAUGAGGCAGGUUGCCCUUCAUAUUUUAUUAAGGUAUCUUUAACAAAUCAUUUUCAUAAAGGAACUAAGCAAGGCAUUCUCCCAUUUACUUACCGGGCUGUGCUAGUUUUGGGUGUGUGGCCACAGUAUAAGUUUAGGUUUUAAGACAGCCAAAUUGUCAAGACUGUUCCUCAACUUAAUGAAUUGAAGAAUCAACCAUAAAACAAGACGUGAAAGGUAUAUGAAGCAAAGAGCUAUAUACCUGAUGCAAUUGAUUCAUUUUAUCCAUUACAAUGUGGCCCAUCUCCUCAACGCUGCUAACAAAAUAAGGAUGUCCAAUGUCUUCAACUUGCCGCUCUGUAUAUGUCGAAACUUCACCAAAAUUCAGCGCAAGGCGAUCAGGUCUCUGAAGCAAAUGUUGAAAUGUAGGCUGCAGUUCAUAACAUUGUUCAAAAAGAGAUCGGCGGCAAAAUACAUAUAGUCCAAGUCGGGCACGGGACAUGGCAACAACCAAUCUUCUAACAUCACGAAGGUGACCCACAAAGCGAGAACGCACUAGAGAGAGCAAAAUAAAAUCAUUUUGCUGUCCUUGAAACUUAUCAACAGUGGCAACCUGUACAUGAGCAUUGAUGAUGAUUAUAAUGAUAUUGAAUAAAUACAUACGUACGUGUAUAUAUAUAUAUGAAAGCCUGCUGCCUGAAUUGCAACAAUGGUGUUAAGAGUAACAAGAUGGCAUUGGUGCAACAAAAGAUGCCCCAUGGAUGGAGAAUUGGUCAUUCCAUGUGCACCAACUCACAUGUAUAGCUUUUAUUUGGCAUUCAAGCAGCUAGAUGAACCUCAUUCUAAGCAAAAGUAUAUAAAUAUGUGAAAAUCAACCUUUAGAAAAAUUACUCAUUUUUCAUGUCAUUAUGCCUAGUUAAUGUAAGAGAAGCAAUCAAGCAUCUUACCUUGCAGGGUGGGCCUAUAAAGUCAUAAGGGACGCAUCUUCUGUUGAUAACAUCACGAAUAAGAAGUUUUUGCCCAUUGUAAGUGGUCAAUAUGGAGAUCUUGUUUGCAGGAUAACCAAGCAAACGCAUGUAUAUAUAAACACUAACAAUGUAUUCAGCCUCUCCCUCAUUUUGAUAGAACCAGGGAGAAGGAGCAGUCUCACCUCUCCCAUGAUAAUCAGGCACGUCCACUAACUGGUAAUCAUAGGAGAACCCAGCAUUUGCAUUCUUAAAGAUAGCCCCCUCCUUUACAUAAGGAAGGUCUCCCAAAUCUCUGUAUCUCCAAUUGUAAAGCUUAGCUAUGCUUGGCCUGGCUCUACCCUGGGCAUUGAGCUCAAUAUAAGGAAUACCCAGCCGAACAAACCUAGUGAAUAAGCUCUGAUCCAUGUGGCUAUACUUCUGAAAAGCCAUGUUUUUCACAACAGGAGGCAACUGGUGAUGAUCACCAAUCAGUAUGCAGCGUUUAAGACGUGCGUGACCAUCCUCCUGCCUCUGAAGUAACAUUGGUAUGAAAGUUUCAAUCUCCAAUAUUUGGGCACUUUCUUCCAUCAGCAAGUUGUCAUACUUAAAACCCAACUGGAGGAAGUCCUUUCUCUUCAGAGCUGCAUGUGUACAGGUCAUUGCCACUAUCUUUGCCUGUUUUGUCAUUAGGUAAUUUGCUCGAUCAGCAGUUGAUUUGAGCAAUUCAAAAGCCCUACACUCUUCUAGUUCUUGGAACAUAGUCUUAAGAUGACGAAAGCACCCUUUUGCUGCCCGCAUGUCUUUCUCAAAUGAUUGACCAGUAAAAACUGGCUGAGGGGUGUUGGAGAAGAACUCCUUAAAAGGAAAACGGUCCUGGACAAGUGUUGGUUUAUCUUCGUUAUCCGCACAAGUAGCAAGGAAUUGCCCAACGUGAAUAUACAUGCAGUAACCAAAAGUAUCCAGCAGUUUCACAAGUAUAAGCUACAUCCUCAGGAAGUUGGAGAGAUCUUGCAAGCCUCUCCACUUCGCUAAGCAAUUCCAACCGUCGAACAAGCAUUGCAUUGACACGCCCUUGCCUACUGAAGUCAAGAUCAGUUGCUAGUUCUUGUUCACCUUGACCAAGUCGAAGAAGAUACCGUGCUGGCACAUCUCUCUAAGAAAACGAUGAAAACGUUCCAGGCAUUAAGGCAACAUAUACACGAAAUAAGCUUUUCUAGAUACAGAACAGGCUUUAAUAUCAAGAACACCAGUGAAUGCUCCAUAUCAAGAGUGCAAAACUCAAGGGAUCAUAUUCACAAUAACAACUAUCUAAAUUACUAGUCUUUAUGUCAAUAUCCACGUGAAUAUAUUUCAAACCUAAUACCUGCAUUAUCUUCUCAAACAGGUCAUUCAAGGCCUGGUUGGAAUGGGUGAUUAUUAAUGUUCUCUGGGACGGACAAUUAUGAUAUAGAACAUUCAUGAUUUGCACGGCUGUAUCAGUCUUUCCAGUACCAGGAGGCCCCACAACCAUGGUUAGUCCUGGCUGGAUACCAGACAUGAUCGCUCCAAUCUGCAUAAGAAAAACAAAUGCAAUCAUUCAAAUAGAAAGUAAAAGCAUGUUUCUUAUCCAUCAUUAUCCACUUCAAUGCUUGUCAACCUUGUAAGUGAAAAAAGAGACCAUGGUGCCAACAUUUAGAAGAAUCUGUUAGAUUAUAAACCCCCAAUGUAGACACAUAAAAGCUUAAGAAAAUGAUGGACGUCAAAAGCAACAAAAAGUUCAAUUAUCCAGUAAAUCACAAAUAGUUGAACUGUUUCUCAUUGCAGAAGUAAUGUGUUUGAAACUUGGAUUUGCACCCAUUUUUACAAACAAUAAAAAGCAAAGAGAGAAGAGAAACUAACAAAGGAUUCCACCCAUUAAAUAAAUACCGAAAGAUCCCACAGACUAUGUAAAUGAGUUGCCAUUCACCUGUGUCGAUGUAAAUCUGACUGAAUUCUGGUUUGGCUGAUCUUGAGGAUAAGGUCCUGGAUCAGGAGGAAUGUACGCCUCAACAAUAAGUUCUUCUUUUUCCCUACCAGAAUCCACCAUAUUGAAACCAUUUUUGGAAUCAAUAGUAGAUUUCUCAUUCCCUGGAAUUGCAUGAGUGUAGCCCUUCAAUUUUUCUGGAAGCCUAAUUCGAAAAGGAGGUCUUGGAUUCAAGUUAGCCGAACCAUCUGGAUUUACAAAACAAACCUGCAGAAAAGAAAGAUGAGUACGUUGUAAAUUUAUGUUUCUCUUUAGAAUGAACAUACUAGGGAAAAUCAGCAUUCACCACACACCAUCUUUUUAAGGCAUUAACCUCCUUAAAAUGUGUUUUAUUGUCUCUAAACAACAGAAAUUUAUGUGACUUAGAAAAUUUCCACCUGUAAAAGGCAUUGCCAUUGCAACCAUAUAGCUCAUGAAUGAUCCCACAAUCAAAAAUUUCGCUGUAGACUACAGAAAUGCUUAAAACUCAUGGAUAAUGAAGGACUACAAGAAUUAAUGUCUGAUUAUAGUCUUAAAUUAUAUUCAAUAUUUUUUUGCAGUACUAUAUUUGCUAAAGAGCAGCCAAAAGUAGCUUUUAUUUGGAAUCUAAUUACAUUUAUAUUCCAUAGGGCUUCAUGUAGUCUACUUUUCCUGUCAUUAUAGGGUAUAGAUUUUUCAAUUUUCUUAUAGGUUUGGUACAUAUAUAGAGCAUCAUAUUUACACAUUUAAAAACAAUUGUAUGAAUACUGACUGAUCAAAUAAAACAAAUUAAAGGGAACAGAAAAGGAAGAAAGCUACAAAACCUCAUUUGCACCUUAUGAUGAUAAUCAACUUAAUAAAGUGUUUGGAAGGAAGGGAGAUGACUCCCUGAUGUGGACAGCAAAAGAAGCAAGAAUGAUGACUUUUUAUAGGCAAGGGUAUUUCUGUAAUUUUCAUUUUAUAUGGGAAAUCUGAAAAAUUGUCUAAGUCUAGGUUAUUUUCUAUUUAGUAUUCUAUCGGUUCUAAAGUAACUAGCUUCAUCAGGUUUCCUAUUCCAAACAGGAAUAGUUAUGUUAGAGGUUCAGGAAUCCAUGUCCUUGUUGGAUUUGGACAGCUAAAACUCUAUAAAUAAGCAUGCAGUCUAUCAAUAUUUUAGAAUGCAAUGAUAUCAAAUAAUUUCCAUCAAAGCUUUGAUUGCAUGACUCAAUCUCUUCUUAGGAGCGACUCUUAAGAACCAUAGGUGUGACUCCUACAACCUUUAAUUUCCAUCAAAUCUUUGAUUGCAUGACUCAAUCUCUUCUUAGGAGCGACUCUUAAGAACCAUAGGUGUGACUCCUACAACCUAUCUACAUCCUUGUAUUCCUUCAUAAAUUCACAACAAUACAGCCCUAAACAACUGCUAAAAGUCAAGAUUCAGAAAAGCCCCUAAGCUGUCCUGCAUCACUUCCCCUAUCUCAGUAUGUUAGCAAGAGCCUAUAUAUGCAAAUAAAAGGGGAAAUAAAAACCAAAGUCCAAUCAUAGAAGCAAAGAAUAAGCAAUACGAACCUGGUGAUCUGGGAAACUCUCCUUUAAAUGGUCUGCAUCCAAGAAAGUAUCUUUGAAAUCUACUUUCUGAAGAUGAUCAGGCAUUUUGGUCCAUUGUGCUGCAGAAGGAUCCCCAUAGCCCAGAAAAAUGUUGUGCAACCAGUCAGGAACAAUACAAUAUUCAUUCAUAAGAUCUCUUAUAGAUUCUAAGAUUGCUUUGAAGUUAUUUUCCUUAGGUUUCCUCCUCAUCAGCACAUUAAAUGUCCCAUAAAUGUCUUCAGCACCCCUCUCUGCAAUAUCCGUGACAUCCAUGUGGUACUGGGCUGUAUCUAAAGCAACGGUUACAGUUCUAAGUUCACCUUUUGGUGGUUUCCACUCCUCCCUUUUAAUUCUUCCUGUGAAAUCAUUCAUGAGUGUUCCCUCCUCAUCACGGAUCUCAAUAAUUUCACAUCCCCGCACAUAUUGGAGGCCAAGCCUCUCUGGAACACUGGCCUUCUCAGCUUCCUCGGCACUUAGAGGCUCAAAUGAUGGGCGAACUGAAAGUAAGAAUAAAACAUCAUGCUCCUUCAGAGCAUUCCAUUCAGAUCUUAUUCGUGCUUUAUAACUCGAAAUGCUAAAAGUAAUUUUUGCUGUCACAGAUGAUGGCUUGACUUCACCAAUAUUUGGCUGUUUGACCUCGGUGAUCUUAAAUUCUUUUAUUGGCACAGCCAUUCUUGACCAACCACGAAAAGCAGUCUCUCCCUCAUUAUUAAUGUAUGGAAGGAGAUGUGGUGUGGCUUCCUGAAUAUCUUCACGAAUCUCAUAUGUUGAUUCAAGCCGGAAGAGAUUAAAAUUUCUUAAAAGGUAAUCAUGAAGUGUUAAAAACUGCAGAUUAAGUUUAGGAAGUGCCAGACAACCUUCUCCAGAAUAGUUAAUGCUAGGCACAACACUCUCAUCCCACAUAAUCUGUUCAUUUGGAUAAAGCGGAAGAGCAUUUAUUGCUUCUUUUUGAGACUGCUGUCUCUCAAAGAAGGAGACCAUGACUUCAAUAAGAAAAUCAACUCUUUCAGACCAGGGAUCUUCCGCGGAGACCAGUUUGAGCUGGUAAAAGAAGUUAAAAUGUCAGUGAGUAGAUGUCUACUUGUUCCAGUAUCAGCACACUUGCACAUUGAUCAAUGCAAAAACUAAAAUUCAAAAAGAUCUGAACUUUUCGCACUACAACAUCUACACUUCAGACUUGAACAGACAUGUGGCAACAAAAAAGCCAGCAAACUGACAGCUGAUUUUUGACAGGCUGUCUUUUAUAUACAAAAAGGCGUGGUGGGUUGAACAAGUUAAAACAUUCUCGUUAGACAUAACAUAGACAAAGAGUUCUUCUCCCUGUGAUUGAUUGUCUACCUCUGCAGCUUUUACAUUCGAUUUAUAGAAGGAAAAAAAAAAGUAUUAUGAUUAUCUAAGAAGUCAGUGGCACCCCCUUUUUUCUAUCUGAUUUGGCGUUAGAACUUUAUAUGUAUCGAACUUUUAGCAUUUUCCUUGCAUAUAUACUCCACUCAAUGAUAUUCUUAGUAUAUUAGCUAUCAAAAGUUUAGGACUUUGAUUUCAUGAAAAUAAUAAAGCUAUGAAGUUCUACUUGAGUUCCAAUUACCAAUUAAACAAGCAGCAAUUUACUUUAGGCAGUUACAAAUAAGUUUGAUUGAAUAUUAAUAGGCGCAUUGCACUAUAAGUUGCAAACAACUCUAUACCAUAGUAAAGACCAAUCAAAGUAAUAACAAAUGAGCAUACAUGGAAGCAUAACAUGAUGACAAUAACCAAUUAUGAAAUAACACUAGCAUGGAGUAGAAAAAUCAGCUGAGAUAAAAUGGAGAACAUUAACCUAGUUGGAGUAUCAUCCUUCACAUACCUUACAGCAAACCAAGUCCUUCAACUCUUCGGGAGAGAGCACAGACAAUUUCUUGGAGAGAUCAGCUCGCUUGUGGAUUGCACCAACGUUAGACAAUGCAAGUUCUCGCAGCUACAACCAAAGUGGGUUGUUUAUAAAAUUAAUACAAAGAAUAGAAAUCAAAAGAUAAUUAAUGUCACAAGAAAGAUCAACUAUAAAAAGCUGCAUCCAUUUGCAACAGACAGUAGUUAGAAUUUCAGCAGUUACAUAUGAAAUACCUUGGGAAUUUUCUUAAAGGCAAGGAGCUGGAAGGCUUGGAAACGCUCAUAAUGAGAUCGAACCACUUCAUCAUCUGUUAAUUGUGUGCCAUAAUAAUCAUUAAUCUCAAACCGCUCAUAGAACUGCAGCAAGUCAACCAGUUGAGCAAAGAGUUUCCCUUUUUCAUGUCUGUAGAGAGCACUUAAAUGACAUUUCGCAACAACAGCAACAUCAGCUACAAGAGGCCUCAGAUACCUAUACAUGGUAGAAAAUGAAGAAAAGGGAAAAUAAAAAACAUAGAAUGAAAUAAACUGGUGUAUGGAGAAUAUCAACAUCUUGAAAGCAUAAGAUGCACUUGUAAAGCAAGAUUGGUUUUGAAUUAGAAAAAUUCAAGACAUGAACUAUAUAAGAACCAGCCUGUAAUAAUAAAAAAACUUGAAGAAGAAAACAAAGCUAAGUGAAAAUGAAACAGAGAGAGAGAAAGAGGAUGAGAGAGAUGAAUAUACCUCCUUGUUGGCAGUUGACUUAACAGAUCAAUUAGAAACUCCAUAAACCUCUCACAAUACAAGACUGCAGCAUCAUCAAUUUCAUAUUCAUUAGCAGAGCUUUUCUGGGGAAAAACUUUGAAAUCAAGCACCUAAGAGAGGGAUAAAAACAUAAUAGGUUAGCUUUGAAACAUGUUCCAGGGGAAAAAAACAGAUACCGACUGCAUUGUGUUUUAAGGUAAGACUUUACAUCAAGAAACUCUUCAGUGAAAUUCCUCAAAAACCUCACUUCAAGCGAGGUUGACGGGUUGAAAACUUCUCCUCGUUUAGUUGCCUCUUCAGCCUCUUUUCUUAUGGUCUUUCUCCAUUUCUUAAUCAAUUUAUUAUUAAGACAAAGCUCCAUCUGCAACCAAAAGAAACAAAUUAUAGGCUUAGUAGGCUAAACGGCAUACAAGCAAGACUGUUAGCAAAAUAGGAUUACACAGAGCAUAAAAAUCUCACCUGAAAGCGGCCAUAUGACAAACUGUGCCAUGACUCAAAACUUGCUAAUCUGAGGACCGUCUGACUCACCAUUUCAUCUUCCAAACUCUAUGCGGCGAAGUUGUUAAAUGACACAAGAAGAAAAAUUAAAAUUAGAGUAUGAUCCACUAUUCCUCAACAGAACAAAUGAGCCAUUCCAAAAACAAAAGGAAAAAUGGCAUUCAAUAGAGAAGAUCUACAUGAUUUCUAGUGCACUUUGGUACUCAACUGCGACGCAAAUGAGCCAUUACAUGAUGCUACAUGGGGAUGCAUGGUAUGCCAAAUUCCAUCAAAACAAAAAAACCUACCAGAGGAAUUAUCAAAAUAAAAGGAAAGGGGAAAAAAAGAACGUGUAGGAAAGCAGCACACCUGAAAGGCAUUAAUCAUGAAAACUAGGUAAUUUGUCUUCUCUGCUGUACUCAACUCUCUCCCCUGAAACAGCAUUUAAAACAUCAUCAAUCAAUUUAACAUGGUAGUUCUGAAGCAUCACCUGCUUGUACAAAACAUCUCAUAUGAAAUUAAUUAAGAACAAAACCCAAAUAUAAUUACCAGCAGAAUUUGAAAUAAAAAUUGUAACACAGUAGACCUGUUUAUUAGAAUUUAAUUUUUAGUAUGUCCCUCCUGGCAAAGUUUUAACACUGGCAAAUUAUAUGGUCAAAUACUUAAAGAAAAGGUCACGAACCUCCUUCAGGUGAAGAACUCUAUCAAGAAAUCUUUUGAAGACAUCCUUCCGGUCAUAAAAGCAUGACCAAGCUGCCACAUUUUCUCGAAACUGCAAUUUACAGAGACAAUAUUCAUGAAAACAUUAAUUCUUUCAUCCAAUUAAAUUCAUACUUGAUAAUAAAAAAUAGAAAAAAAAAUACGGCAUGAUUGCUAUAACAAAAGAAUACACCAAAACCAAAAUUUCCUCUAAUCACAUCUUCCCCAACUUUCGUUCUUCAACCAUCAAGCACAACAGUAGCAAAUGAAAGAUACAAAAAUAAAUAAAUAAAAUGCAGGGUUUCACUAUGAACCCAAGUCCUCACUUGACAAAACCUAGUACAUCUUCUUGACUUCAGCUGACUCAAAUUUUCAAUUCAUCAAGCUUCCACUCUCAAAAAUUCCAUCUCAAGAUCAAGUUAAAUUAUACAAAUAUAACACUUCAAAUCAACUUAAGAAUUACCUCCCCGUUUCCAAUUUCUCAUAUAUUUAAACAAACAGAAAAAUACAAAAAACCCAUUAUUCCUUUCUCAUUUUCAGUUUCCACAGCUAGCCCCCAAAAAACCCUAAACUUCAUUACUAAUUCACAUCCAGCGAAACACACACAAGCAAUAAACCUUAAAUAAAUCACUAACCUUCUCAUUAAUCAUAAGAAUCAUAGACAUGACAUGCUCAAACGUUGCCGUUUCAGGAUCAAAAUUGGGCCAUAAAUAAUUCUCCAAAUACUGACUAACUUCCAAAAUCAUCACUCUCUGCAAAGGCACAGUCUUUCUCCCUUCUUUCACCUUCAACUCCGUCUCAUAUAUCUUCUUCACCAGUUCCGCAUCAAACCCCCUCCUCUCCUCCUCUUCCACCACCAUGUCUCCGCCAUCCGCGACAGCAGAAGUGGUCGUUUUGAGCCAGUUUGCGGAGGCAAUCUUGGUCAAUCUGUCGCGUUGAAUCUCGGAGAGAGUGAUUGAGCUGGGGAGAGUUGUUGAACCGGGUUUGGAAUCGGCUGAUUUGGUCUCGGUUCGGGUUGCAGAGAGGUCGAGUGGGUACUCGGCCACGUGGUGGCGCUUGAAAUCGUAAGCGCCGGUGCCGUAUACUUUCGUCAUUUCUUAAGUUACUGAGACGAGCGCGAAAUUUAGGUUUUUUUGUUUUCAAUUCAAAGGUGACAUUAGGGAUUUUCAGAGUAUACAGAGAGAGAGAGAGAGAGAGAUAAACCCUGGUGGAUUAGUG
RNAcentral lists this long non-coding RNA (441845 nucleotides) under Populus tremula. RNAcentral describes it as "long non-coding RNA (PTRE_LNC001917)". The stretch from base 212329 to 212481 matches the Rfam family "MIR2912 microRNA precursor family". The record is from RNAcentral. Lineage: Eukaryota; Viridiplantae; Streptophyta; Magnoliopsida; Malpighiales; Salicaceae.